AAAAUUUAGGUAUUUUUACAUUUGAACCGUCUAUUGAAGAUGCUCUUAUACUUGUGCGUCCCCUUCUGCUUUUCCCUUUGGAGCCAUUAUACUGGCACUUUUGCGACCUUAUUUUUUGUGAAGGAUAAAGUUUGUGCCUGCCUUUUGCGACAAUCAAAAACUGUCUUGUGCGAAACAAGAAACGACUUAAGAUCGCAGCCACAGUAAAACCAUAUACGGAGUACUCAUGUCAACCUACGACCAACCAGCAUGAAACAGCCGCAAAAACAACAUUAGAAAAGGGUGCAAGACGAACGGAUUAAGAUUAAGAUCCAAAUGCCAGCACGGCACAUAAUCCAGAUAACACAAUCUAUAACUCCAGCAGGACAAACAGAACUCAAUGGAACAGGUCAUUGUGCAGAGUGCCGGACUUCAACAAAAACGCACGUUGCAAGACUACACUGGGGUGGACAAAGAGCUCUUCACUCGUCGUCAUCCUCAUCGUCAUCGGCGGCACCCGCAGAGUUGUUGAGGGCGUUGAGCCUUUCGACGAGGCUGGCCUUCCUCUGCUCAUAGGUCAGCUUCUUGGGGUUGUAUCUGCAUCCAAAAGGCAAAGUUCACAAUGCAGCUCACAACAAGUUGGAAAAGAAGCAGCAGUCAGGAGUAAAUGGCCCUUGUCCACAAUGCAUCCAAAAGACAGUAUGAUGAAGAGCUUGCCGACUAUACCUCUUGUGAGUCUUGGGAGGCGCCUUGGUUGAUUUGGCCAUGGUGGGAUCAGCACGGAUGGCAGCAUGAACCUUCUUGUAAACUGCUUCCAUGUCAUCAGCUGAGAUUCCCCUCUUGAUGUACUCACUGAAGUGAGUUUGGAACUUCUCUGGUUCCUCAUCUGCUAGUGACUGGAAUAAGAGAAAGGCAAAAGUUCAGUAAGAAAUGAAAGAGGAACUAGGGUCAUUUUAUUGCCCUAGGUACAAGAGCAUGAACAAGAGUAAUACAAAAUCAAGAGAGCAAUGGCUUCCAACUCACCCUCAUGUAGUCAGCAACAUGCCCUCCAAAGAUGUACUUGCGGUGAAUCUCAGCAUCCAGCGACUUCUCAUCCUUUUUGAAACCAGCAAAUCUCUUGUCACUGUGGGGAAUGUCAAGACCACCGUCCAAAGCUCCCUGCAGGAGCAAAAAUAAUUACACCAGCAGCAGAAAAAGCACUAGAGGGAUACAACCCAUGCAUUCAAAAACAAAAUAAGUUCUGAAGUGCAGCAGAAUAGGGAGCACCAUAUCACUUAAUGCAAAUAAAAAAAUGAGAACAAACAGCAAUAACAAUGAUUUUUCACAAGGUCAAAUAGCACAAUAAAGCAGAACAGUUUCAUGUCAAAGGCCUGUGACAAGUUACAGGUAGCUAAAGAAGAACGACCAAUCAUGAUUUGCCAAUAGUUUCAUGUCAAACCUUUCAAGAAAAAAUAGUUUCAUGUCAAAGGCCUGUGACAUUGAGUGCCUAUCUGCAAUCAUAAAAUGUACAGUAAUAACAUGGCUUACCUUAAGGGCACCAAACACACGGUUUCCAGUGGUGGUCCUAAUAAGACCAACAUCCAAAAGCGCACGGAAAGGCCUCCUCUCAUCAGAAGGCUCAACAGAGAAGUCCUCGCCAGUGGCCUGAGCACAGACAUAUAUUAUUUGUGUUCAUCAGAAGCAACAAAUCAGGAUAUUAAACUAAAAAAAAUGAUGAAACCAAAUUAUACCUCAACAUUGCCUUCAUACUCCUCAUCAAGAUCACGGUUCUUGAGCACACGACGGGCCAAAAGCAGACCAGUGCAGUAGGCUACAUCAUGCAUUCAGAAAAUUAGAUUAGAAAAGAGGCAUGCAUACACAGCAUGCAUUAGCACAUUCAUUCAGUAGAUAAAAUCAACCUGCAGCAUAGUUGGUGAGGCCAACUUCAAGACCAUAGCGAGGCAACUCAUGGGAGUAAGCAGCGGCCAUCACGAUAUCACCAGCAAUGGUAGCAUACACAAUUUGUGCAGUGACAUCCUUGUUGGUCUGAAGUACUAUUGUUAAGAGAUACAACAUGCCUCCAAGGUAAUAAUAAGCAGAACAUUGAUGAUUGACAAGUGCACAAAUUAUAACGAAGAAACUUUGAAGGAUACAAAUCGCACAACAAAACGGUACUUGGGGGUAUUGUAUUUGUUCUUGUCCUGGUUUGUGAGCCUCAGCCUGGCCCUGUAGUCGGUCUUCCCCUCUGAGAAAACAUGGGGAAAAGGAAAAUCAGCCAGUCAGAAUCGCUGUCAAAUGACAGAAGUGGCAGAUUCAUGGAGAGGCAUGUGUUAGACAUACGGCGCCUUCUCUUGAACUUGACUUGGAAACGCUUGGAGUACGCCCUUGUCUUCUGGUUCUUGAUGUACACCUACAAGACGUAUCAAAGAGAAGCACAUGAGUAUACACCUAGGUUUGGAACAUCAGUGCUACCCUGGAAAUCCUAGUAAUCAAUCAGGCGGCACAAACAAAACAUUUAAGACAAGAUUUUAAGUAGCUCAUAGUUCUAUUCAAUGACGAGAAACCUCAUGGAACCUCCCAAGCUUAGGAUAAUCAAGGAAGUAAUUCCUAUAUAAACCCCAGUCUACUAUCGCGACAAGAAACAAAACCGCAGCAUAAACCAAUCCCUCGUCAAUCCACUACAAUAGUGAAUCUGGUCUAAGAAAUGGGAACUUCUUCUCAGUUCUAAAAUUAGAGCAGGCAAAGAGCUAGUAGAGCAUGAUUUGCGAGCAAUAAAAUCUUAUCAAGCGGCACAAAUCCAGAUCUAACAGAUUCUACGAGCGGCGAGGACUAUUCCUCCACGACAGAGCAAAAACCCCGCAGAUCUGACCAGUCCAGUGCUGAACCCUUAAGCCCUGAGUUGGGUAGUGCAAGCUAUGAAACAAGAAUCGAAAACCUAGGCGCCGAUUCCUGCAGCGAAGGCGCACGAAAGCCAGACGCUGCGGGCAGCAACGCAAGCGCGGACUGAAGCAGCAGCCAUGGAGGAAGAGGAGGCGGUGAGAUCGGACGUACCAUCGCGCCUGCGAGGAGGGAGCUCCUGCGGAUGGAGGAGGCGGCGGCGGCGCGGGCGGGCGGGCGAGCGGAAGGGCUAGGGAUGGGAGGCAGCGUGGUGGCGCUUAUAUAUACGAGGGGGCGGGCCUGGCUGCUUGCUGGGCCGCGGUGCGAGUCACCCCCGAAUAGGUGGGCUUCUUUCGGUCUGCUUCUAAGGCCCAUGAACUGCGUUUCGGUUUUUUUUUUCCUUAUUCUCGGCUCACUGGAGAGCUUAGAGCAUAACGGCCGCUGUUGCAUGUUGCGGUUGCAGAGUGGAGAGAGCAGUUGGUCGUUCCAUCGCUCGUCUUAUGCUGAUACUAAUACCUCUGUAAAAAAAUAUAAGAGCGUUAAGUUAUUACUUAUCUUUAUUUCUAAAAGAGGAGUCUGCGGUUGUGAUGGUGCGUUCAUACAUCGUUCGCUCGUUCGCCCCUCCCCUCGUCCCACCCUUCCCAGUGCCAAAGUCAUACAUGAAAACAAACCCAAAUAAUCCUAAAGAAACAAACCCAAAUAAUCGGCACCGUUGUAAUCUUCCUCCGUACGUACUAAAAAUAAUUAGCCUUCCUCCCACCAUGGUAAGUGCAAAAGUAGUAUACGUGGGAAACAAACCAUAGAAUCCUAACAAUACUUAGCCCAAUUAUUACAUACUAAACAUAAAGCACAUUCUCAAAAAGAAAACAUAAGGCACAAGAUAAGAAAAACCCGACAAGAUUGAUAACGCCUCAAGUACUCACCAUCAAGCACAGACGAUACAUUGCUGGGAGAUCAUGAUGGCGAUCACACCAGGUCACCAUGGAGGUCACAUGAGUUUAUCAUCAACCUGUCAGCCUCGCUUUCAUCAUCCGGAGGUGAGUUCACCUUUUGACAAAGCCAUAUGUUUCUCCGACGUGGUGCUCUUUCUUGUGGAUCUUCAUAGUCCUGAUAUAUGCAUUACUAAUUUAUUUAGUUCACAAAAGGCGAUGCAUGGCGAACUACUAUUAAAAAUGAUUGUCAUAGUUUUGGGGUUUCAUAGGCUAGAUAGAUUGUAAGGGCAUCUCCAGCCGUUGCCCCCCCCCCCAGGACGCAUACAAAAUCGCCCCCUGGGGGCGAGCCGGCGAUACACUCGGCGCUGGGGGCGGUUUUGCGCCCAGUCGUCGCCCCCAGCUCGCCCCCAGGCGCCGAAAUUGGCCCACUUUGCAGCCCAAUUUCGGCGAAUAAACGGCCCAUAUGGGCGAGAAUAGACCCAUAUUCGGCGUGGUUUCGCCGUGUCUCGGCGUUCAAUUAUCAACACAAUUAUUCCUUAUCACAUAUUUCAUCACAGAAAAAUCAAAUACUUCAACAAAAUACUACAACAACAAAUAGUUCAAUACAAAUUAUAUAGUUCAACAGAUAAAAACUCAUAUUUCAUCACGCGGCGUCCCCCUUGAGCCUCCAUAGGUGCUCAAUCAGAUCUUUCUGCAGUUGAUGAUGCACCUGUGGGUCUCGGAUCUCCUGACGCAUACUGAGAUAGGCAGUCCAAGUUGCCGGUAGCUGGUGAUCAACUUCGGCUAGAGGACCCUGCCUGUAGUAUGGUUCAGUGUCAAACACUGGGUCUUCUUGCUCGCUCUCGAUGAUCAUGUUGUGCAAGAUGACACAGCAAGUCAUGAUCUCCCACAUUUGAUCUUUCGACCAGGUCUGAGCGGGGUACCGAACAACAGCGAAUCGAGAUUGGAGCACACCAAAUGCCCGCUCGACAUCCUUCCUGCAAGCCUCCUGAAGCUUCGCAAACCAGGCGUUCUUGCCUCCUGCCACAGGGUUUGAGAUCGUCUUCACAAAUGUCGACCAUCUUGGAUAGAUGCCGUCAGCUAGAUAGUACCCCUUGUUGUAUUGGUGACCAUUGAUCUCGAAGUUCACCGGAGAAGAAUGGCCCUCAACGAGCUUGGCAAAAACAGGAGAGCACUGCAGCACGUUGAUGUCAUUGUGAGUUCCUGGCAUACCAAAGAAGGCGUGCCAAAUCCAGAGGUCCUGUGUGGCUACCGCCUCAAGCACCACACUGCAACCGCCUUCGGCGCCUUUGUACAUCCCCUGCCAACCAAAUGGGCAGUUCUUCCAUUUCCAAUGCAUGUAGUCGAUGCUUCCAAGCAUCCCAGGAAAUCCUCUUGCUGCAUUUUGGGCUAGGAUCCGAGCAGUGUCUUCCGCAUUGGGUGUUCUCAAGUAUUGUGGCCCAAACACUGCCACCACUGCCCGACAGAACUUGUAGAAACACUCUAUGCUGGUGGACUCGGCCAUGCGCCCAUAGUCGUCGAGUGAAUCACUGGGAGCUCCAUAUGCAAGCAUCCUCAUCGCUGUGGUGCACUUCUGGAUGGAGGUGAAUCCAAGAGCGCCAGUGCAAUCCAUCUUGCACUUGAAGUAGUUGUCGAACUCCCGGAUGGAAUUCACAAUCCCGAGGAAGAGCUUUCGGCUCAUCCGAUAACGGCGCCGAAAUGUUCUCUCGCCAUGAAGUGGAGCAUCGGCGAAGUAGUCAGAGUAGAGCAUGCAGUAGCCUUGCAGACGAUGCCGGUUCUUUGCUUUCACCCGCCCCAGCGCCGAGCCACCUCGACGCGGCUUUUCGUUGCUCGCCAGCAGCUGGGCGAGGGCGACGAGCACCAUCAGAUGCUCUUCUUCCUGGACGUCGGUCGCGGCUUCCUCCUCCAGCAGCGUGGCGAGCUCUUCCUCCUCAUCCGAGUCCAUGGCUGAGACAGUCAAAACGCCGAACACCUUGCGCUCGGUGGGUGUGUACCCGCCAUUAAACCGCGCCUCCGCGGCCGGAAACGGCGGCCGGAAAUGCCCAGCUGCUGCGGGAGGGGCUGCCGCGGCGAAGCGCUGCUAUUUUCCGGCGGGGAAUGGCUAUCUAGCGGAGUAGGCCGGCGGCCGUCGCCGGGAUAUAGCUAGUGGUGGCCGAGGGCGCGGGGGGUGCGAGGCGAGUCGGGGGAAGAAAACCUUGAGUUUUCCCCUGUCGGUGUGGGCCAGGCGUGCUUUUCCCUAGCGCCGGAGCCCCCAAUGGCUCCCCAGCGCGCCGGGUUCGGCCUGUGACCGCCGGGCGGAAAAAAGGUCCGAACCGGCGAUUUUCGGCGUCCUGGGGGCGUGACUGGGCCGUUUUUUCGGCGCCGGCGCCAAAAAGUGGCCUGGGGGGGCUGUUGGGGGCGCGGCUGGAGAUGCCCUAAUUACACAAGUCACGUGCAUACCGCUGGUGGUUUCCAGGAACUUUCAACUUGAGCAAUACGAAAUGUAACCUCACCAAGCAAACUUGUAGAAAUUCAUUAAAAUUUAGAUGUCUGGAGAAGACAAUAAUGUGCGCAUGGAGGAGAAACUGUGUAUGUAGGUAAAUAUUAUUUAUUUUUCUUUGUUUAUGAACCAUGUUGUUGAAGGUUCGAAGGGCCUUAAUCACCAUCCCUGCACCAUUUACUACUGCAGUAUUUUUUUGCCCUCUUUUCUGAAUUCUCCCUCAUAGCAUCUUUACUACCAACUAAUCGUAGCACCAACUAUUUUACUUUCUUUAUGAACCACAGUGCUGAAGGUCCAAAUGUCAUUAAUCAUUAUCCAUGCAACAUUUGCUUAUAAGAUGUCGAAGGAUAAGUGAAAAAUAAAUGUGUAUUCUCUAACAAUUUGUUUAGGCAUAAUGUCUUAAUUGAUGAUUUGAAGGUGACCAUCUUGUAAUCUUUACUGUUGUUGUUGGAACAGUCAUAUCGAUGUUCAUAUGUGAACCAUCCACCCAAUUAGCUACAACGCUUCCCAUAGCCAGUACCAUGAUAGCAUUGGAGCCACGGGAGCAUGUGGGAACAUCAAAUGGUAUUUACCCUUUCACACGACGUUUUUACCAUUGAAGUAUGGUCGUCUAUAGAUCUAGAUUUAUUGAGUCUAAACGUGUGAUGGGUAUAUUCGUUCAAAUGUGGGUCUUGGAUUUAGCAAAACACACACUGGCCAUGCAGAAAACCCUACAACACCUCAAGGAACACUGAGUGGUGCUGAAGAUAUUGCUUCCAAUGCAAGCAUUAAAGAAGACAAACAUCAACAAAGACGGAGCCGUGAUAAAGAAAGGCGAGAUAGCCUAACACCCGGGCAAAGAGAAGAAAUGAAUGCACAUCGAAGAGCAUCUAGAAAAAAUUAGACUAUCGAAGAUAGGAAUGCAAGCCAAAGGGCUGCCAGACAAAAUCUGACAACAAAGGAGAGGCAAGAGAUGAACGCUCGUAGAAGAGCAGUAAGUACAAAUAUACCAACUGAGUAGAGGCAAGAGAUGAACGCUGGUCGAAGAGCACGCCUGCAGAGCAUACACUACUGCAGGAUGCUGCUAACGCGACACUACAAUCAGAGACCCUUCGAGAAACUGUGUGCGAUGCAAUAAUCGCAAACGGUGGUGUAAGAGAACCGUAAAAAAUGUGCAAAAUGUUUGCGAUGACGGAUGCAUCAAACACGGUUCAGAUUUUAGUUGCGUGUGCGAUGCACGGCAUACGGUUCAGUUCAAUGAACUGUUUGCGAUGAGGAAGAAGAACGGAAACGGGCAGCCAGAUGAAGGCGUGUGCGAUAUACGGCAUAUAGUUCAAUCGAAUUAACAGUAUGUGAUGAGGCGGAACAAUAGAAACGGACAGCUAGAUAAAGGUGUGUGCGAUUGAGGGCAUACGCUUCAUAAGGAUUAAUUGUUUGUGAUUAGGCAACAUAACAGAAGCGGUCAGCCAGAUCAAAGGUGUGUGCGAUUGAUGGCAUACACUUCACACGGAUGAACUGUUUACGAUUAGCCACAACAAACAAAAAUAGUUAGACAGAUCAACGUGUGUGCCCUAGACGGGCACACAUUCUAACUAAAAGAAGCGUGCGCUAUGGUAAUAACGAGCGCCCACGUGAAAGGAUCUAGAUUGACCUAGAGGGGGGGUGAAUAGGUACAAUUACAAAUUUUAAUUGUUACUUAGCAAUUUUAGGCAAUAAUGCAAAAUAUGAAGUUGAGCCUAACAAUUGCAAGUGUGAAGCUAUGAACUAAGCAAGGUAAACAAGUAGCUCAAGUAGGAGAGUAAGCAAGCACAAUAUGAUAUAAGUAAAGACUAAGAGACAAGUAACCACAAAUAGGGAGUUAAGGUUAGGGAUAACCGCAACUCUGAGAGACGAGGAUGUAUGCCGAUGUUCACUUCCUUGGAGGGGAGCUACGUUACCAUUAGAGAGGUGGGUGUUACCACGAAGGCACACCAACACCACGAAGGCUCACCCUAUUCUCCCUUUGAGACAACACCACGAAGGCGUUUCUCAACCACUAGUGGUAGACCUUGGGUGGUCUCCAAAUCCUCACAAACUUUCCGGGGGUAAUCACAAAGAACGAUUCCUCUCCGAAUGACUCCUACCGCCUAGGAGUCUCCAACCUCCAAGAGUAACAAGAACUAUGGGGAAAAAGCUCAAGACUUGCUCAAAUCAUGAAUUCCUUUGGUGAACAUCGAUAUGAAAGAAGUGGAUCUAUCACUUGGGUGGACAACUUCUCUCAAAUGCUCUCAAAUCCCUUAGGGAUCUAAGAUCUGGUGUUGGAGUGUGUGUGAGAGAGUGAAGAUGUGUUCUUGAGGGUGCUUGAAGUGAAUGGUCAAUCCUCUCACGGGAUAGGAGAGAGAUAUUGAUAGUAUGCCUCAAUAACUGGCUGUUGGAGCCCAAAACAGCACAGCAUCGUCGGACGUCCGAUGCACAACGGACGACCGAAGGCUUGACAGACAUCGGACAUCCGACAGGGACCGGACGUCCGAUGUUUUGGCACGGUAUAGUAGGUAGCGGACGACCGAUGUUUAGGCUCUGUGGAAAAGGUACGGAGUGACCGAAGGAUAUCGGACGACCGAGGGCUCUGCAGACAACGGACGUCCGACAAGGACCGGAGGACCGAUGUUUUGGCUCUGGAUAGGAUUUGCCGGACGUCCGGUGCACACUGGACGACCGAUGUUUUGGUUCUAUAUAGAGGCGAUCGGACGUCCGGUGAGUACCGGUCGUCCGCCAGAGAUGAAGAUCAGACACUGACUUUGAAGUAGUUGUUUGAGCAAGACUUUAGCAAUAACCCAUGUUCCCCUCUUAAUAGUGCGGGGUCCUAUACUCAAGAAUAAACAUAAAAAUAGUCUUGUUUCUUCGUUCUUAAUGAGGUUAAACAUUUCUGAAGUCAUAAUCCACACACACAAUUGAUUCCGAGGGGACUAAAACUUGAGAUAUACUUGACAAACUUUGUUAGUCCCCUAUGAGUAUAUUGUCAUCAACAUCAAAAUAAUAUUUAGGGCAUAAUUGCACUUUCAAUCUCCCCCUUUUUGGUAGUUGAUGACAAUAUACUCAUAGCACAAAAGAAAUCAAGUUGCUCUAUGCUUUAAGACACGUGUAUUUAAGAGCUCCCCCUCUCAACCAUAAUCAUUGCAACAUUAUAUGGAGAGCUCUCCCUCACAGAGACAACCAAUCUAGAAUAUAUGAGAAAAAUAUCACAAGAACCAAAUAAAACCAUCAUCAUAUAAGCACAACCGCAUAAUAUCAUAAUAUCUCAACAUUCAUAGAACACAGAGGUUCAAUAUGUUCAACAUCACAGCAUAAGGCAUAGAUAUAAAGUCAUACACCCACUCAAGGUAAAUGGUUCAACAUAAGAGCAACAUGAAUAGAAAGCUAGAACUAGUUCUCCCCCUUGGCAACAACUACCCAAAAAGGGACAGAGAGAACCCUUAGACAAUCACAAGUCAUCAUCAUCAUCAUUUGGAGCUCCACUCCCACUAGCUUCAUUGAGGAAAUCAGCCCACUCAGGCCCCGAAGGAAAACCAAAGUCAGAAGGAGGAGCAGUUGGGAGGCGCUCAUCGUCACUCACAUCAGUAGCCCUAGAGUCACGGUGACGAGACUUCAAGGCAUUCUUGGAAGUGAUCAAGCGAGUGACAACAUCAUGGUUGUGUGUGCAGUUGAAGGAGAAUGCCAUCAUCAUGGCAGAGUGAGCCUUUCGAUAAAACGAGCAAAACGCCCAAAGGACGCCGAGCUGGCAUUAGCAGGAUGGGAACUAGCGUCAGACCUACGAGCAAGAGCAGACUUGGAGGAACCUUUUGGAGAAAAAUCAUUGGCCAUGUGAGGAGUGUCGGUGUACUAAAAUAGGGGCGCUCUUUGUUGGGAUCUAUGGUAGGGUGCGUCGACUGCAAAUUAAAAUUUCCUACGCGCAGAACAACCAAGAACAUGCUACGGGAGAUGGAUUACGGAUCGUUACCACUAGACACGCAGUGCCGUGCAGCGGAAGAAGAGUUGGGGCAGCGCAUCCGCGUGGAUCGUCUCCUCCUUGUCCGAUCUCCCUCGAACAACCGGUCGCCCGAUCCAACGUACAAGUUCACCGGAGCGGCACAAGUGCACCGCCUCUAAUGGUAUCUGCGCGUGCAGGAGGAACACCGUGCGGUGGACUGCUAGGUCCGAUCACACAGUCGGCGGCAAGUGGAGGUGGCUAUUCGCAACACAUGCAAACCCUAGUCGCAGCACCGAAGCGAUCAACCGCAUGAGUGUGCCGCACCUCCACUUUAUAUAGGCGUCCGUCACGAGCUCAACACUUGGGCCUCGCACGGACCCUAAAGCCCACAAGUCUACUCGACCAUAAUCCGAAUACAGCUAGGACCACAUCCGACCAAUGUCCUCGGAUCCGACCUCGUAGGUUCCUUCCCUUAAGCGCGCGACCCUUUAGGUUCAAGUCGGCUUGGUCGCUGUUCGGAUCACCUCCGAACUGCACGGUUGGUAGCGGCCUCUAGCAAGGCAUGCCGAACACCAAGCAGACCAUGAAGCUGGUUAGGUGAACCUGUACAUCAUACUUUUGUUCCCUUUGCCACACGAUAUAUGUUGUCGGGCUCAAGGCGAGAUUGUCAUCCUUGUGCUAGCCCGACCUCUUUCUCCUUCCAGUGAUACCGACCACUAUCCGGAUUAUCUCAUAAUCCUUGUCGCAUGGCCAUGCUUAUCCUGAUCGGAUCACACGAGGGGCCCAGAGUAUAUCUCUCCUGAUCGGAGGGGCAAAUCCCAUCUUGCUCAACCAUGUCUCGCAGCAUGGGACUGGACAAACCUGAAACCUACCUUUGUAACUAUCUAGUCACGGAGUAGCGUUUGGUCGGCCCAAAGCAAGUCUGUCACCAUCCCGAGCACAUGCGUCAGCUCAGGUCUUAGGACAUAGAACAUAUGUUGUACUAGAGACUCACAUAUGACAUAUCGUUGCGUCUCAUAGUUGGGUCUGUCCGACUCAAACCUUAUCUCGACUCGGAUCUGACUACGUCGAAUCCGAUCAGACCUUCCCAAGUCCAUAUUAUCUGGUUAGCAUGGCUAGUGAGACCAAGCCAUCGACCGUGUCAUAUGCUAGUCUAGUCGGCUACGCGUCCACACAACCCUUUCGACUAGGGACCUUUUAGGACAGUCAUCAUACAAUGCAUAGUCCCACAAACAAGUCACGUACUUGCUGAUACACAUCAUUGAUAAUGUCCAAGGACUAUCUUUAUUUGUAAACACGUAGGAAAUAUCAUCAUACAUGAUUGCCUCUAGGGCAUAUCUCCAACAGUCUCCCACUUGCACUAGAGUCAAUCAAAUAGACAUCGAAUGCCCAUAGCUCUAACGUGCCCCUCAUGCUUGGGUUGUGGAAGCGGCUUAGUCAACGGAUCUGCAACAUUUGCAUCCGUGUGAAUCUUGCAUAACUCUACAUCACCAUUCUUUAUGAUCUUUUGUAUCAGGUGAUAUUUCCGAUCUAUGUGUCUGACCUUGUGGUGAUUCCUUGGCUCCUUGGCUUGUGCGAUGGCACCAGAAUUAUCACAAUAAAGGUCCAACAGUUUCACCGAGGCUGGGAAAAUACCAAGAUCAUCCAGAAAAUGCCGGAUCCAAACACCUUCCUUUGCAGCUUCACAAGCCGCAAUGUAUUCGACUUCUGUGGUAGAAUCAGCCACCGUAUCCUGCUUGAAACUCAUCCAGUGCACUGCUCCUCCGUUUAGGAUGUACACGAAUCUAGACAGUGAUCGACAAUCAUCUCUGUCGGUUUGGAAACUAGCAUCGACGUAACCCCUUACGACGAGCUCUUCCUCACCUCCAUAAACUAGGAACAUCUCUUUAGUCAUUUUCAGGUACUUCAAAAUAGUCUUUACCGCUGCCGAGUGACUCUCACCUGGGUUGGCCUGGUAUCUGCUUGUUAGGCUUAUUGCAAAAGCAACAUCAGGCCUUGUAGAUAUCAUGGCAUACAUGAUGGAUCCGAUUGCCGAGGCAUACAAAAUCCUACUCAUCCUGCUUCGCUCAUCAGGUGUCGAAGGACUCUGAGUCUCGCUUAGCCUUAUACCAUGUGAGAGUGGCAAGAACCCUUUCUUCGCCUCACUCAUGUUGAACCGCUUCAACACUUUAUCUAUGUACGUGCUCUGGCUUAAGCCGAGCAGCCUCCUUGAUCUAUCUCUAUAGAUCUUAAUGUCUAAAAUAUAUACUGCCUCACCAAGGUCUUUCAUUGAAAACUUGCCAUUCAAUGACUCGUUGACCGAGUUUAGCAUCGAAACAUCAUUUCCGAUCAGUAGUAUGUCAUCCACAUACAAGAUCAAAAACACUAUCGAGCUCCCACUUAACUUCUUGUACAAACAAGAGUCCUCUUCACUUUUGAUGAAACCGAGACCAGUGACGACCUCAUCAAAACGAAUAUUCCAGCUCCGAGAUGCUUGCCUCAACCCAUAAAUGGAUCUUUUGAGCUUGCAUACUUUACUAGUGCUAGUAGGAUCAACAAAACCCUUGGGCCGUAUCAUAUACACGUCCUCGGUUAAAUUUCCAUGAAGGAAAGCCGUUUUGACAUCCAUCUGCCAUAUCUCGUAAUCGAAAUAUGCAGCUAUAGCUAGUAUGAUCCUCACCAACUUCAGCAUCGCUACCGGUGAGUAAGUCUCAUCGUAGUCAAUUCCUUGAACUUGUCCAUAACCUUUAGCGACAAGCCGAGCUUUAUGGAUCUGAACAUUUCCAUCCACAUCGGUUUUCUUCUUAAAGACCCAUUUGCAACCAAUGGAUGUUAUGCCAGGUGGCGGAUCAACCAAGUCCCAAACUUGAUUCUCAUCCAUGGACUUUAACUCGGAUCUCAUGGCCUCCAGCCAUGCCUCAGAAUCUGGGCUCACCAUCGCUUCUGCAUAUGUGGCCGGCUCGUCGCUUUCCAGCAACAAUACAUCACACACUCUGCGCAAUCUUUUCGACCUUCGUGGUUCUGGUGCCGCUUCCACUACGGGUUCCCUGACUGACUCCGGUAUGAUCUCAUCACUAGCCGAGCCGUCCCCGAGUGGUCCUUGAAUUUCUUUGAGUCGGACCAUCCUCCCACUAGCCUCCCGACUGAGAAACUCUUUCUCAAGGAAAACCCCGUUCCGAGCAACAAACACUUUGUUCUCUUCUCGGUUGUAGAAGCUAUAUCCCAAGGUUUCCCUCGGAUAUCCCACGGAUAUGCAUUUAUCUGACUUGGGUGUAAGCUUGUCUGACAUAAGUCGCUUGACAAAUGCUUCACAGCCCCAAAUCUGUAGAAAAGACAAACUGGGACUCUUCCCGGUCCACAUCUCAUGUGGUGUCUUGUCUACGAACUUUGAUGGUACCGUGUUAAGUGUGAAAGCUGUGGUUUCUAGAGCGUAUCCCCAGAAUGACAAGGGUAAAUCCGAUUUGCUCAUCAUAGACCGGACCAUGUCCAACAAGGUCCUAUUCCUCCGUUCUGACACGCCGUUUCUCUGUGGCGUACCCGGAGGUGUGAGCUGAGGUACUAUACCUCGACUUUUCAGAUGAUCAUCACACUCCUGGCUCAUGUACUCACCUCCACGAUCAGAUCGCAUAAGCUUUAUAGUGUUGCCGAGUUGAUUUUGAACCUCGUUCUGAAACUCCUUGAACUUUUCAAAAGUCUCCGACUUGUGCCUCAUCAAAUAGAUAUACCCAUAUCUAUUCAAGUCAUCGGUAAAAGUCACGAAGUACUGAUAGCCACCUCUAGCAGUUGUGCUCAUUGGACCACACACAUCACUAGGUAUAAGUUCCAACGGCUCGGAUGCCCUUUCGCAACUCUUUGUAAAAGGAGACUUAGUCAUCUUGCCGAGCAAGCAUGAUUCACAUGUCUCGAACGACCUGAAAUCGAACGAAGUUAGGAGCCCAUCAUCAUGGAGCUUCUUCAUGUGUUUCAGACUAAUGUGUCCAAGCCGGCAAUGCCAGAAAUAUGUCGGAUUUAUCUCAUUUGGCUUAUGCCUCUUGACAUUCACGUUAUAGACCGGUUCCUGUUCUAGAUUCAAUAUAAUUAGCCCAUCAAUAAUGGGUGCAUAGUCGUGGAACAUACCAUUCAAAAAUAUCGAACAACCAUUGUCCUUUAAAUUGAAUUCAUAACCUUGACUCAUCAAACAUGAGGCAGAAAUAAUGUUCCGAGUAAGUGCAGGAAUGUAAUAACAAUUAUUCAAUUCCAUAAUGAAUCCGGAAGGAAGCUGGAGUUGCAUCGUGCCGACCUCCAACGCAGCAACUCUUGCUUUGUUGCCGACCCUGAUGUCAAUCUCCCCUUGUGCCACAUGCCUAGUUCUUACCAGCCCCUGCAUCGAGUUGCAAAUAUGAACAACCGAUCCGGUAUCAAAUACCCAAGAGCUACUAGGUAUGUCAGCAAGGUAAAUGUUUAUAACAUAUGCAACAAGUGUACCUUUGCCUGAAGAAGCAUUCCUGACCUUCUUGCCAUGCCCUGCAAGCCACUUGCUAUAGUUCCUCUUCCAGUGACCGGUCUCCUUGCAGUGAUAACAAAUGGUCUUUGAGUCCGGUCCAGACUUUGGUGCAGCGGCGGAGGUUACCGUCUCCGUGCCCUUUGCCUUAGCCUUUUCCUUGGACCAACUCUUCUUGAACUUAGCCGAUUUCUGCACCAUCAAGACUUGAUGUGUGCCUUUCUUAAUGUCCUGCUCUACCACUUUGAGCAUCCCAUGCAAUUCAGUGAGCUUCUUAUCCAUGCUAUGCAUAUGAUAGUUCCAGAUGAACGUCCCAUAGCUGGGUGGAAGAGAACUCAGAACAGCAUCUAUAGCAAGCUCAUCCAAGAGCGGGAAACCCAACCGAUCCAAAGCUUGCACAUAUCCGAUCAUCUUGAUCACAUGUGGGCUCAGUGUAUCACCUUCCUUCAGCUUGCAAUCCAUCAAGGAUCGCCAUACGUUGAACCUUUUGGUCCUAGCCUGUGUCUGAAACAUGCUCUUGAGACUCUCAAUCAUAUCGUAAGCCUCAACAUUUUCAAAAUCCUGUUGCAAAUCGGGCUCCAUACAAGCCAGCAUCAAACAGCUGAUCUCCGUUGAUUCAUCAACGAGUUUCUGGUAGGCAUUCUUAGUUGUGGCAUUAGCAUUAUCGGCAGGUUCCUCUGGAAGUGGAUCCUCUAGAACAUGUUCCUUUUUAUCAUGCUUGAGAACAAUUCUCAGAUUUCUAUACCAGGUGGUAAAGUUUGUUCCAUUCAGUUUAUCCUUUUCCAGAAUUGAUUUCAAUGCAAAGUUGGGUUGAGCAGGUGGUGCCAUUGAUCUACAACAGAAAAUAUGCAAUCACUAAGCAAUGUGUUUAUGUAGAGUAAUUCAAGCCUAAACAGAAAUACUCCCACUGAAGUCAGCAUCCCUCCGCAAACUCUUAGUGAUUCAGGAUCCGACUAGCGCAUGCGACUAGUGAGCUUUAGCAUCACUACUAGCCAACAUACCUAUCUGUCGGAUUUCGGGUUCCGGCAGACCCUCUAGGUUCGAACUCUGGGGUGCACGCGGAGAUUUCACCCUCUGCCUACCUGCACCUCACCGCCUCGCUAUGAACUAAGCAAUCAAGGAACAACACAAGAGACACAGAGUUUAUACUGGUUCAGGCCACCAUUGUGGUGUAAUACCCUACUCCAGUGUGUGGUGUGGUGGAUUGCCUCUUGGGCUGACGAUGAACAAUACAAGGGAGAACAGCCUCGCGAGGGUCUGUCCUUGGCUGGUGCGAUGAACUGCUAGGGGGAGUUCAGUCGCUCUCUCUACUGGUUUCCUGGUGAGGAUCCCAUCUCUAUCUGUUGAUAUUGUUGUCCGUUGUCCGUUGUUCGUUCUCCGUUUCUGUUGUUACUAGUCCUAUAUAUAGGCAAAGGCCCUGGGCCUCCUCCCAAAUAUUGAGCGGGAAGGGUGCCAACAAUUGGCCAUUUUGAAGGGGAACAUCUAGUACACUUAUCCUGACUAAAGUUGGUCCUCGCCUGCUAAAGGCUCUGGUGGUGACACCGGCUUGGGCUCCACGAUGACCUUCAUCCGGCCGUUCUGCUGGUCUUGGUCUCGUUGCACCAAAAUGGAUGCCUUUGCUUGAUGCUCUCGCUUGCGCUUGCUCCCUUUGCACCAAAGAGGAAAGAAGGACACUGUGCGGGCUGGCGCCCUUGGUCGUCAUGGCUUGCGUCAUGGGCACCUCGUGAGGUACCCCGCCUUGAUCUCCUCGCCUCCUCGCGAGCCAGCCUGACACGGCCGUGCCUGAGGAAGCCUCCUAUCGUCCGCCCCGCGAGGCUUGGCCUCUUGCGAGGGUCUUGAGCUCAUGCUGAUGAAGAUGGGCCAUGCUGGGCCGCGCCUUGAGCCACGCCGCAGGCCGCAGGCAGGCAAGUCCGGGGACCCCCGUUCCCAGAAUGCUGACAGUAGCCCCCGGGCCCAAGGCGCGCCCGGACUUGGCUGAGCAGAGAGGCGAAGGGGCAAGUGCGAAGCGCCGCGGGCCCUAACAGCCUGCGGCCUCGAGCAUCGCGUUGCGGUUGAUUGGACGUGGGCGGCUCCGCUCCCCCACGACGCCUCGGCGAUUGCACGAACUGACAAGUCCCUGCGUGCAAAAACUGGUCAUGGUUACCUGUGAUCAUGGAAGCCAACGGCUGGCCUCCCCUGGCUAUAAGUACGGAACGACGUGAGCCAUUCCAGUUCAUCUUCCUCUGCUACUUCUCCUCUUCUUCAUCUUCGCCACUGCUCCGCCUUGGCGCAAUGGCUCCGAUACGCCGGUUCUCCGCAGAAGAGAAGGGAAAGGCCCCCCGAGAGGGCCCCGACCCGCUUCCACCAAAGAAGCAGUUGAUCCUCUGCCGCCGAGACGAGGGCGUGCGGCAGGAGGUGUCGAGGCCUUAGUGCGAGCAGCCGCCACCAGGGUUUCCGCUGACCUUGUACGCCCACCUUGAGGGCCCUGCAGGAGCCGAUGCCGAGUGUCAUGGACGACGACGCCAUUGGCGCCGGCGGGUCACGGCGGUGCGCGUUGUCCCUCCUGGAGUUCACACUAGGGGCUCCUCCCGAGAGUUUGUGCUCCACGCCGCCAUGCCUCCUCGGUUUUGGAUUCGCCUUCCUCCUUCCUUCGCCUUCGAGAUUCCGUCGAGGGGGCCUUUCAGGCUCUGGCUGCAGCACGCCAAUUGCCCGACUCCUGCGACAAAUGCGGAUGUCGAGGUCGUCGCCCCAGGUAAGGUCUUCAUGACCCGGGGCUAGGGCAAGAUCGCCCGGGCUUGCAGGACGAGGGGCGCCCUCGUGAUCCACCUGGAGUUCGACGGUGCUUCCAUGAUGCUCUUCAAGGUCUUCGAUGAAGAUGGGCGUCGGCUGGAGUGCUGUCCCAGAGGCAGCGGCAGAAGCCCCGGAGCGGCAAGGACCAGGCCUGCCGUCGCACGCUCUUCCAGCAGCUCCUCAAGCGGCGAGGGCGCCGGAGGAUCCAGCGACUCCGCCGAGCUCUUCGCGACUCUGGAGACGAGCGACGACAGCUACGAGCCCUCGAGCCUGCGCCGCUAUCGGAGCAGGACAGGCCCGUUAGGCUGCCGCCGUCUCUGAUCUGGAUGAGGUUGGCGCCGGUGCCUGGCGGCCCACUGUUGAUGAUGGCGUCUGCCACGACGGUUCCUGCAGUUAGGACUCCUUAGGAUAUGCGUCUCUUGUCCCUACGAGGAGCCAAGAAUACACCCCGUGGGGGCUUGUAAGGUGUCUGUAGCUCCGUUUGUCAAUAUGAUCCUUAUCGUGAAGUAGUGCGAGAUUCUUAUUCCGUCUUAGCUUAGUUUCUUCCUUUCGGACCUCACGAGGGCUUGGCGCUCUACGCCGACAGGUCCCGGUCCCAAGGCGGCUUCACCAUCGCUGGUAUGCCAGGUCGCGAUGCCAUGGUCAAGGCCAGGAGGUGAGCGGCCCGGGGUCCAGUAAGAGCCCCUGAGUCGCGAUGCUCAGGAGGUCCCCUUUGGCGCUCAAGCAGCUAUCGUUCGGUGAGAAAGGAAUGUGAUGUUGCUAACACGGGAUUGCAUUGGAUGCGGUGACGGUGCUGCGAUAGCUAGUGUUUCCGGAGAGUGACUUAUCUCGAGGGUCGGGUAACGCUUCCUGGUGCGGCGCUAGGUCCGUGCCUUGGCCGGCAAGGGGUUGCCUGGCGAGGUCUCCGCGUGCCUCUUUCCUCUCUUCUCUGCUCCCCUUUCUGCUCUACGUCCUCGGAUCCCGGCCCUCGAGUUGGUCUCAGCCGUCGCUGGUUUGCCAGGGCGCGAUGCCGUGGGCAAAGCCAAAGGGUGAGGGCUGGAGAGCUGGUAGGAGCCCUGAGUCGCGAUGCUCAGGCACCCCCCCUUUAAUGCGCAAGCGGUUCGCAUGGACGAGAGUGAAGAGGACGCCUUGAGGGCCUCGCCUGGCGCUUCUCCUUGGGGGGAUCCUGCAGACCCACCACAAAAAGGAGCAAAAGCCCGCUAUGACAAGCGGUGGUCAGCCGUUAGUUGCUUUGGAGAGGCGACGAGGCACUAAAGGCCUGACGAGGUGUAUUGGGGCACCCGUGAGCCAGCGCGGGACUCACGGGGCCCUACCCCAAGGCGGGCUGCACCUGGCACCGGGCCUUAUCCUGUGAUGUGUUCCUGCAAAUUUGGCCAGAUGCCGAUGCUCUACGUCCUCGGGUCCCGACCCUCGAGCUGGUCUCAGCCGUCGCUGGUUUGCCGGGGCGCGAUGCCGUGGGCAAAGCCAAAGGGUGAGGGCUAGAGAGCCGGUAAGAGCCCUGAGUCGCGAUGCUCGGGUACCCCCCCUUUAACGUGCAAGCUUGGUUAGAUGUAGACACUCUACAUCCUCGGGUCCCGGCCCUCGAGCUAGUCUCAAUCGUCGCUGGUUUGCCGGGGCGCGAUGCCGUGGGCAAAGCCAGAGGGUGAGGGCUGGAGAGCCGGUAGGAGCCCUGAGUCGUGAUGCUCAGGUACCCCCCCUUUAACGCGCAAGAUUGGUUAGAUGUCGACGCUCUACGUCCUCGGGUCCCGGCCCUCGAGCUGGUCUCAGCCGUCGCUGGUUUGCCGGGGCGUGAUGCCAUGGGCAAAGCCAGAGGGUGAGGGCUGGAGAGCCGGUAAGAGCCCUGAGUCGCGAUGCUCAGGCACCCCCCCUUUAACACGCAAGCUUCCGACAUCAAGGAAGAAGAGGUGCCACGGAUAGGCACCAAAUAACAAGCAUGAUGGGUCGAAUGCAUGGCCCGAAAAUAAACGCAAGAGGGGUACACGUCGCCGGGUCUGACCCGAGCGACUUGGGGAUGAUGCAGCCCGAGGGGCGCCCCCAACAAAGUAAGAUAAGAACACAAGCAAAAGGGAUACACGCCGCAGGGACGGACCCAUGCGGCCUGGGAUUGAUGCAGCCCUGAGGGCGCUCCCAGCUGGAAACGAAACUUGAAAGAUGUCACCUGAUAGUGUUGACGACGAAGGGGUGUUGAAGUAGCAGACGUAGCGGGCUGCGAGAGCCGAUCUUCAUGAGCCCCCAGGCCCAGGAGCCUCGGGAGGCUCCAGAGGCGCUGGUGGCUCUUCGCGAACCGUCUCCAUCUCCACCAGGACUGCAGAACGCCUGGCCUCCUGAGCCUCCAGGAUGCUCCUCAUGAGGUGCUGGUGCACCGCGGCCGUGUUCGGCAAGCCGUAGGGCAUGCAAACGUAGCCGUGGGGUGGGCCUCUGCAGCGCCCCACACGUGAGGGCCAGAAGUGCUCCUGAGAGGCGACUCGGUUGAGCCCUGGGAUGUCGAUGCAGACUCACAGCCCGCCAUCCUCACCUGGAUGGGGAGCUGUGGCGGGUAGGCGGCGGCUGCCACUCAUGACUCUUGACUCCUUCAACUCCUGUGUGAUCUGACUGACGAACUCCUGCGGGGUUGGCCCUCCUUGCUUUGCUCCUUCCUGAGGGAAACGUGUUCUGAAACACGCCUCCAAGCGGUGCCCAAGCGCCUCCCUCGUGACCUUAGCAAGGUCGAUGGCCCUCCAGGUGGGAGCCCCCGAGCCCUGCUUGAGGAGAGCGCUGGGCACGCCUCCCUAUGCGACAGAAGGAGGCACCCCCUGAGCAGGCGCAGACCCUGAGGGGCCUGCCUCCUGAGGGGUCGGGCCUGGCGAUGUCUUCUUCUUCUUGGGGGCGGUCUCAGGGAGCCUCCCACUCCCGCGAUCUGGGUCUUCAAGUGAUGCGGCCUGAAAAGCUCGUUCCAGGGAACACACCGCGUCUCUUUCUUCACAAGGCACCGUGAUGACUCCACCGCUUCCUGGCAUUUUGAGGACGUUGUAGCCGUGAUGAGUCACGGCCAUGAACUUGGCGAGAGCUGGGUAGCCAAGGAUGGCAUUGUACGGCAGGCGAAUGUGGGCAACGUCAAAGUCGAUGAGCUCGGUGCGGUAGUUGUUGCGUGCCCCGAAGGUGACAGGGAGGAGAACCUGCCCAAUUGGAACUGUGGAGCCGUCGGUGACUCCAGAGAAAGGCUUGGUUGGCUAAAGCUGAUCGUAAGGCACUUGGAGAUUGUUGAACGUCUCUACGGACAGGACGUUGAGCCCUGCCCCACCAUCGAUGAGGGUCCUGGUGGCUUGCACGUUGCUGAUGACUGGGGAGCAAAGCAUCGGGAGGACUCCGGCUGUGGCCGCGCACUUGAGCUGAUCCGCUGAGCAGAACGUGAUGGUGCAUGCUGACCACCUGAGGGGCGCGUGGCUUCAAGCUUAGGAAGGACUGCAUUCACUUCAUGGGCGAACUGCUUGAAGAUGCGUUGAGAGGCUGGGGCUUGAGCUCUGCCCAGGAUGCAGGCAAUCGCGCGCGGCUCCUGGAAGCCCCCAGCCCCCUCGUCCUGAUGAUGGUCCUCAUUUCUCCUUGGCUGUGGCGGCAGUGGAGGGAGGCCUGCGUUUCCUGGGCGAUCCUCGCGAGGCCGAUCCCUCCAGUCUCCCUCGCAAGGCUGAUCCUGCCAGCGAUCCUCGCGAGGUUGGUCGCGCCACCCUUGGCGAGGGCCGCGGUCUUCCCAGCGUCCUGUGUUCCUUCCUCCUCCUCGGCCAUAGCCGCGAUCAUUGCGGUCGGGGCGUCGGCCGACCCUUCCUUCUCGCACGGCUCGGAGCUCUUGGCAUUCGUUGGUGUUGUGGGUGUGGAGGUCGUGGUACACACAUUACCGGCUGCCCUUGAAAGACUCGUGUUGAUCUCUGCCCCGCUUGGUGUCUGGUUCCGCCGCGAGCACGGCAGCCCCCUUGCACUUCACGUCCUUGGCCUUGGAUUUCUUCUCUUCUGGGUCGGCGGCUGGCAGCUCGAGGAGGGAAAGGCACCCUUCCUCAGCCCUCGCGCACUUGGUUGCCAAGUUGAACAGCUCCAAGGAAGUGCACAGAUCUUCAUGCAUCGCCAGCUCCUCCUUCAUCUUGACGUCGCGCACGCCGUCGGAGAAGGCUGAGAUGAUGGCCUCCUCGGUCACCUUGGGAAUCUUGAGACAUGCGUUGUUGAAGCGCUGGAUGUACUUCUGCAGGGUCUCCCAUGGUUGCUGCUUGAUGCGGCGCAUGUCGCUCACGGUAGGUGGCCGGUCGCGAGUACCUUGGAUGUUGGUGAUGAAAUGGGUGCGCAUCUCGUCCCAGGAGGAGAUCGUGCCUGGCGCCAGGUUCAGGAGCCACGUGCGGGCCCCGUCCUUGAGUGCCAUGGGAAACCAGUUCGCCAUGACCUUCUCGUCCCCGUUGGCGGCUUCGAUGCCCAGCUCGUAGAGCUGGAGGAACUCCGCAGGGUCGAUCAUGCCGUCGUAGCGAGGAGGCAGGUCUGGCUUGAACUUGCAGGGCCACAAGACGCUGUGCAGCCCGACGGUGUAGGCGCGACAUCCUACCGUGGCCACGGGAGGCCUCUGGUGACGGGGAGCAUGGUCUUGCGGGUCCCCAUGCGCUGGAGCUGGGAGCAGCGCGCGCUGGGACAGGAGCGUGGUCGUGACGGACCGGUGCAGGGAGCACUCGGGCAGCUUCUUAGGGGCGAGGAACCUCUUGGCAGCUCCGCUCUUGCUGCACUGGCGCUGGACGGGGUGGGUUCCAUCCAGGGGCCACACGCCUUGGGGCCAGGGCGCCUUCUUGAGGAGGAGGCGGCUGAGGCGCCCCCAGAGCUUCAUUGCCCGCGCAGGGCGGGGUGCGGUGCAGCGAGAAGGACGGCGUGGGGGAGCCCCUGCGGCGCGGACGAGCUUAGUGACGCGGUCGAGCCACUCUUCAUAGACGUCGACUGGGCGGUAGCGCAGGAGCUCGUUUGCCGUGAUGAGCGCAGCUCGAGCCUCCAUGGCCGCGCGUGGCGCGCGGGACGAAGAACCAGCCGGGGCGAGCGAGGGAGUAGCAGUGAGGCCGUCUCGCCUCAUGGAUGGAUGCUGGGACGAUGCUUGCUGCUCGUUCCCCGCUGGGCCGGUGGCGGCGUUGACGGAAGGCGACGGGGAACGACGGGGGUGGCCGCCGACGGGGGCCGUCUGGGCGACGCAGGAAGCGAGAGCGGCUCGGCGCUCGGCGCGGGACUGACGAGCGUCUGACAUGGACGUGAUGGUCGGUGAAGAACAGGGCGGAAGAAGGCGAAUUCUGGCGCACCCCUAGCUGGCGCACCAAAUGUCGGAUUUCGGGUUCCGGCAGACCCUCUAGGUUCAAACUCUGGGGUGCAUGCGGAGAUUUCACCCUCUGCCUACCUGCACCUCACUGCCUCGCUAUGAACUAAGCAAUCAAGGAACAACACAAGAGACACAUAGUUUAUACUGGUUCAGGCCACCAUUGUGGUGUAAUACCCUACUCUAGUGUGUGGUGUGGUGGAUUGCCUCUUGGGAUGACGAUGAACAAUACAAGGGAGAACAGCCUCGCGAGGGUCUGUCCUUGGCUGGUGCGAUGAACUGCUAGGGGGAGUUCAGUCGCUCUCUCUACUGGUUUCCUAGUGAGGAUCCCAUCUCUAUCUGUUGAUGUUGUUGUCCGUUGUCUGUUGUUCGUUCUCCGUUUCUGUUGUUACUAGUCCUAUAUAUAGGCAAAGGCCCUGGGCCUCCUCCCAAAUAUUGAGCGGGAAGGGCGCCAACAAUUGGCCAUUUUGAAGGGGAACAUCUAGUACACUUAUCCUGACUAAAGUUGGUCCUCGCCUGCUAAAGGCUCUGGUGGUGACACCGGCUUGGGCUCCACGAUGACCUCCAUCCGGCCGUUCUGUUGGUCUUGGUCUUGUUGCACCGAAAUGGAUGCCUUUGCUUGAUGCUCUCACCUGCGCUUGCUCCCUUUGCACCAAAGAGGAAAGAAGGACACUGCGCGGGCUGGCGCCUGCCUGGCGCCCUUGGUCGUCAUGGCUUGCAUCAUGGACACCUCGUGAGGUACCCCGCCUUGAUCUCUCCGCCUCCUCGCGAGCCCGCCUGACGCGGCCGUGCCUGAGGAAGCCUCCUGUCAUCCGCCCCGCGAGGCUUGGCCCCUCGCGAGGGUCUUGAGCUCGUGUUGAUGAAGACGGGCCAUGCUGGGCUGCCCCUUGAGCCACGCCGCAGGCCGCAGGCAGGCAAGUCUGGGGACCCCCGUUCCUAGAACGCCGACAGUAUCCGGUAAGCAACUCCUUGCUAAUCAUAUCUCUGUAUGACUCCUAUCGGUCGGGAAGGUAUCUCAUACCCCGGCUCCCAACCUUCUUUGCCACAAGGCCCAAAACCGUUUUGAUAGCCUUGUGAAGUUAACCUGAUGUAGUGCAUGUCCAUGUCCGACAUGAACCCUUCAGUUGAAGGACACCUAGCAGCACCCCAAUUUUAUGAGCCUACUACUAGACGUACUUCACGUGCGAAGGUGCAACAUCGGGGAUGGCAUUUUGCUUGAUAUUCAUGAGGGAUCAUUCUACCAUUCUAACAUGCAUAGAAACAAAGAAGCAUAACAAUCACAAAUAAACACAUAUUGUGAAAUAGUAUGGCUCCUUCAUGGACGUUCUUCCAGGUCGGCUCCGACUCCGAUGACCAUCUAGAAACUCCAUCUUGUUUGUCCCGCCGGGACGCCAAGCCACCAACCUGAUCUCUAUUAUCCAACUACUACAACUAGUAAUGAAUUUUACAUAGAGUCACAAGUCGACACGCAGGUCGUUAUACAAUAUAAUGACAACACUUUGGCUCCUGCCGGCUGACAAACAUGACACGCAGGCCACGUAUAAAUUACACACAUGCAUCACAUACACAUGGGCCAUACUAUUCACAUCAAACCUACAAAACAAAGUUAUGCAUAGAAUUGCAUUCUACUGGUUUGUGUGUCAGGUACGAAAUACACGGCGCUACGCACACGGCGGUACAAGUGCACCGCCUCUAAUGGUAUCCGCGCGUGCAGGAGGAACACCAUGCGGUGGACUGCUAGGUCCAAUCACAUAGUCGGCGGCGAGUGGAGGUGGCUAUUCGCAACACAUGCAAACCCUAGUCGCAGUGCCGAAGUGAUCAAUCACAUGAGUGUGCUGCACCUCCACUUUAUAUAGGCGUCCGUCGCGGGCUCAACACUUGGGCCUCGCACGGACCCUAAAGCCCACAAGUCUACUCGGCCAUAAUCCGAAUACAGCUCGGACCACAUUCGACCAAUGUCCUCGGAUCCGACCUCGUAGGUUCCUUCCCUUAAGCGCGCAACCCUUUAGGUUCAAGUCGGCUUGGUCGCAGUUCGGGUCACCUCCGAACUGCACGGUUGGUAGCGGCCUCUAGCAAGGCAUGCCGAACACCAAGCAGACUGUGAAGCUGGUUAGGCGAACCUGUACAUCAUACUUUUGUUCCCUUUGCCACACGAUAUAUGUUGUCGGGCUCAAGGAGGGACUGUCAUCCUUGUGCUAGCCCGACCUCUUUCUCGUUCCAGUGAUACCGACCACUAUUUGGAUUAUCUCAUAAUCCUUAUCGCAUGGCCAUGCUUAUCCUGGUCGGAUCACACGAGGGGCCCAGGGUAUAUCUCUCCUGAUCGGAGGGGCAAAUCCCAUCUUGCUCGACCAUGUCUCACAGCAUGGGACUGGACAAACCCGAAACCUACCUUUGUAACUACCUAGUCACGGAGUAGCGUUUGGUCGGCCCAAAGCAAGUCUGUCACCAUCCCGAGCACAUGCGUCAGCUCAGGUCUUAGGACAUAGAACGUAUGUUGUACUAGAUACUCACAGAUGACAUAUCGCUGCGUCUCAUAGUUGGGUCUGUCCGACUCGGACCUUAUCUCAACUCGGAUCCGACUACGUCAAAUCCGACCAGACCUUUCCAAGUCCAUAUUAUCUGGUUAGAAUCCAAUGCUCCAUGGCUAGUGAGACAAAGCCAUCGACCGUGUCAUAUGCUAGUCUAGUCGGCUGCGCGUCCACACAACCCUUUCGACUAGGGACCUUUUAGGAUAGUCAUCAUACAAUGCAUAGUCUCACAAACAAGUCACGUACUUGCUGAUACACAUCAUUGAUAAUGUCCAAGGACUAUCUUUAUUCAUAAACACAUAGGAAAUAUCAUCAUACAUGAUUGCCUCUAGGGCAUAUCUCCAACACUCUUUUGUGCCCCUUAUUUGUGCACGGGCAAUCAGAGCCGCGCCCACGGCCGCACUUAAGUAGGGCAGAGACAGGAAAUCAGAGCCACAACACAGAAUCAAAGCAACGCCAUGAUAGAAGCACAAAGAGCCAGAAGGCGAAGUGGUUUCCCCCGCGGUAAGGUUCUUGCCAGGGCAGCCCCCACGGCCCCGGCAAGGCCCUUGCCGGGGCAGCCUACCUGACGCCAGCAGGGCAUGCCACCCUUGAGACCUGAUCCAUCCAGAGCCACCAUGCUGGCAUGCGGAUCUUUGUGAAGACAAGGAUAAUACUCCAAAUCAGAAGAGUAGAAGACGACGAACCUCGACGAGAUCUUCGCCGAGAAAACCCACAAGACCCCCGGCAAGAUCCUUGCUGGGGACGGCCGCAACACCAUGACGAGACCCUUGCCGGGGGCACCGGCAAGGCCCUUCCCGAGGACGUCCAUGAGACCACAGCCAGGCCCGCACCUGCCAAGCUUCUGCUACCACUCCCAUGUAGCUGCAAGCCCACUAGCUGGGCAGGCACCUGCGUGUCAGCACAAGGAUUCUUGGCCAAAUCAGUGCAUGCCUACGUGGUGGCAUGCAAAUCUUCGUGAAGGCCCUACCACCACGCCACCUCAGCAGCCUGCCAGCCUACAUGGCACCACCGCCUCGCUGGCCCAGGCGCGUGUCAAAGCAGGGUGAGGUGGCGGUAAAGUGGAGGGGACACAUCAGGGGCGCAUUAAAUGCACUUUGUCCCGUAAUGGCGAGGGAUAGGCUUAAUCACAGUGCCCCGAUGCCACCUCCUGUGUGCCACUGUGGCGAUCCCGUUGCCUAUAAAAGGAGGCCUGUGGCAUCCAGGAGAGGGAUUCAGACUUUUGAACAAGUUACGCCCAUUGUAGCUAGUUCAAGAACCUCAAGAACACAAAUACACACAUCCAAGCAGGACUAGGGUGUUACGCAUCUCUACGGCUCGAACCUGGGUAAACGAUCCGCGUACUUUACUGACUGCUGAUCCUGCUCUCCUCACCACCCAGCGCCCCGCAACCGAAGUCGGAAUCCUUCUGAUCCCAUAGGUGUCGUUUCCCACCGACAUCUUUGGCGCGCCUGGUCGGGGGCGCAGUAGUGAGCAUUCGGUUUAGCGGCUAGUAGCACAACUCUUCAUCGCCAUGGCUCCCGAGAACAAGACGACCAUAGCGAUCGGUUCAUCCGGGACCGGACUGCCUGUACCGGCAUUGACCAAUAGCGGGCCAGUCAUGGAGAGAACCCGUGGCGCAGCCCGCGAACAUCCCCAUCACCCUGGCAGUCCGGGCCUGGUGAGCGGUGUCGUUCGUGCGCUAGUCGAUGAGCCACACGUCGUGAACUCCAUAGAUGGAGUUGGGCCCCCCGCGGGCGGCGCGGGGCCCUCCAGGGGCGUCGUCGUGCCGCCAGACGGCGACGCGGCGACCUCCAAGACACCAACACCGGCGCCCACGGUGCGCUCUUCUCGGGUCGUGCUCGAUGAGCAGCCGCCCCGCUGGUGAUCCUGGGCGCCGCCCUGGGAAGAGUCCCGUGCGCUCUUCACGUGACGAGGAGGGCCAGCAUGCGCGCUGAGGUGUUGGCAGAGGUGGCGGACGGCCGCAGGGCCGUGAUGGAGCUCCUUCUAACGUAGUUAGAAGUCGAAGCGCAUCACGGUCCAUGCAGCUUUCGCCGCCGCCCACACCAGCAGAAGCCCUAGCGCGCGUAGCUGCUCCUCGACUUUCCUCCCGCUGCGGAGAAGCUCGACAAAUGGAGGGCCACUGUUCGGAGCCUCGUCGGCAUCACCAACAAAGAUGAGUUGUGACCGGCGGGGCCCGUAGGCCGUCGCUCCAUCGAGCCACCGCAUGCCAGCGGUGGACGGGCCGGAGGUGAUGCGGCCACGGUGCACUCCCCUCCUCCACACCAGCCACCGCAGGUGUCGGUCCAUCGCGAAGACGCUCAAGAUGAUAUUUCCAUAGCGUCGUCCAACCCACGAACCCACCGCGACCAGCGUCAAGUUCUUCAGGAGCGAGCUCAUGAAGACGCCCGAACCACCAUUGAGCGCCAACGUGAUGCACGCCACUAGUCGGACAGGCAGGCAGGGCCCACUAUGGACCACCCAACACCGGGAGGCUACGGCGGCCUACCUUAGGAGGUGGGUUGUUCGGCCUUCACCUGUGAGCUGCGGCAGUUCCAGUGGCCCUCCCACCGCACGUUCAAGCCCGACGUUGGCGAGAAGUACAACGACAAGACUCACCCGUCGGAGUUCCUCAGCAUCUACACCAUCGCGAUGCAAGUUGCCGGGGCUCGCGAUGAUAAGGUGCUUGCCAAUUACUUCCCGUUGGCACUCAAGUCCAAUGUUAUGUCAUGGUUGAUGCACUUGCCGAUGGACUCCAUUUCUUCUUGGUCGGAUCUGUGUCAUGAGUUUGUUGGCGCCUUUACUGGAGGCCACCAAGCUCAUGGCCAUGCGAGCGAUUUGCAUAUCAUCCCCCAGAAGGAAGGAGAAAACUUGUGUAAGUACAUCCAAAGGUUCAGCCGAGUGCAGUACAACAUCCCAGACAUUCAUCCUGCCGCCAUGAUCAGUGCAUUCCAUCAGAAUGUGCAUAACCGCAAGAUGCAUCAGGAGCUGGCAAUGAACAAGGUCAGGGUUGUGGCCGAACUUUAUGUUCUGGCUGAUCGGUACGCUCGAGCUGAAGAGGGGAGGAAGUACCCCGGUGAGGACGCCGGCGCGGAAACCGACUCCAUGGAUGACACCGCCACCCCGGCAAAGAAGGGCCGGCGCCGUAACAAGAAGCGCAGGGGCAAGACCGUGCUUGCCGUUGAGGGGUACGACGACACCGGCACCACCAAGAAGGCCAAUGCAAGCGACCUCGGCAAGGAGGUUGCCGGGUGCACCGCUUGCCGGGCCUUGGCGGCUGCCGACAAGCUAGGGGGCUCCGACAAGCAGUAUUGCAAGAUCCACAGCACCAAGGGACACGACCUCCAGAACUGCCGGCAAGUUGAGCUGCUCGCUGAGAAGCAAAAAGCUGAGUAUGAGCAGCGGGACAAGGAGAAGGGCCAAGAGGGUGCCGAAGGAUCCGGCAAGAAGCACGGCAGCCAAGGAGGCCGCUGCGGCAAAGAUAAUUAGCAGGAGAGGCCCGCCCGAGGCCGCGACAAGAAGCAGGAAGACGAUGAUCAUGACGAUGACGAUGAGUCCGGCGACCACGAGUUCUAGAAAGCUACAGAGGCCAUGUGCAUCGACGGUGGCGCCUCGCUGCAUGUAUCCCACCGCCAGCUCAAGCAGUGGGCGUGUGAGAUCAUGGCGGUGGAGCCGUCACUCGAUUCACGGAAGCCAUUGAAGUGGUCCAGCACGCCUAUCAUCUUCGACACCGAGGACCACCCUGACCGCGCCACUGCGUUCGGGUGCUUGCCGUUGUUGGUCUCACCAACAAUCUGCAACCUCAAGGUGAUGAAGAUGCUAGUUGACGGCGGGGCCGGUCUGAACUUGAUCUCACUUGUUGUGAUCAAGAGGCUGAAGAUCGCUGAUGGGGACCUCGAGGAGACGGGCACGUUCCAAGGGGUCAUUCCAGGGAGGAGCCAGCCGAAGGGAAAGGUCAUGCUGCCCGUGACAUUUGGAGUUGAGUUGAACUACAUGAUUGGAGAGGAUUGUCUUUGAUGUAGCCAAGAUCCCCUUGCCUUACAACGGGGUCCUCGGCCGCCCGGCACUAGCCAAAUUCAUGGCGGCUUCUCACUACGCCUACAACACGCUGAAGAUGCCCGGGCUGAUGAACAUCAUCACCGUCCCCUCCGACAAGAAAGACACAUUGAUUUGCGCCGACCAACUCUACCGGGAAGCGGUUGCAGCAGCUGCCGCAGCUGCCGCCAAGGCACCUGCUCCCGCCGACGGAGUCCCGGGAGGAAAGAAGACCGACGAGACUCCUCGCACCCACUCCAGCAAGCACACCUCCUCGGGGUGUAGCGCUCCCGUCAGAACGUGCUAGAGAGCUCCACCGGCAAGAGCAAGAAGUCCAGAGCUGCACCACCAGAGACCAAGAAGGUGUCCGUCAAGGAGGACAGCACGGGAGGGGCUUUUACCAUAAGCUCCACCCUCGAUGGCAAAUAGGAAAGCGAGCUCGUCACUUUCUUGCGGGCGAAUGUUGAUGUGUUUGCAUGGCAAGCAUCCGACAUCCUCGGCGUUCCCAGGGAAGUGAUUGAGCACCAUCUUGCUGUCUGUCCUCAUGCAUGGCUUGUCAAGUAGAAGGCCAGGAAGCAAGCUCUGGAGAGGCAGGAGUUCAUCACGGAGGACAUCAGAAAACUAGAGGCAGCAGGCUUGGUAAGGGGGGCGCUCCACCCGACAUGGUUGGCCAACCCGGUAGUGGUGCGCAAGGCAAACGGGAAGUGGAGACUGUGUAUUGAUUACACAGACAUCAAUAAAGCUUGUCCAAAGGAUCCCUUCCCGUUACCAUGCAUCGACCAGAUUGUUGACUCCACGGCCGGGUGUGACCUGCUAUCAUUCCUCGACGCCUACUCAGGGUAGCAUCAGAUCUUCAUGACAAGAGAAGACGAGGAGAAGACGACAUUCAUCACCCCAUGUGGUACGUAUUGCUUUUUACGAAUGCCUUUCGGGUUGAAGAGUGCUGGCUCGACCUUUGCAAGAGCAGUCCAAAUUGGUUUUGAGCCCCAGCUACAUAGAAUUAUGGAAGCUUAUAUGGAUGACAUAGUGGUCAAAACCAAGGACAAAGCAACACUUGUGCAAGAUCUGGAGGAAACAUUUGCAAACCUGCACAAGAUCAACCUCAAGUUGAACCCUGAGAAGUGUGUCUUCGAUGUCCCGUCCGGCAAGCUUCUCGGGUUCUUUGUGUCACAGCACGGGAUUGAGGCAAACCCAGACAAGAUCAAAGCCAUCGAGCAAAUUGAGGCACCUAGGCGGAUCAAAGACGUGCGUCGGCUCACUGGUUGCGUUGCCGCCAUGAGCAGAUUCAUCUCCAAGUCCACAGAGCGUGCCCUUCCCUUUUUCAAGAUCUUGAAGAAGGCGGGCCUGAUGUAGUGGACCCCAGAGGCUGAGGCAACGCUGCAGAGUUUGAAGAAAUACCUCUCCUCUCCCCCAGUGCUGGUAGCACCUAAACCACAAGAACCGUUGCUGCUGUACCUAGCGGCAACGAAUCAGGUGGUUAGCGCCGCACUGGUGGCACAGAGAGAGGUCGACGAAGAGGCAAUAGCAACGACAGAAUCAACGGAUGGCGAGCCAGAACCCUCCCCGGCAGGGCUCGGUCCCGGCAAGACUGAGUCCCCGGCAAAGGCUGACACCAGUGCAACCGGGCCCGCGCGACUAGGUGAAGUGGUGCAAAAGAAGAAAAUGGUGCAACACCCACUUUACUUCGUCAGCUCCCUCUUGCAGGGGGCUAGGUCGAGGUACUCGGGGGUGAAAAAAUUGCUCUUCGGCCUCCUUAUGGCCUCGAGGAAGCUGCGUCAUUACUUACAACCGCAUGAGAUCACCGUUGUCACCCGCCUCCCAUUGCAACGGAUACUUCAUAACCCAGAUGCAGCGGGGAGGAUUGUGGAAUGGGCCCUGGAGCUGUCAAGUUUUGGUUUAAAGUUCGAGAGCACCUCGACGAUUCAGAGCAGAGUCUUGGCGGAGUUCGUUGUAGAAUGGACCUUGACGCCCGACGAAGAGGUACACGAGACCACUCUCCCGGGCAAGGAAACGAGCUGCAACUGGAUCAUGUACUUUGAUGGGGCUUUUUCACUGCAAAGCACCAGUGCUGGCGUGCUCCUUGUCGCACCCACCGGGGAGCACCUCAAGUAUGUCAUCCAAAUGCACUUUCCCGGGAGAUGUCAACUAACAACACCGCCGAGUACGAGGGCUUGCUUGCCGGUCUCAGGAUCGCAGCAGAUCUCGGAGUUAAAAAGCUCAUCGUUAGGGGUGAUUCACAGCUCGUCGUCAUGCAAAUCAACAAGGAUUAUUAGAGCUCGCUGAUGGAAGCUUACGUCGAUGAAGUGAGGAAACUGGAGGAGCGUUUUUACGGGAUACAUGCGGAGCAUGUCCCCCGAGUGGAGAAUGACGUCGCCGACUAUCUGUCAAAGCGUGCUGCCCUCAAGCUACCUGUGGAACCAGGUACUUUUGUGCUUCGAUUAACUCAACCAUCCGUCGAACCAUCGACCGGGUAGAACAAGCAGAGGAAGCUAGGCCCCGGCAAGUACUUCCCUGUCGAGCUCCGUGGAGCCGCCGGCGAAGGAGUUUCCAUGGACGCCGAGCCUGCCAUGGGACAACCGACUCCAGCGGGGUGCCAGGCCCUUGCCGCGGAGGCAACCAUUCCCAUGACAGAGGAAAUGCCUUUGGUCCUCGCUGUCGAGCCACAGGCUCCGGCAUGGGCGCAGCACACCAUCCGAUUCCUCCAAAUAAGAGAGCUUCGUGAGGAGCAGGAAGAGGCAGAGAGGUUAGCCCGCCCGUCUGGUUUGUACCAAUUCGUUGACAAUGUCUUAUACAGAAAAAGACUGAAUGGGGUGAAAUUGAAGUGCAUCUCCCGGGAGGAAGGACUGGAGCUGUUGGCAGAGAUACAUGGAGGCAUAUGUGGCUCCCACAUAGGGUCGAGGGCCCUUGCUGGCAAGGUUUUUCGGCAAGGUUUCUUCUGGCCCACAGCCCUCCAGGAUGCGACGACACUAGUAACCAAGUGUGAAGCGUGCCAGUUCCAUUCGAAGAAACUUCAUCAGCCAGCUCAAGCCUUGUAGACAAUCCCUCUCUCCUGGCCAUUCUCGGUCUGGGGGCUGGACAUACUAGGCCCUUUAACCCGCGUCGUCGGGGGAUUUGAGUACUUGUACGUUGCAAUCGACAAGUUCACAAAGUGGCCUGAGGUGGAAGCAGUGAGAAAGGUGACAACGCAAUCAUCCAUCAAGUUCUUGAAGGGGCUAGUUUGCCGCUUUGGUAUACCCAACAGGAUCAUCACUGACAACGGCACACAGUUCACAAGCCACGCUGAUGUCUACUACACAACCUUCUUCUUGUAGACGUUGUUGGGCCUCCAAGUGCAGAGGUUUGUAGGACAGUAGCAAAUUUCCCUCAAGUGGAUGACCUAAGGCUUAUCAAUCCGUAGGAGGCAUAGGAUGAAGAUGGUCUCUCUCAAGCAACCCUGCAACCAAAUAACAAAGAGUCUCUUGUGUCCCCAACACACCCAAUACAAUGGCAAAUUGUAUAGGUGCACUAGUUCGGCGAAGAGAUGGUGAUACAAGUGCAAUAUGGAUGGUAGAUAUAGGUUUUUGUAAUCUGAAAAUAUAAAAACAGCAAGGUAACUAAUGAUAAAAGUGAGCGUAAACGGUAUUGCAAUGGUAGGAAACAAGGCCUAGGGUUCAUACUUUCACUAGUGCAAGUUCUCUCAACAAUAAUAACAUACUUGGAUCAUAUAACUAUCCCUCAACAUGCAACAAAGAGUCACUCCAAAGCCACUAAUAGCGGAGAACAAACGAAGAGAUUAUGGUAGGGUACGAAACCACCUCAAAGUUAUCCUUUCUGUUCUAUCUAUUCAAGAGUCCGUAGUAAAAUAACAUGAAGCUAUUCUUUUCGUUCAAUCUAUCAUAGAGUUCAUACUAGAAUAACACCUUAAGACACAAAUCAACAAAAACCCUAAUGUCACCUAGAUACUCCAUUGUCACCUCAAGUAUCCGUGGGCAUGAUUAUACGAUAUGCAUCACACAAUCUCAGAUUCAUCUAUUCAACCAACACAAAGUACUUCAAAGAGUGCCCCAAAGUUUCUACCGGAGAGUCAAGACGAAAACAUGUGCCAACCCCUAUGCAUAGGUUCAUGGGCGGAACCCGCAAGUUGAUCACCAAAACAUACAUCAAGUGGAUCACGUGAUAUCCCAUUAUCACCAUAGAUAAGCAUGGCAAGACAUACAUCAAGUGUUCUCAAAUCCUUAAAGACUCAAUCCGAUAAGACAACUUCAAAGGGAAAAAUCAAUUCAUCACAAGAGAGUAGAGGGGGAGAAACACCAUAAGAUCCAACUAUAAUAGCAAAGCUCGCGAUACAUCAACAUCGUGCCAUAGAGAGAACACGUCAGAGAGAAAGAGAGAGAGAUCAAACACAUAGCUACUGGUACAUACCCUCAGCCCCGAGGGUGAACUACUCCCUCCUCGUCAUGGAGAGCGCUGGGAUGAUGAAGAUGGCCACCGAUGAGGGAUCCCCCCUCUGGCAGGGUGCCGGAACGGGCUCCCGAGAGGUUUUUGGUGGCUACAGAGGCUUGCGGCGGCGAAACUCCUGAUCUAUCUUGUUAUUCAUUGUUUUUAAGGUAUAUGGGAUUAUAUAGGAGAAAGAAGUCGGUCGGGGGAGCCACGAGGGGCCCACGAGACAGGGGGAGUGCCCAGGGGGGUGGGCGCGCCCUCUUAUCUCCUGGCCUCCUCGAAGCUUCCCUGGCUUGUACUCCAAGUCUCCCGGAUCAUGUUCAUUCCAAAAAACACGCUCCCAAAGGUUUCAUUCUGUUUGUACUCCGUUUGAUAUUCUUUUUUCUUCGAAAUACUGAAACAUGCAAUAAAACAACAAUAUGGGCUGGGCCUCCGGUUAAUAGGUUAGUCCCAAAAGUAAUAUAAAAAUGUAUAAUAAAGCCCAUAAACAUUCAAAGCAGAUAAUAAUAUAGCAUGAAUGCUUCAUAAAUUAUAGAUACGUCGGAGACGUAUCAACAUCCCCAAGCUUAAUUCCUACUCGUCCUCGAGUAGGUAAAUGAUAAAAGAAAGAAUUUAUGAAGUGUGAAUGCUAGCAGGUGCACAAGUUUGUUCAAUGAUAAUUUCAAUCACCUUUUCUAGCAUGAUUAUAUGUCAUAACAGUGGUUCAUCUCAUAAAACUUCUCACGAACAAGCAACAAGCAAUUCACAUGUUAAAGCAUAGACCAUAAACUUUCUUGAAAACUAGCAAACUUCAUUCUCAGUCAUCAAACAAUUACGAUUCAUCUUAUUUUCAGGAAGGGUCUAUGUCAGAGCUUUGAUUUAGCAAACUCCACAUACUCAACUAUCAUAUAGUCUUCUACAAUUGCUAACACUCACGCAAUACUAAUGGUUAUGGAGUUUUAAUCGGACACUGAGAAAGAUAGGGGCUUAUAGUGUUGCCUCCCAACGUAUUCACCUUUGGGUGAUGUCAACAAUAAUAGUUCAUGCUAACUUACAUCCAAUUGGAUAUAUAUAUCAGGAUCUUCCCAACACGAGGUGCUUGCCAAAGGAUAAAAUGAAAAAGGGAAAGGUGAAGAUCACCUUGACUCUUGCAUAAAGUAAAAGACAUAAAGUAAAAUAUAUGCCCUUCACAGAGGGAAGCAGAGGUUGUCAUGCGCUUAUGGUUGGAUGCACAAAAUCUUAAUGCAAAAGAACGUCACUUUAUAUUGCCACUUGUAUAUGGACCUUUAUUAUGCAGUCCGUCGCUUUUAUUGCUUCCAUAACAAGAUUGUAUAUAGCUUAUUUUCUUCACACUAAUAGAUCAUACAUAUUUAGAGAGCAAUUUUUAUUGCUUGCACCGAUGAAAACUUACUUGAAGGAUCUUACUCAAUCCAUAGGUAGGUAUGGUGGACUCCCAUGGCAAAACUGGGUUUAAGGAUGUCACAGCCCUAGAAUAAUGUUUGUAAUUAGUGGCAUUGCAUCCAUGCAUCAUGUCUAAAUUCUGAAAGUUGAACUGAGGAAAUUUGAAAGCCUCAAAAAUUCAAUUAAAAGAAGGGCAAAUAACCCUGGAAAAUGCAUCCAAUGUUUCCAGAAUGCACUUCAAUGAUGUUUGAUAUUUUUUUACAAGGGUUCUGACCCAAACCAAAAAUAUGGAACAUUUUUUAGGAAUUAUUUUGGCCAUUUGGAUUUAAAUCAAUAAGUAUUUGAGUUGGAUUUAAUUCUCCAAUAAAAGAAUUAUAAGUCCAACAAUUCUGAAAAAUUGUGAGUGACUUUGAAUACUUUGUAUCAAGCCACAUAAAUCUUUUCAGAAGCUACUAAAAUGAUUUGAUUUUUAAAUUGAAUAAAAACAAACUUCAGGAAAUAGAAAACAAAAAGAAAUAUGAAAAAUCAGAAAGGAGAAGGGAGAAGCUACCUGGGCCUUACCUGGCAGCCCAGCAAUCGGCCCAGCCGACUGGCUCUGCCAGUCAUCCCCUUCCUCCCGCCAGUGUGCACUGUGCGUGGCGCACGCAGAGGAGGCGAGGGCCACCUCCUGCUUCGCGCUGGAGGCUUGUCCUCCUUCCUGACCCCACUUCUGGAGAUGCCUAGAGCCCCCUGGACCCCCUCGCUCUCUUCCUCUCCCUCGUUCCCCUCCUCUGUCUCGUUCUCUCACACACACCCGAACACGUCGUCGCCACGGCUCGCUGUUGCUGCGUCCACCGGCCACCCCUUGCGCUAAAAGCCAUCCCAGAAGCUCCGCCUCACCGCGCUUCUUUGCCUCAUCGACUGAAGGGACCCCGGGAGGUCGACAGCAUCGCCAGGAUUGCCAUCUUUGCCGCCUACUGCCGCACCUCGCCGUCGUCGAUUCACGGGCUCCAGUGCAUCCCCGAGCCAACUGACCUACCCAACCGACCCGCGGUGAGCCCCUGAGCGUCUCCCCUCUCCCCUUUUGCUCGCUUCCAUGCCGUAGCGCCGUUCCUCGCCGUGACCGAAGCCGCCCUCCGCCGUGGCCGUUGUUCCUGUAGCGACCGUGCUUCUCCGCUCGGAUCCGUGCACCCCGCAGGCUCCUGGAGCAACCAGGAGGCCAAUGCCACCCCUAGCCGGCUUCCUUGCGAGCUGCGGCCCCGCAGCCGCACACCUCCAAGCUCCGGCCGCCGCCCGGCUCGUUGCCUCCGCCAUUAUAGGCUGCCCCAGUGCACCACGCGGCCACCACCGCUUGCGCCACACCGCCAGCUCUCCGUAGCUGCAAACCGCGCACGAAAUGGCGCUCUACAGCGCCGUCCCGAGCAAUGCCGGCGAGCCACCGCCGCGGGAUUUGGUCGUCGAUGGCUAACCGCCGUUUUGGAUGACGUGGCACUUAGUUAGGAGCUAAUCACCCGGUUAACUAAUCCAGUGACACUGACAGUGGGCCCAGCCCGGCUAAAUAUCUUGUUAGAUUUUUAACUAAUUGUAAUUAGUCACUGUGACACUGACAUGCGGGUCCCACGGCCAGGUUUGACCGCUGUUGACUUGAUGACAUCACCCUGACGCAAUGCUGACGCAAUAAAUCAUUUACUGGAUUUAUUCUUAUUCAGGAAAUUCCAGAAAAUGCUUCAAACUUCAACAAUUCAUAGAAAAUUACCUACAACUCCAAAUGAAAUAAGUUAUAUAUGAACAAUGAUCAGAAAAAUCCAAUCUAUCCAUAUGUACUAGUUUCAUGCAUGUUUAACAAGCUAACUUGCUGUUUAGUGCAAAACAUGAUAAAGCACUAUUUAAGAUCACAAGUGAGUUUGAACUUUGAAUCUUUGGUUCAAAAUAGCUCAAACCCAUUUGGUUGUAGUUGCCUUAGCCGAACACACUCAUUUUACCAUGUCAUGAUCAUGCAUCAUAUUGUUGCAUUGCAUUGAUUGUGUUUUCUCUCUGUUGCCAGUAAAUGUCCCCCUAGUAGACGUGGUUCCGACGAUGAGAUCGAUGACACCGAUGAAGAGCUAUAUUAUCUUCAGAAGUGCCAGACAAGCAAAACCCCCUUGUUCAUUUCGAUACAAUCCCACUCUCUUGCUCCUGCCCUAUUUUACUGCAUUAGGACAACAACGAUACAACUGUUACUUGCUGCGGUAGUUGAACCCCUUUAUCCUCUGCAUGACCUGUCAUUGCCACAGUAAAUAGAUGAAACCCACUAGCAUGAGUAGGAGUUGUUUGAGCCCUGAUGUGCCUACUCAUUCAUGCUUGUUGUCAUGCCUGCUACUGCUUAGAGUUGAGUCAGGUCUGAUUCAUCGGGGAUGAAUUGGAAUGUGGUGUACAUGUCCUACUGUGUGUGGUCUAAGAGUGUGAACAUGAUUUGGUAAAGGUAGCGGUGAGAGGCCAUGUAGGAGUACAUGGUGGGUUGUCUCAUUGCAGCCGUCCUCAGGAACUGAGUUCUGUGUUUGUGAUCCAUGAACAGCUACUACCACACAUUGGGAUCCUUAAUUGACUCUCUCGACUUAUUAACCAACUUGAUCUCUGUCCAGGAGUUGCAACUAGUUUCUGGUGUUUGUAGGUAGUGUUAGUAGUCUACCAAGUGGCACCCGGUACAGGUGGGCUUGGGACAGACUAGGCACAGUGGCCCGGUGUACCAAGUGGCACCCGGAUGGUGGGCUUGGGAACCCUGCACACAUCAUUUGGGGCCGUGAGCGACACCCCUGCCGGAUCUCCUUGCGGAUGGAACCCGAAUAGGCGAUAAACCUGGAUGAGAGACUUGUGUGGUUAGUCAGGUCGUGGCCGACUCCCUCGCCAGGCUUCCGCUUGAAGGUUGCCGAGAUACACGAGGUGUACAUGGCGGUAAGUGGCGAGAGCGUGUGUGAAGAAGUACACCCCUACAGGGUUAAUAUGAUCUAUUCGAAUAGCCGUGUCCGCGGAAAAGGACUUCUGGGUUACCUGUACAGUUCAUAGACAAGUGAAAGUGGAUACUCUAAAAUACGCAAGAUAAGCGUGAGUGCUAUGGAUGGCAUUCUUGUAGGGAGACGGGAGCGGAUCCAUAGUGGUGUAUUGAUAUGGUGAAUAUGUGGACUCGUGUGCGCCACCUCAAAGAGUUACAUUGCAGUCGUAGUUCAGGAUAGCCACCGAGUCAAAGCUGGCUUGCUGUAGUUAAACCCCACCAUCCCCUUUGUUGAUAAUGAUGCAUAUGUAGUUAGUUCUGAUGUAAGUCUUGCUGGGUACAUUUGUACUCAUGUUUGCCUAUUUUAUGUUUUGCAGAGACUUCCGUCUCACUAGUAGUUCCGCAUGGACUUCGACGUUUAGCUUGUUACCUUAGCUACGAUCUUGUGCCCUCGGCAGGAUCUGGUAGUUAGUCAGGUUUCUUAGCCUUUUUCAUUUGUAGUUGUCUGUACUCAGACAUGUUAAGCUUCCGCAUGUGCUUUGACUUGUAUGCUCUGAAUGUUGGGUCGUGAGACCCAUGUUUGUAAUAUCUCGCUCCUCGGAGCCUAUUGAAUAAAAUACUUGAGUUGUAGAGUCAUGUUGUGAUGCCAUGUUGUAUUUGCACAUAUCGAGCAUAUUGUGUGUAUGUUAUUGAAAUGCUUGGUAUGUGUGGGAUCUGACUAUCUUGUUGUUUAUCCUUAGUAGCCUCUCUUAUUGGGAAAUGUCUCCUAGUGCUUCCACUGAGCCAUGGUAGUUUGCUACUGCUCCGGAACACUUAGGCUGGCCGGCAUGUGUCCUUCUUCGUUCAUGUGUCUGUCCCUUCCGGGAAAUGUCACGCGAUGAAUACCGGAGUCCUGUUAGCCCGCUACAGCCCGGUUCACCGGAGUCCUGCUAGCCCAGUGCUACAACCUAGAUUCACUCGCUGAUGACCGACACGUUCGAUGCUGGGUCAUGGAUGCCUGUCCCUGUAAGUUUGUGCCACUUUGGGUUUACGACUAGCCAUGUCAGCCCAGGCUCCUUAUCAUAUGGAUGCUAGCGACACUAUCAUAUACGUGUGCCAAAGGGUGCAAACGGUCCCGGGCAAAGGUAAGGCGACACCCGUGGGGAUACCGUGCGUGAGGCCGCAAAGUGAUAUGAGGUGUUACAUGCUAGAUCGAUGUGGCAUUGAGUCGGGGUCCUGACAAAGGAUAUUUGGAAGCACAAGUAGUAUCUCUACUUGGUGCAAGGAUUUUGGCUAGCAUGAGGGGGAAAGGCAAGCUCAACAUGUUUGAAUGAUCCAUGACAAUAUACUUUAACUGAGAUGUGAGAAAACAUAACCCAUUACAUUGUCUUCCUUGUCCAACAUCAACUCUUUAACUUAUCAUACUUAAUGAGUGCUCAUAUUAUAAAAGAUGUCUAAGAUAGUAUAUUUAUAUGUGAAAUCUCUCUUCCUUCAAUAUUCUUUCAUGAAUUGUUCACAUGACCAAUACAAUGCUUGCUAACCUUCAAUAAAUUUACAACCUCUACUUUUUAGAUGUGAAGUCAUUACUCCCCAUGGGAUAAGCAAAUGAGACAUAUAUAAUUUUAGAUUUAUGACAUUCAACUCAAUCAACCAUUUACUCAAAGGAUAUAAGUGAAGCACACGAGUAAAUGACAAACUACUCCAAAAAGAUAUAAGUGAAGAUCAAUGAGUAGCUAAAUAAUUAUGUAACUAUGCAAAAACUCUCUCUCCUUUAAGAAUUUCAGAUCUUGGUAUUUUAUUCAAACAGAAAGCAAAACAAAAUAAAAUGACAUUGCAAGGAUAGCACAACUCAUGUGAAGAAGCAAAAACUUAGGUUCGGCCAAUACUAACCGAUAAUGGUUGAAGAAGAAAGGUGGGAUGCCUACCGGGGCAUCCCCAAGCUUAGAUGCUUGAGACUUCUUGAAAUAUUAUCUUGGGGUGUCUUGGGCAUCCCCAAUCUUGAACUUUUGUGUCUCCUUAAUUCCUCUCAUAUCAUGGUUUCUCUUUUUAUCAAAAGCUUCAUCCACACCAAACUCAACAAGAACUCGUGAGAUAGGUUAGUAUAAACCAAUGCAAAACCUUAUCAUUUUCUACUGUAACAAAUCACUAAAAUUAUUAUUCAACAUUGCAUAGUAAAUUCCUCUGCAUAUUUAAUACUCCUAUCCUCAAAUAGAAUCAUUAAACAGGCAAACAUAUGCAAACAAUACAAACAUAACAGCAAUCUGCCAAAACAGCAUAGUCUGUAAAGAAUGCAUGAUUCAUCAUACUUCCCUAACUCCAAAAAUUAUGAGAAAAAUACUACACUGUAGAAGAUUUAUCAGAUCUCAAUACGCAAAAAGUUUCAACAUUAUAUCAUUCUCUGACUUUUCUAGGGAAUUUUUGCAACAGCGGUAAACUUUCUGUUUUCAAACAACAACAUGUAUACUAGCAAAAUAAGCAUGGUAAAGGCUAUCCUUAACAUUUUUAUUGAAAAUAAAGAUGCAAAACAUUAUUCUAAAUAACAGCAAGCAAAUACUAACAAAAGAUAAUGACGCUCCAAGCAAAACACAUAUCAUGUGGUGAAUAAAAAUAUAGCUCCAAGUAAAUUUACCGAUAGACGAAGACGAAAGAGGGGAUGCCAUCCGGGGCCUCCCCAAGCUUAGGCUCUUGGUUGUCCUUGGAUAUUACUUUGGGGUGCCUUGGGCAUCCCCAAGCUUAGGUUCUUGCCACUCCUUAUUCCAUAGUCCAUCGAAUCUUCACCCAAAACUUGAAAACUCUACAACACAAAACUCAACAGAAAACUUGUAAGCUCCGUUACUAUAAGAAAAUAAAACCACCACUUAGGUACUGUUGUGAACUCAUUAUAAAUUCAUAUUGGUGUAAUAUCUACUGUAUUCCAACUUCUCUAUGGUUCAUACCCUCCGAUUCUACUCAUAGAUUCAUCAAAAUAAGCAAACAACACAUAGAAAACAGAAUCUGUCAAAAACAGAACAGUCUGUAGUAAUAUGUAUCAAACGUAUACUUCUGGAGCUCCAAAAUCCCUACCAAAUUAUGAAGACCUGGUCAAUUUAUGUACCAAUCCAUAGCCAAAAGAAUAAGAUCAAAAGCACGUUUCUGUGAAUUAUCAGAACUAAUUUACUGUGUGCAAAAGUUUCUGAUUUUCAGCAGGAUCAACACAACUAUCACCGUAAGCUAUCUUAAAGGUCUUACUUGGCACUUUAUUGAAACAAAAGAUAUAAAACAUGAUUACUACAGUAGCAUAAUCAUGUGGACACACAAAAAUAGUAGGGGUAAAUAUUGAGUUGUCUCCCAACAAGCGCUUUUCUUUAAUGCCUUUCUAGCUAGGCAUGAUGAUGACAAUGAUGCUCACAUAAAAGAUAAAAAUUGAAGCGUAACGGGAGCACCAUGAAGCAUAUGACUAGCACAUUUAAGUCUAACCCACUUCCUAUGCAUAGGUAUUUUGUGAGCAAACAAUUAUGGGAACAAUAAUCAACUAGCAUAGGAAGGCAAAACAAGCAUAACUUCAAGAUUUUAAGCAUAUAGAGAGGAAACUUGAUACUAAUGCAAUUCCUACAAGCAUAUGUUCCUCCCUCAUAAUAAUUUUCAGUAGCAUCAUGAAUGAAUUCAACAAUAUAACCAACACAUAAAGCAUUCUUUUCAUGACCUACUUGCAUAGAAAUUUUAUUACUCUCCACAUAAGCAAAUUUCUUCUCAUGAACUGUAGUGGGAGCAAACUCAACAAAAUAAUUAUCAUGUGAGGCAUAAUCCAAUUGAAAACUAAAAUCAUGAUGACAAGUUUCAUGGUUAUCAUUAUUCUUAAUAUCAUACAAGUCAUCAUAAUAAUCAUCAUAGGUAGCAACUUUGUUAUCAUAAUCAAUUGGAACCUCUUCUGAAAUAGUGGAUUCAUCACUAAAUAAAGUCAUGACCUCUCCAAAUCCACUUUCAUAUUCAUCACAAUAAGAUUCAACAUCCUCAAAAAUAGUGGGAUCAUUACUUCCUAAAGUUGACACUCUUCCAAACCCACUUUCAUCAAUAUAAUCAUCAUAAAUAGGAGGCAUGCUUUUAUCAUAAUAAAUUUGCUCAUCAAAACUUGGGGGACUAAACAUAUCAUCUUCAUCAAACAUAGCAUUCCCAAGCUUGUGGCUUUGCAUAUCAUUAGCAUCAUGGAUAUUCAAGGAAUUAAAACUAACAACAUUGCAAUCAUGCUCAUCAUUCAAAGAUUUAGUAUCAAACAUUCUAUAGAUUUCUUCUUCUAGUACUUGAGCACAAUUUUCCUUUUCAUCAUACUCACGAAAGAUAUUAAAAAGAUGAAGCGUAAUAGGCAACCUCAAUUCCAUUUUUUGUAGUUUUCUUUUAUAGACUAAACUAGUGAUAAAACAAGAAACAAAAAGAUUCGAUUGCAAGAUCUAAAGAUAUACCUUCAAGCACUCACCUCCCCGGCAACGGCACCAGAAAAGAGCUUGAUGUCUACUACACAACCUUCUUCUUGUAGACAUUGUUGGGCCUCCAAGUGCAGAGGUUUGUAGGACAGUAGCAAAUUUCCCUCAAGUGGAUGACCUAAGGUUUAUCAAUUCGUAGGAGGCGUAGGAUGAAGAUGGUCUCUCUUAAGCAACCCUGCAACCAAAUAACAAAGAGUCUCUUGUGUCCCCAACACACCCAAUACAAUGGCAAAUUGUAUAGGUGCACUAGUUCGGCGAAGAGAUGGUGAUACAAGUGCAAUAUGGAUGGUAGAUAUAGGUUUUUGUAAUCUGAAAAUAUAAAAACAGCAAGGUAACUAAUGAUAAAAGUGAGCAUAAACGGUAUUGCAAUGGUAGGAAACAAGGCAUAGGGUUCAUACUUUCACUACCUCAACAUGCAACAAAGAGUCACUCCAAAGCCACUAAUAGCGGAGAACAAACGAAGAGAUUAUGGUAGGGUACGAAACCACCUCAAAGUUAUCCUUUCUGUUCUAUCUAUUCAAGAGUUCGUAGUAAAAUAACAUGAAGCUAUUCUUUCCGUUCAAUCUAUCAUAGAGUUCAUACUAGAAUAACACCUUAAGACACGAAUCAACCAAAACCCUAAUGUCACCUAGAUACUCCAUUGUCACCUCAAGUAUUCGUGGGCAUGAUUAUACGAUAUGCAUCACACAAUCUCAGAUUCAUCUAUUCAACCAACACAAAGUACUUCAAAGAGUGCCCCAAAGUUUCUACCGGAGAGUCAAGAUGAAAACAUGUGCCAACCCCUAUGCAUAGGUUCAUGGGCGAAACCCGCAAGUUGAUCACCAAAACAUACAUGGAUCACGUGAUAUCCCAUUGUCACCACAGAUAAGCAUGGCAAGACAUACAUCAAGUGUUCUCAAAUCCUUAAAGACUCAAUCCGAUAAGACAACUUCAAAGGGAAAACUCAAUUCAUCACAAGAGAGUAGAGGGGGAGAAACAUCAUAAGAUCCAACUAUUAUAGCAAAGCUCGCGAUACAUCAAGAUCGUGCCAUAGAGAGAACACGAGAGAGAGCGAGAGAGAGAGAGAUCAAACACAUAGCUACUGGUACAUACCCUCAGCCCCAAGGGUGAACUACUCCCUCCUCAUCAUGGAGAGCGCCGGGAUGAUGAAGAUGGCCACCGGUGAGGGAUCCCCCCUUCGGUAGGGUGCCGAAACGGGCUCCCGAGAGGUUUUUGGUGGCUACAGAGGCUUGCGGUGGCGGAACUCCCGACCUAUCUUGUUCUUCGAUGUUUUUAGGGUAUAUGGGAUUAUAUAGGCAAAAGAAGUUGGUCAGGGGAGCUACGAGGGGCCCACGAGAUAGGGGGCGCGCCCAGGGGGGUGGGCGCGCCCUUCUAUCUCCUGGCCUCCUCGAAGCUUCCCUGGCUUGUACUCCAAGUCUCCCGGAUCAUGUUCGUUCCAAAAAUCAUGCUCCCAAAGGUUUCAUUCUGUUUGGACUCUGUUUGAUAUUCCUUUUCUUCGAAAUACUAAAACACGCAAUAAAACAACAAUAUGGGCUGGGCCUCCGGUUAAUUGGUUAGUCCCAAAAGUAAUAUAAAAUGUAUAAUAAAGCCCAUAAACAUUCAAAAUAGAUAAUAAUAUAGCAUGAAUGCCUCAUAAAUUAUAGAUACGUUGGAGAAGUAUCAACGCCUUCAUGCAGUACAUCGAGGAUCUCGGCAGCAAGGUCUGUUUUGCUUCCGUGGCACACCCACGAAGCAACAGCCAAGCAGAGAGAGCAAAUGUUGAAGUUCUACGAGGCUUAAGAACGGAGGCUUUUGACAGGCUGCACAAGAGUGGAAGGCGCUGGAUUGACGAGUUGCCGGCGGUUCUUUGGUCGAUCAGAACGACACCAAAUCGAGCCACCGGUCAGACACCCUUUGCCCUUGUCUACGGGGCAGAAGCAGUUCUCCCCAUGGAACUCAUAUAUGGGUCACCUCGAGUGGUCGCUUAUGAUGAGCUUGAUCAAGAGCGAUUGCGGCAAGAUGAUGCAAUGUUCCUUGAGGAAGAUCGUCUCCGAGCGGCUGUGAGGGCAGCAUGCUACCAGCAAGCCUUGCAUCGCUACCAUAGCCGCAAGGUUCAUGCCCGGAGCUUUGAGGAAGGCGACCUUGUUCUUCGGCACGUUCAGUCGGCCAAGAAUUCCAAAAAGUUGACGCCAAAGUGGGAAGGCCCUUAUCGGGUAACACGAGUCAUCAGGCCGGGCGCAGUCCGCCUGGAGACCGAAGAUGCCAUUCCGGUGAGCAACUCCUGGAACAUCGAGCAUCUUCGCAAGUUUUACCUGUAAGGCACGGCUGUCGGGCCCCCCGGCAAGCCACCUUUUGUACAAGCCUUGUCAGCAAGGCAUGUAACCCUUUGUACAAAGCCAGGCGCAGACCCUGAGCAUAAAUAAGCGAAGCGCUGGCGCCCUAAGUUAUAGCAGGCAUGCUAGAUUGAGUCUCUCCCUCGGUUAGGGUUGAUAGUGCUUAGCGGCGACUAACCCCUAGCAUAGAGGUCGAGUUUGCAUCAUUUUGUUCCUAUCCAUCCUCUUUGGUAUGCAGGGUACAUGAAUGUUUCCGCCAAGCCAAGUGGAAGGAAGAGAACAAGCCGGCGCUCCGGACCCGGCAAGCCAAGCUUGCCGAGGGCUGAAGACACGAGGGUCCACACACGGCAAGUCAGGGCUGCCGGGGGCUGCAGAUCGGGAUAGGUUUUCCCAUUCCCUGUCAUGCAUUUCCGUAUGAAACUUGGGACGUACAGAACCUCGUUUUGUUCGAAAGCUGACGUGCUCCCCUCGUUCCUAUCACCCAAGAGCUUCUUGGUUCAAAAUAUGGUUACAGUCAUGGCGGCAAGGAAGCAAGCAUAGGGCCCACCCCCACUUCGUCCUUGCCUUCGCCAAAGGCGUGAGUAUGGACGGACGGAGCAGGGGAACGGCAAGGCCUACUGCCGGGCAGCAGUGUUUAUAUUGAAAAUAACAAGGAUUUGUUCCUUGGUAUGGGCUUUGCUCACACGCACACACAAGACCCAACAAGCACCCAUUUUCCAUUAAUACGUUCCAUACAUGUACAAUUCGUACGGAAUGUAAACAUGAACAGGAAGAUUACAUGUUUUAGAUCUAAAUGAGGCCCGUGGGCUUACAAAUUGAAAAAAAGAUAAGAUGCCCGUAAUCCCUUUCUUGUCCCUCUCCUCAGGAAAUGAAACAAGAAGACAAAAGGGUAGAAUGAGCGCCUAGGCGAGGUACGAGCAACAGUAGGUGCCAAGAGAACAUGUCGGCGGUCGCCUAGGAGAGGGUCGGCGGUGGUGGCACCGGAGGAAGAGCUGGAAGAUGAGGCAGCGGUCCGUCAAUACGCUACAAAGGUGUCAUGGAAUUAACACGUCAGAUGUCCUCAUGAAAGGACUUAGUCGUGGAGCCAUCACAACGGGUUAGCUUGAAGGGGUUAAACCGGACAAGGGAUACGGGAGUUUUAUACUAGUUCGGCCCCUUCGAUGAAGGUAAAAGCCUACGUCUAGUUGUGAUGGGAUUGAUUGAGUUUCGAUGACCAGGGAGCGAAAACGCUUGCCUGAGUCCCGAGUUGUUGUUUCUUGUCCCUGAACCGCCGCUGAGUCUUCCCUUUAUAUACAUAGGUUGACGCCCGGCCGGUCUACAGAUCCCCGAGGCCAACUCAUACAAGGUGUCCGGCUCGGUCUAUCCUUUCCUAACUUACAUUACAAGUUACAUAGUCAUGGCGGUUUACCAUUAUGGGCCCUAAUCCGCCUUUGGGCUUCGGGCCUCUAAGCUUCAUUAAUAAAGCACCAUCUUCUAGAUCUUCAUGGGCUUCAACAUAGUCGAGGGUGAACCGGGCCCUCCUGGCUGGUUUACACUCAGUAGUUAUAUCCCCAAGAUUAGGCCCCAGAUUGAUUUGAACCUAUUCAUGUCAAUCUUCAACACUUCAAAGAAAUCUUGUAAACAUCUCCUUAUAUUCUUGUAAACCGCCAUGUUUACUUCCUGUAACUUUUGUUAAACUGCCAUGACGUCAUCCUCUGGACAUAGUAACGGCCAUCAUGACGUCAUCUCUGCAUAAAAAAGAUUAAAAAGAUUCCCCUCAUUUAAUGAUAUCCUGAAAAUCAAGGCGACAGGCGCACCCUCUCUGCCGCUUCAGGCUCCUCGAUUCUUGGGCCUGCCCUUUAUCUCUUUCUCCUUAUAAAUAAAGCCCGAGGGUCCUUUUCUUUCUUCCCCUUCCGUGCCUUUCUUCUUCCUCGCGAAGCCCGAGCUCUGAAGCUCCACCGCCGCCCUCGACCCUUGAGAACUUCAUCGACAAAGGACGCUGCAUCAACCUGAAAUGGACCAGAGUUCGCCGCAUCUCUCCGCAGUAGAUCUGCACUGGUAAGUUUCCUCCUUCCCGCAUCGUUAGAUCUGUGCUAGGGUUCAUGAGUUCGUCUGUACAGUUCUUCAUUUUUCCUUCUUAGUUCUUUGUUUUUCCUUCUGCCGUGAUUGCUUCAUUCCAAUAGUAGCGCAAAUCUCGUGCGGUAGUUACUCUGCAUCCAUUUUUAGUACUAGUAGAUCUUUCCUUUCUUUUGUAGAGUGCACGACCUUCUCUGUUCUUGCUUAACGCCAUUAUAAGUCGCAGUAAUUUUUCUUUACUGAAGCAUGGUAGAUCCAAAUAAAUUUCAUCCUUGUGUGGAACCUGUUUCUGCCAACACUUAGCAAAUUUUCAUUUCUGUCUCCUCCUCCUAAGGGCGGUUUAACAUUUUAGCAAAUGGUAAUCCGCCACCUAUCAUUAGCCCUCGCUUUAAACCGCCAGUUUGAUCUGAAUAGCAGCUUCCAGUUUAUUUCACACAUAUGCCUUGAUCAAAUUUUCCGGUUUAAUAGCAACUAAUACUUCUUGAACCAUCAAUUGUAAACCGGCCUUCAUUUUACCUUUACACUUUGCUGUUCAAGAUGACCAAACAAUUCGCCGCUUGCAAUUGGGUUCCGUCCCGGAUCACAAAAACGCAGAUCAAUGGAUAUGUAGUGACGGGCGCUUUAGCAUCAAAAAAUGUCCUGCACUGGCGAGUUCCUGGCCCUGAGUGCCCUCCUGAGCCUCAGGAUGGCAAAGUUAUUGUUUUUAUGCAGCACUUAGACCGGGGCUUCAGCCCUCCCGGAUCAAAAAAUUUCCGGGAUGUCCUUGCGAGCUUUCAACUCCAUCCGCAAGACAUUGUCCCAAAUUCUGUAUCAAAUAUAUGCAACUUUCAAGUAUUUUGUGAAGUUUACCUUCAAGAGGAACCUUCUAUCGAGCUAUUCCGGGAUUUCUUCCACUUAAACCGCUGAACCGAGUUUUCUGAUGGCCCUAAUACAGAACUUGGCGGGGUAUCAAUCCAGAAGAGGAAGGAGGUUGAUUUCCCACAUGCAUCACACCACAGUCAUCCCAAAGACUGGAACCAAACUUGGUUCUACUAUCAAAACACUGCCCCUGCUAAAGAGAAUCCCUUGCCAGGUUACUACCCUCAUCGGCUUAGAAAUGGCCACCCGUUACCUAAACGUUUAACUGCCAGAGAGAGGCAAACUUAUGCCCCUCAACUCACCAAGCUCCAGGCUCUCAUGGCCAAUGGAUUAACUGGCGUUGAUCUUGUCCGCUGGUGGGUUAAAUGGCACAUCCUGCCCUUAAGUCGCCGUUCUGGAUUAAUGCAUGAGUACACUGGCAACUCCAACGAUCCUCAACGGUUUACUGAGAUAGAGGUGACCGAUGACGAAGUCACCGAAUCAGUAAAGAAGAUGUUAGACGAACCCAUCACCAUAUGUAGUCAAACUGGGCUAGCUCCUUUUUACACUGCCAACAAACCGCCAGCAGUAAGUCUUUUAACCUUGUAUUUUCUUGAUCCGCCUCCACUAACAUUGUUCUAAUAAUCCUUUGUUUAUCUUUCCAGGCCAACAACUCCUUUUGGAAAAAGAAGGCCUCAGAAAAAACGACCAGAGCUCCUCGUGCCAAGAGUAAAGUUGUCAAGAAAUCAACCAAGAAGAAGACCGGCGAAGCUGCUGAUCCGCCCGAAGAUGCUGAAGAUUCGGAUCAAGAGGUAGAACUUGAUUCCCUUGGCUCCUUUUUCAUACAUCUUAUUAACAACGAUUAUCAUCAGGAUGAUGCGGAGGUCAGCCGUGCGGACCAUGUUGAGGUAAUCUCUCUUUCCUCCGGUUCAGAUCUUGUGUCGGUUUAAAGAUUUCGCCGUGCAGUUCGGAAAGUGAAACGCUCUCACCCUCUUGCUUAUUUGGAUCCAAAAUUUUCUUUAAAGAAACAGCAACCUGAAGAGAGCCGCACAACCCGACACAGUGGCCAGCAAGUCACUUCUUCCGGUUUACCGGAUACUCCAAUUUGGAAGCGUCGUCCAGAGGUUAUUUGUUCUCUCGAAAAAUGUUAUCCUUUGAAGGGUUUCUUCCGAUACCCACUUAAUCCGUCUAAUCCAAAUUACCAGGCAUCUUCUAACUCGUCUGGCGGUUCAUCAACCACACAACUGCCUCCCCUCAAGACCGUCAUUGGGUAAGUGCAUCAUUUGUUGGUUUGUCUCUUCAUGCAUCAGUUUACCAUACUAAUCUUUAUUUUGAUGUUGCAGUGCCAAAGCUCGAUUGAGUAAGAAAGCCAAGACCAGUGGUCCCUCUGACAAUGUUGAACCGGAGAAGACCCCAGAUAAUGCUGGCGAAGAUACUGAUGAUGUCAUGGAUGAAUCCGCUCCACAAGAUCCAGCUGCUGAUGCCAAUCUGCCGGAGGCUGAUUAGGAAACACAUCUUGACACAUCAAGUCCACAUGCCAUGCCUCCAAGUCCAAUUGCUGAUCCGCUGGGCUCAACUGCUAAUCCGCCAAGCCCUGCUGCCAAUCUGCCAAGCCCUGCUAUCAAACCGCCAAGCCCAGCCAAAGACAAGGUCAAUCCAUCGAGCCCAGCCACGGAUGACGAUGACAUUGUUGUCACUGGUACUGCUUAUACCACCCCCGACAAUCCAAUUGCAUUAUCAAAGCACACUGCCAAGGACGAAUUUGCUGCUAUGAGCAAGGGGAAGGGGAAGACUGAUUUGUCAGCCUAUGUUGACCUUUCUACUCAAGACCUUCAUUCCGGAUUCUUGAACCGGCUUUACACCAGCCGAGAUUAUGAAGCCGGUUUGGUGAAUCUGAUGAAGGAACGCUAUGAGGUAAUUUUCAAAAUACCAUCUUUAUUCUGCCCAUUCCUUAUAUUGUAGCCCCCAAGGGCUGGUUUGUCUUGUAAAGACAAACCGGGACUUUUAUAUUCCAUACUGUACCUUGUUGGCUUUCCUUGUGUAUUUUUUGGAUCAAACACACAUUAGCCCCUAAGUGCCAAGAUUAAAACUUGUAUUGAUCCUUGGGACUUUAAACAUUUAGUAGUAAAGAAGCAAUCCGCAUUAGCCCCCAAGUGCCGAGUGCAUAACUUGUUAUAUGCUUGGGACUUUGACAAUAUUUACAUGCUCCUGCUCUGUUUGUGACAGGCUGACAUAAAUCACCAAGGCAAUCAAAUUGCUGAUCUCCAAGAGAACAUCAAGACCCAACAAGCAGAAACGUCCAAGGCAAAAGAUGAGCUUAAAGCCGCUUUGGCCGCCAUGGAGCAGGUCAAAGAAGGGUUCCAGUCGGAGCGUGCCAACUGGGAGACGGAGAAAAAUGCAUUGCUGAAGCGGGCAGAAGACGCCGAAUCAGCUCUUAAACCGGUGGCGGAAGAGCUAACUGGGUUGAAGCACCAAGUGAAUGCAAUGACUUCUGCAGUAUUUGGUAAGUAGUUUUGCCAAGACUUCUUGAAUGACCAUGUUUGUAAUUUGCCGGUUUAACAUGAAAACCAUUGUAGGUGGCCGCAUUGCUCAUCCGGGCUCUGAUAUGCGGAUGAAGCUGAAGGCAACAUACACUCUGAUUGAACAACUAUAUACCGGUACCCAACGGGUUAUCUGUGCAGCUUCAUACAAUAAUCCGGCCCCCACUUUGAUCAAGGAUACUCUAGCAAAGUUAUCCGUAACGCCGGCACAGAUAGAAGAGAUGAAUCGAUCUGCUGCCAGGGCUGGCGAUUUGUUGGCACUCACUCAAGCCAAAGCAUGGAUAGCUGACCUUGAUCCGGUGGAUAUUGCCAAGGGCUUCCCCAGUGAACAAGAGAACGGGGGAGAGUUUGACAAUGAUGCCCUCAAAGCUGUGACAAGGGAGAUGCGUCCUUUGGUGAGUCAACUGCCAAAAGAAGCGAACUUGACGGUUCACCGGUCCUUCUAUGAUGCCAACAACAAACGGGUUGACACUGUCAUACCGGAAGUGCAAAAUCUUAUCCCGCCAAUCCGUAAGCACACUUACGCCCCUGACGUUGAUCCGGCCGAACUUAUAAGUGAAGAGGUUGUCUUUCAGGCUUUAACCCGGAUUGACUGGACCACCACUGUCUUCCAGCUACUGGAUGAGGAGGAGGCUGAACCGACACCAGAUGAUCCAUCCACUUCACGUCAACAUGGUGAUGAGGCCUGAUUCGGCAAUCUGAUUGAUGCUUCAUAGACUGUUCUGUGGAAAGAACAAUUCCGUAUUUUGGGCCUUAAAGCGCCUUGUAAUAGGUUAGUUAAAAUACUUUUAUCUGCUACCAUCGUGCACUGGGAUAUACUUUGCUAGAUCCGCCAUGCCAAUUUCAAUGCUAGCUUAUAUAUUGUGCAAUCCCUGUGUAUGCAUUGAAAAAAGAUGUCCUGCGGUUUACCGCUGGACGGGUCAAAGUGCCCAAGAUAAAGCCUAGUUAAUAACCAAAGCGGAAUAAAUAUGAAAUAACUCAUACCUGUGAUAUGGAGUCACUUAAUAAGGGUGGAAACCCACAUUUUUGAGCUUUCAAAACCCUUACCCUAUAAUGAUAAGAUGAAUAAGUCAUGCCGGGUUAUAAUGAACACCAGAUGAUCAUACUGGCGACAUAUAGUCAAAGCCAGGCCGGGUUAACAAACACCGGUUUGAUGAGAUGGCCUGACAACUUAUAGCUGAAAGCCAAGCCAGGUUUAACAAGCACCGGUUUAAAAAUAUGACUGAAAAGCCACAUCGGGUCAAAGAACACUAGUUUAAGAUAAAUUCAAAAAAGGUGAAAACUUAGCAAAAAAAGCCAAUAAGAAAUCAUGUAGUCAAGGCUUUUCAAGGGCUGCCAGGCCCAAAUUCGAGGCUUUUCAUGGGCUGCCAGGCCACCGAGUUAAACCAUUUUGCAAAGCCUUUUAAGAUGGGCCUCCAACUAACCAAUCGUCGUUUUAACUUUGACAAGUUCAGGGUCUGUAUAAGAUUGACUUGUCAAACAUUCGGCGGGUUGUGCCAGGAUUACCUGGAUAAGAGUGGCUUACUUGAUGAAGGCAGGUUAACCCGGGGUUUUAGGUGAAUACACCAGGCUUCCAAGCCAUGGGUCGAUACCCAAUUACAAGGGUCCGUUCAAGCUCUUUGUGGCUUUUGCACAAAAAGCCCCCAAGUAACUUUGUGAGCUGUGCUCAAUGGGUGCCCAUGUUUGAGCUGUGCAUAACAUCCAGACUCUCUUUGGCCCCUUGGGUGUGAAGCUCCCAAGCUAUGUUGUGGCAUGAUAGCCGGUUUAAUAGGUAAGGUGAGUCAUCGCUUUGAGAGCAGAAGCCCCCUUGUAACCAAGAAAUUUUGGAAAAAACGGCAGAGGCCCUGCUUUUAGCAAGGAUGCCGGUUUAUUAUAUUGAUCAUAAUAUAUACAUUGUCAUAAUAUGUACAUAAGGAAAGCCUAUGGCUCAGGUGUAGUAAGGCCGAAGGAGAGCUAUGUUCCAUGGCCGCCGAGUCUCCUCCUCAGAACUGCGUGAGUCUUCUCGAAUGUCAAUGAGGUAGUAAGAUCCGUUGUGCAGAUUUUUGCUGACCACAAAGGGUCCUUCCCAAGGUGGGGAUAACUUGUGCAUAUCGGUCUAAUCCUGGAUGAGCCGAAGCACUAAGUCGCCUUCUUGAAAGGUUCGUGUUUUAACCUGGCGGCUGUUAUAACGCCGCAGGUCUUGUUGAUAAACCGCCGACCGAGCCAAAGCCAUGUCCCAUUUCUCAUCUAACAGGUCCAAUGCCUCUUGACGCGCUUGCUCACUGUCCGCUUCAACAUAAUUGGCAACCCGGGGCGAGUCAUGACGAAUAUCACUUGGGAGGACAGCCUCAGCCCCGUAAACCAUGAAGAAAGGUGUAUAACCCAUGGAUCGGUUUGGGGUGGUGUUUAUACUCCAUAACACAGAUGGUAACUCUUCCACCCAACAACCCGGCGUCCGCUUCAAGGGAACCAUAAGCCUAGGCUUAAUACCCUUCAGGGUCUCUUGAUUCGCCCUUUCAGCUUGACCAUUGGACUGUGGAUGAGCCACAGAUGCUACAUCAAGCCGGAUGUGCUCUCGUUGGCAGAACUCCUCCAUCUCACCUUUAGAAAGGUUCGUGCCAUUAUAUGUGAUGAUGCUGUGUGGAAACCCAAAACGGAAAAUGAUCUUUUUGAGAAAUUGAACCGCCGUGGCUGCAUCACACUUGCUGACAGGCUUCGCUUCAACCCAUUUAGUAAACUUGUCAACCGCCACCAACAGGUGGGUCUUCUUAUCCUGGGAAUGCUUAAAAGGUCCUACCAUAUCAAGCCCCCAAGUGGCAAACGGCCAAGUGAUAGGAAUCAUCCGUAGCUCCUGAGCCGGAACAUGAGCUCGACGUGAAAAUUUCUGACAAGCGUCACAUCGCUUUACCAGAUCCUCUGCAUCAGCAUGAGCUGUCAACCAAUAGAACCCAUGACGAAAAGCUUUCGCCACCAGGGAUUUUGAACCGGCGUGGUGACCACAACCCCCUUCAUGGAUUUCAUGUAGAAUCUCUUGUCCUUCUUCAGGGGAAAUACAACAUUGAAAAACUCCUGAAACACUGCAACGGUGUAACUCGCCAUUGUGAAUAACCAUGGACUUGGACCGCCGUAUUAUUUGUCAAGCGAAAGCCUCAUCAUCUGGUAACUCGCCCCGGUUUAAAUACGCCAAAUAUGGAACCGUCCAAUCCGGAGUAGUGUGUAAAACGGCCACCAAUUGGGCCUCUGGAUCAGGAACAGCUAAAUCCUCCUCUGUAGGCAACUUAACAGACGGGUUAUGCAAGAUAUCUAAAAAGGUAUUGGGUGGUACCAGUUUACGCUGAGAUCCCAGCCGGCUUAAAGCAUCUGCUACCUCGUUUUUGUGCCGGUCAAUGUGCUCCACCUGAUAUCCCUUAAAAUGAUCUGCCACAAUAUCCACCUCGCGUCUGUAAGCCACCAUUAGUGGGUCCUUAGAAUCCCAAGUACCAGAAACUUGCUGAGCCACCAGAUCAGAGUUGCCAAAACAGCGGACCCGGCUUAAGUUCAUCUCCUUAGCCACGCGGAGACCGUGGAGUAAGGCCUCGUACUCAGCUGCAUUGUUAGUAUAGGGAAACAUUAAGCGGAGAACAUAACAAAUUUUAUCACCUCGAGGGGAAGUAAGAACAACUCCAGCCCCCGAGCCCUCCAAUUGCCUGGAACCAUCAAAGUGAAUGAUCGAAUAUGUAUUAUCCGGUUUGUCCUCUGGUGCUUGUAACUCGGUCCAAUCAUUGAUGAAGUCAACAAGUGUCUGUGACUUGAUUGAUGUCCGAGGCAUAUAUUUCAAUCCGUGCGGGCCAAGCUCAAUUGCCCACUUUGCAACCCGGCCAGUUGCCUCCCUGUUCUGAAUUAUAUCGCCCAAAGGAGCUGAACUGACCACUGUAAUGGGAUGGCCUUGAAAGUACUGUUUGAGCUUCCGACUUGCCAUAAAAACCCCAUAAACUAGCUUCUGCCAAUGCAGAUAUCGUUGCUUUGACUCGAUAAGCACUUCACUGAUGUAGUAAACCGGCCGUUGAACCGGGUAUUCCUUACCAGCCUCCUUGCGCUCCACCACAAUCGCCACGCUGACAGCACGAGCAUUAGUAGCCACGCACAAUAACAAGGGCUCGUUGUCAACCGGAGCAGCAAGAACCGGCGGUUCAACCAACUACCGCUUUAAGUCAUCAAACGCCGCAUCAGCUGCAUCGGUCCAUAUGAAAUCGUCCGUCUUUUUUAACAUCUGAUAUAAAGGAAUCGCUUUCUCUCCCAAACGGCUGAUAAACCGGCUAAGGGCGGCAAUUCGACCCGCCAGACGCUGAACAUCAUUGAUACACUUCAGUUUAGUCAAAGAUGUAAUCGCUUUGAUUUUUUCCGGAUUAGCCUCAAUGCCUCUGUUGGACACCAGAAAGCCUAAGAGCUUGCCUGCCGGAACACCAAAAACACACUUAUCCGGAUUAAGCAUCAUUUUGUAAAUCCGAAGAUUGUCAAAUGUUUCCUUGAGGUCAUCUAUCAAGGUUUCCUUCUUCCUGGAUUUUACCACAAUGUCAUCCACAUAGGCAUGAACAUUACGCCCAACCUGCGUGUGAAGACAAUUUUGCACACAACGCUGAUAAGUUGCCUGGGCACUCUUGAGCCCGAAAGGCAUAGAAACAUAGCAGAAGGCUCCAAAGGGAGUGAUGAAGGCUGUCUUCUCCUGGUCCUUAACUGCCAUUUUAAUCUGAUGAUAACCUGAAUAAGCAUCCAAAAAACUCAGGCGCUCACAACCCGCCGUCGCAUCAAUAAUCUGAUCAAUAUGCGGGAGAGCAAAGGGAUCUGCCGGACAAGCCUUGUUCAAAUCUGUGUAGUCCACACACAUACGCCAAGUGCCAUUUUUCUUAAGUACGAGCACCGGAUUAGCCAACCACUCAGGGUGAAACACUUCAAUGAUAAACCCAGCAGCCAACAGCCGGGCUACCUCUUCACCAAUGGCCUUGCGUCUUUCCUCGUUAAACCGCCGAAGAAAUUACUUGGCCUGUUUAAACUUGGGAUCAAUAUUGAGAGUGUGCUCAGCGAGUUCCCUCGGUACACCUGGCAUGUCAGAAGGCUUCCAUGCAAAAAUGUCCCGGUUCUCAUGGAUGAACUCGAUGAGCGUGCUUUCCUAUUUUGGAUCCAGAUUGGUGCUGAUGCUAAAUUGUUUGGAUGAAUCGCCAGGAACAAAGUCAACAAGUUUAGUCUCAUCAGCUGGUUUGAAUUUCAGGGUCGGGUCAUGCUCAGUGGUGGGCUUCUUCAAAGGAGUCAUGUCUACCGGAUCAACAUUGUCCUUAUAAAACUUCAGCUCCUCCGUAGCACAAACUGACUCAGCGUAAGCCGCAUCACCUUCCUCACAAUCCAAAGCGAUCUUUCGACUUCCAUGUACUGUUAUAGUUCCCUUGUGACCCGGCAUUUUGAGCUGUAAAUAGAUAUAGCAGGGCCUCGCCAUGAAUUUUGCGUAAGCCAGCCGUCCAAACAGUGCGUGAUACGGGCUCUGGAUUUUUACCAAUUCGAAGGUCAACUUUUCAGACCUGGAAUCAUGCUCGUCUCCAAACACAACCUCCAAAGAGAUCUUGCCAACAGGAUAUGCCGAUUUACCUGGUACUACACCAUGAAAAACAGUGUUGGACGGUUUAAGGUUCUUGUCUGUCAACCCCAUGCGACGAAAAGUCUCAUAGUACAGGAUGUUGAUGCUGCUCCCUCCAUUCAUCAGGACUUUGGUAAACUUGUAACCUCCCACCUGAGGUGCUACCACCAAAGCUAGUUGACCCGGAUUGUCAACCCAGGGCGGAUGAUCCUCUCUGCUCCACACAAUGGGCUGCUUGGACCACCGUAAAUAAUGUGGCACUGCCGAUUCAACAACAUUAACUGCCCUUUUGUGAAGCUUCUGAUCUCGCUUACACAGGCUAGUAGUAAACACAUGAUACUGCCCCCAUUCAACUGCUUGGGGUGACUUUGAUAACCUGAUUGCUGCCGAUUCCCUUGAUUAUUCUGUUGGCCAUUACCCCCUUGGUUAUGCUGGUUGCCCUGAUUAUUCUGAAAUCCAGAGCUUGAACUGCCGCCACCAUGAAAACCUAGACCUGAACCGCCCGACGGACCCUGAUCAUACCGGAAAACAUCGGAAUUCUUGAACUCCUUCAUGAUAUAACAAUCUUUCCACAGAUGCGUGGAAGGGGCCUCUUUGGUCCCAUGCUUUGGGCAGGGCUGGUUCAUCAAAAGUUCCAAAUUCAUCCCUCCACCGCGCUGGGGCAGUUUACCCUUACGACGCUGCAUAUUGGUGUUAGCCACAAGAUCUGAAUUAUCUGCCUUGCGCUUACCAUUAUUCCCAUGGCCUCCUUGGUUGUGAUGAUGUCCCUUUGCACCGCCGUUCUUCUUUCCCUUCUCCGGUUUCUCAUCAUCAGAAUCAGGAUCCUGUUGGAAAUAUGCCCUAGAGGCAAUAAUAAAUUAGUUAUUAUUAUUAUAUUUCCUUGUUCAUGAUAAUCGUUUAUUAUCCAUGCUAUAAUUGUAUUGAUAGGAAAGUCAGAUACAUGUGUGGGUACAUAGACAACACCAUGUCCCUAGUAAGCCUCUACUUGACUAGCUCGUUAAUCAAUAGAUGGUUACAGUUUCCUGACCAUGGACAUUGGAUGUUGUUGAUAACGGGAUCACAUCAUUAGGAGAAUGAUGUGAUGGACAAGACCCAAUCCUAAGCCUAGCACAAAGAUCGUGUAGUUCAUAUGCUAAAGCUUUUCUAAUGUCAAGUAUCUUUUCCUUAGACCAUGAGAUUGUGCAACUCCCGGAUGCCGUAGGAAUUCUUUGGGUAUACCAAAUGUCACAACGUAACUGGGUGGCUAUAAAGGUACACUACGGGUAUCUCCGAAAGUGUCAGUUGGGUUGGCACGAAUCGAGACUGGGAUUUGUCAACGGAGAGGUAUCUCUGGGCCCACUCGGUAGGACAUCAUCAUAAUGUGCACAAUGUGACCAAGGGGUUGAUCAUGGGAUGAUGUGUUACAGAGACUUGCUGGUAACGAGAUUGAACAAGGUAUCGACAUACCGACGAUCGAAUCUCGGGCAAGUAUAAUACCACUGGACAAAGGGAAUUGUAUAUGGGUUUGAUUGAGUCCUUGACAUCAUGGUUCAUCCUAUGAGAUCAUCGUGGAACAUGUGGGAGCCAACAUGGGUAUCUAGAUCCCGCUGUUGGUUAUUGACAGGAGAACGUCUCGGUCAUGUCUGCAUGGUUCCCGAACCCGUAGGGUCUACACACUUAAGGUUCGAUGAUGCUAGGGUUAUAAAGGAAGUUUGUAUGUGGUUACCGAAUGUUGUUCGGAGUACCGGAUGAGAUCCCGGAUGUCACGAGGAGUUCCGGAAUGGUCCGGAGGUAAAGAUUUAUAUAUGGGAAGUCAUCAUACGGUCACCGGAAUAAUUCGGGGGUUACCGGUAUUGUAUCGGGACCACCGAAGGGGUACCGGGGGUCCACCGGGAGGGUCCACCUGCCCCGGAGGGCCCUGUGGGCUGUUUGUGGAGAGGGACCAGCCCCUUAGUGGGAUGGGCGUAUCCCCCGUAGGGCCCAUGCGCCUAGAGUUUGGGGGAACCCUAAAGGGGGGCGCCCCCUUGCCUUGGGGGGCAAGGCAACCCCCUCUGGCCGCCGCCCCCUCCUCAGAUUGGAUCUGAGGGGGGCGGCCCCCCUCUCCCUUGCCCCUAUAUAUAUGUGGGGGUGGAAGGGCAGCCGCACCCAAGUUCUAGCGCAGCCCUUCCCCUCUCCCAAGUCCUCCUCCUCUCUCGCGGUGCUUGGCAAAGCCCUACAGGAUUGCCACGCUCCUCCAUCACCACCACGCCGUUGUGCUGCUGCUGGAUGGAGUCUUCCUCAACCUCUCCCUCUCUCCUUGCUAGAUCAAGGCAUGGGAGACGUCACCGGGCUGUACGUGUGUUCGGCACUAGGAUCCCCGAUGAUUUGGAUCACGACGAGUACGACUCCUUCAACCCCGUUCUCUUGAACGCUUCCGCUUAGCGAUCUACAAGGGUAUGUAUAUGCACUCUCCUUCCCCUCAUUGCUAGUCUCUCCAUAGAUAGAUCUUGGUGACUCGUAGGAAAAUUUUGAAUUUCUGCUACGUUCCCCAACAGUGGCAUCAUGAGCUAGGUCUAUGCGUAGUUUCUAUGCAUGAGUAGAACACAAAGUAGUUGUGGGUGUUGAUUUUGUUCAAUAUGCUUACCGUUACUAGUCUUAUCUUGAUUCGGCGGCAUCGUGGGAUGAAGCGGCCCGAACCGACCUUACACGUACUCUUACGUGAGACAUGUUCCAUCGACUGACAUGCACUUGUUGCAUAAGGUGGCUAGCGGGUGCCAGUCUCUCCCACUUUAGUCGGAUCGGAUUCGAUGAAAAGGGUCCUUAUGAAGGGUAAAUAGCAAUUGACAUAUCACGUUGUGGUUUUUGCGUAGGUAAGAAACGUUCUUGCAAGAAACCCAUAGCAGCCACGUAAAACAUGCAAACAACAAUUAGAGGACGUCUAACUUGUUUUUGCAGGGUAUGCUAUGUGACGUGAUAUGGCCAUGAAGAAUGUGAUGAAUGAUAUGUGAUGUAUGAGAUUGAUCAUGUUCUUGUAAUAGGAAUCACGACUUGCAUGUCGAUGAGUAUGACAACCGACAGGAGCCAUAGGAGUUGUCUUUAUUUAUUGUAUGACCUGCGUGUCAUUGAACAACACCAUGUAAUUACUUUACUUUAUUGCUAACCGGUAGCCAUAGUAGUAGAAGUAAUAAGUUGGCGAGACAACUUCAUGGAGACACGGUGAUGGAGAUCAUGAUGAUGGAGAUCAUGGUGUCAUGCCGGUGACGAUGAUGAUCAUGGAGCCCCGAAGAUGGAGAUCAAAAAGGAGCAAAAUGAUAUUGGCCAUAUCAUGUCACUAUUUUGAUUGCAUGUGAUGUUUAUCAUGUUUAUGCAUCUUAUUUGCUUAGAACAACAGUAGUCAAUAAGAUGAUCCCUCAUUAAAAUUUCAAGAAAGUGUUCCCCCUAACUGUGCACCGUUGUGAAAGUUCGUUGUUUCGAAGCACCACGUGAUGAUCGGGUGUGAUAGAUUCUAACGUUCACAUACAACGGGUGUAAGCCAGAUUUACACACGCGAAACACUUAGGUUGACUUGACGAGCCUAGCAUGUACAGACAUGGCCUCGGAACACGGAAGACCGAAAGGUCGAGCAUGAGUCCUAUAGAAGAUACGAUCAACAUGAAGAUGUUCACCGACAUUGACUAGUCUGUCUCACGUGAUGAUCAGACACGGCCUAGUUGACUCGGAUCAUGUAAUCACUUAGAUGACUAGAGGGAUGCCUAUCUGAGUGGGAGUUCAUAAGAUGAACUUAAUUAUCCUGAACAUAGUCAAAAGAUCUUCGCAAAUUAUGUCGUAAGCUCACGCUUUUUCUACUGUUUAGAUAUGUUCCUAGAGAAAAUUUAGUUGAAAGUUGAUAGUAGCAAUUAUGCGGACUGGGUCCGUAAACUGAGGAUUGUCCUCGUUGCUUCGUAGAAGGCUUAUGUCCUUAAUGCACCGCUCAGUGUGCUGAACCUCGAACAUCAUCUGUGGAUGUUGCGAACAUCUCUCACACAUGUUUUGAUAACUACGUGAUAGUUCAGUAAUGAUAAACGGUUUAGAGUUGAGGCACCGAAGACAAUUUUGGAACGUCGCGAAACAUAUGAGAUGUUUCAAGGGCUGAAAUUGGGAUUUCAGGCUCGUGCCCACGUCAAGAGGUAUGAGACCUCCGACGGUUUUCUUAGCCUGCAAACUAAGGGAGAAAAACUCAAUCGUUGAGCUUGUGCUUAGAUUGUCUGAGUACAACAAUCACUUUAAUCGAGUGGGAGUUGAUCUUCCAGAUGAGAUAGUGAUGUUUCUCCAAAGUCAUUGCCACCAAGCUGCUAGAGCUUCGUGAUGAACUAUAUCAGGGAUAGAUAUGAUGAUCCUUGAAGUAUUCGCGAUGUUUGACACUGUGAAAGUAGAAGUCAAGUAGGAGCAUCAAUUGUUGAUGGUUAGUAGAACCACUAGUUUCAAAAAGGGCAAGGGCAAGGAGGGAUACUUCAUGAAACGGCAAAUCAGCUGCUGCUCUAGUGAAGAAACCCGAGGUUGAACCCAAACCCGAGACUAAGUGCUUCUGUAAUGAGAGGAACGGACACUAAAGCAGAACCACCCUAGAUACUUGGUAGAUAAGAAGGCAUGCAAGGUCGAAGGAAGUAUAUUGGAUAUACAUUAUGUUAAUGUGUACUUUACCAGUAUUCCUAGUAGCACCAGGGUAUUAGAUACCGGUUCAGUUGCUAAGUGUUAGUAACUCGAAGUAAAAGCUACGGAAUAAACAGAGACUAGCUAAAGGUGAGCUGACGAUAUGUGUUGGGAGUGUUUCCAAGGUUGAUAUGAUCAAGCAUCACACACUCCCUCUACCAUCGAGAUUGGUAUUAAACCUAAAUAAUUGUUAUUUGGUGUUUGCGUUGAGCAUAGACAUGAUUGGAUUAUGUCUAUCGCAAUACGGUUAUUCAUUUAAGGAGAAUAAUAGUUACUCUAUUUAUUUGAAUAAUACCUUCAAUGGUCUUGCACCUAAAAUGAAUGGUUUAUUGAAUCUCGAUCGUAGUGAUACACAUGUUCAUGCCAAAAGAUACAAGAUAGUAAUGAUAGUACCACCUACUUGUGGCACUGCCAUGUAAGUCAUAAAACGCAUGAAGAAGCUCCAUGUUGAUGGAUCUUUGGACUCACUCGUUUUUGAAAAGUUUGAGACAUGCAAACCAUGUCUAUUGGUAUGUACGCAUGAAGAAACUCCAUGCAGAUGGAUCGUUUUGGACUCACUUGAUUUUGAAUCACUUGAGACAUGCAAAUCAUACCACAUGGGCAAGAUGACUGAAAGCCUCGUUUUCAAUAAAAUGGAACAAGAAAGCAACUUGUUGGAAGUAAUACAUUUUGAUGUGUGCAGUCCAAUAAGUGCUAAGGCACGCAGUAGAUAUCAUUAUGUUCUUACUUCACGGAUGAUUUGAGUAGAUACUGAGUAUAUUUACUUGAUGAAACGCAAGUCUGAAUUAUUGAAUGGUUCAAGUAAUUUCAGAGUGAAGUUGAAGAUCAUCAUGACAAGAGGAUAAAAUGUCUAUGAUAUGAUCAUAGAGAUGAGUAUCUGAGUUACAAGCUUUGGCACGCAAUUAAGACAUUGUGGAAAUUGUUUCACAACUAAUACCGCCUGGAACACCAUAGUGUGAUGGUGUGCCCGAACAUCAUAGUUGCACCCUAUUGGAUAUGGUGCGUACCAUGAUGUCUCUUAUCAAAUUACCACUAUCGUUCAUGGGUUAGGCAUUAGAGACAACCGCAUUCACUUUAAAAUAGGGCACCAUGUAAUUCCGUUGAGACGACACCGUUUGAACUAUGGUUUGGAGAAACCUAAGUUGUCGUUUCUUAAAAGUUUGGGGCUGCGACGCUUAUGUGAAAAAGUUUCAGGUUGAUAAGCUCGAACCCAAAGUGGAUAAAAUGCAUCUUCAUAGGACACCCAAAACAGUUGGGUAUACCUCCUAAUUCAGAUCUGAAAGCAAUAGGGAUUGUUUCUUGAAUCGGGUCCUUUCUCGAGGAAAAGUUUGUCUCAAAAAUUGAGUGGGAGGAUGGUGGAGACUUGAUGAGGUUAUUGAACCGUCACUUCAACUAGUGUGUAGCAGGGCACAGGAAGUUAUUCCUGUGGCGUCUACACCAAUUGAAGUAGAAGCUUAUGAUAGUGAUCAUGAAGUUUCGGAUCAAGUCACUACCGUACCUCGUAGGGUGACAAGGAUGCGUACUACUUCAGAGUGGUACAGUAAUCCUGUCUUGAAGGUCAUGUUGCUAGACAACAAUGAACGUACGAGCUAUGGAGAAGCGAUGGUGGGCCCAUAUUCCGACAAAUGGUUAGAAGCCAUGAAAUCCGAGAUAGGAUCCAUGUAUCAGAACAAAGCAUGGACUUUGGUGGACUUGCCUGAUGAUCGGCAAGCCAUUGAGAUAAAUGGAUCUUGAAGAAGAAGACAGACGUGGACGGUAAUGUCACCGUCUAUGAAGCUCGACUUGUGGCGAAGAGUUUUUCACAAGUUCAAGGAAGUUGACUACGAUGAGAUUUUCUCAUUCGUAGCGAUGCUUAAGUCCGUCGGAAUCAUGUUAGCAUUAGCUGCAUUUAUGAAAUCUGCCAAAUGGAUGUCAAAACGAGUUUCCUUACCAGUUUUCGUAAGGAAAGGUUGUAUGCAAUACAAUCAGAAAGGUUUGUCGAUCCUAAGGAUGCUAAAAGGUAUGCUAGCUCCAGCGAUCCUUCUAAGGACUGGAGUAAGCAUCUCGGAGUUGGAAUGUACGCUUUGAUGAGAUGAUCAAAGAUUUUGGGUUUAUACAAAGUUUAUGAGAAAUUUGUAUUUCCAAAGAAGCGAGUGGGAGCACUAUAGAAUUUCUGAUAGGUAUAUGUUGUUGACAUAUUGUUGAUCAGAAAUGAUGUAGAAUUUCUGGAAAGCAUAUAGGGUUGUUUGAAAGGUGUUUUUCAAUAGAAAACCUGGAUUAAGCUGCUUGAACAUUGAGUAUCAAGAUCUAUGAGGAUAGAUCAAAAAAACGCUAAAUGGUAUUUUCAAAUGAGCACAUACCUUGACAUGAUCUUGAAGGUGUUCAAGAUGGAUCAGUCAAAGAAGGAGUUCUUGCUAGAAUUGUAAGGUAUGAAGUUAAGACUUAAAGCUCGACCACAGCAGAAUAGAGAGAAAGGACGAAGGUCGCCCCCUAUGCUUCAGACGUUGGCUCUAUAGUAUGCUAUGUUGUGUACCGCACCGGAAGUGUGCCUUGCCAUGAGUCAGUCAAGGGGUACAAGAAUGAUCCAGGAAUGGAUCAUUGGACAACGGUCAAAAUUGUCCUUGGAGUAAAUAAGGACAUGUUUCUCGAUUAUGGAGGUGAUAAAGAGUUCGGUGUAAAGGGUUACGGCGAUGCAAGCUUUAACACCUAUCCGAGUGACUCUGAGUAGCAAACCGGAUACAUAUAGUGGAGCAACCAUUUGGAAUAGCUCCAAGUGGAGCGUGGAAGCAGCAUUUACAAUAUGACCUAGAGAUUUGCGAAGUACAUACGGAUCUGAAUGUUACAGAUCCAUUGACUAAAACCUCUCUCACAAGCAAAACAUGAUCAAACCCCAGAACUCAUUGAGUCUUAAUCACAUGAUGAUGUGAACUAGUUUAGCGACACUAGUAAACUCUUUGGAUGUUGGUCACAUGGCGAUAUGACCUGUCAGUGUUAAUCACAUGGCGGUGUGAACUAGAUUAUUGACUCUAGUGCAAGUGGGAGACUGUUGGAAAUAUGCCCUAGAGGCAAUAAUAAAUUAGUUAUUAUUAUUAUAUUUCCUUGUUCAUGAUAAUCAUUUAUUAUCCAUGCUAUAAUUGUAUUGAUAGGAAACUCAGAUACAUGUGUGGGUACAUAGACAACACCAUGUCCCUAGUAAGCCUCUAGUUGACUAGCUCGUUAAUCAAUAGAUGGUUACAGUUUCCUGACCAUGGACAUUGGAUGUUGUUGAUAACGGGAUCACAUCAUUAGGAGAAUGAUGUGAUGGACAAGACCCAAUCCUAAGCCUAGCACAAAGAUCGUGUAGUUCAUAUGCUAAAGCUUUUCUAAUGUCAAGUAUCUUUUCCUGAGACCAUGAGAUUGUGCAACUCCCGGAUGCCAUAGGAAUGCUUUGGGCAUACCAAACAUCACAACGUAACUGGGUGGCUAUAAAGGUACACUACGGGUAUCUCCGAAAGUGUCAGUUGGGUUGGCACGAAUCGAGACUGGGAUUUGUCACUCCGUGUGACGGAGAGGUAUCUCUGGGCCCACUCGGUAGGACAUCAUCAUAAUGUGCACAAUGUGACCAAGGGGUUGAUCAUGGGAUGAUGUGUUAUGGAACGAGUAAAGAGACUUGCCGGUAACGAGAUUGAACAAGGUAUCGGCAUACCGACUAUCGAAUCUCAGGCAAGUAUAAUACCACUGGACAAAGGGAAUUGUAUACGGGUUUGAUUGAGUCCUUGACAUCGUGGUUCAUCCGAUGAGAUCAUCGUGGAACAUGUGGGAGCCAACAUGGGUAUCCAGAUCCUGCUGUUGGUUAUUGACAGGAGAACGUCUCAGUCAUGUCUGCAUGGUUCCCGAACCCGUAGGGUCUACACACUUAAGGUUCGAUGAUGCUAGGGUUAUAAAGGAAGUUUGUAUGUGGUUACCGAAUGUUGUUCGGAGUCUCGGAUGAGAUCCCGGACGUCACGAGGAGUUCCAGAAUGGUCUGGAGGUAAAGAUUUAUAUAUGGGAACUCAUCAUACGUUCACCGGAAUAAUUCGGGGGUUACCGGUAUUGUAUCGGGACCACCGAAGGGGUUCCGGGGGUCCACCUGCCCCGAAGGGCCCUGUGGGAUGUUUGUGGAGAGGGACCAGCCCCUUAGUGGGCUGGGCGCCUCCCCCCUAGGGCCCAUGCGCCUAGGGUUUGGGGGAACCCUAAAGGGGGGGCGCCCCCUUGCCUUGGGGGGCAAGGCAACCCCCUCUGGCCGCUGCCCCCUCCUCAGAUUGGAUCUGAGGGGGCCGGCCCCCGUCUCCCUUGCCCCUAUAUAUAUGUGGGGGGUGGAAGGGCAGCCGCACCCAAGUUCUGGUGCAGCCCUUCCCCUCUCCCAAGUCCUCCUCCUCUCUCGCGGUGCUUGGCGAAGCCCUGCAGGAUUGCCACGCUCCUCCAUCACCACCACGCCAUUAUGCUACUGCUAGAUGGAGUCUUCCUCAACCUAUCCCUCUCUCCUUGCUGAAUCAAGGCAUGGGAGACGUCACCGGGUUGUACGUGUGUUGAACGCGGAGGUGCCGUCCGUUCGGCACUAGGAUCUCCGGUGAUUUGGAUCACGACGAGUACGACUCCUUCAACCCCGUUCUCUUGAACGCUUCCGCUUAGAGAUCUACAAGGGUAUGUAGAUGCACUCUCCUUCCCCUUGUUUCUAGUCUCUCCAUAGAUAGAUCUUGGUGACUCGUAGGAAAAUUUUGAAUUUCUGCUACGUUCCCCAACAGAUCCUUGGUAUUAUCAGAAUCUCCAUACUUGACCAAGGCUGCCAUGAGGGUUCCCAUGUCAUUGCAGUGGCGCUUGAGACAUCCCAACUUCAUCUUCAGUGACUUAAACCGGCAAUUGCACUCUAGCGUUAUGAUCACUUGACCAGCGUUAAUCCGGUCAGACGAAUGCAAAACUUCUGAAACCCGGCGUACCCAAUGAGUUGUUGACUCGUUCUCCCCUUGAACACAAGCAUCCAGAUCCACAAUGGACAUGGGCUGUUUGCACGUGUCUUUGAAAUUGGCUAUAAACCAGGCCUUCAUUUGAUCCCACGACUCGAUGGAGUUAGCUGGCAAAUUUUUCAACCAAGUACGGGCCGUCUCUUCCAACAUCAUCGUGAAGUACUUUGCGUAGGCCACUUCAUCCACAUCUAGCAUCUCCAUUGCCAUCUCAUAACUCUCGACCCAUGCCUCAGGUGGCUGAUCCGCAGUAUAAUUAGGCACCUUACGUGGACCCUUGAAAUCUUUGGGCAGAUGCACAUUACGGAGAGCCAGAAUAAGACACGGCACUCCCCAGGAACCGAAGGCAAGCCCGGUGCCUCGGUCUACUGACGUCGCUGGCUGAACCGGGGCGGGUUGAUGACGACCCAAAGCGGCCUCCCUUCAUGCUCUGCCAUUAUCCACCAUGUCUUGAGCAUUACGAUGCCGAGCACUGCUAGACACUUCCGGUUCAUCCAUGUGCCUGCUAUAGCUUGGGCUCGGACGAGGGGUUGAAUGAAUUGUAUCCCGGCUAUAAGAAUAAGCCUGCUGCAGCACCACAGCGGUUUGAAGAAGGUCCCUAGCCCGCCGCGUUUCAAUUGCUGCCAGUGAAUCGCCCUCCAUCGAAAUGGCUGCCAGGCGCGAUGCUGCAGCAAUCAUGUUAUCCAGAGGGCUCGAGAAGUGACCCGGCGGUGUAGACACGUAUUGCAACGGGUUAUCUGUUCGCCGGGGUAGUUCUGUUAUCAGUAGUUGAUCCAGAGCUGUCCUAGGUGCAUCAGUCUGGUUUGCAGCUACCAGAUUGCUCGACCCAGCGCCUGGUGUUUGAAAGAGGUUCAAUCCUUCGUAGACCGACGGCAGACGAGACCGGUACUUCCUUCGCAUUACAUCCUCUGAUGCGGUCCGAUCCAGCAUGAGUUUAUAAUUCUGCGCCUGUAUCUGCUGUGACUGGGCAUCCAAAGCGGCCCGUUCUUCAGCCAUCCUAGCAUCCUCAGUUGCCAGGUCCUCAGCCUGUGUUAUCUAGUCCUUCAGCUUCGCAUGUCCGCAUUGUGCUGAUCCCGCGUCUCCGGGGUGACUGCCGUGGUUAACAAAGUCGCCCAGGCAUCCAUCAAACCGGAGAGGACUUGAGCCGGUCGGCGCGCCGGGGCUCCUGCCGCGGCUGCUGAUCCGGUAUUCAUUGCCGCUAUAGAUGAAGACUGCAAAGUGGGCUGUGUUCCGGCCAUGUAAACAGCAUCCCGACUUGGCGGUUCAAGGAGGUCCAGAAUACUGUUGCCGUCGGAAUAUCCUUCAAACACACCGUUAUGAAUCUGAUACAGGGACUCAGUUUCACCAAUGGAUGACUCGCCAUCAGAAUAAACAACCGUCUCGCCUUCAGACACCGGUUCAGAUCCGAUCCCAUGGACACAUCCUACGAAUGCACGCUUCAUGGCGGGAUUAACCCGGGCUGGACUUGCACGCUGAGCCGUCUCGACGAGGUCGGUGUAGAUGUCCGGCUCAGGGCCUGGUUCGCCGAUCUUGCCGAUGAAGACAUGAAUUCCGCCAAAGGGGACCCGGUACCCGUGCUCGAUUGAGCCGGCCUCGGGGCCCCAGCCUUCGUCGUCGAUGUGGAGCUUGCCGCGAUGACUUUUGGUCAUCCGGCUGACCAUGUACCCCUUAAGUCCUUCAAAGCUGCUCUUCAAGAACUCAAAACCAUCAUGCGAUAGCCCCACAGUGGGCGCCAACUGUCGUGGAAUUAACACGUCAGAUGUCCUCAUGAAAGGACUUAGUCGUGGAGCCAUCACAAUGGGUUAGCUUGAAGGGGUUAAACCGGACAAGGGACACGGGAGUUUUAUACUAGUUCGGCCCCUUCAAUGAAGGUAAAAGCCUACGUCUAGUUGUGAUGGGAUUGAUUGGGUUUCAAUGACCAGGGAGCGAAAACGCUUGCCUGAGUCCCGAGUUGUUGUUUCUUGUCCCUGAACCGCCGCCGGGUCGUCCCUUUAUAUACAUAGGUUGACGCCCGGCCGGUCUACAGAGCCCCGAGGCCAACUCAUACAAGGUGUCCGGCUCGGUCUCUCCUUUCCUAACUUACAUUACAAGUUACAUAGUCAUGGCGGUUUACCAUUAUGGGCCCUAAUCCACCUUUGGGCUUUGGGCCUCCAAGCUUCAUUAAUAAAGCGCCGUCUUCUGGAUCUUCAUGGGCUUCAACAUAGUCGAGGGUGAACCGGGCCCUCCUGGCCGGUUUAAACUCAGUAGUUAUAUCCCCAACAAAAGGCAUCGGUGCCAUCAUACUCCGACUUGACGGCCCGCCACCCGCCUUCUUCGCCUUCUCCGGCCUCCCCAUGCCAGCUGCCCAAGGAGGCGACCCCGAGAAGUUCAAGGAGCCGGCAACACAGAUGAUGGGGUCGCCGGUGUCUCCCCGGAGCGGCGCGCCCGACGCUUAGUCGGACAUGUCAUCCUGCCGCUCGCCACCCUCGCCGUCGCUGCCGCUGUCCUCCUCGACACUCUUGCUCGAGGAGGAGUCUUCGUCAUCAGAGGAGCUCUCCAUGCAGCACCUUACGCGAGUCCCGAAGUGUCCAAAGACCUUGACGGAGAGGAGGCCACUCUUCAUUAAUUUGAAAUGGAGAGUGAGCCCCUCCGUCAGGCUGUGGAUGCAAGCAAAGGUCUUCCACCCUCGGCGAAGAUACAUGACGUGAGGGGCGGGGAACUCGACGUUGGUCCAUGUGCCGCUAUUCCCACAACCCCUCAUAUGCAGCCGUAGCGCCUGCGGCGGGUCCAACUCCAUCUCCCGUGCAAAUGGGGUCGGGAGGCGAAGACGACGGUGCGGCGGCUGGCGCAGCCUGAUGAAGAACUCGUAGGGGUUGUCCCUGACGUGGCCCUCCACUGGGGGAGGGGCCGCUGGCGAAGGCGAGGCCGAUGUGCCGCCCCAUCCUCCUCUUCCCCGAGCGUCGCGACGUCCUCGACCUCGCCCCUCCCCCUGCCUCUAACAGCUAGCUCCGCCACCACAAGCUCUUGGGGAGGGGCGAUGCGCUGUCGAGCAGAGACCCUCGCCGCCACCGAUGAAGCAUCACCGCCCUCUCGCCCUGGUAUAAGAGAGGAAGGAGUAGGGAUGGGGAGAGGCGAAUAGUAAAGGACUAAGAGGCGCCAUUCCUCCCGCUCCCCUCCUUAUAAAGAGACGGGGGCGGGGCUCGGCCACCCCUCUCGGCCAAUCCGGCUCAUUAAAGGUGACAGCGGGCGAGGCCGUCGACCGUCCUCCCCUCCCAAUUGAAGGCGCGUGGGAAUCGACCCACGCGCGCACGUCUUCCUGUAUCCCGCACGCCUGUCAUUCCCUUUGCUUUGUGCAUGCAGUGUACGUGGCGCGAGAGACGGGGUAAUGGGACGCAUGGAAUGACAGUUUCUAGGUAAGGACAAUAAAUGAUCUGCGGCCCUACGGUCUCAAAGGGACACGCAAGCCGCCUCUUUACUGUUCACCGCAAGAUGAUGCAAGCAUGCUUCAAUCACCCGCGCGCGCGACCCCCACGUCACGCAUUCAACGCAGGUCGUGGGGAAGCGUAGCGGACGGAAAGAUACCAUGGUAAAAACCGCCCCGCCUGCCCGCGCACCGUUCUGGGCCUGGCCCAACAACGUGUCACGCUUAUGUGUGGCCCAGGCCCGGGGGCUCCUGUCGGUGUACUAAAAUAGGGGCGCUCUUUUGUACCCCUUAUUUGUGCACGGGCAGUCAGAGCCGCGCCCAUGGCCACACUUAAGCAGGGCAGAGACAGGAAAUCAGAGCCACAACACAGAAUCAAAGCAACACCAAGACAGAAGCACAAAGAGCCAGAAGGCGAAGUGGUUUCCCCUGGCAAGGUUUUUGCUGGGCAGCCCCCACGGCCCCAGCAAGGCCCUUGCCGGGGCAGCCUACCUGACGUCAGCAGGGCACGCCACCCUUGAGCCCUGAUUCCUCCAGCGCCACCAACCGCGUUGGACCAAGGCUCGGGAGGCGUCACCAUGGUGGCAUGCAGAUCUUUGUGAAGACAAGGAUAAUACUCCAAAUCAGAAGAGUAGAAGACGAUGAACCUCGGUGAGAUCUUCGCUCAGAAAACCCACAAGACCCCUGCUACGUCUUGAGCUUGCGUUGGUUUUCCUUGAAGUGGAAGGGGUGAUGCAGCAAUAGUAGCGUAAGUAUUUCCCUCAGUUUUUGAGAAUCAAGGUAUCAAUCCAGUAGGAGGCUCCUUAAAAGUCCCACGCACCUACACAAACAAACAAAGAACUCGCAACCAAUGCAAUAAAGGGGUUGUCAAUCCCUUCACGGCCACUUGCAAAAGUGAGAUCUGAUAGAGAUAGUAUGAUAAGAUAAAUAUACUUUUGGUAUUUUAUAAUAUAGAUUGGAAAAGUAAAGAUGCAAAUAAAAGUAGAUUGAAAGCUUAUAUGAUAAAGAAUAGACCCGGGGCCAUAGAUUUAACUAGUGGCUUCUCUCAAGAUAGCAUAAGUAUUAUGGUGGGUGAACAAAUUAUUGUCGAGCAAUCGAUAGAAAAGCGAAUAAUUAUGAGAUUAUCUAGGCAUGAUCAUGUAUAUAGGCAUCACGUCCGUGACAAGUAGACCGACUCCUGCCUGCAUCUACUAAUAUUACUCCACAUAUCGACCGCUAUCCAGCAUGCAUCUAGAGUAUUAAGUUCAUAAGAACAUAGUAAUGCAUUAAGAAAGAUGACAUGAUGUAGAGGGAUAAACUCAUGCAAUAUGAUAUAAACCCCAUCUUUUUAUCCUCGAUGGCAACAAUACAAUACGUGCCUUGCUGCCCCUGCUGUCACUGGAUAAGGACACCACAAGAUUGAACCCAAAGCUAAGCACUUCUCCCAUUGCAAGAAAGAUCAAUCUAGUAGGCCAAACCAAACUGAUAAUUCGAAGAGACUUGCAAAGAUAACUCAAUCAUACAUAAAAGAAUCCAGAGGAGAUUCAAAUAUUUCUCAUAGAUAAACUUGAUCAUAAACCCACAAUUCAUCGGAUCUCGACAAACACAUCGCAAAAAGAGUUACAUCGAAUAGAUCUCCACAAGAGGGGGGGGGGAGAAUAUGGUAUUGAGAUCCAAAAAGAGAGAAGAAGCCAUCUAGCUAAUAACUAUGGACCCUAAGGUCUAUGGUAAACUACUCACAAAUCAUCAGAGGGGCUAUGGUGUUGAUGUAAAAGCCCUCCAUGGUCGAUUCCCCCUCCGGUGGAGCACCGGCGAAGGCUCCAAGAUGGGUUCUCACGGAUACAGAAGGUUACGGAGGUGGAAAUUGUUUUUCGUUGGCUCCCUGGAUGUUUUCGGGGUACAUGGGUAUAUAUAGGAGGAAGAAGUACGUUGGUGGCCGCCCGAGGGGCCCACGAGAUAGGGGGUGCGCCUUGUAGGGGUGGGCGCGCCCUCCAGCCUCGUGUCCACCUCGGCUUCUUCUUGACUUGCACUCCAAGUCCUCUGAAUCACGUUCGUUCCAAAAAUCAUGCUCCCGAAGGUUUCAUUCCGUUUGGACUCCGUUUGAUAUUCCUUUUCUUCGAAAUACUGAAACAAGCAAAAAAACAAUAUGGGCUAGGCCUCCAGUUAGUAGGUUAGUCCCAAAAAUGAUAUAAAUGUGUAAAAUAAAGCCCAUAAACAUCCAAAAGGGGUAAUAUAAUAGCAUGGAACAAUAAAAAGUUAUAGAUAUGUUGGAGACGUAUCAAGCAUCCCCAAGCUUAAUUCCUGCUCGUCUUCGAGUAGGUAAAUGAUAAAAACAGAAUUUUUGAUGUGGAAUGCUACCUAGCAUAAUUCUCAAUGUAAUUUUCUUUAUUGUGGCAUGAAUGUUCAGAUCCAAAUGAUUCAAAAUAAAAGUUCAUAUUGACAUGAGAAAUAGCAAUACUUCAAGCAUACUAAUACAAGCAAUCAUGUCUUCUCAAAAUAACAUGGCUAAAGAAAGUUCAUCCCUACAAAAUCAUAUAGUUAGGCUAUGUUUCAUUUUCAUCACACAAAAUACUCCCAUCAAGAACAACCCCAAUUUCAGCCAAGCAAUUGGUUCAUACUUUUUAACGUGCUUCAACCUUUUUCAACUCUCAUGCAAUACAUGAGCAUGAGCCAUGGAUAUAGCACUAUGGGUGGAAUAGAAUAUGAUGAUGGAGGUUGUGUGGAGAAGACAAAAAAAGAGAAAGUCUCACAUUGACGAGGAUAAUCAAUGGGCUAUGGAGAUGCCCAUCAAUUGAUGUCAACAUGAUGAGUAGGGAUUGCCAUGCAACGGAUGCACUAGAGCUAUAAAUGCAUGAAAGCUCAACAAAAGAAAACUAGUGGGUGUGCAUCCAACUUGCUUGCUCACGAAGACCUAGGGCAUUUGAGGAAGCCCAUCGUAGGAAUAUACAAGCCAAGUUCUAUAAUGAAAAAUUCCCACUAGUAUAUGAAAGUGACAACAUAUGAGACUCGCUAUAUGAAAAACAUGGUGCUACUUUGAAGCACAAUAUAUGAGACUCGCUAUAUGAAGGACAUGGUGCUACUUUGAAGCACAAGUGUGGAAAAAGAGAUAGUAACAUCGCCCCUUUUUAUUUUUUUAUUUUUUUAUUUUUUAUUUUUUAUUUUUUUAUUUUUUUCUUUUUCUUUUUUUGGGCUUUCUUUUUUUCCUUUUUCUUUUUUGGGACAAUGCUCUAAUAAUGAUGGUCAUCACACUUUUAUUGAUUUACAACAUAUGAAUUACAACUCAAAACUAGAACAAGAUAUGACUCUAUAUGAAUGCCUCUGGCGGUGUACCCGGAUGAGCAAUGAAUCAAGAGUGACAUGUAUGAAAAAUUAUGCAUGGUGGCCUUGCCACAAAUAUGAUGUCAACUACAUGAUCAUGCAAUGGCAAUAUGACAAUAGUAAUGCGUGUCAUGAUGAUAAACGAAACGGUGGAAAGUUGCAUGGCAAUAUAUCUCGGAAUGGCUAUGGAAAUGCCAUAAUAGGUAGGUAUGGUGGUUGUUUUGUGGAAGAUAUAAGGUGAUUUAUGUGUGAUAGAGCGUAUCGUAUCACGGGGUUUGGAUGCACCGGUGAAGUUUGCACCAACUCUCAAGGUGAGAAAGGGCAAUGCACGGUACCGACGAGGCUAGCAAUGAUGAAAAGGUAAAAUUGCGUAUAAUCCAUGGACUCAACAUUAGUCAAACGAACUCAUAUACUUAUUGCAAAAAAAAUAUUAGCCCUCGAAGCAAAGUACUACUACACAUGCUCCUAGGGGGAGGUUGGUAAGAGUUAACCAUCGCACGCCCCCGACCUCCACUCAAGGGAAGGCAAUCAAAAGAGCACUCUAUGUAAUAAAUUUGUUACACAACUUUUACCAUAUGUGCAUGCCACGAGACUUGCUAACUUCAACACAAGCAUUCUCUAAAUUCAUAAUCACCCAACUAGCAUGACUUUAAUACCACUACCUCCAUAUCUCAAAACAAUUAUCAAGUAUCAAGUUUAUCAUAGCAUCCAAUUCACUUCCUAUGAUAGUUUUUAUUAUACCCAACUUGGAUGCCUACCAUUCUAGGACCAAUUUUAUAACCAUAGCAAAUACCAUGCUGUUCUAAAAGACUCUCAAAAUAAUAUAAGUGAAGCAUGAGAGACUAGCAAUUUCUACAAAAUUAAGCCACCGCCAUGCUCUAAAAGAUAUAAGUGAAGCACUGGAGCAAAAACUAUCUAGCUCAAAAGAUAUAAGUGAAGCACAUAGAGUAUUCUAAUAAAUUCCAAUCAAGUGGGCUUCUCCCAAAAGGUGUGUACAGCAAGGAUGAUUAUGGAAAAAUAAAAAACAAAUACUAAUAUCAUACACGAUGCUCCAAGCAAAACACAUAUCAUGAGACGAAUAAAAAUAUAGCUCCAAGUAAAGUUACCAAUGAACGAAGACGAAAGAGGGGAUGCCUUCUGGGGGCAUCCCCAAGCUUAGGCUUUUGGCUAUUCUUGAAUAUCUUGGGGUGCCAUGGGUGUUCGCACCCGAACACGUCACUGUGUACCCUCAACACCGGGGGUGAUGCACCGCAACUGACGUCGAAGGAGACCCGUCCGGAAGCGCGGUACGCAAGCAAUCCGGUGGGUGCUUUUGUAGACCCAAAACCCCACACGCCCGGGAGGGACCCCGUCAGGGCGCGUGGCAGCUAUGGGCUGCCCUAGGUCGACCUGAUCGCCCCUAGGGCCUCGAGGUUCGCCGCCCUGCAACAAGAAGAACGAACGAAGAACGAGGAAGAAGAAGAACUAGGGUUAAGGAGAAAAGAUAAAAGAUAAAAAGUGGUAGAUGAUUUGAUCGAUUGUGUGUUGUUCAAUCGGCCGUCACCCCUUAGAUAUAUAAGAGGCGGCUGGACUUCCCGUGCAAGGAAAAGGCUUGGAUUCACGUCCAAAACCCUAGUCAAAUUUGGAUUGGUUUUGUCCGAACUUUCCAAAACUGUUCGGUUUAAACUGGCUGCACCUUGUGAGUCUUUUUUCUGGUGGUAAACGACCUCAGAUGGAAACGAGCCCAAAAGCAAUCUUAACCGUUUCGACGAGACGAACAACUUUAUUGUUGAAUGUUUUUUGAUCAGAGGCCAUCUUGAGGGAGUUUUAGGCUGUUUUCCGAAGUUUGUCGCAGAAAAAUCCAAAACCCGGACAAACAACCCCGGAGUGUCCGGCCGUCCUCGGAGAAACCCAAAACCCGGAUGAUCAUUCCCGGAGUGUCUGGCCAUCCUGAUGCAGCCGCGCAUUUUUGGCUCUAACUUUUGCAUACGAACUUGGAUUGGGACGAUUUUUAUAUCAAAAUCGACCUUUUCGAUGAGACGAAGACAAUUCAUGUAGAUAAUGUUUUCAUUUGAAGUCUUCUUGGGGGCCUAAUAGGCCAAACUGUACUCUGAAUAUAAGAUCUUUGUACUUUGAGCAUAGUUUCGGCCUUCGAGAUGAAACCGGACGGUGAUGGCCCAAACUUCAAAGAUGUUCAUAUCAACAAUACGGAACUCUUUCAUGUAGAACACUUCUCCAUUUGAAGCCAUCUUAAAUAAGUUCUUGACCGUGCCAAAAUCUGGUGUCAACACAUGCCCCCCUGUUUUUCGGCAAAGCUUGUGUGCCGAAAAAUAAUUUGCACAUAUCUUACUCCGAGGACGAUGUCAACACUCCAUCGGCCAUUUGUAUGUGCUUAGGACGAUAAGUAUAUAUCAGCCAUUGCUUGUUUGAACCUCUUGAUGCAACUUGGGUGAAAACUUCUCAACUUAUAUAACAAUCCGAUGAUAAGGUUCCAUACAUAUGCAUCGCAAAGCCAUCCUCUGAACCAUAUUAUUCACCCUUUCGCUAGGAUUUUGCAGAUAAUCAAGAAUGAACUUCCUCCAAUCCUUGCUUUGCCUACAUAAAAGUUUCAUUAGUGGCCGAGGUGGUGAGCUCCAAUUCGGCCUUACCUAUGUUGGCAAGAAUAAGCAUCGGCUGUUGAUAGAUGUGCAAUAUACCAUGAUGGACAUGGUAGCCGGAUGCUUGCUAUGCCAACUCUCUCCAAUUGUCAUGUCUAGAUAUAUGAAGUAUAUUAAAGUAACCAAGGUAAAUUUUGCAUCUAGACAUAUCCCAAGAUAAACUAUAAAUGAUUCGUCAAAACAUUGAUAACCCUUGGAUAUUUGUUGCACUAUUUUAUAACGAAUCACUGAAAGCCUCAAUUUGUAUAGCACCUAUAGCAACCAAAAUCUUCAAACCGAAUACAAUUUCAUAUUCGGCUUUGAUUUUUGUGCAAAAAUAUUUUAAGUGGCAUGAGGCUUCACAAAAUAACGCCAUAUGGAGAUAUAUGAACAACACUGACACAUUGGCCAUUGCUACGAAUUGAACCAUCAAAAUAUAAUCUCCAUAGUACUAGAGAGACAAGGCUAAUAUCACUUAACAUGUACCUUGUCUCGGUCUCCAAUUGAAUUAAGGACGAUGUUAGAAUUCCACACUGGCCAUGAUCAGAUAGUUUCUUAGGACGAUAGUUAAGUAUCGGCCAUUACCAUGAGGUCCAUGUAGAAUUCAUCCACUAAAGCAUGUAUAGCCAAAAUAAACAAAUAAAAUAGCAAUAAAAUAUUUCGGCCCCUUUGUAUUAGCAACAAAAAUGAAACUAACCAAAUGUAUAGUGAUUUGGUAAUACCCUCUCAUGAUAUAGAAAAUUAUGUUGCAUCCAUGGACCAAAAUGAAUCCAUGGAGGGUAAUUGAUCAUACCUAGGGAUGAAUUCCAUGGCAAAGGCAUCAACGACAUGGUUGAAGAAAAUGGAUGAUGUGCUAACCGAAGAUUUUGAUGUUGUGAUGCGCACCUUCGACUUAAUUGUUUGUUGCUUUCCUUCUUUUCCUUCUUCACUUUUAUUGUACUUGUUGCAAUAGAAACAUGCACAUCAUUUUUGUUUUGAUUGAUCUUCUUGGGAACCCAUGCCACGUUCUUCUUUCUCAGCUCUUGUGCACUAAGAUUUUGUAAUUCCUUCUUUUGCCAAUAUGAUAAGCUGAGUGAGCAGCUCGACUGUGAUUUUCUUUCAAUAAAUGGCAACUCUUUUUGGGCCUUGUGCACCCUCAACUUCUUUUCUUCAGAUUUGGCACUCUGAUUUUUAUCAAUUGAUUGUUUCACUUCUUUGCCUUUUGUAGCCAAUGUCAACACUUUAAUUGGCUCUUUGUUAUUUGAGAUCAAAUCUGAAGUAGCACACUUACGACCAUCUCUUUUCAUGCGGUAAACUUGCUUUACCACCUCUUUCUUCUUCCUUGAGCUCUGGACCGAUUCCUUAUGAUUGAAACAGUCUUUAAUAUGCGACUGUUCAAAUGUUGAUCUUCUCGGAGCUGCAUAAUAUUGGUGAGAUGGUCUAAAAUAAGAUGGAGAAUGUGCCCUUGUAUCAUACCUAUCCCAUGAUGGAUAUGAAUCAACAUGAGCAUAGGGAGGCAUCCACGACAUUGGCAUUGGCGGCCCAAAAUAAGGAUAUGAAUAUCUUGCAUUAAAAUUAUCACUUUGCCAAUACCGUUCCUCAUAUUUGCGCCUUGGGGGUGAUCUUGGUUUCUUUGCAUGAUUUGGCCAAUAAGCAUUCUUCUCUUCACUCUUCUUUUGAUAUUUAUCCAAUAGUUCAGCGAAGGUGAUUUUUGAUCUCUUACACUUGCGCUUACUUCGCCUUUGUUUUCUUUUGGUUUGCUUUCAUCGAUCAUUGGAUUUGCUUGCUACCCCCCAGUCCUUGGCGUCUCCAUUGUAGCUUUGAUGGAAUUUUCACCCUCAAGAUUAUGUUCAUUAUGCUCUUCAACAACUUCUUUACUUGAAAGCUUGAUCCCAUCACCCGCAGUUUUUACCUUCUCUUUAAAUGGGUCGGCUUGAAGCAGCCAAUGCAAAAACUUUCUGCCAUCGGGACCAAUCCGAAUAGACUGGUCAUCUCUUGGUGUCUCAACAAAUUUCAAUCGUCCUUUAGCAAUGGCCGAUUUAACUAUUUUAUGAAACAUAUUGCAAUCCUCAAAAUUAUGUUCGAACGAAUGAUGCAACCUACAAUACAUUCGUCCUUGAAUUGAUGGCUUGACAUGGUGAUAAAAAAUUCUUAUGUAAUUAUUUUUCAGCAACAAAUCAAAUAUUUAAUCACACAUGCUUGAAUUGAGGGCGAACUUUUUAUUUUCUAGCCGAUCUUGCUGUGAGAACGGCUUUGGAGUUAAGCAAACGAAUGAUUCAGAUUUUGUAUCUCUCCAUUUGGCUAUGAAUUUUAUUUUGCAUUCUCUUACCGAUGUCAUUGGAUAAGAAACUAUACUUGCAUCAGUUUGCUCAAAAGAUUUUAACCUUGGCUUUAAAUUUCUGAAACAAAAAUAGUUAGAACAUACAUGUCUCAAUUGAGACCAAGUGUAAGCCAAGUAAGAAAUAAGCAAAGCUACCUAAUUAGAUAUGAAUUUUAGACAAAGCAAUGGCGAAAGCCUUGGCUGCAAUAAUUUUUUGCUAUCGGUCUUUCUGAAUGGUGUAAUGUGUUGACCGAUAUGCUUCAUAACAAGUUUAUUGCUAACAAGUAAAUUACCCUUCUUCAUUGGUCUUUCAAAAUUACUUAUGAGAAUAUUUCUUAUAGAUGCAUCAAUAAUGAAGUCGCGACCAAAUCUGAAAAUAGGUAAAUUACUCUCUAUGCAUACCUCUUCAAAUAUGUUGGGAGAAUAUGAUGGCGGUGCUACUUGAAGAACAUCUUGCUCCAUCUUUGGAUGGCUCCCCAACACCUUUUCAUCAUAUUUUUCUUGAUUCCAUGCAUCAUUGCUUUGAAGAUCCAUGUCAACCGAACUUUGUUUGGCUACUUGUUCUUGUCCUUGAGGCUUGUCAAUUUCUAUGGCACGAAACUCAUAGGGCAGGAAGUAGGUUCCAUUGACUUCGGAAAAAUCAAAUAUGGCUGUUUUGCCAUGCUUUCCAUGCCCUUUCUCAAUAAUGCUUGCCUCUUUGGAUUUGAUGAACUCAUAAUAUAUACUACUUGAUUCGGCUUUUCUAACAAUCAAAUUUUCUUUGUUACCUGAAUCAACAACUUUAUCUUUUUGAAUUUGCGAGGCUUCUCGCUUUCGUAUAAUUUUGGCCCACAUCUCAGCUUGGCGAGCUUUAAACUUUUUCAUCUCAAUUUCCAUCCACUCAUCAUGAGAUUGCCCCCCAAUACUUUGAGACUCUUUCGGCAAUGAGGUGCCGAAACUUUGAGAUUGUUUAGGUGGUAUACUGGAUGGUACAACACUGCACAACUCUAGCUUUUACAGCAGCAAAAUCAUGAGGCUUCCCGCCUUCUAUUAGUUCCUUGCGAAUAGAGUUGCACAAAUCCCAAGAGAAUGUAAGCUUGUUCUUAAUUACCCAGUCUGGAUAUGGUUGCCCCCGAAUGCUUUUAGACUCUUUCGGCAAUGAGAUGUUGCCGAACUUCUGUAAUUGUGAAGGGGGUACAUGAUAUGCCACGGUAGUAGGUGAAGGCAUUUGUGCUCCUGCAGAAGUUUCACUUAUUCGGCCAUGACCAUGAAGGUGCGGAGCCGAAUUAUGGACAUCAAUAGUAGCAUAUGGUGCCAAAAAAUUAGUAGCAUUAGGUAUAGCAUAUGAUGUUUGAGGGUAAUUGGCCAAAUAACUAGUAGUAACAUGGCCAAUUCCCCUAUCCACCGGCACAUUUGGAUUAACGUACUGCAAGUUAUUUGCCGAUCAAUAAGAACUUGAAACACUUUGUUGCAUACCAUUGGAAGUUCCUACAUAGGGUGUCUCAACUUGAUUAACCGAACUCAUCAUGUUAUUCAUUGGCAUAUAAAUUUGUGGGGUUGCCGAUGCAUGGGAGUUGGGAUACAUAUGUUGCAUGUUGCUAAAAUUAUAUGAAGUAGAAUCAUGGAUAUUUUGUUGCACCGGCCCUUGCACAUAAUUAGAUGCAUAAUUGAUAAAGCUAGGGCUAGCCGAUACAUUAUGCUCAUUAGAUGAUCUAGCAACAACAUAUGCAUUAUUUGCAUCUGCAUAUGUGAUUUGGGUAUUCAUAUUACCUUUGUAGAUUGCAAACCCUAGAUGACGAUCUCUUCGUAGCAAGAACGGGUCGGAGACCGUUCAAAGCUUCAUCCCCAGCGGAGUCGCCAAAAAGUGUGUUCGCAUACGAAAACAUCACCGUGUACCCUCGACACCGGGGGUGAUGCACCGCAACUCACGUCGAAGGAGACCCGUCCAGAAGCACGGUACGCAAGCAAUCCGGUGGGCGCUUUUGUAGACCUGAAACUCCACACGCUCGGGAGGGACCCCGUCAGGGCACCCGGCGGCUAUGGGCUGCCCUAGGUCGACCUGAUCGCCCUAGGGCCUCGAGGUUCGCCGCCCUGCAACAAGAAGAACGAGCGAAGAACGAGGAAGAAUAAGAACUAGGGUUAAGGAGAAAAGAUAAAAGAUAAAAAGUGGUAGAUGAUUUGAUCGAUUGUGUGUUGUUCAAUCGGCUAUCAAGCCUUAGAUAUAUAAGAGGCGACUGGACUUCUCGUGCAAGGAAAAGGCUUGGAUUCACGUCCAAAACCCUAGUCAAAUUCGGAUUGGUUUUGUCCGAACUUUCCAAAAUUGUUCGGUUUAAACUGGCUGCACCUUGUGGGUCUUUUUUCUGGUGGUAAACGACCUCAGAUGGAAACAAGUCCAAAAGCAAUCUUAACGGUUUCGACGAGACGAACAACUUUCAUGUUGAACGUUUUUUGAUCAGAGGCCAUCUUGAGGGGGGUUUAGGCUAUUUUCUGAAGUCUGCGGUAGAAAAAUCCAAAACCCGGACAAACAACCCCGGAGUGUCCGGCCGUCCUCGGAGAAACCCAAAACCCGGAUGAUCAUUCCCGGAGUGUUUGGCAAUCCUGAUGCAGCCGCGCAUUUUCGGCUCUAACUUUUGCAUACGAACUCGAAUUCGGAUGAUUUUUAUAUCAAAAUCGACCGUUUCGACGAGACGAAGACAAUUCUUGUAGAUAAUGUUUUCAUUUGAGGUCUUCUUGUGGGCCUAAUCGGCCAAACUGUACUCUGAAUAUAAGAUCUUAGUACUUUGAGCAUAGUUUCGGCCUUCGAGAUGAAACCGGACGGCGAUGGCCCAAACUUCAAAGAUGUUCAUAUCAACAAUACGGAACUCUUUCAUGUAGAACACUUCUCCAUUUGAAGCCAUCUUAAAUAAGUUCUUGACCGUGCCAAAAUCUGGUGUCAACAAUGGGCAUGCCCAAGCUUAGGCUCUUGCCACUCCUUGUUCCAUAGUCCAUAAAAUCUUUACCCAAAACUUGAAAACUUCACAACACAAAACUCAACAGGAAAUCUCAUAAGCUCCGUUAGUGAAAGAAAACAAAACCACCACAUAAGGUACUGUAAUGAACUCAUUCUUAUUUAUUUUGGUGUUAAACAUACUGUAUUCCAAGUUCUCUAUGGUUCAUACUACUUAAUACUAGCCAUAGAUGCAUUAAAAUAAGCAAACAACACACGAGAAACAGAAUCUGUCAAAAACAGAACAGUCUGUAGCAAUCUGUAACUAAUGCAAACGUCUAGAACUUUAAAAAUCCUACCAAAAUAGGAAGUCCUGGGUAAUUUGUCUAUUGAUCAUCAGCAAAAAGAAUCAAUGCAAAAGCAUGUUUCUGUGAUUUAACAAAACUAAUUUCAUGCGCGCAAAGUUUCUGUUUUUCAGCAGAAUCAAAUUAACUAUCACCAUAGGUUAUCCUAUAGGUUUUACUUGACACGAACACUAAUUAAAACAUAAAAACACAUCUAAAAAGAAGGUAGAUGCAAAAUUUAUUACUAAACAGGAAUGAAAACAAAAAACACAAAUAAAAUUGGGUUGCCUCCCAACUAGCGCUAUCGUUUAACGCCCCUAGCUAGGCAUACUCAAUUCCUCAAUAGAGCACUUUUAAUCUUUAGGGGUUUCUCCCUUUUUAGCAAUGAUUAAACCUUUAGGCAAAAAUUCAAGAAAUUCGUUUGUAGCAAAAGGUUCCUUAAUGAUAGAGAGACAAUUGGGAUGAACGCUUAUUGAUUUUAGAUCCGCGUCUCCCUUACUAGAAGAUUCACCCUUAUUUUUAGGAACAUAAAUAAACUUGGCAGUUUUGGUAGGAGGUUUUGGAGUGUUUUUCAUGGAAGAAAACACCAACCCUAAGUUGGUAAUAAUAUUCUCAAGUUUACCGAUUCUUGCAGAAUCGAAAUCUAUCUUUUCAUUAACUAUAGGUUCUUUCUCUAUAAAAGUUUUCAAAGUAACUCCGACCCUAGAUCCAUAUUGGGUAAUGUGAUUAUGAAUCUUUUUAUCCAAAUUUUCAAUCAACUCAACAGUGACAACUUUGUUUUCAAUAAUUUCAAGCUGUUGCAUCACAUGUUCCAAAGUUAAAAUAGUUCCAUUAACCAAAAGAGGUGGUGGGCCAAACAAAUCUAACAUAGCAUUAUAAGCAUUAAACGUAUGGCUACUCAAGAAAUCCCCUCCGGUAAUGGUAUUAAGAACGCAUCUAUUCCAAGGAGUAAUGCCUACAUAAAAAUUGCGAAGAAGAACGGAAGUAGAAAGCUUCCUAGUGGAUUUAUUUCAAGCAUUGCAAAUUCUAUGUCAAGCAUCUUUUAAAUUUUCUCCCUCCCUUUGCUUAAAAUUAAGAAUUUCAUGUUCGGGAGUAAUAACAAAGAUAGGAGGACUAGCCAUUAUGACAAGGUAAACGAUCUAACACACGAGCAAACAAAAAAGGCAAGCUAAAAAGAGAGGAGAAGAUUGGGAAAGAGAGGGCAAAUAAAACGGCAAGGGUGAAGUGGGGGAGAGGAAAACGAGAGGCUAAUGGGAAAUAAUGUAAAUGCGAGGGAGAUGAGUUUGUGAUGGGUACUUGGUAUGUCUUGACUUGAGCGAAGACCUCCCCGGCAACUGCGCCAGAAAUCCUUCUUGCUACGUCUUGAGCUUGUGUUCGUUUUCCUUGAAGAGGAAAGGGUGAUGCAGCAAUAGUAGCGUAAGUAUUUCCCUCAGUUUUUGAGAACCAAGGUAUCAAUCCAGUAGGAGGCUCCUCAAAAGUCCCACGCACCUACACAAACAAACAAAGAACUCGCAACCAACGCAAUAAAGGGGUUGUCAAUCCCUUCAUGGCCACUUGCAAAAGUCCUCAGUUUUUGAGAACCAAGGUAUCAAUCCAGUAGGAGGCUCCUCAAAAGUCCCACGCACCUACACAAACAAAUAAAGAACUCGCAACCAACGCAAUAAAGGGGUUGUCAAUCCCUUCACGACCACUUGCAAAAGUGAGAUCUGAUAUAGUAUGAUAAGAUAAAUAUAUUUUGGUAUUUUAUAAUAUAGAUUGGAAAAGUAAAGAUGCAAAUAAAAGUAGAUUGAAAGCUUAUAUGAUAAAGGAUAGACCCGGGGGCCAUAGGUUUCACUAGUGGCUUCUCUCAAGAUAGCAUAAGUAUUACGGUGGGUGAACAAAUUUCUGUCGAGCAAUUGGUAGAAAAGCAAAUAAUUAUGAGAUUAUCUAGGCAUGAUCAUGUAUAUAGGCAUCACGUCUGUGACAAGUAGACCGACUCCUGCCUGCAUCUACUACUAUUACUCCACACAUCGACCGCUAUCCAGCAUGUAUCUAGAGUAUUAAGUUCAUAAGAAUAGAGUAACGCAUUAAGAAAGAUGACAUGAUGUAGAGGGAGAAACACAUGCAAUAUGAUAUAAACCCCAUCUUUUUAUCCUCGAUGGCAACAAUACAAUACGUGCCUUGCUGCCCCUGUUGUCACUGGGUAAGGACACCGCAAGAUUGAACCCAAAGCUAAGCACUUCUCCCAUUACAAGAAAGAUCAAUCUAGUAGGCCAAACCAAACUGAUAAUUCGAAGAGACUUGCAAAGAUAACUCAAUCAUACAUAAAAGAAUUCAGAGGAGAUUCAAAUAUUUCUUAUAGAUAAACUUGAUCAUAAACCCACAAUUCAUCGGAUCUCGACAAACACACCGCAAAAAGAGUUACAUCGAAUAGAUCUCCACAAGAGAGGGGGAGAACAUGGUAUUGAGAUCCAAAAAGAGAGAAGAAGCCAUCUAGCUAAUAACUAUGGACCCAAAGGUCUGUGGUAAACUACUCACAAAACAUCAAAGGGGCUAUGGUGUUGAUGUAGAAGCCCUCCGUGGUCAAUUCACCCUCCAGCGGAGCGCCAACGAAGGCUCCAAGAUGGGAUCUCGCGGAUACAGAGCGUUAUGGCGGUGGAAAUUGUUUUUCGUUGGCUCCCUGGAUGUUUUCGGGGUACAUGGGUAUAUAUAGGACGUAGAAGUACGUCGGUGGCCGCCCGAGGGGCCCACGAGACAGGGGGCGCGCUCUGUAGGGGUGGGCGCGCCCUCCACCCUCGUGGCCACCUCGGCUGCUUCUUGACUUGCACUCCAAGUCCUCUGGAUCACGUUUGUUCCAGAAAUCGCGCUCCCGAAGAUUUCAUUCCCUUUGGACUCCAUUUAAUAUUCCUUUUCUUCGAAAUACUGUAAUAGGCAAAAAAAACAGCAAUACGGGCUGGGCCUCCGGUUAGUAGGUUAGUCCUAUAAAUGAUAUAAAUGUGUAAAAUAAAGCCCAUAAACUUCAAAAAGGGGUAAUAUAAUAGCAUGGAACAAUAAAAAAUUAUAGAUACGUUGGAGACGUAUCAACCCCCGGCAAGAUCCUUGCCGGGGACGACCGCAACGCCGCGACGAGACCCUUGCCGGGGGCCCCGGCAAGGCCCUUGUCGAGGACGUCAGCGAGGCCACAGCCAGGCCCGCACCCGCCAAGCUUCUGCCACCACUCCCAUGCAGCCGCGAGCCCACCAGCUGGGCAGGCACCUGCGUGUCAGCACAAGGCUUCUUGGCCAAAUCAGCGCAUGCCUACGUGGCGGCAUGCAAAUCUUCGUGAAGGCCCUACCACUGCGCCACCUCAGCAGCCUGCCAGCCUACAUGGCACCACCGCCUCGCUGGUCCAAGCGCGUGUCGAAGCAGGGCGAGGUGGCGAUAAAGUGGAGGGGACGCAUCAGGGGCGCAUUAAAUGCACUUUGUCCCGUAAUGGCGAGGGAUAGGCUUAAUCACAGUGCCCCUAUGCCACCUCCUGUGUGCCACUGUGGUGAUCCCCUUGCCUAUAAAAGGAGGCCCGAGGCAUCCAGGAGAGGGAUUCACACUUUUAGACAAGUUACGCCCAUUGUAGCUAGUUCAAGAACCUCAAGAACACAAACACACACAUCCAAGCAGGACUAGGGUGUUACGCAUCUCUGCGGCCCGAACCUGGGUAAACGAUCCGCGUGCUUUACUGACUGCUGAUCCUGCUCUCCUCACCACCCAGCGCCCCGCAACCGCAGUAGGGAUCCUUGUGAUCCCAUAGGUGUCGUUUCCCACUGACAAGGAGGAAUAAUCCACUUCUCAUGCACAUGGGUGCGGACAAAAAGGAGAAUGGAGCCACACUCUCAAUAAGAGCCUGAAUGAAUGGAGCAUGAGGAAAGGCACACUUGUACUGAAAGCUAGCAAGUCGGAUUUCAUGCCAAAGGAAAUGAGGAACAUUAAUCUUGCCUUUGGGAGACUCAUAGAGACGAGACAUGAGAUCAAUGCAAUAACUGUUGCAAGAACCUUGGUCACCCAUCUUAGGAUAGAUGGUGCGAAUGAUGCAUUGGUAGAUGAUGUAGUACGUAGAUCUACAAAUAGAAACUUGAUUAAGAUCCUUCAGCUUUUCCUCCUCAGUUAGUUCAUCAAUUUCCUUUAGGAGAUAUCCACACGCCUCAACCCCUUUGGGUUUGUGAUUUGGAUCAUCUUUAUGGAUCUUGAAUCCAGUGUUCGGAAACCCAAGAGCAGCGACAAAUUGAGCAUAAGUGGCAGUGAGCUCAGUGUCAGAGGUCAUCCAGGUGACGGUCUUGUUAGGAGCAAAGAAGCAAGUGGCAUAAGACUGAUGGAUAGCAGCCUGAUUAAAAUCAUGUUGAAAGGCAAACAGAGCAGCAAGACCAGAUGACUCAAUGAGCUCAAUGGCACCCGGAUACUUCACGGGAUGUUUUCGAAUAUAAUCUAAGUCAAUGAAGUGUUGCAGAGAUAGACCCUUUGGGAGGACAACAGAGGUGUAGAUGUCAGCCUGAACAUUUGUGUGAAACCGUUGAUCCAGGGAAUCUUGAACCACUUCAAAUUGAUCAACAUCAUGCCGGAACUUAAGAUAUGCUGGCUUGGGCACUUUAGUGAAGUCCUUGAGGAUACACCCAUGAAGUUGAGGAGCCUCAAGAGGUAUGUGGCGACCAUCGGCAUGCGGCUGAUCGGGAGGAGGAGCAGGCAUGUGAGAGGCCCGACGAGAACCACGGGGGCGGGACGAAAACGUCACACGCGCACCACGCUCCUACUCCUCCCCCAUCUCUUCUUCAUAGUCAGAACCAUCGCAAGAGGAGGACUCCAUGAUCACGGGACAUUUUCCAGCAUGCUUGCGGGGACGCAACUCCUCCUGAGAGUCAUUAGAACCACCACGACGGGAGGCUAAAAUCAAGAGGAGAGGAACAUGUACAACCAUAGUGAGCCCCUGACCCGAAUGGAGACAAAGAUGAUGAAAAUUUGAAACUAAAAAAGGACAUAAUUACCAUGGGCAGAGGUACCCCCCGCAUCCUUGUGAGCGGUAUGCUUGAUUUUCACCAUCGUGGGACAAACCUCACCUGAGAUAUUAUCCAAGAGAGAAAGGGGAUCACAACCGUGUGCACGAAAGAGUGACGGAACCAAGAGAAAGAGAGCCGAGAAACACAACAAGGGAGGAGUACCAGAUUGGGAGGAGGGGCGACGGCGAGGCCCUCCAGGCGGCGCGGCAGUGGACUCAGUCAUGCGAAUGGGGAAAAAGGGGAUAGGGCAACCAUUCAGCCCAACCCCAGAAUAUAUAUGUGACCCGCACUAUCAUCGGACGACCGACCGUGGUCGGACGUCCAUGCACUGGUGGACGUGCCAGGCGACGGACGACCGGUGAACCACGGAUGUCCGAGACCUGGGGGGGGUGGUGAUUUUUGGGCUUGUGCAAGAUUGCUGCACAGCAACCGGGCAGCCGAGAGAAGUCGGUCGACCGGAAACUGUGAGUCAUCGUAUGUUCGAGAACCGUCAGACGACCGAUGGCAAAGGGUUUGGCAGAUCACACAUGCCAUAUCUAGAGGAACCAAAAACCAGGAAUAGGUAUAUGACAAAAUAUUAUGGACAAUCAGACAUGUAAAAUACCACAUGGUGAGCAACUCGACACGCAAGUUAAGAACCCAAAACAUGAUUGGACAACCUCUCCUUUUGAGGAGAGUUGGUGGCCAAUAGGCCACCAUGUGUGAGUAUAAGUGUCAUGAUGCCACAAAAAUAGUGUCCUUGGGCUCAAUAACACGACUCCAUCAUUUUAAAGUACCAUAGUUCGAAGAACAUGGUAACUUUGAGAGUGUUUGUUUUAUUUAUGCAUUAUAUAGGGUGAGAGUACUCAUGAGUUGAAAGUCUCCCCCUAAAUAUAUGCCUACAUCUAAACAAGACAUGAUGAAAAUGAAUGAAUGGGUACUAUAUUUCACAUAAUGUUGUCAAGCUCCAAGAUACCAAGUUCACGCCUAAGUUGACAAAAUCUUGCUUCAUCCAAUGGCUUUGUGAAUAUGUGUACAAGUUGAAUAUCUGUACCGACAUGAUCAAUACAAAUGCCCCCCCUUUCCACAUGAUCUCUCAAGAAAUGAUACCUAAUAUCAAUGUGCUUGGUGCGGGUAUAAUCUUUGGGAUUCGCAGCAAUAUUGAUGGCACUUUCAUUAUCACAUAGAAGAGGCACAUGUCUAUAGGUGAUACCGUAAUCCUUCAAAGUUUGCCUCAUCCAUAGUAGCCGAGUUGCACAACUGGCGGUUGCAAUGUAUUCAGCUUCGACGGUGGAGAGAGCAACACAAUUUUGCUUCUUCGAGGACAAACUUACCAAGGAGCGUCCAAGAAACUGACAUGCAUCGGAGGUGGACUUUCGUCUGACUUUGUCUCCAUCCCAAUCCGCAUCCGUGUACCCAAUGAGAUCAAACUUAGCAUCCUUGGGGUACCAUAGACCCAACUUUGGGGUGUGAACAAGGUAUCUAAGAAUAUGCUUAACUGCCUUAUGAUGACUUUAGGGGAAGCUUGAAAUAGCACACAUGCAUACACUGAACAUGAUGUAUGGUCUAAAUGCACAAAGAUAAAGCAAUGAACCAAUCAUAGAGCGGUAAGUACAUGGGUCGAAAGGAAUACCAUUUGUGUCUUUAGUGAGUACAAUUUUGGUUGGCAUGGGAGUCUUACAUGGACUGGCAUCAGACAUGCUAAACUUCUCUAGAAUAUCCUUAAGAUACUUUGCUUGAGAUAAUAAUGUUCCUUCUUGAAAUUGUUGAAUUUGGAAUCCGAGGAAGAACUUCAAAUCCGUAGUGAGUGACAUCUCAAAGUUCUUGGUCAUGGAAGCCGCGAACUUCUUGCACAAAUGAAUGUUAGGAGAACCAAAAAUGAUAUCAUCUACAUAGAUUUGGCAUAAGAUCAAAUCACCCUUGUCCCUCUUAGUAAAAAGAGUGGGAUCGAUCACCCCUCUCACAAAAUCAUCAUCGAGUAAAAACUUCUUAAGAUGAUCAUGCCAAGCACGAGGUGCUUGUUUGAGGCCAUACAGAUCCUUAUGAAGUUUAUACACAUAGGCUUUGUGAUCGGGAUCAACAAACCCAGGUGGUUGUGAUACAUAUAAUUCUUCUUGUAGAGGACCGUUAAGGAAAGCACUCUUCACAUCCAUUUGAUGUAAUGUAAAACCAUUGAAAGUAGCAUAAGCAAGUAAGAUGCGAAUAGAUUCAAGAUGGGCAACGAGAGCAAAGGUCUCACCAAAGUCCAAACCUUCAACUUGUGAGUACCCUUGUGCCACUAACCUUGCCUUGUUCACUACAAAAAAAGACACAUCCAUGACAUUUUGGGCCGAACGAAACUUUUUUCUGUCAUAGAUAUGACACUUCUAUGAUGAUAGUUGUGACAAAACCCGGUAUCAUCAUAGCUGUGGUGGGCUCCUACUUCUAUGACAAAAAACCAUGACAGAAAAUGGGCUUUUUGUCCUGGGCGUGCCGGAGACGUAGCUGCAUGACAUUCUUUGGGUCAUCCAUGACGGAAAAAACCGUGGUAGAAGCAAGGGCGAAGAAGAUUUCGGGGAGUUCCCGGUUACGGUGGGCGGUCGGGGGCCGAGCGAUGCGCGUUUCUCUUGUACACAUACGCAUGUGUGUGCGAGGCGUUGGCUCUAACUGAACUAGAGCGAGGCGUUGGUCUCUAACUGAACCCGAGCGAUUGCACUGCAGGCUACGCAUUACUGAACCCGAGUGAUCGAUCGAUGGCUGUUAACUGAACCCGAUCGAGCGAUUCCUUUGCUACUGCUGCUAACUGAAGCCGAUCGAUUGGAUGAACAAUGAGCAUUGCGCGCGGUGGNNNNNNNNNNNNNNNNNNNNNNNNNNNNNNNNNNNNNNNNNNNNNNNNNNNNNNNNNNNNNNNNNNNNNNNNNNNNNNNNNNNNNNNNNNNNNNNNNNNNNNNNNNNNNNNNNNNNNNNNNNNNNNNNNNNNNNNNNNNNNNNNNNNNNNNNNNNNNNNNNNNNNNNNNNNNNNNNNNNNNNNNNNNNNNNNNNNNNNNNNNNNNNNNNNNNNNNNNNNNNNNNNNNNNNNNNNNNNNNNNNNNNNNNNNNNNNNNNNNNNNNNNNNNNNNNNNNNNNNNNNNNNNNNNNNNNNNNNNNNNNNNNNNNNNNNNNNNNNNNNNNNNNNNNNNNNNGGAGGCUGGAUGAACAGGAGCCCGUGGAGGCUGGAGGAGGUCGACGGUAGCCCGUGGAGGCUGGAGGAGGUCGACGGUGGAGAUGAACAGUAUCCCGUGGAGUCCCGUUUUGCGAUACGCCACACCCCUCCCAAUGAACAGGACCCUCAUUUCGACCGUAGCGCUCCAACACAAGUCCGUUUUGUCCGUUUUGCGGUACGCCACACCCCUCCUGAUCAACAUGACCCCCGUUUUGACUGUAGCGCUCCAACACAAGUCCGUUUCGUCUGUUUUGCGGUACGCCACACCCCUCCCAAUCAUUAGGACCCCCGUUUAGACCGUAGGAGGUCCGUUUCCUCCGUUUUGCGGUACACUAGACCCCUCCCGAUGAACAAGAUCCCGUUUCGAACAUGGCCGGUCGAACACAAGGCCGUUUCCUCCGUUCUGCGGUACGCCAGGCCUCGUUUCCAUGGCCUGUUCCGUCCAAGCCCUCCCGAUGAACACGAUGACGCAUUCCGUUCCGACCCAGCCGGUUGGCUCCCCAUGAACACAACGACGACGCUGUUUCUCCGUUCCGACCCAGCCAUGUACACGAGCCCUGGCCAUACGUAUGCGCGAGUAGGCGUUCGAGACCCCGCCCGUAUGUACACAUACGUGGCUGUAUUUUCUUUCUUGCACACUGGCCGCUGUACGUAUGUGUACAUGCUAUGUGCGCGCCUCUAUUACGACACGUGCGCGCCUCUACAUCGACACGUGCGCGCCUCUACAUCCACCAGUAUAUAUGUACGUACACGUUCGUGACCAGAAUGACAAGCUACGUACGCUUCGACCAGGUGGGUCCCGACUGUCAGGCACUUCCUUGCGUGCGAAGAUGUAACUAGUGAGUCCCAGCAGUCAGGGGGGCGAGUCUUUUUUUGCUCGGACGCACUUCCUUGCGUGCGAAGGUGUAGCUGGUGGCUCCUAGCAGUCAGGGGGCGAAUCGUUUUUUCCCGGACGCACUUCCUUGCAUGCGAAGAUGUAGCUGGUGGGUCCCAACAGUCAGGGGGCGAAUCGUUUUUUUUGCCCGGACGCACUUCCUUGCAUGCGAAGGUGUAGCUGGUGGGUCCCAGCAGUCAAGGGGGAAACAUUUUUUCGCGAAAUACGGUGGCCCGUCCGGUGGGUCCCUGCUGUCAGGUGGAGGAAUAAUUAUUUUGCGUGUAAUAAGGAGGCACUUCCUUGUGGCCGCCGUGGACCCAGCUGUCAGCCUCUCCACGCACAGUACUCUUCCGAUGGAAGUCGGUCGUUGACCACAUUGACCACGCCGCGCCGAGAGCACCACGGUGGUGGACGACGGCGAGGCCUAGGAAGGGAUGGAGCGGAGCAGGGGAAAACACAGCAGUGGAUGCCCAUGUGAAGAGGAGUACAAGGGUUCACUGGUUCGGCUGCGGUGUGAGGCUGCCAUCGCCGCAGAAUAACAGGGGGUGUGGGUGAGUAGAGGGAUGACCUGGCCAGCGGUGGGAGUAGUAGGGGGCGGUGAGGCCUCCGCGGCAUCACAGCCGUCCAUGGGAGGCAGGAGCAUGCGGCACGACCGGCGCUGCUUUGGGCGGCUGGAGCACGAAGACCAGAGGUUGAAGAGGCACUACUGCCGUUGGAUGGACAUCGUACGGUCACCGGAGCUAGAAUUGUUCAUAUUGACUAAGUUGACAAAGCCCUCCGUCCCCGUAAACUUAGUAGGCCCACAAGUCAGCCUCCCACCAAGGUGAGUCCCAGCUAGCAGGGGGUUAUUCAUUUUUUUCGUAAUAAGGAGGCAUUUCCGGUGGGUCCGAGCUGACAGUGGGGGGAACGUUUUUUUCGCGAAAUACAAAGGCCCUUCCGGUGGGUCCCAGCUAUGAGGUGGAGGAAUCAUUAUUUUGCACGUAAUAAGGAGGCAUUUCCCUGUGUGGGCCCCUACUGUCAGCCUCUUCCGAUGGCUGUUGUUUGUUGACCAUGUUGACCUCGCCAUGUCGAGAGCACAAACACGAUGGACGAGGGCAAGGCCCAGGAAGAGAACCACCCGGAGCCGGCAAAGCCACCGUAGCGGAUGCCCACGCUGAGGGGAGAACGAGCGCUGACUGGUCAGCUGCGGGAUGAGGCUGACAUCGCCGGAAAAUAACAGGAUGUGUGGGUGGUUAGAGGGAUGGCCUGGCGGCAGCACAGCCAGCCACAGGAGGAGGGAGCAGGCAGUCCCGUCGGCGCUGGUUUGGGUGGCUAGAGCAAGAAGAUCAGAGAUAGAAGAAGCAUGUCGGCCAUUGGAUGGACAUCCAACAGUCACUGCUGUGUGUUGACUAAGUUGACAAAGCCUUGCGUACGCGUCAAAAAAAUUUAGGACAGCAUCAUCGUCAACCUAGUAGGCCCAGAAGUCAGCCUCCAAAUCUGUGGAAAACAACAUACAUCCCAUUAGCCAUUAUUUUCAAUAAUUUACAGCCCAUUUUCUAAUUCUUAAGGAUAUUUGAAGCCCAUAUUCUUUUUAUUAGCAUUACACACCAUAUAUUCUGGGCACUGCUAAAAAAUUCAACGAAAUUUUGCAUAUUUCGGUGGGGUCCGAACUCUUUUAAUCAUGAAAUUUCGAGUCACGUUAAAAAUAAUUUUCAAAAAAUUAUAUCAAAAUAAAAUUCAAAAAACAAUUCUCCGCAAAAAAAGAAUGAAAUUUAGAAUCUUAACUAGCAAGAUGCCCGUUCGUUGCACGGAACAUGAAGAUGCAUUUGUAUGAGUAGUUUAUCUUGUGGGAGAAAAGAUGAUAUUUUAAUGUAAUUGCCAGUUGGCUUUGUUUUUUAUAAGAGUAGAGAGUAGAGAAAUCUUGAAAAAAAUGAUAUUUUAAUGCAAUUGUCGGUUGGCUUUGGUUAAAAAAUUUACAACCCAUUUCUUACAACUUAUAGCCCGUUUUCUGGGGAAGCGCAUUUCUUACUACUUACAUCCCUCCUUGUCUUGAAAGAUUUGCAGCCCAGCAGGGCUGAGAAAAGCAAGUAGGCCUCAAUUUUGGUAUUCUCCAAAAAAAGAACUGGGCUAGCCAAUUUCAGAAAGAAAAAAUAUAUCAACUGGGCUCAUCAUGUGCUUAAUAAAAGCGUAAGCGUGGGCUAGACGGGCCACAGCCCCCGCACAGCGCGCAGUUGAGCUCCGUCUUUGAAACUGAAAAACAACUGGGCGAGCUGCUGGGUCCCUGGUGUUAUCCGCUCGUUGUGUAAUUUUCUCGUUUAUUGACUACAUUAACAAUGGCGUGGACCCUAGUUGUCAAACAAUUAGGAGGAAGUAUUUUUUUGGCUUGUAAUAACGAGGCACCUGCUUGCGAAAUGCAAUGACCCUGGUGGGUCCCUACUGUCAGCCUCUCCAUGUACAGUCAUCUCCUGAUUCCUCUUGGUUGUUGACCAUGUUGACAAUGCCAGACGGCGGCGGGCACAACGAGCGAACCAAGACGGAGAACGACGGAAAGGCCUCGGACGGGAACGAAUAGCAGCCAUGGAAGAUGCGGCCGUGUAGUGGCAGGUGGAGGGGAGUACGAGGGCAACAACAUGCAAGUCAAGCAUACAAAUGGCACAAAAAGCCCAAGGAUUAAUUGUUCAUCAAGUUUUUAGACAAAACCCAGAUUGAACAUGACAGUAACAUCUAACCCAACCACUCUUUUUUGCAGUCACAGACAAAUGGAUCGGUCUUAUCCAUAAAAUCAACAUCCUGUGCAAAAAUUUUUAUUUCAGGAUGUCUACAACUUAUUGUAAAUAGAAGCCGAGCACGUUUAGAAGCCCAUUUGUCCACCUGAAACUUCUUUUUUUGCUGUUCAACAUGUUCGUCCGUGAGAAAUAUCUUGCUGUAAAAAUUAAGCCUCAUGGACAAAGUAACCUCACAUUCAACAGGAAGAAUGUGACAAAGCUUCUGUUUGCCUGGUUGGAUGCAUAUCGUCCCAUCGUUAUUGUCCUCAAAUGAAUGUCAUGAGAACUGAGAAAAUCCUUGUGCUUAUUACGCCAACGAUUGGUUAUAUGUUUUUCUCCAUGUGGUUCUACCUAAGUAGACAUGAAGAUUGAAAACAAUUAAGGUCUGAAAAAAGAGUAUGUCGAAAGAACGACAGCUGAACAGUUAAUUCUAGUACAAUAUAUACGGGCUUUCAAUGUGCAUGAAAUCAUCACCUCCAUGUAUAAAUUCUCCAUAGAUCGAAAGCAUCGCAGCAAGCCAAUAAUUAUGUCCAGAUCAAAACUAUACAUUCUGAUAUAUAUGAUCUUGACAGAAUCCAGCAGCAUUGAUAGGCUAUCAAUGGACGAACUCUUCAUUGAGCAUAUAACAUAAUAUUAGUACCCAAAGUGUACUCCAAGAUGAUAUAAAACUUAUGCGCACAAAUGAAAAAUGCAGCAUAUGAUUACAAAUGUGUAGAUGAUAAUAUACGGUACCUGAAAAAGUGAGGAGCCAAACACCAACUCCUUGUGAUUAUUAAACGGGUCACAAAUUACACCCAAGGUCUCUAGUUUGGGCGCAAAGACGACAAUUAUUUCUGAAGGUGUAUAACAGUUAUGAAGGAGCAACCUUUCAAGUGAAGGGGCAUCUUCGAUGAUGAGCUGCUGUCCUUUAAAACAAAUUCCAAUGCUUUUAAGGUGAGGCGACUUUAUUUGGAGACAAAUGAUACUGAUUUCUAUUCCCAAAACAAUCAGCAAGUGCUCCAGGGCAGGGCAACUGGAGUGGAUGAUGCUGUGCAGUGAGGCCUCCGACAGAUAAACCACCACAAGCGGAAUUUUUUUUAGCAGUGGGAGUCGAAGCAUUUGUACCAGAUCGUCUAGUAGAUGGCACCGGGCGAAGGUGGCGGUGUGGAUAGAGGAGUAAAACCGCGAGAUGGACAAUGGUGGUGUGGGCAUGAAUUCUUGGUAUGUUCGUGGUAUGAAACUUUUGUGGUAAUGGUAGAACUCAAACUGCUGGAGUUUUCCGAAUUCAGGGGAUGUCAGCCAAGCGUCCACCUUGUCGGGUAUGGACAGCAGGUAGCUUGUCGGGAUGCAGAGGCAUUGAAUGGGGCCCUACUGGUGAGAAGAGACGAUGGCUCUGAGGAUAUCAAAUUCAGGAAGGACAGAUAUCUGAUGACAGUCGAGAUUGAGGGGUGCGGUGCGCCAUAGAGGGCGCCACCGAGUUGAGAGGACUUGUGUGCGGCAGCAAUCCUUGGUGGGGAGAAGCGAGAUGAUCUCCUCAAGGAUGACGCCCGGGAGAUCGCUGAUGCGGUCCACCGGAGAUUCUACCGGUUCCUCAGAUCCGGGUGGGGGGUGGAGGGGCUCGCCGCUUCUCCCCGCGCUACCGGGUGCGGGAUCUACAACCGGCGUCGCCGCUGGCAGGGGCCUCAUCUUCUUGGCGCUGGGGCCAGCCGACUCCAUUUUCCUUGUGGGCGUCGCGCCGAGCUCACGGGUUUGAGCAGAGUAGCCAGAGACGAGCCUAGUGCCAGUGCGAGUGGGGAAGAAGGAGGGUUGGGGAUUUCUGUAGGAGUGGAAGAAGAGGAGCAGGCGUUUUCUGUAUGAGUGAGGAAGAAGGUGAGCAGGGUUUUCUGUAUGAGUGAGGAAGAUUGGGGAGCGGGGGGAAUUGGGAGGGAGACAGAAGCAGGAGAGCGAGCUGUUCGUGUUUAUAAGGCCUGCUGCACUAACUACUCGCUUUUUCCCAAGAACCACUCUCUUCUUUUGCAUUUCUGCAUUGGAGCUGGCGCAUGGACUUGGCUGACUGGCCAUGCAUGCAGGAUGCAUGUGCCCGCCGGCCACUGCAUGCGCCUGGUUUGUUACUAGGCCUAUUUAAUAGGGUGGUUAUGGAGUAAAUUAAGGAGAUUUAUUUUCUCUGUGUGCAUCCACCAAAUUAGAGGAUGCGGUACUGGAUGCAGACACUCACAUUAAACUAACAUCCGGAAGAACAAAAGUUCAGCAUGUCUAUGCAUCUCAAUGAUUCACCAUACUAUAACCAAUACAAAGCUGUGAGAAGGUGUGGAAAUACAGAAAAUCGGUCGAUGCUUCUCUGAGCAAAGGGCCUCCCUGCGCACGCAUUAAUUUCCUGGGCAUGCUUGUUUCUUCUCAAUGUUGCGAGCACUUUGAGCAUGUUGGCAACUCCACAACUAGCUAGCUGCCUCAUCUUGCAAUUGAUGCUGACACAUUUGCAGCAAACACAUGAGGCAAUAGAGGUGACUCAACAUGGGUCCAUAUUGUGCAGUUUCCUGCUACCUCUUGAGCACUGCGUUGAAUUUCCCCGAAGAGGAGAGGACGAUGCAGCAAAGUAGCGUAAGUAUUUCCCUCAGUUUUUGAGAACCAAGGUAUCAAUCCAGUAGGAGACCACACACAAGUCCCUCAUACCUACACAAAAUGAUAGCAACUCGCAACCAAUGCUUAUGGGUUGUCAAUCCCUUCAUGGUCACUUACGAGAGUGAGAUCUGAUAGAUAAUAUUUUUGGUAUUUUUGAUAGAUAGAUGCAAAGUAAAAAAGUAAAAGGCAAAGUAAAAACAAAGCAAGUAAAUAAAGUGAUAGAGAUUGAUAUGAUGAGAAUAGACCCGGGGGCCAUAGGUUUCACUAGUGUCUUCUCUCAAGAGCAUAAGUAUUCUACGGUGGGUGAACAAAUUACUGUUGAGCAAUUGACAGAAUUGAGCAUAGUUAUGAGUAUAUCUAGGUGAUGAUCAUGUAUAUAGGCAUCACAUCCAAGACAAGUAGAUCGAAACGAUUCUGCAUCUACUACUAUUACUCCACUCAUCGACCGCUAUCCAGCAUGCAUCUAGAGUAUUAAGUAAAAACAGAGUAACGCCUUAAGCAAGAUGACAUGAUGUAGAGGGAUAAAUUCAUGCAAUAUGAUAAAAAACCCAUCUUGUUAUCCUCGAUGGCAACAAUACAAUACGUGCCUUGCAACCCUUUCUGUCACUUGGUAAGGACACCGCAAGAUUGAACCCAAAGCUAAGCACUUCUCCCAUUGCAAGAACUACCAAUCUAGUUGGCCAAACCAAAAAGGAUAAUUCGAAGAGAUUUGCAAAGAUAACUCAAUCAUACAUAAAAGAAUUCAGAGAAGAAUCAAAUAUUUUCCAUAGAUAAUACUGGAUCAUAAACCCACAAUUCAUCGGUCUCAACAAACACACCGCAAAAAGAAGAUUACAUUGAAUAGAUCUCCAACGAGAGAGGGGGAGAACAUUGUAUUGAGAUCCAAAAAGAGAGAAGAAGCCAUCUAGCUACUAGCUAUGGACCCGAAGGUCUGAAGUAAACUACUCACACUUUAUCGGAGGGGCUAUGGUGAUGAUGUAGAAGCCCUCCAUGGUGGAUGCCCCCUUCGGCGGAGCUCCGGAACAGGCCCCAAGAUGGGAUCUCGUGGAUACAGAAGGUUAUGGCGGUGGAAUUAGGUUUUUGGCUCCUGUUCUGAUCGUUCGGGGAUACGUAGGUAUAUAUAGGAGGAAGGAGUACGUCGGUGGAGCAUCGAGGGGCCCACGAGGUAGGGGGUGCACCCAGGGGGCGCCCUCCACCCUCGUGACCGCCUCUGGCACUGCUUGGAGUAGGGUCCAAGUCUCCUAGAUCAUGUUCGGUUGGAAAAUCACGACCCCGAAGGUUUCAUUCUGUUUGGACUCCGUUUUGAAGGAAAUAUGCCCUAGAGGCAAUAAUAAAGAUAUUAUUUAUUUCCUUAUUUCAUGAUAAAUGUUUAUUAUCCAUGCUAGAAUUGUAUUAACCGGAAACAUAAUACAUGUGUGAAUACAUAGACAAACAUAGUGUCACUAGUAUGCCUGUACUUGACUAGCUCACUAAUCAAAGAUGGUUAUGUUUCCUAACCAUAGACAUGUGUUGUCAUUUGAUUAAUGGGAUCACGUCAUUAGAAGAAUGAUGUGAUUGACUUGACCCAUUCCGUUAGCAUAGCACUUGAUCGUUUAGUAUGUUGCUAUUGCUUUCUUCAUGACUUAUACAUGUUCUUGUAACUAUGAGAUUAUGCAACUCCCAUUUACCGGAGGAACACUUUGGGUGCUACCAAACGUCACAACAUAACUGGGUGAUUAUAAAGGAGUACUACAGGUGUCUCCGAAGGUACAUGUUGGGUUGGCGUAUUUCGAGAUUAGGUUCUGUCACUCCGAUUGUCGAGAGGUAUCUCUGGGCCCUCUUAGUAAUGCACAUCACUAUAAGCCUUGCAAGCAAUGUAGCUAAUGAGUUAGUUACAGAAUGAUGCAUUACGUAACGAGUAAAGAGACUUGCCGGUAACGAGAUUGAACUAGGUAUUGGAUACCGACGAUCGAAUCUCGGGCAAGUAACAUACCGAUGACAAAGGGAACAAAGUAUGUUGUUCUGCGGUUUGACCGAUAAAGAUCUUCGUAGAAUAUGUAGGGGCCAAUAUGGGCAUCCAGGUUCCGCUAUUGGUUAUUGACUAAGAAUAGUUCUAGGUCAUGUCUACAUAGUUCUCGAACCCGUAGGGUCCGCACGCUUAAGGUUUCGAUGACAUUUAUAUUAUGAGUUUAUGAGUUUUGAUGUACCGAAGGAGUUCGGAGUCCCGGAUGAGAUCGGGGACAUGACGAGGAGUCUCAAAAUGGUCGAGACGUAAAGAUCGAUAUAUUGGACGACUAUAUUCGGAGUUCGGAAAGGUUCCGAGUGAUUCGGGUAUUUUUCGGAGUACCGGAGAGUUACGGGAAUUCGCCGGGGAGUAUAUGGGCCUUAUUGGGCCAUACGGGAAUAGAGGAGAGAGGCCAAAAGGAAGGAGGCCUGCGCCCCCCCUCUGGUCCGAAUUGGACAAGGGGCGCAGCCCCCCUUUCCUUCUUCCUCUCCCCCUCUUUCCCCUUCUCCUACUCCAACAAGGGAGGUGGAAUCCUACUAGGACUAGGGAGUCCUAGUAGGACUCCACACUUGGUGCGCCCCCUCCUAGGGCCGGCCUCCUCCCCCCUUGCUCCUUUAUACACGGGGGCAGGGGGGCACCCCAUGACACACAAGUUGAUCUACGGAUUGUUCCUUAGCCGUGUGCGGUGCCCCCCUCCACCAUAUUCCACCUCGAUCAUAUCGUCGCGGAGUUUAGGCAAAGCCCUGCGCCGGUAGAGCGUCAUCAUCGUCACCACGCCAUCGUGAUGACGGAACUCAUCCCCGACACUUUGCUGGAUCGGAGUCCGGGGAUCGUCAUCGAGCUGAACGUGUGCUGAACUCGGAGGUGCCGUACAUUCGGUACUUGGAUCGGUCGGAUCGUGAAGACAUACGACUACAUCAACCGCGUUGUCAUAACGCUUCCGCUUACGGUCUACGAGGGUACGUGGAAAACACUCUCCCCUCUCGUUGCUAUGCCAUCACCAUGAUCUUGCGUGUGCGUAGAUUUUUUGUUGAAAUUACUACGUUCCCCAACAAGUUUGAUAUUCCGUUUCUUCGAAAUACUGAAAAAGGCAAAAAACAGCAAUUCUGGGCUGGGCCUCCGGUUAAUAGGUUAGUCCCAAAAGUAAUAUAAAAGUGGAAAAUAAAGCCCAAUAUAGUCCAAAACAGUAGAUAAAGUAGCAUGGAGCAAUAAAAAAUUAUAGAUACGUUGGAGACGUAUCAGGCAUCCCCAAGCUUAAUUCCUGCUCGUCCUCAAGUAGGUAAAUGAUAAAAAAGAAUUUUUGAUGCGGAGUGAUACUUUGGCAUAAUUUCAAUGUAAAACUUCUUAAUUGUGACAUGAAUAUUCAGAUCCGAAAGAUUCAAGACAAAAGUUCAUAUUGACACAAAAAUAAUAAUACUUCAAGCAUACUAAUCAAAGCAAUCAUGUCUUCUCAAAAUAACAUGGCAAAAGAAAGUUCAUCCCUACAAAAUCAUAUAGUUAGGCUAUGCUUCAUUUUUGUGACACAAAGAUGUUCCCAACUUCUAUACCCCUGAUGACAAGCCAAGCAAUUGUUUCAUACUUAAAUAAUCUCAAACUUUUUCAACCUUCAGACAAUACAUGAGCGUGAGCCAUGGAUAUAGCACUAUGGGUGGAAUAGAAUAUGAUGAUGGGAAUUGUAUGGAGAAGACAAAAAAGGAGAAGUCUCACGUUGACGAGGCUAAUCAACGGGCUAUGGAGAUGCCCAUGAAUUGAUGUCAACAUGAGGAGUAGGGAUUGCCAUGCAACGGAUGCACUAGAGCUAUGAAUGCUCAACAAAAGAAAACUAGUGGGUGUGCAUCCAACUUGCUUGCUCACGAAGACCUAGGGCAUUUGAGGAAGCCCAUCGUAGGAAUAUACAAGCCAAGUUCUAUAAUGAAAAAUUCUCACUAGUAUAAAAAAGACAACUUAUGAGACUUACUACAUGAAGAACAGGGUGCUACUUUGAAGCACAAUAUAUGAGACUCACUACAUGAAGAACAAGGUGCUACUUUGAAGCACAAGUGUGGAAAAAGAGAUAGUAGCAUUGCCCUUUUCUUUUCUUUUUUGGGCCUUCCUUUUUUUAUAUUUUGGCCUUUCUUUUUUUUUUAUUUGGGUAAUGCUCUAAUAAUGAUGAUCAUCACACUUCUAUUGAUUACAACAUAAGGAUUACAACUCGAAACUUAAAACAAGAUAUGACUCUAUAUGAAUGCCUCCAGCGGUGUACCGGGAUGGUGCAAUGAAUCAAGAGUGACAUGUAUGAAAAAUAAUGCAUGGUGGCUUUGCCACAAAUACGAUGUCAACUACAUGAUCAUGCAAUGGCAAUAUGACAAAAGUAAUGUAUGUCAUGAUAAUGAUGAUGGAAGUACGGAAUGGCUAUGGAAAUGCCAUAAUAGGUAGGUAUGGUGGCUGUUUUGAGGAAGAUAUAAGGAGGUUUAUGGGUGAUAGAGCGUAUCGUAUCACGGGGUUUGGAUGCACCGGCGAAGUUUGCACCAACUCUCAAGGUGAGAAAGGGCAAUGCACGGUACCGAAGAGGCUAGCAAAGGCGGAAAGGUGAGAGUGCGUAUAAUCCAUGGACUCGACAUUAGUCAAAAGAACUCAUAUACUUAUUGCAAAAAUUUAGAAGUCAUCAAAAAUCAAGUACUACGCGCAUGCUCCUAGGGGGAUAGAUUGGUAGGAAAAGACCAUCGCUCGUCCUCGACCGCCACUCAUAAGGAUGCACAAGCCAGGUACACUUCAUGUUUCAAAUUUGUUACAUUACUUUAACCAUACGUGCAUGCUACGGGACUUGCAAACUUCAACACAAGUAUUUCUCAAAUUCAUAAUCACCCAACUAGCAUGACUUUGAUUAUCACCUCCAUAUCUCAAAACAAUUAUCAAGCAUCAAACUUAUCUUAGUAUUCAAUUCACUCAAAAGAAAGGUUCACAUAUCUUGAACACCAAGUAUAUUAACAUUAAGCAAAUUACCAUGCUAUUAACAACUCUCAAAAUAAUCUAAGUGAAGCAUGAGAGAUCAAUAAUUUCUUUAAAACAAAUCCACCACCGUGCUCUAAAAGAUAUAAGUGAAGCACUAGAGCAAAAAUUAUCAUGCUCAAAAGAUAUAAGUGAAGCACAUAGAGUAUUCUAACAAAUUUCAAUUCAUGUAUGGCUCUCUCAAAAGGUGUGUACAGCAAGGAUGAUUGUGGUAAACUAACAAGCAAAGACGCAAAUAAUACAAGACGCUCCAAGCAAAACGCAUAUCAUGUGCUGAAUAAAAAUAUAGCUCCAAGUAAAUUACCGAUGGAAGUGGACGAAAGAGGGGAUGCCUUCCGGGGCAUCCCCAAGCUUUGACUUUUUGGUGUCCUUGGAUUAUCUUGGGGGUGCCAUGGGCAUCCCCAAGCUUAGGCUCUUGCCACUCCUUGUUCCAUAACCCAUCAAAAGAAUUCACCCAAAACUUGAAAACUUCACAACACAAAACUCAACAGAAACCCCGUGAGCUCCGUUAGAGAAAGAAAACAAAAGACUACUUCAAGGUACUGUAAUAAACUCAUUAUUUAUUUACUUUGGUGCUAAACCUACUGUAUUCCAACUUCUCUAUGGUUUAUAAACUUUUUUACUAGCCAUAGAUUCAUCAAAAUAAGCAAACAACACACGAAAAACAGAAUCUGUCAAAAACAGAACAGUCUGUAGAAAUCUGUAACUAACGCAAACUUCUGGAACUCUAAAAAUUCUACAAAAAUAGGAAGUUCUAGAAAAUUUGUUUAUUGAACAGCAGCAAAAAGAAUCAACGCAAAAGAGCGUUCCUGUGAUUUAACAUAACUAUAUUCAUGCGCGUAAAGUUUCUGCUUUUCAGUAGAAUCAAAUCAACUAUCAUCGUAGGUUAUCCUAUAGGUUCUACCAAACACUAAUUAAAAGAUAAAACCACAUCCAAACAGAAGCUAGAUGGAUUAUUUAUUCCUAAACAGAAGCAAAAACAAAAAACACAAAAUAAAAUUGGGUUGCCUCCCAACAAGCGCUAUCGUUUAACGCCCCUAGCUAGACAUUGAGAUUUCAAUGAUGCUCACAAGAAAGACAAGAAUUGAUGCACAAAGAGAGCAUCAUAAAACAUGUGACAAACACACUUAAGUCUAACAUACUUCCUAUGCAUAAGCAUAUUAUAGGAAAACAAAUUAUCGUAGCAAACAAAAACUAGCAUAUGCAAGGAAGCAGAAAGGAACAAUAGCAAUCUUAACAUAACGAGAGGUAAUUUAGUAACAUGAAAAUUUCUAUAACCAUAUUUUCCUCUCUCAUAAUAAUUACAUGUAGGAUCAUAAGAAAAUUCAACAAUAUAACUAUCACAUAACAUAUUCUCAACACGAUCCACAUGCAUGCGAAGUUGGCACUCUUUCGAAAUAGUGGGAUUAAUAUUAACUAAAGUCAUGACCUCUCCAAACCCACUUUUAUCAAAAACUUCAUAAGAUUGAUCAUUAUCCAGAUAUGUGGGAUCUAAAGUUGAUACUCUUCCAAACCCACUUUCAAUAUUAUUGCAAACAAUAUUAUCAAUGUCAUAUUCAUCAUGGGGAUCAAAUAAAUUUUCAAGAUCAUAAGAAGAAUCACCCCAAUCAUGAUCAUUGCAACAAGUAGAGGACAUAGCAAAACUAGCAUCCCCAAGCUUAGGGUUUUGCAUAUUUUUAGCACAAUUGACAUCAAUAGAAUUUAUAGUAAAAUCAUUGCAAUCAUGCUUUUUAUUCAAAGAUCUAUCGUGAAUCACUUCAUAAAGUAUUUCAUCACAAUUUUUAGAUUCACUAAUUUUAGGCAAAACCUCAUAAAGAUAAUCUAGUGCACUAAGUUCACUAGCAAUAGGUUCAUCAUAAUUAGAUCUCUUAAAGAGAUUAGCAAGUGGAUGAGGAUCCAUAAACUUUUAGCAAGUGAAGAUGUAAGCAAAAAGAAGGCACAUGGUAACACAAGAUUGAACAGAGGAAGGGCGAAUAAAACGGCAAGGGUGAAGUGGGGGAGAGGAAAACGAGAGGCAAAUGGCAAAUAAUGUAAUGCGAGGGAUAGGGAUUGCGAUGGGUACUUGGUAUUGUUGACUUGCUUGCGUGAGCCUCCCCGGCAAUGGCGCCAGAAAUUCUUCUUGCUACCUCUUGAGCACUGCGUUGGAUUUCCCCGAAGAGGAGAGGAUGAUGCAGCCAAAGUAGCGUAAGUAUUUCCCCCAGUUUUUGAGAACCAAGGUAUCAAUCCAGUAGGAGACCACACACAAGUCCCUCAUACCUACACAAAAUGAUAGCAACUCGCAACCAACGCUUACGAGUUGUCAAUCCCCUCAUGGUCACUUACGAGAGUGAGAUCUGAUAGAUAAUUUUUUGGUAUUUUUGAUAGAUAGAUACAAAGUAAAAAAGUAAAAGGCAAAGUAAAAACAAAGCAAGUAAAUAAAGUGAUAGAGAUUGAUAUGAUGAGAAUAGACCCCGGGACCAUAGGUUUCACUAGUGGCUUCUCUCAAGAGCAUAAGUAUUCUACGGUGGGUGAACAAAUUACUGUUGAGCAAUUGACAGAAUUGAGCAUAGUUAUGAGUAUAUCUAGGCGAUGAUCUUGUAUAUAGGCAUCACGUCCAAGACAAGUAGAUCGAAACGAUUCUGCAUCUACUACUAUUACUCCACUCAUCGACCGCUAUCCAGCAUGCAUCUAGAGUAUUAAGUAAAAACAGAGUAACACCUUAAGCAAGAUGACAUGAUGUAGAGGGAUAAAUUCAUGCAAUAUGAUAAAAAACCCAUCUUGUUAUCCUCGAUGGCAACAAUACAAUACGUGCCUUGCAACCCUUUCUGUCACUGGGUAAGGACACCGCAAGAUUGAACCCAAAGCUAAGCACUUCUCCCAUUGCAAGAACUACCAAUCUAGUUGGCUAAACCAAAAAGGAUAAUUCGAAGAGACUUGCAAAGAUAACUCAAUCAUACAUAAAAGAAUUCAGAGAAGAAUCAAAUAUUUUCCAUAGAUAAUACUGGAUCAUAAACCCACAAUUCAUCAGUCUCAACAAACACACCGCAAAAAUAAGAUUACAUCGAAUAGAUCUCCACGAGAGAGGGGGGGAACAUUGUAUUGAGAUCCAAAAAGAGAGAAGAAGCCAUCUAGCUACUAGCUAUGGACCCGAAGGUCUGAAGUAAACUACUCACACUUCAUCGGAGGGGCUAUGAUGAUGAUGUAGAAGCCCUCCGUGGUGGAUGCCCCCUCCGACGGAGCUCCGGAACAGGCCCCAAGAUGGGAUCUUGUGGAUACAGAAGUUUGCGGUGGUGGAAUUAGGUUUUUGGCUCCUGUUCUGAUCGUUCGGGGAGACAUAGGUAUAUAUAGGAGGAAGGAGUAUGUCGGUGGAGCGUCGAGGGCCCACGAGGUAGGGGGGCGUGCCCAGGGGGCAGGGGGGCACCCUCCACCCUCGUGACCGCCUCUGGCACUGCUUGGAGUAGGGUCCAAGUCUCCUAGAUCACGUUCGGUUGGAAAAUCACGAUCCUGAAGGUUUCAUUCCGUUUGGACUCUGUUUGAUAUUCUGUUUCUUCGAAAUACUGAAAAAGGCAAAAAACAACAAUUCUGGGCUGGGCCUACGGUUUAUAGGUUAGUCCCAAAAGUAAUAUAAAAGUGGAAAAUAAAGCCCAAUAUAGUCCAAAACAGUAGAUAAAGUAGCAUGGAGCAAUCAAAAAUUAUAGAUACGUUGGAGACGUAUCAUUCCCCUGAAAUCAUAUUCAUUGUCCUGAAUCUGAAAAGAUAGGAAAACAGUAGCUAUACUUAAACGGUGUUGCAAAACAGUAGCACAUAUCAAUAGCUCGGCAUGACAAAACACGAUCAUCUGGACGAAGGGGAUACUGACCUGCCUGAGGAAGAUUAUAUAUAAUUUCAUAAGUCCUUGGUUGAUUUCCACCUUCGGCUGCACUGCUUGUUUGCUCCUCCACACAUGACAGGAUCGUUCUGCACUGCAUUCAGCAAGUCAACGUACGAAUAAGCUAAUUUCAUCUUGCGGUGGUCAUUGUACCAAGUUACGAAUGUAGGAAUACCUGGAGCACCAUGAGGUUAGCUGACAGCCGGUAGAUGUAGCCAUAUAAAUUUUGUGUAGUGCUACCAAAAUUGAGGUUUGUAUCCCUUCCCGUUAUGAGAAUUGUUCUUGAAGUUGGUAGAAUGUGACGGCUUGUUCUUUGCAUCAAACUUGCCUUUCCCCUGAGAUUUGUUCUUGUUGUUUUGGGGCUGGUUGGGCUGGAAGUUCUUCUCAUGUACCAUUUGGGCACUAGAAGCUCCCUCAGCGACCCGAGCACUGUCGGAGUAAUGGGCCACGGGUAGGCUAACCUGAGCCCCAGAGCCUUUCAAGGCAUCAGGGCAGGCUGCGCCCCUUAAGCCAAGUCCCAGGCAGCGACUCCAAGAUGAGCCGAGUCCCAAGCAGCGACUCCAAGAUAAGCCGAGUCCCAGGCAGCGACUCCAAGAUAAACCGAGUCCCAGGCGGCGACUCCAAGAUAAGCCGACUCAUGGCCGACGACUUCCAGAGAAGCCGGCUUUAGAGAGUCGGCCUGCGAUUCCACCCGUCACCUACCUUCGCCACGAUAGGCGAGGCGUGGUACGGUCACGGCGUGGCCGUCACCCCCUGCUUACGAGGAGCUGGCAUGGCUACAGUAUGCCGUAUCGCUGGAGAUCUCCAGCAUGGCGCGGCACUGUUGCCAUGCCUGCCCUGACUUCAGCCAAAGUGGCGGCGCACUAUGGCCACGACGGCCUACCUGUACGACCCAGAGAUGGCAGGACCCGCCCGUCAGCAAGAGAACAGAAGACGACUGGGUGCACCCCGAAGACGGACCCGUGGGAGUCGGCUCCCCUGGAGUCGGCCGGCCCUUCCCACGAGCCCCACACACCAUUAACCAGACAAGACGGAGAAUGGCGACAGUGACCGUCCGAUAGACGGCAGCACUAUUGCCACGACCCCAUGACCAAGCCUGCGUCAUUAGAAGCACGACUACAGUAUCGGACCCGUCGGCGGGGCCCACCAGUCGGCGGGCCCCAGUAGUCGGCGGAGAAGACGGCGGCUUGUGAGACAAACGGCUGGGACCCGCGCCUAGCCGGAUUACCAUUGUACCCCCACGGGGUAGGCCUAUAUAAACCCCCCGGGGCACCCAUGCAAAGGGUUUGGAUCCAUUAGCACUAGACCAGAUCAUACAGGGAGGAGAGAGUUAGCCUUGCCUUCUCCUACCUCCAGAAUACAGCUCUAGGAGCAACCUUGUACUCACUUUGCCUUAGUGAUCAUGCGGAGACCCCGCAGAGCAGCAGUAGGGGUGUUAUCUCCCCGGAGAGCCCCGAAGCUGGGUAAGAUCCGCCGGCGUGCAUGUCUUCGCCUCAUCCCGUUUCCUGGCACCGGCGACGUUCUACUCGCUCCCACCAUGAUAAGCCAUCCUUUGGCAUAUGUCGCACCCAACCCCCGACAUUUGGCGCCCACCAUGGGGCGAGGUGCACCGUCAUCCGGAGACCCGCUCUUGACGGGAACCCUCUUCCUCCCCAGCGAGCGUAGCCAGCCCGGCACGCCCGAUGGCACUUGCCCCGACGCGCUGCAAGGCAUCCACGACGCCUGCGCAGCGAGCUGCCUCGCCGAUCUUCUUGGCGAGGUUUGCAUCUCCGACGAGCCUGCAUCCGACGCAGGCACGGGCGGGCCUCCUCGACCAACUCCAUGUCGCCGGCGAGCCCGCCGUCCAUAGGCUCCACCGACCCGAUGCUGGUCGACUCCGACAGUGUGUCGCUCGACACGUUCCCCACCAAUUUGGUGAUCUAUGACGAUCCGUUCCCUCGCGAGGAGAGCGGCGGAAGCACCGUCACGGAGGUGCUCGUUAUCAGUCAUGGCGAGCACUCCGGUGAGGGAGCUCACGAUCCACUCGACGCGGCUCUGCGAGACCUGACUGCACCCAUUCUGGAGGACGCUGACGGCGAGACGCUGGAGGCACGCCGCCUUCAGCUCAUCAAAGGCGCGAAGAAGCUGGCAAGCAUGAGACGCUUUUCAGAAGCCUACCAGCGUGAAAUGGAUCGCGCUGUGGGCGGCUCGCCAGCCCCGACUGGGCCUAGCCGCCUAGGUGCGGUCCGGCAACGCGGCAUGGCCAUCGCCAACCUGUUCGGGGCCGAUCACCCCAUGUAUGCCACGCCUGCGGAGAACAUUCGCGCCGCCCAGGCGGCGGCGAACGAGCUAGACAACUUCGAAGGCGAAGAGCGCCGCCUAAUGACCGAGCGGGUCCAGCGGCUCCUCAAAGCGGCUGCCGCGCAGAACGAAGCCGGCUGCCGCACGGAGGCGCCGCAACGACAAAACAACAACUUGCCUCCCCGCCGAGAUCAAGGCGCGACGUCUCGGACGCCGACUGGCGGUGUCCGUGGAAGAAAAGAGAAGGAUCCGGCUGUCAGCCACAGUCGGACUCGCAUCACCAUCGAGCGCGACCAAGACGGCCGCCCCAGAGCGGUGGAACGGCAGGGCGACUAUCUGCCUCCCCCACCACGAAGAGAAAGAUGAGUCUCCCCGCCACCUGUUGAGCAUCCGACUCUCGCGACCGCCUUGGCCGCCGAGAGGGAGUCGGAGAGAACGAUGCCCGCCACCGGAUCGACCGACUCCACCGAUCCCUGGCGCUGGAAGAAGAAGAUGAGCUGGGCCCGCCCUGUUUCGGACCCCACAUCCGAGACGAGCCUUUUCCCAAAGGGUUCACGCUCCCCCGAGACACGCCCAAGUACACCGGCUUCGUGAAGCCGGAAGAUUGGCUAGUUGACUAGUCCACAGCAGUCAACAUAGCCAACGACAACAAGCGUGUUGCCGUGAAGUAUGUUCUGCUCAUGCUCCAGGGCACGGCCCGGACAUGGUUAAAUAGUCUGAAGCCCCGCAGCAUCAACAGCUGGGUCGACUUCACCGAGGCCUUCGUCUGCAACUUCACAAGCAUGUACAAGCGACCCCCCAAGAUGCGUCAGCUUUCCUUGUGCGUAAAAGGCCAAGACGAGUCGACUCGCGACUACCUCAGACGAUGGGGCGAGCUUCGGCUCCUGCGAGGGCGUGCACGAGGUGCAGGCUAUUGAGUACUUCACCGCCGGGUGCAGAGAAGGCACCCUCCUCAAGCACAGGCUCCUCUGCGACGAGCCGGAGACCCUCGACGAGUUGCUGGUCAUAGCAGACAAGUAUGCGACGGCCGACUCCUCCAUGAAGACAGAGAUUCAAGUUAGUGCGACUGGCAAAGUGGCCCCUCAAGCUCCCAGAACUCCGGCUGGAGAUACCAGUCGGCGACAACAGCAAAAUGAUCACAAGCACAAAGCCCCACAGCCGACUUCCAGUAGUCGGCAGGUUGCGACAGUCGAAGACCAACAGCCGGAAGGGCAGCCUCCGGCGAAGCGACAGAAAGGCGGCAAGUCCAACUGGUUGCCGACCUUCUCUUACGAGCAGACACUGGAUGGUCCCUACAAGUUCCACAGCGGCGCGAAGCCGUCGAACCAUACCACCCGGAAAUGCCACUGGCUCACCAGAAUCGCCAAGGGAGACGGCCUUCUUCCUCCUCCGCCUGCUGGGCCGCCGCCUCCACAGCCGCCCCAGCAGCCGGCUGCCAGGCCAGUCGGCGCCGUACAAGAUGAGUACCCGGAAGAGCAUGGAGCCUAUGUAGUGUUCACCAGUAUGGCUGAUGACCGACGCAGCAGACGGCUGUAGCAGCAAGAAGUAAAUGCAGUAGCAUCAGAUACUCCGGAGUUUAUGCAUUGGUCCGAGAAGCCCAUCAGUUGGAGGAGAGCUGAUCACCCAGAGGUAAUGCCGAAUCCGGGCUCCUAUGCCUUGGUUUUAAGCGCCACCUUGGCCACAGAUAGGCGGGCCGCUCGCUUCUCGCGAGUGUUGAUAGACGGAGGCAGUAGCAUCAACAUCCUGUACAAGGAUACCAUGGAGAAAUUAGGAAUCAAGCAAAGACAGCUUCAGAGCAGCCGAACUGUGUUCCACGGCAUUGUACCUGGCCUUUCUUGCUCACCAAUCGGCAAGAUCCUGAUAGACGUUCUCUUCGGAGACAAAGAUCAUUUUUGCCGAGAGCCAGUUUGGUUUGAAGUGGUGGACCUUGAAAGCCCAUACCAAGCAUUGCUUGGCCGACCUGCUCUGGCCAAGUUCAUGGCGGUCCCCCACUACGCCUACCUCAAGAUGAAGAUGCCGAGUUCAAAGGGGAUACUGACCGUACCGGCGACUACAGGAAGUCGUCCGCCCGCGCGACUAAUAGUAGUCGGCUAGCCGAGUCCCUGGUGAUCGCAGCUGAGAGGCGGCUCCUUGAUCGGGUUGUGGCAAUGGCCGACAAGCAGCCAGAGAUGUCGCCCGACCCCAAGGAGUCGGAAGCUGAGGGUCCGUUCAAGCCGGCUAAAGAAACAAAGAGGAUACCUUUGGACCCAGAGCACCCAGAGAGGCAUGCUGUCAGAGGUGCAAACCUAGACAGCAAAUAGGAAGGUGAGCUCGUCGAUUUCCUCCGUGAGAAUCGAGACAUCUUCGCAUGGUCCCCUAAGGACAUGCCAGGUGUACCGACGGAAUUCGCCGAGCACAAGUUACAUGUCCGAUCUGAUGUGAAGCCCAUCAGGCAGCCCUUGCGCCGCCUGUCAGAAGAAAAGAGAAGAGUUGUUGGGGAAGAGAUAGCCCGACUCCUAGCGGCCGACUUCAUUAUGGAGGUGUUCUUCCCAGAAUGGUUGGCAAACCCGGUCCUAGUGUUGAAAAAGAACAAGCAGUGGCGGAUGUGUAUCGACUACACAAGCCUCAACAAAGCUUGCCCCAAAGACCCAUUUGCUUUGCCGAGAAUUGAUCAGGUGAUAGACUCCACAGCCGGAUGCGAGCUGUUGAGCUUCUUAGAUGCAUACUCAGGAUAUCACCUUAUCAAGAUGAACCCGGCAGACAGACUGAAGACUGCCUUCAUCACGCUGUUUGGAGCCUUCUGCUACCUGACUAUGACGUUUGGCUUAAGGAAUGCCGGCGCCACCUUUCAGCGUUGCAUGCAGAAAUGUCUCCUCAAGCAACUCGGCAGAAACGCCCACGUCUAUGUAGAUGAUGUGGUGGUGAAGACGGAAAAACGUGGGACACUAUUGGAAGAUCUCCAAGAAACCUUUGAGAAUCUGCGCCGAUUCCAGAUCAAGCUCAACCCUGAGAAGUGCGUCUUCGGAGUACCAGCCGGCCAGCUCCUUGGCUUCCUGGUCUCUGAACGCGGCAUAGAGUGCAACCCUAUAAAGAUCAAAGCCAUCGAGAGGAUGGAAGUCCCCCACCGACUGUUAGAUGUGCAGAAGUUCACCGGCUGCUUGGCGUCCAUUAGCCGAUUCAUCAGUCGGCUGGGUGAGAAGGCUCUCCCUUUGUACUAACUGAUGAAGAAGACCACCUUUUUGAGUGGAACCACAAAGCGGACGAAGCAUUUCUCCAGUUGAAAAAGAUGUUGACAACUCCCCCUGUGCUGGCGGCUCCGACUCCUAAAGAGCCUAUGCUCCUAUACAUUGCCGCUACCAGCCGAGUGGUCAGCACAGUCGUCAUAGUUGAAUGCAAGGAGCAAGGCAAGGCGCUCCCUGUCCAGAGACCGGUAUAUUACCUGAGUGAGGUACUGUCGACCUCCAAGUAGAACUACCCCCACUACCAGAAGAUGUGCUACGGCGUGCAUUUCGCCGCCAAGAAGUUGAAGCCUUACUUUCAAGAGCAUCCAAUCACUAUGGUCUGCACAGCUCCACUAGCCGAGAUCAUUGGAAGCCGAGAUGCUUCGGGCCGAGUGGCCAAAUGGGCCGUAGAUUUGGCUCCCUACACCAUCUACUACCAGCCCUUCAUCGCCAUCAAGUCACAAGCACUGGCCGACUUCCUUGUCGACUGGGCCGAGACCCAGUACCUGCCGCCAGCGCCCGACUCCACUCAUUGGCGGAUGCAUUUCGAUGGCUCCAAGAUGCGCACCGACUUGGGAGCCGACAUCGUCCUCACCUCCCCCAAAGGUGACAAGCUCAAGUAUGCGCUGCAAAUCCACUUCGCCGCCUCCAACAACGUUGCCGAAUACGAGGCGCUCAUUCACAGGCUCCGGCUUGCCAAAGAACUCGGCAUCCGCCGGAUCCUGUGCUAUGGCUACUCCGAUUUGGUGGUCCAGCAGUCGUCUGGCGACUAGGACGCCAAAGAUGCAAACAUGGCGAGCUACUGCUUCCUGGUGCAGCAACUCAGCGGAUAUUUUGAGGGGUGCGAAUUCCUUCACGUGCCAAGAAAUGACAACGACCAAGCUGACGCCCUGGCACGGGUCGGCUCCACACGCCAAGCAAUACCAUCCGGCGUCGCCCUUCAGCGCCUCCUCAAGCCGUCUAUCAAGCCUUCACCAGAAUCAGACUCCAUCUUUGUGCCGGCUCCCCCCGAAGAAGUCGGAUCCGACUCCAAAGCACCAGUAGACGGCACGAGAAUUCUCACAGACGGCUCCAAGAAUACCGCAGUCGAAGCCGGCCCGGGGACUUCAGAACCCGGCUCGGGGACUGCGACGAUCAGCCCGAAGACUCCAGAGCUCGGCCCAGGGACUUCGCCGAUCCAGCAAGCGGCCGCAGACUCCAGCCCGCCGCCUCCCAGCCCAGCCGCCCUUGUCCAAGUCGCAAUAGUGGCAAUUGAAGAAACAGCAGCACCCUCAUGGGCCCAGCCCAUCCUCAAGUUCCUAGUAAACACAGAGCUGCCAACCGAUGAAAUCUUGGCUCGGCAGGUGCAACGCCGAGCGACAGCCUACACCAUAGUCAACAGAGAGCUGGUCAGGCGCAGUGUCACUGGUGUCUACCAACACUGCAUCGAAGCAGAGCAAGGCCAAGCAAUUCUCAGAGACAUCCAUGAAGGCGAGUGCGGCCACCAUGCGGCCUCAAGAGCACUCGUCGCCAAAGCCUUCCGGCACGGUUUCUUCUGGCCGACUGCCCUAGAAGAGGCCAAAGAGUUAGUCCGAAAAUGCAAAGGGUGCCAGAUGUUCCGUUCCAAGCCACUUCAGCCGGCUUCCACACUCAAGACCAUCCCCAUCGUCUGGCCCUUUGCAGUUUGGGGCCUGGACAUGGUGGGACCAUUCAAGACGGCACGAGGCAGCCUAACUCAUCUGCUUGUCGCGGUGGACAAAUUCACCAAGUGGAUAGAAGUAAAACCCAUCAAGAAGUUGAAUGGUCCGACUGCAGUGACUUUCAUCGCCGACAUCAAGACUCGGUACGGCAUACCACACAGCAUCAUCACCAACAAUGGCACAAAUUUUGCCAAAGGCGCCUUGGCCCGUUUCUGCGCGACGUAGGGCAUCCGACUGGACUUAGUGUCCGUUGCCCAUCCGCAGUCAAACGGCCAGGUGGAGCGAGCAAACGACCUCAUCCUAUUCGGCAUCAAGCCUCGACUGAUUGAACCACUGGAGCAUUCGGCUGGCUGUUGGCUUGAGGAGCUGCCAGCCGUCCUCUGGAGUCUGCGCACGACUCCAAACAAGUCAACCGGCUUCACGCCUUUCUUCCUUGUCUACGGUGCUGAAGCCGUCAUCCCAACGGACAUAGAGUUCGACUCCCCGCGAGUCACCAUGUACACCGAGGAGGAAGCAGAAGAAGCACGUCAAGACGGUGUCGAUCUGCUGGAAGAGGGCCGGCUGUUGGCACUCAGUCGGUCCGGCAUCUACCAGCAGAGCCUGCGCCGAUACUACAACAGGAAGGUCAGGCCAAGAUCUUUCCAAGAAGGCGACCUUGUGCUCCGACUGAUCCAGCGGACAGCCGGCCAGCACAAGCUGUCGGCACCUUGGGAAGGCCCCUUCAUUAUCAGCAAAGUGCUGGGCAACGACUCCUACUACCUGAUCGACGCUCAGAAGCCCCAAGCACGCAAGAGAGACGAGUCCAGCAAAGAGUCGGAACAACCAUGGAAUGCAAAUCUCCUCCAAAGAUUUUACAGUUGAUGCAGUAUGUACCAUGCUACCCCUUUGUAUUAAAGUACCGAGACUUCGGGCCCCCCGAGACGAGCUCGGGGACUGCCCCUUUUGAUUAUCUGUAUGAUAAGAAUUAUGCCUUCGAGUAUGCUACUUCUUGCUACGCCGCUUGGCGCCGGGUUCGACUAGUCGGCCCGGGGACUCGCCGUCUGGCGCUAUGAAAUGUUUCCUAAAGUCGGACAAGUAGUGUGCGGCGCCUAAGCCGUCUCCUGCCAGAGGCCGCAGCUUGCAGAGCGACUGUUUGGUGGGCAGGAGUAAGAAUGAAUGGGCAUUCACACGAAAAAUGGCUAAGGACCUAAAGCAUUAACAUAGCUUAAGCCGGCUUCCAGCCCCUUUUCGCAAAACCGACUCGCGAGUAGUCGACUUGCCGCUUUCUAUCCAACUUGUUAAAAAAACUCCAAUGAAUGGCAAGUACUUGCUUUCCCCAAAGUAGCCAGGCACUUGGUCCAGCGGCAGUGCGCGGAGCGGUUGUCCGGCUGACAAGGCGGCAACAAGGGGAAGGCGGCAAAGGAAAAAGCCAAAGGAGCAAUGAGCAAGGAAAGAUAGAACUCGGAUUAAUAUUUACAUAGCAUAGGCCCUUGGCCGAAUCUUCAAACAGAAGUUCAAAAUACACCCCGCGGGUGGAAUUGUGCAAAUUAACAAGUUCUUCAAAGACUUUUUUAGAGCAGAUAAAAUAAAAGCCAGAAAGCAGCCUAGGGAGCAGCAGACGGGUUCGGAGGAUCGGAGGAGACGGCGGUGUCAGGCGCCGGGGCAGCCGGCUGGGCAGUCUCGGCUUGAUCGCCGCCAGCGGCAGCCGGCCCGGUCGGACGCGGGUCGUUGCUGGAGGCACGGUCGAGCUAAGGCUAGUCGCCCGCUCCGUCUUCUGGUGCCUCCGUCUCGCCUUCAUCCUCCGCCUCGCCUUCCUCCUCGGUGCUAGAGUCAAUCACCUCCGCCGAGUCCUCGCCAUAGUCCGGGUUCAUCCCGAACCACUCUGGCGGCACCUCCUCACCGCCUGCAGCCCGCUCAGGGACGAAGACACUGGUAUCUGUGUAGUCGGCAAUCGCCACCGCACGCUCGACAAGGGCGCCCUCCACAGCCACCAGCUCUGCUUGGGCCUCUAACCAGAACACGGCCAGCCGGCCCAGGUCCAGCCCCGGAUACCACCCCUUGACGAAUUCCAAGGCCCGGCGCGCUCCGUCCCGGGCCGAGGAACCCUUCCAAGGUUCAAGACGGCCAGCUGUGACCUCCAGCCAGUCGGCAGUCCGACUGGCGGUGCGCAGAGCCGGCAUGUCUGGCCACAGAGCGGCAACCUCCUGGGCGCCGGCACGCUGAAGCCGGCGCAUCAACCGAUGGGCCGGACAAAGACGGGCCUCGAUGCUCAGAAGCUGCUCGUCGACAGUCAGGGGGGCGUUAGCGGCGAUCUCCGCGCCGCUUGCCCUCCGUGCCUCGCGAUCAGCCUCGAUGGCCUGAGUGACUGCCUGCGAGUGGCCAGGGAAGAAGUCUGCCAAGACAAAAAAGAAGCAAGUCAAAAAAUCAGAAGUCAGCCCGACCUAUAGUCGGAAGCUCAAAGAAAGAAAGGAAGAAAAGAAACUCACCGUCGACGAUGUCCUUGAUCUCAUGGAAGCCGGAGGUCAGCAUCGCCUCCUUGUCAGUCCAGGAGGAGCGCUCGCUCUCGAACUCGGCCAGGAGAGCAGCCUCCUUCUUCUCGGCCUCGUCCUGUGCCUUCUUAAGCAGCUCCUUCUGCUCGGCCAGCUGCGCAGCCAGCAGGUCGCGCUCUGUGGCAAGCUUGCUGCACUCCUCCCCCUUGACGCGCAAGGCGGUGUUGACUUCGCCCAGCUGCUCCUGAAGAGUGGCGUUGGCCCCUGAAGAACGAAAGAAAGAGACGUUAAGUCGUCAGCAAAGAAGGUCGCCGGAAAGAUCCGGCCCGACUGCUCAACAGUCGGCCCGAAUCUCGGGGACUACAGCCCGCGGGUGCGCCAGCGCGCCCCCGCGAAGAAGAAGAAGAACAAAGAAAGAGACAUUAAAGUCGUCAAGAAAAGAAGGCCGCUGGGAAGAUCCGGCCCGACUGCUCAGUAGUCGGCCCGAAUCUCAGGGACUACAGCCCGCGGGUGCGCCAGCGCGCCCCCGCGAAGAAGAAGAGGAACUCACUCCGGCUCUCCAUCAAGUCGGCAAUCCGCUUGCUCAACUCCUCAACGUUGCGGUUGAAGGCAGUGGCGCGGAGGUUGUGAUACUCCUGUAAUAAACAUUUCAGACAAAGAUAAAUACUUGGAACUCGCCAGAGGGAGUUCUGAACCGCCUGCUCAGCAGCUGGCCCGAAACUCGGGGACUACACCCAGUGGGUGCGCUAGCGCGCCCCCAUAGAGAAGAGCAAGAAAGACAAGAAUCAAAGAAAAAGCAUACCCGGACGGCCGCUUGCGACGCCAGAUGCGCCUUGGUGCAGUUCUGGAGAGCGUCGCCCUCGGCUCGCAGCUUCGCCUGGACGUCCAGAAGCGCCUGGUACAGCGGACCUGUGCCGCCUCCACGCACCCACCCAACGGGCGCGGCGCUCGUCGCCAUGGCGUGUGGGAUGGCCGAGCUGGCGGCACCGACCUCCAAGGGCCGCGGCGCCGAAGUCACCUUCUCAAGACGGCGGCGCGCUGGCGAGGCGACUUGAAGGAGCAGCGUCACCACGGCCUCGUCUUCAGUCGGCGGCACCGGCGGGCCCGCCGGCUGUUUUCCACGCGCGCUCCUAGACGGCGGCGGAGGCGGCGGUGGCGGCACGAGCGUGUACGACAUGGAGGCCUUGCCGCUUUCCUUCUUCGCGAUGGGGUUCUCGGCGCCGGCUUCUCCAGUCUGCCCCAUGAACUCCGGAGGCGGCGGUGUGGACGACAGGGGGAGGACGUGCAACACCGAUUGGCGGCGCGUGGCCUCCUCAGCUCGCCAUCUGGCCGCGAUGGCGGCUUCGGCCUCUUCCAGCUUCUUCUGGGAAGAGGCCGCCGCCAUCUUAGCCUCCGCCUUCUCCAGGCGGUCGGCCUCCUCCUCAUCGCGCCUCUCCCGCGCGUUUCGCUCCGUCGCCUCCCAGAGGUCGGCGGCGGGGUCGACCCGCCGGGUGUUGGCGGACAUCUCUGCCGAGCCCAUGACGGAGGGGACGGCGACCCUCUCAAGGAGACUAGCGGUGGCCUCUUCACUUCCUUACAAAAGCGGUUGGCCUUCGCGGCCGCCUCCUCCCGCUUGGUCGCGGCGGCCGCCCCCUUGAACUUCUUUGGCUUGCCGCCGAGCGAACUCGGCCCGGCGUGGCGCCUCUUCACGCCGCCUUGGCCGGCCAAGCCGGCGGAGGAACCCGCGCCCGAUGGGACGACCCUUGGCUGGUGGCGCGGGACGACUUCCCCUUCGGCGUCGUCUUCAGACCAGUCGGUGAAGGUGGCCGAGGGCCUGAGGCCGCUUCCCGCUCCUCCUCCGCCGCCUUCGAUGUCGGCCUCCAUCGCCGCCGCCCCCAAGUCAGGGUCGUCAACGUCGCUCUCCGCUCGGUCGGGGACGAACUCGUGGGGCGGUCUUGCGACACCGGCUACGGGCUGAAUGAGGGGGUUCUAACUCAGAGAAACCAAUGAAAAUCAGAAGUCAGAUUCGGCUAUAAAGAAGACAAAGCAAUAAAGAGAUGUGACUUACCACUGGAGGGGGGUUGGCACGCGAGUACGGCUCCUUGCCGAACUGCCAAUCCUCCCCGAGCUCGCAGUUCGCGAUGUGGUUCACCAUGUUUGCCACCUCUGCACGGGGCAUUUCCCUGGUGCACAUCCGACUCGGGUCCCGGUGGUCGCUCAUCUGACUGAUUAGAUGAGUCCGGCCUUGGAGCGGGAGGACUCGGCGUGCCACGAAGGCGGCUAGCAAGUCGGCCCCAACGAGGCCCUCCGACUGCGUCAGAACUCGGAGUCGCGCUACGGCGGCGGCUCCGGCGGGAGUCAGCGUCUUGACUCGAUGAGACCAGCUGGGGAGCCUACUAGCCGGUGUGCCGGCUUCAUAAGGCGGCAGAUUGACCCAGUCGCCGUCGGGGGCGACGUUCUUCAUGUGGAAGUACGACCGCUACCACAUCUUCACCGACUUGAUCAGCGGGAUGGAGGGAAACAGAUUGUCGGCCGUCGAUCGCCGCAUCGCGAUGAAGGCGCCGCAUUGAGCCGGCACGCCGGCGACGUGCGUGCCGAGCUUGGAUGAGAAGAAUUCUCCCCACAGCUUGAUGGUGGGGAGAACGCCGAGAAAGCCUUCGCACAGGGUGGCGAAGGCAGCCAACAACACCACCGUGUUCGGGGUGAGGUGGUGCGGCUGGAGCCCGUGGAACUCCAAGAAGGAGCGAAAGAAGCCGCUCGCCGGCAGCCCCAGGCCGCGCAUGAGGUGCGAGCGGAAGAUGACCCGCUCUCCUUCCUCCGGCGCCGGCGAUAUCUCCCUCGCCGGCGCGACGCGGGCUCGCACGAGGUGCGCGCCGGGGAGGCGGUGCGUCUUGCGGAGAAACUCGAUGAGGUCGACAUCUACCUCCGAGCCGUCCCACACGCCGGAGCGCAUGACAGAAGCCGCGGCGGCGGAGGAGGAGCUCCUCGCCGUUGGCACGGUGUGGUUCUGCACGACGGCGGCAAAGAAGAAGAGCAGAGGAGGCAAGAGGAGGCGGGGGAGCAAGGAAGAUGGGCGCGCGUGCUUUGCCGCUCCACUUCUCCCGCCUACUUAUAGCCUUGUAGGCUGAGAAGCCGAUGGGGCGGGCGUGGGAUUAACUGCGCACGGGACCCCACGCCUCCCACCGAUUUACCCCAUGAAGUUACUGCGCGCAGUAACAACGUGGGAAACCCAACCGUCCGCACGGCCGCAACGGAUCCGUUUGCAUGGGUAGGCAGACUGUCCUUGCCGCGUGGCGCCGCGUGACACGACCGCGGCGGGCGGCUACGGGGAAGCGUAUCAGGCACGCCGCCUAAUCUCCCGCCACGACUGUCGAACUCUUUACGGAGCAAGACAGCUCCCUGCGAAUCCGACUCUGGAUAGUCGGCCUGAAGGAAGACGGGAAGCGAAGCCUAGAUUCCACUGCCAGAAGAAUGAAACUAUUGAGGCCCCAAAACGUAUCACUCUCGGAGCCUCACCAGCUUCGGGGACUACUGUCGGAGUAAUGGGCCACGGGUAGGCUAACCCGAGCCCCAGAGCCUUUCAAGGCAUCGGGGCAGACUGCGCCCCUUAAGCCGAGUCCCAGGCAGCGACUCCAAGAUGAGCCGAGUCCCAAGCAGCGACUCCAAGAUGAGCCGAGUCCCAGGCAGCGACUCCAAGAUAAACCGAGUCCGAGGCGGCGACUCCAAGAUAAGCCGACUCAUGGCCGGUGACUUCCAGAGAAGCCGACUUUAGAGAGUCGGCCUGCGAUUCCACCCGUCACCUACCUUCGCCAUGAUAGGCGAGGCGGGGUACGGUCACGGCGUGGCCGUCACCCCCUGCUUACGAGGAGCUGGCAUGGCUACAUUAUGUCGUAUCGCUGGAGAUCUCCAGCAUGGCGCGACACUGUUGCGAUGCCUGCCCUGACUUCAGCCACAGUGGCGGCGCACUGUGGCCACGACGGCCUACCUGUACGACCCAGAGACGGCGGGACCCGCCCAUCAGCGAGAGAAUAGAAGACGGCUGGGUGCACCCCGAAGACGGACCCGUGGGAGUCGGCUCCCCUGGAGUCGGCCGGCCCUUCCCACGGGCCCCACACGCCAUCAACCAGACAAGACGGAGAAUGGCGACAGUGACCGUCCGAUAGACGGCGGCACUGUUGCCACGACCCCAUGACCAAGCCUGCGUCAUUAGAAGCACGACUACAGUAUCGGACCCGUCGGCGGGGCCCACCAGUCGGCGGGCCCCAGCAGUCGGCGGAGAAGACGGCGGCCUGUGAGACAGACGGCUGGGACCCGCGCCCAGCCGGAUUACCAUUGUACCCCCGGGGGGUAGGCGUAUAUAAACCCCCCGGGGCACCCAUGCAAAGGGUUCGGAUCCAUUAGCACUAGACUAGAUCAUACAGGGAGGAGAGAGUUAGCCUUGCCUUCUCCUACCUCCAGAAUACAGCUCUAGGAGCAACCUUGUACUCACUUUGCCUUAGUGAUCAUGCGGAGACCCCGCAGAGCAGCAGUAGGGGUGUUAUCUCCCCGGAGAGCCCCGAAGCUGUGUAAGAUCGGCCGGCGUGCAUGUCUUCGCGUCAUCCUGUUUCCUGGCACCGGCGACGUUCUACUCGCUCGCACCAUGAUAAGCCAUCCUUUGGCAUAUGUCGCACCCAACCCCCGACAAGCAUGUGUGUCUUUUGCUCUCGCCUUCUCCUCAAAAUCAAGAGUGCUAAUGAGAUCCAAAAUAGAAAACUCAUGUCUCUUGUUUUUCAGAGAAGUAGCAAAAUCGUUCCACGAAGGUGGAAGCUUGGCAAUGAUGGUCCCAGCAACAAAUUUGUCCAGCAACACACACUUAAAGUACUCAAGUUCCUUAGAGAGUGACUGUAUCUCAUGAGUCUGCUGAACAACAGAGCGCUCAUCAGUCAUCUUGUAGUCACAGAAUUGCUCCAUGAUGUACAACUCAUUGCUAGCACCCGAGGGCCCAAACGUGGCCUCGAGCGCAACCCACAUGUCUUUGCCGCUGUCAAACAACAUAUAUGAAUCCACAAUGGAAUCGUCAAGAACACUCAACAUGGCGGCUUUGAAGAGGGUAUCCAUGUUCUGAAAAUCUUCCUGCUGUGUAGGAUUAAGAUCGCCCUCAGACUUACCCUUAGUGGCAUCAUAGCAGUACAUGAUCUGAAACCAAUAUACUGCUCUUGUGCGCCACCUUUUAUAUUGCACCCCCUUAAAAGUAGGCGGCUUCAAAAGCGCAGCAAAACCACUCGGAGUAAAUUGCCUGUAAUCAGGUUUUUGGAUUGGAUAGUUGAAUAUAUGAGCAAUUUAGUAUGGGAUUUAAUCCGAAUCAGCAGUAAAUAGAUCAUGACGACAAUUGCAAACAUCAAAGUAAUGAUGCGGACUAAACUAGGAGGACAUAAUCACAUACUGUAUAGUGGGAGCAGAACCGAUGUGGUUGAUGUUGUCACUCAUGUCGUUGAUGAAGGGGUUACCGAGGUCGGGGAAGAAGGCUGUCGUUGAGGAAGUCGUCACUGGCAGCAGUCACAGGAGUGUGCUCCCCAAAAACCUGAUCGCCCCUCUCCCGUACAGGAUCACGAAAGGCGACUUUCGGUGGACUGCUGUCCCUUCUCGCGGUGCACGCCGGAAGGAGGGCUGGAGAAGAAUUGCGUGGCGGCACUAAGAUCUGGAAAGGUGCAAAACCAUAUGAUACAACGGCGGCUAGGGUAGAGCAUGUCAGGUCGGUCGUGCGAGUAUAAUAGUAGGCCUUUGGCCCCCAAACCCCACGUCCAAGUCAAUAAUAGCUCAAAAAAAGUCAAUAAUAGCCCCACCAAGGUUUGUCUCAAAAAAACAAAGUAAUUAAGGCGUCCGUUAGUCCCUUUAUUAUAAAUACUAUAUCAUUAAUAAUGGCCCCACCUUUUGUCUCACAAAGUAUGUUGGAGUACAACUAGCUACACGUUUACAAUCCGCUUCUCUUCUCUCUCCUCUUCUCUCUCCUUCAACUAAGCACAAAUACUAUAUUUAAAUCCUUAUAGUCUGCUUAUGCAAUCUAAUUGUAGUACUUGCUCUAAAGUUACUCUCCACUGUGUAGUCUGAAAUGCCGAGCGUGCAGCGGGCGAUUCCCUCGGCCGGCGCGCCGCUUCAACAGCGGAAGUAGAGAGAGGUCACGUUGCCCUGACUUGCCAUCAAUGUGGAGUAGCGGGCUCAGCUGGCGCCGGGUGGGAAGCACGCGUGGGAGGGGGGAGGUUUUUUUGUUGGGCCAAGAAGGUGAGAAGCCAACUUGGGACCGGUCCGGACGGGGAAAUAUCAUGUGCUCCCAUACUCUGCAUAUGACACUGGUCUAUGUUACUACUCCCUCCUUUCCGGUUUAUAGAGAUGUUUAGAGUAACAUAGUAAUAUGUUACAAUAUAAGUUACUCCCCACUAUGACCAGCCUUGGCAUCUCCCAGUGCUCCACCAUGUAUAGCUGCUAAGCCUGCCACGUAGGCAUAAAAUACGAUGUGGCACCAAUAAACUAAGCACCUAUGCAUUGAAGACUUGAGUUACUAAGCCAUUUAAUGCACUUAGCACCUCAUCUAAAGAGCAUGGUUAAUAGUAUAUCCAGCUGCUGGCUAUAAGCCAGUGCCAUGUCAUCUACAACCCAUCUUAUAGUCAACAUGUACAAUAGUAGAUCAAAAGAGUGUACUACUUUUUUUAUUAUGUGGCCCACCUUUCAUUCUCACAAAGUGCCUAGGAGCAUGUGCUAGAGCUGGCUCUUCACGAAGAGCCCGCUUACCUUCUCUCUCCUCUUCUCUUUCCUCCAACUAAGUAGAAAUAUACUAGUUUAUUCCUUAUAACCCGCUGACUCAACUCUAUUGUACUUGCUCUAAGCACAUCUAAGCACUCACUAGCACCACCUUGAUCGUGGACCUUGACGGUGUACGUCACCUUGUGUCUCAUAAUUUUCCUCGUCAUCAUCUGAGUACUAGAAGAUCUCACCCACAUCAUCAUUAGCAUACAGCCGCCUUGAUAGACAACAUGCACAGAAGGAGUAGAGGCGACUGGGGACGCACCACCACCACAUCGUGGGCACUCUGUAUGUGCUCGUGUGCGUGCAACAUGCAUGUUUUUCCAUCGGUGCUAGCUAUAAGGCCGAGGCUGCGGUCGUCUUCGUCUCCGACUAGUAGUUGAGCAACGACGGCAAAGAGGUGCUGCAAGAGAUGCGUAUGCGCCGUUGCGUGCGAGCUUCGCCGUAGCACGAUGAACCGGAUGUCGCCGCGGAUGGCGCAUGCCUCCAUGCAGCCGAGUGUGUGCGCAUGCAUGUGUUAUUCACAUGCAUUCUGCGGCCGAGCGUGUGUGCAUGCACGUGUUGUGUACGUGCGUUGUGUGCUCCAUGCUGUGCGCGUAUGUGCAUGAGUUGGAUCGGAUGGAGUUAGUGUGUUGGCUUGUGUACAUGCGUGGCUGCAUGCGUCCUAUACAUGCGUUGCUUGUUGCGUGGUUAUCAAUAAUUCAAUAUAAACUACUCCCUCCGUUCCUAAAUAUAAGUCUUUCUAGUCAUUUCAAAUAGAUUACAACAUAUGGAUGUAUGUAGACAUAUUUUUGAGUGUAGAUUCACUUAUUUUGUUUCGUAUGUAGUCCCUUAUUGAAAUCUCUAAAAAGACUUAUAUUUGGGAACGGAGGGAGUAUAAAACAUCUUCAACUUAGCAUCCUGAUGUACCGUUUCUAGUGGUUAGCGAAAAAUUCAUGUUCUUUUAUUUGUUUAUAGGUGGGCAGGCAGCAAAAAACAGGGGAAAACGCGCAAGGUUCCUUGCAGACGCUCCACCGCGAGGUUCCUUGCUCCUUCUCGGUCGUCGGGAAUCUAUGCUCUUCAACUCUUUUCUUUUACGUGAGCUUUGUUCAUCCUUUUCCCAACACAUGAGACAUCUAGCAUCAAGGUGCACGUGUCAUGCAAGAAAAUGGAGAUAAUCAGAUAAGCAAUGCGUAAGUGAGUCAUGCGGGGGGAAAAGCGGGGGGGGGGACCCUUUUUCGUAAGUGGGUCGUGCACUUCGAUGGCACCUACGCAAUAUUUUUUCUCCUCGAUGGCACGUGAAUAGUGCACGUACUCAACGACGGAGCACAGGAUGGUAGCAAUGACAUGGUCAGCCCUCUUUUGGAGAGACUACGUACUACUAGUAAAUAAAUUCGAUGUGUCCUGUCAACUCGCAGAACGACGAGAAGCUUGAUUAUGCCUUCUCCCUCGCCAACGCGUGCGCGGUGGCUCGCAGCACGAGGAGAAACUUUUGCUUACAAGCGGUGGACGUGCAACAGUUCAUUUGGUGUCAGAUUGCCAGAAGCACUACUGUAGAACCAUCGACUUCCGGAAGAGGUGAAGAGCCAAGUGCAAGGUCACCUACUAACCUUAGGCUAGGUGUAGUGGGAAUAACAUAAGUAGGGGUACCUUCUUUUUUUAUUCUAGAAACAACCACAUGCGAAUAUCAAGGUGCUGGUUACGUAGAACAAAUUUCCUGGAAUCCGUGCUCAGCCCUCCUCUAUCUCUCUUCUCAGCCAGCCAGCGGACGUGUGGAGCCCAUUGUUUGUUUGCUCACAUGCGGUCCCACAUGUCAGUGAAAACGAAAGAGGACCCACAGAACCUGCACAUCUUUCACCUCGGUGUGCUGGUGAUAAAAAACAAAUCGAAAUAAAGAUCUUCGGUGGCUGCUUUUGGAGUUACUCAAGAGUAGUAAGAUUCUAUUUAUAGUUUAACCCAAGAUGCACAUCACGUGGCUUCAUCUACCACUCUAUUUUCUUGCAUGACACGACCUAGAUGCUGGAUGUCCCACGUGUCGGCAAAAGGAGGAAGAGCCCGACCAAAUCUUCGGUUGUGCUCUCGGAUUAGACUAGUUGUGCUAACUUAAAAAAUUUAUUGUGUACUCCCUCCGUUCCAAAAUACUUGACUUCCAUUUGUCCAAAAAUGGAUGUACCUAUAUACUAAAACAUGUCUAGAUACAUCUAUAUUUUGACAAAUAGAAGGCAUGUAUUGUGGAACGGAGGGAGUAGAAUGGAUGCAAGUUUUGGUAUUAGGAAGAAGAGUACAUCCAUAUAUUGAUAGAGCGUUGGAGUUGGCCUUACAAGUGGGACCACAGUUGAGGAAACCGACUAUUGGCAAACCCCCACCUCGCCCGCCGCGCGAUGGCUGAGUUAGAGAAACGAUGAGGUUGAAGAGAUUGCUCUAGUACGGACUCCAAGAAAUAUGGUGUCAGAUGGAAGUCGUGCUGGUGGCGUGUGCCGUACUCCUGGACGUGAAUGCUUGUUCUGGCGCAUGCCACCCUACUACUCCUACUACUUACUAUAUAGUACUAGUAUCGAGGAUUCGAGCUGCUGGUUACGUAUAGUAUGGCUACAGUAAAAACACCCACCCAAUGCGCGAAGCAUGUGAAGCUAGUACAAAUAGUGUACUACUAUUGUUGAUUGGCCUCAUCUGAUAACCUGUUGCAAUGCACGUACAAUUAUGUAUUCAGAAAAUAUUUUUUUGCCUCAUCGCACCACUCACUCAGAGAAGCGACUCGAAAGCCAUUCAUAAAUUUAGUUAGUUUAUCACAAGCAUAUCAUUUUAUUACAUACAAUAGGUCAUCAACCCACAUCGACAACGAGGAUACGUUAUAAAUACUAAAGUUUUCAUCACACAACAAAUAACAAGCAAUGAAAUGAACUUCAAAUCAACCAAUCCUCAGCGUUGGAAACACUUGCUUUGAACCACAAGUGAUUCUCUGGGACGGGCCAUCUAUUGUCGAUCUCGAGACCAACGCAGGACUGAUCAUCCAUGCUGAAGUGGCCUACUAUAUCAGUACCAGGGUAGGGAACCACCCAAAUGUCCGAGGUAUAGACACAGUUGCUUCUCAUAAAUGGUACUAGAAACAUUGUGUCAACAACAGUUGGAUCGCCUUUCACCAUCAUCGGAUAGUUUUGUCCAAGGAAGAGCGAGUUUUCUGCAAGACUAUCAAUUCUGUACCAGGGAGAAGGUGUUGGCGCUAGCACACUAGUAUCCAUCCUGAAUACCAUGCAAUGGGUGUUGGAAUAGGUCCGGAGAGUGCGACCAUGGGAUACUACACGUGCUCCCUUAGUAGUAACAAACUCAGUGCGCUGUAUACACACAAGAAGAGGUGAUCCAUCGGAAUUAGUUGCCAGGCGCCACUGAGUAUAUACAUUUUGCUCGUCCUCAUGCUCAUGAUCAUCACCAUCGUUAUCUCCCCCUUGGUUAUAAAAAUUUUCAAGUAUAGGUGGUGGAAUGUUCACAGGACCUUGGAAACACAAGAAGAAGGUUAAUUAGUAAAGGGAAACUUGCUAACCCGAUGAAACAAUUAUAAUUAUGGUGGAAGACAAACAUACUGAAAGUAUAAGGAUUCCAUGCAAAAACAGUGCCACGAGUAGUGGCAGCAAACACAAGGCCCAUCGUAUUGAAUUGCAUCACAGUACACAUUCAUGUAUAGAAACUAAUUUUUGAGCAAUAUCCAUCCAGUCGAACCACGAAGGACGGCAACAAGCUUGUCGAAGAUAGCAACAACUUCAUAGUUGUUUUAAUUCCAAGAGCGGUUGGGAACUCAACAAAUUGCUAUCUUCCGUAGAAGACAGUCACCAUGAUCGUAUUUGAACGUGCGUACAAUAUCGGUGUGCUCAACCUCUGGGCAGUCUGUUGAGAUUUUUGGAAGUGGAACCCGGUCACGAGUGUACACAUUCACAAGUUCCCACUCACAAUUAGACCCAACGUAAACAACCCAAUCUCCAUUUGCGCCUACCCAAUCCUUGCCCUCAAGCGAUGGCAUCUUAACAUCAUAUGUAUCAUUAUCAAGCGGCAUCAGCUUGCACAAGGCGAGGCCUCCGUCGUCCCCGCACCAGUAGUCAUCAGGGUCACGACGAAGAAGAUAGGGGAGAUCAAACCGCUCCUUGACUCUUGGGUUCCUUGUAAUGAUGUUAUUAGUUGAGUCGAGAAUGGGCUUGAACGAACCUAUCAUGCUAGCCUAGGUGAUGACAUCGCACUGAUCAAUGAGUUCCUCCACCAUGUCAUCUUUCAGAUCGGGGAAAGAAUAAUGGGGUCGUUUUCGGCCUGUUCCCUCCAUGGAGAAGACAAUCAAACAAUGGCAGAAGGAAGGGUGAAGGGCUAAAGGAAAAUGGAGGAGGGAGAGGAAGAGCGUGCGACAGCAGUUCCAAAUCGAGAGGGAAAGGCAAAGAGUCGGUGGACGGUUGCCUAGUUUGCCAUGGUUCACGAAGAGGCGGCCUACACGUCUGUUCGGGAAUACUAGUAGAAAAGGACUCGCCGUCGUCUCACUGAUAUGUUGGAACGGUGAAAGCACAAGUGCUCCCUAGGUGGUUUUGGUAAUUAAUAUCAACAUAUCUCUUGUUGGACUAACACUUUUAUCUAGUAUGUUUCAGAUAAGUUCAACAAUGGAGUGGCAUGGACUAAAGGAUGUGGGAACUCCUUCAAGAUGCUAAGGACAAAGGAUUGGCUCAAGCUUCAAGCUCUAGACUCUUCAUUUUACAUUUUAGUGAUCCCAAAUCACAUUGAGUCUAUAGGAAAAGCCAAUACUAUCAAGGAGGGAUGAGGUGUUGCUUAAUGAGCCUCUUGCUUCAAGUGCUUAGUGAUAUGCUCCAAAUACCCUCAACUACUUUCCCACUUCCACACAUAUGACCUAAACCUAAAGUCAAACUCGGUCACACCGAUUCUUCCUAUCCGGCGCCACCGAGUUCAGUUGUCAUAGCCACUGCCAGAAACCCUAGGCAAAUCGGUCUCACCGAUAGGGAUCUCGGUCUCACCGAGAUGGGAUUGUAAUCUCUCUGUGUAUGUCCAUUAUCAAAAUCGGUCUCAUCGAGUUUGAGCAAUCAGUACUACCGAGAUUACAAUGCAAACUCUCUGGUUAACUUAUUAUCAAAAUCGAUCCCACCGAGUUUGAGUAAUCGGUCCCAUCGAGUUUGCCUGACCAACUCUCUGGUUAGCUAAUUACCAAAAUCGGCCUCACCGAGUUUGUGUAAUCGGUCUCACUGAGAUUAUGUUAUGCCCUAACCCUAACCAUAUCGGUUUUACCGAGUUGCAUUUUGGUCCCAUCGAAAAUCCUAACGGUCACUAGGUUUACUACAUCGGUCCAACCGAGUUUGAUGAUUCGGUCCCACCGAGUUUGGUAAAUUGUGUGUAAUGGUUAGAUUUUGUGUGGAGGCUAUGUAUACCCCUCCACCUCCUCUUCAUUCGUGGAGAGAGCCAUCAGACUGAACCUACACUUCCAGCAUCCUAUCUCUGAGUGAGAACUACCUACUCAUGUGUUGAGGCCCAGAUAUUCCAUUCCUACCAUAUGAAUCUUGAUCUCUAGCCCUCCCAAGUUGCUUUCCACCCAAAUCUUCUUUCCACCAGAUCCAAAACCUAUGAGAGAGAGUUGAGUGUUGGGGAGACUGUCAUUUGAAGCACAAGAGCAAGGAGUUCAUCAUCAAUGCACCAUUUGUUACUUCUUGGAGAAUGGUGUCUCCUAGAUUGGCUAGGUGUCACUUGGGAGCCUCCGACAAGAUUGUGGAGUUGAACCAAGGAGUUUGUAAGGGCAAGGAGAUCGCCUACUUCGUGAAGAUCUACCGCUAGUGAGGCAAGUCCUUCGUGGGCGACGGCCAUGGUGGGAUAGACAAGGUUGCUUAUUCGUGGACCCUUCGUGGGUGGAGCCCUCCGUGGACUCGCGCAACCGUUACCCUUCGUGGGUUGAAGUCUCCAUCAACGUGGAUGUACGAUAGCACCACCUAUCGGAACCACGCCAAAAACAUCCGUGUCUCCAAUUGCGUUUGAAUCCUCCAAAACCCUUCCCUUUACAUUCUUUCAAGUUGCAUGCUUUACUUUCCGCUGCUCAUAUACUCUUUGCAUGCUUGCUUGCUAUAUGUUGUGAAUGCUAAACUUGUGGCUAAACUCCACUUAAACUUUAAGAACUUAAAAACUGCAACUUUGGUACUUAGUGUCUAAUCACCCCCCUCUAGAUACCUCUUCUCAAGGUCCUACAAGUGGUAUUAGAGCUUUAGUCUCCAUUGCCUUGGUUUAAUCACCAUUGGAGGAAGAUGGAUGAGUCUACUUUGGGGAGUCUUAGACAUAGAGUGCCUAUUCUUGAUGGAGAGUAUUUUCAUGAGUGGAAAAAUGAGAUGCUUGUAAUUUUCAAUCAAUAUCAUUUGAACAAGUACAUUGCUAGCCCUUGCGCACCUCAUGUUGAUCCUAUGCAUCCUACCCUUGAUGAGUCAAUUGACAUGGUUAGGAAUCUUAGAUCUGCCGAACUUAUUAUUAGAGGAUUGCCUAGAAACUUGAUUGGAUGUUUGCCUACUCUUGAGUGUGCCUACACUAUAUGGAAAUUUCUUGAGGAACGAUUUCCAGAUUAUUCCUUGAAAAAUCUUGAUGAAAUUCUCCAUAAGUCUAUUGCUUUGAGUAAGAUGAAUACUAGUGAUCCUAUGUUUGGUGAUCGUCUAUUUGAACUUACAAACCUUAUGCGUGCCAAAGGAGGUGUUGGAAUUAUUAGUGAUAUUGUUUCCGAAGCUAUAAAAAUUCAUAAGCAAGAUCAUUGUCAAACUCACUCUAACGAAUCACCCUCUCUAGGAUUUGAUCCACCACAUGACGAUGUUGAACAUGGAUACUAUGAUGAGGAUGAUGAUAGUGACUUCGAUCUUGAUGAUGCAAUGAGACAUUUUGGUCUUAUGGCAAAUCUUCGGGGAUAUAUGUCAGGAGGAAAGGAAUGGGUUCUUGAUAGUGGAUGUACCGAUCACAUGACCGGAGAUAAAGACAUGUUUCGUGAGCUUGCUGAAAAUGAUAGUCCUCGAAAGUCUGUCACUUUCGAUGACAACUCAAAGGGUAAGGUGGUUGGCCUUGGUAAGGUGGCCAUAUCACAUGAUAGCUCCAUACAAAAUGUUAUGCUCGUUGAAUCUCUUGGAUACAACCUACUUUCAGUAUCUAGACUUGCUGAUUUCGGUUUCAAUGUCCUAUUUACUGAAGUAGAUUGCCAAGUGUUUCGUCGAGACAAUUAUAAAAUGGUCUUUACCGGUGUACGUAGAGGUGAUCUAUACAUUGUUGAUUUCACUAAAAAGGCUCAACCUAAAACUUGCUUCAUUGCUAAAUCCUCAAAAGGUUGGUUAUGGCAUAGACGAUUAGGUCAUGUUGGUAUGCGAAACCUUGACAAGCUUAUUAAGGGAAAUCAUAUCCUUGGAGUUAAUGAUGUCAUAUUUGAUAAGUAUAGACUUUGCAGUGCUUGUCAAGCAGGUAAACAGGUUGGCGGAAGGCAUCCCGUGAAGAACAUUAUGACCACAAGGAGGCCACUCGAGCUACUUCAUAUGGAUCUCUUUGGUCCUAACUCCUACAAGAGUCUCGGUGGAAAUUCUUUUGGUCUAGUUAUAGUUGAUGAUUUUUCAAGAUUUCGUGGGUGUUCUUUCUCGAUGAUAAAUCGCAGGUUCAAAAGAUCUUCAAAAAUUUCGCUAGGAAGGCCCAAAAUAAAUUUGAAGUGAAGAUCAAGAAGGUUCGCAGCGACAACAGAACGAAAUUCAAGAACGCAAAUGUGGACACCUUUCUUGACGAAGAAGGGAUUUCACACGAGUUCUCGGCUACAUACACACCUCAACAAAAUGGAGUUGUUGAGAGGAAGAACCGGACGCUCAUCGAAAUGGUGAGAAAGAUGCUUGAUGAGUACAAGACGCCGAAGCACAUUUGGGCAGAAGCGGUUGAGACAGCUUGUCAUGCAACAAAUCGCUUGUAUAUUCACAAGCUACUCGGCAAGACGGCAUAUGAGCUCCUCACCGGUAACAAACCCCAAGUUGGAUACUUUCGAGUAUUUGGCUCAAAGUGCUACAUUCUUGAUAAGCAUCGUUGUUCUAAAUUUGCUCCUAAGUCUCAUGUAGGUUUCCUACUAGGUUAUGGCUCAAACUCUAACACAUACCGUGUCUACAACAAUUUCACCCAAAAGGUUGAAGAGACGGUAGAUGUGAAGUUUGAUGAAUCUAACGGCUUGCAAGUAGAGCAAUUGCCAAUUGAUGUAGGAGACAAAGAUCCUUCGGAAGCAAUCCAAGACUUGUCUAUUGGCAAGGUCCGUCCAACGGAGGUGAAGGAGAGUACCUCGUCCAUCCAAGUGGAAGCUUGUACUUCACGACAAGGUGAACCAAGAGUUGAUACGGAAGCAUCCACAAGUGGGACACACCAAGAUGAAGAAAACGAGGAAGUGCAUCAAGAUGAACGUCAACAACCUCCUUCUCCACCAUGACAAGAGAACGACAAUGCCAAAAAUGAAGAAGGCCAAGAAGAAGGAGAAGAUGAAGAAGAAGUUCAACCAAGAUCCAAGCAAAAACUUUCACGAGUUCGAGCAAGAAUUGCUAAAGACUAUCCCGUCGAGCAAAUCUACAAUGAUAUUCAAACCGGGAGAAUCACUCGCUCUUAAACUCGUUUAGCUAACUUUUGUGAAAACUAUUCUUUCAUCUCUAGCAUUGAACCUAUGAAGGUCGAAGAAGCAUUGGAAGAUCCGGAUUGGAUAAAUGCUAUGCAUGAAGAGCUACACAACUUUGAGAGGAACCAAGUUUGGACAUUGGUUGAGAAGCCCGACAACAACCACAACAUCAUCGGUACCAAAUGGGUGUUUCGCAACAAGCAAGAUGAAGAUGGACAAGUAGUUCGCAACAAAGCACGUCUCGUUGCCCAAGGUUACACACAAGUCGAAGGUAUGGACUAUGGUGAGACUUAUGCUCCUGUUGCUAGACUUGAGUCCAUUCGCAUCUUACUUGCCUAUGCUAAUCACCAUGAUAUCACCUUGUACCAAAUGGACAUUAAAAGUGCUUUUCUAAAUGGUGAAAUAGAGGAGGAAGUUUAUGUUAAACAACCCCCCGGCUUUAUCAAUUCUAAGAAACCCAAUCAUGUUUACAAACUUCACAAAGCUCUUUAUGGUCUUAAACAAGCUCCUAGAACAUGGUAUAAAUUCUUGACCAAGUUCCUUAUUGAAAAAGGCUUUGAAAUUGGGAAAAUUGAUUCCACACUUUUUACUAAAAGGGUUAAUGGAGAACUCUUUGUGUGCCAAAUCUAUGUUGAUGAUAUUAUAUUUGGUUCAGCUAAUCCUCAUUUUAGUGAAAAGUUUGGGAAGCUAAUGUCGGAGAAGUUUGAGAUGUCUAUGAUGAGUGAACUUAAAUUCUUUCUUGGGUUGCAAAUCAAGCAAACUAAGGAAGGUACUUUUGUCUCUCAAACCAAGUACACCAAGGACUUAUUCAAGAAGUUCAAUAUGCAAGAAUGCAAAGGUAUGACUACACCCAUGCCUACUAGUGGACAUCUUGACUUAACCAAAGAUGAUGAACCGGUUGAUGAAAAGGUUUAUCGCUCUAUGAUUGGUUCAUUGUUAUAUCUAUGUGCUUCACAUCCCGAUAUUAUGCUAAGUGUGUGCAUGUGUGCACGAUAUCAAGUUGCUCCUAAAGAAUGUCAUCUUAAGGCCGUGAAAAGGAUAGUGAGAUACUUAAUCCAUACACCAAAUUUUGGCAUUUGGUAUCCUAAGAGGGCCUCUUUCGAUCUUGUUGGAUACUCCGACUCGGACUAUGCCGGAGACAAGGUUGAUAGAAAGUCCACUUCGGGUACUUGUCAAUUUCUUGGUAGAUCUCUUGUGUCUUGGUCCUCCAAGAAACAAAACUCGGUAUCCUUAUCCACCGCCGAAGCGGAAUACACUGCCGCUGGUUCAUGUUGUGCUCAAUUACGUUGGAUGACUCAAACUCUUAAAGAUUAUGGGAUAUAUGUGAAACAUGUUCCAUUGCUUUGUGACAAUUAAAGUGCUAUCAAAAUUGGUCAUAAUCCUGUGCAACAUUCUUGAACUAAGCAUAUUGAAGUUCGUCAUCAUUUCAUUCGAGAUCAUGUUGCUAAGGGUGACAUUGAUCUUAAGCAUGUUCGCACCGAAAGCAAUUAGCGGAUAUAUUCACUAAACCUCUUGAUGAGAAAGUGUUUUGCAGGUUAAGAGGAGAAUUGAACAUCAUUGAUGCUUCAAACUUGGAGUAGAAACUCCAUUGGAUACAUGCAAGACAUGAGCUUAUGACUAAUCCUUGAUAUUUCUCUUAUGAUCAAAAUCUUCUGUCUUGGAUAUAUUUGUAUCUUGCAUGUUAUCUAACCCAUGUAGGUACUUGGUUGAAUCAAAUUCCAUGAGAUUGUAACCUACUCAUAUCUUGAGCAAUCUCUACAUCACCAAGUCUCUACACUAUGGUGGUUGAAGACAAGGAAGCAUGGAACCAUUCAAACAUAUCCUUUGACAAAUUCUAUGUUGAGCUUCAUGAUUGUCAUUUUUGGAUACACAAGUGCUAUUCCUUGCAAGAACUAACCCAUGUAGGUAGAUGGACACAAAUUCCAAGUGGUGCUCCAAAUUCUUGAUAAGCUACAUCACCCUUGAGCAACCCACAUGAGUUCAACUACAUGGACAACACCAUCAACCAAGGUAUGUUAUUCCAUCUUAGAGAAGCUUUACUCCAAGUCAUGAGUUAAAGCACCUCGACAAGAUGUGAAUACAUCAAGAUGCUUAAACAAAAAAUGGCAACCCCAUUUUGAGCUUAAACGAUGAGUAUGACCUAUGAUCAAGUGAUCUCACUUGACUCCUAAGUCAAUAUACUCUAACAUAGGUGACCUUGUCGCCGACCAUCUCUAGAUGAAGUUCUCUUAUGUUCUCUUCUGUGUUUUUGCAUUCGUCUCAUGCAUAUUUGUUUCCCCUUUUUUUAAAAAAAACUUCAUCUAGAUUUCUUUCUAUUUGUUCUGCAUUUUUUGCAUCCAAUUCAUUGCAUAUCAUUCAGUUAAUUCCUUGCAAAUCCUCGUGAGAUAUUAUUAGUCUAGUGAGCUGAGGUGACAACUGUUUUCCCUGCAAUGAACUCGGUUCCACCGAUUUGUUAUUUUCGGUCCAACCGAAUACUUUCGGUACCACCGAAGCAUACCACUCUAUGCCACCGAUUUCACAACAGAAAAAACCAGUUUGCCACUUAUUCUGUGUUUCUUAUGAUCCAACUCCACUCAAUGAAUCUUGUCCUCUACAAGCAUCACAUUUUUUUUAUAUAAAUUCUUUGUGCUGUGACUCAAGGAUCAAACCCUUCUUGGAAAUUGAUGUCAAAGGGGGAGAGAGAGAUCACAUCAAAGCUUAUCACUUAAAGAGAUCACAUCAGAGAGAGAGAGAGUAUCACCUCCUCAGAGGGAGAGAGAGAUCCUUCAGGGGGAGAAAGAGAUCUCUAGGGGGAGAGAAUACUAGUAGAAAGUAUUUCUCAAGGAUCCCAGAUGCUUGGUGUUCAAGAGGAGAGAUGCCACAUGUAUUCUUGAGGGGAAAGACAUGUUCAUUCGUGCUCAUUUGCAUUAGCUCUGUUCAUUUAUAACUUUCAGCUCUGAUUUUCUAUUCCCUAUCUUCUCCCAGUAUCCCAUGCUAGAUUCAGGGGGAGCAAGACAUCUAAGUGAAAGAAAUCAUUUAAAUUCAUUGCAUAUCUUUACUCUUGGGGACAUGUCUAAUCCAAUGUAGUACUUAGUACUCACUCUCUACAUGUCAUCCCAAUCUUGGUAUUCUUGUGGUUUCUUCUGUUUGCUCUGGCUAGUAGAUGUAUCUGUGUUAUCUAACCUUGUUUACGCAGGUUCAUUCCAUCCUAAGCCAACUCAAGACUACAAGGUAAGUAUAUGCAUCACAAUCAUGUGUAUGAGGAAUUCUUGCUGAUGUACAUACUGUUUGCAAGAAGGACUCAUGUGCAUGAAGGUAUUCUCUUUAAUAUUCUUUGCUCUGAUGCAUAUGGCCAAGAUACAUGUAACACAUUGCCUGCUCUAUCAUGGUUAUGCUAUCACAUGCUUCUAUAUUUCAUAUUCACAUGAUUGCAUACAUGUAGGGGGAGCCUAUGCUUGUUACAUGUCUUUCCAAAGCUUUACUUGCUACUCUUUAUAUCUUUAUCGAAAGCUUUGAUGUAUGUUGUCAUGAAUUACCAAAAAGUGGGAGAUUGAAAGCACAAGUGCUCCCUAGGUGGUUUUGGUAAUUAAUGUCAACAUAUCUCUUGUUGGACUACCACUUUUAUCUAGUAUGUUUCAGAUAAGUUCAACAAUGGAGUGGCAUGGACUAAAGGAUGUGGGAACUCCUUCAAGAUGCUAAGGACAAAGGAUUGGCUCAAGCUUCAAGCUCAAGACUCUUCAUUUUACAUUUUAGUGAUCCAAGAUCACAUUGAGUCUAUAGGAAAAGCCAAUACUAUCAAGGAGGGAUGAGGUGUUUCUUAAUGAACCUCUUGCUUCAAGUGCUUAGUGAUAUGCUCCAAAUACCCUCAACUACUUUCCCACUUCCACACAUAUGACCUAAACCUAAAGUCAAACUCGGUCACACCGAUUCUUCCUAUCCGGCGCCACUGAGUUCAGUUGUCAUAGCCACUGCCACAAACCCUAGGCAAAUCGGUCUGACCGAUAGGGAUCUCGGUCUCACCGAGAUGGGAUUGUAAUCUCUUUGUGUAUGUCCAUUAUCAAAAUCGGUCUCACCGAGUUUGAGCAAUUGGUACUACCGAGAUUACAAUGCAAACUCUCUGGUUAACUUAUUAUCAAAAUCGGUCCCACCGAGUUUGAGUAAUCGGUCCCACCGAGUUUGCCUGACCAACUCUCUGGUUAGCUAAUUACCAAAAUCGGUCUCACCAAGUUUGUGUAAUCGGUCUCACCGAGAUUACGUUAUGCCCUAACCCUAACCAUAUCGGUCUUACCGAGUUGCAUUUCGCUCCCACCGAAAAUCCUAAUGGUCACUAGGUUUACUAAAUCGGUCCAACCGAGUUGGAUGACUCGGUCCCACCGAGUUUGGUAAAUUGUGUGUAACGGUUAGAUUUUCUGUGGAGGCUAUAUAUACCCCUCCACCUCCUAUUCAUUCGUGGAGAGAGCCAUCAGACUGAACCUACACUUCCAGCAUCCUAUCUCUGAGUGAGAACUACCUAGUCAUGUGUUGAGGCCAAGAUAUUCCAUUCCUACCAUAUGAAUCUUGAUCUCUAGCCCUCCCAAGUUGCUUUCCACUCAAAUCUUCUUUCCACCAGAUCCAAAACCUAGGAGAGAGAGUUGAGUGUUGGGGAGACUAUCAUUUGAAGCACAAGAGCAAGGAGUUCAUCAUCAACGCACCAUUUCUUACUUCUUGGAGAGUGGUGUCUCCUAGAUUGGCUAGGUGUCACUUGGGAGCCUCCGACAAGAUUGUGGAGUUGAACCAAGGAGUUUGUAAGGGCAAGGAGAUUGCCUACUUCGUGAAGAUCUACCGCUAGUGAGGCAAGUCCUUCAUGGGCGACGGCCAUGGUGGGAUAGACAAGGUUGCUUCUUCGUGGACCCUUCAUGGGUGGAGCUCUCCGUGGACUCGCGCAACCGUUACCCUUCGUGGGUUGAACUCUCCAUCAACGUGGAUGUAUGAUAGCACCACCUAUCGGAACCACACCAAAAACAUCCGUGUCUCCAAUUGCGUUUGAAUCCUCCAAAACCCUUCCCUUUACAUUCUUGCAAGUUGCAUGCUUUACUUUCCGCUGCUCAUAUACUCUUUGCAUGCUUGCUUGCUAUAUGUUGUGAAUGCUAAACUUGUGCCUAAACUCCACUUAAACUUUAAGAACUUAAAAACUGCAACUUUGGUACUUAGUGUCUAAUCACCCCCCUUGACGGUGUCCUAGACUAGGGGGUACUCAAUGCGUCGUCUCCCGAUCAGUUGGAUUGGGCUGAGGACCCCCAUGGCCGUAUAUUCAUGGGCCAGUCCGGACAACUGCCGCAUACAAGGAAGAAUCCACAAGACUUGGCGAUCAAGACAAGGACUCCUCCCCCACCGGCGUAUUCGGCUGGGACUCUUGUUAUCCUAGGCCUCUGGUGCAUUAUAUAAACCAGGGCCAGGCUAGUCGAUAGACAUAUACAAAAAACAAUCAUACCAUAGGAUAGCUUCUAGGGUUUAUCUUCUCUGAUCUCGUGGUAGAUCAACUCUUGUACUAUCCCUAUCAUCAAUAUUAAUCAAGCAGGAGUAGGGUUUUACCUCCAUCGAGAGGGCCCGAACCUGGGUAAACAUUGUGUCCCUUGCCUCCUAUUACCAUUGAUCCUAAGACGCACUUCUUGGGACCCCCUACCUGAGAUCCGCCGGUUUUGACACCGACAUUGGUGCUUUUAUUGAGAGUUCCGCUGUGUGGUCGGCGAAAGAAUCAAUGGCUCGACUGCAGGUCAACUGCGACGUUGGCUUCUUCGUCACUAGCUCGACUGGUCACGUUGGCUUGACCGAGGACUGCGCCCUACCUCUGAUCAUCAUGUUCGGAUGAAGGCCUUCAUCAACACCAACUCCGAUCUCUAUCAAGAUCAUGGAGGAGUCAUCCAUGGAGCUCGGGGGCUCAACGUCAACAUUGCCUUCAGGCGACCGUGCUAUUUUUCCGGACAACAAACUUGUAUCCGCCGCCACCGCCUCCUCGAGUGUCGCUUAAACGAUUACUUCGGUGGGAUUAUGCGGAAUUAAGUCUACAACAACCCUGCAAAAAUUUCGUCGAGUUCCGAUGGAGGAAUAUCCGGCAAUCUCCGAUAUACCGGAGCCCUGUUGAAUCUGGAUGAGAAUCCGGACGAGUUUAGGGCGUGGUAUCCAGCAUCUAUCUCGGAUGUCCUUUGGAUGAUCCAACCAUUGAUUUUCUGCGGAAUUCCCAUAUCUACCACCUGCCAAAAAUUCAGCUCGAUCCAACCGUCCAAACUCCGGGAAACUUCCGAUUAGUGCAUCACUUUUUGGAUCUGUUUUCUGUGCGAGAACUAAUCCGACCCGAAUUCAUCUUCUUUAUGAACGGGAUCUCAGACAUCCUUUUUGAAGGAAGUUUUCGUAUGGGGUGUUGUGUUUUAUUCUCAAACACAUCCCAGUAGUACUAAAAGUAUUCUUGCAAUACGAACUUCACCGUCGCGCUGGUGUCCAACUAGCCCAACAACAUCACUCCACGGCGGCUGACUGCGUUAGACACGUCGUCACUUUGUUGAGUCGAGCUCAAUUUCUUCGGAUCAUCAUAUCGGCCAGCCGAACAAUAGUUCGGCAUCGUGAAGGAUAAAUCGUCACCAACAUCGCCGCCCCACGGAUUACACGGAGCGGGCACACCGGCAUCGCCACACAGUCACUUCAUCAAGCCGGCAUCGACCACGUCACGACCUGCAUCGCUGGACCGGGGGCUUCAUCAUCUCUUCAUCAACCUACUCCGGAGACUUCGGCGUUGCUGGCUGGCCAGCUCCAUCACGUUAGCUGGACCGAGGGCUUUGCCUCGGCGUGCCAACCUUUGCCAGCAUCACCAUGCCGUUGCUUUAUCGCCCAUCAGGCGAUAGGUGUGCGGAUCGAGUCCCAAUUUUGGGAAUCACCUUUCUUCGGAUUGCUACAACAAAUAAGCCAGGUGCUAUUAAUCCUAGUAUUUUUCACUUGUUAGGGUUCAUUUUUCCCAAUGAAUUAUUACUCUGGUUUGUCCGUCAUAUGUACGCAGGUCUAUCAAAUGGUGGCCGCAUUAACGAGGUUGCAUGGUGGUUAGGUCAGUUUCCGUACAUAGUCCGGCGAACGCCGCAUCCGGAACUCGAACCGACCUGUGAAUUCAGGCCUUGCCAUGCCUUUACCGCAUCACGCCGCCGCCCGGCAUCGACAUUGACUUCGGCGCCAGGCCAUAUUUCUUUUAUUACUCACUUUGCAUAAAUUAUUUGUUAUGCAACGAAUUUUUAUUAUUAUUAUUAUUACUAUUAUCUCCGAUUUGCACUAUUUUUUGUGCACAGGAAAAUGAUCCAGCCGGACUAUAUCCUUUGGCGUCACCUCGGCUGGACGGGGGGCUUCGUCAACACUUCAUUACCCCAUGCCGGGGACUUCGGCAUCACCCUGCCGCCCUGCAUUGACCGUGCUAUGUCACCACUUCGGAGUGCCGAGCUCCUUGCUCCGUGACCUCGGGACCGGCUCGGGAUGGAACCUUGUCCCGCAUCAAGCUCGGACCGCGUCAUCAAUACCGAACACAUUAACCAGCUAAGUUGUCUUCAUGCUCAAAGUUUUAAAUUUUUAACUUGUGUUCGGCUCGGACAAGCAUUAUACUUUUUUGGAAAAAAGUUGCUUGUAAAAAUUUUCUUGUCCAAACUUUGUUUGUGAUGCGCAAAUUCAAAUACCCCGUUUACUUGGGGGCUUCCUUAAUGAAGCUUUUUCCUGUUGCAUAUGGUUAUACUUGUACGGCUUCGUUCCUUGUUCGUGUAUUACGCCACAAUAUGCACCAUAUUGACUUAAGCGAUUUGCAAGCUGGGUUGCCUGGCUUCUGUGCUUAUCCCUACGUUCUCGAUUGUUCGGCUAGGGAGUAAAGGGAGCACCUCUGCGAUUGUCACGAUCGGGUCACCCGAGCCGGACCUCAGACUAGGUGAAGCCGAAAGCUAGCGCUCUUAUUGUUUUCAAUCAUGGUCGGCACACAACGGAACUCAUGAGUACAAAAAAUCUAUUGCACAAGUCUCAUAAUAACAAUGAGCACCGAAGAAAGGUAUCGGUGGGGGUACUAUUUUCUUCGAAGAUGCUUCUUACUCUUCGCAAUAAUAUAGCAUAAGUUCCCUGAGCGCGCUUUGUCUGUUACAUCCUUAUGGCCUGAUUGCCUGGUUAUUGGAAACACCGUCGAUAUUCUCGACAGAUGGAGUACAUAACACUUUUCGGUCCUUGACCGAAGAGGGAGAAGCCGACGGUCGGUUAAGACGCGUUUAAAGUUUGGUUGAACAUAGAUAUGAUAUAAGUACUUCGGUACAUGCAAUCAUUCUUUUACCCAAGUCACUUGGGGGCUCUUAAAUUUAUAUGAGCCGUUUUAUGAUAAGUGUUUUUCUUCUUAGUCGUUGCAGAGUUUUUAUUAUUAUUUGUCACUCCUUUUCUCGACACGAGUGUGCGGUCACUAGCCGGGGAGCCUAAUUUCUCUCUCAAAGCCGCUAGAGUUUAGUUUGCUAAACUGGCCUAGUAGGAAGUACUCCGCCUUCGGGAUAGGAGGUUGAAGCCGUAGGCUGACCCGCUUGAAGUUUUGAGAUAGGAUGUGUCAUGUUAAAGCACGACAGAAGCACCUUUUUUUUUCUAAAGUCCAAUUUUCGGAUUGGCACCGAACACUUGAUCUAGUUCGGACAUUAAUCUUUUGAAUAAGUUUUUUUGGCUUUUCGAGCCCAUGGCACUUUUAAACUAUUUGUGUGUUUUCAGCACAAGUCUCGCAGGGCAACGCCGGACACCUUUAGAGAUUCGGCAAAAACAUUCUCGGAUAUUGCUAUAUAUGCAUCAGUUUCGAAUUGUGUCUUCGGUCAAUAGUUGGGUUUCCCGGCUCCUGCACUUGCCUCCUAUGUUCCGCUUUGUUCGGCUAGGUGUGCAAAGGGAGAACCACUGCAAUUGUGCUUCCAGCUCACAUGGUUAAGCACCUCAGUGGAGAAAGCCGAAAACUGACUGUCAUAAUAAGCGUAAACUGGUCGGUGAUCCGAUGACGUCGUUAAACGACGGGCCAUUCAUAACAAUGCCGAAGUGUUUACGGCUUGACCUUGACUAUCGCCGAACACUACCGGAGGCUAUUAACUGGCCUCCCAAACGAAAUCCUCGAUAUUUUGCUCUUACAUUGGAGCUGAGGUUUCAUGAUCAUGCUUAGCAUGACAACCCAAAGAAAGGAACCGAUAGCGGAGCUAUUUUCUUUGGAAGACAUUUCUUCUAUUAAACAGUAAUAUAACAUGUCUCUCUGUGUACCUAUGUUUAUAAAACCGUAUGGCCAUAUUGCCUUGUUUGUUGUGAAUCUUUGCCCUCAUAAAGGCUUUAUAAAGUAGGACAAACACUCCUCGGCUAUUGGCCGAGGAGGUGGAAGCCGAUGGUCGGUCAACAAAGUUUUGUACAAUGCGGAUCCGAGCAUUAAUGACGUAAAGUACUUGGAUACAUAGAGUCAUUACACAUAAUUUGUGAUUUUACUAUGGAUAUCGAUCCUUAAUUUGGCCUCCCGUGCCCGCAUUAAGGCUCGGGGGCUACUGGGCUUUAGGCUUAUUAUUUACAAAUAUUAAAGGGGCACAUCGAUCCCCUGAUCUGGUGUUGCCACACGACCAGUGUCUCGGGGGCUACUGCAUUGCCUGUUCUAUGCAGAAAAUUUUAAGUGCAAUACAAUUUCCGAGGAGAUUUUGAUCCUCAGGUUGGUCGGCCGCAUCCAACCUGAGUCUCGAGGACUGAGCACACCACUUUUUGUGUCCCGAAGUAUUCUGCCGAGCUAGGACUUGAUCCUCAGGCCGAUUUUGCAAAUCAACCUGAGUCUCAGCGGUUACUGGGAUCAGCGGUCUUAUGUCAUCCUUCAGGUGCAUCUCGGGUUUUAGACCGAUACACACCUUGAGGGCUACUAGCUAUAUAUCUCGUCAGAGAACAAAUUGCAUCAAUAAAAACAUUGACCAAAAAUCAGCCCAUGACCGAGGUGCUUAACCACCUCAGAAGCAGUUCGGCGUAUAGCUCGGAUGAAAGUGGCUGGCUCCUUAGAGGGCAUUUCCGGCAUUAAGCUCGCUAAACUCCUUCAACUUUUUUGGACCAAGAUGAUCUAUGACAUCUUGGAUAUAGUCCGGCAUUGGAGCUUGGACACAGUCCGGCGUUGGAGUUCGGAUACAUUUCGGCGUUGGAGCUCGAAAGCAGUCCGGCAUUUGUGCUCGUCUGCAAGAGAUACCUUGAAUGCAGUCCGGCGUUAGAGCUCGGACGCAAGAGGACACUGCCUCCCGGGAACAACUUCAAACCCGAGGUGUGGCUUAAAAAUAACAAGGCAUUGCUAAAGGCCAGAAACUUAAAGGGGCUCCUCGGAUACCCGACGUGUAAACUCGUCGAAUGCAUUUCGGCGAUCCUCAAGAUAGAAGAUGAGAAGAUUUGUUGAACCAGUUUUCAAGACCGGCAACCGAAGAUGAAGAACAGUUCGGAAGAAUCGAGGAGCGUCCCUAACUUGAAGACCAGUUCAGGGGGCUACUAACGGUGUCCUGGACUAGGGGGUACUCAACGCGUCGUCUCCCGAUUAGUUGGAUUGGGCCGAGGACCCCCAUGGCCGUAUAUUCAUGGGCCAGUCCGGACAGCUGCCACAUACAAGGAAGAAUCCACAAGACUUGGCGAUCAAGACAAGGACUCCUCCCCCACCGGUGUAUUCGGCUGGGACUCUUGUUAUCCUAGGCCUCUGGUGCAUUAUAUAAACCAGGGCCAGGCUAGUCGAUAGACAUAUACAAAAAACAAUCAUACCAUAGGCUAGCUUCUAGGGUUUAGCCUCUCUGAUCUUGUGGUAGAUCAACUCUUGUACUACCCCUAUCAUCAAUAUUAAUCAAGCAGGAGUAGGGUUUUACCUCCAUCGAGAGGGCCCGAACCUGGGUAAACAUUGUGUCCCUUGCCUCCUGUUACCAUUGAUCCUAAGACGCACUGCUUGGGACCCCCUACCCGAGAUCUGCCGGUUUUGACACCGACACCCCUCUAGACACCUCUUCUCAAGGUCCUACAAACGGGACCACAUGUCAACGAAACAUGGUGUGUAAUUUCUCGUGCAAAAUGCGAUCUGGCCGCGUUGGCCCAAGGUGCCGCAUUAGUUUUUUUUGAAAGUUUGCCGCAUUAUUUAUCGACAUUUAUUUUUUUAACAUGCAAUCUGAAUGGAUAGCUCCUGUGGCCAUCAAACGUGAGCAGAUAUAGUGAUGGUUGAUUCGCCCGAGCAACUCAUUACUGUGGGAAUAUGGGAGUACCAGCGGAUUCAAGGAACAGAGAAAUGAUGGUUGCUUCGUCCGAGCAACUUACUGUGGCGAAGGUGGGGCUCUGUGAUUUGACUGCUCACUAGUCAUUACUACUGUGGCGCAACGACCAGGGUGAAUCUUUCCCUGAAGUUGUGUUGUGCACUCAAUAUUGCUGCAUAGCAGGUGGAGCCGGAUGAAGGAUGUCCAACAGGACACAACUUUGGUGCCUUAAAGGCACCUACCUUUGGGUCACUAACAUGUGGGUCAGCCAUUUGUUGGACCCACAUGUCAUAGACACAAAGGUAGGUGCCUUAAGGCACCAAAGUAUUGUCCAUGUCCAACAUGUGGGCGAAACGAAGUUGAAUUGUUUCUGGCAUUGCUAUCAAUCCUUCAGGAUUUGUUUAUAUGUACGCAUAAUUUUGAUGAAAUUGUACUGUGAUGCUAUGAAGGUUUCAACUUUGGUUCCCGCAGGAAAAAAAGGUUUCAACUUAGGAUUCAUGUGUCUUGCCUCGAGAUUAUCUCGUUACAACAUUCCAUCAAAUACAAAUGAAACUACCAUGGCUAAUGCAUCUCAAUGGUUCGCAGAUCAGCGCCAAUAUUCACAUUACAACUGAAGACAAAGUUGUGAGAAGGUGUACAAAUAAAGAAAAAAAUAUAAUUGAUCGAUGCCAUUCGUAGGCAUGGCUCCAUUUCCUUGGCAUAGUGUUCAUUGCUUGGCAGCUAGUUUCACCCAGCUCUGUAGCCAAAAAAGAGGUGUAUGAAGGACACCAUAAUCCGAUCAUUUUGUGCAGCUCCACUAAAAUCGAGCGGAUCAUCCCUAUUUGCAAAGAUAUCCAUUCAGUGUGAUUACAAUAAUAGUUGAACUAGAUGAUGAAACAUAACACACAUAAAUAGAAGCCGAUCACCUCUACGAUUUCUCUUUAGGACUAACUUCUUGUUGGAGAAGAUUAGGCACGGAGUUGGAUGAGGAGGAUAGCAAAACCAAUCUCCCUUUCCGCUGUCCCACAAAAAUGUAAAAAUGUUGCCCGUGUGACAUUUUGGCGGAAAUGCACAAAACACUCUUUAGAAAAGUGAUUUGUGCAGUUCACCAAAAGGUCGCAAUAGCAACAAGGUGAAAAUGGAUAGCCCUGCUUGCAAAAGGAGGUCGAAAUGAAACAAUUACUGCCCAAUAACACGAGUUGAAGACACAUACGCCAACAAAAAAGAAGCAUGUUCCAUGUAAUAAGGGAAAGAUAGCACAUGGUGUUUUAUCAAAAAUGGUUUGAGGACGAGAUUGUAAGAUGGGAAAUACGCCAGCCAAGAUACGAUUUAAGAAAACAACUAAAGAAGAUCCACAUGCAGCAACGUGGAAGAUGGGCAGUGGAGCAAGGUCGGAGGAAGUUGUAGGUGAGGGUCGUCGGGAUGUUCCUAGGAGGGCGCCGGCGGUCGGGAUCUGCCCGUACUGCGGCAGCGAGCAACUGGCGAAGGCCCUACCGCGCCGGAGCUUGGUCAGAGCAAACGGUGGGUACCACAGAUUGGGACGUGCUGCCUCAACACUAUCGAACGGAGAGACGAUGCACAUCCUCCCUUUCCGCCGGCGGACGGGAUGCGGCCAGAUCACUGACCAACACUGAGAGAGAGAGGCCACGGUGGCCUUGUGUGAGAUGGUGUGACGAGAGACAAACCGAUUUUUCCAUUUUCCCCACGGCAAUCGUUUUAUAUUCUGUACGUGCCAUUGAGGAAUAUAUAACUAUUUAAUGCUAACGCAUCAAGUCGAACUUUGUUCCGUCUAGGCGUGGUACCCAACCCUCCUUCGAGUAAACAACCGCUACACGUGUCAUGGGCUGCCUUUUCGUACAGAAACGAACUCCACCGUGUACCCGCGCGGGUGUGGCCGGGAACGAGACGUGAGUACGUGCGUCCUGCGUGCACUUCUUCUUUAGGUGCAGGUACGUACGUGGGUGGGUGUGAGAGAGAUGGUUUGUGCGAAACAGAGGCAAUGUGUUGAUGGUAUCUCAAUCAGAAAAAUGUAACAUAUGCAAUGUGUGUGAAAUGGAGUCAUGGACGUGAGAUAUCAAUAGAAUUGAAAACAGGGAUGAAGUGUGUGGCUGCGCGAUCGAUAAAGAGUGCCAUCGAAUUUGUGUUUGCCCACGUCAAAGAUACAGGGCGGCUGGCCUACUAGAAUUUGAGAGGCCAGAGGUGCAGUUUUUCUCCAUGGCAUGGAUACCUACCUACAGCGUUCGACUAUCGGUGUGUGUGUGUGGGGGGGGGGAGGGGGUAGAGACCGAUCGACUAGUAUAUGUGUGGGGAAGGAGAGAGACCUAGCUAUGUAUUGAGGGAGAUUGAUCGACAUCCAUGGAUAUGUGUAGCAGAGGAAUAAGGUUGGGAAAAAGACAAAGGUAGAGCGUCAGAGGGUUGGUGGUGGAGUGGCAUCUCACAAAUGGUGGGAGAGGCCUGCUAGACAAACGGAGGGUAUGAGUGCAAUAUCAAUAAGAGUGGGCGGGGGAUGUCUGUCUGUCUAUGCACGUGCGUGUGAGAGACGGAUUGGGAGGUAUUAAAGGAUGAUGAGGGGAGAAGAUAUGGUUGUGGUAAGCAUACGUAACUACAUAGGAAUAUCAACCGUCGUGUGUCCGAGAAAGGGAGAGACAUAACUAGCGAGGUAAGUGUAUCGAUGCUUGGUGAAAACGAAUUAUAGUUGACCUGGCUAUAUGUAGGGAGAUCAGUUCAUAUACAUGCCUGCAUGUGUUAGAAGCAAAUAAGGUCCAGAGAGGCAGACAGGGGGAGAGAGUGUGGCUAGGAGGUGGUGCGAGAGGCCUACCAUGUCGAGGGGGAGGAGUGUGCGAGUAUGUGAUCAAUGAAAAGAGGGGCGGGAGUGUGCACCUGCGUGGAAUCGUAUUGGACAUAGGGGGGCAUGGACGAUGAGAAGAGAAGAGGGGAAGUAUAUAUGUGUUUGUUAUAGGCACACGUAUCUAGAGAGGUAUAUCGACCGGUGUGUGCCAGAAAGAAGGAGCCGGGGGCCUACACACACCGCUAGUGGACGACCUAAAGAGAAAUAAUGAACGUGCGCGAUGGAGGGGACGCUAAGGGUGGGUGAGAGGGGGGCGGGCGUGUGCAUGCACGAUAGAAAGUUAGCGCUAGCUAGCUACAAAUAGAAGAGGAUCGUGAAGGUGUAAAAGAUGAACAAAGAUCAUAAUUCAUUAUAAAAAAGUGGAUAUGGAUACUUGAAGAAGAUAUCAUAAUGUAGAACAUUGAUUAUAAUUUGGGCUAAUGUGUGGCUUUUGCAACUCAGGUCUAAAUACUUGUCAUAAUGUAGGGGGCGGGGCACUAUACUUUGUGUGAUAAACACGGUGUACGUAUGGAACAUGGUUUAGAUUAUGAAUAUAUAGUUAGUACACCAAAUGUACUAUUAUUUGGAAUCAACAUCAAGUGUAUUCAAAAAAUAGAAUUCAAGUUCAUAUAGUACACAUAGUUCAUAUCUAUCUCUAUAGUAAUCAUGUGGUGUGUUAUUAAGGUAAUACACGAAUGAUGGUUGAAGUUGGCAACAAUCAUGAUUGUAGAUUCUUAUUGAAAUAGAGAAAUGAAUUCAAAUUUAGUUCGAAUUGCAGCGGUAGUAUAGACAUUUGGAGUGCACUAAAAUGUUGGUAUGAGUAGGUUACAUGCAUUAUACAGCAAGUGAAAAAAUUUAAUCGGACAUAACAUGGAUUCAUACUCCCUCCUUCCAUCUAUAUAGGGCAUAAUGAGAUUUUUAAGACCGCCUUUGACUAUUGACAAGAUUAAUAGUACAUGACAUGCACAAUGUGAAAAUUAUAUCAUUGAAAGAACCUUUCACAGACGUAUUUAACGGUGUGCUUUGUGUAAGUUGCAUGUCAUAUAUUAUUGCUCUAAUAUUUGGUCAAAGUUAGCAUCAAAAAAUGCAUUAGGCCCUAUAUAGAUGGAAGGAGGGAGUAGCUUUGAAUAGCAUUUGUAUAGUAAAAUGGGGCAAGGCUCUCUCUUUGUGUGGUGUGAAUAGUUUUAUUUUUUUCGUUUUCUUUUUGGUUGAGGGAAGUGCGAAUUGAUUUGGUACGUACAAGUACAAUAUUACUACACGUUAGGCUUGUCCCUAAAAUUCAACCUGCGUCUUGUUAUAUCCCGAAAAUUCAGAUAUCAUGCUCCCAAAACUGGUGCCUUCACAACCCGCGCCUUGCUAUCCCAAAAUUACAACGCGCACGAAAACUCCCUCCAGCUGCCAAAUCCCGACACACGAAAUCCCCCUUCUAACCCUGAGCCGAAAGGGUCGCUAGUUCAAAUCGGUGGGGGGUACUUUUGUAACACACCCUACAUUUUGUACAAGCGCGUCCCUAAGUCAUGCUUCACCCCUCCCAUCGCCCCCUUUUCACCAUUCGAAAUCCCAGGCCGCCAUAACCUCUUCGCUCCAGUCGCAAAACCCCACCCUCCUCCGUCCGCCACCUCACCGCUGCCCAGCCGGAGCCUCUUCCCCGACGACGUCGUCCACCGCAACAGCUCGACGUCCCUCGUCCACCUCCCCGGAUGAGGAUCCGUCGUCCAUCUAGUCAUCCCGCCGGUUCAGCCGCCCCUCCUCCACCUCCAAGGAGCUGCUUCGACGAUCGCCUCGUCUAUCGCGGCUGCUCCAUCCCCACAGCGCUGCCUUACCCUGCUCCACCAGAACCGUAGCAUCCUCACCGACUCCUCGGACGAAGCCGAGCCCUACUCGGUGCCACCAAAGAGGUUGUACACUCAUCACAUCGCACCUUCUCCUUAACUCGACCUCCCGAAGACGACGGUGUUCCAUUCCGCACCCCCAUGGAGCGGCUACCUUGAAGCCGGUGCCGCAUGCGACAUCUCCACGGCGGCUCUCCCCUAGUGCGAGGCCCCCUCGGCGGCGGUGUCCAUACCAGCCAGAUCUGCUGCUGCUGCUCCGGCUCUCGCUCGCUCGCUCGUGCUGCUACUACUGCUCUGGCUCUCGCUCGAUCGCUCGCUCGCCCAGCUGCUGCUGCUGCUCUCCCCCUCGCUCGUGCUGCUGCUCUGCUCCGAUUUAGCCACACUUCAGUCGACUGAAUUGACUUUUGGGUUAGUCGNNNNNNNNNNNNNNNNNNNNNNNNNNNNNNNNNNNNNNNNNNNNNNNNNNNNNNNNNNNNNNNNNNNNNNNNNNNNNNNNNNNNNNNNNNNNNNNNNNNNNNNNNNNNNNNNNNNNNNNNNNNNNNNNNNNNNNNNNNNNNNNNNNNNNNNNNNNNNNNNNNNNNNNNNNNNNNNNNNNNNNNNNNNNNNNNNNNNNNNNNNNNNNNNNNNNNNNNNNNNNNNNNNNNNNNNNNNNNNNNNNNNNNNNNNNNNNNNNNNNNNNNNNNNNNNNNNNNNNNNNNNNNNNNNNNNNNGGCGGCGAGGCGGCGCUAGGGCCGACUGUUCGGCCGGUGGUGGCUGGCGGCUCAGGGGGGUGCAGGUUGAAGAUGAACUGCAGGCCCUCCCUAAACUACAUGUCAAGUGCCUCUCUGCUACCAUUGCGUUGAGUUUCGACAAUAGCAUUCAGAUUCCACAGUAAAUUUCAGUUUUGAGAGUUAAGUUCAGAGUCAACAGUUUUUACCUCAUAUGUUGUAGUCAGGUGGUUUUUGGUGAUGUAAAUUUUACAUCCAUUUUACAUCAUCUAUUGGAGAUGCUAUUAGAAUCCCACUUAAGAUCGACGAUGUCUAUCUUGUGCUGCUUCAGCCUUGAUGUCUUACGGCUCACCGGAGUUGCUCCAACGACAGAACGAUCCAUCACAACAGAGCAGUGCCCUGGACACCGUCUACAGAUUCCUCAGAUCUUCCUCCACACCUCCGACAGCCACCUCUGCCUCAACUGCUUCAGUGACCAACCCAAUUAUUCAUGCAUUUUGUUGAAAGGAAUGAAGCAAAACAUCCACCUGGACCUACUUUUCAAAAUCCUAUGCAUGAAAACAAGACCAAGUGCAUUAGUGCCAGAAUAACAUUCUAACUGUACACGCUUUCAUAUGGUUUCACUUUAUUUUGGCCAUGUUUCUUUGCAUUCCUCUGCUCUUCCAAUUCCUGUAAACCAAACACCCAAGUUGACAGAAAUCCUAUGUUUACAAAUGCUUUGUUUACCAUGUGCAUUUUCCUAUCCUAUUCCGGUGUUUUUCCUAUCCCUGCGUUUUAAGAAUCAUGCAAGCCAAUUGAGCCCUUACAGAAUUACUUCAGUUACAGGUACGUGUCGAAGGGGACUUUGUGUGGUUUGUCCUGCUCCUCCCGCGAUGUCGUCCACCUCACUUGAGCCGCCCCAUCGACAGAAGCAUCCACCAAACCAGACAUCACGACUCCUGACCAUCUUUCGCCGCCUCAGAUCUCCUUCCCUACCGCCGGCACCCACCGCAACGGCAUCACCAUCAUCGACUCAGCAUAUGAACUUGAGGAGUACACGGGUCCACAAGAGAGGUCGCACUCUUUUGUUUCUACUUAUGUUAUGCAUUGCUUAAACUUACCUGCUACUUUAUCGUCCUGUUCAGCACUUGGACUCCCAAGUCAGGUCCAAAUUAAUGUUCAAACUUGAGUUCCAAAUUAGUUGUGGGGCACAUAUUGAGGCAGCAAUGAAUAGUAUGUCUGUCUAAUAUCCGGUUCACCUAGGGUAUGCCUAUGUUGUUCAUCUUGGGUGGGAAACAAAUAGUAAAGCAAUCAUCAUCUGUCUUUUUAUUAAUUUAAAGCAAUCAUCAGCCUGCUAUCAUUAUUUUUGGAUCCAUCCAUUGGUUGUUACCAUCACUCUAAAUUUUUGCAUGCACUCCUUAUAUAAUCUCACCAUAUUUUUUCAUAUGCAUGUCAGAUAUUGUACACAGUCAUGCUGAACAUGUAGAGAAAAAGAGAAGAGUUUUGCACGGCAAUACAAUGUCAUGCAGACAUCGCUCCAUGGUGGGUCCAAUAGCAAACCCUCCCCACCCUCUCCAGAUUGUAAUCCAGAGGAAGAUAUCUAUUCUGAGGCGGAUUUAGACGCCGCUAACCACUCCUAUCUACCCCCCAAGGUGUUUGCUCUACCUUGGCAUGAUGAUGUUAGUCAUAUCAUGCAUAUGUUGCCUUGCAGUGCCUACUGUCGGGGGUUGGAUACGACAUAUGCCAAAGGAUGGCUUAUCAUGGUGGGAGCGAGUAGAAUGUCGCCGAUGCCUGGAAGCAGGAUGAGGCAUAGACAAGCACGCCGGCGGAACUUACCCAGCUUCAGGGCUCUCCUAGGAGAUAACACCCCUACUGCUGCUUUGCGGGGUCUCCGCAUGAUCACUAAGGCAAAGUGACUACAAUGGUGCUCCUGGAGCUGUUUUGGGAGGCAGGAGAGGGCAAGGCUAGCUCUCUCCUCCCUGUGCUAUCUGGUCUAUCUCUAUCUAGGUUCGAACCCUUUGCAUGGGUGCCCCGGGGGGUUUAUAUAGGCCUACCCCCUGGGGGUACAAUAGUAAUCCGGCUGGGCGCCGGUCCCAGCCGUCUGUCUCUCAGGCCGCCGUCCUCCCCGCCGGCUUCUGGGGCCCGCCGACUGGUGGGUCCCACAGACAGGCUUGAUACUGUAGCGGCACUCCUGAUGACGCAGGCUUGGUCAUUGGGUCGUGACAAUAGUGCCGCUAUCUAUCGGGCGAUCACUGUCGCCAUUCCCCAUCCUAUCUGGUUAAUGGCUCGUGGGGCCCUGGGGAGGAGUCGGCCGACUCCAAGGAGGCCGAUUCCCAUAGGUCCGUCUUCGAGGCGCUCAGGCCGCCUUUGGCCCACCCACUGACAGGCGGCCCCGCCGCCUUCGGGUCGUACAGGCCGGCGUCAUGGGCACAGUGCGUUGCGCACUGUGGCUGAGGUCAGGGCAGGCAUGGCAACAGUGCCGCGCCUCGCCGGAGAUCUUCCAGCGAUACGGCUCACUGUAGCCAUGCCGGCCCUUCGUAAGCAGGGGGAACGACCACGCCGUGACCGUACCCCACAUCGUACUUCGAGAUGAGGGAGGAGUCAUGGGCCGACUCUCCAUAGUCGGCCUCUCUGGAGGUUGCCAGCUCGGAGUCAGCUUAUCUCGGAGUUGCCGUCUGGGACUCGGCUUGUCUUGGAGUCGCUCCUGGGACUCGGCUUGAGGGGUGCGGCCUGCCCCGAUGUCUUGAAAGGUCCUGGGACUCGGGUUAGGCUACCCGUGGCCCAAUACUCCGACAGUAGUCCCCGAAGCUGGUGAAGCCCUGCGGACACUGCAUUGUGGGGCUUCAACAGUUUCAACCUUCCAGGAGCGGACUCUGGAACUCAGCUGCCGUCUUCCCUUGGGCCGACUGUCGAGAGUCGGAUGUUUAGCGAAGAGCCGCAGCUCAAAAGUCGCGGCGGGAAACCAGGCGGCAUGCCUGAUACGCUUCCCCGCAGCCAUCAGGGCGGUCCUAUCGCGUGGUGCCACGUGGAGAGGGUUGUCUGCCUGCCCACGCGUGCGACGGGACGGCCGUCAGGUGGGGCCCGCCACUACUGUGCCUCGGCAUACGAACGGAUCCGUUGCGGCCAUGGACGGUUGGUUUUCCCAUGUCGUUACUGCGCGUAGUAACUNNNNNNNNNNNNNNNNNNNNNNNNNNNNNNNNNNNNNNNNNNNNNNNNNNNNNNNNNNNNNNNNNNNNNNNNNNNNNNNNNNNNNNNNNNNNNNNNNNNNNNNNNNNNNNNNNNNNNNNNNNNNNNNNNNNNNNNNNNNNNNNNNNNNNNNNNNNNNNNNNNNNNNNNNNNNNNNNNNNNNNNNNNNNNNNNNNNNNNNNNNNNNNNNNNNNNNNNNNNNNNNNNNNNNNNNNNNNNNNNNNNNNNNNNNNNNNNNNNNNNNNNNNNNNNNNNNNNNNNNNNNNNNNNNNNNNNNNNNNNNNNNNNNNNNNNNNNGGAGCGGCACAGCACGCGCGCCCUUCUUCCCCGCUCCCCCGCCUCAUCUUGCCUUCUCUCUCUCCUGCCUCCGCCGUCAAGCAAGAGCACUCCACACCACGGUGAUGAGUUCUUCCUCCACCGCGGCCCCCACCGUGCGCUCCGGCGUAUGGGACGGCUUGGAGGUAGAAGAGGAACACAUCGAGUUCCUCCACCGGACACGCCGUCUUCCCAGCUGGUCCCACCGAGUCAAGACGCUGACUCCCGCCGGAGCCGCCGCCGUAGCGCGACUCCGAGUCUUGACGCAGUCGGAGGGUCUCGUCGGGGCCGACUUGCUGGCCGCCUUCGUGGAGCUCCGAGUUCUCCCUCUCCAAGGUCGGCCUCACUUGAUAUGUCAGAUGAGCGGCCUCCGAGACCCGAGUCGGAUGAGCACCAAGGAGAUGCCCCGCGCGGAGGUGGCAAACAUGGUGAAUCAUAUCGCGAACUGCGAAUUCGGGGAGGACUGGCAGUUUGGCAAGGAGCCUUACUCGCGCGACAACCCCCCACCAGUGGUAAGUCACGUCCCCCUAUUGUUUUGUCUUCUUUGCGGCCGACUCCGGCUUCUGACUCUUGUCAGUUUCUUCUGAGCUAGAAUCCCCUUAUGCAGCCUGCAGCCGGCGCCAUGAGACAGCCCCACGAGUAUGUUCCCGAUCGUGCGGACAGUGACGUCGACGACCCCGACUUGGGGGCGGCGGCGAUGAAAGCCAACGCCGAAGGCGGGGGAGAAGGAGCAGAAGGCGACUUCAGGCCCUCGACCACCUUCGCCGACUGGCCUGACGACGACGCCGAAGGGGAAGUCGCCCCGCGCCAUCAGCUGAGGGUCGGCUCGUCGGGUGCCGGCUCCUCCGCCGGCCUGGCUGGCCAAGGCGGCGCGAAGAGGCGUCACGCUGGGCCGAGUGCGCCCGGCGGCAAAUUGAAGAAGUUCAAGGGGCGGCCACCGCGACCAAACGGGAGGAGGCGGCCGCGAAGGCCAACCGCUUCCGAAGGGAAGUGAGAAGGCCGCCGCUUGUCUCUGCGUAAGUCUUUACGCUUUUUUAUUUUCCUUCGUUGAAUCUUGUCUGAGUCUUCUUUUAUACUACCUCCAUUCUUCUUCAGGGCCCCUCUUUCCCUUGAGAGAGUCGCCGUCCCCUCCGUCAUGGGGUCGGCAGAGACAUCCGCCAAUACUCGGCGGGCCGACCCCGCCGCCGACCUCCGGGAGGCGACGGAGCGAAAUGCGCGGGAGAAGCGCGAGGAGGAGGAGGCCGAAUGUCUGGAGAAGGCGGAGGCCAACAGGGCGGCCGCCUCCGCCCAGAAGAAGCUGGAGGAUGCCGAAGCCGCCCUUGCGGCGAGACGGCGUGCCGAGGAGGCCGCGCGUCGCCGAUCAGCGAUGCUCAUCCCUCCACUGUCGUCUGCACCGCCGCCUCCGGAGUUCACGGGGCAGACCGGAGAGGCCGGCACCGAAAACCCCAUCGUGGAGAAGGAGAGCGGCGAGGCUUCCAUGUCGGACACUCUCGUGCCGCCACCGCCGCCUCCACCACCGUCUGGGAGACCGCACGACAAACAGCCGGUGGGUCCAUCAGAGCCGCCGGUCACGGACGAGGCCGAGGCGCGACUGCUUCUCCAAGUUGCCUCACCGGUGCGUCGCCGUCUUGAGAGGGCGACCUCGGUGCCGCGACCUCGGGAGACCUGCGCCGCUAGCUCGGCAACCUUAGACGCCGAGGCCACAAGCGCCGCGACCUCGGGAGACCGGCGCCGCUAGCUCGGCAACCUUAGACGCCGAGGCCACAAGCGCCACGCCCACCGGGUGGUUGCGCGGAGGCGACACCGGGCCGCUGAAUCAAGCGCUUCUGGACGUUCAGGCGAAGCUGCGCGCUGAAGGCGAGGCCCUUCAAACUUGCACCAGGGCGCAUCUGGCAGCGCGGACGGCCGUCCGAGUACGUUUCCUUCUUCUUUUUGAUUCUUGUUUUUCUCUGUGGGGGCGCGCCAGCGCACCCACUGGGUGUAGUCCCCAAGUUCCGGGCCAGCUGCUGAGCAGGCGGUUCGGAACUCCCUCUGGCGAGUUCCAAAUACUAACUUUGUCUUCAAUGACUUAUUGCAGGAGUAUCACAACCUCCGCGCCACUGCCUUCAACCGCAAUGUUGAGGAGUUGAGCAAGCGGGCUGCCGACUUGUUGGAAAGCCGGAGUAAGUUCUUCUUCUUCGCGGGGGCACGGUGGCGCACCCGCGGGCUGUAGUCCCCGAGAUUCGGGCCGACUGCUGAGCAGUCGGGCCGGAUCUUUCCGGCGAUCUUCUUUGUUGACGACUUAUUUGUCUCUUCUUUCGUUCUUCAGGAGCCAACGCCGUUCUUCAGGAGCAGCUGGGCGAGGCCAAUACCGCCCAGCGUGCCAAGUAGGAGGAGUGUGGAAAGCUUGCCGCGGAGUGCGACCUGCUGGCAGCGCAGCUGGCCGAGCAGAAGGAGCUGCUCAAGAAGGCGCAGGACGAGGCCGAGAAGAAGGAGGCCGCUCUCUUGGCCGAGUUUGAGAGCGAGCGCUCCUCCUGGACUGACAGGGAGGCGAUGCUGACCUCUGGCUUCCACGAGAUCGAGGAUAUCGUUGAUGGUAAGUUUCUUUUAUUUCUUCGGGCUUCCAACUAUGUGUCAGGCCGACUUCUGAUUUUUCGACUUGCUUCUUUUUUGUCUUGGCAGACUUCUUCCCUGGUCACUCGCAGGCAGUCCCUCUGGCCAUCGAGGCUGCUCGUGAGGCGCGAAGGGCAAACGGUGAGGAGAUCGCCGCUAAUGCCCCCCGAACCAUCGAUGAGCAGCUUCUGAGCAUUGAAGCCCGUCUUCGUCCGGCUCACCGGCUGAUGCGCCGGCUUCAGCGUGCCGACGCCCAGGCGGUUGCCGCCCUGUGGACAGGCACGCCGGUUCUGCGCACCGCCAGCCGAACUGCCGACUGGCUGGAGGUCGCUGCCGGCUAUCUUGAGGCCUGGAAGGGCUCCUCGGCCCGGGCCGGAGCGCGCCGGGCCUUGGAGUUCAUCAAGGCGUGGUAUCCAGGGCUGGACCUGGACCGUCUGGCCGCGUUUCGGUCAGAAGCCCAGGCCGAGAUGGAGGCCGUGGAGGGCGCCCUUAUCGAGCGUGCGGCGGCCAUCACCGAGUACACGAACACCAGUGUCUUCGUCCCCGAGUGGGCUGAAGGCGGCGAGGAAGUGCCGCCAGAGUGGUUCGGGAUGAACCCGGAGUAUGGCGAGGACUCGGCGGAGGUGAUCGACUCCAGCACCAAGGAGGAGGAUGAGGCGAAGGACGAAGGCGAGGCAGAGGUGCCAGAAGACGGAGCAGGCGGCCAGCCUCAGCUCGACCGCGCCUCCAGCAACGAGCCGCGUCGAGAGAAGGCGACUGCCGCCGGAGGCGAUCAAACCGAGACCGCACAGCCGACUGCCCCGGCGCCUGACACCGCCGCCUCUUCCGAUCCUCCGAUCCCAGAUGCCGCCUCCUAGGCUGCCUUUUUCACCUCUGUUUGUCUGUCUUAGUAAUCUUUUGAAAACUUUGUUAGAUUCGAACAAUUCCACCCGCGGGGUGUAUCUUGAACUUCUAUUCGAAGAUUCGACCAAGGGCCUAUGUAAAUAUUUAUCCAAUUUCCGUCUUUCCUUGCUUACUGCUCUUUAGGCUUUUCCCUUUGCCGCCUUACUUUAGUCGCUGCCUUGUGAGUCGGACAGCCGCUCUGCGGUCUGUCGCUGGGUCAAGUGCUUGGCUACUUCGGGAAGGCAAGUACUUGGCCGUUUAGAGUUUCUUUAGCAAGUCGGAUAGAAAAAGACAGGCCGACUACCCAAGAGUCGGCCGUCCUUGAUAGAGGCUAAUAAAGACGGCAAGCCGGUUACUCAUGAGUCGGCUUUCCGCUUCAGAAAUGCUGGAGGCCGUCUUAUGCUAUGUUCGUGCUUUAGGUCCUUAGCCAUUUUUCGUGUGGGCGCUCGUUCUUCCUCACUCCUGCCCGCCUCACAGUCGCUCUGCAAGCUAUGGCUUUGCCAGGAGGUGGAUUGGGCACCGUGCACUACUUGUCUGACUCCAGGAAGCUCCUUAUAGCGCAAGGCGGCGAGUCCCCGGGCCGACUAGUCUGGCCCGGUGCCAAGCGGCUUGUAAUGAAAGUAAUGUACUCGAAGGCAUAAUUCUUACCAUACAGAUAACAAAAAAAGGGCAGUCCCGAGCUCGUCUUGGGGGGCCCAAAGUCUUAGUACUUUAAUACAAAGGGGUAGUGUGAUACAUACUGCAUCAACUGUAAAAUCUUCGAAGAAGAUUUGCAUUCCACGGGUGCUCUGUCUCUUUGCCGGAGUCGUCCCUCUUGCACGCUCGGGGCUUCUGAGCGUCGAUCUGAUAGUAGGCGUCGUUCCCUAGCACCUUGCUGAUGAUAAAGGGGCCUUCCCAAGGUGCCGACAGCUUGUGCUGGCCGGCUGUUCGCUGGAUCAGCCGGAGCACAAGGUCGCCUUCUUGGAAAGAUCUUGGCCUGACAUUCCUGUUGUGGUAUCGGCACAGACUCUGCUGGUAGAUGCUGGACCGGCUGAGUGCCAACAGCCGGCCCUCUUCCAGCAGAUCGACGCCGUCUUGACGUGCUUCUUCUGCUUCUUCCUCGGUGUACAUAGUGACUCGCAGGGAGUCGAACUCUAUGUCCGUUGGGAUGACGGCUUCAGCACCAUAGACGAGGAAGAAGGGUGUGAAGCCGGUUGACUUGUUUGGAGUCGUGCGCAGACUCCAGAGGACGGCUGGCAGCUCCUCAAGCCAACAGCCGGUAGAUCGCUCCAGCGGUACAACGAGUCGAGGCUUGAUGCCGGAUAAGAUGAGGCCGUUCGCUCGCUUCACCUGGCCGUUUGACUGCGGAUGGGCAACGGACGCUAAGUCCAGUCGGAUACCGUGUGUCGCGCAGAAACGGGCCAAGGCGCCUUUGGCAAAAUUCGUGCCAUUGUCGGUGAUGAUGCUGUGUGAGAUGCCGUACCGAGUUGUGAUGUCAGCGAUGAAGGUCACUGCAGUUGGACCAUUCAACUUCUUGAUGGGUUUCACCUCCACCCACUUGGUGAACUUGUCCACUGCGACAAGUAGGUGAGUCAAGCCACCUCGUGCCGUCUUGAAUGGUCCCACCAUGUCCAGGCCCCAAACUGCAAAGGGCCAGGCAAUGGGGAUAGUCUUGAGUGCGAAAGCUGGCUGAAGUGGCUUGGAACGGAAAAUCUGGCACCCCUUGCACUUUUGGACUAACUCUUUGGCCUCUUCCAGGGCGGUUGGCCAGAAGAAACCGUGCCGGAAGGCUUUGGCAAUGAGUGCCCUGGAGGCCGCGUGGUGACCGCACUCGCCUUCAUGGAUGUCUCUGAGGAUUGCUUGGCCUUGUUCUGCCUCGACGCAGCGUUGGAAGACGCCGGUAACGCUGCGCCUGACCAGCUCUCUGUUGACUAUGGUGUAGGCUGCUGCUCGGCGUUGCACUUGUCGAGCCAAGAUUUCAUCGGUUGGCAGCUCUCUGUUUACUAAGAACCUGAGGAUGGGCUGGGCCCAUGAAGGUGCUGCUAUUUCUUCAACUGCCACUAGUGCGACUUGGACAAGGGCGGCCGGGCUCGGAGGCGGCGGGUUGGAGUCCGCAGCCGCUUGCUGAUUUGACAAAGUCCCGGGGCCGACUGGAGCAGUCCCCGGGCCGAGCUCUGGAGUCUUCGAUCUUGCCACUGCAGUCCCCGGGCUGGGUUCUGAAGUCCCCGGGCCGGCUUCGACUGUGUGUUUCUUGGAGUCGGAUCCGUCUUCCUCAGGCGGAGCCGGCACAGAGAUUGAAUCUGAUUCUGGUGACGGCUUGAUAGAAGGCUUGAGGAGGCGCCGGAGGGCGACACCAGAUGGUAUUGCCUGGCGGGUGGAGCUGAUUCGUGCCAAGGCGUCUGCUUGGUCGUUGUUGUUCCUUGGCACGUGGAGGAACUCGCACCCCUCGAAGUAUCCGCUGAGUUGCUGGACGAGGAAACGGUAGCUCGCCAUAUUUGCGUCCUUGGCGUCCUAAUCGCCAGAUGAUUGCUAGACCACCAAGUCAGAGUCGCCAUAACACAGGAUCCGGCGAAUGCCGAGUUGUUUGGCAAGCCGGAGCCCGUGGAUGAGCGCCUCGUACUCGGCCACGUUGUUGGAGGCGGCGAAGUGGAUCUACAGCGCAUAUCUGAGCUUGUCGCCCUUGGGGGAAGUGAGGACGACGCCGGCUCCCAAGCCGGUGCGCAUCUUGGAGCCGUCGAAGUGCAUCCGCCAAUGGGUGGAGUCGGGCGCUGGCGGCAGAUACUGGGUCUCGGCCCAGUCGACGAGGAAGUCGGCCAGUGCUUGCGACUUGAUGGCAGUGCGGGGCUCGUAGUAGAUGGUGUAGGGGGCCAGGUCGAUGGCCCAUUUGGCCACUCGGCCAGAAGCAUCUCGGCUUCCGAUGAUCUCGGCCAGUGGAGCUGUGCAGACCACAGUGAUUGGAUGCUCCUGGAAGUAAGGCUUCAAUUUCUUGGUGGCAAAAUGCACGCCAUAGCACAUCUUCUGGUAAUGGGGGUAGUUCUGCUUGGAGGCCGACAGUACCUCGCUCAAGUAAUAUACCGGUCUCUGGACAGGCAGCGCCUUGCCUUCCUCCUUGCGCUCGACUACAAUGACUGUGCUGACUACUCGGCUGGUGGCGGCAAUGUAUAGCAGCAUGGGCUCUUUGGGAGUCGGAGCCGCCAGCACAGGGGGAGUAGUCAACAUCUUCUUUAGUUGGAGAAAAGCCUCGUCCGCCUUGGGAGUCCACUCAAAGAAGGUCGUCUUCUUCAUGAGCUGAUACAAGGGGAGAGCCUUCUCGCCCAGCCGACUGAUGAAUCGGCUGAUGGAUGCCAAACAGCCGGUGAACUUUUGCACAUCUAAUAGUUGUCUGGGUGCUUCCAUCCUCUCGAUGGCCUUGAUCUUCACAGGAUUGCACUCUAUGCCGCGUUCGGAGACCAGGAAACUGAGGAGUUGGCCGGCUGGUACUCCAAAAACGCACUUCUCUGGGUUGAGCUUGAUCUGGAAUCGGCGCAGAUUCUCAAAUGUUUCCUUGAGGUCCUCCAGCAAGGUUCCAUGCUUCUCUGUCUUCACCACUACAUCAUCCACAUAGACGUGGGCAUUUCUGCCGAGUUGCUUCAGGAGGCACUUUUGCAUGCAACGCUGAAAGGUGGCGCCGACGUUUCUUAAGCCGAACGUCAUGGUCAGGUAGCAGAAGGCUCCAAACAGCGUGAUGAAGGCGGUCUUCUGUCUGUCAGCCGGGUUCAGCUUGAUCUGGUGAUAUCCUGAAUAUGCGUCUAGGAAACUCAACAGCUCGCAUCCGGCUAUGGAGUCUAUCACCUGAUCGAUUCUCGGCAGAGCAAAUGGGUCCUUGGGGCAAGCUUUGUUGAGGCUCGUGUAAUCAAUGCACAUCCGCCACUGCUUGUUCUUCUUCAGCACCAGUACUGGGUUUGCCAUCCACUCUGGAAAAAACACUUCCAUGAUGAAGCCGGCUGCCAGGAGCCGGGCUAUUUCUUCUCCAACAACUCUUCUUUUUUCUUCUAACAGGCGGCGCAAGGGCUGCUUGACGGGCUUCAUAUCAUACCGGACGUGUAAUUUGUGCUCGGCGAAUUCCGUCAGGACACCAGGCAUGUCCUUGGGGGACCAUGCGAAGAUGUCGCAAUUUUCACGGAGGAAAUCGACGAGCUCACCUUCCUAUUUGCUAUCAAGGCCUGUGCCCAUGACAGCGUAUCUCUCCGGGUCCAAUGGUAUCUUCUUUGUUUCUUUGGCCGGCUUGAAUGAUCCUUCUGCUUCCGACUCCUUGGGGUCGGGCGAUAACUCGGGCUGCUUGCCGGCCAUCGCCACGACCCGAUCAAGAAGCCGUUUCUCAGCCGCGAUCACCAAGGACUCGACCAGCUGACUGCUUUCGGCCGCGCAAGUGGACGACUUCCUGUAGUCGCCGAACACGGUUAGGAUUCCCUUGGAACUCGGCAUCUUCAUCUUAAGGUAGGCGUAGUGGGGGACCGCCAUGAACUUGGCCAAGGCGGGUCGGCCAAGCAAUGCAUGAUAUGGGCUUUCAAGGUCCACCACCUCAAACCAAAUUGGCUCUCGGCGGAAAUGAUCCUUGUCUCUGAAGAGGACAUCUAUCAGGAUGUUGCCGAUUGGUGAGCAGGAAAGGCUAGGGACGAUUCCGAGGAACACAGUCUGGCUGCUCUGAAGUUGUCUUCGCUUGAUUCCUAAUUUCUCCAUUGUAUCCUUGUACAGGAUGUUGAUACUGCUGCCUCCGUCUAUCAGUACUCGCGAGAAGCGAGCGGCCCGCCUAUCUGUGGCGAGUGUAGCGCCUAAGACCAAGGCGUAGGAGCCUGGACUCGGCAUCACCUCUGGGUGAUCAGCUCUGCUCCAACUGAUAGGCUUUUCGGACCAAUGAAUGAACUCUGGUGUACUUGACGCAACCGCAUUCACUUCUUGCUGCUGUUGGCGCCUGCUGCGUCGGUCAUCCGCUACACUUGUGAACACCACAUAGGCUCCAUGCUCAUCCAGGAACUCGUCUUGUAUCGCGCCGACUGGCCUGACGGCCGGCUGCUGGGGAGGCAGUGGAGGAGGCGGCCCAGCAGGAGGGGGAGGGAGCAGGCCGUCCCCCUUGGCGAUUCUGGUGAGCCAGUGGCAUUUCCUUGUGGUGUGGUUUGAGGGCUUCGCGCCGCUGUGGAUCUUGCAGGGACCGUCUAGAGUCUGCUCGUAGGAGAAAGCCGGCAGCCAGUUGGACUUGCCACCCUUCUGUCGCUUCGCCGGAGGCGGUCCCUCCAACUGCUGGUCCUCUGCUGUUGCCACUUGCCGACUGUUGGAAGUCGGCUGCGGGGCUUUGCGCUUCUGGUCAUUCUGCUGUUGCCGCCGACUGGUGUCUCCAGCCGGAGUUCUUGGAGCCUGAGGGGCGACUUUGCCAGUUGUGCUGACCCGAAUCUCCGUCUUCAUGGAGGAGUCGGCCCUGGCGUACUUGUCCGCUGUGAUCAGCAGGUCAUCAAGGGUCUCCGGCUUGUCGCAGAGGAGCUUGUGCUUGAGGAGGGUGCCUUCUCUGCACCCGGCAGUAAAGUACUCGAUGGCCUGCACCUCAUGCACGCCCUCGCAGGAGUUCCGGAGUUCGCCCCAGCGUGUGAGGUAGUCGCGAGUAGACUCGUCAGGGCCUUGCAUGCACAAGGAGAGUUGGCGUGGCUUGGGAGGUCGCUUGUACGUGCUGGUGAAGUUGCGGACGAAACCCUCGGUGAAGUCGACCCAGCCGUUGAUGCUGCGAGGCUUCAGACUGUUCAACCACGUCCGGGCCGAGCCCUGGAGCAUGAGCGGGACGUAUCUUACGGCAACACGCUUGUUGCCAUUCGCUAUGUUGACGACUAUAGAAUAGUCGAUCAGCCAAUCUUCCGGCUUCACGGUGCCGGUUUAUUUGGGCGUGUCUCGGGGGAGCGUGAACCCUUUGGGGAAGGGCUCAUCUCGGAUGCGGGGUCCAAAGCAGGGGGGACCCAACUCGUCUUCUUCUUCCAGCGCCAGGGAUCGGUGGAGUCGGUCGAUCCGGUGGCGGGUGUCGUUCUCUCCGACUCCCUCUCGGCGGCCAAGGCGGUCGCCGAGAGUCGGAUGUUCCACGAGCGGUGAGGAGACUCGCCUUUCUCUGCGAGGAGGGGGAGGCAGGUAGUCGUCCCACCGUUCCACCGCUUUGGGGCGGCCGUCCUGGUCGCGCUCGAUGGUAAUGUGAGUCUGACUGUGGCUGACAGCCGGCUCCUUGUCCUUCUUCCCACGGGCCCCGCCAGUCAGCAUCCGAGACGUCGCACCUUGGUCUCGGCGAGGCGGUGGGUCGUCGUUUUGGCGCUGCGGCGCCUCGGUGCGGCAGCCGGCAUCAUUCUGCAUGGCAGCCGCGUCGAGGAGCUGCUGAACUCGCUUCGUCAUUAUGCGGUGCUCUUCGCCUUCGAAGUUAUCGAGCUCGUCUGCUGCCGCCUGGGCGGCACGGAUAUUCUUUGCGGGCGUGGCAUACACAGGGCGAUCGGCCCCGAAGAGGUUGGCGAUUGCCGUGCCGCGCUAUCGGACCGCGCCUAGGCGGCUAGGACCGGUCGGAGCCGGCAAGCCGCCUACGGCGCGAUCCAUCUCGCGUUGGUAAGCUUCUGACAAGCGCCUCAUGCUUGCCAGCUUCUUCGCGCCCUCGACGAGCUGAAGGCGGAGCGCCUCCAGCGUCUCGGCGUCGGCGUCUUCCGGAAUCGGCGCUGCAAGGCCUCGCAGGGCCGCGUCAAGCGGGUCGUGCGCUCCUUCGCCGGAGCGCUCGCCGUGGUUGAGGAUGAGGACCUCAGUGAUGGUGCUUCCGCCGCUCCCCGCGUAAGGGAGCGGCUCGUCGUAGACCACCACGUUGGUGGGGAACGCGUUGAGCGACGCGGUGUCGGAGUCGACCAGCAUCGGGUCGGUGGAUCCUAUGGACUCCAGGUCCGCGGCAGGCUCGCCGGCGACGUGGAGUUGGUCGAGGAGGCCCGCGAGGAGGCUCACGGGGACACUCGUGCCUGCAUCGGACGCAGGCUCAUCAGAGAGGCGAACCUCGCCGAGAAGAUCGGCGAGGCAGCUGGCCGCACAGGCGAUCUCAGCGCCGUGCAGCGCGUCGGCACAGACGCCAUCCGGCGUGCCGGGCUGGCUGUGCUCGCCGGGGAGGAACAGGGUUCCCGUCCAGAGCAGAUCUCCGGACGACGGUGCACCUCGCCCCAUGGUGGGCGCCAAAUGUCAGUGGUUGGAUACGACAUAUGCCAAAGGAUGGCUUAUCAUGGUGGGAGCGAGUAGAACGUCGCCGGUGCCUGGAAGCGGGAUGAGGCGAAGACAUGCACGCCGGCGGAACUUACCCAGCUUCAGGGCUCUCCUAGGAGAUAACACCCCUACUACUGCUCUGCGGGGUCUCCGCAUAAUCAUUAAGGCAAAGUGACUACAAUGGUGCUCCUGGAGCUGUUUUGGGAGGCAUGAGAGGGCAAGGCUAGCUCUCUCCUCCCUGUGCUAUCUGGUCUAUCUCUAUCUAGGUCCGAACCCUUUGCAUGGGUGCCCUGGGGGGUUUAUAUAGGCCUACCCCCCGGGGGUACAAUAGUAAUCCGGCUAGGCGUGGGUCCCAGCCGUCUGUCUCUCAGGCCGCCGUCCUCCCCGCCGGCUUCUAGGGCCCGCCGACUAGCGGGUCCCGCUGACAGGCUUGAUACUGUAGCAGCACUCCUGAUGACGCAGGCUCGGUCAUUGGGUCAUGACAACAGUGCCGCCAUCUAUCGGGCGAUCACUGUCGCCAUUCCCCAUCCUAUCUGGUUAAUGGCUCGUGGGGCCCUGGGGAGGAGGCCGACUCCCACAGGUCCGUCUUCGGGGCGCUUAGGCCGCCUUAGGCCCACCCACUGACAGGCGCCCCGCCGCCUUCGGGUCGUAUAGGCCGGCGUCGUGGGCACAGUGCGUUGCGCACUGUGGCUGAGGUCAGGGCAGGCAUGGCAACAGUGCCGCGCCUUGCUGGAGAUCUUCCAGCGAUACGGCUCACUGUAGCCAUGCCGGCCCUUCGUAAGCAGGGGAGGAACGGCCACGCUGUGACCGUACCCCACAUCGUACUUCGACAUGAGGGAGGAGUCAUGGGCCGACUCUCCAUACUCGGCCUCUCUGGAGGUCGCCAGCUCGGAGUCGGCUUAUCUCGGAGUCGCCGUCUGGGACUCGGCUUGUCUUGGAGUCGCUCCUGGGACUCGGCUUGAGGGGCGCGGCCUGCCCCGAGUCUUGAAAGGUCCUGGGACUCGGGUUAGCCUACCCGUGGCCCAAUACCCCGACACCUACUUUUGACAUCAUAUAUGUCAUCUGCUUAGUUUAGACAUGUUCUGUAAUGCCACCUGUUUAGUUUCUAUAUCAUAUAUGGGAAUUAUGCAGUCUCAUGUCUUUUAGCCAGCCAUAAUAUAUGUGAAAUGUGCAAUGCCAUCCUAUUUAACCAGGCAUCAUAUAUUUGAAUGAUAUCAUGCCCAUCCUUUUCUUCAUUACAUUUCCAUUUGUCAACAAUGUUUGUACAUUAAACUACUCUUCCUGUGAAUCAGCCAUUUGGGUGGGAGAUGGAAAAAUCUGGAGUGAAAACAAGGCCUUCAGAGCAGACAGUGCUACCAGUCGAAGCAUAUCUCUUGUUGGGUCCCGAUAGCUCCUCAGAGAUGGAUUCAGAGACAGAUGACCAGUCCUAUUCCCCCACUGAGGUGUAUGCUCCAACUUGGCACGGUUAUACUGCUCAUAUCAUGCAUAUGGUGUCUUGCAUUGCAUAGUUUAGACAUCAUAUACACAAUAUUCAACACCAUGUUCUUAGUUCAGACAUCAUAUCAAAUGCCCUCUGUUUAGCAUAUAAAUCACAUAUGUGAAUUAAAUGAUGCGAUCUUGAUUACUUAGAUAACAUGUAGGUGAAUUAUGUCAUGCGAUCCUGUUUAGUUAUUCAUCAUAUCUUUGAAUUAUGUUAUGCUAUGCUAUCCAGUUUAGAUAGACAUCAUAUAUGUGAAAUUAUGUCAUGCUAUCCGUUUUAGUUAAACAACAUACAUGUCAACUAUUUCAUGCCCUCUUUUUUCCAUGCUAUCUAUUGCAUCUGUCUCUCAUACAAUGUCUGUACAUUCAACUAUGUUUCCUGUUUAUCAGCCAUUUGAAUUGGAGCGGGUGAUGCCAGUAUCUAGCGGACUAAAAACAUGGUCUUCAAAUAAAACAGUGCUACCUCUUGGUGGAGAUAGCACCCUGGUUGUACAUGCACAAGAACUAGCCCUACCACACAUAACCCAAACUCUUGCAGAUUGUACCCCUACUGCGAUGGACAGAGAACCAGCUUCACCCAAUCUAACCCCAACCCCAGCCCAUAGUAACCCAGUUCCUGUUGACACAUCACCAUCUCCACCACAGAGCUCCCAAACAAGAGCAGUUAGUAAGGCAGCUCCAGUGCCCAAAGGGUCAGUACUAUCACGGCGAACCCCAACUCCACCAGUUAGUAUUCCUAUUCCUGUGGAGGAAGCACAACUAGCUAGUCUUAGUUUAGCAUCUAUCGCAUUUGAUGUUGUUAAAUCGUAUGUGCGUAUCUUCCCAUCUUGGAAAUAUUAUACUAAUGAUGAAGGAAAAUGCCAGUUGCAGGUGUUUGUCCAGGAGUUAUGUGUAAGUAAUGUUAUUCAUGGCAAUUACUUUGCUUUGUCCCAUAUAUCCUACCUCCAUGAUGGUUAUAAUACAGCAAAUUUUCCCAUUUUUCUCUAUAGAGAAGGACCGAUUUGGAAACUCAGGAUGAGGUAACCUAUGCUAAUACCUCUGCUAUCUUCAAGAAUGCUUGGUGGCAGUAUUGGAAUUACCUGAAGAAAACGUACUUCAUCGGCAAAGAAACUCAUCAAAUUCCCCUACGUUCUCCUGAGACACAUUUACUGGACAAUGACUGGGAACACCUUGUUCUGUACUGGUCCCGAACAAAGAAUGUGGUAAGGUCUAUGAGCUCAUUUUCUAUUUUAAGUAUUAUAUUCUUACGUCUUACUGUACUCUGUUCAUGUAGAACAAGUGCCUAAACCUGAAGAACAACUGUUCUAAUUUAAGAUUCCAUUGCUAUCAUAGUUCAAAAAAGCGCUAUGCAUUAAUUGUGCGCUUUGCCACCGCCUUGCGCUUUACUGACCAAAGCGCAUGCUUAUGUGCAGUUAUGCACAGAUUAAGCGUAGUUAUGCGCAAUGCGUUUUGCCAACGCCUAGAGCCUAGGCGCGCUUAAGCGCUCGCUUAGGCGCGCCUUUUUUUAACUAUGAUUGCUUUGCUCUUGUAUCACAGUAUUUACUCAUACAAACUUACUUUUAAAUUGAAGGAUCCAAUCAAAACUCCAAUGGCACAUCAGGUAUGUUCACGCAUGUUUCUUUAACAGGUUUGCUCUUACCAAUAGCUCUGUUGAUUUCAAUUUCAGUUGUGUAUACAUUUAACUUUCAUAUCAUGCACAUUACUAGCAUCACAACAGAGCCAAUAGUGUUGUUGUACAUGUAGACCCGUGGUACCCAUCUAAAAUCUUGUUGUGCCAUGUAGUUUCCCACUUUCACUGCUGCUUUGUCUUGAACUGAUAUGAUUUGAACCGUGUCUCUAUUUUGAUUUGGCAAGACAAUGCAGUGACCAUAGGACAUAGAUAUAUGUUUGUUUGAUGCUUUUAUUAUGUACUAGUACUUGGCAAUAGAAGACUUGGUAGUUUAAUCCUGUCCACCUUACUAAUGAACUGGUUCACCGAAAUGAGUUUCAUAUACUAGUACAUGCUAAACUUGUCAUGUGUUGCACAAGCUAUUCAAACUAACUGUCUGAAUCAGUUCGGUUUCUUAAGUCUCAACUACAAGCUGAAAGACAUCGAUCAGCUGUGCUGCGACAAGAAGUGGAAGGACGCGGAAGUCCCUGGAGCAUUCAGAUGCAUACUUUCUGGUGCAACAGCAAGCGUUGGAGGAUUUUAGCGCCAAACAGGACAAAGCUAAUAAGCUUGCUAAGAUUAUUGCCAGCAUGGUGGAUACCCAGGAUAACGUUUCUUGAGCUCUUCUGAAGUUGUUUCAGUUAUGCUCUUGUUUUGCUGCCACAUUUAUUUGCACUGAUGGCCAAUUUUGACGGCCAGUGUAUGUAAAUAUGCUGCUUUGUUCCCUAUAUUUGCAUUGGUGGCGAACUUUGAUGCCCAGUGGAUGUAAUAUGUGUAAUAGCGGUAAUAGGCUAGCAUUAAUUGCUUGCUUAUUUAUUUCCUUAUUGUCUUGUUUAGUUGUUUGCUUGUAGUCACUGCAGUUCUUUUUCUUUGUUUUUCUAGUGGCCACAAUAGUCUAUUUUUGGUAACUAGGCCAAAAUAAUCAUGGAAACACACGGACUGUUGUAACCAUGGGCCUCCUGCGGGCCAUAUGAUCCAUGGGCCUUCUUCCGGCCGUAGGAUCCAUUGGCCUUCUAUAUGGGCCGUAGGAUCCAUUGGCCUUCUAUAUGAGCCUUAGGAUUCAUGGGCCUUCUACAGGCCGUAGGGUCCAUGGGCCUUCUACGGGCCGUACGAUCCAUGGGCCUUCUACGGGCCGUACUAUCCAUGGGCCUCAUACGGGACGUAGGACCCAUGGGCCUUCUACGGGGCGUAUCAUCAUUUCGCCAAUCAUGGGCCGUACUAUUCGUGGACCAUAACGGGCCGUUAAUAGGCCGUAUUUGAUAACUCUAUGAAAACAGCCCAAUGAUUUUUUUGACAUGAAAACGCCCAACGUAUUCGGUCCACAAACGGGCCGACUGUAACGACGGGCUGAAUUUGGCCCACAAGCAGAAAAUGAUAGUAACGGGCCAUAUGUAACCGAAUGCUGCAAAUGAGCCCAAGAAUCAAUGGGCCCUGAGAAGGCCGAAAGAUAACUUGGGGCUGGAAACGGCCCAAUGGAAUAACAGGCUGUUAAUGGGUAUAAAGUGAUACACUGUUCAUUACGGGCCAGCUUCACCACGGGCCGUUAAUGGGCCAAGAGUUACAAAGGGCCUCAUAUGGGCCGAAAGAAGUCAUGGGCCACACAUGGGCUGGAAGUUAAAACGGGCUGGAAUCAUAUUGGACGGCCCAGAUGACGCUAUUGGGCCUAAUUCGGAGAGGUCGUAAUGGGCCCUGGGUUAGCGAACUAUAAAUGGGCUAUAUGCAAACAUGCCGUUAACAGGCUUUCCGUGGGGCGGCCCGCCACCUUUUGACCAAGUCAAACAGGCCGGCCUUUUCACAGGAAUGGGCCUCUGUUGGGCCGUGCCACGUGUCUCCAUAUCAUAGGCGCCUUCGGUCCAAUGAGUGGAUGACAUCUGUCCCAACAGUGAGCCGACACGUGUUUCCUCCAGCCAAUGAUGAUUUUACAUGUGGAAAUUCCCCAUUGGUCGGGGCUGUUAACGGGUUAUCGGAUCCAAAACCAGACCCGAUAGCUUAACACCGUUCCGUUACGGUGGAUGCCAUGUGUCGGUAACCCUUGACGAAAGCACUUCUACGACGCGCGAUUUAUCGUCAUGGAAGUGGACACUUCUGUGAUGAUAAUUUUGGUAAUGUCAUGGAACACUUCUACGACAGCACAUGUAUGACUAUCUUGAUUCUGUCAUAAAAUCGUCAUGGAUGUACAUGCAUGACAAAAAACGCGACCUACUGUGACAAACAUGUAUCAUCACGGAAGUGUAUUUUUUUGUAGUGGUUGCGGAUGAUUAUACCAUUCUCAUCUUGCUUGUUAUUGAAAAUCCAUUUGGUUCCAAUGACAUUGUGUUUCGUAGUUGGCCUCCUGACUAACGACCACACUUGGUUACAUUCAAAACUGUUCAACUCUUCUUGCAUAGCAAUGAGCCAAUCGUUGUCCAUGAAUGCUUCGUGUACCUUGAGAGGCUCAACACUAGACACAAACGAGAAGUGAGCACAAAAGUUUGUCAAUUGUUUACAAGUGACUCUACCUUCCGAUAUGCCAGUGAGAAUUUUAUCAACAUGAACACAACCGGCCACUCGAGGCAUGAUGGAGGUUAAGGUUUCACGAGGUUCAACUUCAUGUCCAUCAUCCACGUCCUCAACAUAUGGAUCAUUAAUUUGUGGUGGAAGAUCUUCUUCUUCAUAUCGCAUUUGUUGAGCUUCAUUAUCAAUGAUUUCACCUUCUUGUUCUUGCCCUUGAUGAUGAACUUGUUCUUGAAUAUUAUCAUGAAGAGGGACUUGAACAUCUUCUUGUACUUUGACUACGGGCAUUGGUUGAGUAGUAGGAGCUUGAGGAGGUAUGGGUGUUGGAGUGGUUUGAUGAUGUGUGAAGCUUACAUCUUCUUCCUCAUCAUCAUGAGGUUAUUGUUCCAUUGGAAGAAGUGCACCAACACCCAUGGUCAAAAUAUCUUGAGAAGAAUCUUCUUCACCUACAUAACUUAGAUCAACUUGCACCUAAUGGGAGCCAUUAAAUUCAUCAAACACCAUGUCACAAGUUUCUACAACACAUCCAGUGGAUUUGUUGUAGACUCUAUAGGCGUGAGAGUUUGAUCCAUAACCAACAAAUAUGCCCUCAAUUGUUUUGGAUUGGAAUUUUCCUAAACAUUCUCUUUUGUUGAGGAUGAAACAUUUGCACCCAAAUACAUUAAAGUACUUGACAUUCGGCUUGUUCCCAGUUAGGAGAUCAUAUGGAGUCUUUUCCAAUAUAGUGCGGAGGAAGAGCCAGUUUGAUGCAUGGCAUGCAGUGUUGACAGCCUCGGCCCAAAAACUAUAUGGCGACUUGUAUUCAUCCAACAUGGCCCUUUCCAUCUCCACAAGUGUAUGGUUCUUCCUUUCGGCUACACCAUUUUGUUGAGGAGUGUAUGGAGCAGAAUAUUGAUGCUCAAUCCCUUCAUCACUAAGAAAUUCUUCCAAGGUGUAGUUCUUGAACUCAGAGCCAUUAUCACUCCUUAUUGCCAAGAUGUCUUUAUCAAACUUGCGUUGUGCUUGCUUGGCAAAAUCAAUGAAGGUGAUCUUAUUCUCGUCCUUGGAUAUUAGAAAAAACAGCCAUGUAUACCUUGAGUAAUCAUCAACAAUGAUAAACCCAUACUUUUUCCCACCAAGACUAUCCCAUGAAGGAGGCCCAACAAGAUCCACAUGAAGGAGCUCCAAAGGCCUUGAAGUAGACACGAUAUUCUUGGGUGGGUGCUACCUCUUGAGCAUGCAUUGGUUUUCCCUUGAAGAGGAAAGGGUGAUGCAGCAAAUUAGCAUAAGUAUUUCCCUCAGUUUUGAGAACCAAGGUAUCAAUCCAGUAGGAGACGACACACAAGUCACCUAGCACCUACACAAACAAUCAAGAACCUUGCAACCAACGCAAUAAACGGGUUGUCAAUCUCUUGCUACCUCUUGAGCACAGCGUUGGUUUUCCCUUGAAGAGGAAAGGGUGAUGCAGCAAAGUAGCAAAAGUAUUCCCUCAAUUGUUGAGAACCAAGGUAUCAAUCCAGUAGAAGGCUCCUCAAAAGUCCCACGCACCUACACAAACAAACAAGAACCUCGCAACCAACGCGAUAAAGGGGUUGUCAAUCCCAUCACGGAAACUUGCAAAAGUGAGAUACAAUAGAGAUAAUAAGAUAAGAUAACUAUUUUUGGUAUUUUUAUGAUAUAGAUUGGAAUGUAAAGAUUGCAAAUAAAAGUAGACUGGAAACUUAUAUGAUAAAAGAUAGACCCGGGGGCCAUAGGUUUCACUAGUGGCUUCUCUCAAGAUAGCAUAAGUAUUAUGGUGGGCGAACAAAUUACUAUCGAGAAAUUGAUAGAGAAGUGCAUAGUUAUGAGAAUAUCUAGGCAUGAUCAUGUAUAUACGCAUCACAUCCGCAACAAGUAGAUCGAAACGAUUAUGCAUCUACUACUAUUACUCCACACAUCGACCGAAUCUUGCCUGCAUCUAGAGUAUUAAGUUCAUAAGAACAGAGUAACACAUUAAGAAAGAUGACAUGAUGUAGAGGGAUAAACUCAAGCAAUAUGAUAUAAAACCCAUCUUUUUAUCCUCGAUGGCAACAAUACAAUACAUGCCUUGCUUCCCCUGCUGUCACUGGGAAAGGACACCGCAAGAUUGAACCCAAAGCUAAGCACUUCUCCCAUUGCAAGAAAGAUCAAUCUAGUAGGCCAAACCAAACUGAUAAUUCUAAGGGACUUGCAAAGAUAACCAAUCAUACAUAAAAGAAUUCAGAGAAGAUUCAAUUAUUUCGCAUAGAUAAACUUGAUCAUAAACCCAUAAUUCAUCGGAUCUCGAAAAACACACCGCAAAAAGAGUUACAUCGAAUAGAUCUCCAACAAGAUCAAGGAGAACUUUGUAUUGCGAUUCAAAGAGAGAGAAGAAGCCAUCUAGAUAAUAACUAUGGACCCCAAGGUCUAUGGUAAACUACUCACAACUCAUCGGAGAGGCCUUGGAGAUGAUGUAGAGCCCCUCCGUGGUCGAUUCCCCCUCUGGCGGAGCGCUGGCGAAUGCUUCAAGAUGGGAUCUCACGGAUACAGGAGGUUGCGGCGGUGGAAUUAGGUUUUCGUGGUGCUCUUGGAUGUUCUCGGGGUAUGUGGAUAUAUAUAGGCGAAGGAGGUAGGUCAGGGGAGCCACGAGGGGCCUGCGAGGGUGGGGGGCGCGCCCACCCUCCUAGGGCGUGCCCUCCUGCCUCGUGGCUGCCUGGGUUGCUUCUUGACGUCCACUCCAAGUCUCCUGGAUUGCGUUUGUUCCAAAAAGAUCACUCCCAAAGGUUUCAUUCUGUUUGGACUCCGUUUGAUAUUCCUUUUCUUCGAAACACUUAAAUAGGCAAAAAAACAACAAUUCGGGCUAGGCCUCCGGUUAGUAGGUUAGUCCCAAAAAUGAUAUAAAAGUGUAAAUUAGAGCCCAUAAACAUCCAAAACGGGUAAUAUAAUAGCAUGGAACAAUAAAAAAAGUUAUAGAUACAUUGGAGACGUAUCAAGCAUCCCCAAGCUUAAUUCCUGCUCGUCCUCGAGUAGGUAAACGAUAAAAACAAAUUUUUUGAUGUGGAAUGCUACCUAGCAUAAUUCUCAAUGUAAUUUUAUUUAUUGUGGCAUGACUGUUCAGAUCCAAAUGAUUCUAAAUAAAAGUUCAUAUUGACAUAACAACAAUAAUACUUCAAUCAUAAUAAUAAAGGAAUCAUGUCUUCUCAAAAUAACAUGGCUAAAUAAAGCUAUCCCUACAAAAUCAUAUAGUCUGGCUAUGCUCUAUCUUCAUCACACAAAGUAUUUAAUCAUGCACAACCCCGAUGACGAGCCAAGCAAUUGUUUCAUACAUUAGUAUUCUCAAAAAAUUUCAACCUUCACGCAAUACAUGAGCGUGAGCCAUGGACAUAGCACUAUAUGUGGAAUAGAAUGGUGAUUGUGGAGAAGACAAAAAGGGAGAAGAUAGUCUCACAUCAACUAGGCGUAUCAACAGGCUAUGGAGAUGCCCAUUAAUAGAUAUCAAUGUGACUGAGCAGGGAUUGCCAUGCAAUGGAUGCACUAGAGCUAUAAAUGUAUAAAAGCUCAACAAAAGAAACUAAGUGGGUGCGCAUCCAACUCACUUGCUCACGAAGACCUAGGGCAUUUUGAGGAAGCCCGUCAUUGGAAUAUACAAGCCAAGUUCUAUAAUGAAAAAUUCCCACUAGUAUAUGAAAGUGACAACAUAGGAGACUCUUGAUACGUCUCAAACGUAUCUAUAAUUUUUGAUUGCUCCAUGCUACUUUAUUUACUGUUUUGGACUAUAAUGGGCUUUAUUUUCCACUUUUAUAUUAUUUUUGGGACUAACCUAUUAACCGGAGGCCCAGCCUAGAAUUGCUGUUUUUUUGCCUUUUUCAGUAUUUCAAAGAAACAGAAUAUCAAACAGAGUCCAAACGGAAUGAAACCUUCGGGAACGUGAUUUUCUCAUCAGAUAAGAUCCAGGAGACUUGGACCCUCCGUCAAGAAAGCCACGAGGCGGUCACGUGGGUGGAGGGCGCGCCCCUCCCCCCUGGGCGCGCCCCCUACCUUGUGGGCCCCUCGAAGCUCCACCGACGUACUCCUUCCUCCUAUAUAUACCUACGUACCCCCAAACGAGCAGGGGGAGCAAAAAAACCUAAUUCCACCGCCGCAACCUUCUUUAUCCACGAGAUCCCAUCUUGGGGCCUGUUCCGGAGCUCCGCCAGACGGGGCAUCCACCACGGAGGGCUUCUACAUCAUCACCAUGGCCCCUCCGAUGAAGUGUGAGUAGUUUACUUCAGACCUUCGGGUCCAUAGCUAGUAGCUAGAUGGCUUCUUCUCUCUUUUUGGAUCUCAAUACAAUGUUCUCCCCCUCUCUCGUGGAGAUCUAUUCAUUGUAAUCUUCUUUUUGCGGUGUGUUUGUUGAGACCGAUGAAUUGUGGGUUUAUGAUCCAGUAUUAUCUAUGGAAAAUAUUUGAUUCUUCUCUGAAUUCUUUUAUGUAUGAUUGAGUUAUCUUUGCAAGUCUCUUCGAAUUAUCCGUUCGGUUUGGCCAACUAGAUUGGUAGUUCUUGCAAUGGGAGAAGUGCAUGGCUUUGGGUUCAAUCUUGCAGUGUCCUUACUCAGUGACAAAAAGAGUUGCAAGGCACGUAUUGUAUUGUUGCCAUCGAGGAUAACAAGAUGGGUUUUUUAUCAUAUUGCAUGAUUUUAUCCCUCUACAUCAUGUCAUCUUGCUUAAGGCGUUACUCUGUUUUUACUUAAUACUCUAGAUGCAUGCUGGAUAGCGGUCGAUGAGUGGAGUAAUAGUAGUAGAUGCAGAAUCGUUUCGAUCUACUUGUCUCAGAUGUGAUGCCUAUAUACAUGAUCAUUGCCUAGAUAUACUCAUAACUAUGCUCAUUUCUGUCAAUUGCUCAACAGUAAUUUGUUCACCCACCGUAGAAUACUUAUGCUCUCGAGAGAAGCCACUAGUGGAACCUAUGGCCCCCGGGUCUAUUCUCAUCAUAUCAAUCUAUAUCCCUUUAUUUACUUGCUUUGUUUUUUACUUUACUUUUACUUUUUACUUUGCAUCUAUCUAUCAAAAAUACCAAAAACAUUAUCUCUAUCAGAUCUCACUCUCGUAAGUGACCGUGAAGGGAUUGACAACCCCUAAGCGUUGGUUGCGAGUUGCUAUCGUGUUGUGCAGGUAUGAGGGACUUGCGCGUGACCUCCUACUUGAUUGAUAUCUUGGUUCUAAAAAAAUGAGGGAAAUACUUAUGCUACUAUGCUGCAUCAUCCUCUCCUCUUCGGGGAAAACCAACGCAAGCUCGAGAUGUAGCAAGAAGAAUUUCUAGCGCCGUUGCCGGGGAGGCUUACGCAAAAGUCAACAUACCAAGUACCCAUCACAAUCCCUAUCUCUCGCAUUACAUUAUUUGCCAUUUGCCUCUCAUUUUCCUCUCCCCCACUUCACCCUUGCCACUUUAUUCACCCUGUCUUUCCCUAUCUCCUCCUCUCUUUCCCGUUUGCCUUGUCAUUAUGUCAAGUUCUUUUUCCGCUCCUAUGUCCCCCGAGUUUGAAGUUCUUCACUUCAAGCAAAGGCAAGGAGAAAAUUUAAAAGAUGCUUGGUAUAGGAUGAUGGAAUCUUAUCGCAAGUGCACCCUAGAGGUGAACUUUAGAAUUCUUCUUCAUAAUUUUUAUGUUGGGUUAAAUAUGACGCAUAGACAACUCUUGGAUUGCAUUGCCAAGGGAAAUUUCAUUGAGAUUGAUCCCAGUAUUGCGCAUGAAAUUAUAGAGGGAAUAGUGGAACACUACCUCAAAAUGGAGGAUCACAUCCUACCCAAGGAGAAACCCAAGUGUUUGAGAAGACUUGCGAAGUAACAAUUUUUUUACAAAAGUCUCUUGAGCCUCUUAAAAGUGUUAGCGGAAAUCUUCACCGCAUGAAUAUGUUGAUUACUCUUUGCAAUAAGCAGUUGGAUUCUUUAGAUCUAAAAAUUUCCGAGUAUGAAGGGAAGAGGAAAGAACCUCCCGGAUUCGAGCAUGACUCCACCAAAAAACUGAAAAUUAAAGAUGACACUACCUAGAUCUAUCCUUGCUUUUAUGCCUAGCUAGGGGCGUUAAACGAUAGCGCUUGUUGGGAGGCAACCCAAUUUUAUUUUGUGUUUUUUGUUUUUGCUUAUGUUUAGGAAUAAAUAAUCCACUACCUUCUGUUUGGAUGUGGUUUUAUGUUUUAAUUAGUGUUUGUGCCAUGUAAGACCUAUAGGAUAACCUACGAUGAUAGUUGAUUUGAUUCUGCUGAAAAACAGAAACCUUAGUGCUCACGAGAUUAGCUGCCAUUUUUUACUGGAGAGUCAUUUUGCGUUGAUUCUUUUUUAUGAUGAUAAAUAAACAAAUUGUCCAGGACUUCCUAUUUUGGUAGAAUUUUUAGAUUUCCAGAAGAUUGCGUUAGUUACAUAUUACUACAGAUUGUUCUGUUUUUGACAGAUUCUGUUUUUCGUUUGUUGUUUGCUUAUUUUGAUGAAUCUAUGGCUAGUAAAUUAGUUUAUAAACUAUAGAGAAGUUGGCAUACAGUAGGUUUAACACCAAUAUAAAUAAAGAAUGAGUUCAUUACAGUACCUUGAAGUAGUCUUUUGUUUUCUUUCUCUAACGGAGCUCACGAGAUUUCUGUUGAGUUUUGUGUUGUGAAGUUUUCAAGUUUUGGGUGAAUUCUUUUGAUGGAUUACGGAACAAGGAGUGGCAAGAGCCUAAGCUUGGGGAUGCCCGUGGCACCCCUAAUAUAAUCCAAGGACACCAAAAAGUCAAAUCUUGGGGAUGCCCCGGAAGGCAUCCCCUCUUUCGUCCACUUCCAUCGGUAAUUUACUUGGAGCUAUAUUUUUAUUCACCAACAUGAUAUGUGUUUUACUUGGAGCGUCUUGUAUUAUUUGUGUCUUUGCUUGUUAGUCUACCACAAUCAUCCUUCCUGUACACACCUUUUGAGAGAGCCAUACAUGUUUUGGAAUUUGUUAGAAUACUCUAUGUGCUUCACUUGUAUCUUUUGAGCUUGAUAUUUUUGCUCAUAGUGCUUCACUUAUAUUCUUUUGAGCGUGAUAAUUUUUGCUCUAGUGCUUCACUUAGAUCUUUUUGAGCACGGUGGUGGAUUUGUUUUAAAGAAACUUGAUCUCUCAUGCUUCACUUAGAUUAUUUUCAAAGUCUUUAAUAGCAUGGUAAUUUGCUUAAUGUUAAUAUACUUGGUAUUCAAGAUGUGUGAAACUUUCUUUUGAGUGCGUUGAAUACUAAGAUAAGUUUGAUGCUUGAUAAUUGUUUUGAGAUAUGGAGGUGAUAAUAUCAAAGAUGUGCUAGUUGGGUGAUUAUGAAUUCAAAGAAUUCUUGUGUUGAAGUUAGAAAAUCCCGUAGCAUGCACGUAUGGUUAAAGUUAUGUAACAAAUUUGAAACAUGAAGUGUACCUGGCUUGUUCAUCCUUAUGAGUGGCGGUCGGGGACGAGCGAUGGUCUUUUCCUAUGAAUCUAUCCCCCUAGGAGCAUGCGCGUAGUAUUUGAAUUUUUGAUGACUUCUAAAUUUUUGCAAUAAGUAUAUGAGUUCUUUUGACUAAUGUUGAGCCCAUGGAUUAUACGCACUCUCACCCUUCUGCCUUUGCUAGCCUCUUCGGUACCGUGCAUUGCCCUUUCUCACCUUGAGAGUUGGUGCAAACUUCGCCGGUGCAUCCAAACCCCGUGAUACGAUACGCUCUAUCACACAUAAACCUCCUUAUAUCUUCCUCAAAACAGCCACCAUACCUACCUAUCAUGGCAUUUCCAUAGCCAUUCCGAGAUAUAUUGCCAUGCAACUUCCACCAUCAUCAUCGUGACAUGCAUUACUUUUGUCAUAUUGCCAUUGCAUGAUCUUGUAGUUGACAUUGUAUUUGUGGCAAAGCCACCAUGCAUUAUUUUUCAUACAUGUCACUCUUGAUUCAUUGCACCAUCCCGGUACACCACCGGAGGCAUUCAUAUAGAGUCAUAUCUUGUUCUAGUUUCGAGUUGUAAUUAAUAUGUUGUAAUGAAAGUGUGAUGAUCAUCAUUAUUAGAGCAUUGCCCAAAAAAAGGAGAAAGGCCAAAAGAAAAAAAGAAAGUCCCCAAAAAAGGGGCAAUGCUACUAUCUCAUUUUCCACACUUGUGCUUCAAAGUAGCACCUUGUUCUUCAUGUAGUCAGUCUCAUAUAUUGUGCUUCAAAGUAGCACCUAGUUUUUCAUGUAGUGAGUCUCAUAAGUUGUCUUUUUAUACUAGUGGGAAUUUUUCAUUAUAGAACUUGGCUUGUAUAUUCCUACGAUGGGCUUCCUCAAAUGCCCUAGGUCUUCGUGAGCAAGCAAGUUGGAUGCACACCCACUAGUUUUCUUUUGUUGAGAAUUCAUAGCUCUAGUGCAUCCGUUGCAUGGCAAUCCCUACUCGCUGUUUUUUGCAUUUUUCAGUAUUUCGAAGAAACAGAAUAUCAAACGGAGUCCAAACGGAAUGAAACCUUCGGGAACGUGAUUUUCUCAUCAGAUAAGAUCCAGGAGACUUGGACCCUCCGUCAAGAAAGCCACGAGGUGGUCACGAGGGUGGAGGGCGCGCCCCUCCCCCCUGGGCGCGCUCCCUACCUCGUGGGCCCCUCGAAGCUCCACCGACGUACUCCUUCCUCCUAUAUAUACCUAUGUACCCCCAAACGAUCAGGGGGGAGCAAAAAAACCUAAUUCCAACGCCGCAACCUUCUGUAUCCACGAGAUUCCAUCUUGGGGCCUGUUCCGGAGCUCCGCCGGAGGGGGCAUCCACCAUGGAGGGCUUCUACAUCAUCACCAUGGCCCCUCCGAUGAAGUAUGAGUAGUUUAGUUCAGACCUUCGGGUCCAUAGCUAGUAGCUAGAUGGCUUCUUCUCUCUUUUUGGAUCUCAAUACAAUGUUCUCCCCCUCUCUCGUGGAGAUCUAUUCGAUGUAAUCAUCUUUUUGCAGUGUGUUUGUUGAGACCGAUGAAUUGUGGGUUUAUGAUCCAGUAUUAUCUAUGGAAAAUAUUUGAUUCUUCUUUGAAUUCUUUUAUGUAUGAUUGAGUUAUGUUUGCAAGUCUCUUCGAAUUAUCCCUUUGGUUUGGCCAACUAGAUUGGUAGUUCUUGCAAUGGGAGAAGUGCAUGGCUUUGGGUUCAAUCUUGCGGUGUCCUUACUCAGUGACAAAAAGAGUUGCAAGGCACGUAUUGUAUUGUUGCCAUCGAGGAUAACAAGAUGGGGUUUUUAUCAUAUUGCAUGAAUUUAUCCCUCUACAUCAUGUCAUCUUGCUUAAGGCAUUACUCUGUUUUUACUUAAUACUCUAGAUGCAUGCUGGAUAGCGGUCGAUGAGUGGAGUAAUAGUAGUAGAUGCAGAAUUGUUUCGAUCUACUUGUCUCGGACGUGAUGCCUAUAUACAUGAUCAUUUCCUAGAUAUACUCAUAACUAUGCUCAGUUCUGUCAAUUGCUCAACAGUAAUUUGUUCACCUACCGUAGAAUACUUAUGCUCUCGAGAGAAGCCACUAGUGAAACUUAUGGCCCCCAGGUCUAUUCUCAUCAUAUCAAUCUAUAUCACUUUAUUUACUUGCUUUGUUUUUACUUUACCUUUACUUUUUACUUUGCAUCUAUCUAUCAAAAAUACCAAAAACAUUAUCUCUAUCAGAUCUCACUCUCGUAAGUGACCGUGAAGGGAUUGACAACCCCUAAGCGUUGGUUGCGAGUUGCUAUCGUGUUGUGCAGGUACGAGGGACUUGCGCGUGACCUCCUACUGGAUUGAUACCUUGGUUUUCAAAAACUGAGGGAAAUACUUACGCUACUGUGCUGCAUCAUCCUCUCCUCUUCGGGGAAAACCAACGCAAGCUCGAGACGUAGCAACUCUCUAUCAUGAAGAUCAUGGUGCUACUUUGAAGCACAAGUGUGGUAAAAUGAUAGUAGCAUUGUCCCUUCUCUAUUUUUCUCUCAUUUUUUUCUCUUUUUUCUCCUUUUCCUUUCUAUUUUUUUCUUUCUAUUUUUUUCUUUCUUUUUUUCUCUCUUUUUUCUUUGGCCUUUCUCUUUUUAUUUGGCCUUUCUCCUUUUUUUUAUAAAGUCCGAAGUCUCAUCCCGACCUGUGGGGGAAUCAUAGUCUCCAUCAUCCUUUCCUCACUUGGGACAAUGCUCUAAUAAUGAGGAUCAUCACACUUUUAUUUACUUACAACUCAAGAUUACAACUCGAUACUUAGAACAAAAUAUGACUCUAUAUGAAUGCCUCCGGCCGUGUACCGGGAUAUGCAAUGAAUCAAGAGUGACAUGUAUGGAAGAAUUAUGAAGGUGGCUUUGCCACAAAUACGAUGUCAACUACAUGAUCAUGCAAAGAGCAAUAUGACAAUGAUGAUGCGUGUCAUAAUAAACGGAACGGUGGAAAGUUGCAUGGCAAUAUAUCUUGGAAUGGCUAUGGAAAUUCCAUAAUAGGUAAGUAUGGUGCCUAUUUUGAGGAAGGUAUAUGGUGGGUGUAUGGUACCGGCGAAAGUAGUGAGGCACAAGAGAGGGUAGCAAUGGUGGAAGGGUGAGAGUGCGUAUAACCCAUGGACUCAACAUUAGUCAUAAAGAACUCAUAUACUUAUUGCAAAAAUCUACAAGUCAUUGAAAACAAAGUACUACCCGCAUGCUCCUAGGGGGAUAGAUUGGUAGGAAAAGACCAUCGCUCGUCCCCGACCGCCACUCAUAAGGAAGACAAUCAAUAAAUAAAUUAUGCUCCAACUUCAUCACAAAGCGGGUCACCAUACGUGCAUGCUACGGGAAUCACUAACUUCAACACAAGUAUUCCUCAAAUUCAUAAUUACUCCACUAGCAUGACUCUAAUAUCACCAUCCUCAUAUCUCAAAACAAUUACCAAGCAUCAAAUUGAUCAUAGCAUCCAAUUCACUUUCUAUGAUAGUUUUUAUUAUACCCAACUUGGAUGCUCUUCAUUCUAGGACCAAUUUUAUAACCAUAGAAAAUACCAUGCUGUUCUAAAAGACUCUCAAAAUGAUAUAAGUGAAUCACUAGACAUCAACAAUUUCUACAAAAUUAAACCACCUCCGUGCUCUAAAAGAUAUAAGUGAAGCACUAGAGCAACAUUAUCUAGCUCAAAAGAUAUAAGUGAAGCACAUAGAGUAUUCUAAUAAAUUCCAAAUCAAGUGUGUCUCUCCCAAAAUGUGUGUACAGCAAGGAUGAUUAUGGAAAACUAAAAAGCAAAGACUCAUAUCAUACAAGACGCUCCAAGCAAAACACAUAUCAUGUGGUGAAUAAAAAUAUAGCUCCAAGUAAAGUUACCGAUAAACGAAGACGAAAGAGGGGAUGCCUUCCGGGGCAUCCCCAAGCUUAGGAAUUGGGUUGUCCUUGAAUUUCUUGGGGUGCCUUGUUCAUCCCCAAGCUUAGGGUCUUGCCACUCCAUAUUCCAUAGUCCAUCAAAUCUUUACCAAAAACUUGAAAACUUGACAACACAAAACUCAACAGGAAAUCUCAUAUGCUCCGUUAGUGCAAGAAAGAAAAACCACCACAUAAGGUUCUGUAAUGAACUAAUUUUUUAUAUAUAUUGGUGUGAAACCUACUGUAUUCCAACUUCUCUAUGGUUCAUACUCCCCGAUACUAGCCAUAGAUGCAUCUAAAUAAGCAAACAACACACGAAAAACAGAAUCUGUCAAAAACAGAAGAGUCUGUAGCAAUCUGUAACUUUCGAAUACUUCUGGAACUCUAAAACUCCUAAAAAAAUAUGUAGUGCUGGGCAAUUUGUCUAUUGAUAUACUUCAAAAGGAAUCAACGCAAAAACACAUUUUUGUGAUUUAUUAAAAUUAUUCUCGCGCGCGCAAGAGUUUCUGUUUUUCAGCAGAAUCAAAUUAACUAUCAUCGUAGGUUAUCCUAUAGGUUCUACUUGGCACAAACACUAAUUAAAACAUAAAACCACAUCUAAACAGAGGCUAGAUGAAAUAUUUAUUACUAAACAGAAGCAAAAAGCAAGGAACUAAAAUAAAAUUGGGUUGCCUCCCAACAAGCGCUAUCGUUUAGCGCCCCUAGCUAGGCAUAAAAGCAAGAGUAGAUCUAAGUAUUGCCAUCUUUGGCAUUCAAUUCAUAAGUAGCUCGCAUGAUAGAUUCAUAAGGUAAUUUGACUUUAUUUCUAGGGAAGUGUUCCAUGCCUUUCCUUAGUGGAAAUUGGAAUCUAAUAUUCCCUUCCUUCAUAUAAAUAAUUGCACCAAUCGUUCUAAGGAAAGCUCUACCAAGAAUAAUAGGACAUGAAAGAUUGCAAUCUAUAUCAAGAAUGAUAAAAUCUAUGGGCAGAUAAUUCUUAUUUGCAACAAUAAGAACAUCAUUGAUCCUUCCCAUAGGUUUCUUAAUGGUGGAAUCCGCAAGGUGCAAGUUUAAAGAGCAAUCAUCAAAAUCAUGAAAACCUAGCACAUCACAUAAAUUUUUUGGAAUUGUGGAAACACUAGCAACCAAAUCACACAAAGCAUAGCAUUCAUGAUCUUUAAUUUUAUUUUAUAGUAGGUUCCCACUCAUCAUAAAGUUUUCUAGGUAUAGAAACUUCCAAUUCAAGUUUUUCCUCAUAAGAUUACAUCAAGGCAUCAACAAUAUGUUUGGUAAAAGCUUUAUUUUGACUAUAAGCAUGAGGAGAAUUCAACACGGAUUGCGACAAGGAAAUACAAUCUAUUAAAGAACAAUUAUCAUAAUUAAAUUCCUUUAAAUCCAUAAUAGUGGGUUCAAUGCUAUGUAAAGUUUUGACCUCUCCAAUCCCACUUUUACCAAAUUUAGCAUCAAGAUCUAAAAACUCCGAAUCAUUGGGACGCCUUUUAACUAAAGUUGACUCAUAUCCAGCCCCAUCAUUAUCAAGAUUCAUAUUGCAAAACAAAGAUUUAAUAGGGGACACAUCAAUAACUUUUAGAUCUUCAUCAUUAUUUUCAUGGAAACUAGAAGAACACGCUUUUACAAAGCAAUCUUUCUUAGCACGCAUCCCAGCGGUUCUUUCUUUGCACUCAUCAAUGGAAAUUCUCAUGGCUUUGAGAGACUCAUUGAUAUCAUGCUUAGGUGGAAUAGAUCUAAGUUUCAAAGAAUCAACAUCAAGAGAAAGUCUAUCAACGUUCCUAGCCAAUUUGUCAACUUUAAGCAAUUUUUCUUCAAGCAAAGCAUUGAAAUUCUUUUGAGAGAUCAUAAAUUCUUUAACACUAUUCUCAAAAUCAAAGGGCAUCUUAUUAAAAUUUCCAUAAGAGGUUGUAGGAAUUACCAUAAUUAUUAGAGGAAUUACUAGGAAACGGCCUAGGAUUAAAGUUUCCUCUAUACGCGUUGUUACCAAAAUUAUUCCUACCAACAAAAUUCACAUCUAUAGAUUCAUUAUUAUUCUCAAUCAAAGUAGACAAAGGCAUAUCAUUGGGAUCAAUAGGAGCACUCUUAGUAGCAAACAAUUUCAUAAGUUCAUCCAUCUUUCCACUCAAAACAUUAAUCUCUUCUAUAGCAUGCACUUUUUUACUAGUAGAUCUUUUGGUGUGCCAUUGAGAAUAAUUGACCAUAAUGUUAUCAAGAAGUUUAGUAGCUUCUCCUAAGGUGAUUUCCAUAAAAGUGCCUCCCGCAGCCGAAUCCAAGAGAUUUAUAGAAGCAUAAUUCAAUCCGGCAUAAAAGUUUUGUAUGAUCAUCCAUAAAUUCAAACCAUGAGUAGGGCAAUUGUGAAUCAUUAAUUUCAUUCUUUCCCAAGAUUGGGCAACAUGCUCAUGAUCAAGUUGUUUAAAAUUCAUAAUAUCAUUUCUAAGAGAGAUAAUCUUAGCGGGAGGAAAAUACUUAGAGAUAAAAGCAUCUUUGCACUUAUUCCAUGAAUCAAUACAGACGAAAACCAAGUUUUAGCACGAUCUCUAAGUGAAAUGGAAAUAACUUCAAUUUAACAAUAUCAUUAUUUGUAUCUUUCUUAUUUUGCAUAUUACACAAAUCAACAAAGUUGUUUAGAUGAGUAGCGGCAUCUUCACUAGGAAGGCCGGAGAAUUGAUCUUUCAUAACAAGAUUCAACAAAGCAACAUUGAUUUCACAAGAUUCAACAUCAUUAAGAGGAGCAAUUGGAGUGCUAAGGAAAUCAUUAUUAUUGGUAUUGAAAAAAAUCACACAAUUUGGUUUUAUCUUGCGCCAUCGUGACAAGAAAUCCAACACACAAGCACACAAGAGGCAAGUGAAAGAGAGUGGAGAACAGGAAAGAGAGGGCGAAUAAAAUGGCAAGGGUGAAGUGGGGGAGAGGAAACGAGAGGCAAAUGGCAAAUAAUGUAAUGCGAGGGAGAUGAGUUUGUGAUGGGUACUUGGUAUGUCUUGACUUGAGCGAAGACCUCCCCGGCAACGGCACCAGAAAUCCUUCUUCCUACCUCUUGAGCACUGCGUUGGCUUUUCCCUUGAAGAGGAAAGGGUGAUGCAGCAAAGUAGCAUAAGUAUUUCCCUCGGUUUUUGAGAACCAAGGAAUCAAUCCAGUAGGAGGCUCCUCAAAAGUCCCACGCACCUACACAAACAAACAAGAACCUUGCAACCAACGCGAUAAAGGGGUUGUCAAUCCCUUCACGAAAACUUGCUAAAGUGAGAUCUGAUAGAGAUAAUAAGAUAAGAUAAAUAUUUUUGGUAUAGAUUGGAAAGUAAAGAUGCAAAUAAAAGUAGAUGGAAAACUUAUAUGAUAAAAGAUUGACCCGGGGGCCAUAGAUUUCACUAGUGGCUUCUCUCAAUAUAGCAUAAGUAUUACGGUGGGUGAACAAAUUACUAUCGAGCAAUUGAUAGAAAAGUGCAUAGUUAUGAGAUUAUCUAGGCAUGAUCACGUAUAUAGGCAUCACGUCCGCAACAAGUAGAUCGAAACGAUUCUGCAUCUACUACUAUUACUCCACACAUCGACCGACUCCUGCCUGCAUCUAGAGUAUUAAGUUCACAAGAACAGAGUAACGCAUUAACAAAGAUGACAUGAUGUAGAGGGAUAAACUCAAGCAAUAUGAUAUAAACCCCAUCUUUUUAAACUUGAUGGCAACAAUACAAUACGUGCCUUGCUGCCCCUGCUAUCACUUGGAAAGGACACUGCAAGAUUGAACCCAAAGCUAAGCAUUUUUGCCAUUGCAAGAAAGAUCAAUCUAGUAGGACAAACCAAAUUGAUAAUUCGAAGAGACUUGCAAAGAUAACCAAUCACACAUAAAAAAAUUCAUAGGAGAUUCAAUUAUUUCUCAUAGAUAAACUUGAUCAUAAACCCACAAUUCAUCGGAUCUCGACAAACACACCACUAAAAGAGUUACGUCGAAUAGAUCUCCAAGAAGAUCAAGGAGAAUUUUGUAUUGAGAUUCAAAGAGAGAGAAGAAGCCAUCUAGCUAAUAACUAUGGACCCGAAGGUCGGUGGUAAACUACUAACAACUCAUCAGAGAGGCCUUGGAGAUGAUGUAGAGGCCCUCCAUGGUAGAUUCCCGCUCCAGCGGAGCACCGGCGAAGGCUCCAAGAUGGGAUCUCGUGGAUACAAAAGGUUGCGCCGGAGGGGAAUCGACCAUGGAGGGCCUCUACAUCAUCUCCAAGGCCUCUCCGAUGAGUUGUGAGUAGUUUACCAUAGACUUUCGGGUCCAUAGCUAUUAUCUAGAUGGCUUCUUCUCUCUUUUUGAAUCUCAAUACCAUGUUCUCAUUGAUCUUUUUGGAGAUCUAUUCGAUGUAACUCUUUUUGCGGUGUGUUUGUCGAGAUCCGAUGAAUUGUGGGUUUAUGAUCAAGUUUAUCUAUGAGAAAUAUUUGAAUCUCCUCUGAAUUCUUUUAUGUGUGAUUAAGUUAUCUUUGCAAGUCUCUUCGAAUUAUCAGUUUGGUUUGGCCUACUAGAUUGAUCUUUCUUGCAAUGGGAGAGGUGCUUAACUUUGGGUUCAAUCUUGCGGUGUCCUUUCCUAGUGACAGCAGGGGCAGCAAGGCACGUAUUGUAUUGUUGCCAUCGAGGAUAAAAAGAUGGGGUUUAUAUCGUAUUGCAUGAGUUUAUCCCUCUAUAUCAUGUCAUCUUUCUUAAUGUGUUACUCUGUUCUUUAUGAACUUAAUACUCAAAUGCAUACUAGAUAGCGGUCGAUGUGUGGAGUAAUAGUAGUAGAUGCAGGCAGGAGUCGGUCUACUUGUCACGGACGUGAUGCCUAUAUACAUGAUCAUGCCUAGAUAAUCUCAUAAUUAUUCGCUUUUCUAUCAAUUGCUCGACAUUAAUUUGUUCACCCACCGUAAUACUUAUGCUAUCUUGAGAGAAGCCACUAGUGAAACCUAUCUUUUAUCAUAUAAGCUUUCAAUCUACUUUUAUUUGCAUCUUUACUUUUCCAAUCUACAUUAUAGAAUACCAAAAAUAUAUUUAUCUUAUCAUAUUAUCUCUAUUAGAUCUCACUUUCGCAAGUGGCCUUGAAGGGAUUGACAACACCUUUAUUGCGUUGGUUCCGAGUUCUUGUUUGUUUGUUUAGGUGCGUGGGACUUUUGAGGAGCCUCCUACUGGAUUGAUACCUUGGUUCUCAAAGGAUGAGGGAAAUACUUACGCUAUUAUUGCCGCAUCAUCCUUUCCUCUUCAAGGAAAACCAACGCAAGCUCAAGACGUAGCAAGAAGGAUUUCUGGCGCCGUUGCCGGGGAGGUCUUCGCUCAAGUCAAGACAUACCAAGUACCCAUCACAAACUCAUCUCCCUCGCACUUACAUUAUUUGCCACUUGCCUCUCGUUUUCCUCUCCCCCACUUCACCCUUGCCGUUUUAUUUGCCCUCUCUUUCCCAAUCUCCUCUCUCUUCUGCUUGUCUUCUUGUGUGCCUGUUUGCUUUUAUGGCUUUGCCUAAGAACACCGACCUUUAUCUUAGAAGGUUGGAAGAGAUUGAAUCAAACGUUAGAAGUUUUAUGACUUUACAAUUUGAGCAUAGUAAUUUCUUUAGAAAAGAGCUUAAAGAACAAAAAAGUUUUAUGGGGUUUAUGAACAAAGAGCUUGAUGAUAUAUCUAAAUAAUUUUAUGGUUUGAACUCUCAAAUUACUCGGCUUGAAAAUUCUAUAGCCCAAAUCUCUAAUAAGCAAGCUACGUACCUUAGUCAAUAAGAUGGCUGCCAAACCAGAAAAGUUAGAUGAAAAUAAUGAUGAAGAUCUAAAAUUUAUUGAUGUGUCCCCUAUUAAAUCUUUGUUUUGCAAUAUGAAUCUUAAUAAAGAUGGGACUGGAGAUGAGUCAACUCUAGUUAAAAGGCGUCCCUAUGAUUCAGAGUUUUUAGAUCUUGAUGCUAAAUUUGGUAAAAGUGGGAUUGGAGAGGUCAAGACUUUAAAUAGCAUUGAACCCACUAUCUUGGAUUUCAACGAAUUUAAUUAUGAUAAUUGUCGGUGUACUAAAGUAGGGGUACCUUAGUAUCCCGAACUUGUCCACGGGCAGUUGCAGCACCCCGCGGCAAGGCUUGCCGGGUGACCGUCAAGAUCCUCCGUGGUUCCUUUGGAGCCAUUCAAGAACAAAGUAUUCAAGCCAAGGAGACAAGGCCCCGGCAAGAGGAGCUUGCCGGGAAGGCCAGCCAAGGCAUCUCAAGGAACUUGCCGCGACGCGCCACGCGUCCCGGCAAGGCCCGGUGAGCGACAAGCUUCCGGACGCGACAAGACAACGACCGCGGCAAGGCGCUUGCCGCGACAAGCUACCACCCUGUACCCACGCUCCAGCACAUCUACCAACGUAUCACCUUGGGGCCUUUCCAGGCGCGCGUGGCAAGAGGCUGUGCAGCCAGCGGUGCGAGGUGGCAAGCAACGGUGACAAGAUUGCCAUCGUGGCGAACGGUGGCGUCCCUGACGGUCCUUUCCUGCACUGUUUGGGCGACACAGACGGGCAUUUAAUGCCUUUGUCCCCUGCCGUCAGGGUUAGGUAGGAUACACUGUACAUGUAGUUGUACCAACCGCAACUCCUUUUACGUUUUUACCCUUGUCUAUGUUGCCACCUGUCGGUGACCAGUUUAGCAUAUAAAAGGAGGCCCACGGGCAACGUAGAGGGGGUUCGGUUCGGGCCGAAGCCAGAAAAACACUCACGCUCGGUCUCGUUAGCAGCUAGAGUGCGCCAUAGCACUCAGCGCUCCCGAGCAAGAACAUAAUACACUAAAACAUGCAGCAGUAGGAGUGUUAUCUCUCCGGAGAGCUCCGAAGCUGGGUAAACUGCUCGUGUGCUUCGCCUCGAUCCGCUCUUCGUGCGACCUCCGCCCCCCGCCGAACCGAAAGGGGCUCGGUCCGCCGGUCCCAUAGGUGUUCGUGGAUCAGCUUCCCCGACAUCUUUGGCGCACUAGGUGGGGGGCGUCGAGAUUGUGUGAACCUGAUCCGACGUUCACACGAGCUGGAUCUUCAUUUUCUUCAUCAACAUGCCACCGAAGAAGAAGGCUUCGGGGGCAACUGUUCCGCCCACGUCGAUCCCACCACCACCGGAGCAAACGGGUGGUGGGAUAGACGCCGGCGGAAGAACGGACAUCGACGAGGGAGCUCACGGUGCUGCCAGAUCCAAGGACAAGGCUGCACAGACCUCAGCGUCCGUACAUGCACCGCGCCCAUCUCAGGAGGCGCAGGACUGACAGCGUCAUGGUAUUCGCAGUACCAUACGUUUGUUGGACCAAGAUUGAGCUGGUGGAUCUCGGAGUGCUCAAGACCAACAUGCACGCCAACAUGCAGGCACGAGCAAGAUACGAUCGCCUGGACGGGAUACUGCUCCUUCUAACAUAGUUAGAAGUCCGAGCAUAUCCCGCUCCUCGCGCCGUUCACCACUGCCACCCACCACUCGAGCAGAAGCUUUGGCGCGAGCUCAACUGCUCCUGGAUUACCCUCCAACGGCAGACAAGAUCGACGAAUGGAGCGCCACCAUUCAGAGUCUCAUCGACUUCGCCAAUGGCGACACUCCGCAGCAGCCGAGUGCAUCGCGGCCGCGGCAGGACUGCCAGGCACGAGCCGAUGGUGACAAAACCGGUGGGGGUGCAACCACCAUGCACUCUCCACCCCGAAGGCCAAGAUCGCCGACUCGCCGGAUCCACCUCGACAGCGACUCCACCGCAUCGUCAGAUCCACGAGCUCGUCGCGAUCAGCGCCAAGUUCUUCACGAACGACAGAAAGAAGACGCUCGUACUCGCAUCGAGCGCUGAAGAGAAGCGCGGCGUCAAUCUGACCAGCGCGCUGGGCCCUCUGUCGACAUGCAUGCGCCAGGGGCACCAGGUGACUUGCCGUACGCAGUAGGUUGCCCUGCGUUCACUCGUGAGCUGCGGCAAGUCCAGUGGCCCAGCACGAAAAAUUUCAAGCCAGAUGUACCAGAGAAGUACGACGGCAAGUCACAUCCGUCGGAGUUCCUCAGCAUCUACACCAUCGCGGUGCAAGCUGCCGGGGGACGGGACGACAAGAUCCUUGCCAACUACUUCCCGCUGGUGCUCAAGCCCAAUGUCAGAUCCUGGCUCAUGCACUUGCCGGACAACUCCAUAUCCUCCUGGGCGGACCUGUGCCAUCAUUUUGUCGGAGCCUUUACAGGCGGCCACAAGCCUCAUGGCCAAGAGAGCGACCUUCAUCUGCUCGCCCAGAAGGAAGGAGAGCCCCUGCGCAAGUACAUUCAGAGAUUCAGCCGUGUACAGCACAACCUCCCAGAUGUCCACCCUGCCGCGGUAAUCAGCGCGUUCCAUCAGAACAUGCGAAACAGCAGGAUGCGGGAGGAGAUGGCGAUGUGCAAGAUCAGAGAUGUCAGUGAGCUAUACGCCCUGGCCGACAAGUGUGCACGUGCUGAGGAAGGGAGGAAACUCCCCGGAGAGAGUACAGGAGCAGGAGGAUCUGAUAGUGAGGAUGCUGCCCCGACAAAGAAAAACCGGCGGCGGAACAACAGGAAGAAGAAAGGCAAAGAUGUGCUAGUCAUUGAGCAAUCCGGCAAGGAAGCCAAAGCUGGUAGCUUCGGCAAGGAGAUUGCCGUAGGCACCAACCACCAGGCUGUGGCGGUCGCCGACAAGCAGGACGACACCAACAGGCAGUACUGCAAGAUCCACCGCACCAAGGGCCAUGACCUCCAGAGUUGCAAGAAGGUCGAGCAGCUUGUCAAGCAGCAAAAGGCUGAAUACGAGCGACGCGACAAGGAGAAGGCCUAUGAAGGUGCUGGAGGAGCCGGCAAGAAACGCCCCGGCCGAGGAGGACGCCGCGGCAAGGCCAAGCAGCGCUAAGGAGACAGACCUCCCCGCGGCCGCGACAAGGAUGAAGAUGACGACAACGAUGAAGAUAUGGAUGAUGACGAGACCGAUGAGUAGGAGUUCUAGAAAGCCACAGAGAUCCUGUGCGUUGACGGUGGUGCUUCUCUGCAUACUUCACACCGCCAGCUCAAGCAGUGGGUGCGGGAAGUCAAUGCAGCAGAGCCACCCGUCGAGUCACGCAAGCCUCUGAAAUGGUCCAGCACGCCUAUCAUCUUUGAUAUUGAGGACCACCCUGAUCGCAUAACUGCGGUCGGGUGCUUGCCGAUGUUGGUUUCACCAACUAUCCGCAACCUCAAGGUCACUAAGAUGCUAGUUGACAGCGGGGCCGGCUUGAACCUGAUCUCCUCCGCGGUACUCCAGAAACUCCAGAUCCCUGAUAGCGAGCUCGAAGAGACCGGCACGUUCUAAGGAAUCAAUCCGGGAAGAAGCAAGCCAAAGGGAAAGAUCACGUUGCCGGUAACAUUUGGCAGCGAGUUAAACUUCAGGACUGAGAGGGUCACUUUUGACGUUGCUGACUUUCCAUUGCCUUACAAUGGGAUAGUCGGCCGUCCAACACUCGCCAAAUUCAUGGCAGCCUCUCACUAUGCAUACAACAUGCUGAAGAUGCCAGGCCCGAUAAGUGUCAUCUUUGUCCCUGGCGACAAGAAGGAUGCUCUUAUCUCCACCGACAAGAUCUACCGGGAAGCAGCAGCCGCAACAGAUCAUAGGUCACUUGCCGUUGAAGCUCCCGGGGGGAGGAAGAAGACCAAGUCCGGCAAGAGUUCUGAUGCCCACUCCGGCAAGCGCACCUCUUCGGGGUGCUGCACUACCGUCGAGGACGCACCAUCGAGCUCCACCGGGAAGUGUAAGAAGACAAUGGUAGCUCCACCAGAGACCAAGAAGGUGUCCGCCAAGGAGGAUGGCACUGGUGGUACCGUCACCAUCAGUGCCACUCUCGACCCUAAAUAGGAAGGCACACUCAUUGCUUUCCUGUGGGCGAAUGUCGACGUGUUUGCAUGGCAAUCAUCUGACAUCCCCGGUGUUCCUAGGAAAGUAAUCAAGCACCAUCUAGCCGUCUGUCCUCAUGCGCGGACCGUCAAGCAGAAAGUCAGAAAACAAGCAGUGGAGCGCCAAGAAUUCAUCGCUGAAGAAAUCAAGAAGUUGGAAGCAGCAGGCCUUGUUAGAGGAGUGCUCCAUCCCACGUGGUUGGCCAAUCCUGUAGUCGUGCGCAAGGCAAACGGGAAAUGGAGGCUUUGUAUCGACUUUACCGAUGUCAAUAAAGCUUGUCCCAAAGACCCAUUUCCCUUGCCGCGCAUCAACCAGAUUGUUGACUCCAUAGUCGGAUGUGACUUGCUUUCAUUUCUUGACGCAUAUUCAGGAUACCAUCAGAUCUUCAUGGCAGAAGAGGAUGAGGAAAAGACCGCAUUCAUCACACCAUGCGGCACAUACUGUUUCAUACGGAUGCCUUUCGGUUUAAAGAAUGUUGGUUCAACAUUUGCAAGGAUAGUCCAUGACGCUUUUGAGCCGCUAAUACAUAGGAAUGUGGAGGCCUACAUGGAUGACAUAGUGGUCAAGAGCAAGGACAAAGCAACUCUGAUUCAAGAUUUAGACGAAACCUUUGCAAACCUGCGCAAGAUCAACCUCAAGCUUAACCCCGAGAAGUUUGUGUUCGGAGUCCCCUCCGGCAAGCUUCUCGGGUUCUUCGUGUCUCAGCGGGGAAUCGAAGCCAAUCCCGACAAGAUCAAGGCCAUUGAGCAGAUUGAAGCACCAAAGCGCGUCAAGGAUGUAUGAAGACUUGCCGGUUGCGUAGCUGCUCUCAGCAGGUUUAUCUCUAGGUCUGCUGAGCGCGCCCUGCCAUUUUUCAAAUUAUUGAAAAAGGUAGGUCCAAUGAAAUGGACUCCGGAAGCGGAGGCUGCGCUGUAGGACUUAAAGAGAUACCCGUCCUCCACUCCGACACUUGUUGCACCUAAGCCACAAGAGAAGUUGCUGCUAUAUAGCGGCAACCAAUCAAGUGGUUAGUGCUGCGUUAGUAGCGGAGAGGGAGGCGGAUGAUGAGCCAGCAACCACGGCAAGUGCAUCCAGCGACAAGCAAGGAUCAUCACCGACAAGCUCUGGUCCCGGCAAAGAUGGAUCUGCGCAGGCGCGUGAGAAGAUGCAGAAGAGAAUGGUGCAGCACCCAGUUUACUUUGUCAGUUUCCUUCUGCAGGGGGCUAGGUCAAGGUACUCUGGUGUGCAGAAAUUGCUUUCCGGCCUUCUCAUGGCCUCGAGAAAGCUGCGCCAUUACUUCCAAGCACAUGAGAUCACAGUGGUCACUCGUUUUCCGCUGAAGAGGAUACUGCAAAAUCCAGAAGCAACAGGCAGGAUUGUCGAGUGGGCACUAGAACUGUCAAGCUUUGGCCUCAAGUUUGAGAGCACCUCAACUAUCCAAAGCAGAGCAUUGGCGGAGUUCAUAGCAGAGUGGACGCCAACACCAGAUGAAGAAAUUCCAGAAACGAGCAAACCCGUCAAGGAAGCAAGCAAAGAGUGGCUGAUGUACUUUGAUGGUGCCUUCUCGCUGCAAGGCGCCAGUGCGGGCGUACUACUUGUCGCACCCAUCGAAGAGCACCUCAAGUACGUAGUCCAGAUGCACUUUCCCAAGGAGCAAGCAACAAACAAUACUACAGAGUAUGAAGGUUUGCUUGCCGGUCUCAGAAUCAUAGCAGACCUUGGGAUCAAGAAGCUCAUUGUCAGGGGUGACUCACAGCUUGUCGUGCGCCAAGUGAACAAGAAUUAUCAGAGUCCAUUUAUGGAAGCUUACGUUGAUAAAGUGAGAAAGCUAGAAGAGCACUUUGACGGCCUACAGAUGGAACAUGUUCCAAGAGCUCAGAACGACAUUGCCGAUGGCCUGUCGAAGUGCGCCGCACUUAAGUUACCUGUGGAACCAGGGAUCUUUGUGCUCAAGCUGACUCAACCAUCCGUAACGCCAUCAACUCGACAGAACAAGAAGAGGAAGUUGAUUUCUGGUGACUAUUUUCCGGCAGAGCUCCCCGAAGCCGCCGCCAAGAAGGUCCUCAAGAUCAACACCAAGGAUGCUGAGGAGCAGUCUGCUCCGACAAGCCCUAGGGUUUGUUCCGUUGAAGCAGACGCUCCCGACAAGUUUUGCUGCGGCAAGCUUGCCGGGGAACGUCAAGCUCCGGCUGAGCCGCAGGUUCUCGCCGUAGAAGUGGAUGUUCCCGCAGCAGCAGAUAUGCCUUUAGUCCUUGUUGUCGAGCCGCAAGCUCCAGCAUGGGCGCAGCAGAUUGUCCAUUUCCUUCAAACAAGUGAACUUCCCGAAGAGCAAGAAGAAGCGGAAAGAGUAGCCCGGCAGUCAAGUAUGUACUAGUUUGUCGACAACACACUGUACAGAAGAAGACUCAACGGCGUGAAAUUGAAGUGUAUUCACCGGGAAGACGGAAAAAAGCUAUUGGCAGAGAUACACAGAGGCAUAUGUGGCCACCAUAUUGGCGCAAGAGCACUUGCCGGCAAAGCGUUCCAGCAAGGUUUCUUUUGGCCAACAGCCCUCCAGGAUGCAACUGCACAAGUAACCAAGUGUGAAGCGUGCCAGUUCCAUUCCAAGCAGAUACACCAGCCAGCUCAAGCUCUCCAGACGAUCCCUUUAUCCUGGCCAUUUUCGGUCUGGAGGCUCGACAUCCUCGGCCCCUUUCCCCGAGCUGUCCGGGGCUUUGAGUACUUGUACGUUGCAAUCGACAAGUUCACAAAGUGGCUGGAAGUGGAAGCAGUGAGGAAGGUGACAGCACAGUCGGCAGUCAAGUUCUUCAGGUCGAUUGUUUGCCGUUUCGGGAUCCCUAACAGGAUCAUCACCGACAACGGCACACAAUUCACGAGCCGCACCUUCAUGCAGUACGUCCAAGAUCUUGGCGCCAAGGUCUGCUUCGUUUCUGUUGCUCAUCCAAGAAGCAAUGGUCAAGUAGAGGGGGCAAAUGCUGAAGUGCUGCGCGGGCUCAAGACCAGGACUUUCGACAGGCUGCACAAGUGCGGAAAGAACUGGAUUGAGGAGCUGCCGGUGGUUCUUUGGUCGCUCAGGACGACGCCAAAUCGAGCCACUGGCCAGACACCUUUCGCUCUAGUCUAUGGAGCAGAGGCAGUUCUCCCCACAGAACUCGUAUACGGGUCACCUCGAGUGCUCGCUUAUGAUGAGCUUGAGCAAGAGCAGCUGCGACAAGAUGACGUGCUGCUCCUCGAGGAGGACCGUCUUCAGGCUGCUGUACGAGCUGCUCGAUACCAGCAAGCUUUGCGCCGCUACCAUAGCUACAAAGUUAAUGCCAGAAGUCUCGAGGAAGGCGACCUUGUUCUUCGGCGCGUUCAGUCCGCCAAGAAUUCCAACAAGUUGACGCCGAAGUGGGAAGGCCCUUAUCGGGUGAAAUGAGUCACUAGGCCUGGCGCUGUCCACCUUGAGACCGAAGAUGGCAUUCCGGUGAGCAACUCCUGGAACAUUGAGCAUCUUCGUAAGUUUUACCCGUAGGGCGCGGUUGCCGGAACCUGUUCCGGCAACCACCUUUUGUACAAGUCUUGCCGAUGUUGCAUGUAAUCCUUUGUACAAAGCCGGGCGCAGACCCCGUGCAUAAGUAAAGCUCAUGUGCCCCGCACAUCUUGUCGAUUUCAUGCUUUCUACUACUUUUUGCAUGCGUUAUCUGACACUUUGUGCAGCACCUACCCCCGGUAAGCAAUAACGAGCCAUAGGGCUCCAUAUCUUUAUUUUCUCUUCUUUCUCUUUCUCAAGGAAAGGAAGGAUCCCUCGCCCACAAGUUUGCCGGGGGGAAAGGAGAAGAUAAUGGUGUGGACCAGGCGUCGUUCGAGGGAGUUUCGCCUUACCGGGAAGCAAACGACAGAAAAGCUAAGUUGCCAAAGUUUGAGCAAUCAGUUUUAAAUUUUUUAAGUUAUCUUCCUCAAACGACCGUGCUUUGUAUGGAAAACCUGUGCACGGAGGAACCAACUCGUAGCUAGUUGCGCCCUUACUUUGUUUCGAGUCCGCUCAACAAUUUAAGUGAGCUGCGACUAGUUGCAACAAGGUUUCUUGUUGGUAGCGGCACCGCCAGCAGGCUGCUGACAUUCCGCACUCAGCGCUCGCGGCUAAGGUACCUGCACCGACAAGUUCCCUAAAAGCGUAGGGCAAAAACAUACAAAGGAAGGAAUCAAGUAAAGGAAAUAACACAUCAAUCUCUACCAAAAUAGAGUUGUAUUACAAGAUAACUUGUCACAACUCUAACAGAAUGUUCUCAUGACAUGACCAGCGGCGACAAAGAAAAAGAAAAGACGGGCGGCCUAAUCCACGCGUUCACCCUCAACCCUCUUGAUCUCGCUCACCUUGUCCACAGUGGGUGCGACAAGGGCCUUGAGCGCUUCCAGAUCAGCAUCCGGCGACAAGGACCUAAGGACGUUGGUGAGGUUGAGGCCUGGGUUGCGGAAGGCCACCUUCACCAGCACCUUCUGAAGAGCCCUCGCGCAGAUCCUGCGCGACUCGUCGGCCAGCUGCUUUGGGAUCUUCUCCCGGAGUCGCUGGAGGGCCGUCACCAUGCCUUUGAAGAACAGGCUGAGCUUGGCGCUGGGUUGGAGGUGCUCACCGGAGGAGUACCCGAGAUCCUCCAUCCCCAGCUGCGCCAACUCAACGUCGAUGGCUGCGGCAAGAUCCACUAGACCCUCGGUCCAGUGUUCCACAGUCUCCCUGAAAGCGUCGUGGGCGGCAGCAGCAUUCGCCAGCAGCGCCUCGUCGGUCUUGAUCUUCUCCUUCAAGGCCACCUCCUGCUCCCUGGCGCGGUCCAGCAUCUUGGUCAAGGUGGCCAGCUUCAAUUCGAGAUCCGCGUUGGAGUCCUUGGCGGCGCUAAGCUCUUUGCUCAUCUCAGCGAGACGACCCUGCAGCUCACCAUGAGCAGCGGCGUCCUUCUCGCGCUCACGCUUGAGCACAGCAAGCUCCUCGCCGCUCGCCUUGAGAUCAGCCUCCAGCUGCGCCAUCUUCGUCUCCAGCUCCUUCUUGGCGGCCACGGCAGCUGCGGCAGCAUCCUUUGCUUCCUUGAGAGCCCCGCCAAUCGCUUGCUCGCGCGCGGCAAGCUCCUCCUCGUGGCUGUCAAGGUUGACCUUGCGCUGCGCUAAUUCACCUUCCUGCGCAGACAACUUCUCGGCAGCGAGCCGCUGCUGCUCUUCAACCUCAGCCUUCCCGAGGAGGAAGGCUUUCCGCUCCUCAGCGAGUUGCUCCCACUCCUCUGCUAAGGAUCGGAGAGCUUCCUGCAUGAGACCCCAGAGCUCCUCCGCGCGCUUCUCGAUGUCCACUCCCGCCUUUGCGACAAGCGCCUCUCGGGAUGCCAGCUUGGCUUGUCGGGCGCGGUAGAGCAACAACAACUUCCGCAGCAACCGCUCCUCCUCAGGCUCAUCGCUGCAGCUUGGCGUGUCGACCAGCGUCAGCCCAGCAGAGGCGAGAACCUCUCCAUCCAAGAUUUCUCCUUCGACCGGCACCCUGGAACUUGACGCCCAGGGGAGCUUGAUGAAGAUGCCAUCGCCGGCCUUCAAUUAGGCGCCGGGCUGGGGCUCAUCGGAGCCUGGCGCUGCAGCAGCGGCGGAGGGAUCGGCGGUUGGCGUAGCGCCUGGCGCUCCUGCGGCCUCGGGGCCAUCAGUGCGAUCGCCGGAUCCCUCGCCAGCUUCUGCGGCGGCAGCUUUGGCGGCCUCUUCGCCGGCGGGAUCAUCAGCGCCGGCCUCUUCUUCGGUGGCAGGGGUGACUCGCAGGCGCCGGCCUCGGUGGCGUCGUUGUUGUUGCCAUGCGCGUUCUCCUCGCCGGCGACCUCGGUUUCCAUUGGAUCUGCGGCAGAUGGAUCUGACGACCGAGAAGGGGAGAAAAGUCAAGCAAAAAUUCAAAAAGAAAAUCAGAAGAAGAAGAACCCAAGGGAAGUUCUCAAGCAAGAGGAUUACCUGGAUCUACAGCCGCGGUCUCCGCCACUGGGGGGUCGCUGGUGCUAUCCCUUGCCGGAGAACUGUCCCUUGCCGGAGAAUUCUCCCUUGCCGGAGAACGCUCCCUUGCCGGGGAAUCCUCCCUUGGCGGUGUAGUCGAAGAAGAUGGCAUUUCGGGAGCGACUUCUGGGCACUCCUGGUGAGGCUGCUCUGCUCCUACACAAACCAACAAUCAGAUAUCAGCGAAGAAAGAGCACCAAUGCGCGCCUGACAGCAAGAAGUAAAAUAUACACUUACGCUGGGGGCUGCGCUGGAGGCUGCUUUGGGGAAUAGUUGCCGGGUCCGGCAAGGUGGUUUCAGGCGCGUCCCCUGUUGCCGUGGUGGGUUCGUCCUCAAUGACAAUCACCGGGACCUUGGCUCUCUUCGCCGCUCUCUGGGCCAGAGUCCUGAAAAGGAAUGAGUUCGGAGUAAAGCAAAUCAGAGACAAGACAAAACAACAAAGAUUGAAGAACUACAAGUACAACAAGGAAUAUUACUCUUCUUCUUCCUCAUCGGAGCUGAGCGCGGAGAGAUCGAAGUCUGGCUCGCCUCCGGUGCGACGAGGCGGAGGAGUAGGAUCCCUUGUCCACUUGGCAGGAGCAGUGGCGGUGGACCGGCAAGACCCCGCUCCAGUUGCUGCAGCGGCGUGAGGCUCUCCCGCGGCAACAGUGCUUGCCGCGGUCGAGCGCGUCGCGCGGUGCGGUGGCUGUUGACCCGUCUGCCGCCCCGCUACAUCCCCGGCGUUGCGGAGACGCCUUCUUGGUGGAGGUGGGGGCUCCGCUUGCGGCGAGCUGGCUGAAGGUGGGGAGGAGGAGGAGCCGAUCCUCAACGGGUCGCUCGCGCCCUCGGCGGGCUAGCUCGACUCAGAUUCAGGCCCAACAAGUUCUUCCUCACCGACAAGCUCUUCUCGCUCGGCAAGGCUUGCCGCCUCUGCUGCCUCUGCCUCCUCCACGGUGAAUCCAAAUUCGCCCGCGGCAGCUGCUGCCACUGCCUCUUCCAGCCUAGUGGCGAUGCGCUGCAUCUCCGCAUCGGUGGUGUCGCGAGUGAGGCUCUUCUGUUCAUCGACGCGGACCGGCACUUCUACCAAGCUGUCGAAGAACUCCUGCAUGACGUCGUCUGCAGGCUCUUGCCAAGUUGGGACGAUUCCAUGCGAAUCACACAGCGGCAUCAUUGCACGGAUGCGGUCGAGCGAGGAAUUGUUGCACAGCGGAACGACACUCCUCGGCAGCAUGAAUGGAUGUUGAGGAUCGCGCUUGAACAGCUCCAGAAGCAUCGCAUCCAGCUCCAAGACAGUGAAGUUGAAGUUGAGGCCCGGGCGCAACCUCAUGAUAUCCGCCGAGUUCUGGAACUCCCAAGCGGGUCUCCUCCUCUCCUGAAGGGGGGUGAUGCGGCGGCGAAGGAAAUCUGCGCCAACGGCGCCUACGGUGAGCCCGGCAAGCCUGAGGCGUAAGAUCCGGGUGACGGCAAUCUUCAGCCUAUCAUCUUCCGAGGCCACGUUGCUCCAAUCGUUGCCGCGUACAAUUGGGGUUUGGUGCCGGGCGGUGAAUGGCUGCGGGUUCUCCUCGACGAUCCAGCACCACUCUGCUCUCCAUUCUUCCCAUUUGCUGCGGAGCUCUCCCUCCAGAUAAGCAUCCUUCUUGCCAGUUCUCGAGAUCCAGGCGAUUCCACCGGCAAGGGGCUCUCCUCUCUCGACUCGGGGCAUAAAGAAGUGGCGAAAAAGGGCUACAUUGGGAUGGACUCCGACAAAGUUUUCGCAGAGAUGUGCGAAAACUGCCAUGGUCAGAACGGCAUUGGGGGUGAAAUCAAGGAUGCGGAACCCGUAGGUGUUCAUGAUAUCACAGAAGAAUUCAGAGAAGGGCGGGCAGAGCCCGCAGUAGAAGAAUAGCGCGAAGAAGGGGUACCCGUUCGGAGCCAGUUUUGAAGCGGCAGCUGAGAGUACCCUCGUGCGCGGAUGCGCUCGCGUCUCAGUCGACCAGAAGAGGUACUAGUACUCCCUCAGCUCCUUCGCGUCAAGCUGAGGGGGAAAGAUUGCCCGCUCCUUUCGCAGCGCCGCGAGCCGCUGUGCCUCGGCUGACUUCACGCCCUUCCCCUUGUCGGCUUUUGGAGCCAUGGCGGAGGCGGCGGGGGAGAUCGACGGCGUCGGUGGUGCCGGUGGCAAUGGGGGGCGGAGUGCUGCUCUCUUUCGACUUUGGGAAGAAGGGGGGAGCGGCGGAGAUUUCUGAGAUUGGAGUAGUAACCGGCGAGAUGGGCGAACUGCCCCUGUUUCCCCUGCUUAUAAAGAGGGAGGGGGCGGACAUUCCGCCUUUCUGAAUAAAGAAACCACCCACGAUCUCUCCCACGACGCCGCAUUCGACGCGUGCCGUUGGGGGAGGGCGCGGUGGAUACGGAGUGAGAUAUGGCGUGACCCAAGCCGUGCGUGCCCGUGCCUUGCUUUGCACCUGGCCCAACAGCGCUCGGCACCGUGUGUGGCCCAGGCCCGGGGGCUCCUGUCGGUGUACUAAAGUAGGGGUACCUUAGUAUCCCGAACUUGUGCACGGGCAGUUGCAGCACCCCACGGCAAGGCUUGCCGGGCGACCGUCAAGAUCCUCCAUGGUUCCUUUGGAGCCAUUCAAGAACAAAGUAUUCAAGCCAAGGAGACAAGGCCCCGGCAAGAGGAGCUUGCCGGGAAGGCUAGCCAAGGCAUCUCAAGGAACUUGCCGCGACGCGCCACGCGUCCCGGCAAGGCCCGGUGAGCGACAAGCUUCCGGACGCGACAAGACAACGACCGCGGCAAGGUGCUUGCCGCGACAAGCUACCACCCUGUACCCACGCUCCAGCACAUCUACCAACGUGUUGCCCUGGGGCCUUUCCAGGUGCGCGUGGCAAGAGGCUGUGCAGCCAGCGGUGCGAGGUGGCAAGCAACAGUGACAAGAUUGCCAUCGUGGCGAACGGUGGCGUCCCUGAGGGUCCUUACCUGCACUGUUUGGGCGACACAGAAGGGCAUUUAAUGCCUUUGUCCCCUUCCGUCAGGGUUAGGUAGGAUACACUGUACAGGUAGUUGUACCAACCGCAACUCCUUUUACGUUUUUACCCUUGUCUACGUUGCCACGUGUCGGUGACCCCUUUAGCAUAUAAAAGGAGGCCCACGUGCAACGUAGAGGGGGUUCGGUUCGGGCCGAAGCCAGAAAAACACUCACGCUCGGUCUCGUUAGCAGCUAGAGUGCGCCAUAGCACUCAGCGCUCCCGAGCAAGAACAUAGUACACUAAAACAUGCAGCAGUAGGAGUGUUAUCUCCCCGGAGAGCUCCGAAGCUGGGUAAACUGCUCGUGUGCUUCGCCUCGAUCCGCUCUUCGUGCGACCUCCGCCCCCCGCGAACCGAAAGGGGCUCGGUCCGGCGGUCCCAUAGGUGUUCAUGGAUCAGCUUCCCCGACAAUAAUUGUUCUUUAGAAGAUUGUAUUUCCUUGUUGCAAUCCGUUGUGAAUUCUCCUCAUGCUUAUAGUCAAAAUAAAGCUUUUACCAAACGUAUUGUUGAUGCCUUGAUGCAAUCUUUUGAUGAAAAACUUAAUUUGGAAGUUUCUAUACCUAGAAAACUUAACGAUGAGUGGGAACCUACUAUAAAGAUUAAAAUUAAAGAUCAUGAGUGUUAUGCUUUGUGUGAUUUGGGUGCUAGUGUUUCCACGAUUCCAAAGACUUUAUGCAUUAUUCUAGGUUUCCAUGAUCUUGAUGAUUGCUCUUUAAAUUUGCACCUUGCGGAUUCCACCAUUAAAAAGCCAGUGGGAAGGAUCAAUGAUGUUCUCAUUGUUGCAAAUAGGAAUUUGGUGCCCGUAGAUUUUAUCGUUCUUGACAUAUAUUGCAAUCUUUCUUGUCCUAUUAUUCUUGGUAGACCUUUCCUUAGAACAGUUGGUGCGAUUAUUGAUAUGAAGGAAGGUAAUAUUAGAUUCCAAUUUCCAUUAAGGAAAGGCAUGGAGCACUUUCCAAGAAAGAAAGUCAAAUUACCUUAUGAAUCUAUCAUGCGAGCUACUUAUGAAUUGAGUGCCAAAGAUGGCACUACUUAGAUCUAUCCUCGCUUUUAUGCCAAGCUAGGGGCGUCAAACGAUAGCGCUAGUUGGGAGGCAACCCAAUUCUAUUUGUGUUUUUUGUUUUUGCUUCUGUUUAGUAAUAAAUUUUGCAUCUACCUCCUGUUUAGAUGUGUUUUUUAUGUUUCAAUUAGUGUUUGUGCCAUGUAGAACCUAUAGGAUAACCUAUGGUGAUAGUUAAUUUGAUUCUACUGAAAAACAGAAACUUUGCACACACGGAAAUAAUUUUAGUAAUUCACAGAAACGUGAUUUUGCGUUGAUUCUUUUUUCUGUAGAUCAAUAGACAAAUUUCCCAGGACUUCCUAUUUUGGUAGGAUUUGUAGAGUUCCAUAAGUAUUCGAGAGUUACAGAUUGCUAUAGACUGUUCUGUUUUUGGCAGAUUCUGUUUUUCGUGUGUUGUUUGCUUGUUUUGAUGCAUCUAUGGCUAGUAUGUAAGGGUAUGAACCACAGAGAACUUGGAAUACAGUAGGUUUAACACCAAUAUAAAUAAAGAAUGAGUUAAUUACAGUGCCUUAUGUGGUGGUUUUUCUUUCUUGCACUAACAGAGCUUAUGAGAUUUCCUGUUGAGUUUUGUGUUGUGAAGUUUUCAAGUUUUGGGUAAAGAUUUGAUGGACUAUGGAAUAAGGAGUGGCAAGAUACUAAGCUUGGGUAUGCCCAUGGCACCCCAAGAUAUUCAAGAAUAGCCAAAAGCCUAAGCUUGGGGAUGCCCUGGAAGGCAUCCCAUCUUUCGUCUUUGUCUAUCGGUAACUUUACUUGGAGCUAUAUUUUUAUUCGCCACAUGAUAUGUGUUUUGCUUGGAGCGUCUUGUAUGAUAUUAGUCUUUGCUUUUUAGUUUACCACAAUCAUCCUUGCUGUACACACCUUUUGGGAGAAACCCACUUGAUUGUAGGUUAUCCUAUAGGUUCUACUUGGCACAAACACUAAUUAAACAUAAAACCACAUCUAAACAGAGGCUAGAUGAAAUAUUUAUUACUAAACAGAAGCAAAAAGCAAGGAACUAAAAUAAAAUUGGGUUGCCUCCCAACAAGCGCUAUCGUUUAGCACCCCUAGCUAGGCAUAAAAGCAAGAGUAGAUCUAAGUAUUGCCAUCUUUGGCAUUCAAUUCAUAAGUAGCUCGCAUGAUAGAUUCAUAAGGUAAUUUGACUUUAUUUCUAGGGAAGUGUUCCAUGAAUUUCCUUAGUGGAAAUUGGAAUCUAAUAUUCCCUUCCUUCAUAUAAAUAAUUGCACCAAUCGUUCUAAGGAAAGCUCUACCAAGAAUAAUAGGACAUGAAAGAUUGCAAUCUAUAUCAAGAAUGAUAAAAUCUAUGGGCACAUAAUUCCUAUUUGCAACAAUAAGAACAUCAUUGAUCCUUCCCAUAGGUUUCUUAAUGGUGGAAUCCGCAAGGUGCAAGUUUAAAGAGCAAUCAUCAAAAUCAUGAAAACCUAGCACAUCACAUAAAAUUUUUGUAAUUGUGGAAACACUAGCAACCAAAUCACACAAAGCAUAGCAUUCAUGAUCUUUAAUUUUAUUUUAUAGUAGGUUCCCACUCAUCAUAAAGUUUUCUAGGUAUAGAAACUUCCAAUUCAAGUUUUUCCUCAUAAGAUUACAUCAAGGCAUCAACAAUAUGUUUGGUAAAAGCUUUAUUUUGACUAUAAGCAUGAGGAGAAUUCAACACGGAUUGCGACAAGGAAAUACAAUCUAUUAAAGAACAAUUAUCAUAAUUAAAUUCCUUUAAAUCCAUAAUAGUGGGUUCAAUGCUAUGUAAAGUUUUGACCUCUCCAAUCCCACUUUUACCAAAUUUAGCAUCAAGAUCUAAAAACUCCGAAUCAUUGGGACGCCUUUUAACUAAAGUUGACUUAUAUCCAGCCCCAUCAUUAUCAAGAUUCAUAUUGCAAAACAAAGAUUUAAUAGGGGACACAUCAAUAACUUUUAGAUCUUCAUCAUUAUUUUCAUGGAAACUAGAAGAACACGCUUUUACAAAGCAAUCUUUCUUAGCACGCAUCCCAGCGGUUCUUUCUUUGCACUCAUCAAUGGAAAUUCUCAUGGCUUUGAGAGACUCAUUGAUAUCAUGCUUAGGUGGAAUAGAUCUAAGUUUCAAAGAAUCAACAUCAAGAGAAAGUCUAUCAACGUUCCUAGCCAAUUUGUCAACUUUAAGCAAUUUUUCUUCAAGCAAAGCAUUGAAAUUCUUUUGAGAGAUCAUAAAUUCUUUAACACAAUUCUUAAAAUCAAAGGGCAUCUUAUUAAAAUUUUCAUAAGAGGUUGUAGGAAUUACCAUAAUUAUUAGAGGAAUUACUAGGAAACGGCCUAGGAUUAAAGUUUCCUCUAUACACGUUGUUACCAAAAUUAUUCCUACCAACAAAAUUCACAUCUAUAGAUUCAUUAUUAUUCUCAAUCAAAGUAGACAAAGGCAUAUCAUUGGGAUCAAUAGGAGCACUCUUAGUAGCAAACAGUUUCAUAAGUUCAUCCAUCUUUCCACUCAAAACAUUAAUCUCUUCUAUAGCAUGCACUUUUUUACUAGUAGAUCUUUUGUUGUGCCAUUGAGAAUAAUUGACCAUAAUGUUAUCAAGAAGUUUAGUAGCUUCUCCUAAGGUGAUUUCCAUAAAAGUGCCUCCCGCAGCCGAAUCCAAGAGAUUUAUAGAAGCAAAAUUCAAUCCGGCAUAAAAUUUUUGUAUGAUCAUCCAUAAAUUCAAACCAUGAGUAGGGCAAUUGCGAAUCAUUAAUUUCAUUCUUUCCCAAGAUUGGGCAACAUGCUCAUGAUCAAGUUGUUUAAAAUUCAUAAUAUCGUUUCUAAGAGAGAUAAUCUUAGUGGGAGGAAAAUACUUAGAGAUAAAAGCAUCUUUGCACUUAUUCCAUGAAUCAAUACAGACGAAAACCAAGUUUUAGCAUGAUCUCUAAGUGAAAACGGAAAUAACUUCAAUUUAACAAUAUCAUUAGUUGUAUCUUUCUUAUUUUGCAUAUUACACAAAUCAACAAAGUUGUUUAGAUGAGUAGCGGCAUCUUCACUAGGAAGGCCGGAGAAUUGAUCUUUCAUAACAAGAUUCAACAAAGCAACAUUGAUUUCACAAGAUUCAACAUCAUUAAGAGGAGCAAUUGGAGUGCUAAGGAAAUCAUUAUUAUUGGUAUUGAAAAAAAUCACACAAUUUGGUUUUAUCUUGCGCCAUCGUGACAAGAAAUCCAACACACAAGCACACAAGAGGCAAGUGAAAGAGAGUGGAGAACGGGAAAGAGAGGGAGAAUAAAAUGGCAAGGGUGAAGUGGGGGAGAGGAAAACGAGAGGCAAAUGGCAAAUAAUGUAAUGCGAGGGAGAUGAGUUUGUGAUGGGUACUUGGUAUGUCUUGACUUGAGCGAAGACCUCCCCGGCAACGGCACCAGAAAUCCUUCUUCCUACCUCUUGAGCACUGCGUUGGUUUUUCCCUUGAAGAGGAAAGGGUGAUGCAGCAAAGUAGCGUAAGUAUUUCCCUCAGUUUUUGAGAACCAAGGAAUCAAUCCAGUAGGAGGCUCCUCAAAAGUCCCACGCACCUACACAAACAAACAAGAACCUCGCAACCAACGCGAUAAAGGGGUUGUCAAUCCCUUCACGAAAACUUGCUAAAGUGAGAUCUGAUAGAGAUAAUAAGAUAAGAUAAAUAUUUUUGGUAUAGAUUGGAAAGUAAAGAUGCAAAUAAAAGUAGAUGGAAAACUUAUAUGAUAAAAGAUUGACCCGGGGGCCAUAGAUUUCACUAGUGGCUUCUCUCAAUAUAGCAUAAGUAUUACGGUGGGUGAACAAAUUACUAUCGAGCAAUUGAUAGAAAAGUGCAUAGUUAUGAGAUUAUCUAGGCAUGAUCACGUAUAUAGGCAUCACGUCCGCAACAAGUAGAUCGAAACGAUUCUGCAUCUACUACUAUUACUCCACACAUCGACCGACUCCUGCCUGCAUCUAGAGUAUUAAGUUCACAAGAACAGAGUAACGCAUUAAGAAAGAUGACAUGAUGUAGAGGGAUAAACUCAAGCAAUAUGAUAUAAACCCCAUCUUUUUAUCCUCGAUGGCAACAAUACAAUACGUGCCUUGCUGCCCCUACUAUCACUUGGAAAGGACACUGCAAGAUUGAACCCAAAGCUAAGCAUUUUUGCCAUUGCAAGAAAGAUCAAUCUAGUAGGACAAACCAAAUUGAUAAUUCGAAGAGACUUGCAAAGAUAACCAAUCACACAUAAAAAAAUUCAGAGGAGAUUCAAUUAUUUCUCAUAGAUAAACUUGAUCAUAAACCCACAAUUCAUCGGAUCUCGACAAACACACCACAAAAAGAGUUACGUCGAAUAGAUCUCCAAGAAGAUCAAGGAGAACUUUGUAUUGAGAUUCAAAGAGAGAGAAGAAGCCAUCUAGCUAAUAACUAUGGACCCGAAGGUCGGUGGUAAACUACUAAAAACUCAUCAGAGAGGCCUUGGAGAUGAUGUAGAGGCCCUCCAUGGUAGAUUCCCCCUCCAGCGGAGCGCCGACGAAGGCUCCAAGAUGGGAUCUCGUGGAUACAAAAGGUUGCGCCGGAGGGGAAUCGACCAUGGAGGGCCUCUACAUCAUCUCCAAGGCCUCUCCGAUGAGUUGUGAGUAGUUUACCAUAGACUUUCGGGUCCAUAGUUAUUAGCUAGAUGGCUUCUUCUCUCUUUUUGAAUCUCAGUACCAUGUUCUCAUUGAUCUUCUUGGAGAUCUAUUCGAUGUAACUCUUUUUGCGGUGUGUUUGUCGAGAUCCGAUGAAUUGUGGGUUUAUGAUCAAGUUUAUCUAUGAGAAAUAUUUGAAUCUCCUCUGAAUUCUUUUAUGUGUGAUUAAGUUAUCUUUGCAAGUCUCUUCGAAUUAUCAGUUUGGUUUGGCCUACUAGAUUGAUCUUUCUUGCAAUGGGAGAGGUGCUUAACUUUGGGUUCAAUCUUGCGGUGUCCUUUCCUAGUGACAGCAGGGGCAGCAAGGCACGUAUUGUAUUGUUGCCAUCGAGGAUAAAAAGAUGGGGUUUAUAUCGUAUUGCAUGAGUUUAUCCCUCUAUAUCAUGUCAUCUUUCUUAAUGUGUUACUCUGUUCUUUAUGAACUUAAUACUCAAAUGCAUACUAGAUAGCGGUCGAUGUGUGGAGUAAUAGUAGUAGAUGCAGGCAGGAGUCGGUCUACUUGUCACGGACGUGAUGCCUAUAUACAUGAUCAUGCCUAGAUAAUCUCAUAAUUAUUCGCUUUUCUAUCAAUUGCUCGACAUUAAUUUGUUCACCCACCGUAAUACUUAUGCUAUCUUGAGAGAAGCCACUAGUGAAACCUAUCUUUUAUCAUAUAAGCUUUCAAUCUACUUUUAUUUGCAUCUUUACUUUUCCAAUCUACAUUAUAGAAUACCAAAAAUAUAUUUAUCUUAUCAUAUUAUUUCUAUUAGAUCUCACUUUCGCAAGUGGCCUUGAAGGGAUUGACAACACCUUUAUUGCGUUGGUUGUGAGUUCUUGUUUGUUUGUUUAGGUGCGUGGGACUUUUGAGGAGCCUCCUACUGGAUUGAUACCUUGGUUCUCAAAGGAUGAGGGAAAUACUUAUGCUAUUAUUGCUGUAUCAUCCUUUCCUCUUCAAGGAAAACCAACGCAAGCUCAAGACGUAGCAAUAAGGAUUUCUGGCGCCGUUGCCGGGGAGGUCUUCGCUCAAGUCAAGACAUACCAAGUACCCAUCACAAACUCAUCUCCCUCGCACUUACAUUAUUUGCCACUUGCCUCUCGUUUUCCUCUCCCCCACUUCACCCUUGCCGUUUUAUUUGCCCUCUCUUUCCCAAUCUCCUCUCUCUUCUGCUUGUCUUCUUGUGUGCCUGUUUGCUUUUAUGGCUUUGCCUAAGAACACCGACCUUUAUCUUAGAAGGUUGGAAGAGAUUGAAUCAAACGUUAGAAGUUUUAUGACUUUACAAUUUGAGCAUAGUAAUUUCUUUAGAAAAGAGCUUAAAGAACAAAAAAGUUUUAUGGGGUUUAUGAACAAAGAGCUUGAUGAUAUGUCUAAAUAAUUUUAUGGUUUGAACUCUCAAAUUACUCGGCUUGAAAAUUCUAUAGCCCAAAUCUCUAAUAAGCAAGCUACAUACCUUAGUCAAUAAGAUGGCUGCCAAACCAGAAAAGUUAGAUGAAAAUAAUGAUGAAGAUCUAAAAGUUAUUGAUGUGUCCCCUAUUAAAUCUUUGUUUUGCAAUAUGAAUCUUAAUAAAGAUGGGACUGGAGAUGAGUCAACUCUAGUUAAAAGGCGUCCCUAUGAUUCAGAGUUUUUAGAUCUUGAUGCUAAAUUUGGUAAAAGUGGGAUUGGAGAGGUCAAGACUUUAAAUAGCAUUGAACCCACUAUCUUGGAUUUCAAGGAAUUUAAUUAUGAUAAUUGUCGGUGUACUAAAGUAGGGGUACCUUAGUAUCCCGAACUUGUGCACGGGCAGUUGCAGCACCCCGCGGCAAGGCUUGCCGGGUGACCGUCAAGAUCCUCCGUGGUUCCUUUGGAGCCAUUCAAGAACAAAGUAUUCAAGCCAAGGAGACAAGGCCCCGGCAAGAGGAGCUUGCCGGGAAGGCCAGCCAAGGCAUCUCAAGGAACUUGCCGUGACGUGCCACGCGUCCCGGCAAGGCCCGGUGAGCGACAAGCUUCCGGACGCGGCAAGACAACGACCGCGGCAAGGCGCUUGCCGCGACAAGCUACCACCCUGUACCCAUGCUCCAGCACAUCUACCAACGUAUCGCCCUGGGGCCUUUCCAGGCGCGCGUGGCAAGAGGCUGUGCAGCCAGCGGUGCGAGGUGGCAAGCAACGGUGACAAGAUUGCCAUCGUGGCGAACGGUGGCGUCCCUGACGGUCCUUUCCUGCACUGUUUGGGCGACACAGACGGGCAUUUAAUGCCUUUGUCCCCUGCCGUCAGGGUUAGGUAGGAUACACUGUACAUGUAGUUGUACCAACCGCAACUCCUUUUACGUUUUUACCCUUGUCUAUGUUGCCAGCUGUCGAUGACCAGUUUAGCAUAUAAAAGGAGGCCCACGUGCAACGUAGAGGGGGUUCGGUUCGGGCCGAAGCCAGAAAAACACUCACGCUCGGUCUCGUUAGCAGCUAGAGUGCGCCAUAGCACUCAGCGCUCCCGAGCAAGAACAUAAUACACUAAAACAUGCAGCAGUAGGAGCGUUAUCUCUCCGGAGAGCUCCGAAGCUGGGUAAACUGCUCGUGUGCUUCGCCUCGAUCCGCUCUUCGUGCGACCUCCGCCCCCCGCCGAACCGAAAGGGGCUCGGUCCGCCGGUCCCAUAGGUGUUCGUGGAUCAGCUUCCCCGACAUCUUUGGCACACUAGGUGGGGGGCGUCCAGAUUGUGUGAACCUGAUCCGACGUUCACACGAGCUGGAUCUUCAUUUUCUUCAUCAACAUGCCACCGAAGAAGAAGGCUUCGGGGGCAACUGUUCCACCCACGUCGAUCCCACCACCACCGGAGCAAACGGGUGGUGGGAUAGACGCCGGCGGAAGAACGGACAUCGACGAGGGAGCUCACGGUGCUGCCAGAUCCAAGGACAAGGCUGCACAGACCUCAGCGUCCGUACAUGCACCGCGCCCAUCUCAGGAGGCGCAAGACUGACAGCGUCAUGGUAUUCACAGUACCAUACGUUUGUUGGACCAAGAUCGAGCUGGUGGAUCUCGGAGUGCUCAAGACCAGCAUGCACGCCAACAUGCAGGCACGAGCGAGAUACGAUCGCCUGGACGGGAUACUGCUCCUUCUAACAUAGUUAGAAGUCCGAGCAUAUCCCGCUCCUCGCGCCGUUCACCACUGCCGCCCACCACUCGAGCAGAAGCUUUGGCGCGAGCUCAACUGCUCCUGGAUUACCCUCCAACGGCAGACAAGAUCAACGAAUGGAGGGCCACCAUUCAGAGUCUCAUCGACUUUGCCAACGGCGACACUCCGCAGCAGCCGAGUGCAUCGCGGCCGCGGCAGGACUGCCAGGCACGAGCCGAUGGUGACAAAACCGGUGGGGGUGCAACCACCAUGCACUCUCCACCCCGAAGGCCAAGAUCGCCGACUCGCCGGAUCCACCUCGACAGCGACUCCACCGCAUCGUCAGAUCCACGAGCUCAUCGCGAUCAGCGCCAAGUUCUUCACGAACGACAGCAAGAAGACGCUCGUACUCGCAUCGAGCGCUGAAGAGAAGCGUGGCGUCAAUCUGACCAGCGCGCUGGGCCCUCUGUCGACAUGCAUGCGCCAGGGGCACUAGGUGACUUGCCGUACGCGGUAGGUUGCCCUGCGUUCACUCGUGAGCUGCUGCAAGUCCAGUGGCCCAGCAUGAAAAAUUUCAAGCUAGAUGUACCAGAGAAGUACGAGGGCAAGUCACAUCCGUCGGAGUUCCUCAGCAUCUACACCAUCGCGGUGCAAGCUGCCGGGGGACGGGACGACAAGAUCCUUGCCAACUACUUCCCGCUGGUGCUCAAGCCCAAUGUCAGAUCCUGGCUCAUGCACUUGCCGGACAACUCCAUAUCCUCCUGGGCGGACCUGUGCCAUCAUUUUGUCGGUGCCUUUACAGGCGGCCACAAACCUCAUGGCCAAGAGAGCGACCUUCAUCUGCUCGCCCAGAAGGAAGGAGAGCCUCUGCGCAAGUACAUUCAGAGAUUCAGCCGUGUACAACACAACAUCCCAGAUGUCCACCCUGCCGCGGUAAUCAGCGCGUUCCAUCAGAACGUGCGAAACCGCAAGAUGCGGGAGGAGAUGGCGAUGUGCAAGAUCAGAGACGUCAGUGAGCUAUACGCCCUGGCCGACAAGUGUGCACGUGCUGAGGAAGGGAGGAAACUCCCCGGAGAGAGUACAGGAGCAGGAGGAUCUGAUAGUGAGGAUGCUGCCCCGACAAAGAAAAACCGGCGGCGGAACAACAGGAAGAAGAAAGGCAAAGAUGUGCUAGUCGUUGAGCAAUCCGGCAAGGAAGCCAAAGCUGGUAGCUUCGGCAAGGAGAUUGCCGUAGGCACCAACCACCAGGCUGUGGCGGUCGCCGACAAGCAGGACGACACCAACAGGCAGUACUGCAAGAUCCACCGCACCAAGGGCCAUGACCUCCAGAGUUGCAAGAAGGUCGAGCAGCUUGUCAAGCAGCAAAAGGCUGAAUACGAGCGACGCGACAAGGAGAAGGCCUAUGAAGGUGCUGGAGGAGCCGGCAAGAAACGCCCCGGCCGAGGAGGACGCCGCGGCAAGGCCAAGCAGCGCCAAGGAGACAGACCUCCCCGCGGCCGCGACAAGGAUGAAGAUGACGACAACAAUGAAGAUAUGGAUGAUGACGAGACCGAUGAGCAGGAGUUCUAGAAAGCCACAGAGAUCCUGUGCGUUGACGGUGGUGCUUCUCUGCAUACUUCACACCGCCAGCUCAAGCAGUGGGUGCGGGAAGUCAAUGCAGCAGAGCCACCCGUCGAGUCACGCAAGCCUCUGAAAUGGUCCAGCACGCCUAUCAUCUUUGAUAUUGAGGACCACCCUGAUCGCAUAACUGCGGUCGGGUGCUUGCCGAUGUUGGUUUCACCAACUAUUCGCAACCUCAAGGUCACUAAGAUGCUAGUUGACAGCGGGACCGGCUUGAACCUGAUCUCCUCCGCGGUACUCCAGAAACUCCAGAUCCCUGAUAGCGAGCUCGAAGAGACCGGCACGUUCUAAGGAAUCAAUCCGGGAAGAAGCAAGCCAAAGGGAAAGAUCACGUUGCCGGUAACAUUUGGCAGCGAGUUAAACUUCAGGACUGAGAGGGUCACUUUUGACGUUGCUGACUUUCCAUUGCCUUACAAUGGGAUACUCGGCCAUCCAACACUCGCCAAAUUCAUGGCAGCCUCUCACUAUGCAUACAACAUGCUGAAGAUGCCAGGCCCGAUAAGUGUCAUCUCUGUCCCUGGCGACAAGAAGGAUGCUCUUAUCUGCACCGACAAGAUCUACCGGGAAGCAGCAGCCACAACAGAUCGUAGGUCACUUGCCGUUGAAGCUCCCGGGGGGAGGAAGAAGACCAUGUCCGGCAAGAGUUCUGAUGCCCACUCCGGCAAGCGCACCUCUUCGGGGUGCUGCACUACCGUCAAGGACGCACCAUCGAGCUCCACCGGGAAGUGUAAGAAGACAAUGGUAGCUCCACCAGAGACCAAGAAGGUGUCCGCCAAGGAGGAUGGCACUGGUGGUACCGUCACCAUCAGUGCCACUCUCGACCCUAAAUAGGAAGGCACACUCGUUGCUUUCCUGCGGGCGAAUGUCGACGUGUUUGCAUGGCAAUCGUCUGACAUCCCUGGUGUUCCUAGGAAAGUAAUCGAGCACCAUCUAGCCGUCUGUCCUCAUGCGCGGCCCAUCAAGCAGAAAGUCAAAAAACAAGUAGUGGAGCGCCAAGAAUUCAUCGCUGAAGAAAUCAAGAAGUUGGAAGCAGCAGGCCUUGUUAGAGGAGUGCUCCAUCCCACGUGGUUGGCCAAUCCUGUAGUCGUGCGCAAGGCAAACGGGAAAUGGAGGCUUUGUAUCGACUUUACCGAUGUCAAUAAAGCUUGUCCCAAAGACCCAUUUCCCUUGCCGCGCAUCAACCAGAUUGUUGACUCCAUAGUCGGAUGUGACUUGCUUUCAUUUCUUGACGCAUAUUCAGGAUACCAUCAGAUCUUCAUGGCAGAAGAGGAUGAGGAAAAGACCGCAUUCAUCACACCAUGUGGCACAUACUGUUUCAUACGGAUGCCUUUCGGUUUAAAGAAUGUUGGUUCAACAUUUGCAAGGAUAGUCCAUGACGCUUUUGAGCCGCUAAUACAUAGGAAUGUGGAGGCCUACAUGGAUGACUUAGUGGUCAAGAGCAAGGACAAAGCAACUCUGAUUCAAGAUUUAGACGAAACCUUUGCAAACCUGCGCAAGAUCAACCUCAAGCUUAACCCCGAGAAGUGUGUGUUCGGAGUCCCCUCCGGCAAGCUUCUCGGGUUCUUCGUGUCUCAGUGGGGAAUCGAAGCCAAUCCCGACAAGAUCAAGGCCAUUGAGCAGAUUGAAGCACCAAAGCGCGUCAAGGAUGUACGAAGACUUGCCGGUUGCGUAGCUGCUCUCAGCAGGUUUAUCUCUAGGUCUGCUGAGCGCGCCCUGCCAUUUUUCAAAUUAUUGAAAAAGGCAGGUCCAAUGAAAUGGACUCCGGAAGCGGAGGCUGCGCUGUAGGACUUAAAGAGAUACCCGUCCUCCACUCCGACACUUGUCGCACCUAAGCCACAAGAGAAGUUGCUGCUAUAUAUAGCGGCAACCAAUCAAGUGGUUAGUGCUGCGUUAGUAGCAGAGAGGGAGGCGGAUGAUGAGCCGGCAACCACAGCAAGUGCAUCCAGCGACAAGCAAGGAUCAUCACCGACAAGCUCUGGUCCCGACAAAGAUGGAUCUGCGCAGGCGCGUGAGAAGAUGCAGAAGAGAAUGGUGCAGCACCCAGUUUACUUUGUCAGUUUCCUUUUGCAGGGGGCUAGGUCAAGGUACUCUGGUGUGCAGAAAUUGCUUUCCGGCCUUCUCAUGGCCUCGAGUAAGCUGCGCCAUUACUUCCAAGCACAUGAGAUCACAGUGGUCACUCGUUUUCCGCUGAAGAGGAUACUGCAAAAUCCAGAAGCAACAGGCAGGAUUGUCGAGUGGGCACUAGAACUGUCAAGCUUUGGCCUCAAGUUUGAGAGCACCUCAACUAUCCAAAGCAGAGCAUUGGCGGAGUUCAUAGCAGAGUGGACGCCAACACCAGAUGAAGAAAUUCCAGAAACGAGCAUACCCGUCAAGGAAGCAAGCAAAGAGUGGUUGAUGUACUUUGAUGGUGCCUUCUCGCUGCAAGGCGCCAGUGCGGGCGUACUACUUGUCGCACCCAUCGAAGAGCACCUCAAGUACGUAGUCCAGAUGCACUUUCCCAAGGAGCAAGCAACAAACAAUAUUGCAGAGUAUGAAGGUUUGCUUGCCGGUCUCAGAAUCGUAGCAGACCUUGGGAUCAAGAAGCUCAUUGUCAGGGGUGACUCACAGCUUGUCGUCCGCCAAGUGAACAAGAAUUAUCAGAGUCCAUUUAUGGAAGCUUACAUUGAUAAAGUGAGAAAGCUAGAAGAGCACUUUGACGGCCUAUAGAUGGAACAUGUUCCAAGAGCUCAGAACGACAUUGCCGAUGGCCUGUCGAAGUGCACCGCACUUAAGUUACCUCUGGAACCAGGGAUCUUUGUGCUCAAGCUGACUCAACCAUCCGUAACGCCAUCAACUCGACAGAACAAGAAGAGGAAGUUGAUUUCUGGUGACUAUUUUCCGGCAGAGCUCCCCGAAGCCACCGCCAAGAAGGUCCUCAAGAUCAACACCAAGGAUGCUGAGGAGCAGUCUGCUCCGACAAGCCCUAGGGUUUGUUCCGUUGAAGCAGACGCUCCUGACAAGUUUUGCUGCGGCAAGCUUGCCGGGGAACGUCAAGCUCCGGCUGAGCCGCAGGUUCUCGCCGUAGAAGUGGAUGUUCCCGCAGCAGCAGAUAUGCCUUUAGUCCUUGUUGUCGAGCCGCAAGCUCCAGCAUGGGCGCAGCAGAUUGUCCAUUUCCUUCAAACAGGUGAACUUCCCGAAGAGCAAGAAGAAGCGGAAAGAGUAGCCCGGUAGUCAAGUAUGUACUAGUUUGUCGACAACACACUGUACAGAAGAAGACUCAACGGCGUGAAAUUGAAGUGUAUUCACCGGGAAGACGGACAAAAGCUAUUGGCAGAGAUACACAGAGGCAUAUGUGGCCACCAUAUUGGCGCAAGAGCACUUGCCGGCAAAGUGUUCCGGCAAGGUUUCUUUUGGCCAACAGCCCUCCAGGAUGCAACUGCACAAGUAACCAAGUGUGAAGCGUGCCAGUUCCAUUCCAAGCAUAUACACCAGCCAGCUCAACCUCUCCAGACGACCCCUUUAUCCUGGCCAUUUUCGGUCUGGAGGCUCGACAUCCUCGGCCCCUUUCCCCGAGCUGUCCGGGGCUUUGAGUACUUGUACGUUGCAAUCGACAAGUUCACAAAGUGGCCGGAAGUGGAAGCAGUGAGGAAGGUGACAGCACAGUCGGCAGUCAAGUUCUUCAGGUCGAUUGUUUGCCGUUUCGGGAUCCCUAACAGGAUCAUCACCGACAACGACACACAAUUCACGAGCCGCACCUUCAUGCAGUACGUCCAAGAUCUUGGCGCCAAGGUCUGCUUCGUUUCUGUUGCUCAUCCAAGAAGCAAUGGUCAAGUAGAGGGGGCAAAUGCUGAAGUGCUGCGCGGGCUCAAGACCAGGACUUUCGACAGGCUGCACAAGUGCAGAAAGAACUGGAUUGAGGAGCUGCCGGUGGUUCUUUGGUCGCUCAGGACGACGCCAAAUCGAGCCACUGGCCAGACACCUUUCGCUCUAGUCUAUGGAGCAGAGGCAGUUCUCCCCACAGAACUCGUAUACGGGUCACCUCGAGUGCUCGCUUAUGAUGAGCUUGAGCAAGAGCAGCUGCGACAAGAUGACGCGCUGCUCCUCGAGGAGGACCGUCUUCAGGCUGCUGUACGAGCUGCUCGAUACCAGCAAGCUUUGCGCCGCUACCAUAGCUACAAAGUUAAUGCCAGAAGUCUCGAGGAAGGCGACCUUGUUCUUCGGCGCGUUCAGUCCGCCAAGAAUUCCAACAAGUUGACGCCGAAGUGGGAAGGCCCUUACCGGGUGAAAUGAGUCACUAGGCCUGGCGCUGUCCACCUUGAGACCGAAGAUGGCAUUCCGGUGAGCAACUCCUGGAACAUUGAGCAUCUUCGUAAGUUUUACCCGUAGGGCGCGGUUGCCGGAACCUGUUCCGGCAACCACCUUUUGUACAAGUCUUGCCGAUGUUGCAUGUAAUCCUUUGUACAAAGCCGGGCGCAGACCCCGUGCAUAAGUAAAGCUCAUGUGCCCCGCACAUCUUGUCGAUUUCAUGCUUUCUACUACUUUUUGCAUGCGUUAUCUGACACUUUGUGCAGCACCUACCCCCGGUAAGCAAUAACGAGCCAUAGGGCUCCAUAUCUUUAUUUUCUCUUCUUUCUCUUUCUCAAGGAAAGGAAGGAUCCCUCGCCCACAAGUUUGCCGGGGGGAAAGGAGAAGAUAAUGGUGUGGACCAGGCGUCGUUCGAGGGAGUUUCGCCUUACCGGGAAGCAAACGACAGAAAAGCUAAGUUGCCAAAGUUUGAGCAAUCAUUUUUAAAUUUUUUAAGUUAUCUUCCUCAAACGACCGUGCUUUGUAUGGAAAACCUGUGCGCGGAGGAACCAACUCGUAGCUAGUUGCGCCCUUACUUUGUUUCGAGUCCGCUCAACAACUUAAGUGAGCUGCGACUAGUUGCAACAAGGUUUCUUGUUGGUAGCGGCACCGCCAGCAGGCUGCUGACAUUCCGCACUCAGCGCUCGCGGCUAAGGUACCUGCACCGACAAGUUCCCUAAAAGCGUAGGGCAAAAACAUACAAAGGAAGGAAUCAAGUAAAGGAAAUAACACAGCAAUCUCUACCCAAAAUAGAGUUGUAUUACAAGAUAACUUGUCGCAACUCUAACAGAAUGUUCUCAUGACAUGACCAGCGGCGACAAAGAAAAAGAAAAGACGGGCGGCCUAAUCCACGCGUUCGCCCUCAACCCUCUUGAUCUCGCUCACCUUGUCCACAGUGGGUGCGACAAGGGCCUUGAGCGCUUCCAGAUCAGCAUCCGGCGGCAAGGACCUGAGGACGUUGGUGAGGUUGAGGCCUGGGUUGCGGAAGGCCACCUUCACCAGCACCUUCUGAAGAGCCCCCGCGCAGAUCCUGCGUGACUCAUCGGCCAGCUGCUUUGGGAUCUUCUCCCGGAGUCGCUGGAGGGCCGUCGCCAUGCCUUUGAAGAACAGGCUGAGCUUGGCGCUGGGUUGGAGGUGCUCACCAGAGGAGUACCCGAGAUCCUCCAUCCCCAGCUGCGCCAACUCAACGUCGAUGGCUGCGGCAAGAUCCACUAGACCCUCGGUCCAGUGUUCCACAGUCUCCCUGAAAGCGUCGUGGGCGGCAGCAGCAUUCACCAGCAGCGCCUCGUCGGUCUUGAUCUUCUCCUUCAAGGCCACCUCCUGCUCCCUGGCGCGGUCCAGCAUCUUGGUCAAGGUGGCCAGCUUCAAUUCGAGAUCCGCAUUGGAGUCCUUGGCGGCGCUAAGCUCUUUGCUCCUCUCAGCGAGACGACCCUGCAGCUCACCAUGAGCAGCGGGGUCCUUCUCACGCUCACGCUUGAGCACAGCAAGCUCCUCGCCGCUCGCCUUGAGAUCAGCCUCCAGCUGCGCCAUCUUCGUCUCCAGCUCCUUCUUGGCGGCCUCGGCAGCUGCGGCAGCAUCCUUUGCUUCCUUGAGAGCCCCGCCAAUCGCUUGCUCGCGCGCGGCAAGCUUCUCCUCGUGGCUGUCAAGGUUGACGUUGCGCUGCGCUAAUUCACCUUCCUGCGCAGACAACUUCUCGGCAGCGAGCCGCUGCUGCUCUUCAACCUCAGCCUUCCCGAGGAGGAAGGCUUUCCGCUCCUCGGCGAGUUGCUCCCACUCCUCUGCUAAGGAUCGGAGAGCUUCCUGCCUGAGACCCCGGAGCUCCUCCGCGCGCUUCUCGAUGUCCACUCCCGCCUUCGCGACAAGCGCCUCUCGGGAUGCCAGCUUGGCUUGUCGGGCGCGGUAGAGCAACAACAACUUCCGCAGCAACCGCUCCUCCUCAGGCUCGUCGCUGCAGCUUGGCGUGUCGACCAGCGUCAGCCCAGCAGAGGCGAGAACCUCUCCAUCCAAGAUUUCUCCUUCGACCAGCACCCUGGAACUUGACGCCCAGGGGAGCUUGAUGAAGAUGCCAUCGCCGGCCUUCAAUUAGGCGCCGGGAUGGGGCUCAUCGGAGCCUGGCGCUGCAGCAGCGGCGGAGGGAUCGGCGGUUGGCGUAGCGCCUGGCGCUCCUGCGGCCUCGGGGCCAUCAGUGCGAUCGCCGGAUCCCUCGCCAGCUUCUGCGGCGGCAGCUUUGGCGGCCUCUUCGCCGGCGGGAUCAUCAGCGCCGGCCUCUUCUUUGGUGGCAGGGGUGACUCGCAGGCGCCGGCCUCGAUGGCGUCGUUGUUGUUGCCAUGCGCGUUCUCCUCGCCGGCGACCUCGGUUUCCAUUGGAUCUGCGGCAGAUGGAUCUGACGACCGAGAAGGGGAGAAAAGUCAAGCAAAACUUCAAAAAGAAAAUCAGAAGAAGAAGAACCCAAGGGAAGUUCUCAAGCAAGAGGAUUACCUGGAUCUACAGCCGCGGUCUCCGCCACCGGGGGGUCGCUGGUGCUAUCCCUUGCCGGAGAACUGUCCCUUGCCGGAGAAUUCUCCCUUGCCGGAGAACGCUCCCUUGCCGGGGAAUCCUCCCUUGGCGGUGUAGUCGAAGAAGAUGGCAUUUCGGGAGCGACUUCUAGGCACUCCUGGUGAGGCUGCUCUGCUCCUACACAAACCAACAAUCAGAUAUCAGCGAAGAAAGAGCACCAAUGCGCGCCUGACAGCAAGAAGUAAAAUAUACACUUACGCUCGGGGCUGCGCUGGAGGCUGCUUUGGGGAAUAGUUGCCGGGUCCGGCAAGGUGGUUUCAGGCGCGUCCCCUGUUGCCAUGGUGGGUUCGUCCUCAAUGACAAUCACCGGGACCUUGGCUCUCUUCGCCGCUCUCUGGGCCAGAGUCCUGAAAAGGAAUGAGUUCGGAGUAAAGCAAAUCAGAGACAAGACAAAACAACAAAGAUUGAAGAACUACAAGUACAACAAGGAAUCUUACUCUUCUUCUUCCUCAUCGGAGCUGAGCGCGGAGAGAUCGAAGUCUGGCUCGCCUCCGGUGCGACGAGGCAGAGGAGUAGGCUCCCUUGUCCGCUUGGCAGGAGCAGUGGCGGUGGACCGGGAAGACCCCGCUCCAGUUGCGGCAGCGGCGUGAGGCGCUCCCGCGGCAAUAGUGCUUGCCGCGGUCGAGCGCGUCGCGUGGUGCGGCGGCUGUUGACCCGUCUGCCGCCCCGCUACAUCCCCGGCGUUGCGGAGACGCCUUCUUGGUGGAGCUGGGGGCUCCGCUUGCGGCGAGCUGGCUGAAGGUGGGGAGGAGGAGGAGCCGAUCCUCAACGGGUCGCUCGCGCCCUCGGCGGGCUCGCUCGACUCAGAUUCAGGCCCAACAAGUUCUUCCUCACCGACAAGCUCUUCUCGCUCGGCAAGGCUUGCCGCCUCUGCUGCCUCUGCCUCCUCCACGGUGAAUCCAAAUUCGCCCGCGGCAGCUGCUGCCACUGCCUCUUCCAGCCUAGUGGCGAUGCGCUGCAUCUCCGCAUCGGUGGUGUCGCGAGUGAGGCUCUUCUGUUCAUCGACGCGGACCGGCACUUCUACCAAGCUGUCGAAGAACUCCUGCACGACGUCGUCUGCAGGCUCUUGCCAAGUUGGGACGAUUCCAUGCGAAUCACACAGCGGCAUCAUUGCACGGAUGCGGUCGAGCGAGGAAUUGUUGCACAGCGGAACGACACUCCUCGGCAGCAUGAAUGGAUGUUGAGGAUCGCGCUUGAACAGCUCCAGAAGCAUCGCAUCCAGCUCCAAGACAGUGAAGUUGAAGUUGAGGCCCGGGCGCAGCCUCAUGAUAUCCGCCGAGUUCUGGAACUCCCAAGCGGGUCUCCUCCUCUCCUGAAGGGGGGCGAUGCGGCGGCGAAGGAAAUCUGCGCCAACGGCGCCUACGGUGAGCCCGGCAAGCCUGAGGCGUAAGAUCCGGGUGACGGCAAUCUUCAGCCUAUCAUCUUCCGAGGCCACGUUGCUCCAAUCGUUGCCGCGUACAAUUGGGGUUUGGUGCCGGGCGGUGAAUGGCUGCGGGUUCUCCUCGACGAUCCAGCACCACUCUGCUCUCCAUUCUUCCCAUUUGCUGCGGAGCUCUCCCUCCAGAUAAGCAUCCUUCUUGCCAGUUCUCGAGAUCCAGGCGAUUCCACCGGCAAGGGGCUCUCCUCUCUCGACUCGGGGCAUAAAGAAGUGGCGAAAAAGGGCUACAUUGGGAUGGACUCCGACAAAGUUUUCGCAGAGAUGUGCGAAAACUGCCAUGGUCAGAACGGCAUUGGGGGUGAAAUCAAGGAGGCGGAACCCGUAGGUGUUCAUGAUAUCACAGAAGAAUUCAGAGAAGGGCGGGCAGAGCCCGCAGUAGAAGAAUAUCGCGAAGAAGGGGUACCCGUUCGGAGCCAGUUUCGAAGCGGCAGCUGAGAGUACCCUCGUGCGCGGAUGCGCUCGCGUCUCCGUCGACCAGAAGAGGUAGUAGUACUCCCUCAGCUCCUUCGCGUCAAGCUGAGGGGGAAAGAUUGCCCGCUCCUUUCGCAGCGCCGCGAGCCGCUGUGCCUCCGCUGACUCCACGCCCUUCCCCUUGUCGGCUUUCGGAGCCAUGGCGGAGGCGGUGGGGGAGAUCGACGGCGUCGGUGGUGCCGGUGGCAAUGGGGGGCGGAGCGCUGCUCUCUUUCGACUUUGGGAAGAAGGGGGGGAGCGGCGGAGAUUUCUGAGAUUGGAGUAGUAACCGGCGAGAUGGGCGAACUGCCCCUGUUUCCCCUGCUUAUAAAGAGGGAGGGGGCAGACAUUCCGCCUUUAUGAAUAAAGAAACCACCCACGAUCUCUCCCACGACGCCGCAUUCGACGCGUGCUGUUGGGGGAGGGCGCGGUGGAUACGGAGUGAGAUACGGCGUGACCCAAGCCGCGCGUGCCCGUGCCUUGCUUUGCACCUGGCCCAACAGCGCUCGGCACCGUGUGUGGCCCAGGCCCGGGGGCUCCUGUCGGUGUACUAAAGUAGGGGUACCUUAGUAUCCCGAACUUGUGCACGGGCAGUUGCAGCACCCCACGGCAAGGCUUGCCGGGCGACCGUCAAGAUCCUCCGUGGUUCCUUUGGAGCCAUUCAAGAACAAAGUAUUCAAGCCAAGGAGACAAGGCCCCGGCAAGAGGAGCUUGCCGGGAAGGCUAGCCAAGGCAUCUCAAGGAACUUGCCGCGACGCGCCACGCGUCCCGGCAAGGCCCGGUGAGCGACAAGCUUCCGGACGCGACAAGACAACGACCGCGGCAAGGUGCUUGCCGCGACAAGCUACCACCCUGUACCCACGCUCUAGCACAUCUACCAACAUGUUGCCCUGGGGCCUUUCCAGGUGCGCGUGGCAAGAGGCUGUGCAGCCAGCGGUGCGAGGUGGCAAGCAACGGUGACAAGAUUGCCAUCGUGGCGAACGGUGGCGUCCCUGAGGGUCCUUACCUGCACUGUUUGGGCGACACAGACGGGCAUUUAAUGCCUUUGUCCCCUUCCGUCAGGGUUAGGUAGGAUACAUUGUACAGGUAGUUGUACCAACCGCAACUCCUUUUACGUUUUUAUCCUUGUCUACGUUGCCACCUGUCGGUGACCCCUUUAGCAUAUAAAAGGAGGCCCACGUGCAACGUAGAGGGGGUUCGGUUCGGGCCGAAGCCAGAAAAACACUCACGCUCGGUCUCGUUAGCAGCUAGAGUGCGCCAUAGCACUCAGCGCUCCCGAGCAAGAACAUAGUACACUAAAACAUGCAGCAGUAGGAGUGUUAUCUCUCCGGAGAGCUCCGAAGCUGGGUAAACUGCUCGUGUGCUUCGCCUCGAUCCGCUCUUCGUGCGACCUCCGCCCCCCGCCGAACCGAAAGGGGCUCGGUCCGGCGGUCCCAUAGGUGUUCAUGGAUCAACUUCCCCGACAAUAAUUGUUCUUUAGAAGAUUGUAUUUCCUUGUUGCAAUCCGUUGUGAAUUCUCCUCAUGCUUAUAGUCAAAAUAAAGCUUUUACCAAACGUAUUGUUGAUGCCUUGAUGCAAUCUUUUGAUGAAAAACUUAAUUUGGAAGUUUCUAUACCUAGAAAACUUAACGAUGAGUGGGAACCUACUAUAAAGAUUAAAAUUAAAGAUCAUGAGUGUUAUGCUUUGUGUGAUUUGGGUGCUAGUGUUUCCACGAUUCCAAAAACUUUAUGCAUUAUUCUAGGUUUCCAUGAUCUUGAUGAUUGCUCUUUAAAUUUGCACCUUGCGGAUUCCACCAUUAAAAAGCCAGUGGGAAGGAUCAAUGAUGUUCUCAUUGUUGCAAAUAGGAAUUUGGUGCCCGUAGAUUUUAUCGUUCUUGACAUAGAUUGCAAUCUUUCUUGUCCUAUUAUUCUUGGUAGACCUUUCCUUAGAACAAUUGGUGCGAUUAUUGAUAUGAAGGAAGGUAAUAUUAGAUUCCAAUUUCCAUUAAGGAAAGGCAUGGAGCACUUUCCAAGAAAGAAAGUCAAAUUACCUUAUGAAUCUAUCAUGCGAGCUACUUAUGAAUUGAGUGCCAAAGAUGGCACUACUUAGAUCUAUCCUCGCUUUUAUGCCAAGCUAGGGGCGUCAAACGAUAGCGCUAGUUGGGAGGCAACCCAAUUUUAUUUGUGUUUUUUGUUUUUGCUUCUGUUUAGUAAUAAAUUUUGCAUCUACCUCCUGUUUAGAUGUGUUUUUUAUGUUUCAAUUAGUGUUUAUGCCAUGUAGAACCUAUAGGAUAACCUAUGGUGAUAGUUAAUUUGAUUCUACUGAAAAACAGAAACUUUGCACACACGGAAAUAAUUUUAGUAAUUCACAGAAACGUGAUUUUGCGUUGAUUCUUUUUUCUGUAGAUCAAUAGACAAAUUUCCCAGGACUUCCUAUUUUGGUAGGAUUUGUAGAGUUCCAUAAGUAUUCGAGAGUUACAGAUUGCUACAGACUGUUCUGUUUUUGACAGAUUCUGUUUUUCGUGUGUUGUUUGCUUGUUUUGAUGCAUCUAUGGCUAGUAUGUAAGGGUAUGAACCACAGAGAACUUGGAAUACAGUAGGUUUAACACCAAUAUAAAUAAAGAAUGAGUUAAUUACAGUGCCUUAUGUGGUGGUUUUUCUUUCUUGCACGAACAGAGCUUAUGAGAUUUCCUGUUGAGUUUUGUGUUGUGAAGUUUUCAAGUUUUGGGUAAAGAUUUGAUGGACUAUGGAAUAAGGAGUGGCAAGAUACUAAGCUUGGGUAUGCCCAUGGCACCCCAAGAUAUUCAAGAAUAGCCAAAAGCCUAAGCUUGGGGAUGCCCUGGAAGGCAUCCCAUCUUUCGUCUUUGUCUAUCGGUAACUUUACUUGGAGCUAUAUUUUUAUUCGCCACAUGAUAUGUGUUUUGCUUGGAGCGUCUUGUAUGAUAUUAGUCUUUGCUUUUUAGUUUACCACAAUCAUCCUUGCUGUACACACCUUUUGGGAGAAACCCACUUGAUUGGAAUUUAUUAGAAUACUCUAUGUGCUUCACUUAUAUCUUUUGAGCUUGAUAGUUUUUGCUUUAGUGCUUCACUUAUAUCUUUUAGAGCACGAUGGUGUUUUAAUUUUGUAGAAAUUGUUGAUCUCUCAUGCUUCACUUAUAUUAUUUUGAGAGUCUCUUAGAACAACAUGGUAUUUUCUAUGGUUAUAAAAUUGGUCCUAGAAUGAUGAGCAUCCAAGUUGGGUAUAAUAAAAGCUAUCAUAGAAAGUGAAUUGGAUGCUAUGAUCAAUUUGAUACUUGAUAAUUGUUUUGAGAUAUAGAGGUGGUAAUAUUAAAGUCAUGCUAGUUGGGUGAUUAUGAAUUUAAAGAAUACUUGUGUUGAAGUUUGUGAUUCCCGUAGCAUGCACGUAUGGUGAACCGCUUUGUGAUGAAGUUGGAGCACAAUUUUAUUUAUGGAUUGUCUUCCUUAUGAGUGGCGGUCGGGGACGAGCGAUUGUCUUUUCCUACCAAUCUAUCCCCCUAGGAGCAUGCACAUAGUACUUUGUUUUCAAUGACUUGUAGAUUUUUUCAAUAAGUUCAUGAAUUCUUAUGACUAAUGUUGAGUCCAUGGAUUAUACGCACUCUCACCCUUCCACCAUUGCUAGCCUCUCUUGUGCCCCGCAACUUUCAUUGGUACCAUACACCCACCAUAUACCUUCCUCAAAACAACCACCAUGCCUACCUAUUAUGGCAUUUCCAUAGCCAUUUCGAGAUAUAUUGCCAUUCAACUUUCCACCAUUUCGUUUAUAUGACACGCAUCAUCAUUGUCAUAUUGCUCUUUGCAUGAUCAUGUAGUUGACAUCGUAUUUGUGGCAAGGCCACGUUCAUAAUUUUCAUACAUGUCACUCUUGAUACAUUGCAUAUCCCGGUACACUGCCGGAGGCAUUCAUAUAGAGUCAUAUCUUGUUCUAAGUAUUGAGUUGUAAUCUUGAGUUGUAAGUAAAUAAAAGUGUGAUGAUCUUCAUUAUUAGAGCAUUGUCCCAGUGAGGAAAGGAUGAUGGAGACUAUGAUUCCCCCACAAGUCGUGAUGAGACUUCGUACCUUACAAAAAAAAGAAGAGAAAGGCCAAAUAAAAAAAAGAGAAAGGCCAAAGAAAAAAAGAGAGAAAAAGAGAGAAGGGACAAUGGAACUAUCCUUUUUACCACACUUGUGCUUAAAAGUAGCACCAUGAUCUUCAUGAUAGUGAGUCUCUUAUGUUGGCACUUUCAUAUACUAGUGGGAAUUUUUCAUUGCAGAACUUGGCUUGUAUAUUCCAAUGAUGGGCUUCCUCAAAAUGCCCUUGGUCUUCGUGAGCAAGCGAGUUGGAUGCACACCCACUUAGUUUCUUUUGUUGAGCAUUCAUGCAUUUAUAGCUCUAGUGCAUCCAUUGCAUGACAAUCCCUAAUCACUCACAUUGAUACCUAUUAAUGGGCAUCUCCAUAAUCCGUUGAUACGCCUAGUUGAUGUGAGACUAUCUUCCUCCUUUUUUGUCUUCUCCACAACCACCAUUCUAUUCCACAUAUAGUGCUAUGUCCAUGGCUCACGCUCAUGUAUUGCGUGAAAGUUGAAAAAGUUUGAGAUUACUAAAGUAUGAAACAAUUGCUUGGCUUGUCAUCGGGGUUGUGCAUGAUUAAAUACUUUGUGUGAUGACGAUAGAGCAACAACCAGACUAUAUGAUUUUGUAGGGAUAACUUUCUUUAGCCAUGUUAUUUUGAGAAGACAUGAUUGCUUGCUUAGUAUGCUUGAAGUAUUAUUAUUUCUUAUGUCAAUAUGAACUUUUAUUUUGAAUCAUUUGGAUCUGAACAUUCAUGCCACAAUAAAGAAAAUUACAUUGAGAAUUAUGCUAGGUAGCAUUCCACAUUGUCGUUGUCAAAACCGGCGGAUCUCGGGUAGGGGGUCCCAAGCAGUGCGUCUUAGGAUCAAUGGUAACAGGAGGCAAGGGACACAAUGUUUACCCAGGUUCGGGACCUCUCGGUGGAGGUAAAACCCUAAUCCUGCUUGAUUGAUAUUGAUGAUAUGGGUAUUACAAGAUUCGAUCUACCACGAGAUCAGAGAGGCCAAACCCUAGAAGCUAGCCCAUGGUAUGAUUGUUGUUGUAUAUGUCUAUCGACUAGCCUGGCCCCGGUUUAUAUAAUGCACCAGAGGCCUAGGAUAACAAGAGUCCUAGCCGAAUACGCCGGUGGGGGAGGAGUCCUUGUCUUGAUCGCCAAGUCUUGUGGAUUCUUCCUUGUAUGCGGCAGCUGUCCGGACUGGCCCAUGAGUAUACGGCCAUGGGGGUCCUCGGCCCAAUCCAACUGAUCGGGAGACGACGCGUUGAGUACCCCCUAGUCCAGGACACCGUCAGUAGCCCCCUGAACCGGUCUUCAAGUUAGGGACGCUCCUCGAUUCUUCCGAACUGUUCUUCAUCUUCGGUUGCCGGUCUUGAAAAUUGGUUCAACAAAUCUUCUCAUCUUCUAUCUUGAGGAUCGCCGAAAUGCAUUCGACGAGUUUACACGUCUGGUAUCUGAGGAGCCCCUUUAAGUUUCCGACCUUUAUCAAUGUGUUGUUAUUUUUAUGCCACACCUUGGGUUCGGAGUUGUUCCCGGGAGGCAGUGUCCUCUUGCAUCCGAGCUCUAACACCGGACUGCAUUCAAGGUAUCUCUUGCAGCCGAGCACCAAUGCCAGACUGCUUCCCGGCUCUAACGUCGGAAUGUAUCCGAGCUUCAACACCAGACUAUGUAUCCGAGCUCCAACGCCGGACUAUAUUGAGCUCCAAUGUCGGACUAUGUAUCCGAGCUCCAAAGCCGGACUAUAUCCGAGGUGUCGUAAAUCACCUUGGUUCAAAGAAGUUUGAAGGAGUUUAGCCGAGCUUAAUGCCGGAAAUGCCCUUUAUGGAGCCAGCCACUAGCGCCCGAGCUUUAUGCCGGACUGCUUCCGAGGUGGUGCACCUCCCGAAUGUGGGCCAAUUUUUGUCAAUAUUUUUGAUUAGUGCAAUUUAUUCUCUGCCGAGAUACAUAGCCAGUAGCCCUCAAGGUGGGUAUCAGUCUAAAACCCGAGAUGCACAUGAAGGAUGACAUAAGACCGCUGAUCCCUGUAGCCACUGGGACUCAGGUUGAUUUGCAAAAUCGGUCUGAGGAUCAAGUCCUAGCUCGGCAGAAUACUUCGGGACACAAAAAGCGGCGUGCUCAGUCCUCGAGACUCAGGUUGGGUGCGGCCGACCAACCUGAGGAUCAAAAUCUCCUCGGAAACUGUAUUGCACUUAAAAUUUUCUGCAUUGAACAGGCAAUGCAGUAGCCCCCAAGACACUAGUCGGGUGGCAACACCAGAUCACGGGAUCGAUGUGCCCCUUUAAUAUUUGUAAAUAGUAAGCCCGAAGCCCAGUAGCCCCCGAGCCUUAAUUCGGGCACGGGAGGCCGAAUUAAGGAUCGAUAUCCAUAGUAAAAUCACAAAUUAUGUGUAAUGACUCUAUGUAUCCAAGUACUUUACGUCAUUAAUGCUCGGAUCCUCAUUGUACAAAAAUUUGUUGACCGACCAUCGGCUUCCACCUCCUCGGCCAAUAGCCGAGGAGUGUUGGUCCUACUUUAUAAAGCCUUUAUGAGGGCAAAGAUUUACAACAAACAAGGCAAUCUGGCCAUGCGGUUUUAUAAACAAAGGUACACGGAGAGACAUGUUAUAUUACUGUUUAAUAGAAGAAAUGUCUUCCAAAGAAAAUAGUCCCGCUAUCGGUUCCUUUCUUUGGGUUGUCAUGCUAAGCACGAUCAUGAAACCUCAGCUCCAAUGUAAGAGCAAAAUAUCGAGGAUUUAGUUUGGGAGGCCAGUUAAUAGCCCCCGGUAGUGUUCAGCGACAGUCGAGGUCAAGCCGUAAACACUUCGGCCAUUGUUAUGAAUGGCCCGUCGUUUAACGCUGUCAUCGGAUCACCGACCAAUUUUCGCUUAUUGUGACAGUUAGUUUUUGGCUUUCUCCACUGAGGUGCUUAACCAUGUGAGCUGGAAGCACAAUCGCAGUGGUUCUCCCUUUGCACACCUAGCCGAACAAAGCGGACCAUAGGAGGCAAGUGCAGGAGCCGGGCAACCCAACUAUUGACCGAAGACACAAUUCGAAACCGAUGCAUAUAUAGCAAUAUCCGAGAAUGCUUUUGCCGAAUCUCUAAAGGUGUCCGGCGUUGCACUGCGAGACUUGUGCUGAAAACACACAAAUAGUUUAAAAGUGCCAUGGGCUUGAAAAGCCAAAAAACUUAUUCAAAAGGUUAAUGUCCAAACUAGAUCAAGUGUUCGGUGCCAAUCCGAAAAUUGGACUUUAGAAAAAAAAGGUGCUUCUGCCGUGCUUUAACAUGACACAUCCUAUCUCAAAACUUCAAGCAGGUCAGCCUACGGCUUCAACCUCCUAUGCCGAAGGCGGAGUACUUCUUACUAGGCCAGUUUAGAAAACUAAACUCUAGCGGCUUUGAGAGAGAAAUUAGGCUCCCCGGCUAGCGACCGCACACUUGUGUCAAAAAAAGGAGUGAUAAAUAAUAAUAAAAACUUUGCAACGACUAAGAAGAAAAAAACACUUAUGAUAAAACGGCUCAUAUAAAUUUAAGAGCCCCCAAGUAACUUGGGUAAAAGAAUGAUUGCAUGUACCGAAGUACUUAUAUCAUAUCUAUGUUCAACCGAACUUUAAACGCGUCUUAACCGACCGUCGGCUUCUCCCUCUUCGGUCAAGGACCGAAAAGUGUUAUGUACUCCAUCUGUCAAGAAUAUCGACGGUGUUUCCAAUAACCAGGCAAUCAGGCCAUAAGGCUGUAAUAGACAAAGCGCGCUCAGGGAACUUAUGCUAUAUUACUGCGAAGAGUAAGAAGCAUCUUCGAACAAAAUAGUACCCCACCGAUACCUUUCUUCGGUGCUCAUUGUUAUUAUGACACUUGUGCAAUAGAUUUUUUGUACUCAUGAGUUCGUUGUGUGCCGACCAUGAUUGAAAACAAUAAGAGCGCUAGCUUUCGGCUUCACCCAGUCUAAGGUUCGGCUCGGUUGACCCGAUGACAAUCGCAGAGGUGCUCCCUUUACUCCCUAGCCGAACAAUCGGGAACGUAGGGGUAAGCACAGGAGCCAGGCAACCCAGCUUGCAAAUCGCUUAAGUCAAUAUGGUGCAUAUUGUGGCGUAAUACACGAACAAGGAACAAAGCCAUACAAGUAUAACCAUAUGCAAGAGGAAAAAGCUUCAUGAAGGAAGCUCCCAAGUAAACGGGGUAUUUGAAUUUGCGCGUCACAAACAAAGUUUGGACAAGGAAAUUUUUACAAGCGACUUUUUUCCAAAAAAGUAUAAUGCUUGGCUGAGCCGAACACAAGUUAAAAAUUUAAAACUUUGAGCAUGAAGACAACUUAGCUGGUUAAUGUGUUCGGUAUUGAUGACGCGGUCCGAGCUUGACGCGGGACAAGGUUCCAUCCCCGAGCCGGUCCCGAGGUGGCAGAGCAAAGAGCUCGGCACUCCGAAGUGGUGACAUAGCACGGUCAAUGCAGGACGGCAGGGUGAUGCCAAAGUCCCCGACAUGGGGUAAUGAAGUGUUAACGAAGCCCCCUGUCUAGCCGAGGUGACGCCAAAGGAUAUAGUCCGGCUGGAUCAUUUUCCUGUGCACAAAAAAUAGUGCAAACCGGAGAUAAUAGUAAUAAUAAUAAAAAAAAUCGUUGCAUAACAAAUAAUUUAUGCAAAGUGAGUAAUAAAAGAAAUAUGGCCUGGCACCGAAGUCAAUGUCGAUGCAGGGCAGCGGCGUGAUGCGGUAAAGGCAUGGCAAGGCCUGAAUUCACAAGUCGGUUCGAGUUCCGGAUGCGGUGUUCGCGGGACUAUGUACGGAAACUGACCGAACCACCAUGCGACCGUUGUUAAUGCGGCCACCAUUUGAUAGACCUACGUACAUAUGACGGACAAACCACAAUAAUAAUUCAUUGGGAAAAAUGAACCCUAAGUAGCAAAAAAUACUAGGAUUAAUAGCACCUGGCUUAUUUGUUGUAGCAAUCCGAAGAAAGGUGAUUCCCAAAAUUGGGACUCGAUCCGCACACCUAUCACCUGCUGGGCGAUAAAGCAACGGCAUGGCGAUGCUAGCAAAGAUUGGCUCGCCGAGGCAAAGCCCUCGGUCCAGCUAACGUGACGGAGCUGGUCGGCCAGCAACGCUGAAGUCUCCGGAGUAGGUUGAUGAAGAGAUGAUGAAGCCCCCGGUCCAGCGAUGCAGGUCAUGACGUGGUCGAUGCCGGCUUGAUGAAGUGGUCGUGUGGCGAUGCAGGUGCGCCCGCUCCGUGUAAUCCAUGGGGCGGCGAUGUUGGUGACGAUUUAUCCUUCGCGAUGCCGAACUAUUGUUCGGCUGGCCGAGAUGAUGAUCUGAAGAAAUUGAGCUCGGCUCAACAAAGCGACGAUGUGUCUAACGCAGGUCGGCCGCCGUGGAGUGAUGUUGUUGGGCUGGUUUAACACCGGCGCGAUGGUGAAGUUCGUAUUCCAAGAAUACUUUUAAUACUACUGGGAUGUGUUUGAGAAUAAAACACAGCACCCCAUAUGAAAACUUCCUUCAAAAAGGAUGUCCGAGAUCCCGUUUAUAAAGAAGAUGAAUUCGGGUUGGAUUCGUUCUCGCGCAGAAAACAGAUCCAAAAGUGACGCACUAAUCGGAAGUUUCCUGGAGUUUGGACGGUCGGAUCAAGCUGAAUUUUUGGCAGGUGGUAGAUAUAGGAAUUCCUCAGCAAAUCAACGGUUGGAUCCUCCAAAGGACAUCCAAGCUAGAUGCUGGAUACCACGCCCUAAACUCGUCCAGAUUCUCGUCCAGAUUCAACAGGGCUCCGGUAUGUCGGAGAUUGCCGGAGAUUCCUCCAUCGGAACUCGACGAAAUUUUUGCAGGGUUGUUGUAGACUUAAUUACGCAUAAUUCCACCAAAGUAAUCGUUUAAGAGACACUCGAGGAGGCGGUGGCGGCGGAUACAAGUUUGCUGUCCAGAAAAACAGCACGGUCGCCUGAGGGCAAUGUUGACAUUGAGCCCCCGAGCUCCAUGGAUGAAUCCUCCAUGAUCUUGAUAGAGAUCGGAGUUGGCGUUGAUGAAGGCCUUCGUCGGAACAUGAUGAUCAGAGGUAGGGCGCAGUCCUCGGUCAAGCCAAGGUGACCAGUCGAGCUGGUGACGAAGAAGCCGACGUCGUAGUUGACCUGCAGUCGAGCCAUUGAUCGUUUCGCCGAUCACACAGCGGAACUCUCAAUGAAAGCACCAAUGUUGGUGUCAAAACCGGCGGAUCUCGGGUAGGGGGUCCCAAGCAGUGCGUCUUAGGAUCAAUGGUAACAGGAGGCAAGGGACACAAUGUUUACCCAGGUUCGGGCCCUCUCGGUGGAGGUAAAACUCUACUCCUGCUUGAUUGAUAUUGAUGAUAUGGGUAUUACAAGAGUUGAUCUACCACGAGAUCGGAGAGGCCAAACCCUAGAAGCUAGCCUAUGGUAUGAUUGUUGUUGUAUAUGUCUAUCGACUAGCCUGGCCCCGGUUUAUAUAAUGCACCAGAGGCAUAGGAUAACAAGAGUCCUAGCCGAAUACGCCGGUGGGGGAGGAGUCCUUGUCUUGAUCGCCAAGUCUUGUGGAUUCUUCCUUGUAUGCGACAGCUGUCCGGACUGGCCCAUGAGUAUACGGCCAUGGGGGUCCUCGGUCCUAUCCAACUGAUCGAGAGAUGACGCGUUGAGUACCCCCUAGUCCAGGACACCGUCACACAUCGAAAAUUCUGUUUUUAUCAUUUACCUACUCAAGGACGAGCAGGAAUUAAGCUUGGGGAUGCUUGAUACGUCUCCAACGUAUCUAUAAUUUUUUAUUGUUCCAUGCUAUUAUAUUACCCAUUUUGGAUGUUUAUGGGCUUUACUUUACACAUUUAUAUCAUUUUUGGGACUAACCUACCAACCGGAGGCCCAACCCAUAUUGCUGUUUUUGCCCAUUUCAGUGUUUCGAAGAAAAGAAAUAUCAAAUGGAGUCCAACCGGAAUGAAACCUUCGGGAGCGUGAUUUUUGGAACGAACAUGAUCCAGAGGACUUGGAGUGGAAGUCAAGCACCAACCUAGGCAGCCACGAGGGUGGAGGGCGCGCCCCCCCUACUGGGCGCGCCCCCUAUCUCAUGGGCCCCUCGCGCGUCCACCGACCUACUUCUUCCUCCUAUAUAUACCCAUGUAGCCCGAAAAUAUCAGAUGAGCCCACGAAAACCUAAUUCUACCGCCGUAACCUUCUAUAUCCGCGAGAUCCCAUCUUGGAGCCUUCGCCGGUGCUUCGCUGGAGGGGGAAUCGACCACGGAGGGCCUCUACAUCAUCUCCAAGGUCUCUCCGAUGAGUUGUGAGUAGUUUACCACAGACCUUCGGGUCCAUAGUUAUUAGCUAGAUGGCUUCUUCUCUCUCUUUGUAUCUCAAUACCAUGUUCUCCUUGAUCUUCUUGGAGAUCUAUUCGAUGUAACUCUUUUUGCAGUGUGUUUGUCGAGAUCCAUCGAAUUGUGGGUUUAUGAUCAAGUUUAUCUAUGAGAAAUAUUUGAAUCUCCUCUGAAUUCUUUUAUGUGUGAUUAAGUGACCUUUGAAGUCUGUUCGAAUUAUCAGUUUGGUUUGGCCUACUAGAUUGAUCUUUCUUGCAAUGGGAGAAGUGCUUAGCUUUGGGUUCAAUCUUGCGGUGUCCUUUCCCAGUGACAGCAGGGGCAGUAAGGCACGUAUUAUAUUGUUGCCAUCGAGGAUAAAAAGAUGGGGUUUAUAUCAUAUUGCAUGAGUUUAUCCCUCUACAUCAUGUCAUCUUUCUUAAUGCGUUACUCUGUUUUUAUGAACUUAAUACUCUAGAUGCAUGCUGGAUAGCGGGAUGUGUGGAGUAAUAGUAGUAGAUGCAGGCAAGAGUCGGUCUACUUGUCACGGACGUGAUGCCUAUUGUCGGGGAAGCUGAUCCACAAACACCUAUGGGACCGGCGGACCGAGCCCCUUUCGGUUCGGCAGGGGGCGGAGGUCGCACGAAGAGUGGAUCGAGGCGGAGCACACGAGCAGUUUACCCAGCUUCGGAGCUCUCAGGAGAGAUAAUACUCCUACUGCUGCUUGUUUGAUUGUAUUCUGUUCUUGCUCGAGAGAGCUAAGUGUGUUUCUGGCUUCCGAAUGAAUCAAACCUUCGAACCCCCUUCUACGUUGCACGUGGGCCUCCUUUUAUACGCUAAAGGGGUCACCGACAGGUGGCAACGUAGACAAGGGUAACAACGUAAAAAGAGUUGCGGUUGGUACAACUACCUGCACAGUGUAUUCUACCUAACCCUGACGACAGGGGACAAGGGCAUUAAAUGCCCGUCUGUGUCGCCCGAACAGUGCAGAAAAGGACCGUUAGGGACACCACCGCUCGCCACGAUGGCGAUCUUGUCAGCGUCGCAUGCCACCACACACCGCUGGCAGCACAGCCUCUCACCACGCGCGCCUGUGAAGGCCCCAGGGCGACACGUUGGUGGAUGUGCUGGAGCGUAGGUACAGGGUGGUUUCUUGCCGCGGCAAGCGCCUUGCCGCGGUCGUUGCCUUGUCACGCCCAGAAGCUUGUCGUUCACCGGGCCUUGCCGGGACGCGUGGCGCGUCGCGGCAAGUUCCUUGAGAUACCUUGGUUGGCCUUCCCAGCAAGCUCCUCUUGCCGGGGUCUUGUCUCUUCGCUCGAAUACUUUGUUCUUGAAUGGCUCCAAAGGAGCCACGGAGGAUCUUGGCGGUCGCCCGGCAAGCCUUGCCGCGGGGUGCUGCAACUGCCCGUGCACAAGUUCGGGAUACUAGGGUACCCCUACUCUAGUACACCGACAGGAGCCCUCGGGCCUGGGCCACACAUGGUGCCGAGCGCUGUUGGGCCAGGCACAUAACAGGGCACGGGCACAUGCGGCCUGGGUUACGCCAAACCUUACUCCGCAUCCACCGCGCCCUCCCCAACAGCACGCGUCGAAUGCGGCAUCGUGGGAGAGAUCGUGGGUGGUUUCUUUAUUCAGAAGGGCGAAACAUACGCCCCCUCCCUCUUUAUAAGCAGGGGAAAUAGGGGCAGUUCGUCCUCCUCGCCGAUUACUGCUCCAGUCUUCAGAAAUCUCCGCUGCUCCCCCCUUCUUCCCAAAGCCGAAAGAGAGCAGCACUCCGCCCCCCAUUGCCACCAGCGCCACCGACGCCGCCGAUCUUCCCCGCCACCUCCGCCAUGGCUCCAAAAGCCGACAAGGGGAAGGGCGUGAAGUCAGCCGAGGUGCAGCGGCUUGCGGCGCUGCGAAAGGAGCGGGCCAUCUUCCCCCCUUAGCUCGACACGAAGGAGCUGAGGGAGUACUACUACCUCUUCUGGUCGACGGAGACGCGCGCACAUCCGCGCACGAGGGUACUCUCCGCCGCCGCUUCGAGAUUGGCUCCGAACGGGUACCCAUUCUUCGCGUUGUUCUUCUACCGCGGGCUCUGCCCGCCUUUCUCCGAAUUCUUUUGCGACAUCAUGAACACCUACGGGUUCCGCCUCCUUGAUUUCACCCCCAACGCCGUUCUGACCAUGGCAGUUUUCGCACAUCUGUGCGAAAACUUUGUCGGAGUCCACCCCAAUGUUGCCCUCUUCCACCACUUCUUUAUCCCCCGAGUCGAGAGAGGAGAGCCCCUUGCCGGCGGAAUCGCCUGGAUCUCGAGGGUCGGCAAGAAGGAAGCCUAUCUGGAGGGAGAACUCCGCAGCAAGUGGGAGGAGUGGAGAGCAGAUUGGUGCUGGAUCGUCGAGGAGAACCCGCAGCCAUUCACCGCCCGGCGCCAAACCCCAAUAGUACGCGGCAACGAUUGGAGCAACGUGGCCCCGGAGGAUGACAUGCUGAAGAUUGCCGUCACCCGAAUCUUUCGCCUUAGGCUUGCCGGGCUCACCGUAGGCGCUGUUGGCGCAGAUUUCCUCCGCCGUCGCAUCGCCUCCCUGCAAGAGAGGGGGAGGCCCGCCUGGGAGUUCCAGAACUCGGCAGAUAUCAUGAGGCUGCGCCCAGGCCUCAACUUCAAUUUCACUGUCUUGGAACUCAACGCGAUGCUAUUGGAGCUGUUCAAGCGCGAUCCCCAACACCCAUUUAUGUUGCCGCGGAAUGUCGUUCCGUUGUGCAACAAUUCUUCGCUUGACCGCAUCCGUGCAAUGAUGCCACUGUGCGACUCGCAUGGGAUCGUCCCAACUUGGCAAGAGCCCGCAGACGACGUCGUGCAGGAGUUCUUCGACAGCUUGGUCGAAGUGCCGGUCCGCUCCGACGAGCAGAAGAGCCUCACCCGCGACACCACCGACGCGGAGAUGCAGCGCAUCGCCUCUAGGCUGGAGGAGGCGACGGCAGCAGCUGCCGCGGGUCAAUUUGGAUUCGCAUUGGAGGAGGCGGAGGCAGCAGAGGCGGCAAGCCUUGCUGAGUGAGAAGAGCUUGUCGGCGAGGAAGAACUUGUCGGGCCUGAAUCAGAGUCGAGCGAGCCCGCCGAGGGCGCGGGCGACCCAUUGCAGAUCGGCUCUUCCUCCUCCCCACCUUCAGCCAGCUCGCCGCAAGCGGAGCCCCCAGUUCCACCAAGAAGGCGUCUCCGCAGGGCCGGGGACGUGGCGGGGCGGCAGACGAGCCAACAGCCGUCGCAACGCACGACGCGCUCGACCGCGGCAAGCAUUGUUACCGCGGGAGCACCUCACGCUGCUGCGGCAACUGGAGCGGGGCCUUCCCGAUCCACCGCCACUGCCCCUGCCAAGCGGACAAGGGAGCCUUCUCCUCCGCCUCGUCGCACUGGAGGUGAGUCGGACUUCGAUCUCUCCACGCUCAGCUCUGACGAAGAAGAAGAAGAGUAAGUUUAUUUGUUGUACUUGUAAUCCUUCAUUUCUUGAGGUGCAUCUUGUAUCUGAUCUGCUUCGUUUCGGACUCAUCUCUUUGCAGGACUCUGGCCCAGAGGGCGGCGAAGAGAGCCAAGGUCCCGGUGAUUGUCAUCGAGGACGAACCCACUGCGGCAACAGGGGACGCGCCUGAGACCUCCUUGCCGGACCCGACAACUACUCGCCAAAGUAGCCCCCAGCGCAGCCCCCAGUGUAAGUGUAUAAUUUACUUCUUGCUGUCAAACGCGCAUGGGUGUUCUUCUAUUGCUGAUGUCUGUCUGUUGGUUUGCGUAGGAGCAGAGCAGCCUCACCAGGAGGGCCCGAAGGCCGCUCCCGAGGCGCCAUCUUCUUCGACUACACCGCCGAGGGAGGAUUCCACGGCAAGGGAGCAUUCUCCGGCAAGGGAGAAUUCUCCGGCAAUGGGGUAGUUCUCCGGCAAGGGACAGCGCCAGUGAUCCUCCGGAGGUGGAGACCACGACCGCGGAUCCUAGCAUAGGUAACCCUUUUGCCUAAAAACUCCCCUUGGAUUCUUCUUCUUCUGAUUUUCUUCUUGAGCAUUUACUUGACUUUUCUCCCUUCUUCGGUCGUCAGACCCACCUGCCGCGGAUCCCAUGGAAACCGAGGCCACCGGCGAGGAGGCGCACGCGGCAACAAUGAUGACGCCGCCGCCACCGAAGAAAGGGCCGGUGCUGAUGAUCCCACUGGCGAAGGGGCCGCCAGGGCUGCCACCGCAGAAGCAGGCGAGGAAACCGGCGAUCGCACUGACGGCCCAGAGGCCGUAGGAGCGCCAGGCGCUGCACCAACCGUCGAUCCCUCUACUGCUGCCGCGUUGCGAGGCUCCGAAGAGCCCCAGCCCGACGCCUACUUGUAGGCCGGCGAUGGCGUCUUCAUCAAGCUCCCCUGGGCGUCGAGCUCCAGUGCGCCGGUCGAAGGAGAAACCUUUGACGAAGAGGUGCUCGCCUCUGCUGGGCUGGCGCUUGUCGACGUGCCAAGCAGCAGCAGCGACGAGCCUGAGGAGGAGGGCUGCUGCGGAAGCUGCUGUCCCUUUACCGCGCCCGACAAGCUAAGCUGGCUUCCCGAGAAGCACUUGUUGCGAAGGCGGGGGUGGAUAUCGAGAAGCGCGCAGAGGAGCUCCGGGGUUUUAGGAAGGAGGCUCUCCGGUCUCUGGCGGAGAAGCGGGAGCAACUUCUCGAGGAGCGGAAAGCCUUCCUCCUCGAGAAGGCUGAAGCCGAAGAGAAGCAACGGCUUGUCGCCGAGGAUCUAUUUGCGCAAGAAGGAGAGUUGGCGCAGCGCAAGGUGAACCUUGAAAGCCACGAGGAGGAGCUUGUCUCGCGGGAGCAAGCCAUUGGCGGGGCUCUCAAGGAGGCAAAGGAUGUUGCCGCAGCUGCCGAGGCCGCCAAGAAGGAGCUGGAGACAAAGGUGGCGCAGCUGGAAGCAGAUCUCAGGGCGAGCGGUGAGGAGCUUGCCGCGCUCAAGCGUGAGCGUGAGAAGGAUGCUGCCCCUCAUGGUGAGCUGCAGGGUCUUCUCGCUGAGAGGAGCAAGGAGCUCAGCGCUGCCAAGGAUUCCAACGCAGAUCUCGAGCUGAAGCUGGCCACUCUGACUCAGACGCUGGACGGCGCCAAGGAGCGGGAGGCGUCCUUGUCAGAGAAGAUCAAGGCCGACGAGGCGCUGUUGACGAAUGCUGCUGCCGCCCACGAUGCUUUCAGGGAGAGUGUGGAGCAUUGGACUGAGGGUCUUGUGGAUGCUGCCGCAGCCAUCGACGGGGAGUUGGCGCAGCUGGGGAUGGAGGAUUUUGGGUAUCCUUCCGAUGAGCAUCUCCAACCCAGCGCCAAUCUCAGCCUGUUCUUCAAGGGCGUGGUGACGGCUCUCCAGCGACUCCGGGAAAAGAUUCCAAAGCAGCUGGCCGACGAGUCGCGCAGGAUCUGCGCGGGGGCUCUCCAGAAGGUGCUGAUGAAGGUGGCCUUCCGCAACCCAGGCCUCAACUUCACCAACGUCCUCAAAUCCUUGCCGCCGGAUGCUGACGUGGAAGCGCUCAAGGCCCUUGUCGCACCCAUUAUGGACAAGGUGAGCGGGAUCAAGAGGGUCGAGGGUGAUCGCGUAGACUAGGCCGCCCGUUUUCUCUUUCUCUUUGUCGCUGCUGGUCAUGUUACGAGAACAUCAAUUAGAACUGCGACAAGUUAUCUUGUAAUAUAACUCUAUUUUGGGUAGAGAUUGCUAUGUUAUUUCCUUUACUUGAUCCCUUCCUUUGUAUGUUUUUGCCCUACGCUUUUAGGGAACUUGCCGGCGCAGGCUCCUUAGCCGCGAGCACUGAGUGCGGAACAUCAGCAGCCUGCUGGCGGUGCCGCUUCCGACAAGAAACCUUGUCGCAACUAGUCGCAGCCCACUUAAAUUGUUGAGCGGACUCGAAACAAAGUAAGGGCGCAACUAGCUACGAGUUGGUUCCUCUGCGCACAGGUUUUCCAUACAAAGUACGGUCGUUUGAGGAGAAUAACUUCAAAAUUUAAAAACUGAUUGCUCAAACUUUGGCAGCUUAGCUUUUCUGUCGUUUGCUUCCCGGCAAGGCAAAAUUUCCUCGAGCGACGCUUGGUCCACACCAUUAUCUUCUCCUUUCCCCCUGGCAAACUUGUGUGCGAGGGAACCUUCCCUUUUGAGAAAAAGAAAGGAGAGAAAAUAGAGAUAUGGAGCCUUAUGGCUCGUUAUUGCUUACCGGGGGUAGGUGCUGCACAAAGUGUCAGAUAAUGCAUGAAAAUAUAAAGUAAAAAGCAUGAAAUUGACAAGAUGUGCGGAGCACAUGAGCUUUACUUAUGCACGGGGUCUGCGCCCGGCUUUGUACAAAGGAUUACAUGCAACAUUGGCAAGACUUGUACAAAAGGUGGUUGCCAGAACGGGUUCCGGCAACCGCGCCCUACGGUAAAACUUACGAAGAUGCUCGGUGUUCCAGGAGUUGCUCACCGGAAUGCCAUCCUCGGUCUCAAGGCGGAAAGCGCCAGGCCUAGUGACUCGUUUCACCCGUUAAGGGCCUUCCCACUUCGGCGUCAACUUGUUGGAAUUCUUGGCAGACUGAACGCGCCGAAGAACAAGGUCGCCUUCCUCGAAACUUUUGGCAUUAACUUUGCGGCUAUGGUAGCGGCGCAAAGCUUGCUGGUAUCAAGCAGCUCGUACAGCAGCCUGAAGACGGUCCUCCUCAAGGAUCAACGCGUCAUCUUGUCGCAGCUGCUCUUGCUCGAGCUCAUCAUAAGCGAGCACUCGAGGUGACCCGUAUAGGAGUUCCGUGGGGAGAACUGCCUCUGCUCCAUAUACUAGAGCGAAAGGUGUCUGACCAGUGGCUCGAUUUGGUGUCGUUCUGAUCGACCAAAGAACCACCGGUAGCUCCUCAAUCCAGUUCCUUCCGCACUUGCGCAGCCUGUCGAAAGUCCUGGUCUUGAGCCCGCGCAGCACUUCAGCAUUCGCCCUCUCCGCUUGACCAUUGCUUCUCGGAUGAGCAACAGAAGCGAAGCAGACCUUGGCGCCAAGAUCUUGGAUGUACUGCAUGAAGGUGCAGCUCGUGAAUUGUGUGCCGUUGUCGGUGAUGAUCCUGUUAGGGAUCCCGAAACGGCAAACAAUCGACCUGAAGAACUUGACUGCUGACUGUGCUGUCACCUUCCUCACUGCUUCCACUUCCGGCCACUUUGUGAACUUGUCAAUUGCAACGUACAAGUACUCAAAGCCCCCAACUGCUCGGGGAAAGGGGCCGAGGAUGUCGAGCCCCCAGACCGAAAAUGGCCAGGAUAAAGGGAUCGUCUGGAGAGCUUGAGCAGGCUCGUGAAUCUUCCUGGAAUGGAACUGGCACGCUUCACACUUGGUUACUUGUGCAGUUGCAUCCUGGAGGGCUGUCGGCCAAAAGAAUCCUUGUCGGAACGCUUUGCCGGCAAGUGCUCUUAAGCCAAUGUGGUGGCCACAUAUGUCUCCAUGUAUCUCUGCCAAUAGCUUUUGUCCCUCUUCCCGUUGAAUACACUUCAAUUUCACACCGUUGAGUCUUCUUCUGUACAGUAUGUUGUCAACAAACUGGUACAUACUUGACUACCGGGCUACUCUUUCCGCUUCUUCUUGCUCUUCGAGAAGUUCUCCUGUCUGAAGGAAACGGACAAUCUGUUGCGCCCAUGUUGGAGCUUGCGGCUCGACAACAAGGACUAAAGGCACAUCUGCUGCUGCAGGAACAUCCGCUUCUACGGCGAGAACCUGCGGUUUAGCCGGAGCUUGAUGUUCCCCGGCAAGCUUGCCGGAGCAAAACUUGUCGGGAGUGUCUUCUUCAAUGGAACAAACCCUAGGGCUUGUUGGAGUAGACUGCUCCUCAGCAUCUUUGGUGUUGAUCUUGGGGACCUUCUUGGCGGCGGCUUCGGGGAGCUCUGCCGGAAAGUAGUCACCAGAAAUCAACUUCCUCUUCUUGCUCUGUCCAGUUGAUGGUGUUACGGAUGGUUGAGUCAGCUUGAGCACAAAGAUCCAUGGUUCCACAGGUAACUUUAGUGCGGCGCACUUCGACAGGCCAUCGGCAAUGUUGUUCUGAGCUCUCGGAACAUGUUCCAUUUGCAGGCCGUCAAAGUGCUCUUCUAGCUUCCUCACUUCAUCAACGUAAGCUUCCAUCAACGGACUCUGAUAAUUCUUGUUCACUUGGCGGACGACGAGCUGCGAGUCACCCCUGACAAUGAGCUUCUUGAUCCCAAGGUCUGUUGCGAUCCUGAGACCGGCAAGCAAACCUUCAUACUCUGCAGUAUUGUUUGUUGCUUGCUCCUUGGGAAAGUGCAUAUGGACUACGUACUUGAGGUGCUCUCCGGUGGGUGCAACAAGUAGCACGCCGGCACCGGCGCCUUGCAGCGAGAAGGCACCAUCAAAGUACAUCAGCCACUCUUUGCUUGCUUCCUUGACGGGGAUGCUCGUUUCUGGACUUUCCUCAUCUGGUGUUGGCGUCCACUCUGCUAUGAACUCUACCAAUGCCCUGCUUUGGAUAGUUGAAGUGCUUUCAAACUUGAGGCCAAAGCUUGAUAGUUCCAGUGCCUACUCGACAAUCCUGCCUGUCGCUUCCGGAUUCUGCAGUAUCCUCUUCAGCGGAAAGCGAGUGACGACUGUGAUCUCGUGUGCUUGGAAGUAAUGGCGCAGCUUUCUCGAGGCCAUGAGGAGGCCAAAAAGCUAUUUCUGCACACCAGAGUACCUUGACCUAGCCCCCUGCAGAAGGGAACUGACAAAGUAAACUGGGCGCUGCACCGUUCUCUUCUGCAUCUCUUCCCGCGUCUACGUAGAUCCAUCUUUGUCGGGACCAGAGCUUGCCGGCGAAGUCCCUUGCUUGUCGCUGGAUGUACUUGUCGUGGUUGCUGGCUCAUCAUCCGCCUCCCUCUCUGCUACUAACACAGCACUAACCACUUGAUUGGUUGCCGCUAUAUACAGCAGCAACUUCUCUUGUGGCUUAGGUGCGACAAGUAUUGGAGUGGAGGACAGGUAUUUCUUCAAGUCCUGCAGCGCAGCCUCCGCUUACGGAGUCCAUUUUAUUGGACCUGCCUUUUUCAAUAUUUUGAAAAAUGGCAAGGCGCGCUCAGCAGACAUAGAAAUAAACCUGCUGAGAGCAGCCACACAACCGGCAAGUCUUCGUACAUCCUUGACGCGCUUUGGUGCUUCAAUCUGCUCAAUGGCCUUGAUCUUAUCGGGAUUGGCUUCAAUUCCCCGCUGAGACACAAAGAAUCCGAGAAGCUUGCCGGAGGGGACUCCAAACACGCACUUCUCGGGGUUAAGCUUGAGGUUGAUCUUGCGCAGAUUUGUAAAGGUUCCGUCUAAAUCUUGGAUUAGAGUUGCCCUGUUCUUGCUCUUGACCACUAUGUCAUCCAUGUAGGCUUCCACAUUUCUGUGCAUUUGCGGUUCAAAAGCAUCAUGGACUACUCUUGCAAAUGUUGAACCGGCAUUCUUCAAACCAAAAGGCAUCCGUACGAAACAGUAUGUGCCACAUGGGGUGAUGAAUGCGGUCUUCUCCUCAUCCUCUUCUGCCAUGAAGAUCUGAUGAUAUCCUGAGUAUGCGUCAAGAAAUGAAAGAAAGUCACAUCCGGCCGUGGAGUCAACAAUUUGGUCUAUGCGUGGCAAGGGAAAUGGGUCUUUGGGACAAGCUUUAUUAACAUCGGUAAAAUCGAUACAAAGCCUCCACUUCCCGUUUGCCUUGCGCAUGACUACAGGGUUGGCCAACCACGUAGGAUGGAGCACUCCUCUGACAAGGCCUGCUGCUUCCAGUUUCUUGAUUUCUUCAGCGAUAAAUUCUUGGCGCUCCACUGCCUGUUUCCUGACUUUCUGCUUGACGGGCCGCGCGUGAGGACAGACAGCAAGAUGGUGCUCAAUCACUUUCCUGGGAACACCGGGGAUGCCAGACGGUUGCCAUGCAAACACGUCGACAUUCGCCCGUAGGAAAGCAACGAGCGCGCUUUCCUAUUUAGGGUCGAGAGUGGCACUGAUGGUGAAGGUACCACCAGUGCCGUCCUCCUUGGCGGUCACCUUCUUGGUCUCUGGGGGAGCCACCAUUGUCUUCUUACACUUGCCGGUGGAGCUCGAUGGUGCGUCCUCGACGGUAGCGCGGCACUCCGAAGAGGUGCGCUUGCCGGAGUGGGUAUCAGAGCUCUUGCCGGACUUGGUCUUCUUCUUUCCCCCGGGAGCUUCAACGGCAAGUAAUCUGCGAUCUGUUGCGGCUGCUGCUUCCCGGUAGAUCUUGUCGGUGCAGAUAAGGGCAUCCUUCUUGUUGCCAGGGACAGAGAUGACACUUAUCGGGCCUGGCAUCUUCAGUACGUUGUAUGCAUAGUGAGAGGCCGCCAUGAAUUUGGCGAGUGCUGGACGGCCGAGUAUCCCAUUGUAGGGCAAUGGAAAGUCAGCAACGUCAAAAGUGACCCUCUCAGUCCUGAAGUUCAGCUCGCUGCCAAAUGUUACCAACAACGUGAUCUUUCCCUUCAGCUUGCUCCUUCCCGGAUUGAUUCCUUGGAAUGUGCCGGUCUCUUCGAGCUCGCUGUCAGGGAUCUGGAGUUUCUGGAGUACCGCGAAGGAGAUCAGGUUCAAGCCGGCCCCGCCGUCAACUAGCAUCUUAGUAACCUUGAGGUUGCGGAUAGUUGGUGAAACCAACAGCGGCAAGCACCCGACCGCAGUUAUGCGAUCAGGGUGGUCCUCAAUAUCAAAGAUGAUAGGCGUGCUGGACCAUUUCAGUGGCCUGCGUGACUCGACUGGUGGUUCUGACGCAUUGACUUCCCGCACCCAUUGCUUGAGUUGGCGGUGUGAAGUAUGCAGAGAAGCACCGCCGUCAACGCACAGGACCUUUGUGGCUUUCUGAAACUCCUGCUCAUCGGCCUCGUCAUCAUCCAUAUCUUCAUCGUCGUCGUCAUCUUCAUCCUUGUCGCGGCCGCGGGGAGGUCUGUCUCCUUGCCGCUGCUUGGCCUUGCCGCAGCGCCCUCCUCGGCCGGGGCGUUUCUUGCCGGAUCCUCCAGCACCUUCCUGGCCCUUCUCCUUGUCGCGCCGCUCGUAUUCAGCCUUCUGCUGCUCAACAAGCUGCUCGACCUUCUUGUAGCUCUGGAGGUCAUGGCCCUUAGUGCGGUGGAUCUUGCAGUACUGCCUGUUGGUGCUGUCCUGCUUGUCGGCAACCGCCACAGCCUGAUGGGUGGUGCCUGCGGCAACCUGCUUGCCGGAGCUACCAGCUUUGGCUUCCUUGCCGGACUGUUCAACGACUAGCACCUCUUUGCCCUUCUUUUUCCUGUUGUUCCGCCGUCGGUUUUUCUUUGCCGGGGCAGCGUCCUCGCUAUCAGAUCCUCCUGCUCCUGUGGUUUCUCCGGGGAGUUUCCUCCCUUCUUCAGCACGUGCACACUUGUCGGCCAGGGCAUAGAGCUCAUUGACGUCUCUGAUCUUGCACAUCGCCAUCUCUUCCCGCAUCCUGCGGUUUCGCACAUUCUGGUGGAACGUGCUGGUUACCGCGGCAGGGUAGACAUCUGGGAUGUUGUGCUGCACGCGGCUGAAUCUCUGAAUGUACUUGCGCAGGGGCUCUCCUUCCUUCUGGGCGAGCAAAUCAAGAUCGCUCUCUUGGCCAUGAGGCUUGUGGCCGCCUGUAAAGGCGCCGACAAACUGAUGACACAAGUCAGCCCAGGAGGAUAUGGAGUUGUCCGGCAAGUGCAUGAGCCAGGAUCUGACAUUGGGCUUGAGCACCAGCGAGAAGUAGUUGGCAAGGAUCUUGUCAUCCCGUCCCCCGGCAGCCUGCACCGCGAUGGUGUAGAUGCUGAGGAACUCCGACGGAUGCGUCUUGCCGUCAUACUUCUCUGGCACAUCUGGUCUAAAAUUCUUCGUGCUGGGCCACUGGACUUGCCGCAGCUCACGAGUGAACGCAGGGCAACCUACCGCGUACAGCAAGUCGCCUGGUUCCCCUGGCGCAUGCAUGUCGACAGAGGGCCCAGCACACUUGUCGGAUUGAUGUCGCGCUUCUCUUUGGCGCUCGAUGCGAGUACGAGCAUCUUCUUGCUAUCGUUCAUGAAGAACUUGGCGUUGAUCGCGACGAGCUCGUGGAUCCGAUGACGCGGUGGAGUCGCUGUCGAUGUGGACCCGGCGAGCUGGCGAUCUUGGCCUUUGAGGUGGAGAAAGCAUGGUGGUUGCAUCUCCACCAGUUUCGUCACCACCGGCCCGUGCCUGGUGGUCUUGUCACGGCAGCAACGUAUUCGGCUGCCGCGGAGUGUCUCCGUUGGCGAAGCCGAUGAGACUCUGAAUAGUGGCCCUCCAUUGGUCGAUCUUUUCUUCCGCUGGAGGGUAAUCCAGGAGCAGUUGAGCUCGUGCCAAAGCUUCUGCUGGAGUUGUGGGUGGCAGUGGCGAACGGUGCGAGGAGCGGGAUAUGCUCGGACUUCUAACUACGUUAGAAGGAGCAGUAUCCUGUCCAGGCGACCGUGCCUCGCUCGUGCCAGCACGUUGGCGUGCAUGCUGGUCUUGAGCACCCCGAGAUCCACCAGCUUGAUCUUGGUCCAACAAGCGUAUGGUACUGCGAAUACCGUGACGCUGUUGGUCCUGCGCCUCCUGAGAUGGGCGCGGUGCAUGUACGGACGCCGAGGUUUGCGCAGCCUUGUCCUUGGACCUGGUAGCACUGUGAGCUCCCUCGUCGAUGUCCGUUCUUCCGCCAUCAUCGUCCCCACCACCCGCUUGCUCUGGUGGUGGUAGGAUCGACGUGGACGGAGCAGUUGCCACCGAAGUCUUCUUCUUCGGUGGCAUGUCGAUGAAGAAGAUGAAGAUCUAGCCCGUGUGAACGCCGGAUCGGAUUCACACAAUCUCGACGCCCCCUACCUGGCGCGCCAAAGGUGUCGGGGAAGCUGAUCCACGAACACCUAUGGGACCGGCGGACCGAGCCCCUUUCGGUUCGGCGGGGGGCGGAGCUCGCACGAAGAGCGGAUCGAGGCGGAGCACAUGAGCAGUUUACCCAGCUUCGAAGCUCUCUGGAGAGAUAAUACUCCUACUGCUACUUGUUUGAUUGUAUUCUGUUCUUGCUCCAGAGAGCUAAAUGUGUUUCUGGCUUCCGAAUGAAUCGAACCUUCGAACCCCCUUCUAUGUUGCACGUGGGCCUCCUUUUAUACGCUAAAGGGGUCACCGACAGGUGGCAACGUAGACAAGGGUAAAAACGUAAAAAGAGUUGCGGUUGGUACAGCUACCUGCACAGUGUAUUCUACCUAACCCUGACGGCAGGGGACAAGGGCAUUAAAUGCCCGUCUGUGUCGCCCGAACAGUGCAGAAAAGGACCGUUAGGGACACCACCGCUCGCCACGAUGGCGAUCUUGUCAGCGUUGCAUGCCACCACACACCGCUGGCAGCACAGCCUCUCGCCACGCGCGCCUGUGAAGGCCCCAGGGCGACACGUUGGUGGAUGUGCUGGAGCGUAGGUAUAGGGUGGUUUCUUGCCGCGGCAAGCGCCUUGCCGCGGUCGUUGCCUUGUCGCACCUAGAAGCUUGUCGUUCACCGGGCCUUGCCGGGACGCGUGGCGCGUCGUGGCAAGUUCCUUGAGAUGCCUUGGUUGGCCUUCCCGGCAAGCUCCUCUUGUCGGGGUCUUGUCUCUUGGCUCGAAUACUUUGUUCUUGAAUGGCUCCAAAGGAGCCACAGAGGAUCUUGGCGGUCGCCCGGCAAGCCUUGUCGCGGGGUGCUGCAACUGCCCGUGCACAAGUUCGGGUACUAGGGUACCCCUACUCUAGUACACCGACACCUAUAUACAUGAUCAUGCCUAGAUAAUCUCAUAAUUAUUCACUUUUCUAUCAAUUGCUCGAUAGUAAUUUGUUCACCCACCAUAAUACUUAUGCUAUCUUGAGAGAAGCCACUAGUGAAACCUAUGGCCCCCGGGUCUAUCUUUUAUCAUAUAAGCUUUCAAUCUAAUUUUAUUUGCAUCUUUACUUUUCCAAUCUAUAUUAUAAAAUACCAAAAAUAUAUUUAUCUUGUCAUAUUAUCUCUAUCAGAUCUCACUUUCGCAAGUGGACUUGAAGGGAUUGACAACCCCUUUAUUGCGUUGGUUGCGACUUCUUGUUUGUUUGUGUAGGUGCGUGGGACUUUUGAGGAGCCUCCUACUGGAUUGAUACCUUGGUUCUCAGAAACUGAGGGAAAUACUUACGCUACUAUUGCUGCAUCACCCUUUCCUCUUGAAGUAAAACCAACGCAAGCUCAAGACGUAGCACCUUGCUGCCCCUGCUGUCACUGGGAAAGGACACCACAAGAUUGAAUCCAAAGCUAAGCACUUCUCCCAUUGCAAGAAAGAUCAAUCUAGUAGGCCAAACCAAAAUGAUAAUUCAAAGAGACUUGCAAAGAUAACCAAUCAUACAUAAAAGAAUUCAGAGAAGAUUCAAUUAUUUCUCAUAGAUAAACUUGAUCAUAAACCCACAAUUCAUCGGUUCUCGACAAACACACCACAAAAAGAGUUACAUCGAACAGAUCUCCAAGAAGAUCGAGGAGAACUUUGUAUUGAGAUUCAAAGAGAGAGAAGAAGCCAUCUAGCUAAUAACUAUGGACCCAAAGGUGUGUGGUAAACUACUCACAACUCAUCGGAGAGGCCUUGGAGAUGAUGUAGAGGCCCUCCAUGGUUGAUUCCCCCUCUGGCGGAGCGCUGGCAAAGGCUCCAAGAUGGGAUCUCACGGAUACAGAAGGUUGCGGCGGUGGAAUUAGGUUUUCGUGGUGCUCUUGAUGUUCUCGGGGUACAUGGAUAUAUAUAUAUAGGAGAAUGAAGUAGGUCGGUGGAGCCAUGAGGGGCCCACAAGGGUGGGGGGCACGCCCACCCCCCUAGGGUGCCUCGUUUACUUUUUAGUGUCCACUCCAAGUCUCCUGGUUUGCAUUUGUUCCAAAAAGAACGCUCCCGAAGGUUUCAUCCCGUUUGGACUCCGUUUGAUAUUCCUUUUCUUUGAAACACUGAAAUAGGUAAAAAAACAACAAUUCGGGUUGGGCCUCCGGUUAGUAGGUUAGUCCCAAAAAUGAUAUAUAAGUGUAUAGUAAAGCCUAUAAACAUCCAAAACAGGUCAUAUAAUAGCAUGGAACAAUCCAAAAUUAUAGAUACAUUGGAGACGUAUCACAAUCCCUUCAUGGUCACUUGCAAAAGUGAGAUCUAAUAGAGAUAAUAAAGUAAAUAUUUUUGGUAUUUUUGUUGUAUAGAUUGGAAAGUAAAGAUUGCAAAAUAGUAAACGAGAUGUUAUGUAUAUAAAAGAGAUGUAAUAUAAUAGGAAAGAGACCCGGGGGCCAUAGGUGUCACUAGUGGCUUCUCUCAAGAUAGCAUGUAUUACGGUGGGUGAACAAAUUACUGCCGAGCAAUUGAUAGAAGAGCGCAUAAUUAUGAAGUCAUCUAAGGCAAUGAUCAUGAACAUAGGCAUCACGUCCGUGUCAAGUAGACCGAAACGAUUCUGCAUAUACUACUACUACUACUCCACACAUCGACCGCUAUCCAACAUGCAUCUAGAGUAUUAAGUUCAUAAGAAUGGGGCAACACAUUAAGCAAGAUUACAUGAUGUAGAGGGAUAAGCUCAAGCAAUAUGAUAUAAACCCCAUCUUUUUAUCCUCGAUGGCAACAAUACAAUAUGUGCCUUGUUGGCCCUACUGUCAUUGGGAAAGGACACCGCAAGAUUGAACCGAAAGCUAAGCACUUCUCCCAUUGCAAGAAAGAUCAAUCUAGUAGGCCAAACUAAACCAAUAAUUCGAAGAGACUUGCAAAGAUAUCAAAUCAUGCAUAUAAGAAUUCAGAGAAGAACGAAAUAAUAUUCAGAGAUAAUCUUAUUCAUAAAUCCACAAUUCAUCGGAUCUCGUCAAACACAUCACAAAAGAAUUACAUCGUAUAGAUCUCCAAGAACAUCAAGGAGAACUUUGUAUUGAUAAUCAAAGAGAGAGAAGAAGCCAUCUAGCUAAUAACUAUGGACCCGAAGGUCUAUGGUAAACUACUCACGCUUCAUUGGAGAGGCAAUGGUGUUGAUAUAGAAGCCCUCCGUGAUCGAUUCCCCCUCCGGCAGAUCACCAGAAAAGCCCCCAAGAUGGGAUCUCACGGGUACAGAAGGUUGCGGCGGUGGAAAAGUGGUUUCGUGGCUCCCCCUGAUGUUUUUAGGGUAUAAGAGUAUAUAUAGGCGAAAGAAGAACGUAGGUGGAGCUACGAGGGGGGCACGAGGGUGGGGGGCGCGCCCUCCUUCCUCGUGGCCUCCUUGUAGAGUCCCAGACUUCAACUCCAAGUCUUCUGGAUUGCUUUUGGUCCAAGAAAGAUCCUCACGAAGGUUUCAUUCUGUUUGGACUCCGUUUGGUAUUCCUUUUCUGCAAAACUCUAAAAUUGGCAAAAAACAGAAACUCGCACUAGGCCUCCGGUUAAUAGGUUAGUCCCAAAAAUAAUAUAAAAGAGCAUAUUAAAGCCCGUUAAACACCCAAAACAGAUAAUAUAAUAGCAUGGAACAAUAAAAAAUUAUAGAUACGCUGGAGAUGUAUGAAGCAUCCCCAAGCUUAAUUCAUGUUCGUCCUCGAGUAGGUAAAUGAUAAAAACAGAAUUUUUGAUGUGGAAUGCUACCUAGCAUAUUUAUCAAUGUAAUUUUCUUUAUUGUGGCAUGAAUGUUCAGAUCCAAAAGAUUCAAGACAAAAUAUUAAUAUUGUCAACAAAUAAUAAUACUUCAAGCAUACUAACAAGGUAAUCAUGUCUUCUCAAAAUACAUGAGCGUGACCCAUGGACAUGGCACUAUAGGUGGAAUAUAAUGGUGGUUGUGGAGAGGACAAAAAGGAGAAGAUAGUCUCACAUCAACUAGGCAUAUCAACGGGCUAUGGAUAUGCCCAUCAAUAGAUAUCAAUGUGAGUGAGUAGGGAUUGCCAUGCAAUGGAUUCACUAGAGCUAUAAGUUUAUGAAAGCUCAACAAAAGAAACUAAGUGGGUGUGCAUCCAACUUGCUUGCUCACGAAGACCUAGGGCACUUUUGAGGAAGCCCAUCAUUGGAAUAUACUGUCACAUCCCUAGCUUCUGGCAUUGCUCUAGGUUAGCUUCAUGUGUGCAUCAUGUCUAUAUUUUUGAAAACUUGAAUUGAGGAAUAUUGGAAGCCUCAAAACCCUAAAUAAAAGAAGGGCAAGCACCCUUUAAAAUUGCAUUCUGUGAAUCCAAAAUGCCCUAAAAAUAGUUUUGUGAAUUUUGGCAAGAGUUAUAUAUCAAACCAAAAUUCUGGAAUAUUUUUAAGGAAUUAUUUGGUCUCUGAAUUUAAAUCAAUAAUCUAUUUGAAUUUGGGGAUAUAUUCAUAAUAUAUAAUGAAUAUAUUUGCAAAUGCUUUGAAAUGUUUUAUGUACUUUUGGAAUAGUCCAGAGAGGUAACAUAAAAUAUUUCAGAAUGUUUUGGCACUGUAAGAAAUUAUUUUGAAUUUGAAAACAGUGGCAAAAUAAAAUAAAAAGGGAAACAGAACAGGAAAAAAUAAAAAGAGAGAAGGAAGUACCUGGCCUCACCCGUGCAGCCCAGCCGGCCCAGCUCCUCCAGCGGCCCAGCCCACCUGGCCCCCUUCUCCUGUCUUCUUCCCGUGCCAGCGCACGAAGCAGCUGCAUGCUGGACGCACGCGCGCCGACGCCGGCCACCUCCUGCUUCGCCGUGGCAGCCUCCCCGACCCCCUCGCGACGCCACGGAGACGGCCUCGACCCCCCUCGACCGCCUCUCUCUCUCUGGACCCCCUCCUCCUCCUCUGUUCUCCCUCCCUCUCGUCACCGAACGCACCUGGGAGCGCCGCUCGCCGUAGCCAUGACCACGGCCACCCCCUCCCCUCUCCGACGUGCUCCCGAGCUCCUGCACCUCGUCGCCAACCCCCUCACCGAGCCACGUGACCGGAAGGGCCCCGAGCAGCCGCCAUCGUCAUCAUCUCCGAGCUUCGGCCCCGGUGCCGUCUCCGUCGGAUUCGGCCACUCCGGCGCGCCCCCGAGCCCACUGACCCUCCCUACAGCUCCGCGGUGAGCCUCCGUGCAGAACCCCUCUCUCUCCCCUCGCGUUUGCGAGCUCUAGGCCAUAGCCCCGUCGCGGCCGAACUCCGGCCGCCGCUGACCAUGUCGCCGCCGUGGCCUGAGCUCGAACGGGUCACGCCCGUGCAUCUCACCGAGCUCGUGGUGACUCCAGGAGGCUGCGCAGUGCUUUACCUCACUCGCCCGUGCUCCACAACGCCGUUUUCGCCGAGGUCCGAACUCCGGCGCCGCCUCGGGCUCCAUUCCGGAGAACCCCGGCCACCCCGCACCUCCCGUUGGCCCCCCUAGAUGCGCACGGGCACGGGCUACCUUCUGGUGCCCUUCGCGCGUCCAGCCGCCGCCCGUAGCGCAACCCCGGUGAACUUCCGCCGCGUUUCGGGUCGCCGCCGGCCGAACUCCGGUGGCCAGUGACGUGGCGCUGUCAUUAGCACUAAUGGCCCUGUUAAACUAACCCCGUGACACUGACAGUGGGCCCCGUAGCGGGUCAAAGCCCGGGUCAACGCGGGAUUAGCCCCUGUGUCACUGACGUGUGGACCCCCACACGUCAGGUUUGACCUGGACCGCCCGUUGACCUGCUGAGGUCAGCAUGAGGUCAUGCUGACGCCAUAAUUCAUUUUCUGGAAUUAUUUUAAUUCUAAAUAUUCAGGAAAUUCCAGAAAAUGCCUAAAACUUCAAUAAAUCAUAGAAAAUUAACCGUAACUCCAAAUUAAAUAAUUUAUAUAUGAAAAAUUAUCAGAAAAAUUCAAGGAAUCCAUCUGUACCAUUUUCAUGCAUGUUAGAACAACUUAUCACUACUGUUUAGGACAAAUGAAGUGAAUGACAUUUAAAUAAUCACAUAUGGAGUUUGAAUUUGAAUCUUGUAUUCAAACCAACCCCAUUUAAUCUGUUGCUAGUUGCAUUAGCCCAAAACACAUUCAUUUUGCCAUGUCAUGAUCAUGCAUCAUAUUGUGCAUUGCAUUGAUUGUGUUCCCUUCUGUGUUGCCGGUAUUUGUCCCCUCUCGAUAGACGCGAUACCGAUGAUGUGAUCGUUGACACUGAUGAAGACUCAAUGUUAUCUUCAGAAGUGCCGGACAAGCAAAACCCCCUUGUUCAUUCCGAUACAAUCCCACUCUCUCGCUCCUGCUCUCUUUUACUGCAUUAGGACAACACCGUUUCAACUGUUACAUGCUGCGGUAGUUGAACCCCUUUUAUCCUCUGCAUGACCUGUCAUUGCCACAGUAAAUAGAUGAAACCCACUAGCAUGAGUAGGAGUUGUUUGAGCCCUGUUGUGCCUACUCAUUCAUGUUUGUUUGUCAUGCCUGCUACUGCUUAGAGUUGAGUCAGGUCUGAUUCAUCGGGGAUGAAUCAGAGGUGUGUGAACAUGUCCUACGGUGUGUGAGGUAAGCGUGUGAACACGAUUUGGUAAAGGUAGCGUUGAGAGGCCAUGUAGGAGUACAUGGUGGGUUGUCUCAUUGCAGCCGUCCUCAGGAACUGAGUUCUGUGUUUGUGAUCCAUGAUUCAGCUACUACCACACAUUGGGCCCGAAACCAAUGGACCCUCUCGGCUUCUUAAUCACCCUUGUCCUCUGUCCAGGAGUUGCAAGUAGUUUCUGGUGUUUGUAGUAUGCUGGAGGCCGUGCGCAGCGCUGACCGUAGGGGUGGGCUGUGAUGCGGUAGGCACGUGGCACGGUGUACCGGGCGCCCGUUUGGUGUAUCGGGAACCCUGUUCACAUCGUUUGGGGCUGUGACCGAAACUCCGGCCGGAUCUCCUCAUGGAUGGAACCCGAAUAGGCGAUAAACCUGGACUAGAGACUUGAGUGUUUAGGUAGGCCGUGGCCGACACCCACGUUGGGCUUCCGCUUGAAGGUUGCCGAGUACAUGUCGUGUAAACGGCGGUAAGUGGUGAGAGCGUGUGUGAAGAAGUACACCCCUGCAGGGUUAAUAUGAUCUAUUCGAAUAGCCGUGUCCGCGGUAAAGGACUUCUGGGUUGCUUAUAUCAGUUCAUAGACAAGUGAAAGUGGAUACUCUAAAAUACACAAGAUAAGCGUGAGUGCUAUGGAUGGCAUUCUCGUAGGGAGACGGGAGCGGUUCCAUAGUGGUGUAUUGGUUGGUGAAUAUGUGGACUCGUGUGCGCCACCUCAAAAGAGUUACUUGCAGUCGUAGUUCAGGAUAGCCACCGAGUCAAAGCUGGCUUGCUGCAGUUAAACCCCACCAUCCCUUUGUUGAUAAUGAUGCAUAUGAAGAUAGUUCUGAUGUAAGUCUUGCUGGGUACAUUUGUACUCACGUUUGCCUAUUUUAUGUUUUUGCAGAGAGACUUCGGUCUCGCUAGUAGUUCCACGUGGACUUCGACGUUUAGCUUGAUACCUCAGCUACGAUCUUGUGCCCCGGCAGGAUCUGGUAGAUAGUCAGGCUUCUCAGCCUUUUUCAUUUAUAGAUGUCUGUACUCAGACAUGAUAGCUUCCGCUUGUGCUUUGACUUGUAUGCUCUGAUUGUUGGGUCAUGAGACCCAUGUUUGUAAUAUCUCGCUCCUCGGAGCCUAUUGAUUAAAAUACUUGAUUUAUAGAGUCAUGUUGUGAUGCCAUGUUGUAUUUGCACAUAUCGAGCAUAUUGUGUGUAUGUUAUUGAAAUGCUUGGUAUGUGUGGGAUCUGACCAUCUAGUUGUUUAUCUUUAGUAGCCUCUCUUAUGGGGAAAUGUCUCCUAGUGUUUCCACCGAGCCAUGGUAGCUUGCUACUUCUCUGGAACACUUAGGCUGGCCGGCAUGUGUCCUUCUUCGUUCCUGUGUCUGUCCCUUCGGGAAAAUGUCACGCGGUGAAUACCGGAGUCCUGUUAGCCCGCUACAGCCCGGUUCACCGGAGUCCUGCUAGCCCAGUGCUACAGCCUGGAUUCACUCGCUGAUGACCGACACGUUCGAUGCUGGGUCAUGGAUGCCUGUCCCUGUAAGUCUGUGCCGCUUUGGGUUUACGACUAGCCAUGUCAGCCCGGGCUCCUUAUCAUAUGGAUGCUAGCGACACUGUCAUAUACGUGUGCCAAAAGGCGCAAACGGUCCCGGGCAAAGGUAAGGCGACACCCGUGGGAAUACCGUGCGUGAGGCCGCAAAGUGAUAUGAGGUGUUACAUGCUAGAUCGAUGUGGCAUUGAGUCGGGGUCCUGACAGCGUUGGUAUCAGAGCUUGACUGCCUGUAGGAUUACCAAGCCAAACUGGUCGAAGUUGAGUCUAGAAAUUCUUUAGUUAUGUAAGGGAAUUGAUUGUGGGAUGGAACGUAAGGCUCUUUUUACUCCUUUACCUCAUGCCCUUCUGAUCUGAGUCAUCAUCUUCUCUUCUACGGGGAUUAAGAACUAGGCUAUCCCUUCUUUCUAUUAGGAUCACGUGUUACUAAUCAGUGGACUUAUAAGAUUGUUGGAUUUAAGUCUCAGUUCAGUUCCUACUACUUCCGUAUGUUAAUUGUUGAUCUCGAAACCUUGAUAUUGUGCUUCUGAGUGGUUAUGCCACCAUUUUUGUGAAUGUCUCAAAUCUUUUCUGAGCAUUUACAGCCGUUAUGCUGUCCGAGUCAUUCCAGGUUUCUAAAUAGUCUGAUGCAUUUGCAAAAUCCUUUCCCUCUAGUUUCGAUGUUCCUUUAUGCCAGCUCAAUCACACUAAUUGUUGAGUUGAGGUAUUCUAUUGCCUUGACAUUAUGUUGGAGUUACUAUUAUGACCCUAGGUGUCUCAGGGGAUCAUCUAGUAGUCCAGCCAUGAUUUAUGUUCCAGUGUGAUGACUCUGGCCGUCAUUAUCGAAAGCAUCCCGUGAUGCCAUUUAGUAGUAGGUAUUCUAUCCCUAGGUUUGAACCCGAGAUUCACCCUACUUACUUCAUGUUGAUAGUUUUGCUCGUUCCUUUAGGAUAUUAGCAACCUUUGCGAUAGUCCUUGAAGUCCGUGGUAUCUUCUUCUUCCAAAUACCAUGAACUACUUAUGGCAGAAGUUCCUCGUUGAACUGAAAUAUCACAACAGGAUUAUUCUUGAGGAGUUCUCCAUUCAUAAAUCGUGACUCUGCCAGUUCUACCUUUCUGCAUGGGUUAUCCGGAAGAAUUAUGUUGAACUCGGUUCGACAUACUAAUUUAUGCAUCCACAACUCAGAAAGUUAUAUGUUCCUUUGAGUUGUCCCUCUUUAGUUGUCUACUGACCUUCGUCUAUCAAUUGAUAGUCAAGAGUAUGCGUGCAUUCAUUCAUCGAUGCCUGUUACUCUUGUGGUCCGUCAAGCCAUUCUGUCCUGAAUGACUUGGAGAAACAAACUCCAGUACCUCAUCCAUAUCUAGGAUUGGGUCAAAGUAGUUGUAUUCCGCAGAUCAAAUGCCAAUCCAGCUUUUGGUUCUGUUCUACCCUGAAGUAUUACCUUCUUUAUGACAGGAAUUUCAUGAGAAUUGCACCACCUUUUGUGAAUUCUUGACAUAGUGAUACUUCUCGCCAUCCUUUUUCAUUCCUCGGUUCCGUGUUGUUGCAGCCGGAGCGCCGACAGGUGAAUUGUGAUGUGUGAAAUCAAUACUCCCAGCAACCUCGUUGCUUGGUAGUUAAAGGGUAAUAAUUUCAAUCUUAGCAUGUUGGGUUUUAAAUCAUCCCUCUAAGACUGAUCGUGCUACCUAGUCCUUAUUUCGGUGCACCCCUCGAUUGAUGAGAUAGGAUUUGCUAAGUCCUCACUCAUUUGAUCAUAUCGUCUUGCCCUCAAAAGCGAGAUUGUUCUCGAGCUUAGUAACAUACCGGUGGUUCGUGAUUUUCCAAAUAUCUUCUCGAAAGUAUCACCAGGCUGUCACCUGACUGUUAUGUUGAGCUCGUGAUCAAGUUGGUUUCUUGUGAACCACCUUCUCUCCAAGAAUCGGUGUUAGAUAUCCCUGAGCUAGUUGGUUAAGCUAGACAACAACUUGGAGAGUUGGAAGAUAAAAGCUUGCCGACUUAGUUCGUUCCAAAGGGAUAUUCUUGUGUAGUGUGUGUUGAAGAAAGAUGAUAUCUUCAUCGAUUGGUCCUUGUGAUCAGUUGCUGGACCUAUUGCCUUAUCAAUCCUUUGAUUUGAGUGUGGGCUAUCGUCAAAUCAAAUCAGUACCAACGAUGCUCGUAAUGUUGUCCUACUCGUGGUUGAUCCCUCGAGCAUACACCAUUACAUCUUUGGUCUGACCAAUGCUAUCACCGUGUUCACAUGAUGGUGGAAGUCCAGUGAUAUGGAAAUUCCGAUGAGUUGCUGUUGAGCCCAUCAGUAGCAUUUUGUCUGCCCCCAUGAAUCAUGUUGAACAUCAACCUAGUGUUGGAAACUUGUGUAAGCAUUUCUUCGUGUUUCGUUCAUGAAGCAUAUGUUUGAAUGAAAGUAGUGAUUUUCCCUAAUUCAUGUGCAUAUGAUGCAAGUUGCCGCCAUGAAUUUGAGGAAGAUUGUUUUGUUUCCCUGGAAUCAUUCCAAAUUAGUCAUGCACACGUGCGAAGUAUUCUGUGGUCUGGAGACUUGCAACCUUCAUUCCAUAUGUGUCCCGAGCACACCAAGCCACUGAUUGAUUUGUUCAAGGGGAAGAAGUUCCUUCAUAAGAGCUAAUCAUAUGACUUAUGCAAGGACUUCGUUAUCCACGGUGAUGGUUCCCAACCAGAACUCGGUAGUGUUUUAUUGUAAGACUACCACGUGGUCAUGCUUGUCCGGGACAACGUGUUCACAUGUUUGUAGCAGAACCAGCUCAUGUUUUGGAGCUUACUAUCGUAGUUCAUUUCCCGAGAAUCUCGCAACGUCAUCUCGUCGAUUUGUGUUGCAAACUUUCAUUUUUCUUUCUAGACUUGAUGAGUCUGGGAUAUCCUGACACGAACCAGAUCUGAAUCUCAGGCAGAUAUGAUGGUUGGAACAUUCUCCAAGAACUAUAAUAUUGGUCCCUCGAUAACCGGUAAAGUGGAUGUCGUGGCCAACACACCCAGCCGGAAGACCUGUUAUUAUAAUAUCUUGAUUGAGGAAGUUGGCCACCUCCCCAUAGGGAUUUCGUAGGAUUUACUCCCUAGUUGCCCCUAUGGAUUUUGAGAUCCCGAAGUCCGACCUUUUACUUGAUGUCCUAGAUACUAGACCAUUUCUAUGAAUGGGUUACACUAGCACAUCAAGGAGAACAUUAGAAGCAGAGUGCUAAAUGUUUCUCGGUCGAUCAUCCAGAUUUUGUUUCCUUGGCCUCGCUAAGAUGAAAUCUGAGAAGGUGUUAUCUUUCUUUGCAUCUACAUCCUCCAUCAUCAUUCAUCAUGGUAGCAAGUUGUGUUGCCGGACCCUUGACACGGAUGUUGGUAAAACCUUGAUGAAUAUGGAAAUGCUCAAGUUCUUGAGAGCACGCACAAGCGUUACGUGUUAUCAUCGGCUCUAACUGGGAUUACUCUCAGUUUCCUCGGCAAUGCUAUGACCUCUUCAAACAGUGAAUUCACUCCCUAUUGUUGGGUUCUUCCCCAGUUACCAGAAUCAUUCCUAGCAUUUGCAUUUUGUUCCUAGCUUGCACCGCCAAUGUGCCAUUCUACCAUGGGUCUCUUCCAUUUCCGGUGAUAAGCAAAUUCAUCCAUUACGUUGUCUUCAACAAGGUAAUCCACAUCAUCCAAGUCCGAGUAUGCCAUUCUACCGACCCCCUCCAAACGAUCGCUCGAGAAUUGCCUUAGGCUGGUUUAAAGAGUUUCAAUGAUCUCUGAAUCAAAAGUAAUUCUUUUUGCCACUUAAGGGGAUAUCUCUACGAGUCACCUUCCGUAAGGUGUAUCGUUAUGGUAUCAUGGCAACUCAACUCCUCGCUACGUUGACAAUCGUUUACCACCUUCUUAGGUAUAAAAUUGUUGUCUACCUAGUGAACCUUCGUCAUCCGUUUCUUCCACCCCUAUUGAUGUGUAUCUCGUGUCUCAACCCGAAAGAUGGUUCUAUGUCUCAUUCCGUAAGUUAAUCUUGAGUUGUUCGAUCUUCGAGGAGAUCGACCCUUCUAGAGUCUCCUUCUUCCCCCCCCUGUCAUGUUGACAGGAUUUCUCAGAGCAAGACGACAAGACAAAGAUGGUGUUCAAAUCAACGUUCAUUUGAAGUGCACCCUGGAUCGUGAACAUUAUACUAGUUGUGUUUCCCCUUCACCUUACCCUACGCUUGAAUCUCGAGACGAGAUUCUUGUUUAGUGGGGGUGAGUUGUCACAUCCCUAGCUUCUGGCAUUGCUCUAGGUUAGCUUCAUGUGUGCAUCAUGUCUAUAUUUUUGAAAACUUGAAUUGAGGAAUAUUGGAAGCCUCAAAACCCUAAAUAAAAGAAGGGCAAGCACCCUUUAAAAUUGCAUUCUGUGAAUCCAAAAUGCCCUAAAAAUAGUUUUGUGAAUUUUGGCAAGAGUUAUAUAUCAAACCAAAAUUCUGGAAUAUUUUUAAGGAAUUAUUUGGUCUCUGAAUUUAAAUCAAUAAUCUAUUUGAAUUUGGGGAUAUAUUCAUAAUAUAUAAUGAAUAUAUUUGCAAAUGCUUUGAAAUGUUUUAUGUACUUUUGGAAUAGUCCAGAGAGGUAACAUAAAAUAUUUCAGAAUGUUUUGGCACUGUAAGAAAUUAUUUUGAAUUUGAAAACAGUGGCAAAAUAAAAUAAAAAGGGAAACAGAACAGGAAAUAAUAAAAAGAGAGAAGGAAGUACCUGGCCUCACCCGUGCAGCCCAGCCGGCCCAGCUCCUCCAGCGGCCCAGCCCACCUGGCCCCCUUCUCCUGUCUUCUUCCCGUGCCAGCGCACGAAGCAGCUGCGUGCUGGACGCACGCGCGCCGACGCCGGCCACCUCCUGCUUCGCCGUGGCAGCCUCCCCGACCCCCUCGCGACGCCACGGAGACGGCCUCGACCCCCCCUCGACCGCCUCUCUCUCUCUGGACCCCCUCCUCCUCCUCUGUUCUCCCUCCCUCUCGUCACCGAACGCACCUGGGAGCGCCGCUCGCCGUAGCCAUGACCACGGCCACCCCCUCCCCUCUCCGACGUGCUCCCGAGCUCCUGCACCUCGUCGCCAACCCCCUCACCGAGCCACGUGACCGGAAGGGCCCCGAGCAGCCGCCAUCGUCAUCAUCUCUGAGCUUCGGCCCCGGUGCCGUCUCCGUCGAAUUCGGCCACUCCGACGCGCCCCCGAGCCCACUGACCCUCCCUACAGCUCCGCGGUGAGCCUCCGUGCAGAACCCCUCUCUCUCCCCUCGCGUUUGCGAGCUCUAGGCCAUAGCCCCGUCGCGGCCGAACUCCGGCCGCCGCUGACCAUGUCGCCGUCGUGGCCUGAGCUCGAACGGGUCACGCCCGUGCAUCUCACCGAGCUCGUGGUGACUCCAGGAGGCUGCGCAGUGCUUUACCUCACUCGCCCGUGCUCCACAACGCCGUUUUCGCCGAGGUCCGAACUCCGGCACCGCCUCGGGCUCCAUUCCGGCGAACCCCAGCCACCCCGCACCUCCCGUUGGCCCCCCUAGAUGCGCACGGGCACGGGCUACCUUCUGGUGCCCUUCGCGCGUCCAGCCGCCGCCCGUAGCGCAACCCCGGUGAACUUCCGCCGCGUUUCUGGUCGCCGCCGGCCGAACUCCGGUGGCCAGUGACGUGGCGCUGUCAUUAGCACUAAUGACCCUGUUAAACUAACCCCGUGACACUGACAGUGGGCCCCGUAGCGGGUCAAAGCCCGGGUCAAUGCAGGAUUAGCCCCUGUGUCACUGACGUGUGGACCCCCACACGUCAGGUUUGACCUGGACCGCCCGUUGACCUGCUGAGGUCAGCAUGAGGUCAUGCUGACGCCAUAAUUCAUUUUCUGGAAUUAUUUUAAUUCUAAAUAUUCAGGAAAUUCCAGAAAAUGCCUAAAACUUCAAUAAAUCAUAGAAAAUUAACCGUAACUCCAAAUUAAAUAAUUUAUAUAUGAAAAAUUAUCAGAAAAAUUCAAGGAAUCCAUCUGUACCAUUUUCAUGCAUGUUAGAACAACUUAUCACUACUGUUUAGGACAAAUGAAGUGAAUGACAUUUAAAUAAUCACAUAUGGAGUUUGAAUUUGAAUCUUGUAUUCAAACCAACCCCAUUUAAUCUGUUGCUAGUUGCAUUAGCCCAAAACACAUUCAUUUUGCCAUGUCAUGAUCAUGCAUCAUAUUGUGCAUUGCAUUGAUUGUGUUCCCUUCUGUGUUGCCGGUAUUUGUCCCCUCUUGAUAGACGCGAUACCGAUGAUGUGAUCGUUGACACUGAUGAAGACUCAAUGUUAUCUUCAGAAGUGCCAGGCAAGCAAAACCCCCUUGUUCAUUCCGAUACAAUCCCACUCUCUCGCUCCUGCUCUCUUUUACUGCAUUAGGACAACACCGUUUCAACUGUUACAUGCUGCGGUAGUUGAACCCCUUUUAUCCUCUACAUGACCUGUCAUUGCCACAGUAAAUAGGUGAAACCCACUAGCAUGAGUAGGAGUUGUUUGAGCCCUGUUGUGCCUACUCAUUGAUGUUUGUUUGUCAUGCCUGCUACUGCUUAGAGUUGAGUCAGGUCUGAUUCAUCAGGGAUGAAUCAGAGGUGUGUGAACAUGUCCUACGGUGUGUGAGCUAAGCGUGUGAACACGAUUUGGUAAAGGUAGUGGUGAGAGGCCAUGUAGGAGUACAUGGUGGGUUGUCUCAUUGCAGCCGUCCUCAGGAACUGAGUUCUGUGUUUGUGAUCCAUGAUUCAGCUACUACCACGCAUUGGGCCCGAAACCAAUGGACCCUCUCGGCUUCUUAAUCACCCUUGUCCUCUGUCCAGGAGUUGCAAGUAGUUUCUGGUGUUUGUAGUAUGCUGGAGGCCGUGCGCAGCACUGACCGUAGGGGUGGGCUGUGAUGCGGUAGGCACGUGGCACGGUGUACCGGGCGCCCGUUUGGUGUCUCGGGAACCCUGUUCACAUCGUUUGGGGCUGUGAGCGAAACUCCGGCCGAAUCUCCUCAUGGAUGGAACCCGAAUAGGCGAUAAACCUGGACUAGAGACUUGAGUGUUUAGGUAGGCCAUGGCCGACACCCACGUUGGGCUUCCGCUUGAAGGUUGCUGAGUACAUGUCGUGUAAACGGCGGUAAGUGGUGAGAGCGUGUGUGAAGAAGUACACCCCUGCAGGGUUAAUAUGAUCUAUUCGAAUAGCCGUGUCCGCGGUAAAGGACUUCUGGGUUGCUUAUAUCAGUUCAUAGACAAGUGAAAGUGGAUACUCUAAAAUACGCAAGAUAAGCGUGAGUGCUAUGGAUGGCGUUCUCGUAGGGAGACGGGAGCGGUUCCAUAGUGGUGUAUUGGUUGGUGAAUAUGUGGACUCGUGUGCGCCACCUCAAAAGAGUUACUUGCAGUCGUAGUUCAGGAUAGCCACCGAGUCAAAGAUGGCUUGCUGCAGUUAAACCCCACCAUCCCUUUGUUGAUAAUGAUGCAUAUGAAGAUAGUUCUGAUGUAAGUCUUGCUGGGUACAUUUGUACUCACGUUUGCCUAUUUUAUGUUUUUGCAGAGAGACUUCGGUCUCGCUAGUAGUUCCACGUGGACUUCGAUGUUUAGCUUGAUACCUCAGCUACGAUCUUGUGCCCCGGCAGGAUCUGGUAGAUAGUCAGGCUUCUCAGCCUUUUUCAUUUAUAGAUGUCUGUACUCAGACAUGAUAGCUUCCGCUUGUGCUUUGACUUGUAUGCUCUGAUUGUUGGGUCAUGAGACCCAUGUUUGUAAUAUCUCGCUCCUCGGAGCCUAUUGAUUAAAAUACUUGAUUUAUAGAGUCAUGUUGUGAUGCCAUGUUGUAUUUGCACAUAUCGAGCAUAUUGUGUGUAUGUUAUUGAAAUGCUUGGUAUGUGUGGGAUCUGACCAUCUAGUUGUUUAUCUUUAGUAGCCUCUCUUACGGGGAAAUGUCUCCUAGUGUUUCCACCGAGCCAUGGUAGCUUGCUACUGCUCCGGAACACUUAGGCUGGCCGGCAUGUGUCCUUCUUCGUUCCUGUGUCUGUCCCUUCGGGAAAAUGUCACGCGGUGAAUACCGGAGUCCUGUUAGCCCGCUACAGCCCGGUUCACCGGAGUCCUGCUAGCCCAGUGCUACAGCCUGGAUUCACUCGCUGAUGACCGACACGUUCGAUGCUGGGUCAUGGAUGCCUGUCCCUGUAAGUCUGUGCCGCUUUGGGUUUACGACUAGCCAUGUCAGCCCGGGCUCCUUAUCAUAUGGAUGCUAGCGACACUGUCAUAUACGUGUGCCAAAAGGCGCAAACGGUCCCGGGCAAAGGUAAGGCGACACCCAUGGGAAUACCGUGCGUGAGGCCGCAAAGUGAUAUGAGGUGUUACAUGCUAGAUCGAUGUGGCAUUGAGUCGGGGUCCUGACAUAUACAAGCCAAGUUCUAUAAUGAAAAAUUCCCACUAGUAUAUGAAAGUGACAACAUAGGAGACUCUCUAUCAUGAGGAUCAUGGUGCUAGUUUGAAGCACAAGUGUGGUAAAAGGAUAGUAGCAUUGUCCCUUCUCUCUUUUUCUCUAAUUUUUUAUUUGGGGCAUUUUCUCUUUUUAUGGCCUCUUUUUUUAGUCUGGAGUCUCAUCCCGACUUUUGGGGGAAUCAUAGUCUCCAUCAUCCUUUCCUCACAUGGGACAAUGCUCUAAUAAUGAAGAUCAUCACACUUUUAUUUACUUACAACUCAAGAAUUACAACUCAAUACUUAGAACAAAAUAUGACUCUAUGUGAAUGCCUCCGGUGGUGUAUCGGGAUGUGCAAUGAUUCAAGGGUGAUAUGUAUGAAAACAUUAUGAGUAGUGGCUUUGCCACAAAUACGAUGUCAACUACAUGAUCAUACAAGGCAAUAUGACAAUGAUGGAGCGUGUCAUAAUAAACGGAACAGUGGAAAGUUGCAUGGCAAUAUAUCUUGAAAUGGCUUUGGAAAUGCCAUAAUAGGUAGGUAUGGUGGCUGUUUUGAGGAAGGUAUAUGGUGGGUGUAUGGUACUGGCGAGAGUUGCGCGGUACUAGAGAGGCUAGCAAUGAUGGAAGGGUGAGAGUGCGUAUAAUCCAUGGACUCAACAUUAGUCAUAAAGAACUCACAUACUUAUUGCAAAAAUCUACAAGUCAUCAAAACAAAGUACUACAUGCAUGCUCCUAGGGGAAGGGUUGGUAGGAGUUAACCAUCGCGUGAUCCCAACCUCCACACAUAAGGAAGGCAAUCAAUAAAUAAAUCAUGCUCCAACUUCAUCACAUAACGGUUCACCAUACGUGCAUGCUACGGGAAUCACAAACUUUAUCACAAGUAUUCUUUAAAUUCACAAUUACUAAACUAGCAUGUCUCUAAUAUCACCAUCCUCAUAUCUCAAAACAAUCAUCAAGCAUCAAACUUCUCAUAGUAUUCAACACACUUUAUGUGAAAGUUUUUAAUUAUACCCAUCUUGGAUGCCCAUCAUAUUAGGACUAAUUUUAUAACCAAAGCAAAUUACCAUGCUUUUCUAAAAGACUCUCAAAAUAAUAUAAGUGAAGCAUGAGAGGUUAAUAAUUUAUAUAAAAUAAAACCACCGCCGUGCUCUAAAAAGAUAUAAGCGAAGCACUAGAGCAAAAUUGUCUAGCUCAAAAGAUAUAAGUGAAGCACAUAGAGUAUUCUAAUAAAUUCUGAUUCAUGCGUAUCUCUCUCAAAAGGUGUGUACAGCAAGGAUUAUUGUGGUAAACUAAAAGCAAAGACUCAAAUCAUACAAUACGCUCCAAGCAAAACACAUAUCAUGUGGUGAAUAAAAAUAUAGCCUCAAGUAAAGUUACCGAUAGAUGAAGACGAAAGAGGGGAUGCCUUCCGGGGCAUCCCCAAGCUUAGGCUUUUGGUUGUCCUUGAAUUACCUUGGGGUGCCUUGGGCAUCCCCAAGCUUAGGCUCUUGCCACUCCUUAUUCCAAAAUCCAUCAAAUUUACCAAAAACGUGAAAACUUCACAACACAAAACUUCGACAGAAAAUCUGAUGAGCUCCGUUAGUAUAAGACAAUAAACCACCACUUUAAGGUACUGUAAUGAACUCAUUCUUUAUUUAUAUUGGUGUUAAACCUACUUUAUUCCAACUUCUCUAUGGUUCAUACCUCCGAUACUACUCAUAGAUUCAUCAAAAUAAGCAAACAACACAUGAAAAACAGAAUCUGUAAAAAACAGAAAAGUAUGUAGCAAUCUAUAACUUUUAAAUACUUCUGUAACUCUAAAAAUUCUGAAAUAACUUGGUGGACGUGAGGAAUUUGUCUAUUAAUCAUCUUAGAAAAGAAUCAACCUAAAAUCACUCUCCAGUAAAAAAUGACAGCUAUUCUCGUGAGCGCAAAAGUUUCUAUUUUUUAAAGCAAGAUCGCAGAGACUUUACCCAAGUCUUCCCAAAGGUUCUAUUUGGCAGAAACACUAAUUAAAACACAAAAACACAUCUAAACAGAAGGUACAUGAAAUAUUUAUUACUAAAAAGGAGCAAAAAGUAAAUAACAAAAAUAAAAUUGGGUUGCCUCCCAACAAGCGCUAUCGUUUAACGCCCCUAGCUAGGUAUAAAAACAAGAAUUGAUCUAGGUAUUGCCAUCUUUGGCAUGCAAUCUAUGAGUGGAUCUCAUAAUAGGUUCAUAAGGCAAUUUAAUUUUCUUCCUAGUAAAGUGUUCCAUGCCCAUGUAGAUUCAUAAAUGGCUCUCAUAAUAGAUUCAAGGCAAUUAUUGAUAUUCCAAUUUCCUAGUAAAGAACAAUUAUCAUAAUUAAAUCCCUUGAAAUCCAAAAUAGUGGGUUCAUUGCUAUGUAAAGUUUUGACCUCUUCAAUCCCACUUUUAUCAAUUUUUGCAUCUAGAUCUAAGAACUCCGAAUCAUUGGGAUGCCCUUUAACUAAAGUUGACUCAUCUCCAGUCCCAUCUUUAUCAAGAUUCAUGUUGGAAAACAAAGAUUUAAUAAGAGUCACAUCAGUCACUUUUAGAUCUUUAUUAUUAUUAUCAUGAACACUAGAAGAACACGCUUUCAUAAAGCAAUCUUUUUUAGCACGCAUCCUAAUGGUUCUUUCUUUGCACUCAUCAAUGGAAAUUCUCAUGGAUUUGAGAGACUCAUUGAUAUCAUGCUUAGGUGGAAUAGAUCUAAGUUUCAAAGAAUCAACAUCAAGAGAAAUUAUAUCCAUGUUUCUAGCCAACUCAUCAAUCUUAAGCAAUUUUUCUUCAAUCAAAGCAUUGAAAUUCUUUUGCGAACUCAUAAAUUCUUUAACACUAUUCUCAAAAUCAGAGGGCAUCUUAUUAAAAUUUCCAUAAGAUUUUUUGUAAGAAUUACCAUAAUUAUUAGAGGAAUUACUAGGAAACGACCUAGGAUUAAAAUUGCCUCUAUACGCGUUGUUACCAAAAUUGUUCUUACGAACAAAAUUCACAUCCAUAGAUUCAUUAUUAUUCUCAAUCAAAGUGGACAAAGGCAUAUCAUUAGGAUCAGAAGAAACACUUUUAUUAGCAAACAAUUUCAUAAGUGCAUCCAUCUUUCCACUCAAAACAUUAAUCUCUUCAAUCGCAUGAACCUUUUUACUAGUGGAUCUUUCGGUGUGCCAUUGAGAAUAAUUAACCAUAAUAUUGUCUAGGAGUUUAGUAGCUUCUCCUAAAGUGAUUUCCAUAAAAGUGCCUCAUGCGUCCGAAUCUAAAAGAUUUCUAAAAGCAAAAUUCAAUCCGGCAUAUUCUUUUUGUAUAAUCAUCCACAAAUUCAAACCAUGUGUAGGGCAAUUAUGUAUCAUUAAUUUCAUACUCUCCCAAGCUUGUGCAACAUGCUCAUGAUCAAUUUGCUUAAAAUUCAUAAUAUCGUUCCUAAGAGAGAUGAUCUUAGCGGGAGGAAAAUACUUAGAGAUAAAAGCAUCUUUGCACUUAUUCCAUGAAUCGAUAUUAUUUUAGGCAAAGAAGAGAACCAAGUUUUAGCAUGAUCUCUAAGAGAAAAUGGAAAUAGCUUCAAUUUAACAAUAUCAUUGUCCACAUCUUUCUUCUUUUGCAUAUCACACAAAUCAACGAAGUUGUUUAGAUGGGUUGCAACAUCUUCACUAGGAAGGCCAGAAAAUUGAUCUUUCAUAACAAGAUUCAACAAAGCGGUAUUAAUUUCACAAGACUCAGCAUCGGUAGUAGGAGCAAUUGGAGUGCUAAUAAAAUUAUUGUUGUUGGUAUUGGAAAAGUCACAUAAUUUAGUAUCAUCUUGAGCCAUCGUGACAAACAAUCAAUCCAACACACAAGCACACAAGAAGCAAGCGAAAAGAAACGAACGAAAUAGGGGCGACGAAAAGGCAAGGGUUUUCAAAAAUCGUUUUAGAAGUGGGGGAGAGGAAAACGAGAGGUGAAUGGCAAAUAAUGUAAUGCAAGGGAGAAGAGUUUAUUAUGGGUACUUGGUAUGUCUUGACUUGUCAUAGAUCUCCCCGACAACGGUGCCAGAAAUCUUUCUUGCUACCUCUUGAGCAUGCGUUGGUUUUCCCUUAAGAGGAAAGGGUGAUGCAGCAAAGUAGCGUAAGUAUUUCCCUCAGUUUUGAGAACCAAGGUAUCAAUCCAGUAGGAGACGACACACAAAUCACCUAGUACCUGCACAAACAAUCAAGAACCUUGCAACCAACGCGAUAAAGGGGUUGUCAAUCCCUUCACGGUCACUCACAAAAGUGAGAUCUAAUAGAUAUAAUAAAGUAAAUAUUUCUGGUAUUUUUGUUGUAUAGAUUGGAAAGUAAAGAUUGCAAAAUAGUAAACGAGAUGCGAUGUAAAUAAAAGAGAUGUAAUAUAAUAGGAAAGAGACCCGGUGGCCAUAGGUUUCACUAGUGGCUUCUCUCAAGAUAGCAUGUAUUACGGUGGGUGAACAAAUUACUGCCGAGCAAUUGAUAGAAGAGCGCAUAAUUAUGAAGACAUCAAAGGUAAUAAUCACGAACAUAGGCAUCACGUCCGUGUCAAGUAGACUGAAACGAUUCUGCAUCUACUACUAUUACUCCACACAUCGACCGCUAUCUAGAAUGCAUCUAGAGUAUUAAGUUCAGAAGAACGAAGUAACGCAUUAAGCAAGAUGACAUGAUGUAGAGGGAUAAACUCAAGCAAUAUGAUAUAAACCCCAUCUUUUUAUCUUUGAUGACAACAAUACAAUACGUGCCUUGCUGCCCCUACUGUCACUGGGAAAGGACGCCGCAAGAUUGAACCCAAAGCUAAGAACUUCUCCCAUUGGAAGUAAGAUCAAUCUAGUAGGCCAAACUAAAUCGAUAAUUCGAAGAGACUUGCAAAGAUAUCGAAUCAUGCAUAUAAGAAUUUAGAGAAGAACCAAAUAAUAUUCAUAGAUAAUCUUAUUCAUAAAUCCACUAUUCAUCGGAUCUCGACAAACACACCGCAAAAUAAUUACAUCGAAUAGAUCUCCAAGAACAUUGAGAUGAACUUUGCAUUGAGAAUCAAAGAGAGAGAAGAAUCCAUCUAGCUAAUAACUAUGGACCCGAAGGUCUGUGGUAAACUACUCACGCUUCAAUGGAGAGGUAAUGGUGUUGAUGUAGAAGCCCUCCAUGACCGAUUGCCCCUCCGGCAGAUUGCCGAAAAAGGCCCCAAGAUGGGAUCUCACGGGUACAGAAGGUUGCGGUGGUGGAAACGUGGUUUCGUGGCCCCCCUGAUAUUUUUAGUGUAUAAGAGUAUAUAUAGGCGAAAGAAGUACAUUGGUGGAGCUACGAGGGGUGGUGCACUUCUCGUAAAAAUGUUUCUUUUAGAGGGGUGGUGCACUUUUGAGAGGACGACUUCUUCUUGCUUGUGCUUGGGUCAAACCAGAGCCCCUCUUUGGCAAACACCUCAUUGUGUUGGCUCAACACCUCAUUAAGGUUCUUUUGUCCUUGAGCACAUGUCAUGAGACCUUUCUCGAUUUGAACUUUGAGAAAGCGAUUCUCCUCAAGAAUAGAUGCUAGAUCACUACUAGAGUUAGUAGUACAAGCAUCAACAUUGAUAAUAGGAGAAGAGUAAGCUUUGGCUAGAGUUUCAAGAUAAGUAAGUUUGAGCGUCUUAAAACUCUUUGUAAGAAGGGUGAGAUCUUCUUCCUUAGUCUUGAGGGACACGGAUAGAAGCUCACAAUCCUGAGAGAGAGAAGCAUGAGACUUCACAAGCUUACUUUUAUCAUUCAUCAACUCUUCACAAGAUUCAUUAGCCUUUUUCAAGGAGGCAAGAUCUUUAGCAUGAACAUCAAUGUUUGAACCAAUUUUCAAGCAUAGUUCAUCAUUUCGUGCUUUCUCAUAUUGGUCUUUCCGCUCAAGGAUUUCAUAUUUUUCCUUUUCCUCGGUGACGAGGGUUUCGAGUUCCUUAAUGGUGAUGGUGUGCUUACUCACCAUCCCCAUAAGCAUAUGAAACAUAGUGAGCUUCUUUCCUUUGAGGGAGCACAUGAACUUAUUAAGUUUAGCAAGCAUAGGAUCAUCUAUAUCAUUAUCCUUAUAACUAUCCUCCGCAUCAAGAUACUCAUCACUAGGAGUAGAAGGAGUGAAAAGAGGAGGAUUUGAUCAUGGGGUUACCUUGACCUUGUCAGGAGAGCUUUGGUCCUCUCCAUCUUCUACCACGGCCUUUGCCAUUAGGCACUUGUGAGUGUUGCCAUUGGAGUCUUUCAUGUAGUUGUAGGUGACCACAUCACCAUUCUUGUUCACUAGCCUCAAAGUGUUUUGAGAAUCUUGAGCAACUCCGGCAACACCACUAACAUCAUCUGGAUCGGAUUCUUCAUGAGCAACCAUUGCUUUCCCAUCUCUCCUCUUGAGCUUGGAGUUCAAAGGAUUUGGCAAAUUCUUCUUGGGAAAGGUCUUGGGAAACCUUGGUUUAUCUUCUCUCUUCUCAUAAGGUCACUCGUUGGAGAAGUGGUUGGUUUCUUCACAGUUGUAGCAUUUCCUCACUUUCUUCCUCUGGAACCUUCCCUUGAAUUUUCCCGCGCUAAACUUCUUGACAAAGAGAGCAAUGUCUUCAUAUGACGGGCUCUCAUUUGAGUCAAUCUCAUCACCAUCCUCCUCCUCCUCAUCAUCAUCAUCUUCUUCUUCUUCUUCUUCACUUUUCUCUUCUUCACAUACAUGCUUGGCCUUCAAUGCAAGGUUGAUCUUUGAUGUUGAGGUACCAUGCAUGGCAAGAUGUUUUGUGGUAUUUGCCUUUGACUCUUCAAAUAGUUGGAAAGUGGAUAUCAUGUCAUCUGGAGUCAUUUCCUUGAAUCCAUGGUGUUGUCUUAUGUCCCACACCAUUUGGUGAUGAUAUGGAGCAAGAGCAUGAAGCAACUUAUCCACGAGAAAUCGCUUAGUCAAGUUGAAUCCAUCUUGAGUCUUGUCACAUUCACAUGACUCAAUGUCGGCGGUGAGAGUCAUGAGACGCUCAAGUAGUUGCUUGGGAGAUUCACCUUUCUCCAUACAAAAGUUUUGCAAUUGACCCAAGACGGAGAGUGGAAGUACCGGUCUUGGUCCUCACAAUGCUAUCCCGUAAUUCCUUGGCACUUGUGAUAUGUAUGUAUGGUCUCCUUUGCUUGUCAGUCAUACCUCUUCUUAUGUACAUGGUUGCUGUGUCGUUGAGAUUCUUGUCAUAAACCUCUCUUGGAGUAAGAUUCUUCGGGUCAAUAGCUUGGUAGCCAUACUCCAAGAUCUCCAACAUCUCAUCAUUUCCAUAUCGAAGAUGAUCCUGCAUAGCAACUCUCCACAAAGCAAAAUCGGUAGUGUCAUCAAGUAAAGGAGGCUUGCCUUGAGGGUUAUACUUAGGUUUCUCUAUUUGAGGUCUUGCAUAAAGCCAAGGAACACCGGAGUGUUCAUUACAAGGAGGUUAUUGGACAAGUGAGGAAGUAGGCACAACUGGCCUCGAGGUCGCACCACCAGAAAGUGGUGCAAGCAUCGUGGUUAGUGUGGCUAUACUCAUUUGGACCAAGGCCUCAAGAGAGGCAUCAUGCUCCUCCUUUUGCUUAGCAAGAGCUCGUUCCAGAUCCUCUGAAGUGAAGGACUUGGUUUUCGUGGAAGCCGCGCCCGUACUCUUCAGAUCUGCAACAAGGGGAGUCCCAUCAGGGUUCAUCUCGCUCUAGGGAAGUUACGCCACAAGAAUAGAGCACGAGGCUCUGAUACCAAUUGAAAGGAUCGAGAUGGACCUAGAGGGGGGGUGAAUAGGUACAAUUACAAAUUUUAAUUGUUACUUAGAAAUUUUAGUCAGUAAUGCGGAAUAUGAAGUUGAGCCUAACAAUUGCAAGUGUGAAGCUAUGAGCUAAGCAAGGUAAACAAGUAACUCAAGUAGGAGAGUAAGCAAGCACAAUAUGAUAUAAGUAAAGACUAAGAGACAAGUAACCACAAGUAGGGAGUUAGUGUUAUGGAUAACCGCAACUCCAAGAGACGAGGAUGUAUGCCGAUGUUCACUUCCUUGGAGGGAAGUUACGUCACCAUUAGAGAAGUGGGUGUUACCACGAAGGCACACCAACGCCACGAAGGCUCACCCUAUUGUCCCUUCAAGACAACACCAUGAAGGCUUUUUUCAACCACUAGUGAAAGAACAUGAGGUGCCCCCAUGUUUGGUUUUGGUAAUUGAUGACAAUCUCUAUGGACUAAUGGUUGCCUUGAGUUAUAUUUGAAGGUUUUGUCCAUAGGCUUUUCUUGGAGUACAUGUGUUGGUUUCAAGGAGAGUUUGUGUCGACCAAGGUGCUAUUCAAGGAAUUACGUAAAAUAUUGGUCUUGUGAGAGGUUGAUCAAGACUAAGUCAAAGAGUGAAUCAAGUUGAUCAACACACAAAGUGUAGAAGAUGUACCGAGAAGGAUCAAGUGAUCCCAUGGUAUGGUAAGCAUUGUCAAUUACUCUUUGUGUACUAUCCCAUGGUCUCGUGAGAGUUCUUUAUGGGGUUAGGAUGCGGUGUGCAAGUUCAAGUGAUGCAUCACGAAGAGAUCAAGUGCUUGAAGCUUGCUGUCCAUUGUGGUGACAAUGGACUUGUGAAGAUGAGCCGAAGAUUGGCUCACCCAUAGUGGACUAUGGGGAGCAAUCAUCUAGUCUUCAUCGAGCCAACGCAAUCAAGAAAGGCGGUCCAACUUGAGGGAGUCAAGAUCAUCAUCAUCUAGCUCAAGUGGACCAUGUGCAAGGCAAAGGUUUGCCCUCGAUAGGUUUUCUAUUUUACCGAUCUCAUGGUCGUAGUUGGAAGACUGGGUUAUAGGAUCGUUUGCCGUACUAUCAAGGUGGACUCUCAAGUUGGUAGCUUGAUUGUAUCAUUAGUAGAGAGAUCAAACCAUUGCAUAAAUGCAUCAUAUUUCUGAGUUCUUGUUUGGUUCUCUUUGUGAGUCUUAGAGCUUAUGGUCAUCUUGAUGCGAAGCUUGAGUUCAUCGAAAAUGGAGUUCGCAUGCGUCUUCUAUGAUGUUUUCGGUGUUGGAGGUUUUACCGGUCUUAUCCGAGGAAGGGUUCUCACCAUUUUCUUAUGGGUCUUUUCUCAUUUGCUUAUUAUUGAUAUGUCUAUCCAGAUUGUGUUAGCCCAUGUCGUUAGCUUUCCAAAAAACUUGGUUUCGUUGAAUUCGGAGUCCGUUUGCAAAAGUUGUGGCUGUUUUGGUAAAGACUGCAGCGGUACUAUCGCGACUAGAGCGGACAUAAAUUUUUACUACCGCUCCAGAGAGGUACUACCGCGGCUCCUGAGCGGUAGUACCGCUCCAGAGCUGUACUACAGUGGCUCCUGAGCGGUAGUACCACUCCGGACCAAAAUCUCAUGUUUUGCUUAGCGGAGGUAGGCACGGAAGUAUUUUUUUUAAUACCGCUCGCAAGCAGUAGUACCGCUACCAUUUGUGGUAGUACCGUGACGUCGAGCGCUAGUACCGUGAGGACGAGCGGUAGUACCGCUCCGGCGGUUCUACUGACCUUUUGCCUCCUCGUUGUUGUUUUUCAAAGGGGUUCUACCGCCCUAGCGGUAGUACCACUCCUUGGAGCGGUAGUACCGCUUUGUGCGGGGUGUGAGCAUAACGGUUGGAUUCUCCCCAACCUAUAAAAGGGGGUCUUCUUCCCCAUUGAACAUUAUCUCUUAAGCUCGUGUUCUUCCCCCAUUGUUGACCUUCUUCGAGCUUGCUAACACUCAAUCCCUCCAAUGAUUCUUGCUAGUUCUUGAGGGAAAAGAGAGAGGAGAUCUAGAUCCAUGUUUCCACCAAUCACUUUCUUCUCUAAGUGAGGGGAAUCCCUUGGAUCUAGAUCUUGGAGUUCUUCAUGUUCUUCUUUAAUUCUUCCUCUCAUUUUCCUCCCUAGCAUUAGUUGCUUUGGUGGGAUUUGGGAGAGAAGGACUUGGGCACUCCGUGUGCCCUUGCAUUGCUUUUGGUGCAUCGGUUUGAGUUCUCCACGUGAUACGUGGAAGUUACAUGUUGAGAAGCUUAUUACUCUUGGGUGUUUGGACACCCUAGAGCUUGUUCCUCUUGGGUGCCUUGGCGCCCUAGACGGUUGGUGUUGUUCGAAGCUCAAUCAUUGUGGUGUAAAGCCCCAGGCAAGCGUCGGGGGUCUCCAAUUAGGUUGUGGAGAUCGCCCCAAGCAAUUUGACGGGUACCGGUGACCGCCCCCAAGGGUUGCCAAAGUGUACGGGUUAGGUGACCUCCCCCAAGGGUUGCCAUUUGUAUGGGUUCAGUGACCGCCCUCAAGGGUCCCUUAGUGUAAUCAUGGCAUCUUGCAUUGUGCGAGGUCAUGAGGAGAUUACAGUGGCCCUAGUGGCUUCUUGGGGAGCAUUGUGCCUCCACACCGCUCCAAACGGAGAUUAGCAUCCGCAAGGGUGUGAACUUCGGGAUACAUCAUCGUCUCUGAGUGCCUCGGCUAUCUCUUACCUGAGCCCUUUACUUAUGCACUUUACUUUGUGAUAGCCAUAUUGUUCUUUGUUAUAUAUCUUGCUAUCACAUAGUUGCUUAUCUUGCUUAGCAUAAGUUGUUGGUGCACAUAGGUGAGCCUAGUUGUUGUAGGUUUUGUGCUUGACAAAUUAACCGUUAGGUUUAUUCCGCAUUUGUUCAAGCCUCUACCGUAAUUUUAAAACGCCUAUUCACCCCCCUCUAGGCGACAUCCAUGAUCUUUCAAUUGGUAUCAGAGCCUCAUCUCUCUUUGUUAGGCUUAACCGCCUAGAGAGUAAAGAUGUCGACUAGGGGAUUAGGAUUCUUUGACACUCUUAGUUUUGAUGGCACAAAUUUUGAUGUUUGGGUAAUUCGCAUGCUUAAUCUCUUUAGGGUCAUGGACCCAAAUUUAGAGCGAAUUGUAGAUAUGGGUUUUUCUCCUCCUAAGGAUCCCCAAAUAUUAUCUUUAGAGGAUGAGAAAAACUCUUAUCUCAAUGCUCAAGCUUCUAAUGUGCUUUUUGAUGCUUUGAGCAAUGUAGUUAUAUUUCAACUCAUGCCGUUCCGGGAUGCUCAUGAGUUGUGGACAAAGCUUCAAGAUAAAUAUGGUGUGUCAAAGAUUUGUAAGGAUGAUCAUUCUCCCUCCACCUCCAGCCGUGUUGCGUUCUCAACUUCUUCUACUUCACCUACAUGUGGUUUGCCACAAGGUAAUGACAUGGUGAGUAGUGGUGUUCAUUGCAAUGAUGAUAGUGGGCUUAUUGUUGAUAAUCCUUCAUCACUUUCUUAUUGCAAUGCUUCAUCUUUGGACUUUAGCACUUCGAGCACUCCCAAUGUUUCACAGCUUGUGUUGAUAGUUCUUGCAUAUCAUGUCGAAAUUGCUUGACUAAAUCUCAUGAUGAUAUGCUAGCUAUAUCUUGUUGCCAUGAUAAAAAUGCAUGUAUUUCCUCGAGUUGUUGUGCUAACAAUGUAGAGGAAACCCAGCACUCCAUGGAACAAGAUGUGGUCUUGAAUGGUGCUUCAAGGGAUCCUACAUCAUCAUCUAUUGCUUUUUGCCUUAUGGCCAAGGCUUCAAAAGUAUCUCCCACUUUGAAUCCCAAUAUAUCUUGUGAUGAUAUUGAUGAUGGCAAGAGUGAUGAUGAUGUCGAUUAUGAUGAAGAGAAUGAUGAUGUUGCCUCCUUAAAAAUUAAGGGGAAAUGAUUUUUAAAACUCUUCUUAAGAAUAAAAUUGCUCGUUCCAACUUCAUGGAAAUCAUGUCGAUUGCUAUUGAGAGCAAGAAAUAUAUUAAUGAGUUGGAAUCUCGUCUUGAGGAGCAUGAGGUCACCAUUGAUAAAAUGGAAGGUCAUGAGCGUGAUUACGCUAAUGAUAUUGCGGACCUCUCUCAAGCUCUUGAACUUGAACAAACCACCAAGGAAUCUCUUGAGAAGACUUUUCCUCUAGAAUUAUCUAGAGUGAAGGAAUCUAAUGAUAGAGCUCUUGAGGUGGCCAAUAUUUUUGAAACUAAAAAUGCUAAGAUUGAAGUUGCUCAUGCUAGACUCCUUGAGGAUUUUGAUCACCUCACAAAUGGCUCAAGGGUCAUCAAGGGUGAGCUCAUCAAACUCACCGAGUCUCAUGCUCAACUUGAAGCUUCUUAUUUAAAAGAGCUUUCCAAGUUGCAUUCUCAUCUUGUUGUUAAUGAUUAUGCUUGUUCUAGUAACUCUAUUUCUUGUGAAGCAUCCAUUUUAAAGGAGAAUGUUGAGCUAAGGGCUCAACUUGAGUUGCUAUCUAGAAAGUAUGGGAAAUUGGAAGAAAGUCAUGAAAAGCUUUCUAACUCUCAUGAUGAUCUUCUUGUAUCCCAUAAUGUGCUAAAAAUAGCUCAUGAGGCUAUGAUUGCUAAGGUAACAUAUAGUGAGCCUCAUGUGGAUAUUAGCACUACUUUUAGCCAAAAUGCUAUAUUGCCUUGUGUUAGUCCUCGUAAUUCGUCUAUGCAUAACAUUGGUACAUCUUGUGAUGAAUUGCUUUCCUUGCCUUGUUGCUCUAAUGAUGAAGCUUAUACUUCCUCUAGUACUUGUGCUGAGACUAACCAUGUAGAGGAAACCAAAGAGCUCAAGGCCCAAGUCACUUCUUUGAAGAAAGACUUGGAAAAGAGUCAUGAAGGGAGAUCCACACUCAACAAUAUCUUGAGUGUGCAAAAAUCCCCCAAUGACAAAGGUGGACUUGGAUUCAACUCCAACAAGAAGAAGAAGUCCAAGUUGAACAAGAAGAAGGGCCAAGAACAAGUCAAGAAUUCAGCCAAGAUUAUUUGCUUCAAGUGCAAAAUUGAAGGGCAUCAUGUGAGAUCUUUCCCAUUGAAGAAGAAGGACAUUAGUGACAAGCAACAAGGGAAGCGGCCACAAGUUCAAUAUCAUGCUCAACCACAAGUUGAAGAAAUGCCUCUUCCCAAGAAUACUCAAGAUAAUGCUUCUCAAAUUGAGAAAUCAAGUGAGAAGAAAGUGAAGAGUAGAUGUUGCUACUUAUGUCGUGAGAAAGGUCACGUCGCUUCUUCAUGCACUAGUGGUAACUUAUCCAACCCAAUUAUUAUUGAAAAUAUCUAUUCUCUUUGGAAUGAUAAGAUUGGCAAUGUGUUUUCCAAGUUUGUUGGUACUCAAAGUGGUGUCAAGAAAAGAACCAUUUGGGUUGCCAAGACUAUUAUGACUAACCUCUUAGGACCCAACUUGGUUGGGGACCGACAAGAUCAAACUUGAUCAAUAGGUGUUGUUGGAGGGCAUUGGACACUUGGUUACAUUAUGAAGAAUUAAGGGGACUUCAUCAUUCUUAUUGUCUCAAGCCAAGUCAAUUGGGUUAUCAAGUUUCUAUGUUAUAUCCAAUGUUCCUCCUUGCGGUAACUCGUACUUAAGUUGUUUACAUUGAUAGUUACUUGCCCCUAAGCAUGUUGUGGUUUUGUACCUUGCAUGUUUUUCUAUAUGAUGUGUUUCCAAUGUGCUUAACUUGAGUAAUCAAGUAUGUGUAUGUUGGUUUGCACAUCAUGUACGUGUGUGUCGUGCGUUGAGCCUUUGUGCAUCUUAUUUGUUUCUUAGUUGGCUCUUGUGAGAGAUUAAUGGAAUAUCCCAUUAUGGGGGAGUGAUGUGCUUUGUGCACCUCACAAUCUUAUAGAUGUGUGUACAUGAGGAAUACCAUCUAGUAUUGAUAUUACAAGAGUAUCUAGUCACUAUGUGGUAUGUCUUCUCAUGAGAAAUUCAAAUUCUAAAUAGUCCAUUAAUCAUUUGUUGUUGGAUCCUCUUAUUGCCUCUUGUUAAGUUUUUAUUGGUAUCACAUUAUGGGGGAGUAAUAUGCUAUGUGCAUACUACAAGCCUAGAAAAUGUGUACAUUUGAGAUAUUGUCACCUAGAAUUGAUAUUGUAAAUUAUCUUGUUCCUAGGUGGCAUGUUAGCUCUACAAGUUGCAAUUUGCUUGUGUUUGGUGUGAAGAUGAUGUCGGAUAUCCUUGCUAUCUACCACCGGGAAUUACUUCCAAAUACUUCUUGUCUUUUGACAACUGGUACUCACUUAUGUGUGGUAGAAAUUAUUUUUGACUAUGAAGACAGUAGGAAAGGUUCCUACUGCAUAUAUAUUACCAAAACCUCAGGGGGUAUAAUUACAUGUGUGUGUUACAUACAUGCGUAGUGGUUGCACCACUCAAAAAAAGCACUAGAGAGUACACAGGCACCUAUUGUAUGGAUUCAAGUAUAGCAGUAACAAUAUGCUCUUUGGAGGGUUUCACUCUAUAUCUAAGAUUAGAGAAGUCCAACUUAAACCUCUGUUUCCAGGCUGUGACAGAGGGUUUGAUCUUCCUGAAGUGGUUGUUAUUUCGCUCCUUCCAAAGACUCCAGGACGACGUCAAAAAGAUAUCCAUCCACAUCUUUCUAGGCUACAUGGUUUUUUGAUGUUUGAUCAUAUCAAGUCUGUCAUGAUGUGUGGUCCAUGUGAAGCCAAGAGCUCGCUAGCAUUCCUGACUGAAAGUGCAAAGAAAGAAUAGGUGUUCCACCGUUUCUUCAACGUGAUGGCCACACAAGAGGCAAUCAAUGUUUGUACCAAUGUUGUAGUGCCUCCUCUUGAGCAUGUUUCUGGUGUUGAGACGAUCAACGAGUAGGAACCACCCAAAGGUCUUAAUCUUGGGAGUACUUUUUUGCUUUCCACAGCCAGCCGAAAGCUUCAUGGGCAAUCACAUCUUUGAAAUAAAAUUUGUAGUAUGAGGAUGUUUUGAAGGUUUGGUCGCCCCAUAUACAUUGCCAGGUGUCAUGUUCAUCCGUAAGUGUGAUCUCGGCCACCUCAUAUUGGAUGGAUCGCAGUUCGUCAUGUGCUUGAACAGAGAGGGGGAGCUGAAAGGUUUCAUGCAGGUCGGUGGACGUCAGGAGUUGUUUGACCGAAAUGUCUUCAACAAUAGCAUAAGAAAAAUCCCUGGGGCAACUAUCAGCAUAUAUGGACUGGCUCCAAUUAUCUUUCCAGAACAGAGCAGAAGAUCCAUCCCCAAUUUUUAUGCGUGUCACACCUCGAUACGUGGGCAUUAGCUGAGUUAAAUAUUUCCACCAGAAGGAGCCACACGAGUCAUGAGCAUGUGGGAUGGUGUCACCAUAGUAGGAUUUCUAGAUUAGAUGGACCCAAGGGAUAUCAUGCCUGUUGUAAAACUUGUGGAGAAAUUUGAGUAGCAGGGCAUCAUUCUGAAUUUUGAGGUUGACAACACCCAAUCAACCAUUUUUCUUGGGCGUGCAGACCAUGUUCCAAGCGGCAAGAGAGUUGCUCUUAAUCCCAUCAUCGGACCGCUUUUGCCAUAGGCAAUGCCUUCUGAUCUUGUCAAGUUGGGCAACAAUUUUUGGUGGGAGGCGAAUGGUGCCCAUUGUGAACAUGAUAAGGGAGGUUAUCAUCGAGUUCAUUACAGCAAGUUUCCCCGCGUAUGACAUUAGAGACAUAGAAGUCGUAAUAUUUCUUUCUGCUUUGCAAACUAGAGGAGCCAAGUCAAGGACGGUCGGGCGAGUGGUGCCUAGGGGUAGGCCAAGGUACGUGAACGACAUGGAUCCCACAGUGCAUCCCAACAAAUCAGCUAGUUCUUUGCAUUUCUCAGGAGGUGUGUUAAUUGGCACUAGCAUGGAUUUAUGGAAGUUGAUCUUGAGCCCUACGGACGUGGCAUAAUCCUCUAGGAUUUCCUUAAUCUUGGCAAGUUGGCGGUUGCAGGCUGGCAGGAUGAUGAGCAUGUCAUCCGCGUAUUGAAUAACAGGGUAGUCACCAUUAGUGUUGCGUCGGAUGGGUAAUUCCAGGAGGUUAUUUCUAAGUGCCUCAUUAAUUGCAGACUGGAGUAGGUCCGCAGCUAUGACAAAAAUUAGAGGCGAGAGGGGGUCACCUUUUCGCACACCACAUUUGCAUUGGAAAGAUUUUCCCGAAGUACCAUUGAGCAAGACCGAAGAUUUACCAGAAGUGAAGAUGCAUUGCAUCCAUUGGAGCCACUUGUCAUUGAAACCCACUUUUCUCAUAAUGUGCAGCAUAACAGAGUGUUGGAUAGUGUCAAAGGCUUUGGCGAAAUCUAAUUUCAGCAAGAUUAUCUCUUUUUGCGAGGCUUAACACUGGUGUAUAUAUUCGAAAGCCCACGCCAAACAGUCAUGGAUGGAUCGGCCGCGUAAGAACCCGUACUGAUUACGGUGGACUAUCUGCAAGAUGAUUUUUUGAAGACGAUUGGCCAGCAGCUUUGUGAUAAGUUUGAGAAAACAGUUUAAUAAUGUGAUCGGGCGGAAGUCAUUGACCGUCUCUUGUGAGUUCUUAGGGAUCAAGGUGAUAUAGCCAUAGUUUAGGCAAUCAAGAUUCAAAUCCCCUCUGUGGAAUUCAUUGCACAGAAUGUAGAAGUCAUUUUUAAUGAUAGGCCAGCAUGCUUUCGAGAAGGCGCCAUUGAAACCAUCCGGGCCUGGUGCUUUGUUCGGGGGCAUCUCCUUUAUGACAGCAUCGAUUUCAGCAUGUGUCAAUGGGGUAGUGAGGCUAUCGAAAUCAACUUGCUGUCGGAGCAAAGACGAGAGGUUAAACUUCAUGUUUGGCUUCGAGCAUGAACCCAAUCUUUGUUUGAAGGCUUGGAACAGAAUAGCUUCUUUGCCAGCAUGAUCCUCCACAACAAUCCCAUUUUCAGUUUUUAGUGUAGCAAUGCAGUUUCUUCUGAAUCUUUCUGUAGCAACAGUUUGGAAAAACUUUGAGUUUUCGUCUCCAAACUUGAUCCAUCUGAUGGUGCAUCUUUUCUUCCAGUAUUCCUUUUGGUAACUAAGAAGUCGUAGGAGGUGCUUUUUGAGAAUGUUUCUGAAGUUAUGUUCAGGGAGCGAAAGAGCACGCCGCUCUUCAAUACCAUCUAGCUCAAGAAGUGCUUUAUUGGAAUUUUCGAUGGCAAUUUUUAGGCGGGAAAUCUUUUUGCUCCAGUGAGAAAGGGCAUAACAGAUAGCUUUCAGCUUUUGGCAUAGUAUAGAAGCUGCAUUUUUAUCUUUGCCAAAUUUGAGGGGCUUAUUCCAAGCUUCCUCAAUGACAUGCAGGAAGCCCAGGUGCGCAAUCCAAUAGGUUUCAAAUCUGAAAAUUUUGCUCUUGGGGAUUUUGGAUUGUAUGAUCACAAAGUAGGGUAUAUGGUCAGAGACUGGGCGGCCCAAAGGGUUUACCAUAGUGUUAGGAAAAGAUGUCGUCCAAUUUAGCGAGGUGAAAAACUAGUCAAGUUGUUCGAGCAGAGGAUUGAGCUGCAUAUUAGACUAGGUGAAAGUACGACCUUUAAUGGUAAGUUCAGUUAAAUCUUGCUGUCGGAUGAAGUCAUUGAAAGUAAACAUAUCCUAAGUGUUUCCUCCUAGCAGAUUACGAUUUUCAGGCGAGCGAACGUAGUUGAAGUCCCCUAGCAGAAGCCAAUCUUCAGAAGAUGGGAUUGAAUGGUCAAACAACCAUUAAGUGUAUGUAUUGUGCUGAUCCCCUUGACAUGGGCCAUAGAUAUUAACUAACGUCCAGUUAUGCGCGUUUUGGGUGGAAGUGAAGUUGAUGCCUACUGCAAAUUGUUCCUCAAAAGUGACCGUACCAGUGAAAAGAGCACUAUUCCAGAUCGUGACAAUUCCUCCCGACGCUCCAACGGACGGAACAUACACAUAGCUAUCAAAACGCUUAGGGCAGAGCAACUUGAGAGUGGCAGCAUCAAACGUCUGCAUUUUAGUUUCUUGAAGAUAGAUAAUUGCACACCCACUAGACUGGAUCGCAUUCGAUAGAGCUAAGCGUUUUUUGUCUGAAUUAAGACCGCGAAUAUUCCAACAUAGGACAUUCCACGACUGCAAAAGAACCAUUUAACGAUGAAGUAAAGAGGAAGAUCAAGCUGAGGUUGAUGAAGAAAUCCCCGCCUGGUCUUCAGUGAGAGCAGCAACCGUGAGCUCCUCCUCCGGGAUGGCACAUAAGUUUGUGCCAAUGGCUUGCAUUGUGGAAAUAUCAGUUGGAGGAGGGAUUUCUUCAUUGAGCAUCUAAGUGGAAGUAGUAGUUGCAGAACCAAGGGAGGCAGCCGAACAAACAGUACGUGGCUUCACCUUGGAUUGGAGGCCUUAGCUUUAGAAAGAGAAUUUAUGCGAAAACUAUCAUACUUGUUGGUACGGUUGCUGUGACGAAAAGUGGAAGUGUCGAUGGGAGCUAACACUUUCCCUUUGCGCUUACGAGCUGAGGAACCAACCGCAUUGUUUGCAGUUUCAGAGAUGGCACCUGUUGCAAUCUGAAGCAGACCAGUCUAAGUUUCAGAGUGAUAUGCAGCCAGGUCAGAUAGAUGUGAAUCAGCAUCCGUGUUAGACCUCAAAUGGAGGGAAUCAGCCUCAAUGCUAGUAGAUCCAUCAUCAUCAUCAGAGAGUUCAUCAACAAAAAUUUCCAUGGGACCCUGAAUCUCCUGCCUGAACUGUCCAACAGAGUUUGGCGGGCUAUCAGAAAUGUCCUCAAUGAUCACAGCAGAAGGAGUGACAGCACUGGAGUUAUGCUGUGUGAAUUGGAGGCCUGUAGGACCAGCCGCCACCUGAACCUCAAGAUGCAGAACAUCUUGUCUAAACCCAAAACCAGAAGCCCAUGGAUCCCUUGUAGCAAGCAUAGGGCGGAUAGAAUUGAAAAGUGCAUUGUUGAGUUGCUGACGUGGUAUAGGAUCGGACAGAAGGAUUUCCAAGAGGGAGUCACCUUGAGCAGACAAACCAAAACACAUACCUUGGUCAUGAAUAUCCACGGAGAUGGUAAUCACUUCAGCAGCAGUAGUGUGAGUCACCUGGUCGACAAGGGCAACAACAUUAAACCCUGGAGAGGUCACUGGUAGAAUGAGCAAAUCUGAUUCAGUGGAAGCAAAAUCUUCAGAGGAAGUAUAUUCAGAAGAUGCAGUAACAGCCUCAUGCCAAGCUUGCAUAGGAAUGUUAGCAAUAUUGUUGUCAGGAACCACGCCAUGCAUAACAGUAAAACCCCAAGAAGCCUGCCAAGCCUGAUAAUUCAUUAGAUGAGGUGGCAUAGGAGGAUUUGGAGGUUGAGGCCAAGGAGCCCACCCUUAGUUAGGUGCUUCUUCAUUGUUGUUGUGAACAGGGUGAUUGGGGGCAGCAUUCUGCACCAUCCAAUUGUGAACCUGCUGCUGAUAGAGCUGUUCAACAGUAAGUUGAGGCCCAAACUACGGGUGAGGGUUGCCAUCCGCAGGAGGUGGUUCUUCGUUAGGAGGCAACACUUCAGGUAACAGCCCAUUCCAGUCAUUGCUUCUCAAGAUAGUAACCUGAACUGUCCAGCAGUCUCUUGCACCUCCAAGCUGCCAGACAGCAAAGCUCUUGGGCACAAGAUUCAGACGGAUUACACGAGCCUUGAUCAGCAUAUAUCUCCUAUCUUGGCGGGGAUUGUACCAAUGAACUAGAGAACCAUAGCCCCCUAAUGCCUUAGUGAUAUAGUAAUCCGUUUGGUAGUCAUAUGGAAAGCCGAAAAACAUCAACCAAAUCUCUGGACCAAAGGAGGUGGUGCGUCUGUUGAGUGCUUCGUUGUUAGGCACAAAAGUGCUAAGCAGAUCCUCCUCCUCUAAUUCUAAGGGUGUGUUGACAGCCAUAUCCCUCAAGAAAGAGUUUGCAAAACCAAAGAUCCCAACCCCAAGUGGAUGAUCACUAGCUUCAGUGGUAAAAAGAUGGGCUUCAUGCAGCAAACCUUCGAUAGCAGUUCGAACAGCAGCCCGGCGAUGCAGAGGAACAUAUGCACUUGCUUCCGAAUCGCCAGGUAGUCGUGGUUGAGCGGCGCAAUCGGGCGACCACCAUCCCAGACCUGACCAGGCGGUUCGCCGGACCAGGCUCCACUACAAACCCAGGUGACAAGAAGGGGACGGGGUUGAGCGGAUAGUUGGCCAUGGCGGAGGGCGAGAUGAGUGGAGGCAUCAAUGGUGAGUGAGGUAGAGUGCUGGCAUUGGUGGCAUGGGAGGUGUUUUGCAGGCUGGGGCGAGGCGUUUGGGCAAUCGAGGUGGAAGGCGGAGCAUGAGGGGCAGAAUCGGUAAGUCGAGUGGAUUUAGGAAUCCAUUUCCAUUUUUGCACCUUCCUUCGCUGGAAGCAAUGCCGUUCCAGGUGGCCAUAGAAACCACACGAUUGGCAUCUAAUGGUGCCUUUCUUACGCUGAUUGAUAGGAAGUGGUGGCAGAGCCGCGGGACUAGCGUUGGAGUUGAUUUGCUUCCCUAGGCAGUCGCCAAUCUGGUCAAAAUUAUGCAUCUGUGAAGCAGAUUUGGGGCAAUUGAUUGCCUUGUGGUCAGGCGCCGAGAAAUUAAUACAAAUUAGGCAUGCAAGGCAACUGGUUUUUUUGUGACCCCAUUGCAGACAUUUGGAGCAGAGUGAGGCCCAAUGGGUAUUAAGGUCUGUUAUAUCCUCCAAGGAGUAGUGGGCUUGGGCUAGAUCGGCCUUGUGUUGGUUGCUAAGUGUUGGAGGCCAAAACUCAUGCGGAGGCGCGUAUUUGAACGCAGAUGAAAGAAAACAUUGGGGUAACGAUGGGUAUUGGACAUGAAGUAAGCAUUUAAAGCUGCCCAGGAGAAUAAAAUCCGCUGGCUGAUUGCCCAACAAUUGCUCUUGUCGGAGAUAAUGCUGCAUUAAUUGAAUAUGUGAACCCAUAGCCUGUGAUGUAGGCAAAUUACGCUACUGAAUCAAGGGAUCAUCCAAAUUCAAAUUAUGAAGCAUCUGACCAGAAGAUGAAGCUUCGCAAGAAUUUUUGUUUGAAAAAACCAUCUUGUCAAUUGGAACAAUGUUGAAUUUGCCAAGGAUCUGAGCAGACCGUGAUCCUGGUGAGCCCAUUGGCGUCUUGAAUCUAAGGUUGGACUUGAUCGCAACUGGAGACCGAGAAGGAAUGUCCAAAUUUUCUUGAUCCGCAUGCCAGGAAGAGGCAGAGACAGGAGCUCUAGCAUAUCGGCCAUUAAAAAGAUGGAAGUGACAAACAAAAUCUAGCCAUACUCGAUCUUUCAAACCAUAUAUGAAAUGACCAACUUUGUUGCUUGCAACAGAAAAACGGAAGGUGCGAUCCUUGAUCUUGGUGACAUGGAAUCCAGAGCUUAGACCCCCAAGACAACAUUGCAAAGCAAUACCAAUAGAUUCCACCGAGAGAGGAAAGGAGGCUGAGGAGAAAGUGACCACCAUAAAGAAUUCCCUAGAUCCUUGGGAAGGGGAAAAAUGGACUGUCGUGCCAAACCUGUGCCUCACCUGAUUUGCAAGGGCUAGGCCCGGAGCAAAGUCCCAAUGGAGAAGACCAUCCAUGAUUCCUAGAUCUAUAGGCCACCAUUGUUGGUGGAGGUCAAGGGGAGGGGUGGGAGGUGGGAGGGAGAGGAGAGGGAGAGGAGAGCCAUUUCUUUACUAAGUCUAUCUUGUGGUGGUAGAAAUAAUUGAUCAUCUUCACAUUGGCUUUUGCCUUUUUUUGCCUUAUCUCUUGCCAAGUUUGUGUCAACUCCCAUUGCCUUCUGUGCCACUUGAGGAUCUUGGUGUUUUCUUGAUAUUGUCUAAUGUUUUCUUGAAAUAGUGAAAGUUGUGAUCCUACCUUGUGCAUUUUGUAUUCAAUUGCAAAUUCUCUAUAAUGCACAACUCGUGGGGAGCUAUCCUAUUUUCUAUAAAACACUAAUCUUGUGAUCGAUUUUAAGUGUGUGUUGGUGGACGGAAAGCUGUUUAUUUUUGGUAUGUGUGCCAUCAUGAAACUUUGUAGAGAGCUUGGUUUGUUUGGAACCAUCCUCUCUUUUGGGAGUUUGAUAUAAUUUUGUGUGUUCCAAUGGAUAUCUCAUCCCGUGAUGUAUCUUUGAUAUCUUCCAAGUGAUGAUUUCUCCAUUUGGUAUCCUUUUCACUUGGUAUUUCCUUUUUUUGGUAUCAGUUCUUGAAAGUAUUAAGCAUGCAUAUUAACUUCAUGUAGUUUCUUUGGCAUGCUUUCUUUCUUUGACCCAAUAUAUAGGGGAAUCUCCACCAAGUCUCAAAUCAGAUGAGAUGUGUAUGAAAUUCAUUUUCAUAUCUAUUUGCACAUAUUUAUGUGGAGAUUGUCCUAUGUAUUGAUGUUUCUAACCCUUUUGUCCCAAUGAGUUUGGGUACCAUUUUGUUUGUGUUGUUGUCCUAGGAACAAUUGGAGAUGCAUUGGAUACUCGGCUCAUUCAAAAGGAAGGUGUUGUAACCAUGUGCUUAUUGGAGUCAAGCUGGGAUGAUCAAUGAACUACUUUCUACCUUCAAUUGGUUUCUACUACAUCCUUCCAAUGCUAUCUCGGUAACAAGUAUCAUCAUCUACUACAUCCACACAUUUAUUGCAUCAACCGUGUGUAGGUUGUAUCAUGGCAUGUUAUUCAUUCUAUCUUGUGAUAUUUGUUUCCUUUCUCAAAGCAUCCCAACAAUGAUAUCUUGUUGCUAGUUGUGAUGUCUUUGAUGGUUGUGUGGUAGGAAUUCAUUUAUAUACAAUAAGACCAUAUCUAGCCAUGUGUUAUGCUUCCAAGCAAAUAUUUUAUUGGUAUAUCUAUGACUUCCUUUUGGAUAUCUUGUUCCUUCGUCUUGUAACUAUUCCAGGUGUACGUCCUUCUUUGUAGAUAUAUAUCAUCAUGAUUUCGUCUACCUAGAAUCUUAUACACUUGAGAGAAGUUGCAUAUCUAGAUGAUAUCCUUUCUUUCACGUCCACGUUGUCUUUCUUUUGUUUUUUUGCUUUGGUGGCUCCAUGAAAGGUUUUGCCUUGAGUGUAUGUCUUAUCUCGUUGCGUCUUGAUGCACUCUUGUGUGGUGAAGAUUAUUUUCCUCAUGCUUAUCUCUAUGAGGCUUUUGCCAUCUUGGUAUCCCUCGUCUUGAUGAGGCUUUCAUAUUCUAUCUUCACCAUGGGUUGUCACAAGUGUUGGUUAUUCUUUUUACAUUUUUAGUGUGCUUGUGAACCCUUUUGCUUGGUGUGUGUGGGGAGGACAUGUCAUGCACCGUGUAUCUCAUUUACCCAAGGCUAUGUUGAUGCUUUAUGCUCAUCCUUAUAUUAGUCUUCUCAAGUGCUUUGUCAUGACUCACACACAUUAUUUUGGUUGAGCCUAUUCUUAAGUUGCCUCUUUUACAUGUUGCUCAACCAUGUGCUUGUUGCAAGUGCUAGGCUUUGUUUCCUAUAUGCUCACUUGCACUUGUUGUGAGUUUCUAUUGAUUUUCGGGGAGUGAUGAUCCUAUUUUGUGCACUUGGUAUCCUAAUGCAAAUAUUGUAAGGAGUGCACAAAUCAUGGAGAGCUUCACUAGUGUCUUUAGAACACUCUGUUGCUCUCUUGCACUUGUCGUGAGGUUCUAUUGAUCUUGGGGGAGUGACGAUCCUAUUUUGUGCUCGUUGUAUCCAAUUACAAAACUAAAUUGUGCUCAAAUCACGGGGAUCUUCUCUAGUUUCUCUAGAACACUCCUUUGCUCAUAUCAUAAUUUAUUUCAUUCAUGUGGCACGUAGGAUCAUUGGUCUAGUUGGCUCAAUUGAUAUCCGUUGAUUGCUUGCUUCAAUUGGUAUCUUUUGAUUGCUUAAUUGCUUGUUUCUCUCUUUGUUAUGUCUUUGUGGCAUAUCAUUCUUUUGCAAUCUUUGGGCCUCAAUAUAGUUUUUCUUCCUCCAAGUAUUUACCAUUGGACAUGUGUAUUGCAUUCCACUCUCUUGUUGAGAAAUACACAAUUUAUGGAGGAACACUUUUUAUAUUGGCCUUCUAAGCUUUUUACCCAUUUUGGCAAUCGAUGCCAAUGGGGGAGGAGUUUCAGAGAGUUUUGUUCCUAAGCAUUUGCAUCCCAUUCUCAUGCAUCAUUGGUUGUUGCAUUGCAUGGUGAUGCAUAAUUCCUUAUAUAAACUCUCUUGAAAGUGAUUGUCAGCAAUUACCAAAAUGGGGGAGAUUGAAAGAACAUGUGGUGCCACCAUGUUUGGUAUUGGUUAUUGAUGACAAUCUCUAUGGACUAAUGGUUUCCUUGAGUUAUAUUUGAAGGUUUUGUCCAUAGGCUUUUCUUGGAGUACAUGUGUUGGUUUCAAGGAGAGUUUGUGUCGACCAAGGUGCUAUUCAAGGAAUUACCUAAAAUAUUGGUCUUGUGAGAGGUUGAUCAAGACUAAGUCAAAGAGUGAAUCAAGUUGAUCAACACACAAAGCAUAGAAGAUGUAUCGAGAAGGAUCAAGUGAUCCCAUGGUAUGGUAAGCAUUGUUAAUUACCCUUUGUGUACUAUCCCAUGGUCUUCAUGAGAGUUCUUUGUGGGGUUAGGAUGCGGUGUGCAAUAUCAAGUGAUGCAUCACGAAGAGAUCAAGUGCUUGAAGCUUGCCGUCCAUUGAGGUGACAAUGGACUUGUGAAGAUGAGCCGAAGAUUGGCUCACCCAUAGUGGACUAUGGGGGAGCAAUCAUCUAGUCUUCAUAUAGCCAACGCAAUCAAGAAAGGCGGUCCAACUUGAGGGAGUCAAGAUCAUCAUCAUCUAGCUCAAGUGGACCAUGUGCAAGGCAAAGGUUUGCCCUCGACAGGUUUUCUAUUUUACCAGCCUCAUGGUGGUAGUUGGGAGACCGGGUUAUAGGGUCGUUUGCCAUACUAUCAAGGGGUGCUUUGUCAGGCCCAAUAUGCGACCCUAUCCAAAAGGAACUCGAAGGUCCCACCAAGGAUAGACCCGCAUAUUGGAAUGCUUUUGCAAGGUGGAUAUCAUUACAUCAACAUUACAUAAUAGAUAGGGAUACAUACAAAAGGCAUAACGAGCAGGGAAAACUAGCGAGAGGCGAACGAGCAGGGAAAACACUUGAGCCGACGAAAAGAAUAUAAUCACUACCGAAAAAAUUAGAAUUGAAUCCACCGGAGAAGAAAAAGGGAUGAUGAAUGACGAACGAGACGAGAAUUCACCGGUUGAAAUAAUUGAGGGAAGACUGAAGAGGCUCCGUACGAAUGUAAUUGAUGCUCGAAAGAGACUCAGACUCCGGAAAGAAAAAGCGUGGGACGGCGGGAAAACAAAGGGAACUUGGAAGGGGAAAACCAACGAAUAUCUUGAAGAGAAAACACCGGUUGAAAUCAUUGAGGAAAGAAAGCAAAGACUUUGCACGAGUAGGAUGGAUACUUGAUUACGGACUCCGGUUCCGAGAAGAAGAAGGGUGGGUGGGUGGGAAAAGAAAACAACUGAGGAUUGAACUUGCAAAAACAGAGGGGGUCGAAUCACCUUGACGAGAAAUGCACUGGAUCAAAAGAGCUGAGAACCAACGAACGAAAAACUAACCGCGUGAUCCUAAAGAAAAAUUUGAAGGGAAGAGGAGUAGUUCAAAACACCUACGUCAAGAUUCCUCACCAGAGCAACGAAGGGGCUGAGGAGUAAAAAGAAUUCCUACUCUCCGAUAUAACUAGACUCAGAAAAUAGUUUUUUUCUAGACUCAACAAUGGCCAAACUACACGAUCAAUCAAGGGGGCUCCUAGGGUCGGUCGAGGCUCUGAUACCAACUUGGCACGCCCAAUAUGCGACCCUAUCCAAAAGGAACUCGAAGGUCCCACCAAGGAUAGACCCGCAUAUUGGAAUGCUUUUGCAAGGUGGAUAUCAUUACAUCAACAUUACAUAAUAGAUAGGGAUACGUACAAGAGGCAUACAAUGCCACAUGAAUACAACAUCAAUACAUCAUACAUAAGAUCAACAUCCGAACUAUGGAUGAAACACAAACAGAAACUCAAACGACAUCCACCCUGCUAGCCCAGGCUGCCGACCUGGAACCUAUCCCCUGACCGAAGAACAAGAAGAAGAACUCCAAAACAAGCAACAUCGCUCUCGCGUCAUGAUCAUCGCAAAACCUGUACCUGCAACUGUUGUUGUAGUAAUCUGUGAGCCACGAGGACUCAGCAAUCCCAUUACCAUGGGUAUCAAGACUAGCAAAGCUUAAUGGGUAAGGAAGGGGUAAAGUGGUGAGGUUGCAGCAGCGACUAAGCAUGAUAUGGUGGCUAACAUACGCCAAUAAGAGCGAGAAGAGAGCAAGCAGAACGGUCGUCAACUAGUAAUGAUCAAGAGGUGAUCCUGAACUCCUACUUACGUCAAACAUAACCCAAAGACCGUGUUCACUUCACGGACUCCGCCGAGAAGAGACCAUCACGGCUUCACGGACUCCAUAAUUGCAAACAGGGGCAUGGAUGGAUAGCUCAUAACCAUAUGUACAAAACAUCCUUACUGAAGUAUCUCAAAAUAAGCAUGGAUCUCUCUGUAGCAUCAAGUUUACAUGGCAUAAAAAUAACAACAGAACAGGGACUGAAAUCAGCAACAUCACGAGGCCUAGUUUACAUGCUUGUGCUAGUCACCACAUUGAUCACAAAAAUACAUGUCAUACACCCCUGUAAAGAUGGCAUGGCAUAGUUAAAAACAUAUGUAGGGCUCAAGUUCAUAAGAUGCACACAUCAAUCAUGGCAAAAAUGACAAAUCAUCAAGUUAUAACAGUUUCAGUAGAUUAACAGCAACAUGCACUCUUGAAACGAUGAUUCGGGCAUCAAGAUGAACUCAAAUGAACAUGAUGCAAUGGAAUGAAAGGAAGUACUCAUUGAGGCGAACAAUUUGACAUAUUACACACACGAAACAGAGCAGUAUGCAGCAAGUUAUGAUGCGUUGAACAUGGCACGAAAAUGUAUGGAUUCGGGGACUUAGAGGAAAAAUGGACCUCGAGGGGAAAAAGUCAACUCGCCGGAAUCUUCGCUGGAGAACGGCCGGAGUAGACAGGGAAUACGCCGGAGCUGCGGGGAGAGGUCGGGGAGGACGGAUCCGGGGGCGAGGUCGCCGGAUCUGGCCGGAGCCGCGCCGAGGAGCGGCGGGGCACGUGCCGGCAGAGCUCCACGGCCGGAGGCGGCCUUCCAUGGCGGCGACAGCGGCGGUUGCCGGUAGGGCGCGGGCCCUGGAGGCCACGAGGCGGCGGGGAUGGCGCGGACGGCGGGGUCCGGCCAGCCAAGACAGUCGGUGGCGGGACGGAGGGGCCGAGCCACGCGCANNNNNNNNNNNNNNNNNNNNNNNNNNNNNNNNNNNNNNNNNNNNNNNNNNNNNNNNNNNNNNNNNNNNNNNNNNNNNNNNNNNNNNNNNNNNNNNNNNNNNNNNNNNNNNNNNNNNNNNNNNNNNNNNNNNNNNNNNNNNNNNNNNNNNNNNNNNNNNNNNNNNNNNNNNNNNNNNNNNNNNNNNNNNNNNNNNNNNNNNNNNNNNNNNNNNNNNNNNNNNNNNNNNNNNNNNNNNNNNNNNNNNNNNNNNNNNNNNNNNNNNNNNNNNNNNNNNNNNNNNNNNNNNNNNNNNNNNNNNNNNNNNNNNNNNNNNNNNNNNNNNNNNNNNNNNNNNNNNNNNNNNNNNNNNNNNNNNNNNNNNNNNNNNNNNNNNNNNNNNNNNNNNNNNNNNNNNNNNNNNNNNNNNNNNNNNNNNNUGGAGGCAGGGACCACACAGCGGCGACAUGUGGCAGGCCGGGAUUGGCCGGAGGCGACGGGCGGACACGUCCGACUCGGGACGGACAUGUCCGGCGGCGGAAGGUGGAAGAAGAUUAGGGUUAGGGGUGGAUUUCGGGGGAGAUGCACAUAUAUAUAGGUAGAGGGAGCUAGGAGUGUCCAAAUGAGGAGUGGUUUUUUGCCACGCAAUCGUGAUCGAACGGCCGAGAUCAUGGAGGGGGUUAGGAUGAGUUUUGGGCCAGUUUGGAGGGGUGUUGGGCUGCAAAGAGAAAGGGGCUUUUACGGUUACCCGGUUAACUGUUGGAGUAUCAAACGACCUCCAAAUGGCACGAAACUUGAUAGGCGGUCUACCGGUGCUAUACCAAGGCCACUUGGCAAGACUUGGUCCAUUCCGAGAAUGUUUAACACCCGCUCACAAUAGGAGACAAAAGGGGGACGCCGGAGGCAUAGGAGUGCCGGAUUGCAAAACGGACAACGGGGAAAAUGCUCGGAUGCAUGAGACGAACACGUAUGCAAAAUGAGAUGCACAUGAUGACAUGAUAUGAAAUGCAGAUGAUGACAUGGCGAAAUGCAACACGCAAGCACAUGACAUGGCAAAGAUGGCGAAUAGCUGGCGGACACCUGGCGCAUCGAAUCCGGGGCGUUACAAGCUCUCAAGUUGGUAGCUUGAUUGUAUCGUUAGUAAAGAGAUCAAACCAUUGCAUCCUUGCAUUAUGUUUCUUGAUUCUUGUUUGGUUCUCUUUGUGAGUCUUAGAGCUUAUGGUCCUCUUGAUGACAAGCUUGAGUUCAUCAAAAACGGAGUUCGCAUGCGUCUUCUAUGAUGUUUUCGGUGUUGGAGGUUUUACCGGUCUUAUCCGAGGAAGGGUUCUCACCAUUUUAUUAUGGGAAUUUUCUCAUUUUCUUAUUGUUUAUAUUCUAUCCAGAUUGUGUUAUCCCAUGUCGUUAGCUUUCCAACAAACUUGGUUUCGUUGAAUUCGGAGUCCGUUUGCAAAAGUUGUGGCUGUUUUGGUAAAGGCUGCAGCGGUACUACCGCGACUAGAGCGGAUGUAAAUUUUUACUACCGCUCCAGAGCUAUACUACCGCGGCUCCUGAGCGGUAGUACCGCUUCAGACCAAAAUCUCGUGUUUUGCUCUGCGGAGGUAGGCAUGGAAGUAUUUUUUUAGUACCGCUCGCAAGUAGUAGUACCGCUACCAUUUGCGGUAGUACCGUGAGGUCGAGCGCUAGUACCGUGAGGACGAGCGGUAGUACCGCUUCGGUGGUUCUAUUGACCUUUUGCCUCCUCGUUGUUGUUUUUCAAAGGGGUUCCACCGCCCUAGCGGUAGUACCACUCCUUGGAGCGGUAGUACCGCUCUGUGCGGGCUGUGAGCAUAACGGUUGGAUUUUUCCCCACCUAUAAAAGGGGGUCUUCGUCCCCAUUGAACAUUAUCUCUUAAGCUCGUGUUCUUCCCCCAUUGUUGACCUUCUUCGAGCUUGCUAACUCUCAAUCCCUCCAAUGAUUCUUGCUAGUUCUUGAGGGAAAAGAGAGAGGAGAUCUAGAUCCAUGUUUCCAGCAAUUACUUUCUCCUCUAAGUGAGGGGAACCCCUUGGAUCUAGAUCUUGGAGUUCUUCGUGUUCUUCUUUGGUUCUUCCUCUCAUUUCCCUCCAUAGUAUUAGUUGCUUUGGUUGGAUUUGGGAGAGAAGGACUUGGGCACUCCGUGUGCCCUUGCCAUUGCUUUUGGUGCAUCGGUUUGAGUUCUCCACGUGAUACGUGGAAGUUACAAGUUGAGAAGCUUAUUACUCUUGGGUGUUUGGACACCCUAGAGCUUGUUCCUCUUGGGUGCCUUGGCGCCCUAGAUGGUUGGUGUUGUUCGGAGCUCAAUCAUUGUGGUGUAAAGCUCCGGCAAGCGUCGGGGUCUCCAAUUAGGUUGUGGAGAUCGCCCCAAGCAAUUUGACGGGUACCGGUGACCGCCCCCAAGGGUUGCCAAAGUGUACGGGUUAGGUGACCGCCCCCAAGGGUUGCCAAAGUGUACGGGUUAGGUGACCGCCCCCAAGGGUUGCCAUUUUUACGGGUUCGGUGACCGCCCUCAAGGGUCCCUUAGUGUAAUCAUGACAUCUUGCAUUGUGCGAGGGCAUGAGAAGAUUACGGUGGCCCUAGUGGCUUCUUGGGGAGCAUUGUGCCUCCACACCGCUCCAAAGGAGGUUAGCAUCUGCAAGGGUGUGAACUUCGGGAUACAUCAUCGUCUCUGAGUGCCUCUGUUAUCUCUUACCUGAGCCCUUUACUUAUGCACUUUACUUUGUGAUAGCCAUAUUGUUCUUUGUCAUAUAUGUUGCUAUCACAUAGUUGCUUAUCUUGCUUAGCAUAAGUUGUUGGUGCACAUAGGUAAGCCUAGUUGUUGUAGGUUUUGUGCUUGACAAAUUAACCAUUAGGUUUAUUCCGCAUUUGUUCAAGCCUCUACUGUAAUUAUUUUAAAAUGCCUAUUCACCCCCCUCUAGGCGACAUCCAUGAUCUUUCAACUAGUGGUAGACCUUGGAGUGGUCUCCAGACCCUCACAAACUUUCCGGGGAUAAUCACAAAGAACGAUUCCUCUCCGAAUGACUCCUACCGCCUAGGUGUCUCCAACCUCCAAGAUUAACAAGAACAAUGGGGAAAAAGCUCAAGACUUGCUCAAAUCACGAAUUCCUUUGGUGCAAAGAAGGGGAAUGAGUGGAUUUAUCACUUUAGUGGACAACUUCUCUCAAAUGCUCUCAAAUCCCUUAGGGAUCUAAGAUUUGGUGUUGGAGUGUGAGAGAGAGAGUGAAGAUGUGUUCUUGAGGGUGCUUGAAGUGAACGAUCAACCCUCUCACGGGAUAGGAGAGAGAUAUUUAUAGUAUGCCUCAAUAAGUGGCCAUUGGAGCCCAAAACAGCACAACAGCGUCGGGCGUCCGAUGCACAACGGACGACCGAAGGCUUGACAGACAUCGGACGUCCGGCAGGGACCGAACGUCCAAUGUUUUGGCACGGUAUAGUGGGUAUCGGACGAUCGGAGGAUCCGGACGACCGAUGUUUAGGCUCCGUGGAGAAGGUACCGGAGGAUCGAAGAAUAUCAGAUGACUGAGGGCUCUGCAGACAACAGACGUCCGACAAGGACCGGACGAUCGAUGUUUCGGCUCUGUAUAGGAUUUGCCAAACUUCCUAUGCACAUCGGACGACCGAUGUUUUGGCUCUGUAUAGAAGCGGUUGGACGUCCGGUGAGUACUGGUCGUCCGACAGAGAUGAAGAUCAGACACUAACUUUGAAGUAGAUGUUUGAGCAAGACUUUAGCAAUAACCCAUGUUCCCCUCUUAAUAGUGUGGGAUCCUAUACUCAAGAAUAAACAUAAAGAUAGUGAUUCCGAGGGGACUAAAACCUGAGAUAUACUUGACAAACUUUGUUAGUCCCCUUUGAGUAUCUUGUCAUCAACAUCAAAAAAUAUUUAGGGCAUGAUUGGACUUUCAGCACGGUUCUUGGAACAAGACGUGUGCUGACAUUGCCUAUUGCGGUGCACCAAACACCACGUACGUGGCCGAGAGAAUGCGUGCCCAUGUUACGCCGUCCAAGAAUAGUGUCGCACUUACAAAUUAUAGAACCAUCAAUAAAUUUUGAGCUUGCAUCCCGUCACCUUCCAAACCGCAAAGCUGUUCACACCUAUCAAAACCUAAACGGUUUCCCACUUAGGACGUAUUAGUACUCGGUUAUAAAUACUGUACUAGCCAAGAUGAUUGCACAUUCCUUCCUCAACUCCUCAUCCACAAAAGCAAACAGAUCAUUCAACACCAUUCUCUUGCGUCUGCCAUGGCCAGAUUGAGUUCUUGGUCGAGAGAUUACCACCACAGAGAGGCGAGCAUGGAAAUGGAAGCACGAGAGAUGUCCCGCUUAGCUGCAAAAGCAGCCGACAUGCCCCGCCACGCCGUCGAAGCAGCACAGAGGUCUCGCUGUGCCGCCGAAGCAGCACAGAGGUCGCGCCGCACCGCCAAAGCAGCAUGGAGGUCUCGCUGCACCGCCGUAGCACCACGGAGGUCUCUCCAUGCCGCCAAAGCAGCACAAAGGUCCCACCGCGCCGUCGAUGCAGCAGACUGGUCCGGUCGCGCCACGGAAGCAGUAGAGAUGUCUUACCGCGCCGCGAAUGCAGCAGAGAUGACCUUCCACGCUGCGGCAGCCUGGGAAAAUCUCUCGCGGCUAGGCGAGGACUCUUACAGGCGCAUGCAUGCGAUCGUCAAUAGCCAGAUGGAUCAAAUCUCCGACUGGAUGAAGCCGCAGGACGAUUUGAAUGCCUCGUUUGAACAACUCCAGGCCGACCGCAACCUGCUAAGGGCGAAGAUCACCGGAAGGGCGGAGCAGGAGGAGGAGACGGCAGCCUUGUUGAAGAGGACGGGCAUCAUCGUCAAGAAACUUAUGGACGAGAAUGCCAUGCUCCGCAUCGAGCGUGAAAGGCUGGUGGUGGAAUCCCCGGUUGCUUCCGAGCAGCGUGUUAAGGACAUGAAACGGAUGAAAGAGAUCAUCGCUGCUUGCCACGAGAACUAGUCUCCAUGACCUGAAGCGCAUCAAGAAAGUAGAGAUCAGGGAGCCAGAUUGUUGUAUGUGUCUUCCUUCUUCUUUUGCCCUUAUGUAUUUCGGGCGUAGCCGCAUGUGGCUUUUUUAGUUAUCUUCCUAGAUAUGUAAGACAAUUAUUAUGCACUAUCAUCGUCCUUAUAUUCAUCAUGCUUGCUAUAAGUCACAGUCGAUGCUAUAUAGGUCUGUCGGAUCUUACAUCAAGAUCUAUGCAAAACUUUCUUUUCAGAUUUUCACUUUUCUCUCUUAAAUCUCAGUCCGGUGAGAAAUAUCCAUGCCGUGAAACAGGGGCUCGGGCGCCAUUAAUGGAGAGGUUGGGAGGGAGGUGCGCGGCGGAUAGAGGCCAAAGGGCUCUCCUCCAGAUGAGCAUGCGCAAGGGUCUAAUUGCAUGCCUCCCGUACUCAAAUAGCUACCCCGCACGACACCUCCUAGCCAAUAAAAAGGCAUGUGUGGCGGCACGUAAUUGGUAAGUAGAACACCAAUAGUUUCAAUGAUAGUUAUGUUUUCACUUUGUAACGUGACAACACUUGUUCGAAAAUGACUUUGUUGAUUUUUAAUGUGUCCACCUAUGCAAACCGGACAGAAAAAUUACCAUAGCAUGUUGGUGCCAUGUCAUGACACCAUGCCAAGUUUCAUGAUUUUCAGGCAUGUUUUGGAUUUACAGGAAUUAAAAAACGAAGUUUCUCAAAUUUUCCGGCCCAGCCACGACACCCAGAUGUUUGAAUUUCAUUCUCAUUUCUUGCAUGGGACCUGGAAAUUCACCCCAAGGACACAGAUGUGAUUUUUCAACCAACUUUGGUGCACUGGAGCAUGUGCUUGUAGUUCAAAUUUGAAUUAUGCACAUUAAAAGCCCAGCAAUUCAAUUAAUGUAUAAAAAGGCCAAACGAACCCGAAAUAAUUCCAAAAUUUAGCACGAUACUUCUAUUUGGCCUAAUCUUCCUGUGUAAACAAAUUAAGACAGGAGAAGGCAGUGUACGUAUGUUGUUUUGCACACGGAGGUGACACGUUCCCUCUCGGAACCACGGGCCUUCUUUAGAUAAGCUCCGGUUUACAAUCAGCUUAUACCAAAGCUUGUCCCAAUUCGGCCAAAAACUUUACCGCAGCAUGUUGGUGCCAUGUCAUGACACCAUGCCAAGUUUCAUGAUUUUCAGGCGUGUUUUGGAUUUACAUGAAUUAAAAAACCAAGUUUCUCAAUCUUUCCCGGCCGAGCCACGACGCCCAGAUGUUUGAAUUUCAUUCCCAUCUCUUGCAUGGGACCUAGAGUUUCACCCAAGGGCACACAUGUGAUUUUUCAACCAACUUUGGUGCACUGGAGCAUGUCCUUGUAGUUCAAAUUUGAAUUAUGCACAUUAAAUGCCCAGAAAUUCAAUCAGUGUAUAAAAAAGUCCGGAAUAAUUCCAAAAUUUUGCACGAUACUUCUAGUUUGUCUAAUCUGCCUGUGGAAACAAAUUAAGGCGGGAGAAGGCAGUGUACGUAUGUUGUUUCGCACACGGAGGUGACAAGUUUCCUUCUCGGAACCACGAGCCUUCUUGAGAGAAGCUCCGGUUUACAAUCAGCUUAUACCAAAGCUUGUCCGAAUUCGGCCAAAAAAAUUACUGCAACAUAUUGGUGCCAUGUCAUGACACCAUGCCAAGUUUCAUGAUUUUUAGGUGUGUUUUGGAUUUACAUGAAUUAAAAAACCAAGUUUCUCAAUCUUUCCGGCCAAGCCACGACGACCAAAUGUUUGAAUUUCAUUCCCAUUUCUGGCAUGGGACCUAGAAAUUCACCCAAGGACACACAUGUGAUUUUUCAACCAACUUUGGAGCACUAGAGCAUGUGCUUGUAGUUCAAAUUUGAAUUAUGCACAUUAAAUGACCAGAAAUUCAAUUAAUGUAUAAAAAAGGCCAAACGAACCCGGAAUAAAUAAAAAAAUUAGCACAAUACUUCUAUUUGGUCUAAUCUUCCUGUAUAAAAAAUUAAGGCGGGAGAAGACAGUGUACGUAUGUCGUUUCGCACACAAAGGUGACACGUUCCUCUCGGAACCACGAGCCUUCUUGAGAGAAGCUCCGGUUUGCAAGAAGCUUAUACCAAAGCUUGUCCCAAUUCGGCCAAAAAAAUUACCGCAUCAUGUUGGUGCCAUGUCAUGACACCAUGCCAAGUUUCAUGAUUUCUAGGCGUGUUUUGGAUUUACAUGAAUUAAAAAACCAAGUUUCUCAAUCUUUCCGGCCGAGCCACGAUGCCCAGAUGUUUGAAUUUCAUUCCCAUUUCUUGCAUGGGACCUAAAAAUUCGCCCAAGGACACACGUGAUUUUUCAACCAACUUUGGUGCAUUGGAGCAUGUGCUUGUAGUUCAAAUUUGAAUUAUGCAUAUUAACUGACGAGAAUUCAAUUAAUGUAUAAGAAAUUCCAAACAAACCCGGAAUAAUUCCAAAUUUUAACACGACACUCAUAUAGCUCUAUGUUGCCUCUAUAAAACAAUAAGGGGGGCGAGGCAGCGUAUAUCGCUUCGAACACAAAGGUGACACGUCCCCCCUCGGGAACCAUGAGUCUUCUCGAGAGAAGCUCCGGUUUGCCAGAAGCUUAUAGCAAAAACUUGUCCAAAUGCGGCCAACUUUUUUACCACAACAUGUUGGUGCCAUGACAUGACAUCAUGCCAAGUUUCAUGAUUUUCAGGCGAGAUUUGAAUUUCCAGGAAUUUAAAAACCAAGUUUCUCAAUGUUCUCGACCGAGCCACGACGCCCAGAUGUUUGAAUUUCAUUCCCGUUUCUUGCAUGGGACCUAUAAAUUCACUCAAAGACACACAUGUGAUUUUUCAACAAAAUUUGGGGCACUAGAGCAUGUGCUUGUAGUUCAAAUUUGAAUUAUGCACAUUAAAUGCCGAGAAACUCAAUUAAUCCAUAAAAAUGCCAAACGAACAUGGAAUAAUUCCAAAUUUAAACACGACACUCAUGUAGUUGCAUGUUCACUGUACAUAAAUGUUCUAGAAAUUCAAAAACCGUCCUUUCCCUCCGUAGCACCAUUUUGUCUUUCAAAACAUAAUGAAAAAAUCAGGUAUACCACAAAUAGUUUACUAGAAAGAAUCGUGUGGGAUGCGAUAUAAAAUAUCUUGGUGCACCAUCUUGUCUGGCUUAUGCAUGAAGCUUCGUUGUCUACAGUCCACCACCCCCGCUUGAACCACACUUGCGCCAGUUUCUCGCGGCACCGAGCGAAUUUUUUUUGCCACCGCAAAAAUAUCUAUCUCCCCGCCCCUCCCUCCCACCAAAAGCCACAUUUCCACUGUUCCUCCUUGCUUUACAAGUUCAAACCUUCACUGCUACUUACUGGCAACUCAGCCUCCUCGCCGGCGAUCCUUCUUCUUGCAGCGCCGCCUCCUCGCCGGCUACCCUUCUUCUUGCAGCACCGCCUCCUCGCCGGUGACCCUUCAUCUUGUAGUGCCGCCUCCUCGCCGGCGACCCUUCUUCUUGCUGUGCGGCCUCCUCGCUGCCGACCCUUCUUCUUGCUGUGCGGCCUCGUCGAUAUGGUCAGGUAAUCCACACCCCACCCACACCAUCCUCCUCCUUUCCCAUCCCACAUGCCCUGACCGAUGACGCGACACCUUCUGCCGAAAUCAUUGUCCCCCUCCUCCAAUUAAGUGCCGCCCACAGCUAUUUUGCACACAGUAUAACAUGGAGCUCAAUAGAAUCUGGCAGCGGAGAAGCAAAUCGCGGCCGCACGCGUGCACGAGGUCGCUAUGGCUGCCAUGCGUGCCGACCGCUAGAUCUUGGAGGAGCACCUCAUCUUUGAGGCCAUCGUCAACACCGAUGUCGGUGUCAAAACCGGCGGAUCUCGGGUAGGGGGUCCCGAACUCUACGUCUAAGGCUAUUGGUAACAGGAGGCAGGGGACACAAUGUUUACCCAGGUUCGGGCCCUCUCUAUGGAGGAAAUACCCUACUUCCUGCUUGGUUGGUCUUGAUGAAUAUGAGUAUUACAAGAUUUGAUCUACCACGAGAUCGUAAUAGUUAAACCCUAGAAACCUAGCCUAUGAGGUUAUGAUUGUUUUCUACGGACUAAACCCUCUGGUUUAUAUAGGCACCGGAGGGGGCUAGGGUUACACAAAGUCGGUUAUAGAGAAAGGAAUCUACAUAUCCAAAUCGCCAAGCUUGCCUUCCAUGCCAAGGAGAGUCCUAUCCGGACACGAGAAGAAGUUUUUGUCUUGUAUCUUCAUAUCCUAACAGUCUGUCUCAUAUAUAUAGUCCGGUUGUCCGAGGACCCCUUAAUCCAGGACUCCCUCAAUAGCCCCUGAACCAGGCUUCAAUGAUGAUGAGUCCGGCGCGCAGAUUGUCUUCGGCAUUGCAAGGCGGGUUCCUUCUCUGAAUACUUCAAAGUAGAUUUCAAACACAAGAAUCGUGUCCGGCUCUGAAAAACAAGUUCCACACACAACCGUAGAGAGUAUAAUAUUUCACGAGUCCAAUCUACUGACAACUUUUUGUAGCGUGACAUUACGCCACUGCCCGGUCAUUAUUUGAACCAUUUUUUAGCUUGUCGCUCCGUAUUUCGAGGCGCGGUUCUAUUGGCAUGUCUUCUCAAAGUAGAGAUCAUGUCCCCUUAUCAUGGGAUUCUCAUCAAUACGGGCAUGGGUAACCCAACCAUGUCACCUGCAUGGCGCUUGGGAAAUAGGCGAAUGUUAAGGCGGGUAGGGAGGCGCAUGACUUUGACUUCCUUUAUAAAGGGAUAAGGAUUCACCUUUUUUCACCCACGCCUUCUCCUUCCUCUCCCCAUCCAUUCUCGAGCUCCAGCACCCAAGCUCUCGCCUUCUCCGCCCAAAAAAGCUCUCCAAUCAUGUCUGGAUUCGGAGCAGGAGGCAAGUGGAUGGCCUCCCCCGGUAAGGAGAAGAACAUCAAGAAGCUCUAGGAGGCCGGGUACCUAGCCAAGGAAAUCGCCCAUCGACUUCCGGCCAAGGGACAGAUCGUCCCCUCCCCGGAGCCCCAGGAGAGGGUAGUGUUCCUCACACACUUCAUUCACGGGCUGGGAUUCCCUCUCCACCCGUUUGUCCACGGACUCAUGUUCUACUAUGGGUUGGACUUCCAUGAUCUGGCCUCCAAUUCCAUCCUCAACAUAUCGGCAUUUAUUGUCAUGUGUGAGGCCUUCCUCCACAUCCCACCUCACUUCGGGCUAUGGCUGAAAACCUUCAAUGUGAAGCCGAAGGUGGUGAGCGUCCAACAAGCAGAGUGUCGAGGCGCCAUGGUGGGCAAGAUGCCCAAUGUCCCCUGGCCCGAAGGCUCCUUCGUGGAGACUGUCAAGGGAUGGCAAUCGAGGUGGUUCUACAUCACCGAGUCGCGCAGCACUAACUGGGCGGCGACUCCUGCAUUCCGUUCCGGAGUCCCAAUGCGGCUCACCUCCUGACAAGAGAAGGGCCUGACCUGGUCUUUGUUGGAUGAGCUGACAACGCUCCAAAUGCGUGUUCAGAGCAUGAUAAACAAGAGAGUCAAGGUCGUCAAUGUGAUCUAGGUGAUGCUCAUUCGCCAGAUCCUUCCGUGCCAACGCCGGACUUGCUAUCUGUGGGAGUUCGAUCCGGCCAAGCACCAGACGCUACUGGAGCUCUUCGGCACAACGCACGAAGACAUCUGGAAGGUGCUCUUCAAGGCCAACGAGGCGCCACAGCCCACGGACGAGGAUCGCGAGCAUGACUUGACUCACCCUGCUAAACCGGUAAGUUCUUUCAUGUUUUCAUGGUAUGCUCUUUACUGGCUCACCCGAAGAAGGCAUCUAAGCCUCCCUAUUGAUUUUUUCAGGACUGGACAGAGAUGGCGGAGCGGAUUAACUGUCCGGCUCCACUGCUCGAAGGCCUAGAAAUACCGCUUUUCACGAAGAUGCUGAUUCCGGCACCUUAUCAGAUGCCAGAGAAGAAGGCCAAGGGGACCCGAGGUGGUCUCCGUCGCAAGGACAAUUCGGACGUGACGUCCGAAGACGCCAAGGCUCACUCCUCCGCCGCCAAAGACGACGAGGAAGAGGAGGAGGAAGAAGAAUAAAUCCACUCCCCCUGCAGGGGGGAGAAAGAAGAGGAUGGCCUCCACACAUCCGGAGGCCGAGGCAUCCAAGAAGGGGAAAGCUUCCCUUCCGGACAGCUCCACAGCGACCACCGACAGUAGCUGGGAGUGGGAGCCCAAGGAGAAGCCCCUGGCCAAAUCGUAAGUGUUCGGACACAUGUUUGUAUCCGGAUUCUUUAGUUCAUUGUUUUAAUGUGCUAAAUUAUGCAUUUGCAGUCCGGCUCGGUCCAACCUCAAGUGGUCCUUAUCUUCAGAGGAUUCGCUGGACCCAGCGGCGAUGGACAGCAGGACCCUCCCAUCGGCCACCUCUCCCCGGGACCUGGAUGGCGCUGAGGCAUCAUCCCGAAGGAUCCCGGCCCAGGAGAGAAUCCAGAGGCCGUCAGGGAGGCGCCAGAGGGUGAAGCCUCGGUUACCGGACACAUGGGGGAGCAAACCCCCAUGGAUACCAAUGAUUGGGGCCAUAUCCAAGUCGGCCCCCAACCGAAUAUAGUUUCGGAGACACAUGCGGCUCCGGAACGAGGCCAGCCGCCCGUUUCUAAAGGAGGCGGUGCGCCUAUUCCACCGGUGGCCUCUGUCCAUCUAGAGGCACCAGAUAAUUUGCUGGAAGCGCUGCAAGGUGCUUCCAUUGUGGAAGAACAUCGUACCCUUAUGGGUACGGUGAUUGAGAGGAUCCAGUCCACGAAAAGCGGAUUGACCGAAGCCUGCACUAGCCUUCUAAUAGGCUUUGAGGUAAGUAAUAUAAUUGUAUAAAAAGAAUGUCACAGUAUAGAUAGUAGCCCCUGAUACUCUGUCCGGUGUUCGGAAAGAAAAGCCAAACAGAGGAUCAAAUAAUUUUCAUAGGAGUCUAAUCUAAAAUGUCUAUGUGAAUAAGCAGGCGUCGCUGCUGGCCGUGACCACUCACACCGCAGAAGUCUCUGGACUGAAGCAGAAUCUGGAGCAGGCCGAGGAAGAGCUCGGCCGCGUGAAGAAGCAGCUGGAGGACAGUCAAGGUAUGAAGUAACCAUGUAUAUAUUCAGGAAGGAUGAAUGAUUCAUGCUGACUAAAGUGCCAUGAAAUUUAUUAGGGGCAACGACUGGAGUAGAGGCCCUCAAGAAGGCGCUGGCCAGGGCCGAGGACAAGGCGGCCAUGGGGCGGGCCGCACGCCAAAAUCACGAGGCCCGGGUCAAUGAGGUCCAGCAAGAGCUCCAGGACGCCGUCAAGAAGCGCGACACCUUGGGGCGUGAUCUUAAGGAGCAAGGGUUCGAACUUGCCAAGGCCCGCCAGAGCACACACGAUGCUCGGGCCGAAGCCCAGGGCGCCCUCCAGGAAAUCCGGCAGCAAAGAAGAUCACGAUGGGUAAGGCUUUCAUUAUGCAGAGCAGAUAUGUGAAGGAAAGAUUCCUUUUACUUACCCGGAUUUAGAGCUCUCCAGGGACGUUUGUGGAUCUGUCGCGCAGCAUGUCGGAUGCUGUGGAAUUCUAUCGAGCUGAAGAGGGGAGCUCUACGGAGAAGCUGUUCUGGUCGCAAUACCUUGGACCAGAACAUCCAGUGCCCUUUAGUGAUCAGCUGAAAGAACUGGUCGAGUUGCAUAGGGUGGCUGAACUAGCCAUGAAGGAUUUGAUAAUCCGGCUAUGGCCUGCCGAAGCCAUUCCCAGCUACUACUUUGGGCUCGUGAAGCGGCUUGUCAGCGCCUGCCCUCGGCUUGAAGCCAUCAAGCGGCCGGUCUGUAUGGAAGGCGCGUGAAUAGCCUUUGCCCGUGCUAAGAUGCAUUGGGCGAAGAUGGACGCCACAAAGCUGAUGACCGAGGUGCCGCCCGAGUGCAAGGAGCAUCGCAAACCCCAACUGUAUUUCGAUAGUGUCCUGGAGGGAUCCCGCCUUGUGGCAGAGCAAUUUGCUAAGGAUAUCAUAUUCCCAUGAAUACGUUCAUGUUAUCCUGUUCUUGUAACACCCCAAAAUUUUAACCUUGUUUUGUUAAUUAAAUUUUUGCCAAGAAAUUAAAACUUUUAUUUUCUGGGCUCCCUUUUGAUUUUUGAACCUUUUUCUCCCUUGUUAUGGAGUUUUCCCCCAAAGUGAAAAAAACCCUUUCAAAUAUGUUAUUGGGCUUGUUUAACCUCUCAAGAAAAACUUUUCUUUUAUUAGUAGAACUAAUUACAUAAUUAUUUUGCUUGAUCUCUAUUUUCUUGAAAAAUGGUUUUCCAAGAUUAUAUGGCCAUAUUUGAACUGCAACCAUUUGAUAAAUUCUUUUAAAAACCCCACCAAAAAUUGGAGAUGUCAGGUGAUGUUUUAAAAUCACUUUUAUGCAAAAAUAUCUUUUAUUCAUGAUAUAUUUUGAGCUCUACACCCAAUUUUCUUCUCUGGUCCAGAGGACAAUUUUGCACUACAACCUAUUUAUAUAAUUCUUUAAUACUCCUACCAAAAUUUUGGGAUGUCAACAGGAGUAUAUUAAUCAACUUUUUGCAAAAACCCAGUGAUGUUAUUUGAAAAUUUUGAGUGAAUCAACCUCAUCUUCAUUCUGGUCCAACAUGAUGGUUUGUACAACAUCCAUAUUCUUGCUUGCUCUUUGGCCCUUGAUUCUUUCCCCAACUUGUAGACCACCCUGCAAAACCCCUAAGUCCAGGAGGAUGCAACCAGUGGAAUACUUUUGGUCCAUGAGAUGAUGCCAUUUACCUCCUGUCCAGAUUUGAAGUUCUACAAAACUAGCACUAGCAAGUUUGUGCUUUUCACAAACUAACCUCACCACCCUCUUGUUCAUCUAAAGAGACUAGGAUCUGGAAGUUUUUACCACUCCAAGAAAUGCCUAGGUGCCUGUGGCAUUUUGUCAAACACCUGGAGUGGAUGGACAUAUUUGGCAUGAGUUUUUAUUUGCACUAUGAACUUGGUCUCCUGACCAAACCACCUUGUCCCUUGAUCUUCCCUCUAUCACUAACCUUAUCCUGUUGCUUGCCAACCUCGCUCGAGCGCUCUGGAGUGCCUUGGCAUUUCACCGAGCAGUUGGUGGGCGUGCACUGGGCGCGCCUAGAGCGCGCCAACUGUAGCCACACAUCCGAAACUGCCGCGUCGCGCCCCUGGUUUUGCCACUCACUGCAGAGCCACGCCACACACUCUCCCUCUCUCCAGAACACGCCAACCAGCCCCUCGCCACGCCUCCGACGGGCCAAGAGUUCGCCAUCACGGCCGCCCGACAGUGCACCCUGCCACGGUCGGCACCGCCGAGCCACCAGUGCUCGCCAGCUGCCCCCUGGAGCGGCUCAAGCUCAUCCGCAGCCUCGUCCUCUAGCGCGCGUCGCUGCCACGUCGCCCUAUCUACAGAACGGCAGUCGCCGGCAAGCUUAUCCACGGCCGCCGCGAACCGACUCGGAUGUGCUAUAAAAGAAGGCCCCCGAGCUCCUCCGUGCAUGGAGGUAGCCUCACACCAUCCUUCUCGUGCCCCCUUAGCCGUCAAUCAAAGAGAGAAAGUCGUCUUCUUCCUCUCCGGCAACUCCUGCCGCCACCACUGCCCCGGCCAUUCCAGCGCCACCAGGACCUCCCCCUCUCCACACUCUUCACCAGAAGCUCUCUAUUCCUCCCAUGAACCCUUUCCCCUGCUCGAUUUUGAUCGGGAACCACCACAGCCCCAAAACCACUUUACUCCCGACGCCGCCGGCCACCGCGAAGCUCGUCGCCGACGACUCCCUCCAUCCCCAUCACUCCCUCGACCACCGGAAGAACCGCCCCAGUCUUGCGGAUCCAUCCCCACCCUCGGGGGCCCGUGAGGAGCCGCCUAACGCCGGCGACGAUCGCCGGAGCCCCCGCCUCUGUUCGGCCAGAGGAUGAAGAGGGAAGGGAGAAUAGUCAAACCUGACUAGUGGGCCCCCUGGACCCACUGUUCGUGACUCACGCGCGUCCACGCUGGAGUAAGUGGAGGCGUAUAGUCAGAAUACGUCUUCGACGUGUACGUAUAUUCGAAUCGUUUUCUUUUUAUUCUGUUUUUUUUAAAUAACAGAUUUUUGACCACAGCUUUGACUGCUUAUAACUUUUUAAUGACAACUCCAAAUGAAUUGAUUCUUUUUCUUGCCUCUCUCAAAUUUGACCUAGUUUAUUUUUAGAUUUAUUUGAAAAAAUUUCAAAACAACUUUUUGUGCUGUUUUGAAUUUGUGUGUUGAUUCAAAUUUUAUUUAAAUAGGACUUUGGAGAGAGAGAAGCAAACUUUCAAAAGUUUAGGAGUGCACCCUACCUUUCCACACAUUGAAGGCAAGCAUCAUGAACCCUGGCAUAAUAUUUUGCAUGCACGAUCAUGACACCACCUCAUUACAUAGGACUCGUUAUUUUAUGUGGUGAUAUGGUCAUUUGCAUGAAUGCUUAUUGGAAAUUCCUUGCUGUUGGAAAUGGCCAUGCUUGGGAUGAUGAUCAUCCUCGUAUGCCUUUCGUGCCUACCGAAAGGAAAACGGGAAAGUCUCUGUCUUGGGUAGACCCGAGCUUGUCCCUAGUUCCUCGUCGAGACGAGUGUGUCCGGCAUGGCAUGAGGGGUAUGAUGAGUGGUGACUCUGUCUGUUGGAUGAAAUAUAUUCGUUAUGCUAAUCAUGCAGGGAAUACUUAAACCUCCUGAGUCGACCCUAGAUCGAGUCUUGUUCCAGUAACCCCCAUACUUGUUUCGUACUACCACUCGUCUCUACAACAAGUAGAGUACGGUUCAGUAAGUUGUCAACCUAUUUCUAGUACACACCGUACAGAGAGGCCAUGGUGGAAGAUACCGGUUGUAGCUGGUAGGCGGGCCACCUGGUCCGGGGCAUGGGUGUUACCGGUUGAGACCGAGAGGGGAGGCCACCCCUUAGAGUGCGCAAUAUAAGUUUGAUCCCAUGCUACGCGAGGUUGUAGCCUCCCCACUUAGAGUUUGCUUGACAGGUGUUGUGGGUGAUUCCAGACACAUGUGAGUUAAGCUGGUGUGUGCAAGUUAGGUGUGUUUUCAACAAAAAGGCCGUAGAUGGAAUUAGUCCCGAUGGACUAAAGGAAUCCGUUACUCGUGGGUAAAGAGUACAUCCUCUGCAGAGAUUAAACCUAUUCGAAUAGCCGUGUCCAUGGUUAAGGACUACAGUCUGGGAUGGGUCAAGUGUCGGUCUUAGUGUCGGUCUUCGGAGGUGAAACUGUUAAACCAGAACUGGAAUCGCGACUUGUGACUUGUGAUAAUUAUGAUUAUUAUUUUCGUUGUGAACUAAACCGUGAUAUUUUUGGUAUUGUUGAAUAUCCCUGGGGAUGGUUCUACCUCCGGGAUAUUCACUAUGAUUGUUUCUUUUAAAGCCCUUUAUGUGGUGUCGCUGAGACGCCCGACUGUGGCAUUUCUUUUAUAAGCCCUUUAUGUGGUGUCGCUGAGACGCCCGACUGCGGCAUUUCUUUUAAAGCCCUUUAUGUGGUGUCGCUAAGACGCCCGACUGUGGUAUUUAUUUUAAAGCCCUUUAUGUGGUGUCGCUAAGACGCCCGACUGCGGCAUUUCUUUUAAAGCCCUUUAUGUGGUGUCGCUAAGACGCCCGACUGUGGCAUGCUUGUUAUUUAUUUCAUAAUUUUAAUACUACUAUGUCAUUGCAUUUUCAUAAUUAACCUGCUUACAUGCAUCAGAGAUAUAUUUACCUUUUGUGACUAACGUCAUGAGCAUAAAUAUUUCGAAACAUCGUUGUUAUAUUGUACCCGUGUUCAUAAUGUUUGCGAGUACAUUCAAAGUACUCACUGGCUUGUCCCUGGCUAUUGUCUUGGCCAGAUUUCUUGCACGGAGAGGAGCGACCUUGAUGACAGCCCCGGAACCCACGCAAUGGUGAUAGCAGCCUUGCGAAGAUAGGAGUUAUCCUGGUCAGCUGUUCCUGUGGGAAGUGGAGUCCCAUAGACACUGAUGAUUCACAACCCGCUUCCGCCAUCAACCACUAGAAACCAUUUGUUGUACUCACAGACCAGAAUGGUCUUGUACUACAUAUUUUGUGUUUUGCUUGGAAUUUCUGUAUCAAGUUGGUGCCUCAUCAGCUAAAAGUAAUCCUGGGGCUGAUGAGCACAAGGGCCAUUUUCUGGGAAUUAAUACCCGGAAAACCAGUCGCGACAGUUCUGUACUAUGAAAACAGUUCGAUUAUGCAAUAUAAAGUCUGUUAUUUAAAAAAUUUCCUCCCGUGCGGUCGUUUUGUUAAAUCUGAGAGUUGGCCAGUCGUUGGCUUCUGCCCCCACGUAGGUAGUACGGGGGUGUUCGGGAUAAAUCUAAACACUCUUUAUCCAAGGUUUUGGUCCUUUAAGGAGGUGUUUAGCGCAACAAACCAGGCAAUUGGACUAUGCGGCUUUAUUACUCUCACUUAGCCAUAGGAGUUUGACAAGAAAAAUUUAGGCGCAGCCCCUAGUGUUUGGAAGUCUGAACUUGGGGCGCUACACACGUCAGAUCGGAUAAAAACCGAUUCAUUGCAUAAUGCAGAAAAAAUCGCUAAAGAUUUGCAACCUCUCAAACAACUGACUGGCUCUCACCGCAUCAUGAUAGUCAGUUUUCGGCUUUCUCUACUGAGGUGCUCAUCCGGAAGAACCGGGACACAAUUGCAGUAGUUCUCCCUUUACUACCCUAGCCGAUAUAGCGGAACAUAAGGUAGUAAGCACAGGAGCCGGGUAACCCAACUAUUGACCAAAGACAUGAUUCGGAGCCGAUGCAUAUAAUGCUAUAAGUUCGGGUGCCGAAAUGUACUAUAAAAGUGUUCGAACUUUAUUGCCGUAUUGUGGGGUAUGAUGAAGCCCCUGGCGAAUUAAGGCGUACUAGAGUGUACGGGCGCAAUUGAUAAGAAUAUAAAGAAAAGGAAAAAAAUCAAGUAAUAAGCUGACGCCGCAAAUGUUGACUACGAAUUAUUUUCCAUUGUAAUUUUGUUUAAUACGUCAAGGCAUAUUUAUACAAGUAAUGCAAUAAGCAAAUAGGGCUAUUUGACAUGCCACGACCAAGGGCGAGCUGCGUGCGGGUUUUUAAAACAGGUAUAAUGAUCGUUAGCAGAGACCACCUGGGGGUUCCCUUAUACGUCAAAGAUUCUUGCCUUCUUGGUCUAUCCGUCCCUUGAUAGGUCCGAUGAUCAGGUCGCCAGGAAAGGCAUCGAGAAGGGAAAAAACCUAAAAAGAAAAAGAAAAAGUGAAGGUAUGCUGGUCCAGGAGCGGUUGAGCCGCAUUAUGGAUCACGGUCUAGCUGUGCCUCCGUCCAUGCCCAUGGUAUUUUAAGUGCAUAGGUAUGUAUGCGCGACACAAGUGUCGCCGCUUGAUUGGGACUAGGACGGAGGCCGAAUUGCUAGUCAAGCUCUGGAUGAGCUGGACUGUCCUGCUACAGAGUAGUUCGGACUCGCUUGACGGUGUCCGGGAGCUUUACUACCGAAUUGAGGUUCUGCCUCAAAAGGCUGUUCUGUACUUCUGCUCCAAGGGCAGCGGUGUGCUCCUCAAUACGGAGGGAGCGUUCCGUGUUUCCAUUGACUGUUAUGAUACCGCGUGGUCCGGGCAUUUUGAGCUUGAGGUAGGCGUAGUGCGGCACCGCAUUGAAUCAAGCAAAUGUGGUUCGUCCGAGCAGUGCAUAAUAGCCACUGCGGAAGGGGACAAUAUCGAAGAUCAACUCUUGGCUUCGAAAAUUAUCCGGGGAUCCGAAGACCACUUCCAGUGUGAUUGAGCCUGUACAUCGGGCCUCUACACCUAGUAUGACACCUUUAAAGGUGGUUUUUGUGGGUUUGAUCCUUGAGGGAUCGAUACCCAUUUUGCGCAAUGUAUCCUGAUAGAGCAGGUUCAGGCUGCUGCCACCAUCCAUGAGGACUCGCGUAAGGUGGAAUCCAUCAAUAAUUGGGUCAAGGACCAGUGCGGCUGAACCGCCAUGACGGAUACUGGUCAGAUGGUCCCUGCGAUCGAAGGUGAUCGGACAGGACGACCAUGGGCUGAACUUUGGGGCGACUGGAUCCAUUGCGUAGACGUCCCCGAGUGCACGCUUGCGCUCCCUCUUGGGGAUAUGGGUGGCGUAUAUCAUGUUUAUCAUUUUAACUUGGGGGGGGGGCUUCUUCUGUCCCCCUGUGGUCAGUGGCCGGGGUUCCUCAUCAUCGUCAUCGCUUUGUGACCCUUUCUCCUUGUUCUCGGCAUUUAACUUGCCGGCCUGUUUGAAGACCCAACAUUCUCUGCUGGUAUGAUUGGCUGCUUUAUCAGGAGUGUCGUGGAUUUGGCAUGGAUGAUUGAGUAUGCGGUCCAAACUGGACGGGCCCGGAUUGUUUCUCUUAAAUGUCUUCUUCCACUGACCGGAUUUAGAGCCACUGAAUCCGGCAUUGACCGUCGUGUCUUCGGCGUCAUCGCUAUUGUUUUGAUGCUUGUGUCUGUUGCGUCGGGGCUUGCCAUUGCUGUUUCUGGCUUCAGAAGUGCCAGGUUCACCUGUGUUGUUAUUGCUACGGGCUAGCCAACUGUCUUCUCCCGCACAAAAGUGGGUCAUGAGUGUCGUGAGGGCCACCAUGGACUUCGGCUUUUCUUGGCUGAGGAGUCGGGCGAGCCAUUCGUCACGGAUGCUAUGUUUAAAGGCCGCUAGGACUUCAGCAUCCGGACAGUUGACGAUCUGAUUCUUUUUAGUUAGGAACCUAGUCUAGAAUUUCCUGGCUGACUCUCCGGGCUAUUGAACUAUGUGACUUAAGUCGUCGGCAUCCGGAGGUUGGACAUAUGUGCCUUGAAAGUUGUCGAGGAAGGCAUCCUCCAAAUCCUCCCAGCUGCCAAUGGAGUUUUUGGGCAGACUGUUUAACCAGUACUUGGUUGGUCCCUUGAGUUUGAGCGGGGGGUAUUUGAUGGCGUGAAGACCAUCACCGCGGGCCAUGUGAAUAUGGAGAAGAAAAUCCUCAAUCCAUACCGCAGGGUCUGUUGAGCCAUCAUAUGAUUCGAUGUUCACAGGUUUAAACCCUUCUGGGAAUUCAUGUUCCAUUACUUCGUCAGUGAAGCAAAGGGGGAGUGCGGCGCCUCUAUAUCAGGCCAAGUCAUGACGUAGCUCGGAUGGAAUUCGUCUGCGGUUUUUGGCCCGGACAUGGUUAUGUUUGUCACACUCAGCUGGAUGGCCAUCGUCGUGCAUCGGGGCAUGCCCCCGCGAUCCAUAGAUUGAUCUUGUCUGACCUGCUCUGUUUUCCAAGUCACGCCGUAGGUCAUGUGUGUAUCCCCGAGCUGUUGUAUUUCCGUUUCUACGACGAGGUAGUGCGGGCUGGUGUUUGGCUCGAGGUGCCGCUUUGUCUCGGCCACGUGGUGGCUGGUCAGCUGCAUUAUAUCUUGGUAGGACAGGCUCCAUUGUCUCGUCAUCGAACUGUGGUAACACUUUGUGUUUCGGGUAGCUUUUCGUUGGGCGCUCGAGGCCAUAUUCCUCGGCUGCCAGGACAUUAGUCCAUCUUUCGUUCAGCAGAUCUUGAUCAGCUUGAAGCUACUACUGCUUUCGUUUUAGGCUCCUUGCAGUGGCUAUUAGCCGGCGCUUAAAGCGUUCCUACUCAACGGGCUCCUCAGGCACGAUAAAGUCUUUGUCGCUGAGGCUCACGUCAUCCUUGGAGAGCAGAAGGUAGUUAUUGUCCUCUGCAUCUUCAUUCGUGGCCUGUUCAUUAGGGCUAGCUUGCCCAUCUUCCUGUUUGUCCUGUUCGGAGGUUGGCUCAACGGGGUCUUCAUUGUCUUCGGCAUCGUCCAGAGUAUUGUUUUCUCCUGUGACGGUGUUGCUAUUUUUACUACAGCAUGGCUUAGAGCGGCGCCACUGACGUCGGCGCUUUGGCUGUAUCUCAGGAGGUUUAUCCUCGACUAGAUUUUCAUUGUCGCUGUUGUUCUCUUUGGGAGUAUCCACCAUGUAUAUGUCAUACGAAAAGGUGGUUGUCCAAUGCCCUGUAGGCGGUGGUUCCUGUUCUUCUCCGGCAUCGUCGGCCAUACCGUCGAUGUCAUCGGAGUCAUAAUCAAGCAUGUCGGUUAACUCAUCGACAGUGGCUAUAAAGUGGGUGCUGGGUGGGAAAAGAAGUUCUUCGUCGCCCGCUUCCCAUUCGAGCCGGACAUAGUUCGGCCGAGAGUCCCCCGACAAGGAGAGGGAUAUCAAUGAGUUUAACACAUCACCUAGAGGUGAGUGCUAGAAGAUGUCCGCGGAGCUGAACUCCAAGAUCGGCACCCAAUCAGGUUCCAUGGACGCGGAUGCACGCGAUCCGGAACCUAUGGCCGGAGACGAGUCCGAGGUUCCGGGGAAGCAAGCCCAGCCCGAUGUUGGGCCUGUGUGCGGCUCAAGCACCGUUGAGUCUGCGACUUUCGUGGUGAGGUUAAGCUUCCCGUCUUCGGACGACGCGGUCCGCUUCGGAUCUAGGGCCAGAGCGGUUACAUGCGCUAUCUCCUGAGCGCAGCCAUAUGACAGAUUUAGGUCAUGUUCAUCAUGGUGGCCGGGGACAGCCGUCAUGGGCUCGAAUCCGUCGAAGAUCAAGUCUCCAUGGAUAUCGGCCACAAAAUUCAGGCUUCCAAAUCUGACCUGAUGGCCAGGGGCAUAGCUAUCGAUCUACUCUAGAUGGCCAAGCGAGUUGGCCCGCAGUGCAAAGCCACCGAAUACGAAUAUCUGUUCGGGGAGGAAGAUCUCCCCCUCGACUGCAUUGUUGUAGACGAUUGAUGGAGCCAUCAAGCCUUCUGGUGACGAUGUAGUGGAACUCUCAAUGAAAGCACCAAUGUCGGUGUCAAAACCAGCGGAUCUCGGGUAAAGGGUCCCAAAUUGUGCGUCUAAGGCUAAUGGUAACAGGAGGCGGGGGACACAAUGUUUACCUAGGUCCGGGCCCUCUCUAUGGAGGUAAUACCCUACUUCCUGCUUGAUUGAUCUUGAUGAAUAUUACAAGAGUUGAUCUACCACGAGAUCGUAAUGGCUAAACCCUAGAAGCCUAGCCUAUGAGAUUAUGAUUGUUUACUAUGGACUAAACCCUUCAGUUUAUAUAGGCACCGAAGGGGGCUACGGUUACACAAAGUCAGUUACAGAGAAAGGAAUCUACAUAUCUGAAUCGCCAAGCUUGCCUUCCACGCCAAGGAGAGUCCUAUCCGGACACGGGAAGAGUCUUCGUCUUGUAUCUUCAUAGCCCAAUAGUCCGGCUCAUAUAUAUAGUACGGCUAUCCGAAGACCCCUUAAUCUAGGACUCCCUCAACCGCCACGUGGUUAUCUACCUUAAAAUACAAUUUGUAAUGUUUUCUCGAGGCCACAGCCAAUGUCUUCGAGUUAUUUGUCCUCUGUAAUGUUAAUAUGCAAUCUGAUGUUCAGUUAACAGCUUGGUCCUCUAAAAUGUAAUGUUCAGUUAACAGUUUGGUCCAACAAUUGCUACAUUCGUAGUAGUGUUCUCAAGCAUUCCUUGUUUUGUUAACUGUCUUAUCUUCUAGUACAUGUUUCUAUUCUGCAAUGUCGUGCUUAGUUAACUAUUUUGGUUCAUUUGGUCUUCUUUCCAUUUAACUAUUUGGUUCAGUUCUGCAAUUUGAUUUUCAUUUGCUGUGGGUACAAUUUUGUAUUGUUACGCAUGUGAAAUAAAUCAAAUUUGGCUAUACUCAAUUCAUAUUCUACUGAUAGUAUGACAACUCUCAGUUAACCUGAUCAAUCUUCCUUAUGUGUGUUGCAGGGAAACAAUGGGAGACACUCUGGUUUACAUCGAGGUUUGUUCAAGCAUGAUCCUUUGGCUAAUAGCACAUUAUUGUGCAGUUGCAGGAAUCAUUCUAAUAUUUAGGUUUCUUACAAUUUGGUUUUGCACAUGUAGGUCCUGCUAUCAGAGGCUUAGACCCAUUGUUCGACCCAUUUUGCAUAUGGGGAAAGGAGAUGUCCAGGAAUAUCAGUCAAGUUAAGAAACUCAGAAAGAUUUUUAGGAUGAAGAAUCUUGCGAAGAAUAACAGCAAGAUCUUUGUUUGCACAAUGAAGAAGGCACCAGUCAACUAUAGGAUCGUACUAACUCUUUUACCUUGUUUUUACCCCUUGCGCCAUCAGUCAACUAUAUGAUGGUACUAACUCUUUUACCUUGUUUGCAUAUCUUUAUUUUCAGUACUUUGCAAAGCAGUUCAUCGAUGCUUACCUCUCAAACCACCUGCAUGGUCAAGAGGCGAGGAAGGUAUUCAUUCAACACCCACGGUACAAUAUUGAAGUUUUGCUGAAGAGGACGAAGGUUGGGCGGGCAAUUAUCCAUAGCCACUGGCCUAAAGUUGCAAGGACAUUCAAAAUCACAGAAGGCUCAACAUUUUCCUUCCGCUUCUGUAGUUCCCAAGAUGAGAUUCAUCUAUCCAUUUAUCGUGUAUGAUGCUACUUUCCAAAGGUUUUUGAUGUUGCAUGUGAAACUUGGUCCUGUUGUGUAAUGGCAGAACUGAGUGUCGAAGCUAUCAGAUGUAAUUCGAUUAUGAAAUCCUGGUUGUUGUUAUACGGAUAUGAAAUAUCUGGUGUGUUUAUAUAAGAAAUAUCAAUUUGAUUAGUACAUGGAUUACCAAUAAUAGGCUAAUUACCCUGCUUAUUGGGGUUUUCUAUUGCAGACGGUUACUCAGACAACACCGUGGGCUAUGAACUCAAACACACUCACGGUUUCUAGAAAGUUAGUGUGUUCGAUCAACUAAUAAUCACACACGGCUUAUGGCAGGCCACCUUGCACAAACGUUUCCACACAAAAAACUGUGUGUGAUAUACAUACGAGCGAAAAUGUUUUUCUAGGAUUCACUGUGUGGGAUGUACAUACGAACGGAAACAAUUGGGUUUUGAUGCCUCGCCCGAUCGCACAUAGCCAGCUUGUGUGCCCGGAGGGCCUAUCCUUGACGAUUUCUGGGUCAUGUGGGAAGGACCCCCAUAUCGCCCACACUCACUUGGCAACGGUUCCAAAUGUCGUCGCGGAAAGGGGUUAAAAACCGUUUGUAUAGCACGUCGUUGUACCAGUGAUACCACCAGAUGAGAGGAAGGCAUUGCGAGUUCAAACAAACGCAGACCUUGCAACUAAACAGAAAAACCCGUGCGCUAAAUGCACCGCAAUGCCUUGCCCAGAUGCAUAUCUCUAAUGAAUCACUGUGCUUUGUUACUGAAGUUUUCAUGUGUCGAGUCUAUAUUUGUCAGUUACUUGUUAAUCAUGUUUUGCAGAAUUUAGUUGUAGAUUGCUAUUCUAUCAGCCCUCUAUGGAGGUGAAUAUUAAAUGAAAGUUAUACGUAUGUACUUGCAGAUAUAGUGAUAUGAACAUCGAACCAUGAAUUAAUUCCUAGGCAUAUUCAUUUUUGAAUUCAGUUUGAUUUCUGACUCAUUAGCCACAAGAUAUAUUUAUGUAGUGAUUUUAAAACUAGCACUCUAGAGAAUUUUUUAUACUUCCACUAUAGGAAUUAGCUUCUUUGUCGUCUGCCAUGGCAGACGACAAAGGUACCAAAAGCGGACGGCAAACCUCUUUGUUGUCUGCCACCAAUGGCAAAGCUGCGCGGCAAAGAACCUAACGGUAAACAAGUUCUUUGUUGUCUACUUCCUUAAAGAGGACGUCAAAGAACAUUUGUCGUCGGUGGCAGACGGCAAUGUGGACGGUAACUAACAGGCGUUAGCCACGUUAGGUGGCUAACGACAGCCUUUGUCGUCCGCCGGCGAACGGCAAACAUGCCCUCCCCUUUGUCGUCUGCCACAGACGGCAAAGUAACCAAAUGGGUGAGCUCCCAGGUUGCACAGGCUGUUGCCAUGUGGCCACUUUGCCGUCCGUGGCAGACGGCAAAGAGCCCUUUGUCGUCUGCCACAGAAGGCAAAGAGCCUGUAUUGUUACUGCUAUUUCUAUUUUCUGUUAUAUCCCUGCAUUCUGUAAAGACAUAAAUGAUAUAUAUAUUUCCAAUCUCAAACAUAGCCCAUGUAUCAGCCAUCUAGCAGUCCAUCAACGCAACAUAACUUAUAGGGUCUUAAAACGUCCAAUGCAUACAUAGUUUCACGGAGUUCAUCAACAUACAUAGUUUCACGGAGUUAUUCAACAUACAUUGUUCAUCAACACAAACUCAAAACAGAAACUAAAACUAGCAGUCCAUCAAAUGCCAGCUUCCAUGAAGUGAAUCAAAUCUGCAAAAAUAGGAGUAAGCAAGUUAGAAGAAGAAGAAGGUUUUUACCCUUUUCCUUCUCAUUCUUCUUCUUUUAUUCUUUCUUUUUCUUCGCUUUCUUCUUCUAUUCUUUUUUUCUCCUAUUCCUUGUUUUCUUCUUCUUAUUCCUUAUUUGUGUCAUUUUAGAGCUUACAUAGGUAAUUAUGCCAUUUUUGAGCUAACUAAGCUUAUUAUGUCAAUUUGGAGGAAAAUAAGGUAAGUAUAGGUCAUUUUUGUGCUAACAUAAGUAAUUAUGCCAUUUUUUAGCUAACGUAGGUAAAAUGCAUCAUUUUGGAGCUAACCUAGCUAAAAUGGAUCAUAUUGGAGCUAACCUAGGUAAACUUGGUCAUUUUGGAGCUAACUUAGGUAAAAUAGAUCAUAUUGGAGCUAACUUAGGUAAAAUGGGUCAUUUUGGAGCUAACCUAGCUAAUUAUGCCAUUUUCGGGUUAACUAAGCAUAUUAUGCCAUUUUUUACACAAGUAAGCUAAGUAUAGGUCUUUAUUGAGCUAACCUAGGUAAGUAAGCAUAUUAGAGCUAAUUUAGCAUUUUAGAGAUAACUUAGGUCAUUUUGGAGCUAACUUAGGUAAAAUUGAUCAUUUUGGAGCUAAUUAAGCUUAUUAUGUCAUUUUCGAGGAAAAUAAGCUGAGUAUAUGACAUAUAUGAGGUUACCAAGGUUGUUAUGCCAUUUCAAACCUAAGUAAGCUAAUUAUGCCAUUUUUAAUAUAAAGAAGCUAAGUGUAUGUCAUUAUUGAGCGAACCUAGGUAACUAAGCAUAUUAGAGAUAACUUAGCAUAUAGAGCUAACUUAGGUCAUUUUAGAGGAAACAAAGCUAAGUAUAGAUCAUUUUGGAGCUAAGUAAGCUAAUUAUCUCAUUUUGGAGGAAGAUAAGUUAAGUCUAGGUCAUUAUGGUAAGCAUUUUGGAGGAAAUAAAGCUAAGUCUAGGUCUUUAUGCAUUUCUUAAGCAAAACACUAGAGAAAACUUACCGUCAUCACGGAGGUGAAGCACCGGCGUGGCUCGCGCCGGUACCACCACCUGGAGAAGGAUCGUGUGAUGCUUGUCUGGAGGUACGUUGCACCAAAGAUCAUUUGCAAUGUCUCGUUAGCAUGACGACACUCAAAUGUUAAUACUAGUAACUAAUGACCAUUCAAAUUAAACUCACCGUGGUCCCCGGAGCAAUCUCUAGCAUUGGUGGAGGGGUCUGACCGGCCUUUUGGCACACAGAUUGCACAUUUGGUUUUCACGGUCAAUCAUACUAGUUAGUAAUGAAAAGAACAUUACGUGAAUGAUUUGGCUAAUAUGCAGAAGAAACUUACCACGAGGAGCUCGUACAUGGCCCGGUUCUGCAUGUCAUUCUGGGCCCUCUCCUCCUCCAUCAACCUUGUCGUCUUCUCCUCCAACUCCUGUUGCUUCUCCUCCGCCUGUUGGUCCCUCUCUGCCGGAAGCGCAUGGGUUCUAUCUCUCUCACUCUGAAGAGCAGCCUGCAACACCACUCCUCAUUAGCAUUGUAAUCAUCGAUGGCUGCACACACAAUGUAAUGCUUGAAAGAAAUCUGAGUCUGUAUAGCUAACCUGGAAGGUGAGCUCGAUUGGCUGCGGACGAGGCCUUAUCUCAGGAUAUGAGCAUGUUUGGCGCGCCCUGAUCUCUGGGAGAGUGCGAGGACAACGAAUAAGUCCAUCUCCAAUGGCUAUCGAGCCACGGGACCUCCCACCACUAUAUAUGUCAUCACCAGCUCCGGAUCAAACGGCCCGCUCGGGUUAAGGUCCUUCCCUUUCCUCGCCUUCCCCUCAUCUCUGUACUUGACGAGCUUGUUGUGGGAGGAGAUGUUGGUGAAGUUCUCUGGAUGAUCGAGGUCAGACGCAGAGAAUGCCUUGGCCUUCUUGUACGGGGCAGUAUGGGCCAUGGCAUAGAGGUCGAACACCUCUGGCACCGGUGCCAUAUUGUAUCCCGCCUAAAAGAGAGGAACAUAGUAUUAGUAGUUAAAGGGCUCAAGCUAGCAUGACAGAAUGAAUUGCAUCAAUCAUGAAUCUAACCACACACCCAGUUCCUCCUAUAUUGAUAUAAGUUGGCGCUGCCUUGAUGGUGUGGCACACCUCUCAUUUUGGCGUGAUUGUCCUUGGCAUUUUUGUGGACGGCAAGCCAUGCUUCUGAGCACCACUUAUCUGCCAACGCCUCCCAACAAUCCAUCUUAUCCGCACACCAUCUCAGGGGCACCUAAGUCAGUAAAGAGAAACUUGAGCGCUAUGCCUACGUAUCAAAUCAACGAAACUAAGAACAAGUCCUUAAGAAUAUAGACAAUUACCGUCAUGUACUCCUUCUUCAGAAACUUUCCGCGGCACUUCUUCUCGGGCUUCCAAAAACCACGCGAGGCGAACCUAAGCGAAUGGAUAAGGGAAAGCCCACUAUAUUAUAUAUAGUAAUUGUUGGGGAACGUAGUAAUUUCGAAAAAAUUCCUACGCACACGCAAGAUCAUGGUGACGUAUAGCAACGAGAGGGGAGAGUGUUGUCUACAUACCAUUGUAGACCGUAAGCGGAAGCGUUAGCACAACGCGGUUGGUGUAGUCGUACGUCUUCACGGCCCGACCGAUCAAGCAACGAAACUACGGCACCUCCGAGUUCUAGCACACGUUCAGCUCGAUGAUAUCCCUCGAACUCCGAUCCAGCCGAGUGUCGAGGGAGAGUUCUGUCAGCACGACGAUGUGGUGACGAUCUUGAUGUUCUACCAUCACAGGGCUUCGCCUAAUCACCGCUACGAUAUUAUCGAGGUGGACUACGGUGGAGGGGGGCACCGCACACGGCUAAGAGAUCCAAGGGACCAAUUGUUGUGUCUUUGGUGCUAGCCCUGCCCCUCUAUUUAUAUGUUGAGCCCCGGGGUCGAAACUUGGAGCAAAAGCCUCCUCAAAGUCGGUUUUGCCGGAAAGGCAAGAGUCCCACUCGGACUCCAGGACCAAACGCCACAAUCCUUGGCGUCUGGCCCAGACGCCAUAGGCCUCGGCGUCUGGCCCAGGGCCAGACGCCAGGGUCUCCGGCGUUUGGCCCCCUGGCCUUUGCAAAACUCCUUUUACACCGACCUAAAGCCUCAUGGGCUUGACCCCUUGGCCUAACCAUAUCAUCCAAUAUAUGAAUCUUUACGUCUCGACUAUUUCGAGACUCCUCGUCAUGUCCCCGAUCUCAUCCGGGACUCCGAACUCCUUCGGUACAUCAAAACAUGUAAACUCAUAAUAUAACUGUCAUCGAAACCUUAAGCGUGCGGACCCUACGGGUUCGAAAACAAUGUAGACAUGACCUAGAACUAUUCUCGGUCAAUAACCAAUAGCGAAACCUGGAUGCUCAUAUUGGCUCCUACAUAUUCUACGAAGAUCUUUAUCGGUCAAACCGCAUAACAACAUACGUUGUUCCCUUUGUCAUCGGUAUGUUACUUUCCCGAGAUUCGAUCGUCGGUAUCCAAUACCUAGUUCAAUCUCGUUACUGGCAAGUCUCUUUACUCGUUACUUAAUGCAUCAUUCCGUAACUAACUCAUUAGCUACAUUGCUUGAAAGGCUUAUAGUGAUGUGCAUUACCGAGAGGGCCCAGAGAUACCUCUCCGACAAUCGGAGUGACAAAACCUAAUCUUGAAAUACGCCAACCCAACAUGUACCUUUGGAGACACCUGUAGUACUCCUUUAUAAUCACCCAGUUACGUUGUGACGUUUGGUAGCACCCAAAGUGUUCCUCCGAUAAACGGGAGUUGCAUAAUCUCAUAGUUAUAAGAACAUGUAUAAGUCAUGAAGAAAGCAAUAGCAGAAUACUAAACGAUCGUGUGCUAAGCUAAUGGAAUGGGUCAUGUCAAUCACAUCAUUCUCCUAAUGAUGUGAUCCCGUUAAUCAAAUGACAACUCAUGUCUAUGGUUAGGAAACAUAACCAUCUUCGAUUAACGAGCUAGUCAAGUAGAGGCAUACUAGUGACACUCUGUUUAUCUAUGUAUUCACACAUGUAUUAUGUUUCCGGUUAAUACAAUUCUAGCAUGGAUAAUAAACAUUUACCAUGAUAUAAGGAAAUAAAUAAUAACUUUAUUAUUGCCUCUAGGGCAUAUUUCCUCCAGUAAUCACCUGCCAAAAGGAAAGCCUGACCGAUAAUAAUAAUAGUAGUCUCGAAUAGCCUGCACCUGUCGGUGAGAAAUGAUACGGAAUCCCUACUACGGUUGCGGGGCGCAGGAUCGUGAGAAGAGCGGGACUAGUAGACAGCACAAAGGGGAUUUACCCAGGUUCAGGCUGCAAAGGUGCGUAAAACCCAACGAUCCUGCUUUGGUGGAUGUAUUUAGUGUUCUUGAGCUCUUGAACUAGCUUUGGGUGUUGCCAGGUUCGAAAGAACCGAAUCCUUCUCCCAUGCGCCAUGGGUGUCGGUGUCAAAACCGGCGGAUCUCGGGUAGGGGGUCCCGAUCUGCGCGUCUAAGGCCAAUGGUAACAGGAGGCAAGGGACACGAUGUUUUACCCAGGUUCAGGCCCUCUCGAUGGAGGGAAAACCUUACUUCCUGCUUGAUUGAUCUUGAUGAUAUGAGUAUUACAAGAGUUGAUCUACCACGAGAUCAUACAGGCUAAACCCUAGAAGCUAGCCUAUGAUGAUUAUGAUUGUCCCCUAUGGACUAAACCCUCCGGUUUAUAUAGACACCGGAGGGGGCUAGGGUUUACACAGAGUCGGUUACAAAGAAGGAGAUCUAACAUCCAGAUCGCCAAACUUGUCUUCCACGCAAAGGAGAGUCCCAUCCGGACACGGGGCGAAGUCUUGAGUCUUGUGUCUUCACGGUCCAACAGUGCGGCCAAAGUAUAUAGUCCGACUGUCCGGAUACCCCCUUAUCUAGGACACCCUCAGUAGCCCCUGAACUAGGCUUCAAUGACGAUGAGUCCGACGUGCAGAUUGUCUUUGGCAUUGCAAGGCGGGUUCCAUCUCCAAAUACUCCAAAGUACCUAUUGUAACGAAUAGUGUCCGGCUUCCCAUCAAUGUUGUACUCCUCGGCUUCUGUGCUUCAAUAAUGGCCAUCUCCACAUGUCGAGCGAAUACGAGGAGCCGGAGCACUUUUACAUUUGCCACCCUGGCCCUGCAGGCAAACCGUCUAUUUGAAGAGACAGGGAUCCUCAGACCCAAAUCUCACUUUCUUCCCUUGAGCUAGCAUCCAACAGAGCGCAUCCGGAAAAAACCAUUCCAACAUGGCCGGUCGCCGCAGCUCCUCUUCUCGCUCCCUUAGCUCCAAGCCAGGUGAUUGCGAAGAGUGUUCUGUUCCCCAUAGCCGUUUAUUAGACUUGCAAACCCAAGGGUUUCUUCCACCAGCGUUCAUGGUCCCCGUCUGAGCCGGACUUUCCACCUAUAAUGGCGGGGAGCAAGCGGAGAGAUCUCCUAACCCAUCUCAGGGGGAGUGAGUAUGCCUCAUCCCAUAUUUGCUAAGAGGCGUCGGGUUUCCAAUCCACCCAUUCCUUCAUGAGCUCUUGGAGUUCUAUGGCCUCCAGUUGCACAACUUCACCCCAGCCCCCGUGCUGCACAUCGCAGGAUAUGUCGCCCUUUGUGAAUUAUUUCUGGGCUGCGAGGCUCACUUCAAGUUAUGGAAGAAGUUAUUCUGCCUCGUCCCUCGCAAUCAGGGGAAUCCAUAUGUCAAGUGGGCGGAGCCGAAGUAUGGCGCGUCGCCGAGACCGGAUACCUGUCCGGUACUCCCAACAAGGCGUUUGAAAACUGGCCCUCGGAGUGGUUUUAUGUUGAUGACGUUCCCCUUCCGGAUCCAAUCCGGACGGGCCUCCCUGUGGUUAAUAACGCUCCGCUGAAGAAACUCCGAAGUUGGCGUCCUCGGAGCACCCAGGAGGAAGAUACCAGAGAAGUCCACUUCUUGAUGAGCAGGAUAAAGACACUGGCCAAAUCAGGACUGACAAUAGUCGAGGUUAUAUCAAUAUGCAUAAUGCGGGGGGUGUAGCCACUUCAAUAUCGGGGGAAGCCCAUGUGGCACUUCAACGGGGAAGACGACGCCACCCGCUGUGGUCGUAAAGGUUCGGACUCCGCCACUGCUCUGGCGAGAAUACUGUCCGAUUUGUAUAAAGGAGAAGAAGAAUAAUUCCUUCGUAUUAAACCGCGGGAUGGAUUUUCCAUGUACAACCCCCCAAGAUGGGUAAGUCGUAACUCUUUACCCCACUCUAUCCAUUCUGGCGCCCUUCAUCACAAUCAUUUACCAUGAUAUUUCUGAGCAGGAACUGAGGAGGGCCGUGGAAGGAUUCAACAGCCCCUCCCCGCAGCCAGAGGACCCCGGGAGGGCCUUCGAUCCAGGACUUAAAGAAGAUCCGGAUAUAUCUAUGGAGCUUGUCGACGGGACAUUUUAUCAGGCCAGCUGCGAUGGCGCCCCGGUGGCUAUUAUCGUCAACUAUCCCGGACUGCUACCUACGUCGUGUGUAAGUAAAACCGAAGCCUUAUCCUCUAAAGAGGACUCCUUUCUUAUACCAUGCCUUAUGCCUAAAAUAUCGUAUUUUUAUAGAGACGACCAUCGGAAUGCGGCGCCGAGCCCCUGGGGGCUCGUCGGCAAAGGGCGUCCGGGCCAGGCAGGCUUAAGAGGAAGGCGGUUAGGGCCGAAAUGCUGUUACAGAGGUAUAGUUAAAAUCUGCUAUGUGGUUAUCGUAUUUGACAUGUAACAGCUUCCCUUGUGUCCUCGCAGAAAGAGGAAUCACCGGACUAUAUCCGGAGGUCCUUCCGGUCACGCCUUUACCAGCCGGAUUCUAGAUCCGACUUCGAGAGAGGAGGCCGAUGCGGGGCUGAUGCCGGUUUGUCCUCUGACAGAGGAUGCGGAUAUGCUCUCUGCCACUAAUUCCGAAGUAGAGAGUGCCAUGAAUGAUCGGCGCCGAUGGGCCGUACUUCACAAUGGCAUCUUUUCUAAAGAGGCAUUCAAUGCUUUCAAUUCGGGAGACACAUACAUCUGAGCUGCUCAAGGUGGGCUUGCCCGAGAGACGGACCAGUAUGCGAAAGAUAUAUGGGUAAGAAAAUUUGAUAAGUAUGUAUAGCAGUAGCCCCUAAGACUUGAAACGGUUGGAACAACCGAUUUAAGGAUCAUUUUAUGGACAGUUUCUUGUAGAGAAGAAUACCCAUUUGUCUCAAGAGCUGGAGGAGUGCAAGUCCCAGCUGAGGGCCGCGGUUGCCAAACUAGAGGAAUCCCAGAAGCCCUCAUCUGGUAACAUUUGUCUCAAUAGAGAAAUUUUAAGGGAAUAUACCAGUUAGUAAUUGGCUUGUUUUAUGAGUCUAACAGAAAAUUCUGCAGACAAUCCCGGGAAGAAUCCGGAGAUCGUAAGAGAUAGCGAGUUUGUGCUUACGUAGGUUAGGCAGGAGAAAAACAAUCUCCAAGAUGCCAAUGUCCGGCUGGGCGUCGAAUUAGCAGAUGUUCGAGCUCAGCUGGUGGACUCCGUGAAGGAGAACAGGAGGCUUCAUCGCGGCAUUUAUGGUAAGUGCCUAAACGAACUGCAGUACAGUUCGGCGAGGAGGCAUUUUUUAAAAGAGAUUAUAUCUGUAGGUAUGCUGACGGGCCGUCCUGAAGAGGAGAUGCCCGGGUCCGCGGGUGAUUUACUACAAGAUCUCUCACAACUGCACGAACGAGUUCGAUAGGUGAUGCAGGGUAUUGCCCAGGCCUUGUGGCCAUCCACUUCCCUGCCAAAAGGCAUGGGAGAGCUCGUGGAUAUGCUCCAAGGAGCACGGUGGUGCUUCCAGUUGUGGAAGGUAUCAGCCUGUCAACAAGGUGCAAGGGAAUCCUGGGCCAUGGUGAAGACGCGCUACACCAAGCUUGACCCGAACCAUAUGGCCGAAGUCGGACCGGCAGGGCCAGAUGGGCAAGAGAUUCCUGUGAGUCUGGUGUAUGACCAGGUAGCGCUAGCCACAAAGUAUUCCCAACAGGAUUGCAAGCUAGAUAGCCUGUUGGAUGGUAUGGAGGAAGAAUAUAGCCAGUCCAAGUGACUAUGUAAUUCAAUGGACAUAUGUAGUCCCUAGCCGGAUUAAAAAUCUUUUGUCAUGGUGGACCUUUUCGCUUCAGCCCCCGGAUCCGACAGUCCGGGGUGUAUCCGAAUACCCGCUCAGUUAUGCAAAACCGGGGUAUGCGUGGAAACCAGGCGUAGGGGUAAUAAGUGCUUGAACAGACAAAUACCCAACUAGUUAUGGUAUAUUACAUGGGUAGUAAGAAACAUCUUCUAGGGAGAAUAGUUCCGUUAGGGUUUCCUUUCCCUGGGUACACAUGCAUCGAUGUACAUGUCUGAACUGCGAACAAAACACAGGAUACAAAACAUCUGGGGAUUCACAUUGUAAUAAACGAAAGAAACAUCUUCUGUUCACCGACUGUCGGCGUUCUGGGAACGGGGGUCCCCAUACUUGCCUGCCUGCAGCCUACGGCGUGGCUCAAGUGGGGGCCCAGCGCGGCCCAGCUUCAUCAGCUCAAGCUCAAGACCCUCGCGAGGGGCCAAGCCUCGCGGGGCGGACGACGGGAAGCUUCCUCAGGAGCAGCCACCUCAGGCAGGCUUGCGAGGAGGAGGAGAGAUCAAGGCACGGUUGCUCAUGAGGGUGCCCCAUGACGCAAGCCAUGACGAUCGAGACCAGGCGGGCGCCAGGCGGGCGCCGGCCUACGCACUGUCCUUGUUUCCCCUUCGGUGAAAAGGGGGCAAGCACAGGCCAAGGCAUCAGGGAAAGGUUACCGUUUCAGUGCAACAAGACCAAGACCAGCAGAACGACAGGAUGCAGGUCAUCGUGGAGCCCACGACGGCGUCAUCGGCAGAGCCUUUGGCAGCCGAAGACCAACUUUAGUCAGGAUAAGUGUACUGGAUGUUCCCCUUCAAAAUGGCCAACUAUUGGCGCCCUUCCUGCUCAUUAUUUAGGAAGAGGCCCAGGGCCUCCUCCUAUAAAUAGGACUAGCCACCACAGAGUAGAGGCAUCUGGAAGAUCGAUGAAUCAACCAGAGAGAGAGAGAGAGAAGUGACUGAACUCAUCCAAGUAGUUCAUCGCAGCAGCUCAAGAACAGCCCCUCGCGAGGCUGUUCUCACUUUGUACUGUUCAUCAUCAGCCCCAGAGGCAAUCCACCAUGCCACAAACUAGAGUAGGGUAUUACACCACAAUGGUGGCCCGAACUAGUAUAAACCUCGUGUCCCUCGUGUGUUCUUCCUUCUAGCCUAGAUUCCUUGCAAGCCUUCGACGCGUGCGCUGGUAGGGGAAAGAUCUUCGUGCGCACCCCAGUGUUUGAACCUCAAGGGUUUGCCGGAACCCGAAAUCUGACAUUUGGCGCGCCAGGUAGGGGUGCGUCGGAGUCUUUCUUCCGUUGGCCGUGUGAUCUUCCGUCGUGUCCAUGUCUGACGCUCGCCGAGCCAGCGCCGAGCGCCGGGCUGCUCUCGCCGCUCGAGUCGCCCAGACGGCUCCCGUCGGUGGACGCCCCCAUUGUUCCCCAUCGCCUGCUGCCAACGCCGCCACUGGCCUAGCGGGGAACGAGUAGUAGGCCUCGUUCCUGCAUCCCUCAGUGCGGCGAGAAGGCUGCACCGCCACCCCGCCCCUGACUCCAGCCGGCUCGCCGUCCCACGCCCGUCGCGCCCCCACGGACACACACGCCGCGCUGCUCCGGGCGCGUGAGUUCCUGCACUAGCGUCCCGUCGACGACCUCUACAAGGACUGGCUCGCCCGCAUCACCGAGCUCGUCAGCACCGCAUGGGGCUCUCCCAUGUCGUCCCUCUCGCUGCCUCCCCCUCCAUCCUGCGCAGGAGGCGUGGACCAAGAGGUGCCUCCACCACCUCCUCCCCAAGAAGGCGCACUGGCUCCAAGGCACGUGGCCCCAGGACGAGACCCUCCGCGUUCCGCGCCUGCGCGACAAGAAAGGAGCUGCCAAGAGAUCCCUCGUCCCCAAGAAGGUGCUCGCGUGCUCCCGGCACCGGAGCACCAUGGCCGUGCCCCUGUGCCACCACGUCAAGACCCCGCGCUGCUCUAGGCGCCGGUGCAUGGGGAUCCUCAGGAGUAAGCCCCGCAUCAACAGAGAGCUCCGGUGGCCACCACAGGCUGCCACGCCUUCACCGCCGAGCUGCGUAGCGUCGCAUGGCCCGGCAAGUUCAAGCCGGACCUGCCUCCUCGCUAUGACGGCACUGCAGACCCUGCGGAGUUCCUCCAGCUCUACGAGCUGGGCAUCAAAGCCGCCAACGGGAACGAAAAGGUCGUGGCAAACUGGUUUCCCAUGGCGCUCAAGGACAGAGCCCGCACCUGGCUCUUGAACCUGGCUCCUGGCACGAUCUCCUCCUAGGACGAGAUGCGCGCUCGCUUCAUCGCCAACUUCCAAGGCACUCGCGACCAGCCCCCGGCCAUGAGCGACCUGCGCCGCAUCAAGCAGCAGCCAGAAGAGACCCUGCAGAAGUACAUCCAGUGCUUCAACAACGCCCUCCUCAAGAUCCCCAGGGUGACUGAGGAGGCCAUCAUCUCAGCCUUCUCCGAUGGCGUGUACGACAUCAAGAUGAAAGAGGAGUUAGCCAUCCAUGAGGACAUGUGCACAUCCUUGGAGCUGUUCAACUUGGCGACCAAGUGCGCCAGGGCUAAGGAAGGGCGCCUUUCCCUCCUCGAGCUUCCGGCCGCCGAUCCAGAAGAGAAUAAGCCCAAGGUCAAGGACGUGAAGCGCAAGGGGGAUGUUGUGCUCGCAGCAGAGCUAGACACCAAGCAAGGCAGGGAUCAGCCUGAGUCAUCCAAAGGCAGCCGGUACUGCGUGUACCACGACCUCCACACCCACAACACCAAUGAAUGUCAAGAGCUCAGGGCCGUGCGAGAUGGGCAUAUCGGCCAACGUCCCGACCGCAACGACCGGGGCUAUGGCCGAGGAGGAGGAAGAGGUGGAGGAUGAUGGGAAGAUCGUGGCCUGCGCCAAGGGUGGCGUGAUUGACCUCGCGAGGACUGCUGGCAGGACCAGCCUCAAGAGGGAGGUUGGAGGGAUCAGCCUCGUGAAGACCGCCCUCAAGGCAAUGCAGGCCUCCCUCCUCUGCCACCACCCCCAAGGAGGAAUGAAGACCACCACCAGGACGAGGUGGCUGGGGGCUUCUAGGAGCCACGCAUAAUCGCUUGCAUCUUGGGCGGCGCUCAGGCCCCAGCCUCUCAGUGGAUCUUCAAGCAGUUUCCUCGUGAGGUGAAUGCAGUCCUUCCCAAGCUUGAAUCCACGUGCCCUCUCAGGUGGUUAGCAUGCGCUAUCACAUUCAACUCAGCGGAUCAUCUCAAGUGCGUAGCAACGGCCGGAGUCCUCCCGAUGCUUUGUUCCCGAGUCAUCAGCAAUGUGCAAGUCACCAGGACCCUCAUCGAUGGCGGAGCAGGACUCAGUGUCCUGUCCGUCGAAACGUUCAACAAUCUCCAAGUGCCAUACGAUCAGCUUCAGCCGACCAAGCCUUUCUCAGGAGUCACUGAUGGUUCCACUGUUCUGAUAGGGCAAGUUUGCCUUCCUAUCACCUUUGGGCAGCGCAACAACUACCACACCGAGCUCAUUGACUUCGACGUCGCCCACAUUCGCCUGCCAUACAAUGCCAUCCUCGGGUACCCAGCUCUAGCCAAGUUCAUGGCAGUGACUCACCAUGGCUACAAUGUUCUCAGGAUGCCAGGAAGCGGUGGAAUCAUCAUAGUGCCUUGAGAGGAGAGGGACGCAGUGUGUUCUCUUGAGCGUGCCUUCCAGGCUGCGGCAAUCGAAGACCCAGAUCACAGGAGCGGGAGCCUCCCCGAGGCGGUCCCUAAAAAGAAGAAGGCUUCACCUGGCCGAAACCCUCAUGAGGUAGGCAUCUCCGGAGGCGUUGCGUCAGGGUCCGCGCCAGUUCAAGGGGCGCCACCCUCUGUCGCAUAGGAAGGCGUGCUUGGCGCCCUCCUCGGGCAGGGCUCGGGGGCUCUGUCUUGGAGAGCCACUGACUUUGCCAAGGUCACGAGGGAGGCGCUCGGGCACCACUUGGAGGCGUGCUUCAAGGCACGUUUCCCUCAGGAAGGCAUGAGGCAAGGAGGGCCAAACCCUCAGGAGUUCAUCGCGAGGAACAUUCAGGAGCUACAGGAGUCAAGAGUCAUGCGCGACAGUCGCUGCCUGCCCGCAGUAGCCCCACAUCCCGGCGAGGAUGGUGGGAUGCGCGUCUGCAUCGAUGUACCAGGGCUCAACCGAGCCGCAUCUCAGGAGCGCCUCUGGCCUUCACGUGUGGGGCAUUGUGAGGGGCCACCUCACAGCUACGUUCGCAUGCCCCUCGGCCUGCCGAACGCGGCCGCCGCUCAUCAGCACCUGCUGAGGAGCAUUCUGGAGGCUCAGGAGGUUAGGCAUCACGCGGUCCUGGCGGAGAUGGAGAUGGUCCUCGGAGAUCCACCCGAGCCCUCAGAGCCUCCCGAGGCUCUAGGACCCGGGAGCUCGUGAGGAUCGACCUCCUCACCACACGUUGUCUGCUACUUCAGCAUAGCUUCAUCCCAACGGUAUCAGGUGACACCUCUCGAAGUUCCAUUUUUAGCUGGGAGCGCCCGCAGGGCUGCAUCAUUCCCAAGUCGCGUGGGUCUGCCCCUGCGGCAUGUAUCCAUUUUGCUUAUGUUCCUUACCUGCCUUGUUGAGGGCGCCCCUCGGGCUGCAUUGUCCUCAAGCUGCUCGGGCCAGACCCAAUGGCGUUUACUUUUUCCGCAUCUAUCUAAAUAGAUUUGCUCCUUCGUGCUUAACAUGCUUGACCUAACCGCCUGCUUGAUUGACACCUACCUUUGGAGUCGCACGCUCUGGCACGGCACUUGCGCACGGGUCCAUCCCUGCAACGCCGAUAAAUCUGAGUGGCUGAGCUCUGGCCGCGGCAGCCCCGCAAGGCGCCACCUCACCAGGCCCUCAGUGCCCCAAUCACUCCCUCGGAGCGACCAAUGGUUGGCUGGCAACCGUAACAACAAACCUUGUUUCCCCUCGUGACUGAUACGCAGGACCCGCUCUAGGAGUAACGCUGGUGGUGUCGCGAGCCUUCUCUCCUUCUCUCCGGCACGAUCCGCUUGCACGUUAAAAGGGGGGCGCCAGAGCAUCGUGACUCAUGGGCUCCUACUGGCUCUCCAGCCCUCACCCCCCGGCCUUGACCCACGGCAUCACGACCUGUCAUUCCAGCGGCAGCUGAGCUCACUCGAGGGCCGGGACCUGAGGACGUAGAGCAUUAAGGAAAGUGCAGGGGAGAGGGAAGAAGCUCAUGAGGACCCAACCCAGCAACACCUCAGCUGCCGCCACGCAGGCGCGACACCUCGUGAAACACUACUCCAAACCUACAAGAUAAGUCACGAAAAACUGAUUCGACUCAGCGCUAAACCCUCGGCUACUGGAGCUCUGUCACGGCAAUGUUUCUUGCCUUUCUUGCCCAGCGGAGGCUGCUUGAACGCUAAAGGGGACAUCCUGAGCAUCGCGACUCAGGGGCUCUUACUGGACCUCGGGCCGCUCACCUCCUGGCCUUGACCACGGCAUCACGACCUGGCAUACCAGUGACGGCUGAAGCCUGCGUGGGGAUCGGGACCUGUCAGCGUAGAGCACCAAGCCCUCGUGAUGAAAGAAAGGGGGAGCUGAGCCGGGAAAGGACAAGCAUCACGCCUCGAUUCAUAAUAAGGAUGUCAUAUUCGCAAAAGUCAUGGCCAGCGCCUUACGUACCCCCGUGGGGCAGUGCUUCGAUUUCUCACAGGGAACAAAAGGUGCUAAUCCUAAGGAACGCUAACUAAACGCGCCUCCGCAGGAGACGCCAUCAUCAACAGUGGGCCGCCAGGCACCGGCGCCAACCCCAUCCAGAUCAGCAGCGCCGGCGUCCUGAAGCAACCACCCUGCUCCGGGUGCGGCGCGAACUCAGGGGCUCGUAGCUGUCGUCGCUCAUCUCCGGAGUCGCGAGAAGCUCAGCAGAGUCGCUGGACCCUCCGCCACCUCCGCUGCCGCCUGAGGAGCUGCUAGGGAAGCGGUUGGUGGGCCAGGUCCUCGCCGCGAUGAUGCCCCGACCACCUUUCUCGGGGCAGCACUCCAGCUGGCGUCCCUCCGCAUCGAAGACCUUGAAGAGCAUCAAGGAGGCGCCAUCAUAUUCUAGGUGUAUUACGAGGGUACCCCCUGUCCGGCAGAUCCAGGCGAUCUCGCCCCAGCCUCGGGUCAUGUAAACCUUGCCGGGAGCGACAACCUCAACCUCUGCUCCGGUCGCGGGGGUGCUACAGUCAGCGUGCUGCAGCCAGAGCUCCAAAGGCCCCCUCUGCGAGAUCUCAAAGGCGAAGGAGGGAGGAAGGUAAAUCCAAGAUCAAGGAGGCAUGGCUGCGUGGAGCACAAGCUCACGAGAGGAGCCCUCGGCGUGGACUCCACGAGGAACGACGCACACCACCGUGACCCGCCGGCAUCGACGGUGGCACCGUUGGUGUUGCUUGGCGCCUUCUUCUCGAGAGCCCUCGAUGCGGGCAUACAAAGGCAGCGAGAACCCUGGCGGCGGCCGCUCGUAACAGGGUCUCGAUGCCUCCUACCGAGAGCCCUCAUCUCGGCGGCAGAGGGCUAGCCGUUUCUUCGGCGGAAGCGGAUCGGGACCCUCUCGAGGGGCCUUUCCCUUCUCUUCUAUAGAGAACUGGCGGAUUGGUUCCAUUGGCGCAAGGUGGAGCGAGGGUGAUGAAGAAGAAGAAGAGGAGUAGCAGGAAGGGAUGGACUAGAAGGGCUCGCGCCAUUCCGUACUUAUAGCUGGUGGAGGCCAACCGUCGGCCUCCACGAUCGAAGGUAAUCGUGACCCGUUUUUAUAUGCAGGGACUUGUCAAGUCAUGCGGUUGCGGAGGCAUCAUGGGGAAGCGGAGACACCCACGUCCAAUCAAUCGCCACGUGGCGCCCAAGGCUGCAGGUUGUUAGGGCCCGUGGCGCUUCGCACUUGCUCCUUCGUUUCUUUGCAAAGCCAAGUCCGGGCGCGCCUUGGGCCCGGGGGCUACUGUCGGCAUUCUGGGAAUGGGGGUCCCCAGACUUGCCUACCUACGGCCUGCAGCGUGGCUCAAGUGGGGGCCCAGCGCAGCCCAGCUUCCUCAGCUCAAGCUCAAGACCCUCGCGAGGGGCCAAGCCUCGCAGGGCGGACGACAGGAAGCUUCCUCAGGAGCAGUCUCCUCAGGCAGGCUCGCGAGGAGGCAGAGAGAUCAAGGUAGGGUACCUCACGAGGGUGCCCCAUGAUGCAAGCCAUGACGAUCGAGACCAGGCAGGCGCCAGGCGGGCGCCGGCCUGCGCAGUGUCCUUGUUUCCCUUUGGUGCAAAGGGGGCAAGCACAGGCCAAGGCAUCAGGCAAAGGUUACCGUUUCGGUGCAACAAGACCAAGACUAGCAGAACGGCAGGAUGGAGGUCAUCAUGGAGCCCAGGACGGCGUCAUUGUUAGAGCCUUUGGUAGCCGAAGACCAACUUUAGUCAGGAUAAGUGUACUGGAUGUUCCCCUUCAAAAUGGCCAAUUGUUGGCGCCCUUCCCGCUCAUUAUUUGGGAAGAGGCCCAGGGCCGCCUCCUAUGAAUAGGACUAGCCACCAUAGAGUAGAGGCAUCUGGAAGAUCGACGAAUCAACCAGAGAGAGAGAGAGAGAGAGAGAGAGAGAGAGAGAGAGAAACGACUGAACUCAUUCAAGCAGUUCAUCGCACCAGCUCAAGAACAGCCCCUCGCGAGGCUGUUCUCCCUUUAUACUGUUCAUCAUCAGCCCCGGAGGCAAUCCACCACACCACAAACUAGAGUAGGGUAUUACACCACAAUGGUGGCCCGAACUAGUAUAAACCUCGUGUCCCUCGUGUGUUGUUCCUUCUAGCCUAGAUUCCUUGCGAGCCUUCGACGCAUGAGCUGGUAGGGGAAAGAUCUUCGUGCGCACCCCAGUGUUCGAACCUCAAGGGUCUGCCGGAACUCGAAAUCCAACACCGACCGAAUAUUCCCUUAAGAACGCUAGCUUUCAGCUUCACCCUGUCUGAGGUACACAUCCGGCUGAACUGGAAGUAACAAUCACAGAGGUGCUCCCCUUAUGCCCUAGCCGAAUUAACAGGAACGUAGGGCAUAAACACAAGAGCCAGGCUACCCAGCAUGGCCACAUCUUAAGUCAUAUCUAUGCAUAUAAUGGUGAAGAAAAGGCACAUAUGGAAAAAUAAUGCAUAUCUGAUAUGCAGGAAGCCAUAAAAGUAAUUAUAUUUAGCUUCCGUAUGGGAAGCCCCCAGGUAUGGUGAACACACAUAGUGCGGCCGGAGUGAUCCGAGCAUCCACACUGUAUUGAAUACUUUGUGUGCAGAAGGGAAAAAGGCGAGAAGGAAAAAGAGGGGGGAACAUAAUUAAAAGAGCGGGGGUAAGGAGACGAAUACUGAGUUCGGCACUAGGCGUAGAAUCUCCGGAGUCUGGCCUCGUUCCAUGGGUUUGGCUCGAGUCUGUUAUCGGAUGCAUUACGCAGGCGGUACGCUCCUCCGGUGAGAACUUUAUCAAUAAUGAAGGACCCUCCCAUUUAGGUUUGAGCUUGUUCUUCUUCUUCUCCGGUAGGCGUAGAACGAGUUCGCCAACAUUAUAAGUUUUGGCCAGCACUUCUCUGCUUUGAUACCUUUGACCCUGCUGCUGAUAGAAUGCGGAACGGGCUUUUGCGACAUUGCGCUCCUCCUCCAGGGCAUCUAAGUUGUCCUGCUGAUCUAAAUCGGCUUCCUUCUCUUCGUACAUGCGCACGCGAGGUGAGUCAUGGAUUAUGUCGCAGGGUAGUACUGCCUCUGCGUCGUACACCAUAAAAAAUGGUGUGUAUUCGGUGGUGCGAUUCAGCGUGGUCCGCAGCCCCCAGAGUACGGAGUUGAGCUCCUCGACCCAGUGCAUGUCCGAUUCUGUCAAGGAUCGCACUAGUCUGGGUUUGAUGCUGCUCAUGAUGAGACCAUUUGCACGUUCGACAUGUCCGUUUGUUUGGGGAUGGUAGACGGAGGCAUAAUCGAGCUUAAUGCCCAUGUUGCCGCACCAAGUUUUCACUUCAUCGGCUGUGAAGUUUGAGCCAUUGUCAGUGAUGAUGCUGUGGGGGACGCCGUAACAGUGUACAACCCCUAAUAUGAAGUCUAUCACUGGUCCGGAUUCGGCCAUUUUAACUGGUUCGGCUUCUAUCCAUUUGGUGAACUUGUCCACCAUGACCAAUAAGUAUUUUUCUUAUGGCUUCCCCCUUUAAGAGGUCUGACCAUAUCCAUCCCCCAGACCGCAAAGGGCCAGGUUAUGGGAAUUGUUUGGAGAGUGGUAGGGGGCAUAUGGCUCUGAUUGGCAAAGAGCUGGCAACCGACGCAGUGUUGGACAAGGUCCUGUGCAUCUGCCCGGGCUGUCGGCCAAUAAAAACCUGUACGGAAGGCUUUGCUGACAAGUGCCCGAGCCGUAGCGUGGUGCCCGCCGAGUCCGACAUGGAUUUCAGCCAAUAGCUGCCGCCCUUCCUCUUCGGAGAUGCAUCUUUGGAGCACUCCGGUGGCACUUUUCUUAUAGAGUUCUCCCUUAUGGACUUUGUAGGCCUUGGAAUGCUGCACAAUACAACGUGCUUCAUUUUGGUCCUCGGUGAGCUCCUGCCUAUUUAGGUAGGCCAAGAAUAUGUUAGGUGGGACAGGGUCACGUUUAGCGCCGACGCGGGCGAGGAUAUCCUCCGCUUGAUUGUUUUCUCGAGCCACAUGGUGGAAUUUGAGCCCCUUGAACCGAGAUGACAUUUUGAGGACGGCAUUGCGGUAUACCGCCAUUUUUGGAUCCUUGGCAUCAAAAUCUCCAUUUAUUUGUGAUAUUGCGAGGUUUGAGUCCCCGCGCACUUCCAGACGUUGAAUGCCCAUAGAGAUUGCCAUCCGAAGACCAUGCAACAGGGCCUCGUAUUCGGCUACGUUGUUGGAGUCUGUGUAUAAUAUUUGGAGUACGUAUUGGACCACGUAUCCGGUGGGGGAUGUCAGGACUACACCCGCUCCCAAUCUGGCCAUCAUUUUAGAACCGUCGAAGUGCAUGAUCCAAUUGGAGUACGCGCCGUACUCUUUAGGGAGUUCGGCUUCUGUCCAUUCGGCAACGAAGUCAGCCAAUACUUGUGACUUAAUGGCCCGCCGUGGUUUGUAUGUUAUGUCGAACGGAAGGAGCUCGAUGGCCCAUUUAGCAAUCUGUCCUGUGGCGUCGCGGUUGUUUAUUAUGUUGUUGAGUGGUACUUCGGAGGCCACCGCAAUCGAACACUCUUGAAAGUAGUGUCAUAGCUUCCGGGAUGACAUGAAGACCGCGUAUGCUAUCUUUUGAUAGUGUGGGUAUCAGGAUUUGCAUGGGGUGAGGACAGUUUACACGUAAUAUACCGGCUUUUGGAGCGGGAACUUGUAUCCAUCUACUUCUCGUUCGACGACGAGCACUGCGCUUACAACUUGAUGUGUUGCAGCUAUGUACAAUAGCAAAGGUUCGCCAAUAUUGGUGCUGUCAGGACUGGAUUACUGGCUAAUAGGGUCUUUAUUUCAUCCAGUCCGUCCGCAGUUGCAUCCGUCCACACGAAGUGUUUGGUGCGUCGAAGAAGGCAGUAAAGAGGUAGUGCCUUUUCUCCUAAUCGGGAGAUAAAGCGGCUUAAGGCAGCCACGCAUCCAGCUAGUUUCUGGAUAUGCUUGAGGUCUGUUGGGAUAGCCAACUGCGACAGAGCUCAGAUUUUUGCCAGGUUUCCUUCGAUUCCUCUAUUGGAAACGAUGAAGCCGAGCAACUUCCCGGAGGGUACGCCAAAAACACAUUUUUCCGGGUUGAGCUUGAUGUUGUAUGUUCGGAGGUUGUCGAUUGUAAGUCUCAAGUCAUCUAUUAAGGUUUCGACGUGUCUUGUUUUUAUGACUAUGUCAUCCCCAUAUGCCUCCACUGUUUUGCCGAUUUGCUUCUCCAGGCAUGUUUGAAUCAUGCGUUGAUAGGUUGCGCUGGCAUUUUUAAGCUCGAAAGGCAUAGUGUUGAAGCAGAAGGGACCAUAUGGCGUUAUGAAGGCCGUUGCAUCUUGGUCGGACUUGCCAUCUUUAUUUGAUGGUAUCUGGAGUAUGCGUCGAGGAAACAUAGUGAGUCGUGUCCAGCGGUAGCGUCGAUGAUUUGGUCGAUGCGAGGGAGGGGGAAGGGAUCCUUGGGGCAGGCCUUGUUGAGGUCUUUGAAAUUGAUGCAUGGGCGCCAGGAUUUGUCCUUCUUUGGUACCAUUACCAGAUUUGCCAGCCAAUCCGGAUGCUUUAUAUCUCUGAUGAAUCCGGCCUCAAGUAUCUUGGCUAGCUCUUCUCCCAUGGCUUGCCAUUUAGGUUGUGAGGAUCCCCUAAGAGUCUGUUUGACUGGCUUGUAUCCUUUCAGUAUAUUGAGGCUGUGUUCGGCCAGCCUACGUGGGAUGCCCGACAUGUCUGAAGUAUGCCAGGCGAAAAUGUCCCAAUUCUUGCGUAGGAAGUCUCGUAGUGCGGCGUUCAUUGUGGGGCUCAACUGUGUCUCGAUGGAAGCUGUCUUUGUGGGGUCCGUUGGAUGGACCUGGAAUUUGACUAUCUCGUCUGGGGGCUUGAAUGAGGUGGACUUGGGUCGUUUGUCGAGUAUCACGUCGUCCCUGUCCACUGUGGCGCGCAACAUUGUUAGUUCUUCGGCCGCUAGGGCUUCGGAUAAUGCUUCCAGGGCUAGUGUUGCAGUUUUAUUUUCGGCGCGGUUCGGAUCACUAGCUAGAGUGAUGAUUCCAUUGGGUCCGGGCAUUUUAAGCUUCAUGUACCCAUAAUGGGGUAUAGCUUGAAAGCUCAUGAAUGUGUCCCGCCCAAACAGGGCGUGGUAUCCGCUGCUGAAAGGAGCCACUUGGAAUGUGAUUUCUUCGGACCUAUAAUUCUCCAGGGUGCCGAAUACCACAUCGAGUGUGAUUUUUCCCGCACACAGUGCCUCCCGACUAGGGAUGAUUCCCCUGAAGGUCGUGCCGCUUUGCUCAAUGCAACUUUUAUCAAUUUCCAUCUUGUUGAGUGUUUCUUCAUAGAUCAAGUUUAAUCCGCUUCUCCCGUCCAUGAGUACUUUGGUGAGCCGAAAGCCGUCCACGAUUGGACUAAGGACCAAAGCGGCUGGUGCCCGGACUGUCUGGAAUUGAGGUUCGUCACUGGCACUGAAGGUUAUAGCAGUGUCGUUCCACGGAUUUAUUUUUGCCAUGUGGCAGAUUUCAGCGAAAUUUCAAUGAGCUCACUUGCGCCUAUUAUUUGAGGUGAAAGUCUCAAAGACUGUCAGUACCGCAUUGUUGUCUUCGGCGGGAUGUUGCUCUGCUUUAUGGUUUACAAGAAGAUCCUCGCCGUUUUUUGCUACCUGCCAGAGUUUGCAACAUGCUCUAAGGCUAUGCGUUGGCGUAGUAUCCGGCGUGCUGUGAAUUUUGCAUGGCCCAUUGAGCCAUUCUUCCAAUACAGUUCCAUGCCCUGGAAUGGGCUUUGGUUUUUUGGGAAUUGGAUCGGAUAACUUACGAGAGUUUACCCUUUUAGCUUGGACGAAGGGUUUAGUGAGAGCCGGAUUAUCCCAAAAGUCUGUUUGGAUUUUCCAGGUGCUUUCCAUUGCACAGUACUUCUGUACUAUGGCUGCUAAGUCGGCAAACUGUACUAUGUCACAGUGACUUAUAACAUUAAGGAUCCCUUUGUUCGUGCAACUUUUACAGAAAAGUGAGAUUGCGUCUUCCUCACGACAGUCCUUGACCUUGUUUAUCACAAGGAGGAAUCUGGCCCAGUAAUGACGUACUGUCUCUUGGGGCUCUUGUCUGAUAUGGGAGAGAUGGCUUAAGUCUGGGCGGGUGGGCGUAGUUAAAUCUGGAUUUUGAUCCGAUCUAACACCCAGGGGCAGAGGAGCUUCUGGGCUUGGCAGCUCGAGCUCCGGGAUGUUGCCCGAUUUUUCUGGCCCGUUGCCCGAUUCUGAGUCCGGGGUCUGGGUCAUGUCCUCCCGAGAACGAGUAUCCGACUCAGAGAGCUCGAUAAUCUGGACAUAGUUCAUCCUCAAAGAAGAGGGAUAAUCCAUGUGUGGCUCUUCCACUACCGCUAUCUCGUGGGUGACCGGUGGGGACUCCCAAAGCGGCGAUGCGAUCCAAGAGCUCAUUAAGGGAGAGAGCUCCAUUGGAUCCAUCUGUUCGGCGAGUUCUGAAUUGACGUGGAGGUUGUUUUUGAUGACCCGAGAGGUCAUUGUCGGUGCGGCAGCCGAUUGGGCGGCCAUGACGAAGCCGCCUAGUCAGAGAGUUUGGCCUACCGCUAGUGCUCCCCCAGAGGUGAUGUUGUCCUUGACAACGAGACGAGCCAUCGGGCCUUGCAGCAACGACAGAGAGGAACUCUCAAUGAAAGCACCAAUGUCGGUGUCAAAACCGGCGGAUCUCGGGUAGGGGGUCCCGAUCUGCGCGUCUAAGGCCAAUGGUAACAGGAGGCAAGGGACACGAUGUUUUACCCAGGUUCGGGCCCUCUCGAUGGAGGAAAAACCCUACUUCCUGCUUGAUUGAUCUUGACGAUAUGAGUAUUACAAGAGUUGAUCUACCACGAGAUCGUAGAGGCUAAACCCUAGAAGCUAGCCUAUGAUGAUUAUGAUUGUCCCCCUAUGGACUAAACCCUCUGGUUUAUAUAGACACCGGAGUGGGCUAGGGUUUACACAGAGUCGGUUACAAAGAAGGAGAUCUAACAUCCGGGUCGCCAAGCUUGUCUUCCACGCAAAGGAGAGUCCCAUCCAGACACAGGACGAAAUCUUGAGUCUUGUGUCUUCACGGUCCAACAGUCCGUCCAAAGUAUAUAGUCUGGCUGUCCGGAUACCCCCUUAUCCAGGACUCCCUCAAUGGGCCUCCUUUUAUAGGCGAAAGGGGCUGCCACAGUGGAACACAGGAGGUGGAAAGUGUUACAGUGCUGCGAGCUUAUCGCUGGUAUUACAGGACAAAGUGCAUUUAAUGCAAGGCUUAGGUCUCCCUUCACUUUAUCGGGGACGGGAGCGAGGCAUGUCCCGUCCGCCGCCGCUCCUCCUUGCUUUGACAUGCGCCCUGGCCAGCGAUGCAUGCGGUGCCAUGUAGGCAGACAGGCAGCUGAGGUGGCACGAUGGUGGAGCCUUCACGAAGGGCCGCAUGUUGCCAUGCAGGUGCCUGCCCAGCUGGUUGGGUCGGCAGCUGCAUGCGAACGGCGGCGGAGACUUGGCUGGCGUGGGCCUGGCGGUGGCCCUGCUGGCGCGCUUGGCGAGGGCCUUGCCAGGUGGCCCGGCAAGGGUCUUGCUGCGGCACGCCGUCAUCCCCGGCAAGAACCUUGCCAGGGGUCUCGUGGGCUUCCUCGGUAAGAACCCUGCCGAGGAUUGUUGCCUCCCUAUCCUCAUUUGAUCUUGACUGUUCUUUAUCUUCACAAAGAUCUGCAUGCCACCACGAAGGUGCCUCCCGAGCCCUGUCCCAAUGCGUUUGUUUAGUGUUGGUGGGCUCAAAGGUGGCUCGCUCAGCUGGUGUGGGCAAGCUGCCCCGGCAAGGGUCUUGCCGAGGCCGCCGAGGCUGCCCCGGCAAAGGUCCUUGCUGGGGAAACUUGCUUCGUCCAUCCGAUCCUUGUGGCCUUGGUCCCUGUCGUUGCUUUGUUUGUCUUGUGCCUUCGGCUUCUCUCCGGCUUCCCUUUCCUGCCCUGUUAUGCGUGGCCGUGGCGGGUGGCUCUGACUGCCCGUGCACAAGUAAAGGGGUCAAAAGCAGAGCCCCUACUUUUGUACACCGACAGCACCAAGCCUUGUAACGUAAGUUUUGUAGUAGGCGCCUGCACUCGGCAUCGAUAACUUGUGCUCAAGCCUCCUCGUAUCCCUCCUCACACCUGUAGAAGGUCUGCAAUCAAACGAGACAACAUUGAUUAGUACAAUAACUAAGCUUCUUCGAAGAUUUUUAAGUGUGUAAAGGAGAAAUUAUCCAAAAUGUUCUGAUCCCCAAGUCGGCCCUCGUGUGGCACAAGAUACCGUCGAUCAUCUCCUCCCGUGCGGCCGGGGCAGCCAAGUAGUGCUCCCAGGUCAAUCCUAGCUCUGGAAUCUAUCCCUCAUUGGGCAACAUGAGAAACCCCGGGAAGUUUUGCUGGCAAAUCACACCAAGGACUUGGUUGGGCCUGUGGACAUCCUAAGGGUGGUCCCAACCCCUGCAGUAUGACAAGGCCAACGCAUUAGGUAUUUGAAGAAACAUGAUGGCAAAAGGUAUGAAAAUAGUAAAUGCACUUACCUCGUCCCAUUAGGCCAAAUCAACCACCUCUGCUCACGGGUCGCCGGCAUGGACAGGAGCUCCCCUCAACCACCUCGUCCACGUUGCUGCUAUUAGAAAUCUGAUGCCUGCCACCAUCAGCAUGGCCACUCGACCCCUCAAGCGGAUCCUGCUAGGUACCCCAUCCGGACGUCUCCUGGGACGUAGCCUAGGUUGGAGUCACGUGGGCCCAAGUGUCCUGGCCCGAACUUUCAUGGGCCUAAGGCCCAUCGACCCGAGGCUAGUGGACCGGAGUCCAUGUAGCCUCCUCCUCAUACGUGCCCCCUAGCAGUCGUGUGCUUGGGUGACUCAGCUGGGGGUGGCGGCGAGGAAGGCGUAGGAGCCAGCCUACCUCUCCCAUGACCACUUCCUGAUCUACCUCCUCUCUUCUUCCCUCCCUGACCUCCUCUCCCGGUGGGCACUGAUGUCGACAAAGAAGGGCCCGUCCGUGUCCCCAAACUAUCUAACAACGCUCUCCAGAGAGGUGCGGGUGGAAUGGAAGAACCUCUCCCACCACGCUCUGGACCCGAGCCCACGAUCUUUCAACACAUGUCAUGAUAGAAGAGUAAAAGGAAUUAGUACAACAUAAAAAAAUUGAAUACCGACAUGAAUAAUAAAAUGUAUAUUAACUCAUCAGAUAAUAGGUAAAGGUAGGUCCAUCAGCAUGUAUAUUCAUCAGUUAAUCUAGUUUGUCAAUUUUGAAACUUCAAACAACCAAACUGACUCAUGACAAAAGAUCCUUGACCAUCGACCCCUCGACCCCUCGGCGAUGGGGACUAAAAGCCAAGAUUUGAAACUUCAAACAACCAAACUGAGAAAAAAAUCAGGGCGUAGAAAGAGAAACGAAAGACGAAAUAGUACAUAGUGAGAGGUUGUGCAACUAGGAUGAUUUUAUUGUACCAGCUUUUUUAAUGAAUUGGAGACGAUGAUGGUGAAGAAGUCAAAAGACACCAAUGGAUUUCGAGUUCUUCACUAUCAUACUUACAAAUUCAUUAAAAAAGCUAUUAUAGAAUAUCAUCCUAGUUGCACAACCUCUCACUACGUAUUGUUUCGUAUUUGGUUUCUCUUUCUAUGCUUUGAUUUUCUGUCAUGAGUCGGUUUGGGUGUUUCAACUUUCAACACUUGGCUUUUAAUCCUCGGCAAUCAUCGACCCCUCGACCCUAGACCCCUCGGCAACCCUCGACCCCUGACCCCUCGACAAUCCUCAAACACCUUCACUAGGAGCAUGGUGCGGUUGUUGUCGUAGCUUAAGAUGCGGACGUGCCCGAGCUGAAUGUCAUCAGCGCGGGCGAACUGCUUCAAUCCGUUCAUCACAGACGAAUGGAAGCAGUUCACCCACGCUCAUGACAUUCAGCUCGGGUGUGUGCUCGCCUUAAGCUACAACACCAGUCGGUCAGCACUGAGACCAGAAGAUCCUCGCCCCUCGACCCCUUGACCCUCGACCACUCAACCCCUCGGCGACCCUCGACCCCCUACCCCUCGGCAAUCCUCGACCCUCGACCCCUUGGAGGUCCUGUCGAACACCUUCACCCUGAGCAUCGUGCAACUAUUGGUGUAGCUUAAGAUGCAGACGUGCCCGAGCUAAAGGUCAUCAGCACGGGUGAACUGCUUCCGUCCGUUCUUCGCGCACGGAUGGAAGCAGUUCGCCCACUCUCAUGACCUUUAGCUCAGGGACGUCCUCAUCUUAAGCUACGACACCAGUCGGUCAACACUUGGACCGGAAGAUCCUCGAUCGUCGACCCCUAAACCCUCGACCCCUCGCCCCUCGAUCCUCGACCCUCUGCCCUGACCCUCGGCCCCUUGGCGACCGGCGAUCCUUGACCCGGUUCCGUCAGUGCCGACGCACCCCUAACCUCGACCCGAUUCCUUCGGUGCUGACCCACCCAUAACCUCCUCUUCUUCUUCUCCCGUUGUCGGUGUCAAAACCGGCGGAUCUCGGGUAGGGGGUCCCGAACUGUGCAUCUAGGCGGAUGGUAACAGGAGACAGGGGACACGAUGUUUUACCCAGGUUCGGGCCCUCUUGAUGGAGGUAAAACCCUACGUCCUGCUUGAUUGAUAUUGAUAUUGUGGAUGUUUACAAGAGUGGAUCUACCACGAGAUCAAGGAGGCUAAACCCUAGAAGCUAGACUAUGGUAUGAUUGUAAGGGUUGUUGUUGUUGUUGUCCUACGGACUAGAGCCAUCCGGUUUAUAUAGACACCGGAGAGGGCUAGGGUUACAUAGAGUCGGUUACAAUGGUAGGAGAUCUACAUAUCCGUAUCGCCAAGCUUGCCUUCCACGCCAAGGAAAGUCCCAUACGGACACGGGACGUAGUCUUCAAUCUUGUAUCUUCAUAGUCUUGGAGUCCGGUCGAUGAUGAUAGUCCGGCCGAUGAUAGUUCGGCUGAUGAUGGUAGUCCGGCUAUCCGGACACCCCCUAAUCCAGGACUCCCUCAGUAGCCCCUGAACCAGGCUUCAAUGACGAUAAGUCCGACGCGUAUAUUGCUUGGCAUUGCAAGGCGGGUUCCUCCUCCGAAUGAUAGAAGAUUGUGAACACCAGGAUAGUGUCCGGCUCUGCAAAAUAAAUUCCACAUUCUACCGUAGAGAGAAUAAUAUAUGCACAAGUUCAAUCUGCUGACGUUUUUUGCGGCAUGACGUCACGCCACUACCAAGCCAUUACUUGAAUCGUUUUUUACUCUACCACCUCAGCGCAUUCAGCGAAGCGGUUUCCUUGGCACGUCUUGUCGAAGCAGAGAUCGUGUUCCCCCUUAAUCUGGGAUUCUCAUCAAUACGGACAUGGGUAACCCAACCGCGCCAUUGAUGGUGACGCUUGGGGGAUAAGAGAGUUUUACCAGGCCGGUGGGGGACGCGUAGACUUCGCCCGCCCAUAUAAGGGAUAAGGAUUCACCUUUUCACCUACGCCUUCUUCCUCCUUUGCUUAUCCAUCUCCGCGCACUCAAGCUCCAGCGCCCAAGUCCGCACAUCUCGUCUCAACCUUCCCCAGUUAUGUCCGGAGCGGGAGGCAAGUGGAUGACCUCCUCCGUUACGGAGGAGCACAUCGAAAGACUACGCAGCGCCGGCUACCUGUCCGGCGACAUCGCGCACCGGCUGCCCGACGAGGAGCAGCUCAUCCCCAACCCCAGGCCCCAUGAGAGGGUCAUUUUUCUUCCCCAAUUCCUCCGCGGACUGGGUUUUCCACUUCACCCCUUUGUCCGGGGGCUCAUGUUCUACUACGGCCUGGAUUUCCAUGAUCUGGCGCCGAACUUCAUCCUCGACAUCUCGGCGUUUAUCAUCGUGUGCGAGGCCUUCCUCUGCAUCCAGCCCCACUUCGGCUUGUGGCUCAAGACCUUCAAUGUCAAGCCGAAGGUAGUGAAGGGCACUCAAGCGGAGUGCGGAGGCUCCAUGUUGAGCAAGAUGCCCAAUGUCCUUUGGUUCGAAGGGGCCUUCAUGGAAUCCGUCAAGGGUUGGCAAUCGGGGUGGUUCUAUAUCACCGAGUCGCGCGACCCUAAGUGGGCGGCGGCCACCGAGUUCAGAUUUGGUAUCCCCAUGCAGCUCACCUCCUGGAAAGAGAAGAGCUUGCUGUGGGGUAGUUCGGAGGAGCUGACGGGACUCCAAGCCUGUAUCCAGAAGCUGGUGAAGAAGCUCAGGCUGGUUAACGUGGUCCAAGUCAUGCUCGUCCGCCGGAUUCUCCCAUGCCAAGAGCGGGCAUUCAAUCUGUGGGAGUUCAAUCCGGAACAGCACCAGGCGAUGAGCGGGCUCUUCGAAACGACAUACGAAGGCGCCUGGAGGGUGCUGUUUAAGGGCGCUGAAGCCCCCGCAUCCGCGACUGAAGAUCGCGGAUUUCGCUCACAGCGCCAAGCCGACGAGGUAAGUGAUUCUACCCCUUUACGGGACACUUGCUUUUCAUAGUUUGACUUUAUGCGGGUUUUAAUUUCCCCUUUUCCUUUGACAGGACUGGAUGAGGAAGGCGGAGCAGAUUAUCUGCCCGGCUCCCAUGCCAGAAAACCCAGUAGACGCCCAUCUAGCGAGGCUGCUGGUUCCGGCACCGCACGUGGUGCCGGAGAAGAAGGCCAAGAAGGAGGCCACGGGUGCUCGAAAGAGUUCCCGUUUUCAGGUGUCCGAUGACUCCAGGGUGGACUCCUCCCCCGAAAACGAGGAGGAGAAAGAGGACUCUCUCCCAGAGGAGGGAGAGAGGAAGAGGAAGGCUUCCCCAACAGGGGAGGCCGAAGGGUCCAAGAGAGGAAGGACUAUUCCCUCGGACAGCUCCGCCAACAUCAAUGUUGGCGAGGAAGAAUGGCCUUCAAGGGCCAGGCCUCCAGCGAGAUCGUAAGUAUCUGGAUUCCUGAGUGAUUUAUAAUUUCUUUUUCUGUGUCACAUAGUGUCAUUCUGAUGCCGCAUGCUGCCUGUAGUCUGGCCAAUGAUGAUCUCCCCGCCUCAUCGGGCGGGUCGUUGGCUCCGUCGGAUGUAGACUCCAUCCCGACCGCCUCCACCCCUCGCGACACCGAGGACACCGAGGUGGGAUCCCAAGAAGGGACCCAUCAGGGGGAGGCUCCGGAGGCGUCACAAGGCGUCCUCCUGGACUUUACGCCGGACUCCAUAUCAGAACCCGCAAUGGUUCCGGAGUCCGGCCGGCGGCCCCUUCGCACGAAGGGCAAGACCGUGACGCCGGCGGCUUCCGUCCAACCGGAGGCACCAGACAAUUUGUUGGAGGCGCUCCAGAGCGCUUCCAUCAAGGAAGAACACCGCACUAUUAUGAGUGCGGUGAUUGAGAAGGUACAGCUGGCCAAGGGCGGGCUGACCGAAGCCUGCAGUAGCCUUCUAUCAGGCUUUGAGGUAAGAAGUUAAAAAUAUGCAAUGUAAUACCGCAUAGACAGUAGCCCCUGAUGCUCGGUUCGGUGUUCGGAAAGAAAAGCCGGACUGGGGAUCUGAAAAAAAAAAGAUAUACGCAGGGUUGCUAAAAAAUAUGUCAAUAUGGGUUGCAGGCUGCACUGCUGACCUCUGCCGCACUGACUGCAGAGGUCGGUGCUUUUAAGCAGGAGCUCGAGCGGUCCGAGCAAGAGCUCGGCCGCACCAAGAAGCAGCUCUAGGACAAAGAAGGUGAGUAACACUACUUUGAACUUGUACCUUACAGAAAAGGAUUUAGGUUGCAACAAAAAAUAACAAGGAUAACAUGGGUACUGCAGGGGCCACGAACGAGGUGGUGACCCUAAAGGAGGCUGUGUCUGCGGCCGAACGCAAUGCGGCCGCGGAACGGGCAGAGCGAGAAAAGCAGGAGGCGCGGGUGGCAGUGGUUCAGCAAGAGCUCCAGGCUCUCAUGGAAAAGCAUGAGAGUUUGGAGCGUGACUCAAAGACUUGAGAGUCCAAGCUUGCCUCGGCUCUCGAAAGUGCCAAGACUGCCAAGGCCGAUGCCCAUAAGUCCCUUCAGGAGAUUGAGUUGUUGAGGAAGAUAGCGGCGGGUAAGCCAUUUUUCAUGCAAAGCAAGCAUGUGAAUGUAAAUUACGUGUUACUUACCCGAAUUUGGAGCUCUCCAGGGGCGUUUGCAGAUCUGCCUCGCAAUGUGUCUGAUGCCGCCGCAUUCUACCGAGUCGAGGAGGGGAGCUCAACGGAGAAGGUCUUCUGGUCUCAGUAUGCUGAGGUCGGCCAUCCGGUGCCCCCUAGCGACCAGCUGAAGCAGCUGGUCGAGCUCCACAAGGUGGCCGAGCAGGCCAUGAAGGGCCUCAUAGUUCGGCUGUGGCCUGGAGAGGCCAUGCCUGGGAGCUACUUCGGUCUCGUGCGAUGGUUGGUGGAUGCGUGCCCCUGGGUGGAGGUUAUCAAGCACUCCGCUUGUAUUGAAGGUGCUCGUCGGGCCCUUGCCCGCGCAAAGGUGCAUUGGGGCAAGCUGGAUGCGGAGAAGCUAAUCACUGACGCACCACCAGCGGGCAAGGAAUAUCGUACGCCCGAGAUGUACUAUAAGACUGUCCUGAAGGGUGCCCGCAAGAUUGCGGAUGAGUGCCCCAGGGAUGAAAUUAUUGAGUAAAUUCACAAUGUGUUAUCCUAUGCGCUGAAAACUUUGUUCAUAUGCGCUAAGCAACGCUUGUUAAUUUAAAAUAUUACCUUCUGUGCGGCCGUUUAUUAAAUCUGAGAGAUGGCAAGUUGUCGGCUUCAGCCCCCAUGCCACGAGUGCUGGGGUGUUCGGGAUAAACUUGAGAACUCUUGUUCCCAUUUUUGGGUCCAUCUAGGGAGGCGCUCAACACAACGAACAAGGCAACUGGACUUAUAGUGCUUGAACACUCUCACUUAGCCAUAGAAUUCUAUAAUUUUAAAUUUUGGCGAAGCCCCUAGUAUUCGGAAGACCGAAUUAGGGGCGCUAUCCACGCCUUCGUCAGACAUUAUCCGGAACUUCGCUCGAAGCGGCGUAGGUCUUUAAGGACCUGAAAGGACCUCUCGAACAGUGACCAGUCUCUCGCCUUAUCAUGACAUUCAGUUUUAGCUUUCUCCACUGAGGCGUUAACUCGGCUCAACCGGGGCACAAUCGCAGUGGUUCUCCCAGUGCUACCUUAGCCGAUAAAACGGAAUGUAAGGUGCCAAACAUGGGAGCCGGGCAAACCCAACUAUUGACCCAAGACAUGAUUCGGAGCCGAUUCAUAUAAUGCUAUAAGUUCGGGGUGCCGCACUUGUGAAAGUGUUCGGACUUUAUCACACCAUAGUGCGGGGAGCAUAAGCCCCUGGUGUAUUUGGCCGUACCAAAAUGUACGGAUGCGACAUGUCGUAAAUGAACACAUAUAUAUAUAAGGUAAUGUAAUUAUGGGCAAAAAGUGCUGCAUUUUAUUCAAGAAGAUCUGCUAUGAGUGCGGAAUGAUACAAAUAGUGCGGAAAGCAAGGGAUUCGACGAAUUAAAGGCGUCUCCCUCCAGGGGUAGGCCGCGGAAUGGUGUAUUUAACAAAUUAAAUGCUCGUAGUGGAGACCACCUGAGUGUUCGUCGCGGCCUUUGUCCCUCCCUGGCUGUUGCAUCAUGAGUUCGGCAGGUUCGCCGCCGGACAGAGUUCUGUAUAAAAAAGAGAGAAAUAAAAGAUAAAAAGAGUGACACACUUGGGAGCCCCUGGUGUGGUCGAACCGCACUCUGGGUCUGUUGUGGUUGUGCCUCUCCCCCUAUGCCCAUGGUAUCUCCAGGGCAUAAUUAUGUAUGCGGAGAGUUUGUCUUACAAUUGUGCAAGGGCUGGGGUUGAGGCCGCAUUGCUACGCGUGCUCGGAACGUGCCAGGUGGUCUUGGUUGAUGUUGCUCCGGGCGCGUUUGGCCGUGUCCGGUCGUUUAACGGCCGGACUCGAAAAUUGACUUAAAAGGCUACUCUGUACUUCUGCCGCGAGAGCCGCUGUAUGUUCCUCCGUUCGGAGGGAGCGUUCCGUGUUUCCAUUGACCGUGAUGACUCCACGAGGACCUAGCAUCUUGAGCUUAAGGUAUGCAUAAUGUGGCACCGCGUUGAAUUUUUCGAACACGGUUCGUCCGAGCAGAACGUGAUAGCCACUGGGGAACGGGACUAUGUCGGAGAUUAACUCCUCAUUUCGGAAAUUAUCCGGGGAUCCGAAGACCACUUCCAGUGUGACUGAGCCUGUACAACUGGCCUCGACACCUGGUAUGACGCCUUUGAAGGUUGUCUUUGUAGGUUUAAUCCUUGAAGGGUCUAUGCCCAUCUUGCGCAUUGUAUCCUGAUAAAGCAGGUUCAGGCUACUGCCGCCGUCCAUCAGGACUCUCGUCAGGUGAAAUCCAUCGACGAUUGGGUCUAAAACCAAUGCGGCGAAUCCUCCAUGGCGGAUACUGGUCGGAUGGUCUCUUCGAUCGAAAGUGAUCGGGCAAGAGGACCAUGGGUUGAAUUUUGGGGCGACUGGCUCCAUCGCGUAUACGUCCCUUAGUGCACGCUUCCGCUCCCUCUUGGGAAUAUGCGUUGCGUAUAUCAUGUUUACCGUUCGAACUUGAGGAGGGAAUCCCUUUUGUCCUCUGUUGUUCGGCGGCCGGGUCUCUUCCUCGUCAUCGCUGUGUAGCCCCUUGUCAUUGUUUUCGGCGAUUAAUUUGCCUGCUGCCUGAAUACCCAACAAUCUCUGUUGGUGUGGUUAGCUGGCUUUUCGGGGGUUCCAUGUAUUUGACAGGAGCGGUCGAGUAUUCGGUCCAAAUUGGACAGGGCCGGAGUGGUUCUUUUGAAUGGCUUCUUUCGUUGACCGGGCUUGGAGCCUCGGAAUCCGGCGUUGACUGCCGUAUCCUCAUUGCUGUCGUCGUUAAUGCGGCGUUUGUUUUUGUUUUGACGCAACCUGCCAUUGCGGUCCUUGGUAUCCGGACUGCCAGUGUUUUUGCUGAGGUUGUUGUUACGAGCGAGCCAGCUAUCCUCUCCCGCACAAAAGCGGGUCAUGAGUGAUGUGAGGGCUGCCAUGGAUUUCGGCUUUUCCUGUCCUAGGUGUCGGGCCAGCCACUCGUCGCGGAUGUUAUGUUUGAAGGCAGCGAGGGCCUCUGCAUCCGGACAGUCGAUGAUUUGAUUUUUCUUUGUUAAGAACCGUGUCCAGAAUUGCCUGGCCGAUUCGUCUGGCUGCUGGAUUAUGUGGCUUAGGUCAUCUGCGUCUGGUGGUCGCACAUACGUGCCCUGGAAGUUGUCGAGGAAUGCGGCUUCCAGGUCUUCCCAGCAUCCAAUUGACUCUGCGGGCAGGCUGUUGAGCCAAUGCCGAGCUGGUCCUUUAAGCUUGAGCGGGAGAUAUUUGAUGGCGUGAAGAUCGUCGCCGCGGGCCAUGUGUAUAUGGAGGAGAUAAUCCUCAAUCCAAACCGCGGGGUCUGUUGUGCCAUCGUAGGAUUCGAUAUUAACAGGUUUAAACCAUUCAGGGAUUUGAUGAUCCAUUACUUCGUCAGUGAAGCAUAGAGGGUGUGCGGCGCCUCUGUAUUAAGCAAUAUCGCGACGUAGCUCGAUAGAGCAUUGUCUGCUGUGUUCGGCCCGGCCGGAGUAGUUGUAUCCGGCGCGACAGUAUUCAUCGUGGGUCUUGGGGCACCCACGUGAUCCAUAGAUAGAUCUGGAUUGUCUUGCCUUGUCCUCCAAUAUAUCCCGCAAGUCCGGCCCGUUCCCCCGUGGCUUCAUGCUUUUUGAGCGAUGCCGGGGUACGGUGUUGGUGGAGGGCUUGCAUGCCUCUCUGUCGCGGCCACGAGGUGGUCGGUCUGCCGUAUUGUGCGCUGGUGAUGCAGGUUUGUACGCUUCCUCCUCUAGUCGGGGGAGCAACUUGCGUUUUGGGUAACUUUUGGAGGGGCGUUCGAGUUCAUACUCUUCGGCCGCGAGGACCUCAGUCCAUCUGUCGGCCAGUAGGUCUUGAUCAGCUUGAAGCUGUUGCUGCUUUUUCUUUAGGCUGUUUGCCGUGGCCAUUAGCCUGCGUCUGAAACGCUCUUGUUCGACGGGAUCCUCAGGCACGACGAAUUCGUCGUUGUCGAGGCUUGCCUCGUCUCCGAAGGGAGGUAAGUAAUUAUCUCCUCGACCUCUUCAUCUGCCGCCCUCUCGUGAGGGCUUGCUUCUGCCUCCUCCUGCGCUGGAUCGUGCUAGAGGGGUUUGUCUUUGGCACUUUCUGGGGUGUUAUUAUCUCCUGUGCCGGAAUCUCCAUUCUUGCUGUGGCGGGAUUUAGAGCGGCGCCGCUGGCGUCGAUGCUUGGGCUGUUUCUUUAAGGAAUCGGCCUCCGUUGCUUCUUUGCCGUCCCCAUCUUUUGGGGUGUCCACCAUGUAUAUGUCGUAUGACGAGGUGGUCUUCCAGUGUCUUGUAGGCACUGGUUCUUGAUAGUCUUCGGCAUCGUCGUCCAUACCGUCGAUGUCCUCGGAGUCGUAGUCAAGUACGUCGGUUAGAUCGUCGACGGUGGCUACGAAGUGGGUGGUGGGUGGGCCCUGAAUUUCUUUGUCGUCCGCGUCCCAACCAUCCUGGCCGUAGUUCGGCCAGGGCUCUCCGGAUAGCGAGAGAUGCUUCAGCGAAUUUAAGAUAUCGCCGAAGGGUGAGUGCUGAAAGAUGUCCGCAGCGGUGAAUUCCAUGAUCGGCGCCCAGUCGGAUUCGACUGGCAGGGGCGCAGGAGGUUCGGAGUCCGGCAGGGAGUCCGGCGCCUCGGAGUCAUGAGCUUUAUGUGGGACAAGGUAAGUGUUCGGCUCCAUCGCCGUAGAAGUUGCAGCUCCCGAGGCGGUGUCCAGCCAUCCGUCCUCGAUCUGAGCGAUCGACUCCGGACUAUGGGUCGGAGCGGAUUCGUGUGCGGCCUCAAGGUGCUGUCCGGCGGCAGAGUUAGGUCGUGCCCAUCGUGACAGCGCGGCACGCUCGCCUGUGGCUCGGAUCCAUCGAAGAUCAAGUCCCCGCGGAUAUCGGCCGUGAAGUUUAGGCUUCCAAACCUGACCUGACGGCUAGGGGCGUAGAUUUCGAUCUGCUCCAGAUGGCCAAGUGAGUUGGCCCGCAGUGCGAAGCCGCCGAAUACGAAGAUCUGUCCGGGGAGAAAAGUCUCACCCAGGACUGCGUCGUUGUCGAUUGAAGAGGCCAUCAAGCCUAUCGGUGACGACACAGAGGAACUCUCAAUGAAAGCACCAAUGUCGGUGUCAAAACCGGCGGAUCUCGGGUAGGGGGUCCCGAACUGUGCGUCUAGGCCAAUGGUAACAGGAGACAGGGGACACGAUGUUUUACCCAGGUUCGGGCCUUCUUGAUGGAGGUAAAACCCUACGUCCUGCUUGAUUGAUAUUGAUAUUGUGGAUGUUUACAAGAGUGGAUCUACCACGAGAUCAAGGAGGCUAAACCCUAGAAGCUAGCCUAUGGUAUGAUUGUAAGGGUUGUUGUUGUUGUUGUCCUACGGACUAGAGCCAUCCGGUUUAUAUAGACACCGGAGAGGGCUAGGGUUACAUAGAGUCGGUUACAAUGGUAGGAGAUCUACAUAUCUGUAUCGCCAAGCUUGCCUUCCACACCAAGGAAAGUCCCAUCUGGACACGGGACGAAGUCUUCAAUCUUGUAUCUUCAUAGUCUUGGAGUCCGGUUGAUGAUGAUAGUCCGGCCGAUGAUAGUUCGGCUGAUGAUGGUAGUCCGGCUAUCCGGACACCCCCUAAUCUAGGACUCCCUCACCCGCCUCUUCCUCCUCCUCCUCCUCUUCUUCUUCUUCUUCUUCUUCUUCUUCUUCUUCUUCUUCUUCUUCUUCUUCUUCUUCUUCUUCUUCUUCUUCUUCUUCUUCUUCCUCUUCUUCUUCUUAUUUUUCUUCUUCUUCUUCUUAUUUUCAUCUUUCUUCUUUCUUAUUAACUAAACCUAAACUAAACUAAAUAUAAACCUAAAACUAAAAAACAGAAGAAAAAAAACCUAAACUAAACCUAAACUACACUAACUACACUAACUAAACCUAAAAAACAGAAGAAAAAAAACCUAAACNNNNNNNNNNNNNNNNNNNNNNNNNNNNNNNNNNNNNNNNNNNNNNNNNNNNNNNNNNNNNNNNNNNNNNNNNNNNNNNNNNNNNNNNNNNNNNNNNNNNNNNNNNNNNNNNNNNNNNNNNNNNNNNNNNNNNNNNNNNNNNNNNNNNNNNNNNNNNNNNNNNNNNNNNNNNNNNNNNNNNNNNNNNNNNNNNNNNNNNNNNNNNNNNNNNNNNNNNNNNNNNNNNNNNNNNNNNNNNNNNNNNNNNNNNNNNNNNNNNNNNNNNNNNNNNNNNNNNNNNNNNNNNNNNNNNNNNNNNNNNNNNNNNNNNNNNNNNNNNNNNNNNNNNNNNNNNNNNNNNNNNNNNNNNNNNNNNNNNNNNNNNNNNNNNNNNNNNNNNNNNNNNNNNNNNNNNNNNNNNNNNNNNNNNNNNNNNNNNNNNNNNNNNNNNNNNNNNNNNNNNNNNNNNNNNNNNNNNNNNNNNNNNNNNNNNNNNNNNNNNNNNNNNNNNNNNNNNNNNNNNNNNNNNNNNNNNNNNNNNNNNNNNNNNNNNNNNNNNNNNNNNNNNNCGCGGGGGGGAGGGGGCCAGGACGGCAAGGGCGACGGGGUCGCGGGGGUGCCGGGGCGGUGAGCCGGUGGGCGGCAGGGUGGUGUUGUGACGGGGCAGCGACGGGUGGUGGGGGCGGUGGCGUGCGUGUCAGGGAGGAGAGGGAGAGAAACAUAGAGAGAGAGGGGCGGGGUAGGGUGGGGCGCGACCAUUAGUUAAGUCAAAUGUUUGUCGUCUGCCACGCCUUUGCCGUGUGCCUUUUUGCUCUUUGUCGUAUGCUAGCAGAUGGCAAAGAGGGGGUUGUUAGGUUUUUUGUAACCAGCUUGUUAGUGAGGCCCACCUCCUUCUUUGCCGUCAGCUAGCUGUCGCCAAACCUCCUUUGUCGUCUGCUAGCAAACAGCAAAGAAGUGGCUGAUGGAAAAUAUUAUCUUUGUCGUGGCCAAUUCUGUGUUGUUCAUUUUUUGGAAGCAGACGACAAAGAGCUCCUUUGCCGUUCCCUAGAAGACAACAAAGAAGUGGUUGAUGGCAAAUCCUCUGAUUCCAGUAGUGUUCCAAGUUACAAUUAAACCCUUUGGUUGCCAGUAUGUCUAGCAGUCUAAACUAAUCCUCCUAUACCUAAAUCAUUGGCCUAUAGUUCUGAACUAAUCCUCCUAUACCUAAAUCAACGGCCCAUAAUUCUGAGCUAAUUGUUCUGCACCGAUUCUUGUACAACUCAGCUCUGCAACAACUGGUCAUUGGGAGCACUAACACUACUAUGAUGACCGAGAAAAUCAAGUCUUCUUCCAUGAACCGAAGCCAACACAUGCUUGCGGCAGAUUGAGCGACAAAAGGACCUGUCGCCAUAGUACAAGAUUCCUCACAUUCGCUAGUUAAGAUACUCGAUUUGUUAUAUAAAAGUUCUAUCUACUGUACUGAGGCCAGCUUAAUCAAUUCCUAGUUGACACUAAUUUUUCUUGUUAUUGUCCAUGGAUUGAAUCGGACAUCGAUAAAAUUAUCCCUAUGCACUUAUGUCAAUUUAAACAAUUUAAUAGUUGGGAGACACUAAUUUUGAAUCUCUACGCCCACAAGCAUAGUUCAUGCUCCUAGGAAACAAGCACGAAAUCCAAGCUCAUGAGAGCAACAAAGCAAGAAGAUAAUUUACUUGUGUGGUUCUAUCGUGUCUCAUGUGGUGGUCCAUCUGAAUCUCCUUGCAAACAAAAAAAGGCACCACGGGAGCACUCCAUCGUGAGCCUACAGAGUCCAGGUCUGCCGCCUCUAGCUAUGUGCAUCAGGACCAUACACUAUAAAAUGCUUGUGUCUAAUUAGACAAUAAAUAAUCCAGCAAUAAUCAUUAUUGGCACACUUCAAGCUAGGAAGGAACAUGAUAGAGAAGCAAAAGUAACUUGUCAAAAGAACAAAGGGAUAUUGUCAGGAUAAACUGAUUUCACACUGAAAGCCACAUGAAGAAGACCUACCUUAUGCGGAUUUCACAUAUGUGCAUUUUAAUAAUAUAACAACACAAAAUCACAUAUGUGUGUUUCACACUGAAAGGCCCAUCUGUCUUACGAUGAUGAAUUUUGAAAAUUGCAUAGGUUGGCCUGGAGAGAGAAUGGUGAGGAAAACAUGAAGUAACUAGCCAGGUGUCAAACUCCUUGGGUGCCUGGCCACGAGCAUGGGGAGCACAGCGGUGGGCGUGUCCAGGAGCGCGGUGACCUUGUCCUGGGGCGUGGUGAGGACCGUGGGGGGCUCGUCCAGCGGCGCGGUGGCUGCCAGGGACGCCACGUCCAGCGGUGAUACGUCUCCAAUGUAUCUAUAAUUAUUUAUUGUUCCAUGCUAUUAUAUUAUCUGUUUUGGAUAUUUUAUAUGCAUUAUUAUGCUAUUUUAUAUUAUUUUUGGGACUAACUUAUUAAUCGAGAGCCCGGUGCCAGUUUCUUUUUUCCUUGUUUUUAAGUUUCACAGAAAAGGAAUAUCAAACGAAGUCCAAACGGAGUAAUACCUUACGAUGAUUUUUCUUGGACCAGAAGACACCCAUAGGACUUGGAGUCCAAUCCAGAAUACCUACGAGGCAGCGACAAGGAUGGAGGGUGCACCCUAGGGGGGCGCCCCCUGCCUUGUGGCCCCCUCGGGAGUCCCCUGACCUACCUGUUCGUCCUAUAUAUUCAAAUAUAAUCCAGAACCCUCAGAGAGAGCCAUGAAAAUGCUUUUCCACCGCCGUAGGUCUCUGACCUCGUCAGAUCCCAUCUGGAGGCCUUUUCUGGCACUUUGCUGAAGGGGGAUUUGAUCACGGAGGGCAUCCACAUCAACCCUAUUGCCCUUCUGAUGAAGCAUGAGUAGUUUACCUCAGACCUAUGGGUCCAUAACUAGUAGCUAGAUGGCUUCUUCUCUCUCUUUGAUUCUCAAUACCAUGUUCUUCUCGAUGUUCUUGGAGCUAUCCGAUGAUAUCUUCUUUUGUGGUGUGUUUGUCGAGAUUCGAUGAAUUGUGGAUUUAUGAUCAGCUUAUCUAUGAAUAUUAUUUGAAUCUUCUUUAAAUUCUUAUAUGCAUGAUUUGAUAUAUUUGUAUUUCUCUUUGAAUUAUCGGUUUGGUUUGGCCAACUAGAUUGGUUUUUCUUGCAAUGGGAGAGGUGCUUAGCUUUGGGUUCAAUCUUGCAUGAUGGCGAGAACAAAAUGGAGUUGUUGAGAGGAAGAACCGGACACUCAUUGAGAUGGCGAGAAUGAUGCUUGAUGAAUACAAGACGCCAAGACACUUUUGGGCGGAAGCGGUUGAAACAGCUUGUCAUGCAACAAAUCGACUAUAUCGUCACAAGCUUCUCGGCAAGACGGCAUACGAGCUUCUCACUGGUAACAAACCACAACUUGGAUACUUUCGAGUAUUUGGCUCAAAGUGUUGCAUUCUUGAUAAGCAUCGUCGCUCGAAAUUUGGCCCUAAAUCUCAUGAAGGUUUCCUACUCGGUUAUUGCUCAAAUUCUCGCACUUACCGUGUCUACAACAAUUUCACCCGAAAGGUUGAAGAGACGGUAGAUGUGAAGUUUGAUGAAUCUAACGACUCACAAGAAGAGCAAUUGCCAAUUGAUGUAGGAGAUAAAGAUCCCUCGGAAGCAAUUCAAGACUUGUCUAUUGGAAAGAUUCGCCCAAUAGAGGUGAAGGAGAGUACCUCGUCCGUUCAAGUGGAAGCCUCAACUUCACACCAAGGUGAACCACAAGUUGACUUGGAGGCAUCCACAAGUGGAACAUGUCAAGAUGAAGGAAACGAGGAAGUACAACAAGGUGAACCCCAUCGAUCUCCUUCUCCACCUUGUCGGUGUCAAAACCGGCGGAUCUCGGGUAGGGGGUCCCGAACUGUGCGUCUAGGUGGAUGGUAACAGGAGACAAGGGACACGAUGUUUUUACCCAGAUCCGGGCCCUCUCAAUGGAGGUAUAACCCUACUCCUGCUUGAUUAAUAUUGAUGAUAUGGGUAGUACAAGAGUAGAUCUACCACGAGAUCAAAGAGGCUAAACCCUAGAAGCUAGCCUAUGGUAUGAUUGUUGUUCGUCCUAUGGACUAAAACCCUCCGGUUUAUAUAAACACCGGAAAGGGAUAGGGUUACACAGAGUCGGUUACAAUGGGAGGAGAUCUACAUAUCCGUAUCGCCAAGCUUGCCUUCCACGCCAAGGAAUGUCCCAUCCGGACACGGGACGAAGUCUUCAAUCUUGUAUCUUCAUAGUCCAGGAGUCCAGCCAAAGGUCAUAGUCCGGUCAUCCGGGCACCCCCUAAUCUGGGACUCCCUCAGUAGCCCUGAACCAGGCUUCAAUGACGACGAGUCCGGCGCGCCAAUUGUCUUCGGCAUUGCAAGGCGGGUUCCUCCUCCGAGUACUUCAUAGAAGAUGUUGAACACAAGGAUAGUGUCCGGCUCUGCAAAAUAAGUUCCACAUACCACCGUAGAGAGAAUAACUUUUGAACAAAUAUAAUUUGCUGACGUAUUCCGCAGCGUGACAUCACGCCACGGCCAAGCCUUUAUUCGAAUCGUUUUAUUAUCCCACCUCAGUGUGUUUAGCGAGGCGGUUUCCUUGGUACGUCUUGUCAAAGCAGGGAUCGUGUCCCCGUAUUCCAGGAUUCUCAACAAUACGGGCGUGGGUAACCCAACUGUGCCAUUAAUCACGGCGCUUGGGAGAUAAGCGAGUUUUACUAGGCUGGUGGGGGUACAUAUCUUCGUCCGCCCAUAUAAGGGGAUAAGGAUCCACUCUUUCCAUUUACGCCUUCUUCUUCCUUUGCUUAUCCAUCUCCACGCACUCGAGCUCCAACGCCCAAGCCCGCACUUCCCACCUCAACCUUCUCCAGUCAUGUCCGGAGCGGGAGGCAGGUGGAUGGCCUCAUCCGUCACGGAGGGGCACAUCAAAAUGCUGAGGAAGGCCGGAUACUUGUCCAACGACAUCGCGCACCGGCUCCCAGACGAGGGGCAGCUCAUCCCCACCCCUAGGCCCCAUGAGAGGGUUGUGUUCCUCCCCCAUUUCCUCCGCAGACUGGGCUUCCCACUCCACCCAUUCGUCCGGGGGCUCAUGUUCUACUACGGCUUGGACUUCCAUGAUCUGGCCCGAACUUCAUCCUCAACAUCUCGGCGUUUAUCGUCUUGUGCGAGGCCUUCCUCCGCAUUAAGCCCCACUUCGGCUUAUGGCUAAAGACCUUCAAUGUCAAGCCAAAGGUAGUGGGCGGCCGGCAAGUGGAGUGCGGAGGCGCCAUGGUGGGCAAAAUGCCCAAUGUCACAUGGCUCGAGGGCUCCUUUGUGGAUACCAUCAAGGGGUGGCAAUCGGGGUGGUUCUACAUCACCGAUCCGCGCGACCCUGAAUGGGCGGCGGCCCCCGAAUUCCGAUCUGGCAUCCCCACACGGCUCACCUCUUGGAAAGAGACGGGCCUGUCGUGGGGUAAUUGGGAAGAGGUGACCGGACUCCAAACCUGCGUCCAAAACCUGAUGGACAAGAAGGUUAAACUCGUCACCGUAGUCCAGGUCAUGCUCUUCCGCCGCAUCCUCCCGUGUCAACGAUGGGCUUUUAACCUGUGGGAAUUCGACCCCGGCCCAGCACCAAACUUUGUCCAGGCUUUUUGACACAACGCACGAAGAUGCCUAGAAGGUGCUAUUCAAGGGCUCCAAGGUUCAUCCUCCCACUACCGAGGAUCGCGGAUUCAGCGCGAAGCGCCCAGCUAGCACGGUGAGUUUAUUUUGCCCAUCAUAGGAUAUUUGUCUUUUUUAUAGUUUGACUCUAUGCGGGAUCUAAGCUCUUGUUCCUUUGACAGGACUGGCAGAAGAAGUCCGGACAAAUCAACUGUCCAGCUCCUUCGCCCGAAGGUCUGGCAGAUGCCCGGUUGGCAAAGCUGCUGGUCCCGCCACCUCACUUGGUGCCGGAGAAGAAGGCCCAAAAGAAGGCCACGGGAACUCGAAACAGCUCCCGGCGCCUGGUAGUGUCGGAUUCCUCGUCCGAGGAUUCCGAAGCGCGCUCCUCCCAUGAAGGCGAGGAGGAGGAAGAGGCCUCUCCCCCUCCAACGGGGGGAGGAAAGAAAAGGAAGGCCACCCUGACUAGGGGGGGGCGGAGGGUCCAAGAAGGGAAAAACCCUUCUCCUGGACAUCUCCACCAACGCCGACGACGGCGAAGAGGAGUGGCCAUCCAGGGCCAAGCCCCUAGCGAAACCGUAAGUAUCCGGAUAUCAGAAUAACUCACGGUGUUCCUUUAUGGCACAGUAUCUUCUAACGCUGAACAUAAUCAUGCAGUCUGCCCAAGGCCCAGCUCGACGCUUCAUCGAGCAGAUCCCUGGAUUCGUCGGACGUGAGCAGUCUUUUACUUCCAACCGCUACCUCCCCUCUGUUGGGGAACGUAGUAAUUUCAAAAAAAUUCCUAUGCACACGCAAGAUCAUGGUGAUGCAUAGCAACGAGAGGGGAGAGUGUUGUCCACGUACCCUCGUAGACUGUAAGCGGAAGCGUUAUGACAACGCGGUUGAUGUAGUCGUACAUCUUCACGAUCCGACCGAUCCAAGCACCGAACGUAUGUCACCUCCGAGUUCAGCACACGUUCAGCUCGAUGACAAUCCCCGGACUCCGAUCGAGCAGGGUGUCGGGGAUGAGUUCCGUCAGCAUGACGGUGUGGUGAUGAUGAUGAUGUUCUACCGAUGCAGGGCUUCGCCUAAGCACCGCAACGAUAUGAUCGAGGUGGAAUAUGGUGGAGGGGGGCACCGCACACGGCUAAGGAGCGGUCAUGAUGAUCAACUUGUGUGUCUUUGGGGUGCCCCCUGCCCCCGUAUAUAAAGGAGCAAGGGGAGGAGGGCCGGCCAAGGAGGAGGAGGCGCGCCCAAGGGGGGAGUCCUACUCCCAUUAGGAGUAGGACUCCUCCUUUCCUAGUAGGAGUAGGAGAGAAGGAAGGGGAAGAGAGAAGGGAAGGAAGGAGGGGGUGCGGCCCCUCCCUUAGUCCAAUUCGGACUAGGCCUUGGGGGGCGCGGUCUGCCCUAGGCAGCCCCUCCCACUUUCCCGUAUGGCCCAAUAAGGCCCAAUACUUCUCCCCAGCGAAUUCCCGUAACUCUCCGGUACUCCGAAAAAUACCCGAAUCACUCGGAACCUUUCCGAACUCUGAAUAUAGUCGUCCAAUAUAUCGAUCUAUACAUAUCGAUCAUUUCGAGACUCCUCGUCAUGUCCCCGGUCUCAUCCGGGACUCCGAACUCCUUCGGUACAUCAAAACUCAUAAACUCAUAAUAUAACUGUCAUCGAUACCUUAAGCGUGCGGACCCUAUGGGUUCGAGAACUAUGUAGACAUGACCGAGACACGUCUCCGGUCAAUAACCAAUAGCCGAACCUGGAUGCUCAUAUUGGUUCCCACAUAUUCUAUGAAGAUCUUUAUUGGUCAGACCGCAUAACAACAUACGUUGUUCCCUUUGUCAUCGGUAUGUUACUUGCCCGAGAUUGGUAUCUCAAUACCUAGUUCAAUCUCGUUACCGGCAAGUCUCUUUACUCAUUCCGUAAUACAUCAUCUCACAACUAACUCAUUAGUUGCAAUGCUUGCAAGGCUUAAGUGAUGUGCAUUACCGAGAGGGCCCAGAGAUACCUCUCCGACAAUCGGAGUGACAAAUCCUAAUCUCGAAAUAUGCCAACCCAACAAGUACCUUCGGAGACACCUGUAGAGCACCUUUAUAAUCACUCAGUUAAGUUGUGACGUUUGGUAGCACACAAAGUGUUCCUCCGGUAAAUGGGAGUUGCAUAAUCUCAUAGUCAUAGGAACAUGCAUAAGUCAUGAAGAAAGCAAUAGCAACAUACUAAACGAUCAAGUGCUAAGCUAACGGAAUGGGUCAAGUCAAUCACAUCAUUCUCCUAAUGAUGUGAUCUCGUUAAUCAAAUGACAACUCUUUUGUCCAUGGCUAGGAAACUUAACCAUCUUUGAUUCACGAGCUAGUCAAGUAGAGGCAUACUAGUGACACUAUGUUUGUCUACGUAUUCACACAUGUAUUAUGUUUCCGGUUAAUACAAUUCUACCAUGAAUAAUAAACAUUUAUCAUGAAAUAAGGAAAUAAAUAAUAACUUUAUUAUUGCCUCUAGGGCAUAAUUCCUUCACCCUCGCCCUACGGACGACACCGAGGUGGAGUCCCAAAAGGGGAUGAGCCAGGAGGAGGUAGCCCCGGAGGCGCCGCAAGGCGACCUUCCGGAUUCCAUGCGCCAAGGGGAUAGAACCCCAAAGGGCUCUAAGUCCGGCCCUGGACCGGACGCCGCACCGGAACCUUCAGUGGUUCCGGAGUCCGGCAGGCGGCCCCCUCAUAAGAAGGGCAAGCCUACGACGCCGGCGACCCCCGUCCAACCGGAGGCACCGGAACAUUUGCUGGAGGUGCUUAAAGGCGCCUCCAUCAACGAGGAGCACCGCACUAUUAUGAGUGCGGUGGUCAAGAAGGUUCAGUCCGCCAAGAGCAGGCUGACAGAAGCCUGUGCCAUCCUUCUAACAGGCUUCGAGGUAUGUAUUAAGACAUGUAAAAAUAUUACCACAUAGACAGUAGCCCCUGAUGCUCAGUUUGGUGUUCGAGAAGAAAAGCCGGACUGAGGAUCUAAAAAGAUAUACGCAGGAGUCUAACAUAAAUAUGUCAAUAUGGGAAUGCAGGCUGCGCUGCUGACCUCUGCCCCACUGACUGGGGAGGUCGAUGCAUUGAAGCAGAGCCUCGAGCGGUCCGAGAAUGAGCUCGGCCUUGCCAAGAAGCAUCUCGAGGAUAAGGAAGGUAAAUAGUACCUGAUGUUAGUAUAUAUAAAAUACCUAGUUGCAAAAAAAAUGACAGGACCAACGUGAGUGUUACAGGGGCCACAACCGAGGUGGCGACCCUGAAGGAAGCACUGUCCAAGGCCGAAGACAAUGCGGCCGUGGAGCGCACCGAGCGAGAAAAGCAGGAGGCGCGGGUGGCGAGGUGCGGCAAGAGCUCCAUACUCUUGUGAAGAAACACGAGAGAUUGGAGCUUGACUCAAAGGCUCGAGAGUCCGAGCUUGCCUCGGCUCUUGAGAGCGCCAAAUCCGCCAAGGCCAAAGCCCAAAAAGCCCUCCAGGAAAUUGAGGCGAUGAAAAAGAUAGCGGCAGGUAAGGCAUUCUUUAUGCAAAGCAAGCACGUGAAAGUAAGUUACUUGUUACUUACCCAAAUCCGGAGCUCUCUAGGAGCAUUCGCAGAUCUGCCCCGCAGUGUGUCCAAUGCUGCCGCAUUCUACCGAGCCGAGGAAGGGAGCUCGAUGGAGAAGGUGUUCUGGUCCCAGUAUGCUGAGGCCAGAUACCCGGUGCCCUUGAGCGACCAACUGAAGCAGCUGGUCGAGCUCCGUAAGGUAGCCGAACAGCCCAUGAAGGGCCUUAUAGUCCGGCUAUGGCCUGGCGAGGUCAUGGCCGGGAGCUACUUUGGGCUGGUGAGGCGGCUGGUGGAUGCCUGUCCAUGGAUUGAAGUCAUCAAGCGCUCCGUAUGCAUCGAAGGCGCCCAUAGGGCCCUUGCUCGUGCUAAGGUACACUGGGGCAAGAUGGAUGCUGAGAAGCUGGUGACAGAUGGGCCACCAGAGGGCAAGGAGCAUCGCAAGCCCGAGAUGUAUUAUGAGCGUGUCCUGAAGGGUGACCCCCUUGUGGCAAAUGAAUGUUCCAGGGAUUUAAUUUUUGAGUAAACUCGCUCGUGUUUAUCCUGUGCGCUGAAAACUUGUUCAUAUGCGCUAAGCAACGCUUUUUGAGUUUUAAAUAUUACCUUCUGUGCGGUCGUUUAGUAAAUCUGAGAGAUGCGAGUCGUCGGCUUCUGCCCCCAUGCCGCGAGUGCUGGGGUGUUCGGGAUAAACCUGAGCGCUCUUGUUCCCAUUCUUGGGUCCUUCGAGGGAGGCGCUCAGCACAACGAACAAGGCAAUCAGACUAUAAUGAUUUAUCACUCUCACUUAGCCAUAGAAUUCUAUAAUUUUAAAUUUUGGUGAAGCCCUUAGUAUUCGGAAGACCGAGUUCGAGGCGCUAUCCAUGCCUAGGCCGGACAAAGCCAGCUCCUCGCUCUAAGCGGCAUAAGUCUUUAGGGACUCGAAAACCUCUCGAACAGCGACCGGCUCUUGCCCUAUCAUGAUGGUCAGUUUUAGCUUUCUCUACUUAGGUGCUUAACCCAUCUCAAUUGGGGCACAAUCGCAGUAGUUCUCCCAGCGCUACCUUAGCCGAUAUAACGGAACGUAAGGUACCAAAACAUGGGAGCCGGGAAAACCCAACUAUUGACCCAAGACAUGAUUCGGAGCCGAUGCAUAUAAUGCUAUAAGUUCGGGGUGUCGCACUCGUGAGAGUGUUCGGACUUUUCAGACCAUAUUCUGGGGUACUUAAGCCCCUGGUGUACUAGCCGUACCAGAGUGUGCGGUUGCGUAAUGUCAUAACUGAACAUAUUUAAAGAAAAAAAGGAAUGCAAUAAUAGACAAGAGCUAUGUAUUGUUUAUUAAAAGGCUGUUGUAAAAGCAAAACGAUACAAAUAGUGCGAUAAGCAAGAGGUGGGAUUGUUUGACAUGUCCCCCUCCAGGGGCAAGCUGCGAAACUUUAUGUAAGACAUGUAUUUAGCUCGCUAUAGAGACCACCUGAACGUUCGAUGUAGCUUGCUGCUUCCCUGGCUGUUGCAUCGUGUGUUCGGCGAUUAUACUGCCAGACAGGCCUUUCGGAUAGUGGAGUCCUGAAAGUAAGAAAAAGGAAAUGACAAAGCUUGGAGCCCUUGGUGCAGUUGAGCCGCGUGUUGGGCGUGUCGUGGUUGUGUCCCUCCCCGUAUGCCCAUGGUACUUCCAGAGCGUAAUUAUGUAUGCGUAACACUGGUUUCGCAAUUUCCUGAGGGCUGGGGUUGGGGCCGCACUGCUACGGUUGCUCGGAACGUGCCAGGUGGUCUAUUUGUAGGCUACUCCGGGCGUGCUUGACGGUGUCCGGACGUUUAAUAGCCGGACUGGAGAAUUGCCUUGAGAGGCUACUUUGUACUUCUGCUGCUAGGGCCGCCGUAUGCUCCUCCAUUCGGAGAGAGCGUUCGGUGUUUCCAUUGACCGUAAUGACUCCUCGAGGGCCUGGCAUCUUGAGCUUGAGGUAUGUGUAGUGCGGCACCGCAUUGAACUUUGCAAAUGCGGUUCGUCCGAGCAGGGCGUGAUAGCCACUGCGGAACGGGACUAUGUCAAAGAUUAACUCCUUGCUUUGGACAUUAUCCGGGGAUCCGAAGACCACUUCCAGUGUAACUGAGCCAGUACAGUUGGCCUCCACACCUGGUAUGACGCCUUUAAAGGUCGUCUUUGUGGGUUUAAUCCUUGAGGGAUCUAUGCCCAUUUUUCACAUUGUAUCCUGAUAAAGAAGGUUCAGGCUGCUGCCGCCGUCCAUAAGGACUCUGGUGAGGUGGAAUCCGUCAAUGAUUGGGUCUUGAACCGAUGCUGCGAAUCCGCCGUGGCGGAUGCUAGUGGGGUGGUCCCUUCGAUCGAAGGUCAUCGGGCAGGAGGACCAUCGGUUGAACUUUGGGGUGACUGGCUCCAAUGCAUAUACAUCCCUGAGUGCACGCUUCUGUUCCCUUUUAGGGAUGUGGGUUGCGUAUAUCAUGUUCACCGUCCGCACUUGUGGGGGAAAGCCCUUCUGUCCCCUAUUGUUCGGCGGCCGGGGCUCCUCCUCGUCCUCACUAUACAGCCCCUUGUCUCUGUUCUUGGCGCUUAGCUUGCCUGCCUGCUUGAACACCCAACAAUCCCUGUUGGUGUGACUGGCUGGUUUUUCGGGGGUGUCGUGUAUCUGGCACAAGCGAUCGAGUAUUCGGUCCAAAUUGGACCGGCCCGGAGUAGUUCUUUUGAAUGGCUUUUCCCACUGACCGAGUUUAGGGCCUCGGAAUCCGGCAUUAACUGUCGUAUCCUCUGUGUUGUCGCCGUUAAUGCGGUGCUUGUGUUUGUUGCGACGCGACCUGCCAUUGUUGUCCUUGGUAUCCGAAUUACCAGGGCUCUUAAUCAUGUUAUUGCUACGAGCUAGCCAGUUGUCUUCUCCCGCGCAAAAGCGGGUCAUGAGUGUUGUGAGGGCUGCCAUGGAUUUCGGCUUUUCCUGUCCUAAGUGCCGGGCAAGCCAUUCGUCACGGAUGUUAUGUUUGAAGGCUGUGAGGGCCUCCGCGUCCGGACAGUCAACUAGUUGAUUUUUCUUGGUUAGGAACCGUGUCCAGAAUUGUCUGGCCGAUUCAUCUGGCUGCUGGAUGAUGUGGCUUAGGCCAUCGGCGUCUGGUGGUCGCACAUAGGUGCCCUGGAAAUUGUCGAGGAAUGCGGCUUCCAGGUCCUCCCAGCAACCAAUUGACUCUGCUGGCAAGCUGUUAAGCCAAUGUCGAGCUGGUCCUUUAAGCUUGAGUGGGAGGUAUUUGAUAGCGUGUAGAUCAUCACCGUGGGCCAUGUGGAUAUGAAGAAGAUAGUCCUCGACCCAUACCGCUGGAUCUGUUGUGCCAUCGUAUGAUUCGAUGUUUACGGGUUUAAAACCCUUGGGGAUUUGAUGAUCCAUUACUUCAUCUGUGAAGCAUAGUGGGUGUGUAGCGCCUCUGUACUGGGCUAUAUCACGACGUAGCUCAAAUGAGCUUUGUCUGCUGUGUUCGGCCUGGCCGUAUUUGCCAUAUCCGGCAUGACAGUUAUCAUUACGUGCUGUGGGGCGCCCACGCGAUUUGUAGAUCAAUCUUGUUUGCCUUGCCUUGUCCUCCAAUAUGUCUCGUAGGUCCAGCGCAUUUCCCCGUGCCUUGGUAUAGCGGCGCUGGGGUUCGCCUUGAAUUGAUGGCCGAGAGGCCUAUCUGCCAUGGCCACGAGGUGGCCGGUCGGCUGCGUCAUGCACUGGUGAUGCGGUUUGGGUGCUUCCUCCUCUAAUCGGGGUAGCAGCUUGCGGUUUGGGUAGCUCUUGGAGGGGCGUUCGAGUUCGUAUUCCUCGGCCACUAGGAUUUUGGUCCAUCUGUCGGCUAGCAAAUCUUGGUCAGCUCUAAGCUGCUGCUGUUUUUUCUUGAGGCUGCUUGUCAUGGCCAUAAGCCUGUGUUUGAAACGCUCUUGAUCGACGGGAUCCUCGGGCACGACAUAUUCGUAGUCGUCGAGGCUUGCCUCAUCUUUGAAGGGAGGCAUGUAAGUAUCGUCCUCUACCUCUCUGUCUGCCGCUUUCUCAUGAGGGAUGGUCUCUCCAUCCUCCUGUGUUGAAUCUAGCUGGAGGGGGUUGUCUUCGUCACUGUCCGGGGUGUUAUUAUUUCCCGUGCCGGAAUCGCCGUUUUUGCUUUGGCGGGAUUUAGAGCGGUGUCGCUGACGCCGGUGCUUAGGCUUCUUCUUGGAGGGGUCAUCCUCCGUUGUUCCAUCGCCAUCCCCUUCUUUUGGGGUGUCCACCAUAUAUAUGUCGUAUGACGAGGUGGCCUUCCAGUCCCCUAGAGGCGCUGGGUCUUGGUCGUCUCCUGCAUCGGUGUCCAUGCCGUCGAUGUCUUCGGAGUCGAAGUCGAGCAUGUCGGUUAAAUCAUCGACAGUGGCUAUGAAGUGGGUGGUGGGUGGGUUUUGAAUUUCUUCGUCGUCCGCAUCCCAACCUUGCUGCCCAUAGUCCGGCCAGGGCUCUCCUGAUAAAGAGAGAGAGACUUUAGUGAAUUUAUAAUGUCGCUAAAGGGCGAGUGCUGAAAGAUGUCCGGGGCGGCGAACUCCAUGAUCGGCGCCCCAUCGGGUUCGAUUGGCAGGGGCGCGGAAGGUUCGGAGUCCGAAAAGGAGUCCAGCAUCUUUGAGUCACGAGCUUUGCAAAGGACAAGGCUGGUGUUCGGCUUGAUCGCCGUGGAGAUUGCAGCCCCCAAGGCGGUGUCUAGCCACCCGUCCUCGAUUGGUGCAGUCGGCUCCGAACUAAGGGUCAGAGCGGGCACUGGAGCGGCCUCCAGGGCACUGUUCGGCGGCAGAGCUAGAUCAUGCCCAUCGUGACAGUGCGGCGCGCUUGGCCGUGGCUCGAAUCCUUCGAAGAUCAAGUCUCCGCAGAUGUCUGCCGUGUAGUUCAAACUUCCAAAUCUGACCUGAUGGCCAGGUGCGUACCUUUCGAUCUGCUCCAGAUGGCCAAGCGAAUUGGCCCGCAGUGCAAAGCCGCCGAAUGCGAAGAUUUGUCCGGGAGAAAAGUCUCACCCUGGACCGCGUCGUUGUUGAUGAUCGGGGGAGCCAUCGGGCCUAAAGAUGAUGACACAAAGGAACUCUCAAUGAGAGCACCAAUGUCGGUGUCAAAACUAGCGGAUCUCGGGUAGGGGGUCCCGAACUGUGCGUCUAGGCGGAUGGUAACAGGAGCCAAGGGACACGAUGUUUUUACCCAGGUUCGGGCCCUCUCGAUGGAGGUAAAACCCUACUUCUGCUUGAUUAAUAUUGAUGAUAUGGGUAGUACAAGAGUAGAUCUACCACGAGAUCAAAGAGGCUAAACCCUAGAAGCUAGCCUAUGGUAUGAUUAUUGUUCGUCCUGUGGACUAAAACCCUCCGAUUUAUAUAGACACCGGAAAGGGCUAGGGUUACACAGAGUCGGUUACAAUGGGAGGAGGUCUACAUAUCCGUAUCGCCAAGCUUGCCUUCCAUGCCAAGGAAUGUCCCAUCCGGACACGGGACGAAGUCUUCAAUCUUGUAUCUUCAUAGUCCAGGAGUCCGGCCAAAGGUCAUAGUCCGGUCAUCCGGACACCCCCUAAUCCAGGACUCCCUCACACCUCCACAAGAAAACAACAACGCUAACAACAAUGAAGAAGGACAAGAGGCAGAACAAGACAAUGAAGAGGAUGUUCCACACCGACCCAAACAAAAGCUUUCAUGAGUCCGAGCAAGAGUCUCAAGAGAUCAUCUCGUCGAACAAAUAUUUGAUGAUAUUCAAACCAGGAGAAUUACUUGCUCUAAAACUCGUUUGGCUAACUUUUGUGAACAUUACUCAUUGAUUUCUAGUAUUGAACCUAUGAAGGUUGAAGAAGCUCUUGAUGAUCCGGAUUGGGUGAACGCUAUGCAUGAAGAGCUACACAAUUUCGAGAGGAAUCAAGUAUGUACGUUGGUUGAAAAGCCCGAUGAGAAGCACAAUGUCAUUGGAACCAUAUUGGUGUUUCGGAAUAAUCAAGAUGAAGAUGGACAAGUUGUACACAACAGGGCCCGUCUCGUCGCCCAAGGCUACACUCAAGUCGAAGGUAUGGACUAUGGUGAUACAUAUGCCCCCGUUGCUAGACUUGAGUCCAUACGCAUCUUACUUGCUUAUGCCAAUCAUCAUGAUAUCAUUUUGUACCAAAUGGACAUAAAAAGUGUUUUUCUAAAUGGUGAAAUUGAGGAGGAAGUUUAUGUUAAACAGCCUCCCGGCUUUGUUAAUCCCAAGAAACCCGAUCAUGUUUACAAACUUCACAAAGCUCUUUAUGGUCUUAAACAAGCUCCUAGAGCUUGGUAUAAAUGCUUGACAGAGUUUCUAUUGAAAAAGGCUUUGAAAUUAGGAAGGUUGAUUCUACACAUUUUACUAAAAGGUUUAAUGGUGAAUUAUUUGUGUGCCAAAUUUAUGUGGAUGAUAUCAUAUUUGGUUCAACUAACCCUCAUUUUGUGAAAAGUUUGGAAGGCUAAUGCCGAAGAAGUUUGAGAUGUCUAUGAUAGUGAACUCAAAUUCUUUCUUGGUUUGAAAAUCAAGCAAACUAAGGAGGGUACCUUUGUUUCCCAAACAAAGUAUACCAAGGAUUAUUCAAGAAGUUCAACAUGCAAGAAAGCAAAGGUACGAAAACACCCAUGCCUAGUAGUGGACAUCUUGACUUGACUAAGGAUGGCAAACCUGUUGACCAAAAGGUUUACCGCUCUAUGAUUGGUUCAUUGUUAUAUCUAUGUGCCUCCCGUCCCGAUAUUAUGCUAAGUGUGUGCAUGUGUGCACGAUAUCAAGCGGCCCCUAAAGAAUAUCAUCUUAAGGUUGUGAAAAGGAUAGUGAGAUACUUAAUUCAUACACCAAAUUUUGGCAUUUGGUAUCCUAAGAGGUCUUCUUUUGAUCUUGUUGGCUACUCCGAUUCAGACUAUGCUGAUGACAAGGUUAAUCGAAAGUCCACUUCGGGUACUUGUCAAUUUCUUGGUAGAUCUCUUGUGUCUUGGUCCUCCAAGAAACAAAACUCGGUAUCCUUAUCCACUGCCGAAGCGGAAUAUAUUGCCACCAGAUCAUGUUGUGCUCAAUUACUUUGGAUGACCCAAACCCUUAAGUACUAUGGGAUAUAUGUGAAACAUGUUCCAUUUCUUUGUGAUAAUGAAAGUGCUAAUAAGAUUGCUCACAAUCCCGUGCAACAUUCUCGGACUAAGCAUAUUGAAGUUCGUCAUCACUUCAUUCGGGAUCAUGUUGCUAAAGGAGACAUCAAUCUUAAGCAUGUUCAUACCGGUAAGCAAUUGGCGGAUAUAUUCACCAAACCACUUGAUGAGAAAGUGUUUUGCCAUUGGGAGGUGAAUUAAACAUCAUUGAUGCCUCAAACCUGGAGUAGAAACUCCAUCUAGAUGCAUGCAAGGCAUGAGCCUUUUUAUGACUAAUUCUUGAUAAUUCUCUUAUGUUGAUCAUAUGUCUUGGAUCUAUACUUGUAUCCUUGCAUGUUAUCUAAUCCUUGUAGGUACUUUUGGAUGACCCCAAAUCUAUGAGAUUGCAAGUCACUCACAUCUUAAGCAAUCUCUAGAUCACCAAGUUUCUACUAUAUGGUUGUGGAAUACAAGGAAGGAUGAGCUCACUCAACAUAUGCUUUGACAAUUUCUAUAUAUUAAAUUUCAUUUGGUAUCAAGUUUCAUGAUUGUCAUUUUGGAUACACAAGUGCUUUUCCUUGCAAAAACUAACCCAUGUAGGAAGAUGAACUCAAACUACAAGUGGUGCUCUCAACACUUGAUGGACUACAUCAACCUUGAGCAUCCAACGCAAGUUCAACUACAUGACAAAGAUCGACACAACCCAAGGUAUGUUAUUCCAUCUUAGAGAAGCUCUGACCCAAGUCAUGAGGCAAAGCAACUCAACGAGAUGUGAAUACAUCAAAAUGCUUAAACAAAAUAUGGUAACCCCAUUUUGAGCUUAAACGAUGAGUAUGACCUACAAUCAAGUGUUAUCACUUGACUCCUCAGUCAAUAUACUCUAACAUAGGUGACUUUGUCGCCACCCCCCCCCCUCUAGAUGAAGUUCCCUAGUGUUUCUUUGUUCACUUCAUCUAGAUCUUUUGUCUACAUUUCUUUCUAUGUUUAAUUCAUUGCAAAUCCUUGUGAGAUUUAAUUUGUCUAGUGAGCUGAGUUGACAAAUCUUAUACUUUGCAUUGAACUUAGACUCACCAAUUCAUGCCUAUCGGAUAGACCGAACUACAUGAAUUACUUGUAGAUAAUUCAUUGGUACAACUGGUACGUCCAUUUUGCAUCAUGUUUUCCUACUGUUAUUUAUGUUUUGUUAUUGAAUAAUAAAGCUUUUUGGAGUUAUUCUAAUGCAUUUUCUCUCAUAAUAUGCAAGGUAUACACAAAGGCGGAGAAUUCUGGCAGCUGGAAAUCUGGACCUGGAAAAGCUACAUCAAGCUACCUAUUCUGCACAACUCCAAAUGAGUUGAAACUUCACCAGCAUUUUAUAUGGACUAUUUAAUAAAUAUUGGAGCAAAUAAGUACUAGAUGGGGGCACCAGGUGGGCACAACCCACCUGGGCGCGCCAGGAGGCCCAGGUGCGCCCUGGUGGGUGCUGCCCUCCUCGGCUCACCUCCGGUGCCCGACUUCUGGUAUAUAAGUCAUUUUGACCUAAAAUAAUUGAGGAGAGGACUUUCGGGACGAAGCGCCUCCGUCUCGAGGCAGAACUUGGGAAGGAGCACUAUUUCCCUCCAGCGGAGCGAUUUCGCCGGGGGAACUUCCCUCCCAGAGGGGGAAAUCAUCGUCAUCAUCAUCACCAACAACUCUCCCAUCUUGGGGAGGGCUAUCUUCAUCAACAUCUUCAACAGCACCAACUCCUCUCAAACCCUAGUUCAUCUCUUGUGUUCAAUCUUUGUACCGGAACUAUAGAUUGGUGCUUGUGGGCGACUAGUAGUGUUGAUUACAUCUUGUAGUUGAUUACUAUAUGGUUUAUUUGGUGGAAGAUUAUAUGUUCAGAUCCAUUAUUCUAUUUAAUACCCCUCUGAUCUUGAGCAUGAUUAUCAUUUUUGAGUAGUUACUUUUGUUCUUGAGGUGUCGGGAGAAAUCAUGUUGCAAGUAAUAAUGUGAACUUGAUAUGUGUUGGAUAUUUUGAUGAUAUGUAUGUUGUGAUUCCCUUAGUGGUGUCAUGUGAACGUCGACUGCAUGACACUUCACCAAUUUGGGCCUAAGGGAAUGCAUUGUGUAGUAGUUAUUAGAUGAUGGGUUGCGAGAGUGACAGAAGCUUAAACCCUAGUUUAUGCGCUAUUCCGUAAGGGACUGAUUGGAUCCAAAAGUUUAAUGCUAUGGUUAGAAUUUAUUCUUAAUACAUUUCUCAUAGUUGCGGAUGCUUGCGAGAGGGUUAAUCAUAAGUAGGAGGUUUGUUCAAGUAAGAACAGCACCUAAGCACCGGUCCACCCACAUAUCAAAUUAUCAAAGUAGUGAACACAAAUUAAGACAACAUGAUGAAAGUGACUAGAUGAAAUUCCCGUGUACCCUCAAGAACACUUUGCUUAUCAUAAGAGACCGCUUUGGCCUGUCCUUUGCCUCAAAAGGAUUGGGCUACCUUGCUGCACUUUUUUUACUACUAUCGUUACUUGCUCGUUACAAAUUAUCUUGCUAUCAAACUACUCUGCGACUUACAAUUUUAGCACUUGCAGACAUUACCUUGAUGUAAACCACUUCUCAUUUCCUUCUGCUCCUCGUUGUGUUCGACACUCUUACUUAUGAAAAGGAUACAAUUGACCCCAUAUACUUGUGGGUCAUCAAGGCUAUUUUCUGGCGCCAUUGCCGGGGAGUGAAGCGCUCUUGGUAAGUGGAAAUUGGUAAGGAAACAUUAUUACUAUGUGCUGAAAUUUAUUGUCACUUGCUACUAUGGAAAACAAUCCUUUGAGGGGUUUGUUUGGGGUAUCUUCACCAAGACCGGAACCACAAUUACUCGCCCCUCAACCUACUGCACCUACUCAAAAUAUUGAAUAUGAAAUUCCUUCGGGUAUGGUAGAACAACUGCUAGCUAAUCCUUAUGCAGGAGAUGGAACCGAACAUCCUGAUAUGCACUUGAUAUAUGUGGAUGAAAUUUGUGGAUUAUUUAAGCUUGCAGGUUUUCCCAGAGAUGAAGCUAAGAAGAAGGUUUUCCCUUUAUCUUUGAAGGGAAAAGCAUUGACCUGAUAUAGGCUAUGCGAUGAUCUUGGAACUGGAAUCGGUUGAAAUUGGAAUUUCAUCAAAAAAAUUAUCCUAUGCAUCUAGUUCAUCGUGAUCGGAACUAUAUAUAUAUAUAUUUUUUUUGGCCUCGUGAAGGAGAAAGUGUCACUCUAGCUUGGGGGAGGCUUAAGUCAAUGUUAUAUUCAUGCCCCAAUCAUGAGCUUUCAAGAGAAAUUAUUAUUCGGAAUUUUUAUGCUUGGCUUUCUCGUAGUGAUCAAUCCAUGCUCGAUACUUCUUGUACCCGUUCUUUUAUGAAGAAGACUAUUGAAUCCCGGUGCGAUCUUUUAGAAAGAAUUAAACGCAAUUCUGAAGAUUGGGAACUCUACGAAGGUAAAGAGUCAGGUAUUGAACCUAAGUUUGAUUGUGUUAAAUCUUUUAUGAAUACCGAUGCUUUUCAAAAGUUUAGCACUAAUUAUGGACUUGACUCUGAGAUAGGAGCUUCCUUUUGUGAAUCUUUUGCUACUCAUGUUGAUCUUCCUUAGGAGAAGUGGUUUAAAUAUCACCCACUAUUAAAGAAGAAGUUAAAGAACCAGUAAAAGCUAAAGAAGAAACUAUCAUUUACAAUGUUGAUCCAGUUGUUCCCAUUUCUUAUAUUGAAAAAACACCUUUCCCUGUUAGGAUGAAGGAACAUGCUAAAGCUUCAACUGUGGUUAACAAAAGUUAUGUUAGAACACCCAAACCAGCUAAGCAAAUCGGAGUUGAACAUAGUGUUGCUAUGAUUAAAGAUCUCUUAGUCGAUAAUAUUGAUGGGCAUGUUAUUUACUUCUAUGAUGAAGCUUCUAGAAUUGCCAAACCUGAUAAAAAGGAUAAACAUAGACCAGUUGUUGGCAUUCCUGUUGUCUCAGUUAAGAUAGGAGAUCAUUGUUAUCAUGGGCUAUGUGACCUAGGUGCUAGUGUGAGUGCUAUUCCUUUUUCCUUAUUUGAAGAAAUUAAGAAUGAAAUAGCACCUGCUGAAAUAGAAGACAUAGAUGUCACUAGUAAACUUGCCAAUAGAGAUACAAUAUCACCAAUUGGAAUUCUUAGAGAUGUUGAAGCCUUGUGUGGGAAAAUAAAAUACCCUACUAAUUUUAUUGUUCUUGGCUCCCAACAAGAUGAGUUUUGUCCCAUUAUCUUUGGUAGACCUUUCUUGAACACCGUCAAUGCUAGAAUAGACGGUAAGAAACAAACUGUCGGUGUUAGCUUUGGUGAUGAAUCUCAUGAAUUUAAUUUUUCCAAGUUUAGUAGACAACCUCAUAAGAAAGAUUUGCCUAGUAAGGAUGAAAUUAUUGGUCUUGCUUCUAUUGUUGUACCUCCUACUGAUCCUUUGGAACAAUAUUUGCUAGACCAUGAAAAUGAUUUGCAUAUGCGUGAAAGAAAUGAAAUAGAUAGAAUAUUUUUUUGAACAACACCUCUGCUUAAACACAAUUUGCAUAUUGAAACUCUAGGAGGUCGUCCUCCACCUAAAGGUGAUCCUGUGUUUGAAUUAAAACAAUUGCCAGACACUUUGAAAUAUGCUUAUCUUGAUGAGAAAAAGAUAUAUCAUGUUAUUAGUGCUAACCUUUCAAAAAAUGAAGAAGAAAGAUUAUUGAAAGUUCUAAGGAAGCACAGAGCUACUAUUGGAUAUACUCUUGAUAAUCUUAAGGGCAUUAGUCCCACUAUAUGUCAGCAGAAGAUUAAUAUAGAACCUGAUGCUAAACCCGUGGUUGAUCACCAACAUUGGUUAAAUUCAAAAAUGAAAGAAGUGGUAAGAACAGAAAUAUUGAAACUUCUGGAAGCAGGUAUAAUCUAUCCUAUAGAUGAUAGUAGAUGGGUAAGUCUUGUUAAUUGUGUCCCUAAGAAGGGAGGUAUUACUGUUGUUCCUAAUGAUAAGAAUGACCUUAUUCCACAUAGAAUUGUCACAGGUUAUAGGAUGGUAAUUGAUUAUACCAAAUUAAACAAAGCAACUAGAAAAGAUCAUUACCCUUUGUCUUUUAUUGAUCAAAUGUUAGAAACAUUAUCUAAGCACAUACAUUUUUGCUUCCUUGAUGGAUAUUCUGGUUUUUCACAAAUACCUAUUUCACAACGUGAUCAAGAAAAUACCACUUUUACUUGUCCUUUUGGAAUUUAUGCUUAUAAACGUAUGCCUUUUGGUUUCUGUAAUGCACCUGCUACCUUUCAAAGAUGUAUGACUGCUAUAUUCUCUGAUUUUUGUGAAAAGAUUGUUGAGGUUUUCAUGGAUGAAUUUUCUGUUUAUGGGAAGUCUUUUGAUGAUUGUUUAAGCAAUCUUGAUCGAGUUUUGCAGAGAUGUGAACAAACAAAUCUUGUCUUGAACUGGGAGAAGUGGCACUUUAUGGUUAACGAAGGUAUUGUUUUGGGCCAUAAAAUUUCUGAAAGAGGCACUGAAGUGGACCAGGCCAAGGUUGAUGCAAUUGAUAAAAUGCCAUGUCCUAAAGAUAUUAAAGGUAUUCGUAGUUUCCUUGGUCAUGUUGGUUUCUAUAGGAGGUUUAUCAAAGACUUUUCUAAAAUUUGUAGGCCUCUUACGAAUCUUUUGCAAAAGGAUAUUCCCUUUGUGUUCGAUGAUGAUUGCUUGGAAGCCUUUGAAACACUAAAGAAAGCCUUAAUUACAGCACCUUUGUUCAGCCACCUGAUUGGAACUUGCCUUUUGAGAUUAUGUGUGAUGCUAGUGAUUAUGUUGUUGGUGUUGUUCUAGGACAAAGAGUUGAUAAGAAACUGAAUGUUAUUCAUUAUGCCAGUAAAACUCUAGAAAGUGCUCAAUGAAACUAUGCUACUACUGAAAAAGAAUUCUUAGCAGUGGUGUUUGCUUGUGAUAAAUUUAGAUCUUACAUUGUUGAUUCUAAAGUGAUUGUUCACACCGAUCAUGCUGCUAUAAAAUAUCUUACGGAAAAGAAAGAUGCUAAACCUAGACUCAUUAGAUGGGUUCUGCUGCUACAAGAAUUUGAUUUGCAUAUUACUUAUAGGAAAGGAGCAGAGAAUCCCGUAGAUGAUAACUUGUUUAGGCUUGAAAAUAUUCUUGAUGACCCACAACCUAUUAAUGAUAGCUUUCCUGAUGAACAACUAGCUGCAAUAAAUGUUUCUAAUAGUACACCUUGGUAUGUUGACUAUGCUAAUUAUAUUGUUGCUAAAUACAUACCACCUAGUUUCACAUACCAACAAAAGAAAAUUUUCUUCUAUGAUUUAAUACAUUACUUUUGGGAUGACCCACAUAUUUAUAAAGAAGGAGUAGAUGGUAUUAUUAGACGUUGUGUACCUGAGGAUGAAUAGGAACAAAUCCUACAGAAAUGUCACUCGGAAGCUUAUGGAGGACAUCAUGCGGGAGAUAGAACCACUCAUAAGGUAUUGCAAUCUGGUUUUUAUUGGCUUAGUCUCUUCAAGGAUGCCCGUAAGUUUGUCUCAUCUUGUGAUGAAUGCCAAAUAAUAGGUAAUAUCAGUAAGCGUCAAGAAAUGCCUAUGAAUUAUUCACUUGUUGUUGAAGCAUUUGAUGUUUGGGGAUUUGAUUUCAUGGGACCUUUUCCUUCCUCUAAUGGGUAUACACAUAUUUUGGUUGCUAUUGAUUAUGUUACUAAGUGGGUAGAAGUUAUACCAACCAGUAUUGCUGAUCACAACACCUCUUUUAAAAUGCUUAAGGAAGUUAUUUUCCCAAGGUUUGGAGUCCCUAGAUAUUUAAUGACUGAUGGUGGUUCACACUUUAUUCAUGGUGCUUUCCGUAAAAUGCUUGCUAAGUAUGAUAUUAACCAUAGAAUUGCAUCACCUUAUCAUCCUCAGUCUAGUGGUCAAGUUGAACUUUGCAAUAGAGAAAUAAAACUAAUCUUACAAAAGACUGUUAAUAGGUCCCAGAAGAAUUGGUCUAAGAAAUUAGAUGAUGCACUUUGGGCUUAUAGAACAGGUUAUAAAAAUCCUAUGGGUAUGUCUCCAUAUAAAAUGGUUUAUGGAAAAGCUUGUCAUUUGCCUCUUGAGUUAGAACACAAAGCAUAUUGGGCAAUUAAAGAACUCAAUUAUGAUUUCAAACUUGCUGGUGAAAAGUGGCUAUUUGAUAUUAGCUCAUUAGAUGAAUGGAGAACUCAGGCUUAUGAAAAUGCAGCGUUAUUCAAAAAAAAUGUUGAAAGAUGGCAUGACAAAAGAAUCCAAAAGUGCGAGUUCAAAGUUGGAGAAUAUGUUCUUUUGUACAACUCUCGUUUCAGAUUCUUUGCAGGAAAACUCCUCUCCAAAUGGGAAGGACCCUAUGUCAUCGAGGAGGUCUAUCGAUCUGGAGCUAUAAAAAUAAAUAAUGCCAAAGGUACUAACCCGAAGGUUGUCAAUGGGCAACGAAUAAAACACUAUAUCUCAGUUACGCCCAUUAAUGUUGAAAGCAAUAUCAUCCAAACUUUGACACCGGAAGAACACAUAAACGAAACCUUCCAGAACACCCCAGAAUCACGAAAAAAUGGAGGUACGUGAUACGGUAAGUAAACAGACUCCGAAAAAUCCACAAAAAUAUUUUUUUUCAGUUUUGGAAUAUUUAAAAAAUUAGGAAAAUAAGAAACUUCCAGGAAAGUGACCCUGGUGGGCACUAUACACCAGGGCGCGCCUAGCAUGCCAGGCGUGCCCCGGUGGGUUGUGCCCACCUCGAGUACUUUCCGGACUCCGUUUUUCUUCCAUUGUGCUUGUUCCCCAAGAUAAAAAAUCUUUAUAUACCUCCCAAACCUGUUGAGCUCCGUAUCAUGGAGAAAUCGCAUGUUCUCUUUUCUUGUUGUUUUCUGUCAUAUCCAAUCCAUCAUGGCCGCUUCAAGCUCCUCCAAGGACAAGUUCUUCGACAACGUCAUCAACCCAUAUCUGCGGGAGGUGAUGCAGCACCCUCAAGCUAUCUAGAUGCGCGAUGGGGUGAUGCACAUCCGCGAUGUGCAAGGACCCAAGGGGACUGGAUCCGUGGAGGCCAGGCUUGAAGCUAUGGAGCAGGACAUCUUCAGGUGCAAGGGGAUGGUGGAACAUGGACUCAAUGCCAAUCAUCUCAUGAUCGCGGACUACACCCGUCAUCUCAAGGUGGAUGGAAAGUCCAUAAAGGACAGUGUCUUCUCCCUCAACGAGCAAAUCAACUUUCUCCAUAGCCAGAUUCAUGACCUUCAAAGCAAGUCUUUAAAUAUGAGGCAAGGUUUAAAGGUAUGAGUUUGGCUGCCAGUUGCAGGAUCUGAGAGACUCACUCUUCCUCUUUAUGAUGGUGAACCUCUCCCAUGGAAACCCGAGGACAAGAAACCUUCUAAUUCAUCAUCACCACCUCCUUCUUCACCACCAGAAGAAAAUUGAGUAUCGGGUACAGUCCCCUUGGCUUUUGCCAAUCUUGGGGGAGGUGCCUCGGUAUCGUAUCAUCUCCACUAUCUUUUGCCUAUACUUUCUUAAUUCGAUCCAUUGUUAUCUUUUGCUUUUAGAUGAAUAAAAGUUUAGUUCGAUCCUUUCUUUUUGAGAGUUUGCUUAGUGAUCAAUCAUUGUAAUCGUGUGCGAGAUAUAUAAUAAAGUUUAGUUUGAGUUUUGCCUUCUUUACUCUCUUGUUUCAAUAAAAAGAAAGGAAAUAAUGAAAAAGAUCAUAUGCUAACCUUAUGGUAGGUGAUGACAUUACACAAGGAAAAGUAUAAGUAGAAAAUUUUAUUGUAGAUUGACAAACAUAGCAUUGGUCAAUGACACAACUCAUGAAAUAAUUAAUAAGGGAAGAGAAGAUUCACAUAUAAAUAGACUAUCCUGGAAUCUUUUGUGAUUGUGAGCACCCAUCAAAAUAUUAUAUGCCAAAAUUGUUGACGUUGGACAAGGAAGACAACAUAAUGAUUUAUGUUUGUUCAUAUUCACGUAGAAGUUAUAUUGUCAUAGAUCCUUCAACAUGUGGUGCUUGCCCCAAUCUUUGCUAGCCAAAAACUCCGCACUAAGUAGAGAUACUAGUUGUGCAUCCAAAACCCUUAAACCUAAAUCUUGUUUGAGAGUCCACCAUACCUACCUAUGGAUUGAGUAAGAUCCAUCAAGUAAGUUGUCAUCAGUGCAAAAAUGGCAAUAAAAAUUGCUUCUAAAAGUGUGAUAUCAUUUAGUGUAAGGGAAAAUUGAGCGUUAUACAAACUUCUGAUGGCGAAGAAUAAAAGCAGCAAACUUCAUAAUAAAGGUUUCCAUCACAAGGGGCAAUAUAAUGUGAUGUUCUCUUGCACUAAGGGGUUGAGCAUACAAAAAAAUGCAUGGCAACCUUUGCUUCCCUCUGCAAAGGGCCUAUCUUUUACUUUCACGUAUUACUUUCAUGCAAGAGUCAAAGUUUUCUCUCUAUUCCUUUUAUUUUUCUCCUUUGGCAAGCAUCAUGUGGUGAGGAAAGAUCUAGGCACAUAUAUCCACUUGAAUAUGAGUAGCAUGAGUUAUUAUUGUUGACAUCACCAUUGAGGUGAAUGCGUUGGGAGGUGAAACUAUAAGCCCCUACCUUCCUAUGUGUCUGGUUGAAACAUUUUGCUCAUGUGUACGCGGUGAGUGUUAGCAAUCAUAGAAGACUAAAUGAUGGUUGAGUGUGGACUUGCCUAAAGGCUCCGAUACGUGACCCUUCCUGAAAAGAUGAUGAAUUGUAAUUGCAAAAUUGACUGAGAACAUAGUUUGUUGACUUCCAAUAAAGUUUAUGCUUUAUACUUCGAUGUUGUGAUGAAUUGUCACUUGUUCAUGAGAAGUCUAUGAUAAAAGUUAUAUGAUAAAAGUUAUAUGUUAAAGUUUAUUGUUGUUAUAAUAAGUUACAUGAUGCUGCUAUGUCCGUAUUUUUGUUUUUAUCGACACCUCUCCCUCUAAGAUUGUGGACAUGUUUUUGAUUUCGGUUUUCGCUUGAGGACAAGCGAGGUCUAAGCUUGGGGGAGUUGAUACGUCCAUUUUGCAUCAAGUUUUCCUACUGUUAUUUAUGUUGUUUUAUUGUAUAAUAAUGCUUUUUGUAGUAAUUCUAAUGCCUUUUCUCUCAUAAUAUGCAAGGUAUACAGAAAGGGGGAGAAUUUUGGCAGGUGGACCUGAAAAGGCUAUGUCAAGCUACCUAUUUUUCACAACUCCAAAUGAGCUGAAACUUCACGAGGACUUUUAUAAAUAUUUAAUAAAUAUUGGAGCAAAUAAGUACCAGAGGGGGGCCACCAGGUGGGCACAACCCACCUGGGUGCGCCAGGAGGCCUAGGCGUGCCUUGGUGGGUGCUGCCCUCCUCGGCACACCUUCGGUGCCCGUCUUCUAGUAUAUAAGUCAUUUUGACCUAAAAUAAUUGAGGAGAGGACUUUCGGGAUGAAGCGCCUCCAUCUCGAGGCGGAACUUGGGCAGGAGCACUUUUGCCCUCCGGCAAAGCGAUUCCGCCGGGGGAACUUCCCUCCUGGAGGGGGAAAUCAUCGUCAUCAUCAUCACCAACAACUCUCCCAUCUUGGGGUGGGCUAUCUUCAUCAACAUCUUCAACAGCACCAACUCCUCUCAAUCCCUAGUUCAUCUCUUGUGUUCAAUCUAUACCAGAACUGUAGAUUGGUGCUUGUGGGUGACUAGUAGUGUUGAUUACAUCUUGUAGUUGAUUACUAUAUGGUUUAUUUGGUGGAAGAUUAUAUGUCUAGAUCCAUUACGCUAUUUAAUACCCCUCUGAUCUUGAGCAUGAUUAUCAUUUGUGAGUAGUUACUUUUGUUCUUGAGGUCAUGGGAAAAAUCAUGUUGCAAGUAAUCAUGUGAACUUGAUAUGUGUUUGAUAUUUUGAUGAUAUGUAUGUUGUGAUUCCCUUAGUGGUGUCAUGUGAACGUCGACUACAUGACACUUCACCAUAUUUGGGCCUUAGGGAAUGCAUUGUGGAGUAGUUAUUAGAUGAUGGGUUGUGAGAGUGACAGAAGCUUAAACCCCAAUUUAUGCGCUAUUCCGUAAGGGACCAAUUGGAUCCAAAACUUUAAUGCUAUGGUUAGAAUUUAUUCUUAAUACUUUUCCCGUAGUUGCGGAUGCUUGCAAGAGGGUUAAUCAUAAGUAGGAGGUUUGUUCAAGUAAGAACAACACCUAAGCACCGGUCCACCCACAUAUCAAAUUAUCAAAGUAGUGAACACGAAUUAAGCCAACAUGAUGAAAGUGACUAGAUGAAAUUCCCGUGUACCCUCAAGAACACUUUGCUUAUCAUAAGAGACCGUUUUGGCAUGUACUUUGCCUGGAAAGGAUUGGGAUACCUUGCUACAUUUUUUACUAAUAUCGUCACUUGCUCGUUACAAAUUAUCUUGCUAUCAAACUACUCCGCUACUUACAAUUUUAGCACUUGCAGACAUUACCUUGCUGAAAACCACUUGUCAUUUCCUUCUGGUCCUCGGUUGGUUCGACACUCUUACUUAUAGAAAAGUCUAUAAUUGACCUCAUAUACUUGUGGGUCAUCAACAACUGACGCGGACUAUCCCGGUCUGACCGAUAUGCAUCAUUUUUUACACUGCCAACUCGGUGUCACCGAUGAAAACAGGUUGGCAUUACCGAUUUCACAGCUGAGAAAACUUUUUGUCAUUGCAUAUUUGUUUUCUUCUGCAGCUCCACUCAAUGAUUCUUAUCCUCUACCCGCAUCAUAAACUACAUGUUGCUUUGUAAUGUGUCUCAAGGACCAAACCUAUUUGACUCAUACUCCAGAAGUUCCCUUCUUGGAAAUUGAUGUCAAAGGGGGAGAGAGAGCAUAUCAAAGCUUAUCACAUGGGAGAGAAAGCACAUCUUAGCUUCUCCAGAUGCCUGUUAACAAUAGAGGAGAGAAGUCACAUAUUUUUAAGAGGGGAAAGACAUGUUAAUAUAUACUUGAUUGUACCAUUUCCUGCUCUAAUUUUCUCUUACCCUACCUUCUCCCAUUAUCCAAUAUCAGAUUCAGGGGGAGAAAGAGUUCAUAUCUAGGGGAAGAAAAUCUUUGGAAUUCAUUGCAUAUGUUUAACCUUUGGGGAGAUGUCUAUAUCCAAAUGGAGUACUAAGUACUCACUCAUUACAUUCAUCAUCCCAGUCUUGGUACUCUUGUGGUUUCCCUAAAUUGCUUUAAUUAGAGUGUUCUUGCGUUAUCUAACCCUAUUUUCUCAAGUUCACCUCUUCCAAAGCCAUCUCAAGACCACAAGGUAAGUAUAUGCAUCACACUCAUGUGCAUGAUGAUUUCUUGUUGAUGUACAUAUUAUUUGCAAGAAGGACUCAUGAACAUGAAUAUACACUUAUCUUAUCUACAUCAUUUUCUCUUAUGCAUAUAGCCAAGAUACAUAUAACUCAUUGCUUGCUCUGACAUGCUUAUGAAUUCACAUGUUCUCAUAUUCCAUCUUUACAUGAUUGCAUACAUGUAGGGGGAGCCUAUGCAUGUUACAUGUCUUUCCAAAGCUUUACGUGUUACUCUUCAUAUCAUUUUAUCCAAAGCUUUGAUGUAUGUUGUCAUCAAUUAUCAAAAAGGGGGAGAUUGAAAGCACAAGUGCUCCCUAGGUGGUUUUGGUAAUUAAUGACAACAUAUCUCUUGUUGGACUAAUACCUUUGAAGGAAAUAUUGUUGGAAAUAUGCCCUAGAGGCAAUAAUAAAAGUAUUAUUAUAUUUCAUUGUUCAUGAUAAUUGUCUUUUAUUCAUGCUAUAACUGUAUUAUCCGGAAAUCGUAAUACACGUGUGAAUACUUAGACCACACUAUGUCCCUGGUAAGCCUCUAGUUGACCAGCUCGUUGUGAUCAACAGAUAGACAUGGUUUCCUGACUAUGGACAUUGGAUGUCGUUGAUAACGGGAUCACAUCAUUAGGAGAAUGAUGUGAUGGACAAGACCCAAUCCUAAGCAUAGCAUAAAAGAUCGUGUAGUUCGUUUUGCUAGAGCUUUGCAAGUGUCAAGUAUCUCUUCCUUCAACCAUGAGAUCGUGUAACUCCCGGAUACCGUAAGAGUGCCUUGGGUGUAUCAAACGUCACAACGUAACUGGGUGACUAUAAAGGUGCAUUACAGGUAUCUCCGAAAGUAGCUGUUGGGUUGACACGGAUCGAGACUGGGAUUUGUCACUCCGUAUGACGGACAGGUAUCUCUGGGCCCACUCGGUAAUGCAUCAUCAUAAUGAGCUCAACGUGACCAAGGUGUUGGACACGGGAUCAUGCAUUACGGUACGAGUAAAGUGACUUGCCCGUAACGAGACUGAACAAGGUAUUGGGAUACCGACGAUCGAGUCUCGGGCAAGUAACGUACCGAUUGACAAAGGGAAUUGCAUACAGGGUUUGAUCGAAUCCUCGACAUAGUGGUUCAUCCGAUGACAACAUCGAGGAGCAUGUGGGAGCCAUCAUGGGUAUCCAGAUCCCGCUGAUGGUUAUUGACUGAGAGCGUCUCGGUCAUGUCUGCAUGUCUCCCGAACCCGUAGGGUCUACACACUUAAGGUUCGGUGACGCUAGGGUUAUGAAGAUAUGGAUAUGCAGAAACCCGAAUGUUGUUCGGAUUCCCGGAUGAGAUCCCGGACGUCACGAGGAGUUCCGGAAUGGUCCGGAGGUAAAGAAUUAUAUAUAGGAAGUGCUAUUUCGGGCAUCGGGACAAGUUUCGGGGUUAUCGGUAUUGUACCGGGACCACCGGAAGGGUCCCGGGGGUCCACCGGGUGGGGCCACCUGUCCCGGGGGGCUACAUGGGCUGUAGGGGGUGCGCCUUGGCCAUCAUGGGCCAAGGGCACCAGCCCCUAUAGGCCCAUGCGCCUAGGGUUUCCCCCUAGGAGGAGUCCUAGUGGUGGAAGGCACCCCUAGGUGCCUUGGGGGGAGGGAAACCUCCCCUAGGCCGCCGCCCCCCUAGUAGAUCUCAUCUACUAGGGCCGGCGCCCCCCCUGGCACCCCUAUAUAUAGUGGGGGAGAGGAGGGACUUCAUACACCAGCCCCUGGCGCCUCCACCUCCCCCCGUUACGUCUCUCCCUCGUAGUCUCGGCGAAGCCCUGCUGCUGUGACGCCCUGCAUCCACCACCACGCCGUCGUGCUGCUGGAUCUUCAUCAACCUCUCCUUCCCCCUUGCUGGAUCAAGAAGGAGGAGACGUCUCCCGUCCCGUACAUGUGUUGAACGCGGAGGUGCCGUCCGUUCGGCGCUGGUCAUCAGUGAUUUGGAUCACGUCGAGUACGACUACAUCAUCACCUUGCAAGCUUCCGCACGCGAUCUACAAGUGGUAUGUAGAUGCAAACUCUCUCCCUAGACUCGUUGCUUAGAUGAACUCAUAGAUGGAUCUUGGUGAAACCGUAGGAAAAAUUUUAAUUUUCUGCAACGUUCCCCGACAGUGGCAUCAUGAGCUAGGUCUAUGCGUAGUUCCCUUUGCACGGGUAGAACACAACUUUGUUGUGGGCGUGGAUUUUGUCAUCUUACUUGCCUCUACUAGUCUUUUCUUGCUCAACGGUAUUGUGGGAUGAAGCGGCCCGGACCAACCUUACACGUACACUUACGUGAGACCGGUUCCACCGACUGACAUGCACAAGUUGCAUAAGGUGGCUGGCGGGUGUCUGUCUCUCCCACCUUAGUUGGAGCGGAAUCGAUGAACAGGGCCCUUAUGAAGGGUAAAUAGAAGUUGACAAAAUCACGUUGUGGUGAUUCGUAGGUAAGAAAACGUUCUUGCUAGAACCCAAUUGCAGCCACGUAAAAGAUGCAACAACAAUUAGAGGACGUCUAACUUGUUUUUGCAGCGAUUGAUCAUGUGAUGUGAUAUGGCCAGAAGUUGUGAUGAAUGAUGAAUUGUGAUGUAUGAGAUCAUGUUCUUUGUAAUAGGAUUCACGACUUGCAUGUCGAUGAGUAUGACAACCGGCAGGAGCCAUAGGAGUUUUCAUUAUUUUUUGUAUGACCUGCGUGUCAUUGAAUAACUUCAUGUAAACUACUUUACUUUAUUGCUAAACGUUAGUCAUAUAAGUAGAAGUAGUCGUUGGCGUGACAACUUCAUGAAGACACGAUGAUGGAGAUCAUGAUGAUGGAGAUCAUGGUGUCAAGCCGGUGACAAGAUGAUCAUGGAGCCCCGAAGAUGAAGAUCAAUGGAGCUAUAUGAUAUUGGCCAUAUCAUGUCACAACUAUAUAAUUGCAUGUGAUGUUUAUUAUGUAUUAUGCAUCUUGUUUACUUAGGACGACGGUAGUAAAUAAGAUGAUCCCUUAUAAAAUUUCAAGAAAUGUUCUCCCCUAACUGUGCACCGUUGCUAUAGUUCGUCGUUUCUAAGCACCACGUGAUGAUCGGGUGUGAUGGAUUCUUACGUUCACAUACAACGGGUGUAAGACAGUUUUACACAGCGAAAACACUUAGGGUUAACUUGACGAGCCUAGCAUGUGCAGACAUGGCCUCGGAACACGGAGACCGAAAGGUCGAACACGAGUCGUAUGGAAGAUACGAUCAACAUGAGAAUGUUCACUGACGAUGACUAGUCCGUCUCACGUGAUGAUCGGACACGGGCUAGUCGACUCGGAUCGUGUAACACUUAGAUGACUAAAGGGAUGUCUAAUCUAAGUGGGAGUUCAUAAUUUGAUUAGAACUUUAUUAUCAUGAACUUAGUCUAAAACCUUUGCAAAUAUGUCUUGUAGAUCAAUGGCCAACGCUAAUGUCAACAUGAACUUCAACGCGUUCCUGGAGAAAACCAAGCUGAAAGAUGAUGGCAGCAACUAUACGGACUGGGUCCGGAACCUGAGGAUCAUCCUCAUAGCUGCCAGGAAACAAUAUGUCCUAGAAGGACCGCUAGGUGACGCUCCCGUCCCAGAGAACCAAGACAUUAUGAAUGCUUGGCAGUCUCGCGCUGAUGAUUACUCCCUCGUUCAGUGCGGCAUGCUUUACAGCUUAGAACCGGGGCUCCAAAAGCGUUUUGAGCAUCACGGAGCAUAUGAGAUGUUCGAAGAGCUGAAACUAGUUUUUCAAGCUCAUGCCCGGGUCGAGAGAUAUGAUGUCUCCGACAAGUUCUACAGUUGUAAGAUGGAGGAGAACAGUUCUGUCAGUGAGCACAUCCUGAAGAUGUCUGGGUUGCACAACCGUAUGACCCAGCUGAACAUUAACCUCCCAGAUGAGGCGGUCAUUGACAGAAUCCUCCAUUCGCUCCCACCAAGCUACAAGAGCUUUGUGAUGAACUACAACAUGCAAGGAAUGGAAAAGACCAUUCCUGAAUUGUUCUCGAUGCUGAAGUCAGCAGAGGCUGAAAUCAAGAAAGAACAUCAAGUGUUGAUGGUCAAUAAGACCACUAAGUUCAAGAAGGGCAAGGGUAAGAAGAACUUCAAGAAGGACGGCAAAGAUGUUGCCGCGCCUGGUAAGCCAGUUACCGGGAAGAAGUCAAAGAAUGGACCCAAGCCUGAGACUGAGUGCUUUUAUUGCAAGGGGAAGGGUCACUGGAAGCGGAACUGCCCCAAAUACUUAGCGGAUAAGAAGGCCGGCAACACCAAAGGUAUAUUUGAUAUACAUGUGAUUGAUGUGUACCUUACCAGUAAUCGUAGUAACUCCUGGGUAUUUGAUACCGGUGCCGUUGCUCAUAUUUGUAACUCACAACAGGAGCUGCGGAAUAAACGGAGACUGGCAAAGGACGAGGUGACGAUGCGCGUCGGGAAUGGUUCCAGAGUCGAUGUGAUCGCCGUCGGCACGCUGCCUCUACAUUUACCUACGGGAUUAGUUUUGAACCUUAAUAAUUGUUAUUUAGUGCCAAGUUUGAGCAUGAACAUUGUAUCAGGAUCUCGUUUAAUACGAGAUGGCUACUCAUUUAAGUCUGAGAAUAAUGGUUGUUCGAUUUAUAUGAGAGAUAUGUUUUAUGGUCAUGCUCCGAUGGUCAAUGGUUUAUUCUUAAUGAAUCUCGAGCGUAAUAUUACACAUGUUCAUAGUGUAGAUGCCAAAAGAUUUAAAGUUGAUAACGAUAGUCCCACAUACUUGUGGCACUGCCGCCUUGGUCACAUUGGUGUCAAGCGCAUGAAGAAGCUCCAUGCCGAUGGACUUUUAGAGUCUCUUGAUUAUGAAUCGUUUGACACGUGUGAACCAUGCCUCUUGGGCAAAAUGACCAAGACUCCGUUCUCCGGAACAAUGGAGCGAGCAACCAACUUGUUGGAAAUCAUACAUACCGAUGUGUGCGGUCCAAUGAGCGUUGAGGCUCGCGGAGGAUAUCGUUAUGUUCUCACUCUCACAGAUGACUUGAGUAGAUAUGGGUAUGUCUACUUAAUGAAACACAAGUCUGAGACCUUUGAAAAGUUCAAGGAAUUUCAGAAUGAGGUGGAGAAUCAACGUGAACGAAAGAUAAAAUUCUUGCGAUCAGAUCGUGGAGGAGAAUACUUAAGUCACGAAUUUGGUACACACUUAAAGAAAUGUGGAAUCGUUUCACAGCUCACGCCGCCUGGAACACCUCAGCGAAACGGUGUGUCCGAACGUCGUAAUCGCACUCUAUUGGAUAUGGUGCGGUCUAUGAUGUCUCUUACCGAUUUACCGCUAUCAUUUUGGGGAUACGCUCUAGAGACAGCUACAUUCACUUUAAAUAGGGCACCGUCUAAAUCCAUUGAGACGACACCGUAUGAAUUAUGGUUUGGAAAGAAACCUAAGCAGUCGUUUCUAAAAGUUUGGGGAUGCGAAGCUUAUGUCAAGAAACUUCAACCUGAAAAGCUCGAACCCAAGUCGGAAAAAUGCGUAUUCAUAGGAUACCCUAAGGAAACUGUAGGGUACACCUUCUACUUAAGAUCCGAAGGCAAGAUCUUUGUUGCCAAGAACGGAUGCUUUCUGGAAAAAGAGUUUCACUCGAAAGAAGUAAGUGGGAGGAAAGUAGAACUCGAUGAAGUACUACCUCUUGAGCGGGAUAGUGACGCAGCACAGGAAACCGUUCCUGUGAUGCCCACACCAACUGAAGAGGAAAACCAUGAUAAUGAUCAAGGUACUUCGGAUCAAGUUACUGCUGAACUUCGUAGGUCCACAAGGACACGUUCCGCACCAGAGUGGUACGGCAACCCUGUCCUGGAAAUCAUGUUGUUAGACAACAAUGAACCUUCGAACUAUGAAGAAGCAAUGGCGGGCCCGGAUUCCAACAAAUGGCUUGAAGCCAUGAAAUCCGAGAUAGAAUCCAUGUAUGAAAACAAAGUAUGGACUUUGACAGACUUGCCCGAUGAUCGGCGAGCGAUAGAAAACAAAUGGAUCUUUAAGAAGAAGACGGACGCGGAUGGUAAUGUUACCAUCUAUAAAGCUCGACUUGUCGCUAAGGGUUAUCGACAGGUUCAAGGGAUUGACUACGACGAGACAUUCUCUCCCGUAGCGAAGCUAAAGUCCGACCGAAUCAUGUUAGCAAUUGCCGCAUACUAUGAUUAUGAGAUAUGGCAGAUGGACGUCAAAACAGCAUUCCUUAACGGGCAUCUUAAGGAAGAACUGUAUAUGAUGCAGCCGGAAGGUUUUGUCGAUCCUCGGAACGCUAACAAAGUAUGCAAGCUCCAGCGAUCCAUUUAUGGACUGGUGCAAGCAUCUCGGAGUUGGAACAUUCGCUUUGAUGAGAUGAUCAAAGCAUUUGGGUUUAUGCAGACUUAUGGAGAAGCCUGCGUUUACAAGAAAGUGAGUGGGAGCUCUGUAGCAUUUCUCAUAUUAUAUGUAGAUGACAUACUCCUGAUGGGAAAUAAUAUAGAAUUUCUGGACAGCAUUAAGGCCUACUUGAAUAAGUGUUUUUCAAUGAAGGACCUUGGAGAAGCUGCUUAUAUAUUAGGCAUCAAGAUCUAUAGAGAUAGAUCGAGACGCCUCAUAGGUCUUUCACAAAGCACAUACCUUGAUAAGAUUUUGAAGAAAUUCAGAAUGGAUCAGUCCAAGAAGGGGUUCUUGCCUAUGUUACAAGGUAUGAGACUGAGCUCAGCUCAGUCAUCGACCACGGCAAAAGAUAAAGAAGAGAUGAGUGUCAUCCCCUAUGCUUCAGCCAUAGGAUCUAUUAUGUAUGCCAUGCUGUGUACCAAACCCGAUGUAAACCUUGCCGUAAGUUUGGUAGCAAGAUACCAAAGUAAUCCCGGCAAGGAACACUGGACAGCGGUCAAGAAUAUCCUGAAGUACCUGAAAAGGACAAAGGACAUGUUUCUCGUUUAUGGAGGAGACGAAGAGCUCAUCGUAAAAGGUUACGUCGAUGCUAGCUUCGACUCAGAUCUGGAUGACUCUAAGUCACAAACCGGAUACGUGUAUAUGUUGAAUGGUGGAGCAGUAAGCUGGCGCAGCUGCAAGCAGAGCGUCGUGGCGGGGUCUACAUGUGAAGCGGAGUACAUGGCAGCCUCGGAGGCAGCACAUGAAGUGAUUUGGGUGAAGGAGUUCAUCACCGACCUAGGAGUCAUACCCAAUGCGUCGGGGCCGAUCAAACUCUUCUGUGACAACACUGGAGCUAUUGCCCUCGCAAAGGAGCCCAGGUUUCACAAGAAGACCAGGCACAUCAAGCGUCGUUUCAACUCCAUCCGUGAAAAUGUUCAAGAUGGAGACAUAGAGAUUUGCAAAGUGCACACGGAUCUGAAUGUCGCAGAUCCGCUGACUAAACCUCUCUCGCGUGCAAAACAUGAUCAACACCAGAACUCUAUGGGUGUUCGAUUCAUCACAAUGUAACUAGAUUAGUGACUCUAGUGCAAGUGGGAGACUGUUGGAAAUAUGCCCUAGAGGCAAUAAUAAAAGUAUUAUUAUAUUUCAUUGUUCAUGAUAAUUGUCUUUUAUUCAUGCUAUAACUAUAUUAUCCGGAAAUCGUAAUACACGUGUGAAUACUUAGACCACACUAUGUCCCUGGUAAGCCUCUAGUUGACCAGCUCGUUGUGAUCAACAGAUAGUCAUGGUUUCCUGACUAUGGACAUUGGAUGUCGUUGAUAACGGGAUCACAUCAUUAGGAGAAUGAUGUGAUGGACAAGACCCAAUCCUAAGCAUAGCAUAAAAGAUCGUGUAGUUCGUUUUGCUAGAGCUUUGCAAGUGUCAAGUAUCUCUUCCUUCAACCAUGAGAUCGUGUAACUCCCGGAUACCGUAAGAGUGCCUUGGGUGUAUCAAACGUCACAACGUAACUGGGUGACUAUAAAGGUGCAUUACAGGUAUCUCCGAAAGUAGCUGUUGGGUUGACACGGAUCGAGACUGGGAUUUGUCACUCCGUAUGACGGACAGGUAUCUCUGGGCCCACUCGGUAAUGCAUCAUCAUAAUGAGCUCAAUGUGACCAAGGUGUUGGACACGGGAUCAUGCAUUACGGUACGAGUAAAGUGACUUGCCGGUAACGAGACUGAACAAGGUAUUGGGAUACCGACGAUCGAGUCUCGGGCAAGUAACGUACCGAUUGACAAAGGGAAUUGCAUACAGGGUUUGAUCGAAUCCUCGACAUAGUGGUUCAUCCGAUGACAACAUCGAGGAGCAUGUGGGAGCCAUCAUGGGUAUCCAGAUCCCGCUGAUGGUUAUUGACUGAGAGCGUCUCGGUCAUGUCUGCAUGUCUCCCGAACCCGUAGGGUCUACACACUUAAGGUUCGGUGACGCUAGGAUUAUGAAGAUAUGGAUAUGCAGAAACCCGAAUGUUGUUCGGAGUCCCGGAUGAGAUCCCGGACGUCACGAGGAGUUCCGGAAUGGUCCGGAGGUAAAGAAUUAUAUAUAGGAAGUGCUAUUUCGGGCAUCGGGACAAGUUUCGGGGUUAUCGGUAUUGUACCGGGACCACCGGAAGGGUCCCGGGGGUCCACCGGGUGGGGCCACCUGUCCCGGGGGGCUACAUGGGCUGUAGGGGGUGCGCCUUGGCCAUCAUGGGCCAAGGGCACUAGCCCCUAUAGGCCCAUGCGCCUAGGGUUUCCCCCUUGGAGGAGUCCUAGUGGUGGAAGGCACCCCUAGGUGCCUUGGGGGGGAGGGAAACCUCCCCUAGGCCGCCGCCCCCCUAGUAGAUCUCAUCUACUAGGGCCGGCGCCCCCCUGGCACCCCUAUAUAUAGUGGGGGAGAGGAGGGACUUCAUACACCAGCCCCUGGCGCCUCCACCUCCCCCCGUUACGUCUCUCCCUCGUAGUCUCGGCGAAGCCCUGCUGCUGUGACGCCCUGCAUCCACCACCACGCCGUCGUGCUGCUGGAUCUUCAUCAACCUCUCCUUCCCCCUUGCUAGAUCAAGAAGGAGGAGACGUCUCCCGUCCCGUACGUGUGUUGAACGCGGAGGUGCCGUCCGUUCGGCGCUGGUCAUCGGUGAUUUGGAUCACGUCGAGUACGACUACAUCAUCACCUUGCAAGCUUCCGCACGCGAUCUACAAGUGUUAUGUAGAUGCAAACUCUCUCCCUAGACUCGUUGCUUAGAUGAACUCAUAGAUGGAUCUUGGUGAAACCGUAGGAAAAAUUUUAAUUUUCUGCAACGUUCCCCAACAAAUAUGCCCUAGAGGCAAUAAUAAAGUUGUUAUUUUAUAUUUCCUUAUUUCAUGAUAAAUUUUUAUUAUUCAUGCUAGAAUUGUAUUAACCGGAAACUUGAUACAUGUGUGGAUACAUAGACAAAACACUGUGUCCCUAGUAUGCCUCUACUUGACUAGCUCGUUAAUCAAAGAUGGUUAAGUUUCCUAGCCAUAGACAUGUGUUGUCAUUUGAUGAACGGGUUCACAUCAUUAGGAGAAUGAUGUGAUGGACAAGACUCAUCCUUUAGCUUAGCAUAAUGAUCAUUCAGUUUUAUUGCUACUGUUUUCUUCAUGUCAAAUACAUAUUCCUCCGACUAUGAGAUUAUGCAACUCCCGGACACCGGAGGAAUGCCUUGUGUGCUAUCAAACGUCACAACAUAACUGGGUGAUUAUAAAGAUGCUCUACAGGUAUCUCAGAAGGUGUUUGUUGGGUUGGCAUAGAUCGAGAUUAGGAUUUGUCACUCUGAGUAUCGGAGAGGCAUCUCUGGCCCUCUCGGUAAUGCACAUCAUAUGAACGCUUGCAAGCAAUGUGAUUAAUGAGUUAGUUAUGGGAUGAUGCAUUGCGGAACAAGUAAAGAGACUUGUCGGUAACGAGAUUGAACUAGGUAUGAAGAUACCGAGGAUCGAAUCUCGGGCAAGUAACAUACCAAUGACAAAGGGAAUAAUGUAUGUUGUCAUAACAGUUUGACCGAUAAAGAUCUUCGUAGACUAUGUGGGAGCUAAUAUGAGCAUCCAGGUUCCACUAUUGGUUAUUGACCGGAGAGGUGUCUCGGUCAUGUCUACAUAGUUCUUGAACCCAUAGGGUCCGCACGCUUAACGUUCGAUGACGAUUUGUAUUAUGAGAGUUAUGUGAUUUGGUGACCGAAUGUUGUUCGGAGUCCCAGAUGAUCUCACGGACAUGACGAGGAGUCUCGAAAUGGUCAAGAGGUAAAGAUUCAUAUGUAGGACGAUAGUAUUCGGACAACGGAAGUGUUCCGGGGUACCGGGUACGUAUCGGGUCAGCGGAAGGGGUUCGGGCAUCCCCUGAUAAACUACAUGGGCCUAAUGGGCCAAGAAGGGAACAGACCAGCCCCUAAGGGGAUGGUGCGCUGAUAUGUCUCCAAUGUAUCUAUAAUUUUUAUUGUUCCAUGCUAUUAUAUUACCCGUUUUGGAUGUUUAUUGGCUUUACUUUACACUUCUAUAUCAUUUUUGGGACUAACCUACUAACCGGAGGCCCAGCCCGUAUUGCUGUUUUUUUGCCUAUUUCAAUGUUUCGAAGAAAAGGAAUAUCAAACAGAGUCCAAACGGAAUGAAACCUUCGGGAGCGUGAUUUUUGGAACGAACGUGAUCCAGAGGACUUGGAGUGGAAGUCAAGCAACAACCGAGGUGGCCACAAGGGUGGAGGGCGCCCCCCCCCCUACUGGGCGCGCCCCUGUCUCGUGGGCCCUCGGGCGUCCACCGACCUACUUCUUCCUCCUGUAUAUACCCAUGUACCCUGAAAACAUCAGAGGAUCCAAUGAAAACCUAAUUCCACCGCUGUAACCUUCUGUGUCCGCGAGAUCCCAUCUUGGAGCCUUCGCCAGUGCUUCGCCGGAGGGGGAAUCGACCACGGAGGGCCUCUACAUCAUCUUCAAGGCCUCUCCGAUGAGUUGUGAGUAGUUUACCACAGACCUUCGGGUCCAUAGUUAUUAGCUAGAUUGCUUCUUCUCUCUCUUUGAAUCUCAAUACCAUGUUCUCCUUGAUCUUCUUGGAGAUCUAUUCGAUGUAACUCUUUUUGCGGUGUGUUUGUCGAGAUCCGAUGAAUUGUGGGUUUAUGAUCAAGUUUAUCUAUGAGAAAUAUUUGAAUCUCCUCUGAGUUCUUUUAUGUGUGAUUAAGUUAUCUUUGCAAGUCUCUUCGAAUUAUUAGUUUGGUUUGGCCUACUAGAUUGAUCUUUCUUGCAAUGGGAGAAGUGCUUAGCUUUGGGUUCAAUCUUGCGGUGUCCUUUCCCAGUGAUAGUAGGGGCAGCAAGGCACGUAUUGUAUUGUUGCCAUCGAGGAUAAAAAUAUGGAGUUUAUAUCAUAUUCCAUGAGUUUAUCCCUCUACAUCAUGUCAUCUUUCUUAAUGCGUUACUCUGUUCUUUAUGAACUUAAUACUCUAGAUGCAUGCUGGAUAGCGGUUGAUGUGUGGAGUAAUAGUAGUAGAUGCACACAGGAGUCGGUCUACUUGUCAUGGACGUGAUGCCUAUAUACAUGAUCAUGCCUAGAUAAUCUCAUAAUUUUUUUGCUUUUCUAUCAAUUGCUUGACAGUAAUUUGUUCACCCACCGUAAUACUUAUGCUAUCUUGAGAGAAGCCACUAGUGAAACCUAUGGCCCCCGGGUCUAUCUUUUAUCAUAUAAGCUUUCAAUCAACUUUUAUUUGCAUCUUUACUUUUCCAAUCCAUAUUAUAAAAUACCAAAAAUAUAUUUAUCUUAUCAUAUUAUCUCUAUCAGAUCUCACUUUCGCAAGUGGCCUUGAAGGGAUUGACAACCCCUUUAUUGCGUUGGUUGCGAGUUCUUGUUUGUUUGUGUAGGUGCGUGGGACUUUUAAGGACCCUCCUACUGGAUUGAUACCUUGUUUCUCAAAAACUAAGGGAAAUACUUACGCUACUAUUGCUGCAUCAUCCUUUUCUCUUCAAGGAAAACCAACGCAAGCUCAAGAUGUAGCAAGAAUGAUUUCUUGCACCGUUGCGGGGGAGGUCUUCGCUCAAGUCAAAACAUACCAAGUACCCAUCACAAACUCAUCUCCCUCGCACUUACAUUAUUUGUCAUUUGCCUCUCGUUUUCCUCUCCCCCACUUCACCCUUGCCGUUUUAUUCGCCCUCUCUUUCCCAAUCUCCUCUCUCUUUCGCUUGCCUUUUUGUUUGCUUGUGUGUUGGAUUACUUGUUGCGAUCGUGCAAAAUAAUACCAAAUUGUGUGAUUUCUCCAAUACCAGUAAUAAUGAUUUCCUUAGGACUCCGAUUGCUCCUCUUAAUGAUGUUGAGUCUUGUGAAAUCAAUGCUGCUUUGCUAAAUCUUGUUAUGAAAGAUCAAUUUUCUGGCCUUCCUAAUGAAGAUGCCGCUACCCAUGUAAACAGUAUUGUUGAUUUGUGUGAGAUGGAAAAUAAGAAAGAUACGGAUAAUGAUAUUGUUAAAUUGAAGUUAUUUCCGUUUUCACUUAGAGAUUGUGCUAAAGUUUGAUUUUCGUCUUUGCUUAAGAAUAGUAUUGAUUCGUGGAAUAAGUGCAAAGAUGCUUUUAUCUCUAAGUAUUUUCCUCCCGCUAUGAUCAUCUCUCUUAGGAACGCUAUUAUGAAUUUUAAACAACUUGAUCAUGAGCAUGUUGCCCAAUCUUGGGAAAGAAUGAAAUUGAUGAUUCACAAUUGCCCUUCUCAUGGUUUGAAUUUAUGGAUGAUCAUACAAAAAAUUUAUGCCGGCUUGAAUUUUGCUUCUAGAAAUCUUUUAGAUUCGGCCGUGGGAGGCACAUUUAUGGAAAUCACCUUAGGAGAAGCUACCAAACUUCUUGAUAAUAUUAUGGCUAAUUAUUCUCAAUGGCACACCGAAAGAUCUACUAGUAAAAAGGUGCAUGCUAUAGAAGAAAUUAAUGUUUUGAGUGGAAAGAUGGAUGAACUUAUGAAAUUGUUUGAUACUAAGAGUUCUUAUAUUGAUCCCAAUGAUAUGCCUUUUUCUACUUUGAUUGAGAAUAAUAAUGAAUCUAUGGAUGUGAAUUUUGUUGGUAGGAAUAAUUUUGGUAACAAUGCUUACAGAGGAAACUUUAAUCCUAGACCAUUCCCUAGCAAUUCCUCUAAUAAUUAUGGAAAUUCCUACAAUAAUUCUUAUGGUAAUUAUAAUAAGAUGCCCUCUGAUUUGAGAAUAGUGUGAAAGAAUUUAUGAUCUCUCAAAAGAAUUUUAAUGCCAUGCUUGAAGAAAAAUUGCUUAAAGUUGCUGAUUUGGGUAGGAACGUUGAUAGACUUUUGCUUGAUGUUGAUUCUUUGAAACUUAGAUCUACUCCUCCUAAGCAUGAUAUCAAUGAGUGUCUCAAAGCUAUGAGAAUUUCCUUUGAUGAGUGCAAAGAAAGAACCGCUAGAUUGCGUGCUAAGAAAGAUUGCUUUGUAAAAGUGUGUUCUUCUGGUUUCCAUGAAAAUAAUGAUGAAGAUAUAAAAGUUAUUGAUGUGUCCCCUAUUAAAUCUUUGUUUUGCAAUAUGAAUCUUAAUAAUGAUGGGACUGGAGAUGAGUCAACUUUAGUUAAAAGGCGUCCCUAUGAUUCAGAGUUUUUAGAUCUUGAUGCUAAAAUUGGUAAAAGUGGGAUUGGAGAGGUCAAGACUUUAAAUAGCAUUGAGCCCACUAUAUUGGAUUUCAAGGAAUUUAAUUAUGAUAAUUGUUAUUUAGAAGAUUGUAUUUCCUUGUUGCAAUCCGUUGUGAAUUCUCCUCAUGCUUAUAGUCAAAAUAAAGCAUUUACCAAACCUAUUGUUUAUGCCUUUAUGCAAUCUUUUGAUGAAAAACUUAAUUUGGAAGUUUCUAUACCUAGAAAACUUAACGAUGAGUGGGAACCUACUAUAAAGAUUAAAAUUAAAGAUCAUGAUUGUUAUGCUUUGUGUGAUUUGGGUGCUAGUGUUUCCACGAUUUUGAAAACUUUAUGUGAUAUUCUAGGUUUCCAUGAUCUUGAUGAUUGCUCUUUAAAUAUGCACCUUGCGGAUUCCACCAUUAAAAAGCCAAUGGGAAGGAUCAAUGAUGUUCUCAUUGUUGCAAAUAGGAAUUUGGUGCCCGUAUAUUUUACCGUUCUUGAUAUAGAUUGCAAUCUUUCUUGUCCUAUUAUUCUUGGUAGACCUUUCCUUAGAACGAUUGGUGUGAUUAUUGAUACGAAGGAACGGAAUAUUAGGUUCCAAUUUCCAUUAAGGAAAGGCAUUGAGCACUUUCCAAGAAAGAAAGUCAAAUUACCUUAUGAAUCUAUCAUGCGAGCUACUUAUGAAUUGAGUGCCAAAGAUGGCACUACUUAGAUCUAUCCCCGCUUUUAUGCCUAGCUAGGGGCGUUAAACGAUAGCGCUAGUUAGGAGGCAACCCAAUUUUAUUUGUGUUUUUUGUUUUUGCUUCUGUUUAGUAAUAAAAUUUUCAUCUACCUUAUGUUUAGAUGUGUUUUUAUGUUUUAAUUAGUGUUUGUGCCAAGUAGAACCUAUAGGAUAACCUAUGGUGAUAGUUAAUUUGAUUCUGCUGAAAAACAGAAACUUUGCACAGACGAAAAUAAUUUUAGUAAUUCACAGAAAUGUGAUUUUGCGUUGAUUCUUUUUGCUGUAGAUCAAUAGACAAAUUUUCCAGGACUUCCUAUUUUGGUAGGAUUUUUAGAGUUCCAGAAGUAUUCGAGAGUUACAGAUUUCUACAGACUGUUCUGUUUUUGACAGAUUCUGUUUUUCGUGUGUUGUUUGCUUAUUUUGAUGCAUCUAUGGCUAGUAUGUAUGGGUAUGAACCAUAGAGAAGUUGAAAUACAGUAGGUUUAAAACCAAUAUAAAUAAAUAAUGAGUUCAUUACAGUACCUUAUGUGGUGAUUUUCCUUUCUUGCACUAACGGAGCUUAUGAGAUUUCCUGUUGAGUUUUGUGUUGUGAAGUUUCCAAGUUUUGGGUAAAGAUUUGAUGGAUUAUGGAAUAAGGAGUGGCAAGAGCCUAAGCUUGGGGAUUCCCAUGGCACCCCAAGAUAUUCAAUAAUAUCCAAAAGCCUAAGCUUGGGGAUGCCCCGGAAGGCAUCCCCUUUUUCGUCUUCGUCUAUCGGUAACUUUACUUGGAGCUAUAUUUUUAUUCGCCACAUGAUAUGUGUUUUGCUUGGAGCGUCUUGUAUGAUAUUAGUCUUUGCUUUUUAGUUUACCACAAUAAUCCUUGAUGUACACACCUUUUGGGAGAAACCCACUUGAUUGGAAUUUAUUAGAAUACUCUAUGUGCUUCACUUAUAUCUUUUGAGCUUCAUAGUUUUUGCUGUAGUGCUUCACUUAUAUCUUUUAGAGCACAGCGGUGGCUAAAUUUUGUAGAAAUUGUUGAUCUCUCAUGCUUGACUUAUAUUAUUUUGAAAGUAUCUUAGAACAGCAUGGUAUUUGCUUUGGUUAUAAAAUUGGUCCUAGAAUGAUGAGCAUCCAAGUUGGGUAUAAUAAAAACUAUCAUAGAAAGUGAAUUGGAUGCUAUGAUCAAUUUGAUACUUGAUAAUUGUUUUGAGAUAUAGAGGUGGUAAUAUUAAAGUCAUGCUAGUUGCGUACUUAUGAAUUUAAAGAAUACUUGUGUUGAAGUUUGUGAUUCCCGUAGCAUGCACGUAUGGUGAACCGCUUUGUGAUGAAGUUGGAGCACAAUUUUAUUUAUUGAUUGUCUUCCUUAUGAGUGGCGGUCGGGGACGAGCGAUGGUCUUUUCCUACCAAUCUAUUCCCCUAGGAGCAUGCGCAUAGUGUUGGAAAUAUGCCCUAGAGGCAAUAAUAAAAGGAUUAUUAUUAUAUUUCCUUGUUCAUGAUAAUUGUCUUUAUUCAUGCUAUAAUUGUAUUAUCCGGAAAUCGUAAUACACGUUUGAAUACAUAGACCAUAAUAUGUCCCUAGUAAGCCUCUAGUUGACUAGCUCGUUGAUCAACAGAUAGUCAUGGUUUCCUGACUAUGGACAUUAGAUGUCGUUGAUAACGGGAUCACAUCAUUGGGAGAAUGAUGUGAUGGACAAGACCCAAUCCUAAGCAUAGCACAAGAUCAUGUAGUUCGUUUUGCUAGAGCUUUUCCAAUGUCAAGUAUCUUUUCCUUAGACCAUGAGAUCGUGUAGCUCCCGGAUACCGUAGGAGUGCUUUGGGUGUACCAAACGUCACAACGUAACUGGGUGACUAUAAAGGUGCACUACAGGUAUCUCCGAAAGUGUCUGUUGGGUUGACACGGAUCGAGACUGGGAUUUGUCACUCCGUAUGACGGAGAGGUAUCUCUGGGCCCACUCGGUAAUGCAUCAUCAUAAUGAGCUCAAAGUGACCAAGUGUUUGGUCACGGGAUCAUGCAUUACGGUACGAGUAAAGUGACUUGUCGGUAACGAGACUGAACGAGGUACUGGGAUACCGACGAUCGAGUCUCAGGCAAGUAACGUACCGUUUGACAAAGGGAAUUAUAUACGGGGUUGAUUGAAUCCUCGACAUCGUAGUUCAUCCGAUGACAUCAUCGAGGAGCAUGCGGGAGCCAACAUGGGUAUCCAGAUCCCGCUGUUGGUUAUUGACCGGAGAGCCGUCUCGGUCAUGUCUGCGUGUCUCCUGAACCCGUAGGGUCUACACACUUAAGGUUCGGUGACGCUAGGGUUAUUAGGAAGACUUGUAUGUGAUUACCGAAUGUUGUUCGGAGUCCCGGAUGAGAUCCCGGACGUCACGAGGAGUUCCCGAAUGGUCCGGAGGUGAAGAUUUAUAUAUGGGAAGUUGUCAUACGGUCACUGGAAGGUUUCGGGGGCAUAUCGGUAUUGUACCAGGGCCACCGGAGGGGUUCCGAGGGUCCACCGGGAGGGGCCACCUCUCUCGGUGGGCUUCAUGGGCCGUAGUGGGCAGGGGAAACAGCCCAGGAGGGCUGGGCGCCCCCCCCCCUUGGGCCCUUGCGCCUAGGGUCGGGGGGGAACCCUAAAGGGGGCGCCCCCCUCCCCCCCUUUGCUUGGGGGGCAAGCCCCCUCCCUGGCCGCUGCCCCCCCUCUAGAUCUCAUCUAGAGAGGGCCGGCCCCCUUUCCCCUUCCCCUAUAAAUAGAGGGGAGAGGGGAGGGCUGCACACCUGAUCCAAGGCGCAGCCCCUCCCCUCCCUAACACCUCUCCUCCUCCGUUAAGUGCUUGGCGAAGCCCUGUCGGAGUACUGCCUCUCCACCACCACCAUGCCGUCGUGCUGCUGCUGGAGUCUUCUUCCUCAACCCCUCCUUCCCCCUUGCUGGAUCAAGAAGGAGGAGACGUCAUCCGCUCCGUACAUGUGUUGAACGCGGAGGUGUUGUCCGUUCAGCACUUGGUCAUCGGUGAUUUGGUUCACGGCGAGUACGACUCCAUCAUCCCCUUUCUCUUGAAAGCUUCCGCUCACGAUCUACAAAGGUAUGUAGAUGCACUCCUAUCACUCGUUGCUUAGAUGAACUCAUAGAUGGAUCUUGGUGAAACCGUAGGAAAAAAUUUUAUUUUCUGCAACGUUCCCCAACAGUGGCAUCAUGAGCUAGGUCUAUGCGUAGUUCUCUAUUGCACGAGUAGAACACAAAUUUGUUGUGGGCGUAGAUCUUGUCAACUUGCUUGCCGCUACUAGUCUUUUCUUGCUUCAGCGGUAUUGUGGGAUGAAGCGGCCCGGACCGACCUUACACGUACGCUUACGUGAGACAGGUUCCACCGACUGACAUGCACUAGUUGCAUAAGGUGGCUAGCGGGUGUCUGUCUCUCCUACUUUAGUUGGAGCGGAUUCGACGAAAAGGGUCCUUAUGAAGGGUAAAUAGAAGUUGACAAAAUCAGGUUGUGGUUAUUCGUAGGUAAGAAAACGUUCUUGCUAGAACCCAAUUGCAGCCACGUAAAAGAUGCAACAACAAUUAGAGGACGUCUAACUUGUUUUUGCAGCAAUUGUCAUGUGAUGUGAUAUGGCCAGAAGUUGUGAUGAAUGAUGAAUGAUAUAUUGUGAUGUAUGAGAUCAUGUUCUUGUAAUAGGAAUCACGACUUGCAUGUCGAUGAGUAUGACAACUGGCAGGAGCCAUAGGAGUUGUCUUUAUUUUUUGUAUGACCUGCGUGUCAUUGAAGAACGCCAUGUAAAUUACUUUACUUUAUUGCUAAACGCGUUAUCCAUAGAAGUAGAAGUAGUCGUUGGUGUGACAACUUCAUGAAGACACAAUGAUGGAGAUCAUGAUGAUGGAGAUCAUGGUGUCAUGCCGGUGACAAAGAUGAUCAUGGAGCCCCGAAGAUGGAGAUCGAAGGAGCUAUAUGAUAUUGGCCAUAUCAUGUCACUACUUUAUUGCAUGUGAUGUUUAUUAUGUUUUAUGCAUCUUGUUUACUUAGAACGGCAGUAGUAAAUAAGAUGAUCCCUUAUAAUACUUUCCAGAAAGUGUUCCCCCUAACUGUGCACCGUUGCUAAAGUUCGUCGUUUCGAAGCACCACGUGAUGAUCGGGUGUGAUAGAUCCUUAUGUUCACAUACAACGGGUGUAAGAUAGUUUUACACAUGCAAAACACUUAGGGUUAACUUGACGAGCCUAGCAUGUACAGACAUGGCCUCGGAACACAAGAGACCGAAAGGUCGAACAUGAGUGUAUGGAAGAUACGAUCAACAUGGAGAUGUUCACCGAUGAUGACUAGUCCGUCUCACGUGAUGAUCGGACACGGCCUAGUCGACUCGGAUCGUGUAACACUUAGAUGACUAGAGGGAUGUCUAAUCUAAGUGGGAGUUCAUUAAAUAAUUUGAUUAGAUGAACUUAAUUAUCAUGAACUUAGUCUAAAACUUUUGCAAAAUAUGUCUUGUAGAUCAAAUGGCCAACGCUCAUGUCAACAUGAACUUCAACGUGUUCCUAGAGAAAACCAAGCUGAAAGAUGAUGGCAGCAACUAUUUGGACUGGGUCCGGAACCUGAGGAUCAUCCUCAUAGAAGCCAAGAAAGCAUAUGUCCUAGAUGAACCGCUAGGUGAAGCACCCAUCCCAGAGAUCCAAGACGUUAUGAACGCUUGGCAGUCACGUGCUGAUGAUUACUCCCUCGUUCAGUGCGGCAUGCUUUACAGCUUAGAACCGGGGCUCCAAAAGCUUUUGAGAAACACGGAGCAUAUGAGAUGUUCGAGGAGCUAAAAAUGGUUUUCCAAGCUCAUGCCCGGGUCGAGAGAUAUGAAGUCUCUGACAAGUUCUAUAGUUGUAAGAUGGAGGAAAACAGUUCUGUCAGUGAGCACAUACUCAAAAUGUCUGGGUUGCACAACCGGCUGUCCCAGCUGGAGAUCAACCUCCCGAACGAGGCGCUCAUUGACAGAAUCCUUCAGUCGCUCCCACCGAGCUACAAGAGCUUUGUGUUGAACUACAAUAUGCAGGGGAUGGUGAAGACCAUUCCUGAAGUAUUUUCAAUGCUGAAGUCAGCAGAGGUUGAAAUCAAGAAAGAACAUCAAGUGUUGAUGGUCAAUAAGACCACUACGUUCAAGAAGGGCAAGGGUAAGAACUUCAAGAAGGGCCCGGUAAGCCAGUUGCCGGGAAGAAGUCAAAGAAUGGACCCAAGCCUGAGACUGAGUGCUUUUAUUGCAAGGGGAAGAGUCACUGGAAGCGGAACUGCCCCAAAUACUUAGCGGACAAGAAGGCCGGCAACACUAAAGGUAUAUUUGAUAUACAUGUAACUGAUGUGUACCUUACCAGUACUCGUAGUAACUCCUGGGUAUUUGAUACCGGUGCCGUUGCUCAUAUUUGUAACUCACAGCAGGAACUACGGAAUAAAUGGAGACUGGCGAAGGACGAGGUGACGAUGCGCGUCGGGAAUGGUUCCAAGGUCGAUGUGAUCGCCGUCGGCACGCUACCUCUACAUUUACCCACGGGAUUAGUUAUGAACCUCAAUAAUUGUUAUUUAGUGCCAAGUUUGAGCAUGAACAUUGUAUCUGGAUCUUGUUUAAUAGAGAUGGCUACUCAUUUAAAUCUGAGAAUAAUGGUUGUUCUAUUUAUAUGAGAGAUAUGUUUUAUGGUCAUGCCCCGAUGGUCAAUGGUUUAUUCUUAAUGAAUCUCGAACGUAAUGUUACACAUAUUCAUAGCAUGAAUACCAAAAGAUGUAAAGUUGAUAACGAUAGUCCCACAUACUUGUGGCACUACCGCCUUGGUCACAUUGGUGUCAAGCGCAUGAAGAAGCUCCAUGCUGAUGGACUUUUAGAGUCUCUAGAUUAUGAAUCAUUUGACACAUGUGAACCAUGCCUCAUGGGCAAAAUGACCAAGACUCCGUUCUCCAGAACAAUGGAGCGACCAACCAACUUGUUGGAAAUCAUACAUACCGAUGUGUGCGGUCCAAUGAGCGUUGAGGCUCGUGGAGGAUAUUGUUAUGUUCUCACUCUUGCUGAUGACUUGAGUAGAUAUGGGUAUGUCUACUUGAUGAAACACAAGUCUGAGACCUUUGAAAAGUUCAAGGAAUUUCAGAAUGAGGUAGAGAAUCAACGUGGCCGAAAGAUAAAGUUCCUAUGAUCAGAUCGUGGAGGAUAAUACUUAAGUCACGAAUUUGGUACGCACUUAAAGAAAUGUGGAAUCGUUUUACAACUCACGCCGCCUAGAACACCUCAGCGUAACGGUGUGUCCGAACGUCGUAAUCACACUCUAUUGGAUAUGGUGCGAUCUAUGAUGUCUCUUACCGAUUUACUGCUAUCGUUUUGGGGAUACGCUCUAGAGACAGCUACAUUCACUUUAAAUAGGGCACCGUCUAAAUCCGUUAAGACGACACCAUAUGAAUUAUGGUUUGGGAAGAAACCUAAGUUGUCGUUUCUAAAAGUUUGGGGAUGCGAUGCUUAUGUCAAGAAACUGCAACCUGAAAAGCUCGAACCCAAGUCAGAAAAAUGCGUCUUCAUAGGAUACCCUAAGGAAACCAUUGGGUAUACCUUCUACUUAAGAUCCGAGGGCAAGACCUUUGUUGCCAAGAACGGAUCCUUUCUGGAAAAAGAGUUUCUCUCGAAAGAAGUAAGUGGGAGGAAAGUAGAACUCGAUGAAGUACUACCUCUUGAACCAGAAAGUAGUGCAUCUUAGGAAAAUGUUCCUGUGGUGCCUACACCAACUGGAGAGGAAAUUAAUGAUUAUGAUCAAGGUACUUCGGAUCAAGUUGCUACUGAACCUCGUAGGUCCACAAGGACACGUUCCACACCAGAGUGGUAUGGCAACCCUAUCCUGGAAAUCAUGUUGUUAGACAACGGUGAACCUUCAAACUAUGAAGAAGCGAUGGCGGGCCCAGAUACCAACAAAUGGCUUGAAGCCAUGCAAUCCGAGAUAGAAUCCAUGUAUGAAAACAAAGUAUGGACUUUGACAGACUUGCCCGAUGAUCGGCGAGUGAUAGAAAACAAAUGGAUCUUUAAGAAGAAGACAGACGCGGAUGGUAAUAUUACCAUCUAUAAAGCUCGACUUGUCGCUAAGGGUUAUCGACAAGUUCAAGGGGUUGACUACGAUGAGACAUUCUCUCCCGUAGCAAAGCUGAAGUCCGUCCGAAUCAUGUUAGCAAUUGCCGCAUACUAUGAUUAUGAGAUAUGGCAGAUGGACGUCAAAACGGCAUUCCUUAACGGGAAUCUUAAGGAAGAAUUGUAUAUGAUGCAGCCGGAGGGUUUUGUCGAUCCUAAGAAUGCUAACAAAGUAUGCAAGCUCUAGCGAUCCAUUUAUGGGCUGGUCCAAGCAUCUCGGAGUUGGAACAUUCGCUUUGAUGAGAUGAUCAAAGCGUUUGGGUUUAUGUAGACUUAUGGAGAAGCCUGCGUUUACAAGAAAGUGAGUGGGAGCUCUGUAGCAUUUCUCAUAUUAUAUGUAGAUGACAUACUUUUGAUGGGAAAUGAUAUAAAACUUUUGGACAGCAUUAAGACCUACUUGAAUAAGUGUUUUUCAAUGAAGGACCUUGGAGAAGCUGCUUACAUAUUAGGCAUCAAGAUCUAUAGGGAUAGAUCGAGACCCUCAUAGGUCUUUCACAAAGCACAUACCUUGAUAAGAUUUUGAAGAAGUUCAAAAUGGAUCAGUCCAAGAAAGGGUUCUUGCCUGUAUUACAAGGUGUGAGAUUGAGCUCAGCUCAAUGCCCGACCAUGGAAAAAGAUAAAGAAGAGAUGAGUGUCAUCCCGUAUGCUUCAGCCAUAGGAUCUAUUAUGUAUGCCAUGUUGUGUACCAGACCUGAUGUAAACCUUGCUGUAAGUUUGGUAGGAAGGUACCAAAGUAAUCCCAGCAAGGAACACUGGACAGCGGUCAAGAAUAUCCUAAAGUACCUGAAAAGGACAAAGGACAUGUUUCUCGUUUAUGGAGGUGACGAAGAGCUCGCCGUAAAGGGUUACGUCGAUGCUAGCUUCGACACAGAUCUGGAUGACUCUAAGUCACAAACCGGAUACGUGUAUAUGUUGAAUGGUGGAGCAGUAAGCUGGUGUAGCUGCAAGCAGAGUGUCAUGGCGGGAUCUACAUGUGAAGCGGAGUACAUGGUAGCCUCGGAGGCAGCGCAUGAAGCAAUAUGGGUGAAGGAGUUCAUCACCGACCUAGGAGUCAUACCCAAUGCGUCGGGGCCGAUCAAACUCUUCUGUGACAACACUGGAGCUAUUGCCCUUGCCAAGGAGCCCAGGUUUCACAAGAAGACCAGGCACAUCAAGCGUCGUUUCAACUCCAUCCGUGAAAAUGUUCAAGAUGGAGACAUAGAUAUUUGCAAAGUACAUACGGAUCUGAAUGUCACAGAUCCGUUGACUAAACCUCUCUCGCGAGCAAAACAUGAUCAACACCAGAACUCUAUGGGUGUUCGAUUCAUCACAAUGUAACUAGAUUAUUGACUCUAGUGCAAGUGGGAGACUGUUGGAAAUAUGCCCUAGAGGCAAUAAUAAAAGGAUUAUUAUUAUAUUUCCUUGUUCAUGAUAAUUGUCUUUAUUCAUGCUAUAAUUGUAUUAUCCAGAAAUUUUAAUACACGUGUGAAUACAUAGACCAUAAUAUGUCCCUAGUAAGCCUCUAGUUGACUAGCUCGUUGAUCAACAGAUAGUCAUGGUUUCCUGACUAUGGACAUUAGAUGUCGUUGAUAACGGGAUCACAUCAUUGGGAGAAUGAUGUGAUGGACAAGACCCAAUCCUAAGCAUAGCACAAGAUCGUGUAGUUCAUUUUGCCAGAGCUUUUCCAAUGUCAAGUAUCUUUUCCUUAGACCAUGAGAUCGUGUAGCUCCCGGAUACCGUAGGAGUGCUUUGGGUGUACCAAACGUCACAACAUAACUUGGUGACUAUAAAGGUGCACUACAGGUAUCCCCGAAAGUGUCUGUUGGGUUGACACGGAUCGAGACUGGGAUUUGUCACUCCGUAUGACGGAGAGGUAUCUCUGGGCCCACUUGGUAAUGCAUCAUCAUAAUGAGCUCAAAGUGACCAAGUGUUUGGUCACGGGAUCAUGCAUUACGGUAUGAGUAAAGUGACUUGUCGGUAACGAGACUGAAUGAGGUAUUGGGAUACCGACGAUCGAGUCUCGGGCAAGUAACGUACCAUUUGACAAAGGGAAUUGUAUACGGGGUUGAUUGAAUCCUCGACAUCGUGGUUCAUCCGAUGACAUCAUCGAGGAGCAUGUGGGAGCCAACAUGGGUAUCCAGAUCCCGCUGUUGGUUAUUGACCGGAGAGCUGUCUCGGUCAUGUCUGCGUGUCUCCUGAACCCGUAGGGUCUACACACUUAAGGUUCGGUGACGCUAGGGUUAUUAGGAAGACUUGUAUGUGAUUACCGAAUGUUGUUCGGAGUCCCGGAUGAGAUCCCAGACGUCACGAGGAGUUCCGGAAUGGUCCGGAGGUGAAGAUUUAUAUAUGGGAAGUUGUCAUACGGUCACUGGAAGGUUUCGGGGGCAUAUCGGUAUUGUAUCAGGGCCACCGGAGGGGUUCCGAGGGUCCACCGGGAGGGGCCACCUCUCUCGGUGGGCUUCAUGGGCCGUAGUGGGCAGGGGAACCAGCCCAGGAGGGCUGGGCGCCCCCCCCCCCUUGGGCCCUUGCGCCUAGGGUGGGGGGGAACCCUAAAGGGGGCGCCCCCCUCCCCCCCUUUGCUUGGGGGGCAAGCCCCCUCCCUGGCCGCUGCCCCCCCCCUCUAGAUCUCAUCUAGAGGGGGCCGGCCCCCUUUCCCCUUCCCCUAUAAAUAGAGGGAAGAGGGGAGGGCUGCACACCUGAUCCAAGGCGCAUCCCCUCCCCUCCCUAACACCUCUCCUCCUCCAUUAAGUGCUUGGCGAAGCCCUGUCGGAGUACUGCCUUUCCACCACCACCACGCCGUCGUGCUGCUGCUGGAGUCUUCUUCGUGAACCUCUCCUUCCCCCUUGCUGGAUCAAGAAGGAGGAGACGUCAUCCGCUCCGUACGUGUGUUGCACGCGGAGGUGCUGUCCGUUCAGCACUUGGUCAUCGGUGAUUUGGAUCACGGCGAGUACGACUCCAUCAUCCCCUUUCUCUUGAAAGCUUCCGCUCACGAUCUACAAAGGUAUGUAGAUGCACUCCUAUCACUCGUUGCUUAGAUGAACUCAUAGAUGGAUCUUGGUGAAACCGUAGGAAAAAAAUUUAUUUUCUGCAACGUUCCCCAACACGUAGUACUUUGUUUUCAAUGACUUGUAGAUUUGUGCAAUAAGUACAUGAGUUCUUUAUGACUAAUGUUGAGUCCAUGGAUUAUAUGCACUCUCACCCUUCCACCAUUGCUAGCCUCUCUUGUGCCACGCAACUUUCGCCGGUACCAUACACCUACCAUAUACCUUCCUCAAAACAGCCACCAUACCUACCUAUUAUGGCAUUUCCAUAGCCAUUCCGAGAUAUAUUGCCAUGCAACUUUCCACCGUUUCGUUUAUAUGACACACAUCAUCAUUGACAUAUUGCUCUUUGCAUGAUCAUGUAGUUGACAUCAUAUUUGUGGCAGGGCCACCUCCAUAAUUUUUUCAUACAUGUCAUUCUUGAUUCAUUGCAUAUCCCGGUACACCGCCGGAGGCAUUCAUAUAGAUCCAUAUCUUGUUCUAAGUAUUUAGUUGUAAUCUUGAGUUGUAAGUAAAUAAAAGUGUGAUGAUAUUCAUUAUUAGAGCAUUGUCCCAGCGAGGAAAGGAUGAUGGAGACUAUGAUUCCCCCACAAGUCAGGAUGAGACUUCGUACUUUACAAAAAAAAAGAGAGAAAGGCCAAAUAAAAAGAGAAAGGCCAAACAAAAAAUGAGAGAAAAAGAGAGAAGGGACAAGGCUACUAUCCUUUUUACCACACUUGUGCUUCAAAGUAGCACCAUGAUCUUCAUGAUAGAGAGUCUCCUAUGUCAUCACUUUCAUAUACUAGUGGGAAUUUUCAUUAUAGAACUUGGCUUGUAUAUUUCAAUGAUGGGCUUCCUCAAAAUGCCCUAGGUCUUCGUGAGCAAGCGAGUUGGAUGCACACCCACUUAGUUUCUUUUGUUGAGCUUUCAUACAUUUAUAGCUCUAGUGCAUCCGUUGCAUGGCAAUCCCUACUCACUCACAUUGAUAUCUAUUAAUGGGCGUCUCCAUAGCCCGUUAAUACGCCCAGUUGAUGUGAGACUAUAUUCUCCUUUUUUGUCUUCUCCACAACCACCAUUCUAUUCCACAUAUAGUGCUAUGUCCAUGGCUCACAUUCAUGUAUUGCAUGAAAGUUGAAAUAGUUUGAGAUUACUAAACUACGAAACAAUUGCUUGGCUUGUCAUCAGGGUUGUGCAUGAUUAAAUACUUUGUGUGAUGAAGAUAGAGCAACAGCCAUACUAUAUGAUUUUGUAGGGAUAACUUUCUUUAGCCAUGUUAUUUUGAGAAGACAUGAUUGCUUGAUUAGUAUGCUUCAAGUAUUAUUAUUUCUUAUGUCUAUAUGAACUUUUAUUUUGAAUCAUUUGGAUCUGAACAUUCAUGCCACAAUAAAGAAAAUUACACUGAGAAUUAUGCUAGGUAGCAUUCCACAUCAAAAAUUCUGUUUUUAUAAUUUACCUACUCGAGGACGAGCAGGAAUUAAGCUUGGGGAUGCUUGAUACAUCUCCAACAUAUCUAUAAUUUUUUAUUGUUCCAUGCUAUUAUAUUACCCGUUUUGGAUGUUUAUGGGCUUUACUUUACACUUUUAUAUCAUUUUUGGGACUAACCUACUAACCGGAGGCCCAACCCAUAUUGCUGGUUUUUUGCCUAUUUCAGUGUUUCGAAGAAAAGGAAUAUCAAACGGAGUCCAAACGGAAUGAAACCUUCGGGAGCGUGAUUUUUGGAACGAACAUGAUCCAGAGGACUUGGAGUGGAAGUCAAGCAACAACCGAGGCAGCCGCGAGGGUGGAGGGCACCCCCGCCCCCCUACUGUGUGUGCCCCCUGUCUCAUGGGCCCCUAAGGCGUCCACCGACCUACCUUCUUCCUCCUAUAUAUACCCAUGUACCCCAAAAACAUCAAAGGAGCUGACGAAAACCUAAUUCCACCGCCGUAACCUUCUAUAUCCGUGAGAUCCCAUCUUGGAGCCUUCACCGGCGCUUCGCCAGAGGGGGAAUCGACCACGGAGGGCCUCUACAUCAUCUUCAAGGCCUCUCUGAUGAGUUGUGAGUAGUUUACCAUAGACCUUUGGGUCCAUAGUUAUUAGCUAGGUGGCUUCUUCUCUCUCUUUGAAUAUCAAUACCAUGUUGUCCUUGAUCUUCUUGGAGAUCUAUUCGAUGUAACUCUUUUUGUGGUGUGUUUGUCAAGAUCCGAUGAAUUGUGGGUUUAUGAUCAAGUUUAUCUAUGAACAAAGUAUUUGAAUCUCCUCUGAAUUCUUUUAUGUGUGAUUAAGUUAUCUUUGCAAGUCUCUCCAAAUUAUCAGUUUGGUUUGGCCUACUAGAUUGAUCUUUCUUGCAAUGGGAGAAGUGCUUAGCUUUGGGUUCAAUCUUGCGGUGUCCUUUCCCAGUGACAGCAGGGGCAGCAAGGCACGUAUUGUAUUGUUGCCAUCGAGGAUAAAAAGAUGGGGUUUAUAUCAUAUUGCAUGAGUUUAUCCCUCUACAUCAUGUUAUCUUUCUUAAUGCGUUACUCUGUUCUUUAUGAACUUAAUACUCUAGAUGCAUGCUGGAUAGCGGUCGAUGUGUGGAGUAAUAGUAGUAGAUGCAGGCAGGAGUCGGUCUACUUGUCAUGGAUGUGAUGCCUAUAUACAUGAUCAUGCCUAGAUAAUCUCAUAAUUAUUCGCUUUUCUAUCAAUUGCUCGACAGUAAUUUGUUCACCCACCAUAAUACUUAUGCUAUCUUGAGAGAAGCCACUAGUGAAACCUGUGGCCCCGAGGUCUAUCUUUUAUCAUAUAAGCUUUCAAUCUACUUUUAUUUGCAUCUUUACUUUUCCAAUCUAUAUUAUAAAAUACCAAAAAUAUAUUUAUCUUAUCAUAUUAUCUCUAUCAGAUCUCACUUUCGCAAGUGGCCUUGAAGGGAUUGACAACCCCUUUAUUGCGUUGGUUGCGAGUUCUUGUUUGUUUGUGUAGGUGCAUGGGACUUUUGAGGAGCCUCCUACUGGAUUGAUACCUUGGUUCUCAAAAACUGAGGGAAAUACUUACACUACUAUUGCUGCAUCACCCUUUCCUCUUCAAGGAAAACCAACGCAAGCUCAAGACGUAGCAUGCGCCCCAUGUAGGCCGAAUUAGGAGAGGGGAAGGAAAGAGGGGAAUAGAGAAGGAAGGGGAGGGAUUCGGCCUCCCCCUUCCUUCCCUCCUCACCUCAGGAAGAUAUGGAAAGGGGGGUGAGGGAGUCCUGGAUUAAGGGGUCCUCGGAUAGCUGGACUAUAUACUUUGGUCAGACUGUUGAGCUAUGAAGAUACAAGAUAGAAGACUUCGUCCCGUGUCCGGAUGGGACUCUCCUUGGCGUGGAAGGCAAGCUUGGCGAUUCGGAUAUGUAGAUUCCUUUCUCUGUAACCGACUUUGUACAACCUUAGCCCCCUCCGGUGUCUACAUAAACCGGAGGGUUUAGGCUUCUAGGGUUUAGCCACAACAAUCAUAACCUCAUAGUCUAGACUUCUAGGGUUUAGCCAUUAUGAUCUCGUGGUAGAUCAACUCUUGUAAUACUCAUAUUCGUGAAGAAUAAUCAAGCGGGAAGUAGGGUAUUACCUCCAUAGAGAGGGCCUGGACCUGGGUAAACAUUGUGUCCCCCACCUCCUGUUACCAUUAGCCUUAGAUGCACAGUUUGGGACCCCCUACCCAAGAUCCCGGUUUUGACACCGACAUUGGUGCAUUCAUUGAGCGUUCCGCUGCAUCGUCUUCAAAAGGCUUGAUGGCUCCAUCAAUCAUCUACAACAAUGCAGUCCAGGGGGAGAUUUUCCUCCCCGGACAGAUAUUCGUAUUCGGCGGCUUCACACUGCGGGCCAACUCGCUUGGCCAUCUGGAGCAGAUCGACAGCUACGCCCCUGGCCAUCAGGUCAGAUUCGGGAGCCUAAAUUUUGUGACCGAUAUUCGCGAAGACUUGAUCUUCCAUGGAUUCGAGCCCAUGACGGUUGUCCCCUGCCACAUGAUGAACAUGACCUAGAUCUGUCAUCUGGCCUUGCUCAGGAGAUAGCACCUGUGACCGCUCUGGCCCUAGAUCUGGAGCAGACUGUGUCGUCCGAAGACGGGAGGGUGAACCCCGCCGUGGAAGCCGCAGACUCAGUGGCGCUCGAGCCGCACACAGACCCAACAUCGAGCUGGGCUUGUGUCACUAGAAUCUCGGACUCGUUUCCGGCCAUUGGUUCCACACCGCGUGCAUCCGCGUCCAUCGAACCUGAUUGGGCGCUGAUCUUGGAGUUCAGCUCCGCGGACAUCUUCCAGCACUCGCCUUUUGGCGACGUGUUAAACUCAUUAAAAUCCCUCUCCUUGUCGGGGGACUCUCGACCGAACUAUGUCUGGCUCGAAUGGCAAGUGGAUGACGAAGAACUUCGUUUCCCACCCACCACCCACUUUAUAGCCACUGUCGACCACUUACAUGCUUGAUUAUGACUCCGAAGACAUCAACGGUAUGGACGACGAUGUCGGAGAGGAGCAGGAACCACUGCAUACAAGGCAUUGGACAGCCACCUCCUCGUAUGACAUAUACAUGGUGGAUACACCUAAACAAAACAAUGGCGACAAUGAAAAUCUAGUCGAGGAUAAACCUCCUAAGAUACAGCCAAAGCGCCGGCAUCAGCGGCGCUGCUCUAAGCCACGCCAUAGUAAAAACAGCAACACCGUCACAGGAGAAAACAAUACCCCGGACGACGCCGAAGACAAUGAAGACCCUGUUGAGCCAACCUCCGAACAAGACGAAUGUGAAGAUGGGCAAGCUAGCCCUGAUGAACCGGCCACGAAUGAAGACGUGGAGGACAAUAAUUACCUUCCGCUCUUCGAGGACGAGGUGAGCCUUGGCGACGAAGACUUUAUCGUGCCUGAGGAUCCCGUUGAGCAGGAGCGCUUUAAGCGCCGGCUAAUAGCCACUGCAAGGAGCCUGAAAAGGAAGUAGCAGUAGCUUCAAGCUGAUCAAGAUCUUCUGAAUGAAAGAUGGACUGAUGUCCUGGCAGCCGAGGAAUAUGGCCUCGAGCGCCCAACCAAAAGCUACCCGAAGUGCAAACUGUUACCAUAGUUCGAUGACAAGGCACUGGAGCCCGUCCUACCAAGGUACAAUGUGGCUAACCGACCACCACGUGGCCGGGACAAAGCGGCACCUCGAGCCGAACACCAGCCCGCAUUACCUCGUCGAGCAAACAGAAAUACAACAACUCGUGGAUAUACACAUGACCUAGGGAAUGACUUGGAAAACAGAGCAGGUCAGACAAGAUCAAUCUAUGGAUCACGGGGGCGUGCCCCGAUGCGCGACGAUGGCCAUCCGGCUGAACGUGACAAACAUAACCACGUCCGGGCCAAACACCACAGACGAACUCCAUCCGAGCUACGUCACAACUUGGCCCGAUAUGGAGGAGCCCCACCCCCCCCCCCUUUGCUUCACUGACGAAGUAAUGGGACACGAUUUCCUAGAAGGGUUUAAACCUGUGAACAUCGAAUCAUAUGAUGGCACAACAGACCCCGCGGUAUGGAUUGAGGACAUUCUUCUCCACAUUCAUAUGGCCCGUGGUGAUGAUCUUCACGCCAUCAAAUACCUCCCGCUCAAACUCAAGGGACCAGCUAGGUACUGGUUGAAUAGUCUGCCUGAAAACUCCAUUGGCAGCUGGGAGGACUUGGAGGACGCCUUCCUCGACAACUUCCAAGGCACAUAUGUCCGGCCUCCGGAUGCCGAUGACCUAAGUCACGUAACCAACAGCCCGGAGAGUCAGCUAGGAAAUUCUGGACUAAGUUCUUAACUAAAAAGAACCAGAUCAUCGAUUGUCCGGACGCCAAAGCCCUAGCUGCCUUUAAGCACAGCAUCCGCGAUGAAUGGCUGGCCAGACACCUCGGCCAAGACAAACAGAAGUCCAUGUCAGCCCUUACAACACUCAUGACCCGCUUCUGUGCGGGCGAAGAAAGCUGGCUAGCCCGUAGCAAUAACAAUACAAGCGAACCUGGCACUUCUGAAGCCAGAACAGCAAUGGCAAGCCCCGACGCAAUAGACAUAAGAGUCGAAACAAUGGUGACAACACCGAAGACACGGCGGUCAACGCCAGAUUCAGUGGCUCUAAGUCCGGUCAGCGGAAGAAGCCAUUUAAGAGAAAUAAUCCGGGCCCGUUCAGUUUGGACCGCAUACUAGAUCGACCAUGCCAAAUCCAUGGCACUCCUGAUAAACCAGCCAAUCAUACCAACAAGGAAUGUUGGGUCUUCAAACAGGCCGGCAAGUUAAACACCGUGAAUAAGGAGAAAGGGUUGCAAAUCAAUGACGAUGAUGAGGAACCCCGACCACCGAACACAUGGGGACAGAAGAAAUCCCCCCCAAGUCAAAACGGUGAACAUGAUUGUCACAUCCCUGGUCCUGUUAUGCAUUAGGCUAGGCCUCAUGUGAGCAUCAUGUUUUAAUUCAAAUGAAAUUUGAAUUGAGGGAUUUUCAAAGCCUCAGAAACCUUCUAAAAAUGAUCAACAUUAAAAUCUUCUCAAAGAAGUCCAAGAAAAUGUUCCUCUUAGUCUCUGAAAAUAUUGCAAAGAGGUAAAACUCAAAACAAUAUUUUUGGUAUCUCAGAGUUAAUUAUUUUGGGCCUUUGAAUUAAAUAAAUAACUAUUUGCAUUGGAUAUAUAUUUCUUAAUUAAUUAAUAUAUGUCCAAUAAUUCUGAUCUUUGAUGAAGGGCUUUGGAAUAAUCCUACUAGUCCCUACCAUAAUUAUCAGAAGCAAUAAAAAUGAUUUAGUGUCUAAAACUAAAUCAAAACAAACUACAGAAAAUAGAAAACAGAUUUAAAUAGAAUAAAAGCAGAGAGGAGAGAAAACUUACCUGGCGCUCACCUCUCAGCCCACCUGGCCCAGCUCCUCCAGCGGCCCAGCCCACCGCCGUCUCUCCCCCUGUCGUCUUCCUCCCCCUCGCCCCGAAGCUGCUCGGUGGCGCGCGCGGCCACGCGCCCCGGCCACCUCCUCCCUUCCAGCCUGCCUGGCUCCUCCUCGACGCCCCGGUGACGCCACGCGGCCCCCUCGACCCUCUCCAACUCUCCCCAUGCCCCUCUCCUCUCUCUCCCCGGAACGCUCUCCCCCUCCUCUGUUCUCCUCACCGAACGCGCCCGCCGCCGCCGACGAGAACCACCGUGGCCACCGGCCACCCCACACCUCACCGACGCCCCAGGAAGCUCCGCCCCGACCCCCCUCUUCCUCCCCACCGAUCCACGGCCCUCCGUAAGCCCUGCAGCGUCGCCCUCAAGCUCGCCCCCAACCUUCGGCCGCCGGCGAACUUUCGAGGAUUCGCGAGCUCCAGCCCCUUCCCGGCCUCACCGUUGCCUCCACCAGAUCCGCUGUGAGCUACUCUUCCAUUCCCCCUCCUCCUCGCGCUCGUUCCUGUACUCUAGCCGCCCUUUUCACCGGAGCCGAUUGCUCCUCGCCGCCGGCCAUGGCAUGGCCGUGGCCACAGCCACCGCAGCUCGCUCCCGAGCCCACCGGCGUGCUCACCGCAACCUUAGGAACCCAAAGCACCUAACCACUCGUCCUCCCGUGCACCGCAGCGCCGGUCCCGCGAACCCCCGAGCUCCGGCCGCCGCCUCGGGCUCCACUCCGGCGAACCCCGGCCACCCCCUCACCUCCCGUUGGUUCCCCUAGAUGCGCACGGGCACGGGCUACCUCCUGGUGCCCUUGGUGCGUCGAUCCGUCGUCUCUGGCGCAACUCCGGCGAGCCACCGCCGCUCUGGGUCGUCGCCGUCGUCCAACCGCCGGCGAAUCCGACGUGGCCGGUCAUUAGGGCCUAACCACCCCCGCUAACCCAGGCCUAGGGCCACUGACCGGUGGGCCCUACCGUUUAAUUAACCCGGCUAACAAUUUAGUUAAGUUAAUAAAACUCUGUUAAAUCACUGUGCAGCUGACAUGUGGGUCCCGAGCGUCAGGUUUGACCCGGACCAGCCCUUGUUGACCUGUGACGUCAUGCCAACGUCAUGCUGAUGCAAUAAUUCCUUUUUGGAAUUUAAAUAAAUCUUAAAUGAUUUAAUAUUUUCAGAAAAUGCCCUAAACUUCAAUAAAUCAUAGAAAUUCAACCGUAACUCCAAAUUAAAUAAAUUAUAUAUGAAAAAUUAUUAGAAAAAUUCAAGGAAUCCAUCUGUACCAUUUUCAUGCAUGUUAGAACAACUUAUAGCUGCUGUUUAGCACAAAUCAAUUAAAUGGCAUUUGAAUAAUCACAUAUGGAGUUUGAAUUUGAAUCUUGUAUUCAAACCAACUUCAUUUAACCUGUUGCUAGUUGCAUUAGCUCAAAACACAUUCAUAUUGCCAUGUCAUGAGCAUGCAUCAUAUUGUGCAUUGCAUUGAUUGUAUUUCUUCUUUGUUGCCGGUAUCUGUUCCCUCCCGGUAGACGAUGUUCCGACGUUGUGAUCGUUGACACUGAUGAAGACUCAAUGUUAUCUUCAGAAGUGCCAGGCAAGCAAAACCCCCUUGUUCAUUCCGAUACAAUCCUACUCUCUCGCUUCUGCUCUCUUUUACUGCAUUAGGACAACAACGAUUCAUCUGUUACUUGCUGCGGUAGCUGAACCCCUUUAUCCUUUGCAUGACCUGUCAUUGCCAUAGUAAAUAGAUGAAACCCACUAGCAUGAGUAGGAGUUGUUUGAGCCCUGUUGUGCCUACUCAUUCAUGCUUGUUUGUCAUGCCUGCUACUGCUUAGAGUUGAGUUAGGUCUGAUUCAUCGGGGAUGAAUCAGAGGCGUGUGAACAUGUCCUACUGUGUGUGAGCUAAGUGUGUGAACAUGAUUUGGUAAAGGUAGCGGUGAGAGCCAUGUAGGAGUACAUGGUGGGUUGUCUCAUUGAAGCCGUCCUCAGGAACUGAGUUCUGUGUUUGUGAUCCAUGAUUCAGCUACUACCAUACAUUGGGCCCUGAAAUAUGACCCCGCUCGACUUCUUAUUCACCCAAGUCCUCUGUCCAGGAGUUGCAAGUAGUUUCUGGUGUUUGUAGUAUGCUGGAGGCCGUGCACAGCGCUGACCGGAGGGGUGGGCUGUGAUGCGGUAGGCACGUGGCCGGGUAUACCGGGCGCCCGUUUGGUGUCAUGGAACCCUGUUCACAUCGUUUGGGGCUGUGAGCGAAACUCCGGCCGGAUCUCCUCAUGGAUGGAACCCGAAUAGGCGAUAAACCUGGACUAGAGACUUGAGUGUUUAGGUAGGUCGUGGUCUACACCCACGUCGGCUUUCGCUUGAAGUCUGUCGAGCACAUGUCGUGUGCAGACGCUAAGUGGUGGAAACAUGUAUGAAGAAGUACACCCCUGCAGGGUUAACAUCAUCUAUUCGAAUAGCCGUGUCCGCGGAAAAGGACUUCUGGGUUGCUUAUAUCAGUUCAUAGACAAGUGAAAGUGGAUACCCUAAAAUACGCAAGAUAAGCGUGAGUGCUAUGGAUGGCGUUCUUGUAGGGAGACGGGAGCGGAUCCAUAGUGGUGUAUUGAUAUGGUGAAUGUGUGGACUCAUGUGCGCCACCUCAAAAGAGUUACUUGCAGUCGUAGUUCAGGAUAGCCACCGAGUCAAAGAUGGCUUGCUGCAGUUAAAACCCACCAUCCCCUUGUUGGAAAUGAUGCAUAUGUAGUUAGUUCUGAUGUAAGUCUUGCUGGGUACAUUUGUACUCACGUUUGCCUAUUUUAUGUUUUUGCAGAGAGACCUCAGUCUCGCUAGUAGUUCCGUAUGGUCUUCGACGUUUAGCUUGUUACCUCAGCUAUGAUCUUGUGCCCUCGGUAGGAUUUGAUAGAUAGUCAGGCUUCUCAGCCUUUUUCAUUUAUAGAUGUCUGUACUCAGACAUGAUAGCUUCCGCUUGUGCUUUGACUUGUAUGCUCUGAUUGUUGGGUCAUGAGACCCAUGUUUGUAAUAUCUCGCUCCUCGGAGCCUAUUGAAUAAAAUACUUGAGUUGUAGAGUCAUGUUGUGAUGCCAUGUUGUAUUUUCACAUAUCGAGCAUAUUGUGUGUAUGUUAUUGAAAUGCUUGGUAUGUGUGGGAUCUGACAACCUAGUUGUUUAUCCUUGGUAGCCUCUCUUACCGGGAAAUGUCUCCUAGUGUUUCCACCGAGCCAUGGUAGCUUGCUACUGCUCCAGAACACUUUGGCUGGCCGGCAUGUGUCCUUCUUCGUUCCUGUGUCUGUCCCUUCGGGGAAAUGUCACGCGAUGAAUACCGGAGUCCUGCUAGCCCAGUGCUACGGCCUGGAUUCACUCGCUGAUGACCGACACGUUCGAUGUUGGGUCAUGGAUGCCUGUCCCUGUAAGUUUGUGCCACUUUGGGUUUACGACUAGCCAUGUCAGCCCGGGCUCCUUAUCAUAUGGAUGCUAGCGACACUAUCAUAUACGUGUGCCAAAAGGCGCAAACGGUCCCGGGCAAAGGUAAGGCGACACCCGUGGGAAUACCGUGCGUGAGGCCGCAAAGUGAUAUGAGGUGUUACAUGCUAGAUCGAUGUGGCAUUGAGUCGGGGUCCUGACAGCGUUGGUAUCAGAGCUUGACUGCCUGUAGGAUUACCAAGCCAAACUGGUCGAAGUUGAGUUUAGAAAUUCUUUAGUUAUAUAAGGGAAUUGAUUGUGGGAUGGAACGUAAGGCUCUUUUUACUCCUUAUACCUUAUGUCUUCUGAUCUGAGUCAUCUUAUCUUUCCUGCGGGGAUUAAGAACUAGGCUAUCUCUUCUUUCUAUCAGGAUCAUGUUACUAAUCCGUAGACUUAUAGAUUGUUGGAUUUAAGCUUGAGUUCAGUUCCUAUGACUUCUGUAUGUUAACUGAUGAUCUUGAAAUCUUGAUAUUGUGCUUCUGAGUGGUUAUGCCACCAUUUUUGUGAUUGUCUCAAAUCUUUUUUGAGCAUUUAUAGCCGUUAUGCUGUCCGAGUCAUCCCAGGUUUCUAAAUAGUCUGAUGCAUUUGCAAAUCCCUUCUUCCCGUUUCCGAUGUCCUUUUGGUCAGAUUAAUCACACAAAUCAAUGAGUUGAGGUACUUUAUAGCCUUGACAUAUAUGUUGGAGCUAUUAUUAUGACCCUAGGUGUUUUAGGGAGUCACCUAGUAAUCUAGCAACGUUUUGUGUUCCCAGUGUGAAGAUUCUGGCCAUCAUUCUCGAAAGCAUCUCGUGGUGCUACUUAGUAGUAGGUAUUCUAUUCCUGGGUCUUGAACCCGAGAUUCACUCUACUUAAUUCAUGUUGAUAGUGUUUGCUAGUUCCUUUAGGAUAUUAGUAACUUGCGAUAGUCCUCGAGGUCCGUGGUAUUUUCUUCUUCCAAAUACUAUGAACCGCUUAUGGCAGAUGUUUAUUGGAUCAAAAGAUCACAAUCAUAGUACUCUUGGGAAGUUCUCCAUUCAUAAAUCAUGACUCUGCCAGUCCUACUUCCUUGCAUGGGUUAUCUGGAAGAAACUUGUUGAACUUGGUUCGACAUAUUAAUCUAUGCAUCCACAACUCGAAAGGAUAUAUGUCCCCUUGAGUUGUCCCUCUUCAUUCGUAUUCCGACCUUCGUCUAUCAAUUGAUAGUCAGGAGUAAUUUUGCAUUUGUGUUAUCGAUGCUUAUUAUUCUUGUGGUCCGUCAAGCCAUUCUAUCGCGGAAUGACUAGGAGAAACAAACUCCAGUACCUCAUCCAUACCUAGGAUUGGGUCAAAGCAGUUGUAUUCCGCAGAUCAAAUGCCAAUCCAGCUUUUGGUUCUGUUCUACCUUGGAGUAUUACCCCCUUUAUGUCAGAAUUGUCAUGAGAACUGCACCAACUCUCAUGAAUUUUGACGUAGUGAUACUUCUCACCAUCAUUAGUCAUUCCUCGGUCUUCGUGUUGUUAUAACCGGAAUGUCGACAAGUGAAUCGUGAUGUGUGAAAUCAAUACUCCUAGCAACCUUGUUGCUUGGUAGUUAAAUGGACAAUAACCUCAUUCUUAACGUGUUGGUUCUUGAAUCAUCAUUCUAAGAUUGAUCGUGCUACCUUGUCCAUCUUCCUGGUGCACAUUUCGAUUGAUGAGUUAGGAUUUUGUCAAGUCCUCGCUCAUUUGAUCAUAUUGUCUUGCCCUGAAAAGCAAGAUUGUUCUCGAGCUUAGUAACAUAUCGGUGGCUUGUGAUUUUUUGAAUAUCUUCUCGAAGGUAUCAUCAGGUUGUCACCUGACUGUUAUGUUGAGCUCGUGAUCAAGUUGGUUUAUCCUGUAAACCACCCUUUCUCCAAGAAUCCGUGUUGGAUACCCCUGAGCUAGUUGGUUAAGCUAGACAACAACUUGGAGAGUUGGAAGAUAAAAGCUUGCCUGACUUAGUUCGUUCCAAAGGGAUAUUCUUGUGUAGUGGGUGUUGAAGAAAGAUGAUAUCUUCAUCGAUUGGUUCCUGUGAUCAGUUGCUGGACCUAUUGUCUUAUCAAUCCUUUGAUUUGAGUGUGGGCUAUCGUCAAAUCAAAUCAGUACCAACGAUAUUCAUAAUGUUGUCUUACUCGUGGUUGAUCCCUCGAGCAUACAUCAUUAUAUCUUUUGGGUCUGACCAAUGCUAUCACUUGUUCACUUAGCUAUGGAAUUCCUUUUAAAAGGGAACCCAGAUGAAUUGUUGUUGAGCCCAUUGACAACAUCCUUAUCUCCUCCAUGAUCUUGUUGGAUAACAAGUUAGUGUUGGAAACUUUUGAAAGCAUUUUCUUCAUGCUAGCUCAUGAAGUAUUUGUUUGAUGAAAGGAGUGACUUCCACUUAUACACGUGCAUUUGGUGAAAGUUGCCGCCGUGAAUUUGAGAAAGUUAGUUUUGCUUCCCCUGGAAUCAUCCCAAGUCAGUCAUGCAUAUGUGCGAAGUAUUCUAUGGUUUGGAGACUUGCAACCUUCAUUCCAUAUGUGUUCCGAGCACACCAAGCCACUGAUUGAUUUGUUCAAGGAGAAGAAGUUCCUUCCUAAGAGCAUGCCUUAUGGAAGGAUUUUGAUAUCCUCGUUGAUGGUUCCCCCUCCUGAACUCGGUAGUGUUUUAUUAUAGGACUACUUUGUGGUCAUGCUUGUCUGGGACAACGUGUUCACAUGUUUGUAGCAGAACCAGCUCAUGUUUUGGAGCUUACUAUCGUAGUUCAUUUCCCGAGAAUCUCGCAACGUUAUCUCGUCGAUUUGUGUUGCAAACUUUCAUUUUUCUUCCUAGACUCGAUGAGUCUGGAAUAUCCUGACACCAACCGGAUCUGAAUCUCAGGCAGUUAUGAUGGUUGGAAUGUUUCCCAAGAACUAUAAUACUGGUCCCUCGAUAACCGGUAAAGUGGAUGUCAUGGCCAACACACCCAGCCGGAAGACCUAUUAUUGUAGUAUCUUGAUUGAAGCAGUUGGCCACCUCCCCAUAAGGAUCUCGUAGAACUUAUUCUAGUAGUUGUUCCUUAUGGAUUUUUGUGUUUCCGAAGUCCGACCUUUACUUGAUGUUCUAGAUGCCAGACCAUUUCAAGGAAUGGGAUACGCUAGUACAUCAAGGAGAACAUUAGAAGCGGAGUGCUAAAUGUCUCUCGGUCGAUCGUCCAGGUUUUGUUUCCUUAGCCUCGCUAAGGAAAAUUCUGAGAAAGUGUUAUCUUCCUUUGCAUCUGCAUCAUCCAUCAUCAUUCAUCAUGGUAGCAAGUUGUGUUGCCAGGAUCCUUGACACGGAUAUUGGUAAAAUCUUGAUGAUUAUGGAAAGGCUCAAGUUCUUGAGAGCACGCACAAGCGCUAGGUGUUAUCAUCGACACUAAUUGGGAUGCUCUCAGUUUCCUCGGCAAUGCUAUGACCUUUUCAAACAGUGAAUUCACUCUCUAUUGUUGGGUUCUUCCCCAGUUACCAGAAUCAUACCUAGCAUUUGCAUUUUGUUCCCAGCUUGCACCGCUAAUGUGCCAUUCUACCAUGGGUCUCAUCCAUUUCCGAUGAUAAACAAAAUCAUCUAUGACGUUGUCUUCAACAAGGUAAUCCACAUCAUCCAAGUCCGAGUAUGCCAUUCUACCAAACCCCUCUAAAUGAUCGAUUAUGAUUUGCCUUAAGCUGGUAUAAAGAGUUUCAAUGAUCUUUGAAUCAAAGGUAAUUCUUUUUGCCACUUAAGGGGAUAUUUCUACGAGUCACGGUUCCUAAGGUGUCUCGUUAUGGUAUCAUGGCAACUCAACUCCUCGCUAUUUGACAACUUUUCACCACCCUCUUAGGUGUGGAAUUGUUGUCUACCUAGUGAACCCUCGUCAUUUGUUCCACUCCAUCCCUCUAGAUGUGUGUUUUGUGUCUCAGCUCGAGUGAUGUUGUUACGUCUCAUUCCGAGAGUUAAUCCUGAGUUGUUCGACCUUCGAGAAGGUUGAUCCUUCUAGAGUCUCCUUCUCCUCUCGUUGUCAUGUUGGCUGGAGUUCUCAGAGCAAGACGACAAGACAAAGAUGGUGAUCGAUUCAACAUGCUGAUGAAGUGCACCCUGGAUCGUGAAGGUUAUACUAGUUGCGUUCCCCCUUCAUCUUACCCUACGCUUGAAUCUCGGGACGAGAUUUUUGUUUAGUGGGGGUGAGUUGUCACAUCCCUGGUCCUGUUAUGCAUUAGGCUAGGCCUCAUGUGAGCAUCAUGUUUUAAUUCAAAUGAAAUUUGAAUUGAGGGAUUUUCAAAGCCUCAGAAACCUUCUAAAAAUGAUCAACAUUAAAAUCUUCUCAAAGAAGUCCAAGAAAAUGUUCCUCUUAGUCUCUGAAAAUAUUGCAAAGAGGUAAAACUCAAAACAAUAUUUUUGGUAUCUCAGAGUUAAUUAUUUUGGGCCUUUGAAUUAAAUAAAUAACUAUUUGCAUUGGAUAUAUAUUUCUUAAUUAAUUAAUAUAUGUCCAAUAAUUCUGAUCUUUGAUGAAGGGCUUUGGAAUAAUCCUACUAGUCCCUACCAUAAUUAUCAGAAGCAAUAAAAAUGAUUUAGUGUCUAAAACUAAAUCAAAACAAACUACAGAAAAUAGAAAACAGAUUUAAAUAGAAUAAAAGCAGAGAGGAGAGAAAACUUACCUAGCGCUCACCUCUCAGCCCACCUGGCCCAGCUCCUCCAGCGGCCCAGCCCACCGCCGUCUCUCCCCCUGUCGUCUUCCUCCCCCUCGCCCCGAAGCUGCUCGGUGGCGCGCGCGGCCACGCGCCCCGGCCACCUCCUCCCUUCCAGCCUGCCUGGCUCCUCCUCGACGCCCCGGUGACGCCACGCGGCCCCCUCGACCCUCUCCUACUCUCCUCGUGCCCCUCUCCUCUCUCUCCCCGGAACGCUCUCCCCCUCCUCUGUUCUCCUCACCGAACGCGCCCGCCGCCGCCGACGAGAACCAUCGUGGCCACCGGCCACCCCACACCUCACCGACGCCCCAGGAAGCUCCGCCCCGACCCCCCCUAUUCCUCCCCACCGAUCCACGGCCCUUCGGAAGCCCUGCAGCGUCGCCCUCNNNNNNNNNNNNNNNNNNNNNNNNNNNNNNNNNNNNNNNNNNNNNNNNNNNNNNNNNNNNNNNNNNNNNNNNNNNNNNNNNNNNNNNNNNNNNNNNNNNNNNNNNNNNNNNNNNNNNNNNNNNNNNNNNNNNNNNNNNNNNNNNNNNNNNNNNNNNNNNNNNNNNNNNNNNNNNNNNNNNNNNNNNNNNNNNNNNNNNNNNNNNNNNNNNNNNNNNNNNNNNCUCAAGCUCGCCCCCAACCUUCGGCCGCCGGCGAACUUUCGAGGAUUCGCGAGCUCCAGCCCCUCCCCGGCCUCACCGUUGCCUCCACCAGAUCCGCUGUGAGCUACUCUUCCAUUCCCCCUCCUCCUCGCGCUCGUUCCCGUACUCUAGCCGCCCUUUUCACCGGAGCCGAUUGCUCCUCGCCGCCGGCCAUGGCGUGGCCGUGGCCACAGCCACCGCAGAUCGCUCCCGAGCCCACCGGCGUGCUCACUGCAACCUUAGGAACCCAAAGCACCUAACCACUCGUCCUCCCGUGCACCGCAGCGCCGGUCCCGCGAACCCCCGAGCUCCGGCCACCGCCUCGGGCUCCACUCCGGCGAACCCCGGCCACCCCCGCACCUCCCGUUGGUUCCCCUAGAUGCGCACGGGCACGGGCUACCUCCUGGUGCCCUUGGCGCGUCGAUCUGUCGUCUCUGGCGCAACUCCGGCGAGCCACCGCCGCUCUGGGUCGUCGCCGUCGUCCAACCGCCGGCGAAUCCGAUGUGGCCGGUCAUUAGGGCCUAACCACCCCCGCUAACCCAGGCCUAGGGCCACUGACCGGUGGGCCCUACCGUUUAAUUAACCCGGCUAACAAUUUAGUUAAGUUAAUAAAACUCUGUUAAAUCACUGUGCAGCUGACAUGUGGGUCCCGAACGUCAGGUUUGACCCGGACCAGCCCCUGUUGACCUGUGACAUCAUGCCAACGUCAUGCUGACGCAAUAAUUCCUUUCUGGAAUUUAAAUAAAUCUUAAAUGAUUUAAUAUUUUCAGAAAAUGCCCUAAACUUCAAUAAAUCAUAGAAAUUCAACCGUAACUCCAAAUUAAAUAAAUUAUAUAUGAAAAAUUAUUAGAAAAAUUCAAGGAAUCCAUCUGUACCAUUUUCAUGCAUGUUAGAACAACUUAUAGCUGCUGUUUAGCACAAAUCAAUUAAAUGGCAUUUGAAUAAUCACAUAUGGAGUUUGAAUUUGAAUCUUGUAUUCAAACCAACUUCAUUUAACCUGUUGCUAGUUGCAUUGGCUCAAAACACAUUCAUAUUGCCAUGUCAUGAGCAUGCAUCAUAUUGUGCAUUGCAUUGAUUGUAUUUCUUCUUUGUUGCCGGUAUCUGUUCCCUCCCGGUAGACGAUGUUCCGACGUUGUGAUCGUUGACACUGAUGAAGACUCAAUGUUAUCUUCAGAAGUGCCAGGCAAGCAAAACCCCCUUGUUCAUUCCGAUACAAUCCUACUCUCUCGCUCCUGCUCUCUUUUACUGCAUUAGGACAACAACGAUUCAUCUGUUACUUGCUGCGGUAGCUGAACCCCUUUAUCCUUUGCAUGACCUGUCAUUGCCACAGUAAAUAGAUGAAACGCACUAGCAUGAGUAGGAGUUGUUUGAGCCCUAUUGUGCCUACUCAUUCAUGCUUGUUUGUCAUGCCUGCUACUGCUUAGAGUUGAGUCAGGUCUGAUUCAUCGGGGAUGAAUCAGAGGUGUGUGAACAUGUCCUACUGUGUGUGAGCUAAGUGUGUGAACACGAUUUGGUAAAGGUAGCAGUGAGAGGCCAUGUAGGAGUACAUGGUGGGUUGUAUCAUUGAAGACGUCCUCAGGAACUGAGUUCUGUGUUUGUGAUCCAUGAUUCAGCUACUACCAUACAUUGGGCCCUGAAAUAUGACCCCGCUCGACUUCUUAUUCACCCAAGUCCUCUGUCCAGGAGUUGCAAGUAGUUUCUGGUGUUUGUAGUAUGCUGGAGGCCGUGCACAGCGCUGACCGGAGGGGUGGGCUGUGAUGCGGUAGGCACGUGGCCGGGUAUACCGGGCGCCCGUUUGGUGUCACGGAACCCUAUUCACAUCAUUUGGGGCUGUGAGCGAAACUCCGGCCGGAUCUCCUGAUGGAUGGAACCCGAAAAGGCGAUAAACCUGGACUAGAGACUUGAGUGUUUAGGUAGGUCGUGGUCUACACCCACGUCGGCUUUCGCUUGAAGUCUGUCGAGCACAUGUCGUGUGCAGACGCUAAGUGGUGGAAACAUGUAUGAAGAAGUACACCCCUGCAGGGUUAACAUCAUCUAUUCGAAUAGCCGUGUCCGCGGAAAAGGACUUCUGGGUUGCUUAUAUCAGUUGAUAGACAAGUGAAAGUGGAUACCCUAAAAUACGCAAGAUAAGCGUGAGUGCUAUGGAUGGCGUUCUCGUAGGGAGACGGGAGCGGAUCCAUAGUGGUGUAUUGAUAUGGUGAAUAUGUGGACUCGUGUGCGCCACCUCAAAAGAGUUACUUGCAGUCGUAGUUCAGGAUAGCCACCGAGUCAAAGCUGGCUUGCUGCAGUUAAACCCCACCAUCCCCUUGUUGGAAAUGAUGCAUAUGUAGUUAGUUCUGAUGUAAGUCUUGCUGGGUACAUUUGUACUCACGUUUGCCUAUUUUAUGUUUUUGCAGAGAGACCUCAGUCUCGCUAGUAGUUCUGUAUGGUCUUCGACGUUUAGCUUGUUACCUCAGCUACGAUCUUGUGCCCUCGGCAGGAUUUGGUAGAUAGUCAGGCUUCUCAGCCUUUUUCAUUUAUAGAUGUCUGUACUCAGACAUGAUAGCUUCCGCUUGUGCUUUGACUUGUAUGCUCUGAUUGUUGGGUCAUGAGACCCAUGUUUGUAAUAUCUCGCUCCUCGGAGCCUAUUGAAUAAAAUACUUGAGUUGUAGAGUCAUGUUGUGAUGCCAUGUUGUAUUUGCACAUAUCGAGCAUAUUGUGUGUAUGUUAUUGAAAUGCUUGGUAUGUGUGGGAUCUGACAACCUAGUUGUUUAUCCUUGGUAGCCUCUCUUACCGGGAAAUGUCUCCUAGUGUUUCCACUGAGCCAUGGUAGCUUGCUACUGCUCCGGAACACUUAGGCUGGCCGGCAUGUGUCCUUCUUUGUUCCUGUGUCUGUCCCUUCAGGGAAAUGUCAUGCGAUGAAUACCGGAGUCCUGCUAGCCCAGUGCUACAGCCUGGAUUCACUCGCUGAUGACCGACACGUUCGAUGUUGGGUCAUGGAUGCCUGUCCCUGUAAGUUUGUGCCACUUUGGGUUUACGACUAGCCAUGUCAGCCCGGGCUCCUUAUCAUAUGGAUGCUAGCGACACUAUCAUAUACGUGUGCCAAAAGGCGCAAACGGUCCCGGGCAAAGGUAAGGCGACACCCGUGGGAAUACCGUGCGUGAGGCCACAAAGUGAUAUGAGGUGUUACAUGCUAGAUCGAUGUGGCAUUGAGUCGGGGUCCUGACAAUGAUAUACCCAUAUCCCCAAGAGGGAGCGCAAGCGUGGACUCAGGGACGUUACAAGAUGGAGCCAAUCGCCCCAAAGUUCAACCCAUGGUCGUCCUGUCCGAUCACCUUCGGUCGUAGGGACCAUCCGACCAGUAUCCGUCAUGGCGGUUCAGCCGCACUGGUCCUUGACCCAAUCAUAGAUGGAUUCCACCUUACGCGAGUCCUCAUGGACGGCGGCAGCAGCCUGAACCUAAUCUAUCAGGAUACAGUGCGCAAAAUGGGUAUCAAUCCCUCAAGGAUCAAGCCCACAAAAACCACCUUUAAAGGUGUCAUACUAGAUGUAGAGGCCUCCUAUACGGGCUCAAUCACACUGGAAGUGGUCUUCGAAUCCCCGGAUAAUUUCUGAAGCGAAGAAUUGAACUUUGAUAUCGUCCCCUUCCGUAGUGGCUAUCACGCACUGCUCGGACGAACCGCAUUCGCUCGAUUCAAUGCGAUGCCGCACUAUGCCUACCUCAAGCUCAAGAUGCCCGGACCAUGCGGUGUUAUAAUAGUGAAUGGAAACACGGAACGCUCUCUUCAUACCAAGGAGCACACCACGGCCCUUGCAGCAAAAGUAUAGAGCGGCCUUUUCAGGAAUAACCGUAAUUCAACAGCCAAGCUCCCAGACACCGUCAAGCGAGUCCGGACUACUCUGCAUCAGGAUAGUCCAGCUCGUCCAGAGCUUGACUAGCAAUUUGGCCUCCGUCCCAGUCCCAACAAGGCGGCGAUGCUUGUGCCGCGUGUACAUAACUACGCACUCAAAAUACCAUGGACAUGGAUGGAGGCAUAGCUAGAACGUCGUCCAUAAUGUGGCUCAACCGCCCCUGAAUCUGCAUACUUUCACUUUUUCUUUUUCAUUUCAGGUUUUUCUCUUCUCGAGGCUUUUCUGAUAACCUGAUCACCGGACCUAUCACGGGACGGAUACACCAAGAAGGCAAGGAGCUUUGACGUACAAGGGAACCCCGAGCUGGUCUCUACUAACGAUCGUUAUACCUAUUUUAAAUACCCGCACGCAGCUCGCCCUUGGUCAUGGCAUGUCAAAUAGCCUUAUUCGCUUACCGCAUUACUUGUACAAGUACACCUGGACGUAUCAAUCAAAUUACAAUGGAAAAUAAUUUGCGGCUCAAUAUUUGCGACGUCAGCCUAUUACUUGAUUUUUCCUUUGUCUUUAUAUUUUUUAUCAAUUGCUCCUGUACACUCUGGUACGCCUUAAUUCGCCAGGGGCUUCAUCAUACCCCACAAUACAGCAAUAAAGUCCGAACACUUUUACAGUACAGUUUGGCACCUUGAACUUAUAGCAUUAUAUGCAUCGGCUUCGAAUCAUGUCUUUGGUCAAUAGUUGGGUUGCCCGGCUCUUGUGCUUACUACCUUACGUUCCGCUAUAUUGUCUAGGGUAGUAAAGGGAGAACUAUUGUGAUUGUGUCCCGGUUCUUCCGGAUGAGCACCUCAGUAGAGAAAGCCGAAGACUGGCUGUCAUGAUGCAGCGAGAGCUGGUCAGCUAUUCGAGAGGUUGCAAAUCUUUAGUGAUUUUUUCUGCAUUAUGCAAGGAAUCAGUUUUUAUCCAAUUAGGUGUGUAUAGCGCCUCAAGUCUGGACUUCCGAACACUAGGGAUUGCACCAAAAUUUUUCUUGUCAAACUCCUACGGUUAAGUGAGGGUGAUAAAGCCGUAUAGUCUGAUUGCCUUGUUCGUCGUGCUAAACACCUCCUUUAAGGACCAAACUCUAGAGUAAAGAGUGUUUAGAUUUAUCCCGAACACCCCCGUACUACCUAUGUGGGGGGCAGAAGCCGACGACUGGCCAACUCUCAGAUUUAACAAAACGGCCGCAUAGGAGGUAGAACUUUAAAUAACAGACAUUAUAUUACAUAAUAGAUCGGUUUUCAUGGUAUAGGAUAGGAUAACAUGAGUGUAUUCAUGGUAAUAUGAUAUCCUUAGCACAUUGCUCCACUACAAGGCGGGAUCCCUCCAGGACACUGUCAAAAUACAGUUGGGGUCUGCGGUGCUCCUUGCCCUCGGGCGGUCCCUCGGUCAUCAGCUUCGGGGCAUCCAUCUUCGCCCAAUGCAUCUUGGCGCGGGCAAAGGCCAUUCGCGCACCUUCAAUACAGACCGGCCGCUUGAUAGCUUCAAGCCGAGGGCAGGCGCUGACAAGCCGCUUCAUGAGUCCGAAGUAGCUGCUAGGAAGGGCUUCGACAGGCCAUAGCCGGAUUAUCAAAUCCUUCAUGGCUAGUUUGGCUGCCCUAUGUAGCUCGACCAGCUGUUUCAGCUGAUCACUAAAGGGCACUGGACGUUCUGGUCCAAGGUAUUGCAACCAGAACAGCUUCUUCGUAGAGCUCCCCUCUUCGGCUCAAUAGAAUUUCGCAGCGUCUCACACGCUGCGCGGCAGAUCCACAAACGCCCCUGGAGAGCUCCAAAUUCAGGUAAGUAAAAGGAACCUUUCCUUCACAUAUCUGCUCUGCAUAAUGAAAGCCUUACCCGCCGUGAUCUUGGCCGCCUGGAUUUCCUGGAGGGCACCCUGGCCUUCGGACCAGGCAACUUGUGGGCUUUGGCGGGCCUUGGCAAGUUUGGACUCUUGCUCCUUAAAGUCGAGCUCCAAGGACUCGCACUUCUUGACGGCGUCCUGGAGCUCUUGCUGGACCUCGUUAACCCGGGCCUCCUGCUUUUCGCGUGCGGCCCGAUCCUUGGACGCCUUGUCCUUGGCCGCGGCCAGCACCUUCUUGAGGGCCUCUACUUUGGUCGUUGCCCCUAAUAAAUUUCAUGGCACUUUGGUCAUCAUGAAUCACUCAUCCUUCCUGAAUAUGUAUAAGAUUACUGCGUACCUUGACUGUCCUCUAGCUGCUUCUUCACGUGGCCAAUCUCUUCCUCGGGCCGCUCUAGAUUCUGCUUCAGUUCGGAGACUUCCGCAGUAUGAGAGGACGCAGCUAGCAGCGAUGUCUGCUUGUUCACAUAGACAUUUUAGAUUAGACUCCUAUGAAAAUUAUUUGAUCCUCUAUUUGAUUUUUCUUUCUAAACACCGGACAAAGUAUCAGGGGCUACUGUCUAUACUGUGACAUUCUUUUUAUAAUUGCGUUGCUUACCUCAAAGCCUGUUAGAAGGAUCGUGCACGCUUCAGUCAAUCCGCUUUUCAUAGACUGAAUCUUCUCAAUCACCGGUGGAAGUGCUUCCAGUAAUCUAUCUGGUGCCUCUGUAUGGACAGACGUCACCGGUGGAGUGGGCUCACCACCCUCUUUCAAAAAAGGCGGCAUGCCUGAGUCUGGAUCCACAUGGGCCUCCGGAGCUGUAUUCAGCUGGCGGCCGAAUUGGAUACGACCCCCAUCAUUAGUGUCCAUAGGGGUUUGCUCCCCCAUGUGUUCGGCAACCGGGGUUUCACCCUCCGGCACCACCAGGAUGGCAUCCUGAGCCUCUCCCUGGUCUGGGAUCGUUCGAUACAACACCUCGGUGUUGUCCACGACCUUGGGGGAGGAGGUCGUCCGAAGGGACCCACUGUCCAUCGCCGACGGCUCCAGCGAUCCCUCCGAAGAGGAGGAUAGCUCGAUGUUGGACCGAGCCGGACUGCAAGUGCAUGAUCCAGCACAUUAAAAACAAUAAAGUAAAAAGGCCGGAUAUAUUACCGUGUCCGGACACUUACGAUUUGGCCAGGGGCUUGUCCCUGGGCUCCCACUCCCAGCUGCUGUUGGUGGCCGCUGCGGAGUUGUCCAGAAGGGAAGCUUUCCCCUUCUUGGACGCCUCGGCCUCUAGAUGUGUGGAGGUCGUCCUCUUCUUUCUCCCCCCAGUAGGGGAGAAUGGAUUUCUUCUUCCUCCUCCUCUUCCUCGUCGUCUUCGGCGAUGAAGGAGUGAUCCUCGGCGUCUUCGGACAUUGCGUCUGAUGCGCCCUUGCGACGGAGACCAUCUCUGGUCCCCUUGGCCUUCUUCUUGGCCUUCUUCUCCGGCACCUGAUAAGGUGCCGGAACCAGCAUCUUCGUUAGAAGUGGGAUUUCUGGGCCUUCGGGCAGCGGGGCUGGACAGUUAAUCCGCUCCGCCAUCUCUAUCCAGGCCUAAAAAAUGCAUAGGGAAGCUUAGAUUCCUUCCUCGAGUAGGCCAGUAAAGGGUAUACCUUGGAAACAUGAAAGAACUUACCGGAUUAGCCUGGCGAGUUAAGCUAUGCCCACGAUCCUCGGUCGUGGGUGGUGGUGUCUCGCCGGCCUUGAAGAACACCUUCCAGAUAUCUUUGCGCAUCGUGUCGAAGAGCUCUAGUAGCGUCUGGUGCUUGGCCGGGUCGAAUUCCCACAAAUAGCAAGUCCGUUGUUGGCACGGAAGGAUCCGGCGAACGAUCAUAACCUGGAUUACGUUGACGAGCUUGAUUCUCUUGUUUAUCAUGUUCUGGACGCAUGUCUAGAGCCCUGUCAGCUCGUCCGAAGAGCCCCAGGCCAGGCCCUUCUCUUGCCAGGAGGUGAGCCGCAUCGGGACUCCGGAUCGGAAUGUGGGAGCCACGGCCCAAUUGGUGUCGCGUGGCUCGGUGAUGUAGAACCACCCCGACUGCCACCCUUUUACAGGCUCCAUAAAGGAGCCUUUGGGCCAGGUGACAUUGGGCAUCUUGCCCACCAUGGCACCUCCGCACUCUGCUUGUUGGCUGCUCACCACCUUCGGCUUCACAUUGAAGGUCUUCAGCCAUAGGCCAAAGUGAGGUGGGAUGCGGAGAAAGGCCUCGCUCACAACAAUAAAUGUUGAGAUGUUGAGGAUAGAUUUGGGGGCCAAAUCAUGGAAGUCUAGCCCGUAGUAAAACAUCAGUCCACGGACAAACGGGUGGAGGGGGAAUCCCAGCCCGCGGAUGAAGUGUGUGAGGAAUACCACCCUCUCCUGGGGCUUCGGGGUGGGGACAAUCUGUCCCUUGGCCGGAAGUCGGUGAACGAUUUCCUUGGCUAGGUACCCGGCCUCCCGGAGCUUCUUGAUGUGCUUCUCCUUGGCGGAGGAGGCCAUCCACUUGCCUCCUACUCCGGAUCCGGACAUGAUUGGAGUGCUUUUUUGGGCGGAGAAGGCGAGAGCUUGGGCGCUGGAGCUCGAGGAUGGAUGGGCAGAGGAAGGAGAAGGCGUGGGUAAAAAAGGAUGAAUCCUUAUCCCUUUAUAAAGGCAAUAAAAGUCAUGUGCCUCCCCACUUGCCUUAAAAUUCGCCUAUUCCCCAAGCAUCGUGCAGAUGACACGGUUGGGUUACCCAUGCUCGUAUUGAUGAGAAUCCCGUGAUAAGGGGACACGAUCUCUGCUUUGACAAGACGUGCCAAUGAAACUGCACCUCGAAAUACGGAGAGGCAGGCUAAAAAGGGUUGGAAUAAUGACCGGGCAGUGGCGUGGUGUCACGCUACAAAAAGUUGUCAGCGGAUUGGACUCGUGAAAUAUUAUACUCUCUAUGGUUGUGUGUGGUACUUGUUUUGCAGAGUUGGACACGUUUUCUAUGUUCGGAAGGCUAUGUUGGAGUAUUUGGAGAAGGAACCCGCCUUGCAAUGUCGAAGACAAUCUGCGCGCCGGACUCAUCGUCAUUGAAGCCUGGUUCAGGGGCUACUGAGGGAGUCUUGGAUUAAGGGGUCCUAGGACAGUCGGAUUAUAUACUUUGGCUGGACUGUUGGGCUAUGAAGAUACAAAAUAGAAGACUUCGUCCCGUGUCCGGAUGGGACUCUCCUUGGCGUGGAAGGCAAGCUUGGCGAUUCGGAUAUGUAGAUUCCUUUCCCUAUAACCAACUUGGUACAACCCUAGCCCCCUCCGAUGUCUAUAUAAACCGGAGGGUUUAGGCUUCUAGGGUUUAGCCACAACAAUCAUAACCUCAUAGGCUAGACUUCUAGGGUUUAGCCAUUACGAUCUCGUGGUAGAUCAACUCUUGUAAUACUCAUAUUCAUCAAGAUCAAUCAAGAAGGAAGUAUGGUAUUACCUCCAUAGAGAGGGCCCGAACCUGGGUAAACAUUGUGUCCCCCGCCUCCUAUUACCAUUAGCCUUAGAUGCAUAGUUUGGGACCCCCUACCUGAGAUCCGCCGGUUUUGACACCGACAGGGGGAGCUGAAUAGGAUUAGGGCCCCAAGUAGGAUUCCUCCUACUUGGGCGCCUGUCGGUGUCAAAACCGGCGGAUCUCGGGUAGGGGGUCCUGAACUGUGCGUCUAGGCGGAUGGUAACAGGAGACAAGGGACACGAUGUUUUUACCCAGGUUCGGGCCCUCCCGGUGGAGGUAAAACCCUACUCCUGCUUGAUUGAUGGUAUGGGUAUUACAAGAGUUGAUCUACCACGAGAUCAGAGAGGCCAAACCCUAGAAGCUAGCCUAUGGUAUGAUUGUUGUUCAUCCUACGGACUAAAUUCUCCGGUUUAUAUAGACACCGGAGAGGGCUAGGGUUACACAGAGUCGGUUACAAUCGGAGGAGAUCUUCAUAUCGUAUCGCCAAGCUUGCCUUCUACGCCAAGGAAAGUCCCUAUCCGAACACAGAACGAAGUCUUCAAUCUUGUAUCUUCAUAGUCUGGGAGUCCGGCCAAAGGUCAUAGUCCGGUCAUCCAGACACCCCCUAAUCCAGGACUCCCUCAGUAGCCGUUGAACCAGGCUUCAACGACGACGAGUCUGGCGCGCAAGUUGUCUUCGGCAUUGCAAGGCGGGUUCCUCCUCCGAAUACUUCAUAGAAGAUGUUGAACACCAGGAUAGUGUUCAGCUCUGCAAAAUAAUUUCCAUAUGCCACCAUAGAGAGAAUAACAUUUGCACCGAUCUAAUCUGCUGACGUAUUCCGUAGCGUGACCUCACGCCACGGCCAGGCUUUUAUUCAUUUUACUGUUCCACCUCAACGCGUUUAGCGAGGCGGUUUCCUUGGCACAUCUUGUCAAAGUAGAGAUCGUGUCCCCUUAUUCCGGGAUUCUCAUCAAUACGGGCGUGGGUAACCCAACUGCGCCAUUAAAUCGCAGCGCUUGGAAGAUAAGCGAGUUUUAAUAGGCUGGUGGGGGCUCGUAGUUUUGGCCGCCCAUAUAAGGGGAUAAGGAUCUACCCUUUCCAUUUACGCCCUCUUCCUCCUUUGCUUAUCCCUCCCUGCGUACUCGAGCUCCAGCGCCCAAGCCCGCACAUCUCGCCUCGACCUACUCCAACCAUGUCCGGAGCGGGAGGCAACUGGAUGGCCUCCUCCGUCACGGAGGGGCACAUCAAAAGGUUGCGGAAAGCCGGAUACCUGCACAACGACAUUGCGCACCGGCUUCCACACGAGGGGCAGCUCAUCCCCACCCCUAGGCCCCAUGAGAGGGUUGUAUUUCUUCCCCAUUUCCUUCGCGGACUGGGCUUUCCUCUUCACCCGUUCGUCCGGGGGCUCACGUUCUAUUACGUCCUGGACUUCCAUGAUCUGGCCCCAAACUUCAUCCUCAACAUCUCGGUGUUUAUCGUCGUGUGCGAGGCCUUCCUCCGCAUCGAGCUCCAUUUUGGCCUAUGGCUGAAGAUUUUCAGCGUCAAGCCGAAGGUCGUGGGCGGACGCCAAGCAGAGUGCGGAGGCGCCAUGGUGGGAAAGAUAGCCAAUGUUACAUGGCUCGAGGGCGCCUUCGUAGAGACCAUCAAAGGGUGGCAAUUGGGGUGGUUCUAUAUAACCGAACCGCGUGACCCUGAAUGGGCAGCGGCCCCCGAAUUCCGAUCUGGCAUCCCCACGCGGCUCACAUCUUGGAAAGAGAUGGGCCUGUCGUGGGGAAAUCCGGUAAAGGUGACCGGACUUCAAACCUGCAUCAAGGACCUGAUCGGCAGGAAGGUUAAACUCGUCACCGUGGUCCAGGUCAUGCUCUUCUGCCGGAUUCUCCCGUGUCAACGACGGGCUUCCAAUUUGUGGGAGUUCGACCCGGCCCAGCACCAGACUCUGUCCCGACUUUUCGACACAAAGCAUGAAGAUGCCUGGAGGGUGCUAUUCAAGAGCUCCGAGGUCCCCCCUCCCGUCAUCGAGGAUCCUGGAUUUUGCACCAAGCGCCAAGCCAGCGUGGUGAGCUUACUUUUCCCAUUUUGGGAUAUUUUGUUUUCCAUAGUUUAACUCUAUGCGGGAUGUAAACUCCCUUACCUUUGACAGGACUGGCUGAAGAAGUCCGAGCAGGUCAACUGUCCGGCUCCUUUGCCCGAAGACCCAGCGGAUGAUCGUCUAACCAAGCUGCUGGUUCCAGCACCCCACGUGGUGCCGGAGAAGAAGGCCAAGAAGAAAACACGGGGACUCGAAAGAGCUCCCGGUGCCUGGUGGUGUCGGAUUCUUCGCCUGACAGCCCCGAAGCCCCCUCCGCCUCUGAAGACGAGGAGGAGGAAGAGGAAGAAGAAGCCCCUCCCCCUCCAAUGGGGGAAGGAAAGAAAAGGAAGGCCGCCCCAACUACGGAGGCCGGAGGGUCCAUGAAGGGGAAAAUCCUUCUACUGGACUACGCCUCCGAUGCCGAAGACGGCGGGGAGGAAUGGCCAUCCAGGGUCAAGCCCCUGGCAAAAUCAUAAGUGUCCGGCUACCUGAAUGACUCAUGGCGCCUCUCUACUAUUCGAUAGCUUCUGAUGCCGAAUUUUAAUUAUGCAGUCCACCCAGAGCUCAGCUCGGCAAUUUGUCGAGCGGCUCCCUGAAUUCGUCGGAUGUGAAUAGCGCUUCACUUCCGACGGCUUCCUCCCCACUCCCUACGGACGACGCCGAGGCGGAGUCCCAAAAGGGACCGAACCAGGAGGAGGUGGUCCUGGAGGCGCCCCAAGGUGACCUCCCGGACUCCAAGCCCAAAGGGGGCAAAGCCCCGGAGAGAUCUAAGUCCGGCCCCGGGCCGGACACUGCUCCGGAACCACCAACGGUUCCAGAGUCCGAUAGGUGGCGCCUUUAUAAGAAGGGCAAGCCUACGCCGCCGGCGACCUCUGUCCAUCCGGAGGCGCCGGACAAUUUGCUGGAGGCGCUUAAGGGUGCCUCCAUCGACGAGGAACACCGCACUGUUAUGAGUGCGGUGAUUCAAAAGGUUCAGUCCGCCAAAAGCGGGCUGACAGGAGCCUGUACAAGUCUGUUAACAGGCUUUGAGGUAUGUGUUCAAAACAUAUAAAAAUGUAACCGCGUAGACAGUAGCCCCUGAUGCUCGGUUCGGUGUUCAGAAAAGAAAAGCCGAGCUGAGGAUCUAAAAAGAUAUACGCAGGAGUCUAUUAAAAAUAUGUCGAUAUGGGAAUGCAGGCUGCGCUGCUGACCUCUGUCGCACUGACUGUGGAGGUCAAUGCAUUGAAGGGAAGCCUCGAGCGGUCCGAGAGCGAGCUCGGCCGUGGCAAGAAGCAGCUCGAGGACAAGGAGGGUAUGUAAUACUGUAUGUAAAUGUAUAUAGAGAUACUUGGUUGCAAAUAAUGACAGGACCAACUUAAAUGUUUCAGGGGCCACAGCCGAGGUGGCGACCCUGAAGGAGGCGGUCACGAAGGCUGAAAACAGUGCGGCACUAGAGCGCGCCGAGCGAGAGAAGCAGGAGGCGCGGGUGGCGGAGGUGCGGCAAGAGCUCCAGGCUCUCGUGGAAAAACACGAGAGUUUGGAGCAUGACUCGAAGACUCGAGAGUCCGAGCUCGCAUUGGCGCUUGAGAGUGCCAAAAACGCUAAGGCCGAAGCCCAGAAGGCCCUCCAGGAGAUCGAGGCGAUGAAGAAAAUAGCGGCGGGUAAGGCAUUUUUUAUGCAAAGCAAGAAUAUAAAAACUAAUUAUCUGCUACUUACCCGAAUCCGGAGCUCUCCAGGAGUGUUCGCCGAUCUGCCCCGUAGUGUGUCUGAUGCCGCCACAUACUACCGAGCCGAAGAGGGGAGCUCGACGGAAAAAGUUUUCUGGUCUCAGUAUGCUGAGGCCGAACAUCCGGUGCCCCUGAGCGACCAGCUGAAGCAGCUGGUCGAGCUCCACAAGGUGGCCGAAUAGGCCAUGAAGGGCCUCAUAGCUCGGCUGUGGCCUGGAGAAGCUAUGCCUGGGAGCUACUUCGGUCUGGUGCGGCGGCUGGUUGACGCGUGUCCGUGGAUUGAGGUCGUCAAGCGCUCCGUCUGUAUUAAAGGUGCCCGCCGGGCCCUUGCCCGUGCUAAAGUGCACUGGGGCAAGCUGGACGCUGAGAAGCUUUUGUCGGACGCGCCCCCGCCGGGCAAGGAGUAUCGCACGCCCGAGAUAUAUUAUAAGGGCGUCCUGAAGGGUGCUCGCCGUAUAGCGGACGAAUGCACUAAAGAUGUAAUUUUUGAGUAGGCUCGCAUCUGUUAUCCUGUACGCUGAAAACUUUGUUCAUAUGCGCUAAGCAACGCUUGUUAAUUUAAAAUAUUACCUUCUGUGCGGCCGUUUAUCAAAUCUGAGAGAUGCAAGUCGUCGGCUUCGACCCCCAUGCCACGAGUGCUGGGGUGUUCGGGAUAAACCUGAGCGCUCUUGUUCCCAUUUUUGGGUCCAUCUAGGGAGGCGCUCAGCACAACGAACCAGGCCGUCGGACUUAUAAUGUUUUAUCACUCUCACUUAGCCAUAGAAUCCUAUAAUUUUAAAUUUCGGGGAAGCCCCUAGUAUUCGGAAGAUCGAGUUCGGGGCGCUAUCCACGCCUAGGCCGGAUAAGUCUGGUUCCUCGCUCUAAGCGGCAUAAGUCUUUAAGGACUCGAAAAACCUCGCGAACAGUGACCGGUCUCUCGCACUAUCAUGACGGUCAGUUUUAGCUUUCUCUACUGAGGUGUUAACCCAGAUCAAUUGGGGCACAAUCGCAGUAGUUCUCCAAGUGCUACCUUAGCCAACAUUGCGGAACAUAAGGUACCAAAACAUGGGAGCCGGGCAAACCCAACUAUUGACCAAAGACAUGAUUCGGAGCCGAUGCAUAUAGUGCUAUAAGUUCGGGGUGCGGCACUCCUAAGAGUGUUCGGUCUUGUCACACCAUGUUAUGGGGUGCUUUAGCCCCUGGUGUAUUGUCCGUACCAAAGUGUACGGUUGCAUAAUGUCAUGACUGAACAUAUAUAUAAAAAGGAAUACAAUAAUAGAUAGAAGCUAUGUAUUGUUUAUUAUUAAAAAAUUGCUGCUAUGAAAGCAGAACAAUACAAAUAGUGCGAUAAGCAAGGGAUGGGAUUAUUUGACAUGUCCCCCUCCAGGGGCAAGCUGCGGGAUUUUAAGUAAAAUAGGUAGUAAGCUCGUUAUAGAGACCACCUGGACAUUUGAUGCGGCUUGUCCUCACCCUGGCUAUUGCAUCGUGUGUUCUGCAAGUGUAUUGCCGGACAGGCCUUCUGAGUAGUUGGGUCCUGAAAGUAUAUAAAAAAGGAAAACGACCGAAUAGGGAGCCCCUUAGUGCGGUUGAGCCGCAUUCUGGGCGUGCCGUAGUUGCGCCCCUUCCCUUAUGCCCAUGGUAUUUUCAAAGCAUAAUUAUGUACGCGUGAUACCGAUAGCACUAUCUGACGAGGGCUGGGGUUGGGGCCGCACUGCUAUGCUUGCUCGGCUCUGUUGUAGGUUGCUUCGGGCGCGCUUGACGUUGUCCGGACGUUUAAUACCCGGAUUGGAGAGCUGCCUUGAGAGGCUGCUUUGUACUUCCGCCGCGAGGGCCGCUGUGUGCUCCUCCGUUCGGAGAGAGCGUUCGGUGUUUCCAUUUACCAUGAUGACUCCGCGAGGGCCUGGCAUCUUGAGCUUGAGAUAUGUGUAGUGCGGCACCGCAUUGAACUUUGCAAAUGCGGUUCGUCCGAGCAAGGCGUGAUAGCCGCUGCAGAAUGGGACUAUGUCGAAGAUUAACUCUUCGCUUCGAAAAUUAACCGGGGAUCCGAAGACCACUUCGAGUGUAACUGAGCCUGUACAGCUGGCUUCUACACCCGGUAUGACACCUUUAAAGGUUGUCUUUGUGGGUUUGAUCCCUGAGGGAUCUAUACCCAUUUUUCGCACUGUAUCCUGAUAAAGCAGGUUCAAGCUAUUGCCGCUGUCCAUGAGGACUCUGGUGAGGUGAAAUCCGUCAAUGAUUGGGUCUAGGACCAAUGCGGCGAAUCCGCCGUGACGGAUGCUGGUGGGGUGGUCCCUUCGAUCAAAUGUGAUCGGGCAGGAGGACCAUGGGUUGAACUUUGGGGCGACUGGCUCCAACGCAUAGACGUCCUUGAGAGCACGCUUCCGCUUUCUCUUGGGGAUAUGGGUUGCGUAUAUCAUGUUCACCGUCCGCACUUGCGGGGGGAAUCCCUUCUGUCCUCUGUUGUUUGGCGGCCGGGGCUCCUCCUCGUUAUCGCUACGCAGCCUCUUGUCUCUGGUUUCGGCACUUACCUUGCCUGCCUGCUUGAACACCCAACAAUCCCUGUUGGUGUGGUUGGCUGGUUGUUCGGGGGUGCCGUGUAUCUGGCACGAGUGGCCGAGUAUCCGGUCUAAGUUGGAUGGGCCUAGAGGGUUUCUUUUGAAUGGCUUCUUCCGCUGACCGGGUUUAGAGCCUCUAAAUCCGGCAUUGACUGCCGUAUCCUCAGUAUUGUCGCUGUUAAUGCAGUGCUUGUGCUUGUUGCGACGUGACCUGCCAUUGUUGUCCUUGGUAUCCGAAUUACCAAGGCUCUUGGUUAUGUUAUUGCUACGAGCUAGCCAGCUGUCUUCGCCCGUGCAGAAGCGGGUCAUGAGUGUCAUGAGGGCUGCCAUAGAUUUCGGCUUUUCCUGUCCUAGGUGCCGGGCAAGCCAUUCAUCUCGGAUGUUGUGCCUGAAGGCAGCAAGGGCCUCGGCAUCCGGACAGUCGACUAUUUGAUUUUUCUUGGUUAGGAACCGUGUCCAGAAUUGUCUGGUCGAUUCCUCUGGCUGCUGGAUUAUGUGGCUUAGGUCAUCGGCGUCUGGUAGUCGCACGUAAGUGCCCUGGAAGUUGUCAAGGAAUGCGGAUUCCAGGUCCUCCCAGCAACUAAUUGACUCUGCUGGCAGGCUGUUAAGCCAAUGUCGAGCUGGUCCUUUAAGCUUGAGCCGGAGGUAUUUGAUGGCGUGUAGAUCAUCCCCACGGGCCAUGUGGAUAUGAAGGAGGUAAUCCUCGAUCCGUACCGCGGGAUCAGUUGUGCUGUCAUAUGAUUCAAUGUUUAUGGGCUUGAAACCCUCGGGGAUUUGAUGAUCCAUUACUUCGUCUGUGAAGCAUAGUGGGUGUGCGGCGCCCCUGUACUGGGCUAUAUCGCGGCGCAACUCGGAUGAGCUUGGUCUGUUGUAUUCGGCCUGGCCGUAUUUAUCAUAUUCAGUGUGACGGUUAUCAUCACGUGAUGUGGGGCGCCCAUGCGAUCCGUAGAUCGAUCUUGUUUGCCUUGCCUUGUCCUCUAGUAUGUCUUGCAGGUCUGUUGCGUCUCCCCAUACUUUGUUAUGUUUUGAGUGGUGCCGGGUGCGGCUUGGGUCGAGGGCCUGAAGGUCUCUCUGUUGUGGCCAUGGGGUGGCCGAUUGGGAGCAUCAUACGCUGGUAAUGUAGGUCUAGUUGCUUCCUCCUCAAGUCAGGGUAGCAGCCUGCACUUUGGGUAGCUCUUGGAAGGGCGCUCGAGUUUAUGCUCUUCGACUGCCAGGAUUUCGGUCCAUCUGUCGGCUAGCAAGUCUUGGUAAGCUCUAAGCUGCUGCUGUUUUUUCUUGAGGCUGAGUGUCGUGGCCAUAAGCCUGCGUUUGAAACGCUCUUGUUCGACUGGAUCCUCUGGCACGACGAAUUCGUCGUCGUCGAGGCUUGCCUCGUCUUCGGAGGGAGGCAUAUAGUUGUCGUCCUCAACCUCUCUGUCGGCCGCUCUCUCAUGAGGGCUGGCUCCUUCGUCCUCCUGCACUGAAUCCUGCUGCAGGGGCUUAUCUUCGGCACUGUCCGGCGUGUUGUUAUCUCCGGUGCCGGAUUCGCAGUUCUUGCUUUGGCGGGAUUUAGAGCGGCGCCGCUGACGUCGGCGCUUGGGUUGCUUCUUGGAGGGGUCAUCCUCCGUUUUUUCCUCGCCAUCCCCUGCUUUGGGGGUGUCCACCAUGUAUAUGUCAUAUGACGAGGUGGCUUUCCAGUUCCCUGUAGGCGCUGGUUCUUGGUCGUCUCCUUCAUCGGCGUCCAUACCGUCAAUGUCUUCGGAGUCAAAGUCGAGCAUGUCCGUUAGAUCGUCGACAGUGGCUAUAAAGUGGGUGGUGGGUGGGUUUCGAAUUUCUUCGGCGUCCGUACCCCAACCAUGCUGACCAUAAUCCGGCCAGGGCUCUCCUGACAAAGAGAGAGACUUUAGGGAGUUCAGGAUAUCACCAAAGGGCGAGUGCUGAAAGACGUCCGCGGCGGUGAACUCCAUGAUCGGAGCCCAAUCGGGUUCGAUUGGAAGGGGUGCGGAAGAUUCGGAGUCCGGAAUGGAGUCCGGCACCUUGGAGUCACGGGCCUUGCAAAGGACUAGGCUGGUAUUCGGCUCUAUCGCCGUAGAGAUUGUGGCUCCUGGGGCAGCGUCCAACCGUCCGUCCCUGGUUGGCGCAGUCGGCUCCGAACUAAUGGUCGGAGCGGACUCCUAAGCGGCACUCUGGGCGCUGUCUGGCGGCAGAGCUAGGUCAUGCCCAUCGAGACAGUGCGGUGCGCUCGGCCGUGGCUCGAAUCCGUCGAAGUUCAAGUCCCCGCGAAUGUCGGCCGUGUAGUUUAAGCUUCCAAACCUGACCUGAUGGCCAGGGGCGUAGCUUUCGAUCUGCUCCAGAUGGCCAAACGAGUUGGCCCGCAGUGCAAAGCCGCCGAAUACGAAGAUCUGUCCGAGGAGAAAAGUCUCACCCCGGACUGCGUCGUGGUUGAUGAUCGAAGAAGCCAUCGUGCCUAAAGGCAACGACAUAGAGGAACUCUCAAUGAAAGCACCAAUGUCGGUGUCAAAACCGGCGGAUCUCGUGUAGGGGGUCCCGAACUGUGCGUCUAGGCGGAUGGUAACAGGAGACAAGGGACACGAUGUUUUUACCCAGGUUCGGGCCCUCUCGGUGGAGGUAAAACCCUACUCCUGCUUGAUUAAUAUUGAUGGUAUGGGUAUUACAAGAGUUGAUCUACCACGAGAUCAGAGAGGCCAAACCCUAGAAGCUAGCUUAUGGUAUGAUUGUUGUUCGUCCUACGGACUAAAACUCUCCGGUUUAUAUAGACGCCGGAGAGGGCUAGGGUUACACAGAGUCGGUUACAAUGGGAGGAGAUCUUCAUAUCGUAUCGCCAAGCUUGCCUUCUACGCCAAGGGAAGUCCCUAUCCGGACACGGAACGAAGUCUUCAAUCUUGUAUCUUCAUAGUCCGGGAGUCCGGCCAAAGGUCAUAGUCCGGUCAUCCGGACAUCCCCUAAUCCAGGACUCCCUCAGCGCCCCCUUGGCUGCUCCCUCUCCCUCCAACCAAUAUAUAUGAGGGUAGGGCACCGCUAGAACACACAAUAUUGAUUCCUAGCCAUGUGCGGCGCCCCCUCCAUAGUUUACGCCUCCGGUUAUAUUCAUGUAGUGCUUAGGUGAAGCCCUGCGCGGAUCACUUCACCAUCAUUGUCACCACGCCAUCGUGCUGAUGCAACUCUCCCUCGACACUUUGCUAGAUCGAGAGUUCGAGGGACGUCAUCGAGAUGAACGUGUGUAGAACUCGGAGGUGUCGUACGUUUCAUGCUCGAUCGGUCGGAACGAGAAGAAGUUCGACUACAUCAACCGCGUGGUCAAACGCUUCCGCUUUUGGUCUACGAGGGUACAUGGACACACUCUCCCCCUCUCGUUGCUAUGCAUCUCCUAGAUAGAUCUUGCGUGAGCAUAGGAAUUUUUCAAAUUGCAUGCUAUGUUUCCCAAUAGUGGCAUCACAGCCAGGUCUAUGCGUAGAUGAUAUGCACGAGUAGAACACAAAGAGUUGUGGGUGGUGAUUGUCAUACUACUUACCACCAAUGUAUUAUUUUGAUUCGGCGGUAUUAUUGGAUGAAGCGGCCCGAACCAACCUUACAUGACCACGUUCAUGAGAUCGGUUCCACCGAUAGACAUGCGACUAGUUUUGCAUAAAGGUGGCUUGCGGGUGUCUGUUUCUCCAACUUUAGUUGAAUUGAAUUUGACUGCGGCCGGUCCUUGUGAAGGUUAAAACAACAAACUUGAUAAAUCACGGUUGUGGUUUUGUGCCGUAGGUAAGAACGGUUCUUUCUAGAAGCCUGUAGCAGCCACGUAAAACUUGCAACAACAAAGUGGAGGACAUCUAACUUGUUUUUGCAGGGCAUGUUGUGAUGUGAUAUGGUCAAGACAUGAUGUGAUAUAUGUUGUUGUAUGAGAUGAUCAUGUUUUGUAUAAGUUAUCGGCAACUGGCAGGAGCCUUAUGGUUGUCGCUUUAUUCUAUGAAAUAUAAAUGCCAUGAAAUUUCUUUACUUUAUCACUAAGCGAUAGUGAUAGCUGUAGAAGCAAUAGUUGGCGAGACGACCACGACGCUACGAUGGAGAUCAAGGUGUCAAGCCGGUGAUGAUGGAGAUCAUGACGUUGCUUUGGUGAUGGAGAUCAAAAGCACAAGAUGAUGAUGGCCAUAUCAUGUCGCAUAUUUUGAUUGCAUGUGAUGUUUAUCUUUAUGCAUCUUAUUUUUCUUAGUAUGGAGGUAGCAUUAUAAGAUGAUCCCUUAACUAAAUUUCAAGGUAUAAGUGUUCUCCCCGAGUAUGCACCGUUGCGAAAGUUCUUUGUGCUGAGACACCACGUGAUGGUCGGGUGUGAUAAGCUCUAUGUUCAAAUACAACAGGUGCAAGCCAGUUUUGCACAUGCAGAAUACUCGGGUUAAACUUGACGAGCCUAGCAUGUACAGACAUGGCCUCGGAACACUGGAGAAUGAAAGGUCGAACGUUAAUCAUAUAGUGGAUAUGAUCAACAUAGAGACGUUCACCAUUGAUGACUACUCCAUCUCACGUGAUGAUUGGACAUGGUUUAGUUGAUUUGGAUCAUGUAUCAUUUAAUGACUUGAGGGAUGUCUAUCUAAGUGGGAGUUCUUAAGUAAUAUGAUUAAUUGAACUUAAUUUAUCAUGAACUUAGUCCUGAUAGUAUUUGCAAAUUAUGUUGUAGAUCAAUAGCUCGCGUUGUAGCUCCCCUAUGUUUUUUAUAUGUUCCUAGAGAAAGCUAAGUUGAAAGAUUAUAGUAGGAAUGAUGUGGUCUGGGUCCGUGAUCUAAGGAUUAUCCUCAUUGCUGCAUAGAAGAAUUGUGUCCAUAAUGCACCGCUAGGUGACAGACCUAUUGCAGGAGCAGAUGCAGAUGUUAUGAACGUUUAGCAAGCUCGAUAUGAUGACUACUUGAUAGUUUAGUGCACCAUGCUUUAUGGCUUAGAACCAGGACUUCAAAAACAUUUUGAACACCAUAGAGCAUAUGAGAUGUUCCAAGAGUUGAAAUUGGUAUUUCAGACUCAUGCCCGUGUCGAGAGGUAUGAGAGCUCUAACAAGUACUUUGCCUAAAAGAUGGACGAGAAUAGCUCAGCUAGUGAGCAUGCGCUCAGAAUGUCUGGGUAGUGCAAUCGCUUGAAUCAAGUGGGGGUUAAUCUUCCAGAUAAGAUAGUGAUUGAUAGAGUUCUCUAGACAACAUCACCAAGCUACUAGAACUUUGUGAUGAACUAUAAUAUGCAAGGGAUGACGAAAGCGAUUCCUGAGCUCUUCGUGAUGCUGAAAUCGAUGAAGGUAGAAAUCAAGAAAAAGCAUCAAGUGUUGAUGAUUAAACAAGACCACUAGUUUCAAGAAAAGGGCAAAGGAAAAUAAAGGGAACUUCAAGAAGAAUGGUAACCAAGUUUUCGCUCCCAUGAAAAAGCCCAAAGCUAGACUUAAGCCUAAAACUGAGUGCUUCUACUGCAAAGGAAAUGGUCACUGGAAGCGGAACUACCACAAAUAUUUGGAGGAUAAGAAGGAUGGCAAAGUGAACAAAGGUAUAUUUGAUAUACAUGUUGUUGAUGUGUACCUUACUAGUGCUCGUAGUAGCCCCUGGGUAUUUGAUGCAUGUUCGGUUGCUAAGAUUAGUAAGUCGAAACAGGGGUUGCAAAAUAAAUAGAGACUAGUUGAGGGUGAAGUGACGAUGUGUGUUGGAAGUGGUUCCAAGAUUGAUAUGAUCAUCAUCGCACACUCCCUAUACUUUCGUCAUUAGCGUUGAACCUAAAUAAGUGUUAUUUGGUGUUUGCAUUGAGCAUGAAUAUGAUUAGAUCAUGUUUAUUGCAAUACAGUUAUUCAUUUAAGACAGAGAAUAUUUGUUGUUCUAUUUACAUGAAUAAAACCUUCUAUGGUCAUACACCCAAUGUUAAUGUUUUAUUGAAUCUCGGUCGUAGUGAUACACAUAUUCAGAAUAUUGAUGCCAAAAGAUGCAAAGUUGAUAAUUAUAGUGCAACAUACUUGUGCCACUGCCGUUUAGGUCAUAUUGGUGUAAAGCGCAUGAAGAAACUCCAUGCUUAUGGGAUUUUGGAAUCACUUGAUUAUGAAUUAUUUGAUACUUGCGAACCAUGCCUCAUUGGCAAGAUGACUAAAACUCCAUUCUCCGGAACAAUGGAGAGAGCCAAUGACUUAUUGAAAAUAAUACAUACCGAUGUAUGCGGUCCCAUGAGUGUUGAGGCACGCGGUGGGUAUCGUUAUUUUCUAACAUUCACAGAUAAUUUGAGCAGAUAUGGGUAUAUCUACUUAAUGAAACACAAGUCUGAAACAUUUGAAAAGUUCAAAGAAUUUCAGGGUGAAGUGUAGAAUCAUCGUAAGAAGUAAAUAAAGUUUCUACGAUCUAAUCGUGGAGGGGAAUAUUUGAGUUAUGAGUUUGUCCUUCAUUUAAAACAAUGUGGAAUAGUUUCACAGCUCACGCCACCUGGAACACCAUAGCGUAAUGGUGUGUCCAAACAUCGUAAAUGCACUUUAUUAGAUAUGGUGCGAUCUAUGAUGUCUCUUACCAAUUUACCACUAUCGCUUUGGGGUUAUGCAUUAGAGACAGAUGCAUUCACAUUAAACAGGGCACCAUCAAAAUCCGUUGAGACGACACCGUAUGAACUAUGGUUUGGCAACAAACCUAAGCUGUCGUUUCUUAAAGUUUAGGGAUGCGAUGCUUAUGUCAAAAGGCUUUAGUCUGAUAUCAAACCCAAAUUGGAGAAGUGCGUCUUCAUAGGAUACCAUAAGGAAACAAUUGGGUACACCUUCUACCAUAGAUCCGAAGGCAAGAUAUUUGUUGCUAAGAAUGGAACCUUUCUAGAGAAGGAGUUUCUCUCGAAAGAAGUGAGUGGGAGGAAAGUAGAACUUGAUGAGGUAAUUGUACCUUCUCUUAAUUUGGAAAGUAGUUCAUCCGACAAAUCCGUUCCCGUGAUGCCUACGCCAAAUAGAGAGGAAGCUAACGAUAAUGAUCAUGAAACUUCAGAUCAAGUUGCUACAGAACCUCGUAGGUCAACCAGAGCAUGAUCCGCACCAGAGUGGUACGGUAAUCCUGUUUUGGAAGUCAUGUUACUAGACCAUGAUGAACCUACGAACUAAGAAGAAGCUAUGAUGAGCCCAGAUUCCGAUAAAUGGCUUGAGGCCAUGAAAUCUGAGAUAGAAUCCAUGUAUGAGAAUAAAGUGUGGACUUUGGUUGACUUGCUCGAUGAUCAGCGAGCCAUAGAAAAUAAAUGGAUAUUCAAGAGGAAGACAGACAGUGAUGGUAGUGUUACUAUCUACAAAGCUCGAAUUGUCGUAAAAGGUUUUUGACAAGUUCAAGGUGUUGACUACGAUGAGAUUUUCUCACUCGUAUCAAUGCUUAAGUCUAUCUGAAUCAUGUUAGCAAUUGCUGCAUUUUAUGAAAUCUGGAAAAUGGAUAUCAAAACUGCAUUCCUUAAUGGAUUCAUUAAAAAAAGUUGUACUAGAAGGUUUUUGUCAGUCCUAAAGGUGCUAACAAAAUGUGCAAGCUCCAGCGAUCCCAUCUAUGGACUGGUGCAAGCAUCUCAAAGUUGGAAUAUACGCUUUGAUGAGUUGAUCAAAGCAUAUAGUUUUAUACAGACUUGAGGUGAAGCCUGUAUUUACAAGUAGUGGGAGCACUACAACCUUUCUGAUAAGUAUAUUUGAAUGACAUUGUUGAUCAGAAAUGAUGUUGAAUUUUCUGGAAAGCAUAAAGGAGAGUUUGAAAGGAGUUUUUCAAAGAAAGACCUCGGUGAAGCUGCUUACAUAUUGGGUAUCAAGAUCUAUAGAGAUAGAUCAAGAUGCUUGAUAAGAUUUUUCAAUGAGUACAUACCUUGACAAGAUUUUGAAGUAGUUCAAAAUGGAACAGUCAAAGAAGGAGUUCUUUCCUGUAUUGCAAGGUGUAAAGUUGAGUAAGACUCAGAACCCGACCACAGCAGAAAAUAGAAAGAGAAUGAAAGUCAUUCCCUAUGCCUCUGUCAUAGGUUCUAUAAAGUAUGCUAUGAUGUGUACCAGACCUAUUGUGUACCUUAUCAUGAGUUUGGCAAGGGGGUACGAUAGUGAUCCAGGACUGGAUCACUGGAUAGCGGUCAAAGUUAUCCUUAGUUACCUAAGAGGACUAAGGAAAUAUUUCUCGGUUAUGGAGGUGAUAAAGAGUUCUCUGUAAAGAGUUACGUCGAUGCAAGAUUUUACACCGAUCCGGAUGACUAUGAGUCUCUAUCUGGAUACAUAUUAAAAGUGGGAGCAAUUAGCUAGAGUAGCUCCAUGCAGAGAAUUGUAGACAUAGAAAAUUUGCAAAAUACAUAUGGCUCUGAAAUAUGGCAGACCCGUUGACUAAACCUCUCUCACAAGCAAAACAUGAUCACACCUAAAUACUCUUUGGGUGUUAAUCACAUAGUGAUGUGAACUAGAUUAUUGACUCUAGUAAAACCUUUUUGGUGUUGGUCACAUGGUGAUGUGAACUAUGGGUGUUAAUCACAUAAAGAUGUGAACUAUUGGUAUUAAAUCACAUGGCGAUGUGAACUAGAUUAUUGACUCUAGUGGAAGUGGGAGACUGAAGGAAAUAUGCCCUAGAGGCAGUAAUAAAGUUGUUGUUUUAUAUUUCCUUAUUUCAUGACAAAUGUUUAUUAUUCAUGCUAGAAUUGUAUUAACCAGAAACUUGAUACAUGUGUGGAUACAUAGACAAAACAUCGUGUCCCUAGUAUGCCUCUACUUGACUAGCUCGUUAAUCAAAGAUGGUUAAGUUUCCUAGCCAUAGACUUGUGUUGUCAUUUGAUGAAAGGGAUCACAUCAUUAGGAGAAUGAUGUGAUGGAUAAGACCCAUCUGUUAGCUUAGCAUAAUGAUUGUUCAGUUUUAUUGCUACUUCUUUCUUCAUGUCAAAUAUAUACUCCUCCGACUAUGAGAUUAUGCAACUCCCGGAUGCCGAAGGAAUGCCUUGUGUGGUAUCAAACAUCACAGCGUAACUGGGUGAUUAUAAAGAUUCUCUACAGGUAUCUUCGAAGGUGUUUGUUGGGUUGGCAUAGAUCGAGAUUAGGAUUUGUCACUCCGAGUAUCGGAGAGGUGUCUCUGGGCCCUCUCGGUAAUGCACAUCAUAUGAAGCCUUGCAAGCAAUGUGACUAAUGAGUUAGUUACAGGACGAUGCAUUACAGAACGAGUAAAGAGACUUGCUAGUAAUGAGAUUGAACUAGGUAUGAAAGAUACCGACGAUCGAAUCUCGAGCAAGUAACAUACCGAUGACAAAGGGAAUAACGUAUGUUGUCAUAAUGGUUCGACGGAUAAAGAUAUUCGUAGAAUAUGUGGGAGACAAUAUGAGCAUCCAGGUUCCGCUAUUGGUUAUUGACCGGAGAGGUGUCUCAGUCAUGUCUACAUAGUUCUCAAACCCAUAGGGUCCACACGCUUAACAUUUGAUGACAAUUUGUAUUAUAUGAGUUAUGUGAUUUGAUGACCGAAUGUUGUUCGAAGUCCUGGAUGAGUUCACGGACAUGACGAGGAGUCUCGAAAUGUUCGAGAGGUAAAUAUUAUAUAUAAGACAAUAGUAUUUGGACACCAGAAGUGUUCCGGGGGUACCGGGUAUGUAUCGGGUCACCGGAACGGGUUCCGGGCAACCCCCGGCAAACUACAUGGGCCUAAUGGGCCAAGAAGGGGACAGACCAGCCCCUAAGGGGCUGGUGCACCCUGUGUAGGCUGAAUUAGGAGAGGGGAAGGAAAGAGGGGAAUAGAGGAGGAACGGGAGGGAUUCGGCCUCCCCCUUCCUUCCCUCCUCCCUCCUCCUUCCUUCCCCCUCCGGAAGAUAUGGAAAGGGGGGAGCCGAAUAGGAUUAGGGCCCCAAGUAGGAUUCCUCCCACUUGGGCGCCCCUUGGCUGCUCCCUCUCCCUCCCACCUAUAUAUAUGAGGGUAGGGCACCACUAGAACACACAAUAUUGAUUGUGGUGCCCUCUCCAUAGUUUACACCUCUAGUCAUAUUCACAUAGUGCUUAGGCGAAGCCCUACACGGAUCACUUCACCAUCACCGUCACCUCGCUAUUGUGCUGAAGCAACUCUCCCUCAACACUUUGCUGGAUCAAGAGUUCGAGGGACGUCAUUGAGCUGAACGUGUGUAGAACUCGGAGGUGUCGUACAUUUGGUGCUUGAUCGGUCGGAACAAGAAGAAGUUCGACUACAUCAACUGCGUUGUCAAACACUUCCGCUUUCGGUCUAUGAGGGUACGUGGACACACUCUCCCCCUCUUGUUGCAGUCAAAGUUAUCCUUAGUUACCUAAGAGGACUAAGGAAAUAUUUCUCGGUUAUAGAGGUGAUAAAGAGUUCAUCGUAAAGAGAUACGUCGAUGCAAGCUUUUACACCAAUCCACAUGACUCUGAGUCUCAAUCUGGAUACAUAUUGAAAGUGAGAGCAAUUACCUAUAGUAGAUCCAAGCAGAGAAUUGUAGACAUAGGAAAUUUGCAAAGCACAUACGGCUCUGAAUAUGGCAGACCCGUUGACUAAACUUCUCUCACAAGCAAAACAUGAUCACACCUUAGUACUCUUUGGGUGUUAAUCACAUAGCGAUGUGAAAUAGAUUAUUGACUCUAGUAAACCCUUUGGGUGUUGGUCACAUGGCGAUGUGAACUAUGGGUGUUAAUCACAUACAGAUGCAAACUAUUGGUGUUAAAUCACAUGGGGAUGUGAACUAGAUUAUUGACUCUAGUGGAAGUGGGAGACUAAAGGAAAUAUGCCCUAGAGGCAAUAAUAAAGUCAUUAUUUAUAUUUCCUUAUAUCAUGAUAAAUGUUUAUUAUUCAUGCUAGAAUUGUAUCAACCGGAAACUUAGUACAUGUGUGGAUACAUAGACAAAACAAAGUGUCCCUAGUAUGCCUCUACUUGACUAGCUCAUUAAUCAAAGAUGGUUAUGUUUCCUGACCAUAGACAUGUGUUGUCAUUUGAUAAAUGGGAUCACAUCAUUAGAGAAUGAUGUGAUGGGCAAGACCCAUCUGUUAGCUUAGCAUAAUGAUUGUUAAGUUUUUAUUGCUAUUGCUUUCUUCAUGACUUAUACAUGUCCCUCUGACUAUGGGAUUAUGCAACUCCCGAAUACUGGAGGAACACCUUGUGUGCUAUCAAACAUCACAAUGUAACUGGGUGAUUAUAAAGAUGCUCUACAUGUAUCUCCGAAGGUGUUUGUUGAGUUGGCAUAGAUCGAGAUUAGGAUUUUCCACUCUGUGUAUCGGAGAGGUAUCUCUGGACCCUCUCGGUAAUGCUCAUCACUAUAAGCCUUGCAAGCAAUGUGUAACAUCCCAAAUUUUCAAUUUGGAAUGUUAUACAUUAGAUCAUUAUUGCAUAUCAUAUUCUAAUGCAUUUUGGGUUGAUCCUAGAAAUUCUACGCAACUCAAGGACCCACGGAGAGAGUUGGGGAUUUCGUUAUUUUCAUUUUUGAGUUUACUCAAAUUUUUGAAAAGAGGAUCGUUUGAUUUUAAUUAUUUUUCUUUUGAAUAUUUCUUAUAUAAAAAUAAAAGAGAGGGGAUAAAAUGACUUCCCCAAAAUAAAGAAAUAUUGGAGGUUAAAUAUUAAAAUCAAAUAAGAAUUUUAUUCAGAGUUUUAUCGCUAUUUUAUUUGAAUUAGGAAAAAAAUGCAUUUUCCAAAAUUGCAAUAGAGGCCCAAAUAAAUGUUCACUUUUUCCGCUAAAUUUUUAGAGGACGGGGAAAAUUUAUGUCAGGAUUUUUGGAGUCCUUUUAGUAUUUCUUUUCUUCGUUUUUCUGCGCGGAAUUAUUUAAAAAAAAAGUCAACCGACCUAGCCGGGCCGUGCCCGACUACGACUCCAGCCCGGCCGGCCUUCAAGAGGCGAGGCCCGAGCCACCCCAAACCCUAGCCCCGCCCCCAGCUGAUACGCCGCCGCCGCCAGACUCUGCCGACCUCGCCGCCCCGUCGGAGUUCCCGCCGCCGCCACCGCCCAUCCGAGGUAGCCGCCGGUUUUCGUUAGAAAACCAUAGGUUUUUUUUAGAAACCCUGGUUAUAUUUUUUUCGAUCGGUUUUUUUCCUGGUUUAGUUAUUUAGCGAACGCCCGUUCGUACGUUCGGUUUUACAAACGGUUUUCACCCGUUAGCCGCAGACAGUGAACGUUCGUUCGUUAGCCUUUUCGUCGGUUUCUCUUUUUCCAGGGUUUUUCGCGAUUAUUUUCGAUCGCGAUUUCUGCCCUGAUUUUUGUUUUAGUUUAUCUUUUCGCUCGUUUAUCGGAAUCAGGCGAUUCAAGAGCCCAGAUCUUUGUCUUGAAGCCCUCUUUCUAUUUAAAAAAACAUAAACAAGAUUUUGUUACUGUAAAAUUUGACUUAAGUCUAGAUUAGUAAACGGAUCUUGUUUCUUUCGUAGUUUGAGUUUCGUUGCUUCGUUUGAUUUGAUUCUUUUUGCAAACCGGAGUUCUUAAGUUAAACUUUCUAGUUAGAUCUCUUAUUUGAGUUUUACCCGUGCUUCUAGUUGAGUGCUUAUUGUAUGCUUGUUUGUUUGCGAUAGAGUACCCGGAGUGCGAAGCGUGCUACUACGAGUCUCUAGGUUUCACGGAUCCUCGGCAAGGCAAGUAACACUUUGAUCAUACCUCUUUACUACCCAGUUUUAUUGCAUUAGAUCAAUCCUCAAACAAUUGCAUGGUUAGGAUCUGAUUAAUAUGUGGGUUUUGGGAAGUAGAUGAUGAGGUAGAACCUAUUGCCCUGUUUAUUAUCAAACCUAUGGGAGUUACUUCUACGUUGCUUAUAUUGCUAUGCUAUGCUUGUACAUGUGGUUUGGUUCAAGUGAUUCAUGACAGAUGUGAGUAUUGUUAAUUAAUGGUUUACUUAAGGUGGUUACUUAAAUACACAUAUUGGUGGAUUGCUUGAAGGCACCCUGGAGUACCCAGUGGUUGCCAGGGCACCUGGAGAAUCUAGUGUUGUCCUAGGAUAUCCCGUAGUACCCAUGUGAUCAUCCUACGGUCCGCCAUCCAGGCUCAAAGGGAUCAUAAGAUUAUUCAUGCUAGAAACUUUCAUGUGCAGCCACAAGCCAAUAUGGGCUCUCGCAUAGUUGAGUAAGUUGCGUGAAGCUCUUGAAGAGGUAGACUAGCAGAUGUAGUGGGUUGUGGGUGGUACUGUCUAUCCAGAGUAGAGAGUUAAUGCUUCAGAAAGACUGUGUCUCGAAUCUCCGACCAUGGAUGUAUUCGAGUCUUGUGGGGAAAACUGCGCAAACCUCUGAAGAGUUUACAAACUAAUCAUGGUUAGUCGUGUCCCAGGUUAUGGACGUUUUGAGUAUCUAGUUAUUGGAUUAUCAUGUUGAUCUCAUCACUAUAAAUAUAAUUUUAUUGGGUUUAAUGAUGAUGUUUAAUUGGGAUUGAGUUGGAGGAACCUUCUCAAUGUUUAACAACCACCAUGAUAGUUAAAUAAAAUUUAUUCCUUUGUUGUAGGGAAAAAUUGGCUUUAUGCAAAACUGUAACCAUAGAGCUUUCCACCAGCCAUAUAUGCAUGUAGUGAUAGCAUUUAUUCUGUUCUUUUCUCUAUGUGUUACAUUGCCAGCAUAUUCCAUGUGCUGACCCGUUUCGGGCUGCAAUGUUCAUGUUGCAGACUUUUCAGACGACGAGUAAGGUGCCAUAGGUCAUUGUCUUUCACUCAGUGAUGCGGUUGGAGUUGAUGGACUCACUUUAUCUUCCAAGCCUUUCGCUGUUAUCGUUUUUAGAUGGCCCUACUCCAUAUUUAUAGUAAUAAGUUCUCUUUUGAGACAUUCGAUGUAAUAAGUGUGCGAUUGCUACUCUGUUAUAAAUCCUCAAGUACUGUGCAUGUCAGCAUUACCGAUCCAGGGAUGACACUAACGCACAUAGAUCAGACUGUUUGAGGUCUGGUCGCUACAAGAUGGUAUCAGAGCACACGCUGACUGUAGGACACGACCACUAAGCUAAAGCCCUAGAUCACUACUCUCUUCUCAUUUCUGACUCCUCUCCCUUUUCUACUCUUUAGGAUGGCGGAUGCAAGGAACAAGUUCACUCAACCGGAUGAAGAUACACCUUUUGGACGACACUUGAAGGAAGUCACUAGAUACCUGAACAUCGGAAGAUAUCAUGGAGUCUUCCACCGAUCAAUUUUUCUAGUCGACCACCAUAUCAGUAGUAGUAUCACCGCCCAUGUGUAUAGUAUAGUCCGAGCCCUUUUGUAAUGAUAGUUAGACCGCUUGUAUGCUCUUGUUUGAAUUGAUUGGAGUGAUGUGUUUGUGUUUGUCUCAUGUGCAUAUGGGUAGUGUUUUCCCUCUACAUCUCAUUCAAUUCUAUUUUCUCAUCUUUUCUAAACCCAUCAGAUGCCUCCGAGAUGCGACAAUGGAUUUGCUUUCCCACCGGAGCUCACUUAGUUGAUCCAGCAGCAGAAUGCCUUCAUGCAGAUACUAGUCCAGAAUCAGAACCAGGGGAACAACAACAACAACCAACCAACCAACCACCACCACCACUUGUUGAUCACUUAGCCCGUUUUCUAAGGUUGAAUCCAUCAGUGUUCUCUAGUAGCAGCGAGCCGAUAGUUGCAGAUGAUUGGCUCUGCAAGAUUGGAAGGGAGUUGACCACUGCAGGAUGCACAUAUGCGGAGAGAGUGUGUUUUGUCGCACAUCAGCUUGAUGGACCCGCAGCAUCAUGGUGGGAGAAUUUCACAGCCACUUACCCCAUCGACACUGUCACAUGGGACCAGUUUCAGAAGGCUUUUCGCACUACCCAUGUUUCAGCAGGAGCUAUGGCCAUGAAGAAGCGCGAGUUUCGCAACUUGUGCUAAGGAGGACGCACAGUGGGCAAGUAUGUGGAUGAUUUUAGUAAGUUAGCAUGUUAUGCCCCAGAUGACGUUGCUACGGAUGCAGCUAAGAAGGAGAAGUUUCUGGAAGGACUGAAUGAUGAGCUGAGCAUGCAGUUGAUGGUGGCAACCUUCAACAACUACCAGGAGUUGAUAGAUAGAGCUCUCAUGAUUGAAGGGAAGCAGCAGCAGAUUGACAAUCACAAGAGGAAGUAUGGACAAGGGAAGUACAAUUCUGGAGCUCAGCAGAGACCCCGUUUUACCCCGAACUCGAGAGGACCCCUUCACCAUAACCAUGGAGGUCACAAUCACAAUGGAGGGAGUUCGCAUAACCAUAGUGGCCCCAAGAAUGGGAAUGUUAAUGGAGGAAGCAACGGACAGAACCGUUCCAACCCCGCAACGCCCGCCAAGAAGGAUAUAAGUCACAUUACUUGUUUCAAGUGCAGGAAGAAUGGACAUUAUGCCACGGAGUGUUCUGAAGCAAAGAAUGGAAAUGGCAAUGGAAGCUCUAGGAAGAAGCCCAACCCUUUCAAUAGGGGACAAGUGAACCACGUUACCGUGGACGAGGUUGAAGCGCAGCCCGAUGCAGUAAUAGGUAAGUUUUUGGUUAAGUCAUUUACUACAAUCAUUCUUUUUGAUACUGGUGCAUCGCAUUCAUACAUAUCAAGGGGAUUUGUGGAUAAGUUUAACCUGCCAACCCAAGCCCUUAGGUCACCCAUGUUAGUAACCUUGCCAGGAGCAGAGUAUAUGGCUAGUCUAUGGUGCGACCGGUUACCAUUAAGGAUUGGUAACUACGUGUUUCCCUCAGACCUAAUAGUAUUGGAGUCACAAGGACUGGAUGUAAUAUUAGGCAUGGAUUGGUUGUCGAAGUAUGGAGGGAACAUUGAUUGCGCCAGUAAGUCGAUUUUUCCCACCACCCCAGAAGGAAGAAGGAUCAAGUAUGUAUCCCGACAUGUGCCGAAGAGGACUCAAGUGAAUUCCUUAUCAGGAGUUGUACAGGAGGAAGUACCAGUGGUGAAGGAUUUCCCUGAUGUAUUUCCAGAAGAGUUGCCAGGCAUGCCACCGGAUAGAGACAUUGAGUUUUUGAUUGAGCUUUUGCCAGGCACAGGGCCAAUAUCUAAGAGACCGUACAGGAUGCCCGCAAAGGAUUGGAGGAAAUUAAGAAGCAGAUUAAGGAGUUAUUGGAUAAAGGCUAUAUUCGCCCAAGUUCAUCACCUUGGGGAUCACCAGUGCUUCUAGUGGAGAAUAAGGAUGGAUCGUUGAGAAUGGUUGUCGAUUAUAGUGGAUUGAAUGAAGUGACGAUCAAGAACAAGUACCCACUGUCGAUGAUCAAUGAUUUGUUUGAUCAGUUGCAAGGAGCUAAAGUAUUUUCCAAGAUCGAUCUGUGAUCAGGUUACCACCAGCUGAAGAUUCGAGAGCAGGAUAUACCUAAGACAACUUUUACCACAAGGUACGGGCUAUAUGAGUAUACAGUUAUGUCAUUUGGUCUAACUAACGCACCUGCCUAUUUCAUGAACAUGAUCAACAAAGUGUUUAUGGAGUUCUUGGAUAAGUUCAUUGUGGUGUUCAUUGAUGAUAUUCUGGUUUACUGAAGAAUGAAGAGGGGCAUAGGGAGAAUUUGCGUUUGGUACUUGGGAAGCUCAGAGAACAUCAACUAUAUGCCAAGUUCAGCAAGUGUGAGUUUUGGUUGAAGGAAGUUCGAUUCCUCGGACAUGUUAUAUCCGGAGAAGGAAUUGCAGUAGACCCCACCAAGGUUGUCAUUGUGACAAAUUGGGAAGCGCCCACGUUAGUUGGAGAGAUCCAGAGUUUUCUUGGACUCGCAGGAUACUACAGGAGGUUCAUUGAGAAUUUCUCCAAGAUUGCAAAGCCCAUGACGGAGUUGUUGAAGAAGGACACCAAGUUCAAUUGGACUGAGGAAUGAGAGGCCAGUUUCCAAGAGUUGAAGAAAUGUUUGGUUACAGCUCCAGUGUUAAUUCUUACAGAUCAACGCAAGGAUUAUCAAGUGUAUUGCGACGCUUCUCGUCGAGGACUUGGAGCAGUGCUUAUGCAGGAGGGAAGAGUUGUCUCCUAUGCCUCACGACAGCUUAAACCCCAUGAGUUGAAUUAUGCUAUGCAUGAUUUGGAGUUAGCAGCCGUAGUGCAUGCGUUGAAGACAUGGAGACAUUUUCUCAUCGGAAACCAUUGUGAGGUGUACACGGAUCACAAGAGUUUGAAGUAUAUCUUCACACAGAAGGAGUUGAGUCUCAGGUAGAGGAGAUGGUUGGAGCUCAUCAAGGAUUAUGAUAUGAGGUUGCAUUAUCAUCCCGGGAAGGCUAACGUAGUAGCUGAUGUGUUGAGUCGCAAGAGCCAUGUCAAUACGCUCAUGACCAGGGAGUUACCCAAGGAGUUAGCAGAGGAUCUUCGUGAGCUAUGUUUGGAGAUAGUUCCGAGAGGUUAUGUAGCAACAUUGGAGAUUCAGUCAACUUUGAUGGAUAAAAUCAGAGAAGCUCAGAAGACGGACAAGGAGAUUGCCGAGAUAAAGGAAAAAAUGAGCAAAGGAAAAGCUAAGGGAUUUCGUGAGGAUGAGCAUGAUACCUUAUGGUUUGAGGACCGCAUAUAUGUGCCUAAUGACCCGGAGAUCAGGAAGUUGAUUCUGCAGGAGGCCCAUGAUUCGCCGUAUUCGAUUCACCCAGGAAAUACCAAGAUGUAUCUGGAUUUGAAGGACAGUUUCUGGUGUACCGGAAUGAAGAAGGAUAUUGCGGAGUAUGUAGCUGUUUGUGAUGUAUGUCAGAGAGUGAAGGCAGAGCAUCAGAAGCCAGCAGGAUUGCUACAGCCAUUGCCGGUACCCGAAUGGAAGUGGGAUAAGUUAGGCAUGGAUUUUAUCAUGGGAUUGCCCAGGACUCGUUUAGGCUAUGACUCGAUAUGGGUUGUAGUCGAUCGUUUGACGAAGGUAGCUCAUUUCAUCCCAGUGAAGACCACUUAAGCCAGUGCUAAGUUGGCAAAGAUAUACAUGACCAGGAUCGUAUGUCUGCAUGGAGUUCCGAGGACCAUUGUAUCAGAUAGAGGAACCCAGUUUACCUCAAAGUUUUGGAAUCAGUUGCAUGAAACUUUGGGUACGAGGCUAGAGUUCAAUACAGCCUUCCAUCCAUAGACAGAUGGAUAGACUGAGAGAGUCAAUCAUAUUCUGGAGGACAUGUUGAGAGCUUGUGUGCUAGAUUAUGGAUCUAGUUGGGACGACAAUUUGCCGUAUGCGGAGUUCUCUUACAAUAAUAGUUAUCAAGCCAGUUUUAAGAUGGCCCCUUUCGAAGCUUUGUACGGAAGGAGGUGUAGGACACCGUUGCUGUGGGAUGAAGUUGGAGACUGACAGUUGUUUGGUCCAGAUUUGAUUAAAGAGUCUGAAGAGAAGGCUAAGCUGAUUCGCGAUAGACUCAAGGUAGCCCAGUCCAGGCAGAAGAGCUAUGUGGAUUCAAAACGCAAGGAGACAGUUUACGAAGUCGGAGACAGAGUUUAUCUUCAUGUGUCCCCACUUCAAGGAGUUAAGCGAUUUGGAGUUAAGGGAAAGUUAGCACCACGUUUUGUGGGACCAUACAAAGUUUUGGGACGUAUGGGAGAAGUUGCUUACAAGUUGGAAUUGCCCGAAGGAUUGUCAGGAGUUCACAAUGUGUUCCACGUUUCCCAGUUGAAGAAGUGCCACGCAAAGAUGGCUGACAUUCCACUAAGAGAUACAGUACCAUUGGAUGCGAUUCAGUUAGAUAGCGAUUUGACCUAUGAGGAGAAACCAGUCAAGAUUCUUGAGUUUGCCAGCCGAGUCACACGUAGUAAGGUUAUCAAAUUCUGCAAAGUUCAGUGGAGCCACCAUACCGAGGAUGAAGCCACCUGGGAACGAGAGGAAGACCUACGGAAGGACCACCCUCGCCUAUUUUCUAGCCAACCCAAAUCUCGAGGGCGAGAUUCAUCUUAAGGGGGGUAGGUUUGUAACAUCCCAAAUUUUCAAUUUGGAAUGUUAUAUGAUACGUCUCCAACAUAUCUAUAAAUUUUGAUUGUUCCAUGCUAUUAUAUUACCCCUUUUGGAUGUUUAUGGGCUCUAUUUUACACAUUUAUAUCAUUUUUGGGACUAACCUACUAACCGGAGGCCCAGCCCAUAUUGCUAUUUUUUUGCCUAUUUCAGUAUUUCAAAGAAAAGGAAUAUCAAACGGAGUCCAAACGGAAUGAAACCUUUGGGAGCCUGAUUUUUGGAACGAACGUGAUCCAGAGGACUUGGAGUGCAAGUCAAGAAGCAGCCGAGGCUCCCACGAGAUAGAAGGCCCCUCCCCCCUAUAGGGAGCGCCCCCCUGUCUCAUGGGCCCCUCGGGCGUCCACCGACGUACUUCUUCCUCCUAUAUAAGCCUACGUACCCCAAAAACAUCCAGGGAGCAGGCGAAACACAAUUUCCACCACCGUAACCUUCUGUAUCCGCGAGAUCUCAUCUUCGAGCCUUCGCCGGCACUCUGCCGGAGGGGGAAUCAACCACGGAGGGCUUCUACAUCAACAUCCUUGCCCCUCCGAUGAGUUGUGAGUAGUUUACCAUAGACCUACGGGUCCAUAGUUAUUAGCUAGAUGGCUUCUUCUCUCUUUUUGGAUCUCAAUACAAUGUUCUCCCCCUCUCUUGUGGAGAUCUAUUCGAUGUAAACUCUUUUUGCGGUGUGUUCGUCGAGAUUCGAUGAAUUGUGGGUUUAUGAUCAAGUUUAUCUAUGAAUAAUAUUUGAAUCUUCUCUGAAUUCUUUUAUGUAUGAUUGAGCUAUCUUUGCAAGUCUCUUUGAAUUAUCAGUUUGGUUUGGCCUACUAGAUUGAUCUUUCUUGCCAUGGGAGAAGUGCUUAGCUUUGGGUUCAAUCUUGCGGUGUCCUUACCCAUUGACAGCAGGGGCAGCAAGGCACGUAUUGUAUUGUUGCCAUUGAGGAUAAAAAGAUGGGGUUUAUAUCAUAUUGCAUGAGUCUAUCCCUCUACAUCAUGUCAUCUUUCUUAAUGCAUUACUAUAUUCUUAUGAACUUAAUACUCUAGAUGCAUGUUGGAUAGCGGUUGAUAUGUGGAGUAAUAUUAGUAGAUGCAGGCAGGAGUCGGUCUACUUGUCACGGACGUGAUGCCUAUAUACAUGAUCAUGCCUAGAUAAUCUCAUAAUUAUUCGCUUUUCUAUCAAUUGCUCGAUAGUAAUUUGUUCACCCACCGUAAUACUUAUGCUAUCUUGAGAGAAGCCACUAGUGAAACCUAUGGCCGCCGGGUCUAUCUCUUAUCAUAUUUCCUUCCUAUCUACUUUUGGCAUCUUUACUUUUUGCAUCUAUAUUAUGAAAUACCAAAAAUAUAUUUAUCUUAUCUUACUAUCUUUAUUAGAUCUCACUUUCGCAAGUGGCCGUGAAGGGAUUGACAACCCCUUUAUUAUGUUGGUUGCAAGUUCUUAGUUUGUUUGUGUAGGUGCGUGGGACUUUUGAGGAGCCUCCUACUGGAUUGAUACCUUGGUUCUCAAAAACUGAGGGAAAUACUUACGCUACUAUUGCUGCAUCACCCUCUCCUCUUCGAGGAAAACCAACGAAAGCUCAAGAUGUAGCAUUAUACAUUAGAUCAUUAUUGCAUAUCAUAUUUUAAUGCAUUUUGGGUUGAUCCUAGAAAUUCUACGCAACUCAAGGACCCACUGAGAGAGUUGGGGAUUUCGUUAUUUUCAUUUUUGAGUUUACUCAAAUUUUUGAAAAUAGGAUUGUUUGAUUUUAAUUAUUUUUCUUUUCAAAUAUUUCUUUAAUAAAAAUAAAAGAGAGGGGGUAAAAUGAAUUCCCCAAAAUAAAGAAAUAUUGGAGGUUAAAUUUUAAAAUCAAAUAAGAAUUUUAUUCGGAGUUUUAUCGCUAUUUUAUUUGAAUUAGGAAAAAAUGCGUUUUCCAAAAUUGCAUUAGAGGCCCAAAUAAAUGUUCGCUUUGUCCGCUAUAUUUUUAGAGGACAGGGAAAAUGUAUUUCAGGAUUUUUGGAGUCCGUUUAGUAUUUCUUUUAUUUGUUUUUCUGCGCGGAAAUAUAUAAAAAAAGUCAACCGACCUAGCCGGGCCGUGCCUGACUAGGACUCCAGCCCGGCCGGCCUUUAAGAGGCGAGGCCUGAGGCGCCCCAAACCCUAGCCCCGCCCCCGCCCGAUACGCCACCGCCACUGGACGCCUCGCCGCCGACCUCGCCGCCCCGCCGGAGUUCCCGCCGCCGCCGCCGCCCGUCCCAAGGUAGCCGCGGGUUUUCGUUAGAAAAUCAUAGGUUUUUUUUAGAAACUCUCGGUUAUAUUUUUUUAGAUCGGGUUUUAUUUUUUUCCCGGUUUAGUUAUUUAGCGAACGCCCGUUCGUAUGUUCGUUUUAACGAACGGUUUUCACCCAUUAGCCGCACACAGCGAAUGUUCGUUCGUUAGCCUGUUCGUCGGUUUUUCUUUUUCCAGGGUUUUCCGCGAUUAUUUUCGAUCGCGAUUUCUGCCCUGAUUUUCAUUUUAGUUUAUCUUUUCGCUCGUUUAUCAAAAUCUGGCGAUUCAAGAGCCCAGAUCUUUGUCUCGAAGCCCUCUUUCUAUUUAAACAACUUAAACAAGAUUUUGUUACUGUAAAAUUUUACUUAAGUCCAGAUUAGUAAACGGAUCUUGUUUCUUUUGCAGUUUGAGUUUCCUUGCUUUGUUUGUUUUGACUUUUUGCAAAUCGGAGUUCUUAAGUUGAACUUUCUGGUUAGAUCUCUUAUUUGAGUUUUACAUGUGCUUCUAGUUGAGUGCUUAUUGUAUGCUUGUUUGUUUGCGAUCGAGUACCCGGAGUGCGAAGCGUGCUACUACGAGUCUCUAGGUUUCACGGAUCCUCAGCAAGGCAAGUAACACUUUUAUCAUACCUCUUUACUACCCAGUUUUAUUGCAUUAGAUCAAUCCUCAAACAAUUGCAUGGUUAGGAUCUGAUUAAUAUGUGGGUUUUGGGAAGUAGAUGAUGAGGUAGAACCUAUUGCCCUGUUUAUUAUCAAACCUAGGGGAGUUACUUCUACGUUGCUUAUAUUGCUAUGCUAUGCUUGUAGACGUGGUUUGGUUCAAGUGAUUCAUGACAUAUGUGAGUAUUGUUAAUUAAUGGUUUACUUAAGGUGGCUACUUAAAUACACAUCUGGGUGGAUUGCUUGAAGGCACCCUGGAGUAACCAGUGGUUGCCAAGACACCUGGAGAAUCUAGUGUUGUCCUAGGAUAUCCCGGAGUUCCCGUGUCAUCAUCCUACAGUCCGCCACCCAGGCUCAAAGGGAUCAUAAGAUUAUUCAUGCUAGAAACUUCCGUGUGCAGCCACAAGCCAAUAUGGGCUCUGGCAUAGUUGAGUAAGUUGCGUGAAGCUCUUGAAGAGGUAGACUAGCAAAUGUAGUGGGUUGUGGGUGGUACUAUCUAUCCAGAGUAGAGAGUUAAUGCUUCAUAAAGACUGUGUCUCGAAUCUCCGACCAUGGAUGUAUUCGAGUCUUGUGGGGAAAAGUGAGCAAACCUCUGCAGAGUGUACAAACUAAUCAUGGUUAGCCGUGUCCCUGGUUAUGGACGUUUUGAGUAUCUAGUUCUUGGAUUAUCAUGUUGAUCUCAUCACUCUAAAUAUAAUUUGAUUGGGUUUAAUGAUGAUGUUUAAUUGGGAUUGAGUUGGAGGAACCUUCUCAAUGUUUAACAACCACCAUGAUAGUUAAAUAAAAUUUAUUCCUUUGUUGUAGGGAAAAAAUUGGCUUUAUGCAAAACUAUAACCAUAGAGCUUUCCACCAGCCAUAUAUGCAUGUAGUGAUAGCAUUUGUUAUGUUCAUUACUCUAUGUGUUACAUUGCCAGCAUAUUCCAUGUGCUGACCCAUUUCGGGCUGUAACGUUCAUGUUGCAGACUUUUUAGACGACGAGUAAGGUGCCAUAGGUCGUUGUCUUUCACUCAGUGAUGUCGUUGGAGUUGAUGGACUCACUUUAUCUUCCAAGCCUUCCGUUGUUAUCGUUUUUAGAUGUCCCUACGCCAUAUUUAUAGUAAUAAGUUCUAUUCUGAGACAUUCGAUGUAAUAAGUGUGUGAUUGCUACUCUAUUAUAAAUCCUCAAGUACUGUCGUGUCAGCAUUCCCAAUCCAGGGAUGACACUGAUGCACAGGGAUCAGACUGUUUGAGGUCUGGACGCUACACAAUGUGACUAAUGAGUUAGUUGAGGGAUGAAGCAUUACAGAAUGAGUAAAGAGACUUGCCGGUAACGAGAUUGAACUAGGUAUGAUGAUACAAAUGAUCGAAUCUCGAGCAAGUAACAUACCGAUGACAAAGGGAACAACAUAUGUGGUUAUGCGGAUUGGCCGAUAAAGAUCUCAUAGAAUAUGGAGGAACCAAUAUGGGCAUCCAGGUUCCGCUAUUGGUUAUUGAUCUACAUAGUUCUCAAACCGGUAGGGUCCGCACGCUUAACGUUCGAUGACAAUUUAUAUUAUGAGUUAUGUGUUUUGGUGACCGAAGGUUGUUCGGAGUCCCGGAUGAGAUCACGGACAUGACGAGGAGUCUCUAAAUGGUCGAGAGGNNNNNNNNNNNNNNNNNNNNNNNNNNNNNNNNNNNNNNNNNNNNNNNNNNNNNNNNNNNNNNNNNNNNNNNNNNNNNNNNNNNNNNNNNNNNNNNNNNNNNNNNNNNNNNNNNNNNNNNNNNNNNNNNNNNNNNNNNNNNNNNNNNNNNNNNNNNNNNNNNNNNNNNNNNNNNNNNNNNNNNNNNNNNNNNNNNNNNNNNNNNNNNNNNNNNNNNNNNNNNNNNNNNNNNNNNNNNNNNNNNNNNNNNNNNNNNNNNNNNNNNNNNNNNNNNNNNNNNNNNNNNNNNNNNNNNNNNNNNNNNNNNNNNNNNNNNNNNNNNNNNNNNNNNNNNNNNNNNNNNNNNNNNNNNNNNNNNNNNNNNNNNNNNNNNNNNNNNNNNNNNNNNNNNNNNNNNNNNNNNNNNNNNNNNNNNNNNNNNNNNNNNNNNNNNNNNNNNNNNNNNNNNNNNNNNNNNNNNNNNNNNNNNNNNNNNNNNNNNNNNNNNGUGUCAAAACCGGCGGAUCUCGGGUAGGGGGUCCCGAACUGUGCGUCUAGGCGGAUGGUAACAGGAGACAAGGGACACGAUGUUUUACCCAGGUUCGGGCCCUCUUGAUGGAGGUAAAAACCUACGUCCUGCUUGAUUGAUAUUGAUAUUGUGGAUGUUUACAAGAGUGGAUCUACCACGAGAUCAAGGAGGCUAAACCCUAGAAGCUAGCCUAUGGUAUGAUUGUAAUGGUUGUUGUUGUGUCCUAUGGACUAGAGCCAUCCGGUUUAUAUAGACACCGGAGAGGGCUAGGGUUACAUAGAGUCGGUUACAUUGGUAGGAGAUCUACAUAUCCGUAUCGCCAAGCUUGCCUUCCACGCCAAGGAAAGUCCCAUCCGGACACGGGACGAAGUCUUCAAUCUUGUAUCUUCAUAGUCUUGGAGUCCGGUCGAUGAUGAUAGUCCGGCCGAUGAUAGUUCGGCUGAUGAUGGUAGUCCGGCUAUCCGGACACCCCCUAAUCCAGGACUCCCUCAGUAGCCCCUGAACCAGGCUUCAAUGACGAUAAGUCCGGCGCGUAUAUUGCUUGGCAUUGCAAGGCGGGUUCCUCCUCCGAAUGAUAGAAGAUUGUGAACACCAGGAUAGUGUCCGGCUCUGCAAAAUAAAUUCCACAUUCCACUGUAGAGAGAAUAAUAUAUACACAAGUUCAAUCUGCUGACGUUUUUUUGCGGCAUGACGUCAUGCCACUACCAAGCCAUUACUUGAAUCAUUUUUUACUCUACCACCUCAGCGCAUUUAGCGAAGCGGUUUCCUUGGCACGUCAUGUCGAAGCAGAGAUCGUGUUCCCCCUUAAUCCGGGAUUCUCAUCAAUACGGACGUGGGUAACCCAACCGCGCCAUUGAUGGUGACGCUUGGGGGAUAAGCGAGUUUUACCAGGCCAGUGGGGGACGCGUAGACUUCGCCCGCCCAUAUAAAGGAUAAGGAUUCACCUUUUCACCUACGCCUUCUUCCUCCUUUGCUUAUCCAUCUCCGUGCACUCGAGCUCCAGCGCCCAAGCCCGCACAUCUCGUCUCAACCUUCCCCAGUUAUGUCCGGAGCGGGAGGCAAGUGGAUGACCUCCUCCGUUAUGGAGGAGCACAUCGAAAGACUGAGCAGCGCCGGCUACCUGUCCGGCGACAUCGCGCACCGGCUGCCCGACGAGGGGCAGCUCAUCCCCACCCCCAGGCCCCAUGAGAGGGUCGUUUUUCUUCCCCACUUCCUCCGCGGACUGGGUUUUCCACUUCACCCCUUUGUCCGGGGGCUCAUGUUCUACUACGGCCUGGAUUUCCAUGAUCUGGCGCCGAACUUCAUCCUCAACAUCUCGGCAUUUAUCGUCGUGUGCGAGGCCUUCCUCUGCAUCCAGCCCCACUUCGGCUUGUGGCUCAAGACCUUCAAUGUCAAGCCGAAGGUAGUGAAGGGCACUCAAGCGGAGUGCGGAGGUGCCAUGUUGGGCAAGAUGCCCAAUGUCCUUUGGUUCGAAGGGGCCUUCGUGGAAUCCGUCAAGGGGUGGCAAUCGGGGUGGUUCUAUAUCACCGAGCCGCGCGAUCCUAAGUGGGUGGCGGCCCCCGAGUUCAGAUCUGGUAUCCCCACGCAGCUCACCUCCUGGAAAGAGAAGGGCUUGCUGUGGGGUAGUUCGGAGGAGCUAACGGGACUCCAAGACUGUAUCCAGAAGCUGGUGAAGAAGCUCAGGCUGGUUAACGUGGUCCAAGUCAUGCUCGUCCGCCGGAUUCUCCCAUGCCAAGAGCGGGCAUUCAAUCUGUGGGAGUUCAAUCCGGAACAACACCAGGCGCUGAGCGGGCUCUUCGACACGACGUACGAAGGCGCCUGGAGGGUGCUGUUUAAGGGCGCCGAAACCCCCGCAUCCGCGACUGAAGAUCGCGGAUUUCGCUCGCAGCGCCAAGCCGACGAGGUAAGUGAUUCUACCCCUUUAUGGGACACUUGCUUUUCAUAGUUUGACUUUAUGCGGGUUUUAAUUUCCCCUUUUCCUUUGACAGGACUGGAUGAGGAAGGCGGAGCAGAUUAUCUGCCCGGCUCCCAUGCCAGAAAACCCAGUAGACGCCCAUCUAGCGAGGCUACUGGUUCCGGCACCGCACGUGGUGCCGGAGAAGAAGGCCAAGAAGGAGGCCACGAGUGCUCGAAAGAGUUCCCGUUUUCAGGUGUCCGAUGACUCCGGGGCGGACUCCUCCCCGAAAACGAGGAGGAGAAAGAGGACUCUCUCCCAGAGGAGGGAGAGAGGAAGAGGAAGGCUUCCCCAACAGGGGAGGCCGAAGGGUCCAAGAGGGGAAGGACUAUUCCCCCGAACAGCUCCGCCAACAUCAACGUUGGCGAGGAAGAAUGGCCUUCAAGGGCCAGGCCUCCAGCGAGAUCGUAAGUAUCCGGAUUCCUGAGUGAUUUAUAAUUUCUUUUUCUGUGUCACAUAGUGUCAUUCUGAUGCCGCAUGCUGCCUGUAGUCCGGCCAAUGAUGAUCUCCCCGCUUCAUCGAGCGGGUCGUUGGCUCCGUCGGAUGUAGACUCCAUCCCGACCGCCUCCACCCCUCGCGACACCGAGGACGCCGAGGUGGGAUCCCAAGAAGGGACCCAUCAGGGGGAGGCUCCGAAGGCGCCACAAGGCGUCCUCCCGGACUUUGCGCCGGAUUCCAUAUCAGAACCCGCAAUGGUUCCGGAGUCCGACCGGCGGCCCCUUCGCACGAAGGGCAAGACCGUGACACCGGCGGCUUCCGUCCAACCGGAGGCGUCGGACAAUUUGUUGGAGGCGCUGCAGAGCGCUUCCAUCGAGGAAGAACACCGCACUAUUAUGAGUGCGGUGAUUUAGAAGGUACAGCUCGCCAAGAGCGGGCUGACCGAAGCCUGCAGUAGCCUUCUAUCAGGCUUUGAGGUAAGAAGUUAAAAAUAUGUAAUGUAAUACCGCAUAGACAGUAGCCCCUGAUGCUCGGUUCGGUGUUCGUAAAGAAAAGCCGGACUGAGGAUCUGAAAAAAAAAGAAGAUAUACGCAGGGUUGCUAAAAAAUUAUGUCAAUAUGGGUUGCAGGCUGCGCUGCUGACCUCUGCCGCACUGACUGCGGAGGUCGGUGCUUUGAAGCAGGAGCUCGAGCGGUCCGAGCAAGAGCUCGGCCGCGCCAAGAAGCAGCUCCAGGACAAAGAAGGUGAGUAACACCACUUUGAACUUGUACCUUACAGAAAAGGAUUUAGGUUGCAACAAAAAAUAACAAGGAUAACAUGGGUACUGCAGGGGCCACGAACGAGGUGGCGACCCAGAAGGAGGCCGUGUCUGCGGCCGAACGCAAUGCGGCCGCGGAACGGGUAGAGCGAGAAAAGCAGGAGGCGUGGGUGGCGGUGGUUCGGCAAGAGCUCCAGGCUCUCAUGGAAAAGCAUGAGAGUUUGGAGCGUGACUCAAAGACUCGAGAGUCUGAGCUUGCCUCGGCUCUCAAAAGUGCCAAGACUACCAAGGACGAUGCCCAUAAGUCCCUUCAGGAGAUUGAGUUGGUGAGGAAGAUAGCGGCGGGUAAGGCAUUUUUCAUGCAAAGCAAGCAUGCGAAUGUAAAUUACCUGUUACUUACCCGAAUUCGGAGCUCUCCAGGGGCGUUUGUAGAUCUGCCUCGCAGCGUGUCUGAUGCCGCCGCAUUCUACCGAGCCGAGGAGGGGAGCUCAACGGAGAAGGUCUUCUGGUCUCAGUAUGCUGAGGCCGGCCAUCCGGUGCCCCCUAGCGACCAGCUGAAGCAGCUGGUCGAGCUCCACAAGGUGGCCGAGCAGGCCAUGAAGGGCCUCAUAGUCCGGCUGUGGCCUGGAGAGGCCAUGCCUGGGAGCUACUUCGGCCUCGUGCGACGGUUGGUGGAUGCGUGCCCCUGGGUGGAGGUUAUCAAGCGCUCCGCCUGUAUUGAAGGUGCUCGUCAGGCCCUUGCCCGCGCAAAGGUGCAUUGGGGCAAGAUGGAUGCGGAAAAGCUAAUCACUGACGCGCCACUAGCGGGCAAGGAAUAUCGUACGCCUGAAAUGUACUAUAAGACUGUCCUGAAGGGUGCCCGCAAGAUUGCGGAUGAGUGUCCCAAGGAUGUAAUUAUUGAGUAAAUUCGCAAUGUGUUAUCCUGUGCGCUGAAAACUUUGUUCAUAUGCGCUAAGCAACGCUUGUUAAUUUAAAAUAUUACCUUCUGUGUGGCCGUUUAUUAAAUCUGAGAGAUGGCAAGUCGUCGGCUUCAGCCCCCAUGCCACGAGUGCUGGGGUGUUCGGGAUAAACUUGAGCACUCUUGUUCCCAUUUUUGGGUCCAUCUAGGGAGGCGCUCAACACAACGAACAAGGCAACCGGACUUAUAGUGCUUGAACACUCUCACUUAGCCAUAGAAUUCUAUAAUUUUAAAUUUCGGCGAAGCCCCUAGUAUUCGGAAGACCGAAUUAGGGGCGCUAUCCACGCCUUCAUCGGACAUUAUCCGGAACUUCGCUCGAAGCGGCGUAGGUCUUUAAGGACCCGAAAGGACCUCUCGAACAGCGACAAGUCUCUCGCCUUAUCAUGACAGUCAGUUUUAGCUUUCUCCACUGAGGUGUUAACCCGGCUCAACCGGGGUGCAAUCGCAGUGGUUCUCCCAGUGCUACCUUAGCCGAUAGAACGGAACGUAAGGUGCCAAACAUGGGAGCCGGGCAAACCCAACUAUUGACCCAAGACAUGAUUCGGAGCCGAUUCAUAUAAUGCUAUAAGUUCGGGGUGCCGCACUUGUGAAAGUGUUCGGACUUUAUCACACCAUAAUGCGGGGAACAUAAGCCCCUGGUGUAUUUGGCCGUACCAAAAUGUACGGAUGCAACAUGUCGUAAAUGAACAUAUAUAUAUAUAAGGUAAUGCAAUUAUGGGCAAAAAGUGCUGCAUUUUAUUCGAGAAGAUCUGCUAUGAAUGCGGAAUGAUACAAAUAGUGCGGAAAGCAAGGGAUUGGACAAAUUAAAGGCGUCUCCCUCCAGGGGUAGGCCGCGGAAUGGUGUAUUUAACAAAUUUAAUGCUCGUAAUGGAGACCACCUGAGUGUUCGUCGCGGCCUUUGUCCCUCCCUGGUUGUUGCAUCAUGAGUUCGGCAGGUUCGCCACCGGACAGAGUUCUGUAUAAAAAAGAGAGAAAUAAAAGAUAAAAAGAGCGACACACUUGGGAGCCCCUGGUGUGGUCGAACCGCACUCUGGGUCUGUUGUGGUUGUGCCUCUCCCCCUAUGCCCAUGGUAUCUCCAGGGUGUAAUUAUGUACGCAGAGAGUUUGUCUUACAAUUGUGCGAGGGCUGGGGUUGAGGCCGCAUUGCUACGCGUGCUCGGAACAUGCCAGGUGGUCUUGGUUGAUGUUGCUCCGGGCGCGUUUGGCCGUGUCCGGUCGUUUAACGGCCGGACUCGAAAAUUGCCUUAAAAGGCUGCUCUGUACUUCUGCCGUGAGAGCCGCUGUAUGUUCCUCCGUUUGGAGGGAGCGUUCCGUUUUUCCAUUGACCGUGAUGACUCCACGAGGGCCUGGCAUCUUGAGCUUAAGGUAUGCAUAAUGCAGCACCGUGUUGAAUUUUGCGAACGCGGUUCGUCCGAGCAGAGCGUGAUAGCUACUGCAGAACGGGACUAUGUCAAAGAUUAACUCCUCGCUUUGGAAAUUAUCCGGGGAUCCGAAGACCACUUCCAGUGUAACUGAGCCUGUACAACUGGCCUCGACACCUGGUAUGACGCCUUUGAAGGUUGUCUUUGUAGGUUUAAUCCUUGAAGGGUCUAUGCCCAUCUUGCGCACUAUAUCCUGAUAAAGCAGGUUCAGGCUACUGCCGCCGUCCAUCAGGACUCUCGUGAGGUGAAAUCCAUCAACGAUUGGGUCUAAAACCAAUGCGGCGAAUCCGCCAUGGCGGAUACUGGUCGGAUGGUUUCUUCGAUCGAAAGUGAUCGGGCAAGAGGACCAUGGGUUGAAUUUUGGGGCGACUGGCUCCAUCGCGUAUACGUCCCUUAGUGCACGCUUCCGCUCCCUCUUGGGUAUAUGCAUUGCGUAUAUCAUGUUUACCGUCCGAACUUGAGGGGGGAAUCCCUUUUGUCCUCUGUUGUUCGGCGGCCGGGUCUCUUCCUCGUCAUCGCUGUGUAGCCCCUUGUCAUUGUUUUCGGCGAUUAAUUUGCAUGCCUGCUUGAAUACCCAACAAUCUCUGUUGGUGUGGUUAGCUGGCUUUUCGGGGGUUCCAUGUAUUUGACAGGAGCGGUCGAGUAUUCGGUCCAAAUUGGACGUGCCCGGAGUGGUUCUUUUGAAUGGCUUCUUCCGUUGACCGGGCUUGGAGCCUCAGAAUCCGGCGUUGACUGUCGUAUCCUCAUUGCUGUCGCCGUUAAUGCGGUGUUUGUUUUUGUUUUGAUGCGACCUGCCAUUGCGGUCCUUGGUAUCCGGACUGCCAGCGUUUUUGCUGAGGUUGUUGCUGCGAGCUAGCCAGCUAUCCUCUCCCGCACAGAAGCGGGUCAUGAGUGAUGUGAGGGCUGCCAUGGAUUUCGGCUUUUCCUGUCCUAGGUGCCGGGCUAGCCACUCGUCGCGGAUGUUAUGUUUGAAGGCAGCGAGGGCCUCUGCAUCCGGACAGUCGACGAUUUGAUUUUUCUUUGUUAAGAAUCAUGUCCAGAAUUGCCUAGCCGAUUCGUCUGGCUGCUGGAUUAUGUGGCUUAGGUCAUCUACAUCCGGUGGUCGCACAUACGUGCCCUGGAAGUUGUCGAGGAAUGCGGCUUCCAGGUCUUCCCAGCAUCCAAUUAACUCUGCGGGCAGGCUGUUAAGCCAAUGUCGAGCUGGUCCUUUAAGCUUGAGCGGGAGAUAUUUGAUGGCGUGAAGAUCGUCACCGCGGGCCAUGUGUAUAUGGAGGAGAUAAUCCUCAAUCCAAACCGCGGGGUCUGUUGUGCCAUCGUAGGAUUCGAUAUUAACGGGUUUAAACCCUUCGGGGAUUUGAUGAUCCAUUACUUCGUCAAUGAAGCAUAGUGGGUGUGCGGCGCCUCUGUAUUGAGCAAUAUCGCGAUGUAGCUCGAUAGAGCGUUGUCUGCUGUGUUCGGCCCGGCCGGAGUAGUUGUAUCCGGCGCGACGGUAUUCGUCAUGGGUCUUGGGGCGCCCACGUGAUCCAUAGAUAGAUCUGGAUUGUCUUGCCUUGUCCUCCAAUAUAUCCCGCAAGUCCGGCGCGUUCCCCCGUGGCUUUAUGCUGUUUGAGCGAUGCCGGGGUACGGUUUUGGUGGAGGGCUUGCACGCCUCUCUGUCGCGGCCACGAGGUGGUCGGUCUGCCGUAUUGUGCGCUAGUGAUGCAGGUUUGUACGCUUCCUCCUCUAGUCGGGGGAGCAACUUGCGUUUUGGGUAACUUUUGGAGGGGCGUUCGAGUUCAUACUCUUCGGCCGCGAGGACCUGGUCCAUCUGUCAGCCAGUAGGUCUUGAUCAGCUUGAAGCUAUUGCUGCUUUUUCUUUAGGCUGUUUGCCGUGGCCAUUAUCCUGCGUCUGAAACGCUCUUGCUCGACGGGAUCCUCAGGCACGACGAAUUCGUUGUCGUCGAGGCUUGCCUCAUCUCCGGAGGGAGGUAAGUAAUUAUCAUCCUCGACCUCUUCGUCUGCCGCCCUCUCGUGAGGGCUUGCUUCUGCCUCCUCCUGCGCUGGAUCGUGCUGGAGGGGGUUGUCUUCGGCACUUUCUGGGGUGUUAUUAUCUCCUGUGACGGAAUCUCCAUUCUUGCUGUGGCGGGAUUUAGAGCGGCGCCGCUGACGUUGGCGCUUGGGCUGUUUCUCUAAGGAAUCGGCCUCCGUUGCUUCUUCGCCGUCCCCAUCUUUUGGGGUGUCCACCAUGUAUAUGUCGUAUGACGAGGUGGUCUUCCAGUGUCUUGUAGGCACUGGUUCUUGAUAGUCUCCGGCAUCGUCGUCCAUACCGUCGAUGUCUUUGGAGUCGUAGUCGAGUACGUCGGUUAGAUCGUCGACGGUGGCUACGAAGUGGGUGGUGGGUGGGCUCUGAAUUUCUUCAUCGUCCGCGUCCCAACCAUCCUGGCCGUAGUUCGGCUAGGGCUCUCCAGAUAGCGAGAGAUGCUUCAGCGAAUUUAAGAUAUCGCCGAAGGGUGAGUGCUGAAAGAUGUCCGCAGCGGUGAAUUCCAUGAUCGGCGCCCAGUCGGAUUCGACUGGCAGGGGCGCAGGAGGUUUGGAGUCCGGCAGAGAGUCCGGCACCUCGGAGUCAUGAGAUUUAUGCGGGACAAGAUAAGUGUUCGGCUCCAUCACCGUAGAAGUUGCAGCUCCCGAGGCGGUGUCCAGCCAUCCGUCCUCGAUCUGAGCGAUCGGCUCCGGACUAUGGGUCGGAGCGGAUUCGUGUGCGGCCUCCAAGGUGCUGUCUGGCGGCAGAGUUAGGUCGUGCCCAUUGUGACAGCGCGGCACGCUUGGCUGUGGCUCAGAUCCAUCGAAGAUCAAGUCCCCGCAGAUAUCGGCCGUGAAGUUUAGGCUUCCCAACCUGACCUGACGGCCAGGGGCGUAGCUUUCGAUCUGCUCCAGAUGGCCAAGUGAGUUGGCCCGCAGUGCGAAGCCGCCGAAUAUGAAGAUCUGUCUGGGGAGAAAAGUCUCACCCAGGACUGCAUCAUUGUCGAUUGAAGAGGCCAUCAAGCCUAUCGGUGACGACACAGAGGAACUCUCAAUGAAAGCACCAAUGUCGGUGUCAAAACCGGCGGAUCUCGGGUAGGGGGUCCCGAACUGUGCGUCUAGGCGGAUGGUAACAGGAGACAAGGGACACGAUGUUUUACCCAGGUUCGGGCCCUCUUGAUGGAGGUAAAACCCUACGUCCUGCUUGAUUGAUAUUGAUAUUGUGGAUGUUUACAAGAGUGGAUCUACCACGAGAUCAAGGAGGCUAAACCCUAGAAGCUAGCCUAUGGUAUGAUUGUAAUGGUUCUUGUUGUGUCCUACGGACUAGAGCCAUCCGGUUUAUAUAGACACCGGAGAGGGCUAGGGUUACAUAGAGUCGGUUACAAUGGUAGGAGAUCUACAUAUCCGUAUCGCCAAGCUUGCCUUCCACGCCAAGGAAAGUCCCAUCCGGACACGGGACGAAGUCUUCAAUCUUGUAUCUUCAUAGUCUUGGAGUCCGGUCGAUGAUGAUAGUCCGGCCGAUGAUAGUUCGGCUGAUGAUGGUAGUCCGGCUAUCCGGACACCCCCUAAUCCGGGACUCCCUCACUCUCCUUCCCCCUUUCCACCUCCAUAAGAAGGAAAAAAGAGGGGGGCGAAUCCUACUAGGAGUGGAGUACUAGUAGGACUCCCCACUCCCUUGGCGCACCCCUGGUGGUCGGCCUCCUCCUCCCUCCUUUAUAUACAGGGAUAGGAGGGCACCCCAAAGGCACAACAUUGUCUUAGCCGUGUGCGGUGCCCCCCUCCACCGUUUAAUCCUCUAAUAGUAUCAUUGUAGUGCUUAGGCAAAGCCCUGCAUGGAUCACAUCAUCAACAGUGUCAUCACGCUGUCAUGCUGACAAAACUCUCCCUCGACCCUCUAGUGGAUCAAGAGUUUGAGGGACGUCAUCGAGAUGAAUGUGUGCUGAACUCAGAAGUGUCAUACGUUUGGUGCUAGAUCGGUUGGAUCGUGAAGAUGUUCGACUUCAUCAACCAUGUUAACAUAACGCUUCCGCUUUCGGUCUAUAAGGGCACGUGGACACACUCUCCCCCUCUUGUUUCUAUGCAUCUCCUAGAUAGAUCUGGCGUGAUCAUAGGAAUUUUUUUGAAAUUGCAUGCUACGUUCCCCAACAGGAACUGCCAUCCAGCUCCGCUUUAGAUUCACCUUUUGUUAUAAGUAAACUUGCAAAACCACCACAUGCUAUUAAUUCUGAUAUGUCGCAAGUUGUUGAUGAUGCUACUUCUGCUAUGAAUGCUACUCAUGAUGAUGCUAGUACCUUGCUUGAUGAUGAUGUGCCACUAGGUGAAUUUCUUGAUGAACAAAUUGCUAGAGUAAGACAACAAGAUAUUGUUGAAACUGAUGAUGAGCUUGAAACUGAAAAUCUUGAAACACCUAUUAGAACUAGCCCUCCUAGAUAUGAAUUGCCAAAGGUACCAGAAGGUUAUGCUAUGAGUGAGGAGGCAACUAGAGAUAUUCUUGCUUGUAAGGAUAGAGAUGAUCUAGAAAAAAUAGUAUGCAAGUACAAAGAAAGAUCUUUGAAUGCUAAGACGAAAUGUGAUCCUAAGUUUGCUACUUCACCUAUCUUUAUUGAUGAUAAGGAUUAUGAAUUCUCUGUCGACCCAGAGUUAAUUACUUUGGUUGAGUCUAACCCUUUCCAUGGUUAUGAAACUGAAACUAUUUUGGCACAUCUUACUAAACUGAAUGAUAUAGCCACCCUUUUUGCUCAUGAUGAGAAGAUUCUCUAUUACUAUAUUCUCAAGUUAUUUCCAUUCUCAUUAAAGGGUGAUGCUAAAGCUUGGUACAAUACUCUUGCUCCUGGUUGUGUGCGUAGUCCCCAGGAUAUGAUUUAUUACUUCUCUGAAAAAUAUUUCCCUGCUCAUAAGAAACAAGCUGCCUUGCAGGAAAUAUUUAACUUUGUGCAAAUUGAAGAAGAGAGUCUCCCACAAUCUUGGGGGAGGCUUCUCAAAUUGCUUAAUGCUUUGCCUGAUCAUCCUCUUAAGAAAAAUGAAAUACUUGAUAUCUUCUAUAAUGGACUAACCGAUGCUUCUAGGGAUUUCCUAGAUAGUUGUGCUGGUUGUGUUUUCAAGGAACGAACUAUUGGGCAAGCUAAAGAAUUAUUGAAUAACAUAUUGAAAAAUUAUGAUGAUUGGACUCCUCCUGAAACACCGCUUAAACCCACUCCAAAGAAGAGGGGUAUAUCAUAUCUCAGUCCUGAAGAUAUGCAAGAGGCAAAGAAAUCUAUGAAGGAAAAAUGUAUUAAAGCAAAGGAUGUCAAAAAUUUACCUCCUAUUGAAGAAAUACAUGGGCUUGGUACACCAUCACCACCUAAGGUGGUAGAGGUAAAAUCUUUAAUGAAAUUCAAUGAUAGUGAUGAUCCUCGUAAUAAACAUCCUAGUCAAUGCCUUUAUGAGUUUGACAAUUACAUUAGAAAGCAAGAUCACUUCAAUGCAAAUGUUAUGAAACAAUUGAAAUACAACUCUAUAUGAUUGCUCGCUUAAGUGACUUGUUAUUUAGAAUCUCAAAUGAUGUUAGAGGUGUAGGAAAGAAUGCCUCUAUGGUUCAAACUUAAUUAGAACAAGUUGCUAAAUCUCAAAGAGAGUUGCUUGAUGAAAUGAACAAUAAUAUAAGUGACUUUGUUGUUAGAGUAUCAACUAGAGGAGGUAAAAUGACUCAGGAAUCACUUUACCUUGAGGGACACCCAAAGAGAAUUGAACAAGACUCUCAAAGAAUUAACACUGAUGCACCUGGUCCUUCUAAAAAGAAAAAUAAGAAGAAAAAUAAUAGGACUUUGCAUGCCUCUAGUGAACCUGAAAUAGAAAAACCUCCUGAUAAUGAUAAUGAAGUUUCUAUCUCUGAUGCUGAAGCUCAACCUGGUAGUGAACACUCACCUUCUGAUAAUGAAAAAGAUAGUGAUGAGGUUCAUGAAGAAACUCAGCCUAAUAAUAAAGAACUAGACAAUGAUGUUGAGAUAGAACCAGCUAUUGAUCUUGAUAACCCACAACCCAAGAAUAAAAGAUAUGAUAAAAGAGACUUUGUUGCUAGAAAACAUGGAAAGAAAAGAGAGCCAUGGGUUCAAAUACCUAUGCCCUUUCCACCUAAGUCAACUAAAAAGAAAUAUGAUGAAAAAUUUGAAUGCUUUGGUGAAAUGAUUAGGCCAGUCUUUUUGCGCACUCGCUUGACUGAUAUCUUAAAAAUGCCUCCUUAUGCAAAGUACAUGAAAGACAUCAUCACGAAUAAUAGAAAAAUACCGAAAGCUGAAAUCUCCACUAUGCUUGCUAAUUAUACUUUUAAAGAUGGAGUGCCUAAAAAACUUGGAAAUCCGGGAAUACCAACUAUACCUUGCUCCAUUAAAAGAAACUAUGUGAAAACCGCUUUAUGUGAUUUGGGAGCUGGUGCUAGAGCCAUCUGGACAAAUCUCCUCUAAAUCUCUCUACCAUGCCAUAGCCCCCUCCUCGGGCCCUGAGGCUCUCACCACCAUCUGGGCGAUUCUUCUCCCCUUGAAGAUUAGGAUUUUCUUAUGGCAAUGGAUUCGCGGCCGCCUUUCGUCCCGCGUUGAGGUCCUGAAGCGCAACGACCCUAGUGAUGGGCAGUGCCCGCUCUACGGGCCUGAAGAGGAUAUGAACCAUAUCUUCUUCACUUGUACGUCUGCGCAGUUCCUCUGGAGCUAUUUCCGUGAGGUGGUGGGUGGUAGAUGGGAUCACACCAACUUCCCCGCCCUCUUCGCCAAACUUCGGGCAUUACCACCCGUGUUACGCCACAUUAGGUGGCUAACCAUCGGGGUGCUAGCCUGGACGUUGUGGACUAUUAGGAAUAAACUUGUGAUUCAGCAUGUCCCUCUUUGUCGUGCUACUGAUGCUUUGUUCAAAUGGUCUGGUUACUUGCAGCUUUGGCGGCCGCUUAGCCGCCACAGGAAGAGAGACGCCAUCACCUCCAUCAUCACCCAGCUUCACGCGAUGGCUCUCCGAUUGGCUCCACCACUCCCCCCACCACCACCAGAGCCGGAUUAGAUCCUCUACCUCGCCGCCGCCACCGCCAUUUUUGUGUUGUGCAUGCUCUUUUUUUUGUUGGGCUUGUUGUGUUGUGCCCACAGCUGAACCUUGGGUAGUGUUCGUGUGCGUGUUUGUUGGACCUUGCCUGCGGUGGCGUUGUGUUUGUGUGUAACUUGUUGACAUUGUGCUUGGUGGUUUGCUUUAUUUAUAAAGCAGGGCGAAAGCCUUUUUAGUAAAAGACUUGAUUUGAAUAAACUCACACCUACUAAAAUAUCCUUGCAAAUGGCUGACAAAUCAACUGCCAUACCUAUCGGUAUUUGUGAGGAUGUGCCCGUUGUUGUCUGACUGACUUUGUUAUACUUGAGAUGCCUGAGGACGACAACAUGUCGAUUAUCCUUGGUAGAUCCUUCUUGAAUGCUGCAGGGGCUAUUAUUGAUUGCAAUAAAAGCAAGGUCACUUUUCAUAUCAAUGGUAAUGAGCUUACGGUGCACUUUCCGAACAAACAAUUCCAAGUGAAUGGUAUUACGCUGCGUUUGGAUGUCUGGAUUGGAGGACUCCGUAUUGAAUUGGUUUCAAUACCAAUUCAGUGGGGAAACUGUAAUGGACAUGAAUACGAUUUCACUUGUUUGGAUGCUCAUGGUAUUGGCCCAUGGAAUCCCAGUGAGGUUUCAAUACAAAAUCUUGUUUGGAUGACAAACUAUGGAAUUGCAUAGUGCCUUGUUCUAUAUGCAUCAAAUCAAUUUUUUACAAUAUGUGACUAUAAUCAACGUCCUUGUUGCUCUCGCUGUCUACUAAGACGGGUAGUCGAUGAUCAUCUUAUCUCACUAGCUCUUGCUGACAGCAUGCUCCUAAUGGCCUCCCUCUCUUCUUCUGAAAAUCAAUCAGCCAAAGCAGAGACAUGAAUUCCACACUGCACACAUAAUUAAGAAUCAAUCCACCCAUCAAAAAUUAACAUUCAAUCCUCUUUUUACUAAUCUCAUUUAGCAAUAUGCGAAGGGAAACUAAAUUUCGUCUGACUGGAUGGUUAUAUGAAGUAGACAAAUUUCCUGCAGUGUCAUAAGAGAGCAAGCACCAUGAAAUAUGUUCAUGCAGUUCACAGAAUAUGGUUGAGUAGUGUGCAUUCGACUACCAACUGAUGAACUAGCGAACUAGUGAUGACUAAAGAGAUUGCCGGAUUGAAAGGAGGUGAGCAGUAUUGCAAUCUUUUGGCAACUCAUAACCAGUAGCAAAGAAGAAACAAUCAAGGAUGGAAUAGCGAGAGAUCGGAAGGUUACCAGUGCGAGAAGGUGGAGAUGGAGUGGCGAUGGCGGGAUCGGCAGCGCCGCCGCCGCCGCCUGGCCAUGGCUUGCGAGGCCUGAUGGAUGGCCACUUCAACUCCAUGCCUAGAUCUGAGUCAAAGUGGGAGAUGAGGCAUCCAUUAGAGGAGGGGGAGCUGAGGUCACGGGGAUUCAGGUGCCGGAGGGCCACACGAGGACUGGGGGCCACCGUCGGGGGGCUUCCCUGGGCGCCGCCGUCGGGGGUCCUUCCCUGGGCGCCGCUCGUCUCAGGUUGCACGGGGGGCAGCUGUGUCCUUGGUCGAGCAGGGAAAAAAGAAAUAUUGGAUCAUUAUGUUUUGUGGGAUGGAUGUUUCCAGCCAAAUCGGAGGGGCAGAGCUCGGAAACUUGGGAGGGCUCAGCGCGUGUAAACGAUUUCAGCGUUGUAUUCGUUUUAUUUCAGACCGCUAUUUCCGUGUGCAUGCCAAACGGCUGAAUUGGCAAUUUGGGAAUACCAAAUCCAAUUCGGGGCCUCAUUACAGACAUCCAAACGCAGUGUUAAUGUUAUUGAAAAAUCUUCGACAAUCACUAUUGGAAGUUUUCAACUACCUCUACCUACUGUUAAAAAUAAAUAUGAAAUGCUUAUUGUUGGGGACAUUCAUAUCCCUAUUGAGGUAACUUAGUGAUUUACGAAAGUUCUUCGGUUUCAUGCUAAUUGAGAGUGGUUGUUAAUAAGACUUGAUCAACCUUAUUAAUGGAUCAUUUUUGAGAGGUAUGAAGUUGAUGAAUUUAGUGAGCACUACCUUCUAUCCCUACCUUUUUUCUGUUUUUACUAGUUAAAUAAAAUAAAAUGCCAUGUUUUGUCUGUUUUCUGAGUUUUCCGUGCAAUAAAAAAAUGACCCAAAAAUAAAAUUUCUCAGGAUGCUCUAAAAAUUUAAUACGUUUUUUUCCUAAUUAUUUAAGAAUUUUUGGUGCAAAUAAUAUCAGAGGGAGGUGCACCAAGUGGGCACAACCCACCUGGCGUGCUAGGACCCCCAGGCGCCCCUGGUGGGUUGUGGUCCCCACGUGGGCCCCCUCACUUACUUCUUCUUCGCACAUCACCACAUCCCUCCAGAAAAAAAUCACCAUUGCUCUCUCUCUCUCUCUCUCUCUCUCUCUCUCUCUCUUGUGUUCUUGCUCCGGAAACCGCGGAUUUCGAUCCCUUUGCUCGAAGCUCCGUUUUCGAAACUGUUUCGGGCCCUUGUUGCUUGUUAUGUGACUCCUCCAUGUGUCCAAUUAGUUUUUGUUUUAGUGGUUUAUAUUUUGAAUAAUUAGCUACUUUUGGUGCUGCUGUAGAUGAUCUUGCAUGUUGAAUUCUUAGAGUUCUAAGUAGUUUGAAUGCUUGCUAUGGCCUCUAUACAUCCUUGUGAGUGUUUGUUACCAAUCUUGUAAAGUUUUGUUAACAAAUUUUUGUAACCCAAAAUUUUCAGAAAAUUGUACACGAACAUUAUGAACUUCUUUGGAAGGAGUUCUUUGAGGAGGAGAUCCUCGAAGGCAUCCUCUAGUAGCAGCUCCAUUCGUCGGUCUUAUGUUGAACCGAGUGAAAAGUCCAUUCGAGAUGCCGCCACUAAAACAUGCUUAUGGCCAUGCAACGAUUAUAUGAUGAGUGUUGGCAUUAAGGAGGAAUUUGAGCAAUAUGUUCACAAUGCUGAUAUUGGUCCCUACAAUUUAGAUAAGUGUGACCAACACCUCACUCUCAUUGAAUCAUUUGCCGAAGGGUUCAAAUUCCAUCCCCGUGAGUCUAGGGUGUCAUUUAAUUUGUAUGAAAACCCAUUUACCAUAUCCUUAGGGAAAUUCGCUCACCACUACAAAAUUCCAUUCUAGGGUUCGCUCGAUGAACCGCCAAGGUCUGAGUUUGAGAUAUUCUUGACUAGUCUUUAUUAUGGUGAGACUAGGGGAGUGAUGCAAGUUAGAAUAAAGAGCAUUUAUUUUCACGCAAUUCAAUACUUUGCAUUAUUUAAUGAAAAAUGUAUUGUAGUCAAGCAAGAUUGUAGUACACUUUGUGCUCCAGAUUUGAGCCUCAUACACACCACUCUCAAAGGUGACAGAAGUUAUAAUCUUGGAGCGAUUGUUGCACGUAGGUUGCAACACAACGCUGGUAGUGGAUAUUUUUAUGGUGGAAUUUAUGCCACAUGAUUAGUGAGGGAGCUGGGUGUUUCACCUUUGCCCUAUGAUCCUAUUUUACCCACACAGUAUCUAGACUUUGAUGCUAUGAAACGUCAUAAGAUCCUUAAAGGAGAUCCCCAUAAUUUCACUUAUAAAUUGAUGUUUAAAAAGGACUCCGUGGUGGAAACAUAUUUGCCUGCGCCUCCUCUCUUUAAUGUUCACAACAGGGGAAGAUAUUAUGUUCUUGAGAGCGAGACCCGAGCUCACAACACAACGGUUGUAGAUGCACGGAGGGUUGAGGCAUCCGCACCAAGAGCCUCCGUGAGCUAGCACUCUGACCAUUACGCAGGCUGCUGACUGAUUACCAAGUUAGGCCAAAAGCCUAAGCUUGGGGGAGUAUGUAUUUCCACCGACAUUGCAUUCAUGUUCACACAUUUCAUUCCAGUUGUCGGUGUUCACACUUUCUCAUUGUAUUAUCCAUGUUAAAUUUAUUUUCUCGCUUUCUUCUUGUGAGUUUGAAAAACAUUGAGAAAAUCCAAAAAUAUGCUUCUUGCUUCUUUUUUAUUUUUCUUCCUAGUUUAAAUUGUUGUGGCACUAAAAAUAAAAAACCAAAAAGAUUUCCUUGUUCUUCUUUUGCUUGUUGGGAGCUUUCCCGUGUAAAUAGUUUUUCUCGUUUUUGCUUUUCUCUUUUUAUUUGCUUGUUUACGAAAAACCAAAAACUCCAAAAAUAUUUUGGUGUGUUUCUCUGAAUUUCUUUUCCUUUUAUUGAGUCAUACCGAGGAGAAGACCACGAUGAAAAUGUUGACUGGCUCUCAUUUGCAUUAUUGUUGAUCUAAUGAAGAACCCAUAUUACCUUGUCUUCUCCUUUUGAAUAAAAUGUUUGCAGAUUCCAGCUUAGUCCAUGGCACUCUUGCACUAUUAUUAUUUUCAAAUCAUUCAGUCGUGCAAGUGAAAGGCAAUAAUGACGAUAUUCGAUGAACUGGCCGUGGCAGAGAGAAACAGGUAUGAACUCGACUUGUUCUAUUUUUGUAAAUAUGUUUAACCUAGUAUCAAUGAUUUAGCCUAUUAUGAUCAAACAUGUUUGCAAUGACAUUUAGAGAUUAUAGUUUCUCAUGCCAUGCAUAAGUAGCUAGGAGGAUAAUGAUUUAUCUUGGAUGUCAACAUUGCGUUAAAAUGAUUGUGAUAUAGUAUGAUGAUAUGGUAUCCUCCUCUGAAUGUUCGAGUGGCUUGACUUGGCACAUGUUCAUGCAUGUAGUUGAAUGCAUGUUGUUCAUGGUGUUCAUAUCCUACUCAUGCUAGUAUCCAAUGUUACUUAUGCAUAAUGCGUGUUCACGAUCGUUGUUGCUCUCUAGUUGGCCGCUUCUCAACCUAUUUUCUAGCCUUCGCCUGUGCUAAGUGGGAACUCUACUUGUAGAUCAAAAACUUGAAACCCAAGUUAUUCCAGAUGAGUCCACCAUACCUACCUAUAUACCCUUCCGUCCUAAGUAAAUUUGCAUGUGCCACCUCUAAAAGCUUCAAAUAAAUAUCAUUUUUGUGUGCCGCGGUUAUUCAUAGAGCAACAGGAGGUAGUUGGUAUCUUCCCUGCUAAACGGGUUAUUCUCAGGUUGGGUGUUUAUUCACUCACCAUUGCACGAGAAAAGAGCGGUAAUAGGGAUUCCCAGUCCCAAAUUGCAAAAGGAACUUAUCAAUAAUCAAACAAAAACUCCUAUGGAGCAAAAACCUUUACUUUACCACUUGGGAACUACUACUAAUUUGUUUAGCAUGCAAGAUAUUGAUAAUUGAUGGUCGCAAAGUAAACAAGGGUGCAUGUCUUAAAAUUUCAUUUACCUCUGUUUUUAAAAACUUGAGCUUGGCACCUCUGUAAACCAUUGCUUCCCUCUGCGAAGGGACUAUCUAUUUACUUUUAUGUUGUGUCAUCACCUUCUCAAAUAAGCGUCAGAACCUGAGAGCACUGCUGUCAUGCUGAUGCAUUGUGUGUAGCUAAUGUUGGGUGCAUCAUGACUGGAUCUUUUCUACCAUGAAUUACAAUGUUUAGUUGAUGCUUGAACUUUGGAGGUGCUCUGCAUUUAUGUUUUGCGGUCUCGGAAAGGGCUAGCGAGAUACCACUAUUGUCAUAUUGCAUCAUGGUUGUUUUGACACCGUGUUGCUAUUUGAGAUGUCUUAUUAUUGCUCGCUAGUUGAUUAUGUCAUUGAUAUGAGUUAAUAUAAUUUUUAAGAAUUAUUGUCGACAUGGUUAGUUAUAAUCUUUUGCUGAAAACCUGGGUGUUGUUUAAGCUUAUUUAUGGAAACAAGAGCAAAAGAGUUCGUAAAAAAUUUUCUUUUUCACUUUCAAUUUAUCAACUAAAUUGCUUGAGGACAAGCAAAGGGUUAAGCUUGGGGGAGUUGAUACGUCUCUAUCGUAUCUACUUCUCCUAACGCUUUCCCUCUUGUUUUGGAUUCUAAUUUGCAUGAUUUGAAUGAAACUAACCCGGACUGACGUUGUUUUCAGCAGAACUACCAUGGUGUUGUUUUUGUGCAGAAAUAAAAGUUCUCGGAAUGGAACGAAACUUUGUGAGGAUUUUUUAUACAAUAAAAGAGAAUAUCUGGAGCCAAGAACCACCGGAGAGGGCACCUGGGUGGGCACAACCCACCAGGGCGCGCCACCCCCUCCAGGCGCGCCCAGGUGGGUUGUCCCCAUGUGGAGGCCCCGCAGACCCUGAAACCGAUGCUAUAAAAUCCUAUAUUUCCAGAAAAAAUGAGGGAAAAUAAUUAUCGGGUUUCAUGAACGGAGCCAUCGCCGUCUCUUAUUCUUCAUCGGGAGGCCAGAUCUGGAGUCCGUUCAGGGCUCUGGAGAUCUUCGAUUUUCGUCAUCACCAACCCUUCUCCAUCUCCAAUUCCAUGAUGCUCCCCACCGAGGGUGAGUAAUUCAUUCGUAGGCUCGCUGGUCGGUGAGAAGUUGGAUGAGGUUCAUCAUGUAAUUGAAUUAGUUCUGUUAGGGCCUGAUCUCUAGUAUCCAUUAUGUUCUAAGGUUGAUGUUGCUAUGACUUUGCCAAGCUUAAUGCUUGUCACUUUGGGCCCAAGUGCCAUGAUUUCAGAUCUGAACCGUUUAUGUUAUCGCCAUUAUAUUCAUGUUCUAGAUCCGAUCUUGCAAGUUAUAGUCACCUACUACGUGUUAUGAUCCGGCAACCCCGGAGUGACAAUAGUCGGGACCACUCCUAGUGAUGACCGUAGUUUGAGGAGUUCAUGUAUCCAUCGUGUGUUAAUGCUUUGUUUCGGUUCUCUAUUAAAAGGAGGCUUUAAUAUCCUUACUUUCCAAUAGGACCCCGCCGCCAUGGGAGGGUAGGACAAAAUAUGUCAUGCAAGUUCUUUCCAUAAGCAUGUAUGACUUUUUACAGAAUACAUGCCUACAUUAUAUUUAUGAACUGGAGCUAGUGCCGUAUCGCCCUAGGUUAUGACUGUCUCAUGAUGAAUAUCAUCCAACGAAUCACCAAUCCAAUGCCUACGAUUUUCCUACAUAUUGUUUUUGCUAAGUUACUACUGCUAUUGUUACUACUACACUUGCUACAAAACACUGCUGUCAUUGUAACCGUUACCAUUGUUGCUGCUAAUAUCAUCAAAACUAUCAUACUACUUUGCUACUAAUCACUUUGCUGCAUAUAAUGAAUCUCCAUGUGUGGUUGAAUUGACAACUCAGCUGUUAAUACUUGCAAAUAUUCUUUGGCUCCCCUUGUGUCGAAUCUAUAAAUUUGGGUUGAAUACUCUACCCUCGAAAACUAUUGCGCUCCCAUAUACUUGUGGGUUAUCACCCCUCUAGACACCUCUUCUUGAUCCUACACCCCUUUAUCGCGUUGGGUGCAGGUAUUUGAUUGUUUGUGUAGGUGCAUAGAUUGGGACUUGCUUGUACCUCCUACUGAAUUGAUACCUUGGUUCUCUAACUGAGGGAAAUACUUAUCUCUACUUUGCUGCAUCACCAUUUCCUCUUCAAGGGAAAAACCAACGCAAGCUCAAGAAGUAGCAGGAAGAAUUUCUGGUGAUGUUGCCGGGGAGGUCUACAUCAAGCCUACCAAGUACCCACCAUAAACUCUCAUCUCUUACAUUACAUUAUUUUCCAUUUGCCUCUCGUUUUCCUCUCCCCCACUUCCAAAAUGAUUUUCAAAAAGAUUGCCUUUUUUAUUUGCCUUUCUUCCGUUCGUCUUUUCGUUUGCUUUUUGCUUGCUCGUGCAUUCAAUCACUUGUUUUGCUUUCAUGGCUAGUCCUUCCACAUUUCUAGCACUCCCGAGAAUGAGAUCCUUAAUUUUAAGCAAAGGGAGGGAGAAAAUUUAAAGGACGCUUGAUAUAGAAUUUGUAAUGCUCAGAAUAGAUCUACUCGAAAGCAAUCUACUAAUGUUCUCCUUCGCAACUUUUAUGUGGGCGUUACUCCCUGGAAUAGAUAUGUUCUAGAUGCCAUUACCGGGGGAAAUUUCUUGGGAAGCCAUACUUUUGGUGCUUAUAAUGCUAUGAUAGAUUCGGUAGGACCACCACCUCUUAUGGUUAAUGAAACUAUUUUAACCUUGGAACAUGUGAUGCAAAGGCUUGAUUUUAUUGAAAGUAAAAUUGCUACCAUAGAGCUGAUUGAAAACUUGGAUAAAAAGAUUCAUAAUCAUAUUACUCAAUAUGGAUCUAAGGUACGAGUUACUUUAAAUAAUCUAAGGGAAAAGGAACCCAUAGUUAGUGAAAAGAUAGAUCAAGAUUCUACUAGAAUUGGUAAACUAGAAGAUAUUAUUACCAACUUGGGUUUUGCUUUUUCCUCCGUUAAAACUACUCAAAAUUUUCCUCCUACUAAAGCUACAAAGUUUAUUUAUGUUCCUAAAUAAUAAGGGUGAAUCUUCUAGUAAAGGAAACGAAGAUCUCAAAAUGAUAAAUAUUCACCCUAACCUUUUUGAUAUUAUGAAGGAACCAAUUGCCACGAGUGAAUUUCUUGAUUUCUUGCCUAGGAGUUUGAUCAUUGAUAAAACUAGAGAACCUCCUAAGUAUUAUAAGUUUGAAAUUGAAGAAUUGCAUACCAAAGAUGACAAUACCUAGAUCUAUUGCAAUAUGCCUAGCUAGGGGCAUUAAACAAUAGCGCUUGUUGGGAGGCAACCCAAUUUUAUUUUCGUUCUUGAUUUUUGUUUCUGUUUUUUUUAAUAAAUUUAUCAUCUUGCCUCUGGUUAGAUGUGUUUUGGUAUUUUAAUUAGUGUUUGUACCAAGUAAGACCUUUGGGGUGGCUUACGGUGAUAGUUGAUUUGAUCUUGCUGAAAAACAUAAACUUUUGCGCCCAGUAAAAUAAUUUUCAUAAUUCACAGAAGCGCGAUUUUGAUCUGAAUUUUUACACACCAUUGAUAUACAAAUUUCCCAUGUUUUUCUUUUUUUAGAAUUUUGGAGUUACAGAAGUAUUCGAAGUUUACAUAUUGCUACAAAUUGUUCUGUUUUUGACAUAUUGUGUUUUCUUGUGUUGUUUACUUAUUUUGACGAGUCUAUGGGUAGUAUCGAGGGGUAUGAACCAUGGAGAAGUUGGAAUACAAUAGAUAUUACACCAAUAUAUAUAAAUAAUGAGUUCACAACAGUACCAAAAAGUGGUGAUUUAUUUUCUUAUACUAACGGAUCUCAUGAGUUUUCUGUUGAGUUUUGUGUUGUAAAGUUUUCAAGUUUUGGGUAAAGAUUUGAUGCACUAUGGAAUAAGGGGUGGCAAGAGCCUAAGCUUUGGGAUGCCCAAGGCACCCCAAGGUAAUAUUCAAGGACAACCAAGAGCCUAAGCUUGUGGAUGCCCCGGAUGGCAUCCCCUCUUUCGUCUUCGUCUAUCGGUAAAUUUACUUGAGAGGCUAUAUUUUUAUUCACCACAUGAUAUGUGUUUUGCUUGGAGCGUCUUGUAUGAUAUGAGUCUUUUAUUUUUAGUUUGCCACAAUCAUCCCUGCUGUACACACCUUUUGAGAGGGACACGCAUGAAUCAUGAUUUAUUAAAAUACUCUAUGUGCUUCACUUAUAUCUUUUGAGCUAGGCAAUUUUGCUCUAGUGCUUCACUUAUAUCUUUUUAGAGCACAGUAGUGGCUUUAUUUUAUAGAAAUUAUUGAACUCACUUGCUUCACUUAUAUUAUUUUGGGAGUCUUUCUAAACAUCAUGGUAACUUGCUUGGGUCAUGAUUUUAGUCCUAAUAUGAUAGGCAGCCAAAGGAGAUAUAAUAAAAACUUUCAUAUAGAGCAUUGGAUACAUGAGAAGUUUGAUUCCUUGCAUUUGUUUUGAGAUAUGAAGAUGGUGAUAUUAGUAGAAAAUUGUUUAAUCAAAGAAAUAAUUGUGUUAAAUUUUGUGAUUCCCGUAGCAUGCACGUAUGGUCUUCUAGUUAUGUGAUGAAGUUGGGGCACAAUUUAUUCUUGACUGUUUUCCUAAGAGCAUGUGUAGUAGUACUUUGCUUCGAGGGCUAAUAGAUUUUUUGCAAUAAGUAUGUGAGUUCUUUAUGAAUAAUGUUGAGUCCAUGGAUUAUACGCACUCUCACCCUUCCACCUUUGCUAGCCACUCUAGUACCGCACAACUUUUGCCGGUGCAUUAAACCCACUUCUUACCCUUCCUCAAAAUAGCCACCAUACCUACCUAUUAUGGCAUUUUCAUAGCCAUUCCGAGAUAUAUUCCCAUGUAACUCCACCAUUUCGUUUAUUAUGACACAUACCAUCAUUGUCAUAUUGCUUUGCAUGAUCAUGUAGUUGGCAUAGUAUUUGUGGCUUGGCCACCGUUCAUAUUUUUUAUACAUGUCACUCUUGAUCAUAGCACAUCAUGGUACACCGUCGAAGGCAUUCAUAUAGAGUCAUACCUUUGUUCUAGUAUCGAGUUGUAAUUUUGAGUUGUAAGUAAAUAAAAGUGUGAUGAUCAUCAUUAUUAGAACAUUGUCCCCUGUGAGGUUAUCAAAAUAAAAGAGGCCAAAGAAGCCCAAAUAAAAAAAGAGGCCGAAGAAGCCCACCAAAAAAAGAGGAGAGAGAAGGGACAAUGUUACUAUCAUUUUCCACACUUGUGCUUCAAAGUAGCAUCAUGUUCUUCACGAUAGAGAGUCUCCUAUUUUGUCACUUUCAUAUAUUACUAGUGGGAAUUUUUCGUUAUAGAACUUGGCUUGUAUAUUCCAACGAUGGGCUUCCUCAAAAGCCCUAGGUCUUCAUGAGCAAGCAAGUUGAUGCACACCCACUAGUUUUCUUUUGAGCUUUCAUACACUUAUAGCUUUAGUGCAUCCGUUACAUGGAAAUCUCUACUCACUCACAUUGAUAUAAAUUGAUGAACAUCCUCAUAGUCCAUUGAUUUGCCUAGUUGAUGUGAGACUUUCUGUAACGCCCCGGAUUCGAUGCGCCAGGUGUCUGCCAGUUAUUUGCCGCCGUUGUCAUGUCAUUUGCUUGCGUGUUGCAUUUUUCCAUGUCAUCAUGUGCAUCUCAUUUUGCAUAUGUGUUUGUCUCAUGCAUCCGAGCUUUUUCCCCGUUGUCCGUUUUGCAAUCCGGCACUCCUAUGUCCUCCGACGUCCCCCUUUUGUCUCUUGUUGUGAGCGGGUGUUAAACUUUCUCGGAGUGGACCGAGGUUUGCCAAGCGGCCUUGGUAUAGCACCGGUAGACCGCCUGUCAAGUUUCGUGCCAUUUGGAGGUCGUUUGAUACUCCAACGGUUAACCCGGUAACCGUAAAAGCCCCUUUUGUCUUGCAGCCCAACACCCCUUCAAAGUGGCCCAAAACCCAUCCAAACGCCCUCCAUGCUCUCGGUCGUUCGAUCACGAUCGCGUGGCUGAAAACCGCUCCUCAUUUGGACUCUCCUAGCUCCCUCUAGCUAUAAAUAUGUGAUCCCCUCCGAAAAUCCCGCAGUCCAACCCUAGCCUCCCCUUCCUCUGCAAUGCCGGACACAUCUCCCCAGCUGCCCGGACAUGUCCGCCGCCGCCCUGCCCAAUCCGGAGCCGCCACCUGUCCGCCGUCGUCNNNNNNNNNNNNNNNNNNNNNNNNNNNNNNNNNNNNNNNNNNNNNNNNNNNNNNNNNNNNNNNNNNNNNNNNNNNNNNNNNNNNNNNNNNNNNNNNNNNNNNNNNNNNNNNNNNNNNNNNNNNNNNNNNNNNNNNNNNNNNNNNNNNNNNNNNNNNNNNNNNNNNNNNNNNNNNNNNNNNNNNNNNNNNNNNNNNNNNNNNNNNNNNNNNNNNNNNNNNNNNNNNNNNNNNNNNNNNNNNNNNNNNNNNNNNNNNNNNNNNNNNNNNNNNNNNNNNNNNNNNNNNNNNNNNNNNNNNNNNNNNNNNNNNNNNNNNNNNNNNNNNNNNNNNNNNNAUGCUGCCCCGCCGUCUGACGCCCCUCCGCCGCGCGUCCCGAGCCCCUCCACCGCCGUCCCCGCGCCGCCCCGCGCCGGAUCCGGCGAGAUCCGGUCGGAGGAGGUCGCCCCGGGCCCUUCCUCUCCAUCUCCGGCGAAGCUCCGUCCAGAUCCGCCACUGCCUCGAUAUCCGUGCAAGCUAGAGGUUGAGCCCGAAAUUCCUAAGUCCCCGGAUCUGCAUAUUUUCAUGCCAUAUUCAACGCAUCAUAACUUGCUGCAUACUGCUCUGUUUCGUGCGUGUAAUAUGUCAAAUUGUUCGUCUCAACGAGUACUUCAUUUCUUUCCAGUGCAUCAUGUUCAUUUGGGCUCAUCUUGAUGCCUGAAUCAUCGUUGCAAGAGUGCAUGUUGUUGUUAAUCUGCUGAAACUGUUAUAACUUGCUCAUUUGUCAUUUUUGCCAUGAUUGAUGUGUGCAUCUUAUGAACUUGAGACCUACAUAUGUUUUAAUCUAUGCCAUGCAUCUUUACAGGGGUGUAUGCCAUGUCUUUUUGUGAUCAAUUUGGUGACUAGCACAAGCAUGUAAACUAGGCCUUGUGAUGUUGUUGAUUUCAGUCCCUGUUCUGCUGUUAUUUUUAUGCCAUGUAAACUUGAUGCUACAGAGAGAUCCAUGCUUAUUUUGAGAUACUUAAGUAAGGAUGUUUUGUACAUAUGGUUAUGAGCUAUCCAUCCAUGCCCCUGGUUGCAUUUAUGGCUUGCUGUAGAUUGUUCAUAUCUUGCUCCAAAGUUGCUAAAUGAUGUUGCUGUCAGCCUGUUAACUUGAAAUUCAAUGUUUCCAUGAUUGUUGUUAGUUAUCCAUGCACCAUACGAACUUGCUCUUGCCAUGCUUAGCUUCAUAAACAUGUCUUCUUGCUGCUGGUUGCCUUGCCAUGCCAUGUAUUGCUCUGUAGUGAGUGGUUCAAGCUCACCAACAUGCCUACUUAUUGUUGUUCCUGCCAUGUUUGAAUCUGUCAUAUAAUUUGCCAUGUUUACAUGGGUGCCAUCAUAUUUUAUGUGCCCUUUUGGCUCAUGGUCAGUAAAGGACUUUUGUUCUAUGCAAUUAGUAGAUUCAUGCCAUGCCUUUGUUUGCCAUGAUAAGUUCCUGUAACAUGUUGUUUGAUAGCUCUAAACAUUGCAACCUGAUGUUAUUUCCUAAUAAGUCUGAAACUGUUAUUAUUUGCAAUCUUGUCAUGUGUGUUUGAGCAUGUUCUACUGAUUUCUGGAGAUAGCUCAGUGUUCAUGUUUUGUUAUGCUUUACCUGUACAUCAUGACCAUGCCUUUUGAUUUCAUAUUGAGGUGCUGUAGCAUAUUGUUUUGAUGCUUGCAAUAUGCCUAGUUGCUGUUAUGGACAGAUUGUUGUCAUAUCUUGUAUAGAGUGUAUGUGUUGAACCGUUGCUCCGUUUUGAGUGUGCUCUAUAUGAAACUUGCUUGUUUUUGCAUGUAGCUUCAUAUUAUCAUGUUGCAUCCUUGUUUUGGUGUGUUUGCUUGAUGUUUGGAUGCAUUUUGCAUCAAUGCCAUGGUUAACUUGUUUUGCUCAUAUCUUCUAGGUCGUAGCUCCGAAUCUAAUGAACUUUAUAUGUAACUUGACUAGAAUCCCGUGUAGAUCAUCUUAGUGCAUCUUAACUUGUUGUUUAACAACUUGAACAUAAGGUUUAUUCAGAUCUGGACCAACUUCGAAAUUUGCAUAUGAGGACUUACAGGAAUUGUUAUAUGUUGUUCCCGGCCUCAUUUAAACUUGCUUUGAUGAGUUGCUCUUGUUUGCAUCAUCUCUUGCCAUGAGUAGCUUCAUGUAGCUUUGUCAUGCAUCAUGCUUGUUGAGCAUCAUGCCUUGUUCAUGUGUGGUGUGUUUACUAUGUUGUGUGCUUCUUCUCGAUAGUUCCUGUUUCGUUGCGAUCGUGAGGAUUCGUUCGUCUACGCUUGGUUCGUCUUUGUGGCUUCAUCUUCUUCAUGGACUCGUUCUUCUUCCUUGCGGGAUUUCAGGCAAGAUGACCGCUACCCUAGAUCUCACUACUAUCAUUGCUAUGCUAGUUGCUUCGUUCUAUCGCUAUGCUGCAUCACCUAUCUUUUGCUCAUCAAGCCUCCCAGAUUGCCAUGAACCUCUAACCUUUGACUUCCCUCCUAGCAAACCAUCGAUUGGCUAUGUUACUGCUUUGCUCAGCCCCUCUUAUAGCGUUGUUAGUUGGAGGUGAAGUUGAAGACUGCUCCAUGGUGGACAGGAUUAUGUUGGGAUAUCACAAUAUCUCUUAUUUAAUUAACGCAUCUAUAUAUUUGGUAAAGGGUGGAAGACUCGGCCUUAUGCCUGGUGUUUUGUUCCACUCUUGCCGCCCUAGUUUCUGUCAUACCGGUGUUAUGUUUCCGGAUUUUGCAUUCCUUACGCGGUCGGGUGAUUUAUGGGAACCCCUUGACAGUUCGCUUUGAAUAAAACUCCUCCAGCAAGGCCCAACCUUGGUUUUACCAUUUGCCUCACCACCACCUACAUUUCCCUUGGGAGUAAUUAACCCAAGGGUCAUCUUUAUUAUAGCCCCCCGGGCCAAUGCUUGUCUAAGUGUUGGUCCAAACUAGAGCACCAUGCGGGACCAUCCCUUGGCAACUUGGGUUACGUCGAUACCUGUACGCUUAGCUUAUCCGGUGUUGCCCUGAGAACGAGAUAUCUGCAGCUCCUAUCGGGAUUGUCGGCGCAUCGGGCCGUCUUGCUGGUCUUGUUUUACCAUUGUCGAAAUGUCUUGUAAACCGGGAUUCCGAGACUGAUCGGGUCUUCCUGGGAGAAGGUAUAUCCUUCGUUGAUCGCGAGAGCUUAUCAUGGGCUAAGUUGGGACAACCCUGCAGGGUAUAAACUUUCGAAAGCCGUGCCCGCGGUUAUGGGCAGAUGGGAAUUUGUUAAUGUCCGGUUGUAGAUAACUUGACACCAGAUCCGUUUUAAAAUGCAUCAACCGUGUGUGUAGCCGUGAUGGUCUCUUUUCGGCGGAGUCCGAGAAGUGAACACGGUUUUUGGGUUAUGUUUGACGUAAGUAGGUGUUCAGGAUCACCUCUUGAUCAUUGCUAGCUUCACGACCGUUCCUUUGUUUCUCUUCUCGCUCUUAUUUGCGUAUGCUAGCCACCAUACUAUGCUUAGUCGUUGCUGCAACCUCACCACUUUACCCCCUUCCUUACCUAUCAAGCUUUGCUAGUAUUGAUACCCAUGGUAAUGGGAUUGCUGAGUCCUCGUGGCUCACAGAUUACUACAACAACAGUUGCAGGUACAGGUUUUGCGAUGAUCAUGACGCGAGAGCGAUGUUUGCUUGUUUUGGAGUUCUUCUUCUGCUUCUUCUUCGAUCAGGGGAUAGGUUCCAGGUCAGCAGCCUGGGCUAGCAGGAUGGAUGUCGUUUGAGUUUUUGUUUGUGUUUCAUCCGUAGUCGGAUGGUGCUCUGAUGUAUUGUGAUGUUGUAUUCGUGUGGCAUUGUAUGCCCCUUGUAUGUAUCCCCAUCUAUUAUGUAAUGUUGAUGUAAUGAUAUCCACCUUGCAAAAGCGUUUCAAUAUGCGGGUCUAUCCUUGGUGGGACCUUCGAGUUCCUUUUGGAUAGGGUCGCAUAUUGGGCGUGACAAGUUGGUAUCAGAGCCUUUACCGACCUUAGGAGCCCCCUUGAUUGAUCGUGCAGUUUGGCCGUUGUCGAGUCUAGAAGAAAACUGUUUUUCGGAAUCUAGUUAUAUCAGAGUGUAGGAAUUCUUUUUACUCCUCUGCCUCUUCGUCGCUCUGGUAAGGAAUCUUGACGUAGGUGUUUUGAAUUACUCCUCUUCCCCUUCAAAUUUUUCUUCAGGUUCACGCAGUUGGUUUUCCGGUCGUUGGUUCUCUUCUCUUUUCAUCUGGUGCAUUUCUCGUCAAGUUGACUCGAGCCUCUUCAUUGUUGCCAAGUUCAAUCCUCAGUUCUUUUCUUUUCCCACCCGCCCACCCUUCUUCCUCUCGAAACCGGAGUCCAUAAUUGAGUAUCCAUCCUACUCGUGGGAAGUCUUUGCUUUCUUUCCUCAAUGAUUUUAACCGGUGUUUUCUCUUCAAGAUAUUAGUUGGUUCUCCCAUCCAGUUUCCUUUGUUUUCCCGCCCUCCCACCCUCUUCUUACCGGAGCCUGAGUCUGUUUUCGAGCAUCAAUUCCAUUCGUGUGGAGCCUCUUCAGUCUUCCCUCAAUCAUUUCAAUCGGUGAAUUCUCGCCUCGUUCGUCAUUCUUCAUCUCUUUUUCUUUUCCGGUGGACGCAAUUCAUGUUUUUUUGGUAGUGAUUAUAUUCUUCCCUCGGCUCAAAUGUUUUCCCCUUGCUCGUUCGCCUCUCGCCAGUUUAUCAUUCCGGAGUUCGGAAGACAUCUCAGGAGAUUCGUCUGUGUUCGAAUUAAUUCGAGGUUGUCACCUCAUUCAAAUAUUUCAAUCAUUUUGGUGCAUCAUCUAUCUCUUCAACAAUCCUUGCCAACGGUGUUUUCUCUUCAGUGGGCCCUAACCCACAGGUCUUUUCCCAGGAUCUUACCUGACUCUUAUGAUUCCCCCGGAGUUAUUCUCAAUUCUUUUCAAGUGUGACGUAAGAAUGGAUUCCAUCAGUCACAUGCCUUCUCCAAGAUCGCUUUCAAAUUCUUUCAUUGUUGGCUCGACCUCUCUGCUUUUCAUUCUCCCGGAGUAUAUCAGUAAUUUUGGUGGUGUUUUCCAUCAUCAUUUCAAGACCGAAGAACAGUUUUUCCUCUAAUUUUUGUGUGUUAUCUCGAAGAUUCGUGGUUCUACCUUCAUAUUAUCCUCUCGAUUUAUUCCAUUUGUCUGAUGUUCUUUACUUACCCAUCCGGAUUAUGUCAGUAGUUGUUUUCCUGUUUCUUUCACCGGAGGCCAUCAUUCCAGUUAUCGUUCUCUAUUUACCCCGGUGCUUCGUUCAAGUGUUCUUUAAUCAGCUCAUGAUCUCUUUGUUCUUUUGCAUCUAUAUCCCCUCUAGCAUAUUGGUUCUUCUAAUUCUUCCCGGUGACUCAUUCUCUUUCAUCAGUCAUUUCCAAAUUCUUACGGUGGUUUGUUCAAGAUUCUUUUCCUUGUUUAUCAUAUUAAUCCAUUCGUUCUUUCAAUCAUACCGGUGGUUCAUGAAGACUUUCUCAAGUUUUGUGCUAUAUUCCCCUUAAUCCUUUUCAAGAAGAAUAAGUAGUAUGCAAAAUCCAUUGCUUGUCUUCAAUUUAAUUUGAUGAAGGAUAAGCAUACAAUAAAUCUUAUUCUUAUUUCAUCCAAGUGAGUAAUCCUUUUCUUCGGAGUUUGUUCUUAAUGAAUAAAUUCUAGUUCCAAGUGUUCUCAUUUUUUCUUUUCCGGAGUUCAAAUUACUCGGUCAUUUCGUCGGAACCUCCAUCUAAAUCACCGCAAGGCUUUAAUCUACUUCUUUCAUCCUUCAAUUUUAUCUCGUCAUUCUUUUGUUACCGGAGUUCUUCAUGGUGGUUCUUCAUGAUUUAAUUCAUUCUGCAAGAGUUCAUCAAGUAUCAUUCCAUCCUCUCAAGUUCAUGUUCUUUUCCUUCCAUCUUCAGCCGGAGCGCUGUCUAAAUCCUUUCAGUCUUAUUCUUUUCAUAUCUCGUUCUAACCGGAGUGGUUUCAUAGUCUAUCUGAUUCCGUGAGCUUUCGAUUCACAUCAUUCUCGGUGUUCCUCUCUUCUUCUUGAGUGCUCUCGAUUCUUUGCUUCUUCUCUUGAGUUCUUGUUUCACCUCAUCCAUUUUCCCUUCCGUCUCGGUCCUAAGAUCUCGGAACGAGAUCUCUUGUUAGUGGAGGAGUGUCGUAACGCCCCGGAUUCGAUGCGCUAGGUGUCUGCCAGUUAUUCGCCGCCGUUGCCAUGUCAUUUGCUUGCGUGUUGCAUUUUGCCAUGUCAUCAUGUGCAUCUCAUUUUGCAUACGUGUUCGUCUCAUGCAUCCGAGCUUUUUCCCCGUUGUCCGUUUUGCAAUCCGGCACUCCUAUGUCCUCCGGCAUCCCCCUUUUGUCUCUUGUUGUGAGCGGGUGUUAAACUUUCUCGAAGUGGACCGAGGUUUGCCAAGCGGCCUUGGUAUAGCACCGGUAGACCGCCUGUCAAGUUUCGUGCCAUUUGGAGGUCGUUUGAUACUCCGUAGGUUAACCGGGUAACCGUAAAAGCCCCUUUUGUCUUGCAGGCCAACACCCCUUCAAAGUGGCCCAAAACCCAUCCAAACCCCCUCCAUGCUCUUGGUCGUUCGAUCACGAUCGCGUGGACGAAAACCGCUCCUCGUUUGGACUCUCCUAGCUCCCUCUAGCUAUAAAUAUGUGAUCCCCUCCGAAAAUCCCGCAGUCCAACCCUAGCCAUGCUCUUGGUCAUUCCAAAACCCAUCCAAACCCCAUCCAAACCCCCUCCAUGCUCUUGGUCGUUCGAUCACGAUCGCGUGGACGAAAACCGCUCCUCAUUUGGACUCUCCNNNNNNNNNNNNNNNNNNNNNNNNNNNNNNNNNNNNNNNNNNNNNNNNNNNNNNNNNNNNNNNNNNNNNNNNNNNNNNNNNNNNNNNNNNNNNNNNNNNNNNNNNNNNNNNNNNNNNNNNNNNNNNNNNNNNNNNNNNNNNNNNNNNNNNNNNNNNNNNNNNNNNNNNNNNNNNNNNNNNNNNNNNNNNNNNNNNNNNNNNNNNNNNNNNNNNNNNNNNNNNNNNNNNNNNNNNNNNNNNNNNNNNNNNNNNNNNNNNNNNNNNNNNNNNNNNNNNNNNNNNNNNNNNNNNNNNNNNNNNNNNNNNNNNNNNNNNNNNNNNNNNNNNNNNNNNNNNNNNNNNNNNNNNNNNNNNNNNNNNNNNNNNNNNNNNNNNNNNNNNNNNNNNNNNNNNNNNNNNNNNNNNNNNNNNNNNNNNNNNNNNNNNNNNNNNNNNNNNNNNNNNNNNNNNNNNNNNNNNNNNNNNNNNNNNNNNNNNNNNNNNNNNNNNNNNNNNNNNNNNNNNNNNNNNNNNNNNNNNNNNNNNNNNNNNNNNNNNNNNNNNNNNNNNNNNNNNNNNNNNNNNNNNNNNNNNNNNNNNNNNNNNNNNNNNNNNNNNNNNNNNNNNNNNNNNNNNNNNNNNNNNNNNNNNNNNNNNNNNNNNNNNNNNNNNNNNNNNNNNNNNNNNNNNNNCCGGCGCCCCUCCGCCGCGCCUCCCGAGCCUCUCCACCGCCGUUCCCGCGCCGCCCCGCGCUGGAUCCGGCGAGAUCCGGCCGGAGGAGGUCGCCCCGGGCCCUUCCUCUCCAUCUCCGGCGAAGCUCCGGCCAGAUCUGCCACCGCCUUGAUAUCCGUGCAAGCUAGAGGUUGACCCCGAAAUUCCUGUCCCCGGAUCUGCAUAUUUUCAUGCCAUAUUCAACGCAUCAUGACUUGCUGCAUACUGCUCCGUUUCGUGCGUGUAAUAUGUCAAAUUGUUCAUCUCAACGAGUACUUCAUUUCAUUCCAUUGCAUCAUGUUCAUUUGAGCUCAUCUUGAUGCCUGAAUCAUCAUUGCAAGAGUGCAUGUUGCUGUUAAUCUGCUGAAACUAUUAUAACUUGCUCAUUUCUCAUUUUUGCCAUGGUUGAUGUGUGCAUCUUAUGAACUUGAGCCCUACAUAUGUUUUGAUCUAUGCCAUGCCAUCUUUACAGGGGUGUAUGCCAUGUAUUUUUGUGAUCAAUUUGGUGACUAGCACAAGCAUGUAAACUAGGCCUCGUGAUGUUGCUGAUUUCAGUCCCUGUUCUGCUGUUAUUUUUAUGCCAUGUAAACUUGAUGCUACAGAGAGAUCCAUGCUUAUUUUGAGAUACUUAAAUAAGGAUGUUUUGUACAUAUGGUUAUGAGCUAUCCAUCCAUGCCCCUGGUUGCAUUUAUGGCUUGCUGUAGAUUGUUCAUAUCUUGCUCCAAAGUUGCUAAAUGAUGUUGCUGUCAGCCUGUUAACUUGAAGUUCAAUGUUUCCAUGAUUGUUGUUAGUUAUCCAUGCACCCUACGAACUUGCUCUUGCCAUGCUUAGCUUCAUAAACAUGUCUUCUUGCUGCUGGUUGCCUUGCCAUGCCAUGUAUUGCUCUGUAGUGAGUGGUUCAAACUCACCAACAUGCCUACUUAUUGUUGUUCCUGCCAUGUUUGAAUCUGUCAUAUAAUUUGCCAUGUUUACAUGGGUGCCAUCAUAUUUUCUGUGCCCUUUUGGCUCAUGGUCAGUAAAGGACUUUUGUUCUAUGCAAUUAGUAGAUUCAUGCCAUUCCUUUGUUUGCCAUGAUAAGUUCCUGUAACAUGUUGUUUGAUAGCUCUAAACAUUGCAACCUGAUGUUAUUUCCUAAUAAGUCUGAAACUGUUAUUAUUUGCAAUCUUGUCAUGUGUGUUUGAGCAUGUUCUACUGAUUUCUGGAGAUAGCUCAGUGUUCAUGUUUUGUUAUGCUUUACCUGUACAUCAUGAUCAUGCCUUUUGUUUUCAUAUUGAGGUGUUGUAGCAUAUUGUUUUGAUGCUUGCAAUAUGCCUAGUUGCUGUUAUGGACAGAUUGUUGUCAUAUCUUGUAUAGAGUGUAUGUGUUGAACCGUUGCUCCGUUUUGAGUGUGCUCUAUAUGAAACUUGCUUGUUUUUGCAUGUAGCUUCAUAUUAUCAUGUUGCAUCCUUGUUUUGGUGUGUUUGCUUGAUGUUUGGAUGCAUUUUGCAUCAAUGCCAUGGUUAACUUGUUUUGCUCAUAUCUUCUAGGCCGUAGCUCCGAAUCUAAUGAACUUUAUAUGUAACUUGACUAGAAUCCCAUGUAGAUCAUCUUGGUGCAUCUUAACUUGUUGUUUAACAACUUGAACAUAAGGUUUAUUCAGAUCUGGACCAACUUCGAAAUUUGCAUAUGAGGACUUACCGGAAUUGUUAUAUGUUGUUCCCGGCCUCAUCUAAACUUGCUUUGAUGAGUUGCUCUUGUUUGCAUCAUCUCUUGCCAUGAGUAGCUUCAUAUAGCUUUGUCAUGCAUCAUGCUUGUUGAGCAUCAUGCCUUGUUCAUGUGUGGUGUGUUUACUAUGUUGUGUGCUUCUUCUCGAUAGUUCCUGUUUCGUUGCGAUCGUGGGGAUUCGUUCGUCUACGCUUGGUUUGUCUUCGUGGCUUCAUCUUCUUCAUGGACUCGUUCUUCUUCCUUGCGGGAUUUCAGGCAAGAUGACCGCUACCCUGGAUCUCACUACUAUCAUUGCUAUGCUAGUUGCUUCGUUCUAUCGCUAUGCUGUGUCACCUAUCUUUUGCUCAUCAAGCCUCCCAAAUUGCCAUGAACCUCUAACCUUUGACACCCCUCCUAGCAAACCAUUAAUUGGCUAUGUUACCGCUUUGCUCAGCCCCUCUUAUAGCAUUGUUAGUUGCAGGUGAAGUUGAAGAUUGCUCCAUGGUGGACAGGAUUAUGUUGGGAUAUCACAAUAUCUCUUAUUUAAUUAAUGCAUCUAUAUAUUUGGUAAAGGGUGGAAGACUCGGCCUUAUGCCUGGUGUUUUGUUCCACUCUUGCCGCCCUAGUUUCCGUCAUACCGGUGUUAUGUUCCCGGAUUUUGCGUUCCUUACGCGGUCGGGUGAUUUAUGGGACCCCCUUGACAGUUCGCUUUGAAUAAAACUCCUCCAGCAAGGCCCAACCUUGGUUUUACCAUUUGCCUCACCACCACCUACAUUUCCCUUGGGAGUAAUUAACCCAAGGGUCAUAUUUAUUAUAGCCCCGGGGCCAAUGCUUGUCUAAGUGUUGGUCCAAACUAGAGCACCGUGCGGGACCAUCCUUUGGCAACUUGGGUUACGUCGAUACCUGUACGCUUAGCUUAUCUGGUGUUGCCCUGAGAACGAUAUAUGUGCAGCUCCUAUCGGGAUUGUCAGCGCAUCGGGCGGUCUUGCUGGUCUUGUUUUACCAUUGUCGAAAUGUCUUGUAAACCGGGAUUCCGAGACUGAUCGGGUCUUCCUGGGAGAAGGUAUAUCCUUCAUUGAUCGCGAGAGCUUAUCAUGGGCUAAGUUGGGACACCCCUGCAGGGUAUAAACUUUCGAAAGUCGUGCCCGCAGUUAUGGGCAGAUGGGAAUUUGUUAAUGUCCGGUUGUAGAUAACUUGACACCAGAUCCGUUUUAAAACGCAUCAACCGUGUGUGUAGCCGUGAUGGUCUCUUUUCGGCGGAGUCCGGGAAGUGAACACGGUUUCUGGGUUAUGUUUGACAUAAGUAGGUGUUCAGGAUCACCUCUUGAUCAUUGCUAGCUUCACGACCGUUCAUUUGUUUCUCUUCUCGCUCUUAUUUGCGUAUGCUAGCCACCAUACUAUGCUUAGUCGCUGCUGCAACCUCACCACUUUACCCCCUUCCUUACCUAUUAAGCUUUGCUAGUCUUGAUACCCAUGGUAAUGGGAUUGCUGAGUCCUCGUGGCUCACAGAUUACUACAACAACAGUUGCAGGUACAGGUUUUGCGAUGAUCAUGACGCGAGAGCGAUGUUUGCUUGUUUUGGAGUUCUGCUUCUGCUUCUUCUUCGAUCAGGGGAUAGGUUCCAGGUCAGCAGCCUGGGCUAGCAGGGUGGAUGUCGUUUGAGUUUUUGUUUGUGUUUCAUCCGUAGUCGGAUGGUGCUCUGAUGUAUUGUGAUGUUGUAUUCGUGUGGCAUUGUAUGCCCCUUGUAUGUAUCCCCAUCUAUUAUGUAAUGUUGAUGUAAUGAUAUCCACCUUGCAAAAGUGUUUCAAUAUGCGGGUCUAUCCUUGGUGGGACCUUCGAGUUCCUUUUGGAUAGGGUCGCAUAUUGGGCGUGACACUUUCUCCCUUAUUUUGUCUACUACUACCUUCUAUUCCACCCAUAAUGCUAUGUCCAUGGAUCACGCUCAUGUAUUGCGUGAAGAGUUGAAAAGGCUAAAGCGCGUUAAAAAGUAUGAAAUAAUUGCUUGGCUGACACCGGGGUGGUCAUGAUUUAUACUUUGUGCUGAGAAGAGGGAGCAUAACAAGACUAUAUGAUUUUGUAAGGAUAACUUUCUUUAGCCAUGUUAUUUUUGAAGCUUAAUGAUUUGCUUUCUAGUAUGCUUGAAGUAUUGUUGUUUUUGUGUCAAUGAACUGUUGUUUUGAAUCAUACGGAUCUGAAUAUUCAUGCCAAAUAAAAGAGAUUGCAUUGAUAAAUAUGUUAGGUAGCAUUCCACAUCAAAAAAAUUGUUUUUAUCAUUUACCUACUCGAGGACGAGCGGGAAUUAAGCUUGGGGAUCCUUGAUACAUCUCCAAUGUAUCUAUAAAUUUUGAUUGUUCCAUGCUAUUACAUUAUCUGUUUUGGAUGUUUUAUAUGCAUUAUUAUGCUAUUUAUAUUAUUUUUGGGACUAACUUAUUAACCGAGAGCCUAAUGCCAGUUUCUAUUUUUUUUCAUUUUUUUGAGUUUCGCAGAAAAGAAAUAUCAAACGGAGUCCAAAUGGAAUAAAACUUUACGAUGAUUUUUCUUGGACCAGAAGACACCCAGAGGACUUGGAGUCCAAGCCAGAAGACAUACGAGGCGGAGGCAAGGGUGGAGGGCGCGCCCUAGUGGGGGGCGCUCCCCUGCCUUGUGGCCCCCUCGGGAGUCCCCUAACCUACCUCUUCAUCCUAUAUAUUCACAUAUAUUCCAAAACCCUCAAAGAGAGCCAUGAAAAUACUUUUCCACUGCCGCAGGUCUUUGAACUCAUUAGAUUCCAUCUGGAGGCCUUUUCCGAUACUUUGCCGGAGGGGGGUUCGAUUACGGAGGGCAUCUACAUCAACCCUAUUGCCCUUCCGAUGAAGCAUGAGUAGUUUACCUCAGAACCACGGGUCUAUAGCUAGUAGCUAGAUGGCUUCUUCUCUCUCUUUGAUUCUCAAUACCAUGUCCUCCUCGAUGUUCUUGGAGAUCUAUUCGAUGUAAUCUUCUUUUGCGGUGUGUUUGUCGAGAUCCGAUGAAUUGUGGAUUUAUGAUUAACUUAUCUAUGAAUAUUAUUUGAAUCUUCUUUGAAUUCUUAUAUGCAUGGUUUGGUUUGGCCAACUAGAUUGGUUUUUCUUGUAAUGGGAGAGGUGCUUAGCUUUGGGUUCAAUCUUGCGUGAUUUCACCCAGUGACAAAGUAGGGGUAACGAGACACGUAUUGAAUUGUUGCCAUCGAGGAUAAAAAUAUGGGGUUUUCAUCAUAUUGCUUGAGUUAAUUCCUCUACAUCAUCUCAUCUUACUUAAGGCGUUACUCCGUUCUUUAUGAACUUAAUACUCUAGAUGCAUUGCUGGAUUGCGGUCGAUGUGUGGAGUAAUAGUAGUAUAUGUAGGCAGGAGUCGGUCUACUUGACACAGACGUGACGCCUAUAUACAUAAUCAUUGCCUUGGAUGUCGUUAUAACUUUGCGAUUUUUUAUCAAUUGCUCGACAGUAAUUUGUUCACCCACCGUAUUAUUUGCCUUCAUGAGAGAAGUCUCUAGUGAAACCUAUGCCCCCCAGGUCUAUUUUCCAUCAUAUUUGUUUCCGAUCUACUAUUUUGCAAUCUUUUAUUUCUAGAUCUAUAAACCAAAAAACACAAAAAUAUUUGGUUACCUUUUAGUUCCAUCUAUCUCUAUCAGAUCUCACCUUUGCAAUUGACCGUGAGGGGGUUGACAACCUCUUUAUCGCAUUGGGUGCAAGUGUUUGAUUGUUUGUGCAUGUGCAUAGACUGAGGAUUUGCUUGUACCUACUACUAGAUUGAUACGUUGGUUCUUUAACUGAGGGAAAUACUUAUCUCUACUUUGUUGCAUCAUACUUUUCUCUUCAUGAAAAAAGACAACGCAAGCUUAAGAAGUAGCAAGCGGCGCUGUGGCCGAACCGACAGAUGGCUUGCAUCCGACGAUGAAAAUGGCAGAGGCCACCAACUCCAUGGUGGCGAAGGGCAACGAGGCGGUAGCGGCGAUCGUCCUCGCAGAUCAGGCGGAGGAAGGAGACGAGACCAGGCAUCUCACCGGCGGCGAGUGCUCCCUCCCUUCUCUCUUUCUCUGUUGUUUUUCUUGCUCUCGCUGGCUGUUCUAGCGUGUGUGAUAACGGAUUUUGAAGCGAAUGGGAAAACUUGUAUUGAUCGGGAGUUGCAGAUUACAAUUUAUACUAUCCGGAGAGUCGCGAUGGGAAAGAAUGCGUCGGUUCCGGAGAGAGACGCGAGAGGCGUCUGUUGCGUAUGCAAGAAAGUGGAGAUUUUUUCCCUAAUUACAUUUGCUAAUUAAUCACAACAUAAAGCUUGUUGCUUUGCCCACGGGGCAUGUCGACGGCCUUCUUUUCCGUGUCUCCCCUCACUCAGCUAGUGCUCUGCUUUCUGUACGAGCUGGCCAUUCCCAAGAAUAAUAUGUUCCUUCUUCCAGUGAACAACUCUGUUGCGUUAAGAGACUUGUGCGUGUGUCGUUUUUCUUUUGAUUUCCCACCGUGGUUGGUAAAAAUUGCAAUAUUAUACUAUUUUUAAGGUAAUAAAGGUUAAAAGUUCGGGCCUACAAACGUUGGCAUCAGUAUCCAUUUUAAAACAUCACAAAUAACUAUAUUGUCAUUCUAAAACAUCACAAGUUUGCAUUAGAUUUUCCUGUCUAGUGAUUUAAGACCGCACCAUCAGUAAAAUCUAUUCCUACAUUGGUUACAAAUUCGAUGAAAUGACGAGUUUUAGGCCAUGACCCAAGGCCAACCAGCACGACACAGCCACAAAAACAACACAAGGGUGCCAGACGAACGGAUCAAGAUCAAUAUCCAAAUGCCAGCACGGCACAUAAUCCAGAUAACACAAUCUAUAACUCCAGCAAGAUAAUAACCAAAACUCAAAGGAACAGGUCCGUUGUGCAGGGUGCCAGACACUAACAAAAGCGCAUUUCACUCGUCGUCGUCCUCGUCAUCAUCGGCGGCACCGGCAGAGUUGUUGAGGGCGUUGAGCCUUUCGACGAGGCUGGCCUUCCUCUGCUCAUAAGUCAGCUUCUUGGGGUUGUACCUGCAUGCAAAGACAAAGUUCAC
RNAcentral lists this long non-coding RNA (485541 nucleotides) under Triticum aestivum (bread wheat). RNAcentral's name for it is "long non-coding RNA (TAES_LNC007825)". The stretch from base 121892 to 122027 matches the Rfam family "MIR1120/MIR1122 microRNA precursor family". Lineage: Eukaryota; Viridiplantae; Streptophyta; Magnoliopsida; Poales; Poaceae. The record is from RNAcentral.